AAAAUCAUACAUGUCGACGACUACGGUACUUAGGAAUAAACCGAUGUAAACCCACCUCGACAGCUAUCCCUUGGCAGCGGUACACUCCCACAGCUGUGGCGCCACCUGCUGGGUCGAUCGUAGCCCUUCGAACCCAAGAAUCGCGCUAACUCCAAGCUCUACACCAAACAAUUCACCGUUUCAGUCUAGUUUUCGCAGCAGUGGAGUACAACAAGGAUUCGACCAAGCUAACCUUCACCAAAUCCAGCAAGUAAGGGCUUCGCGGAUUCCUCUCACAGUCCUGAAUCCAACGAACCAAGCCUCGUAGAAAUCCGAUGCUCCUACGUCGAGAACGAGCUGAAAUACUAACAGUCGACGAAGAAAUUCAGCAAACAACAUCUCUCCGAGUUGAAGUAGUAAACACUUGCCUAAAAAUCAAGGAAUUAAUGAAAUACCCACCUCGACAACGCCGAGCACCCGAGUGACAGCAAGAACGGCGAAAAUCCCUGCUCGCCCGAUCUCCACGCGCUACCUCGGCGUCAAACACAAGCUCGAACGGCCUCGCAGCGCGACGUCGGCGACGAAACUCCCACCGAGCUCCACCGUGCGCAAGGACACCGCUAGAGAGAGAGAGGAGAAGAAGCAGAACAUUCCCUCUCUGCUCUACACCAAGCUAUAUAGAGGGAGAGAAAAGGAUUGAUACAAACGAGGGAGAGAAAAUUACUCAUUUAGCGCUCUACCUACCCCCUUGUACCGGUACACGGGCUCUUGUACCGGUACAAGAGCCAACCCGAGAGCUGUUAAGCCUCUGCGCGAUGGUUGUACCGGUACAGCCACGCUGGUUGUACCGGUACAGCAAGCAGAGAAAUCUGCAGUUUUGCAAAUUUCUUCGUUAUAAGCUGCUCUCGCGUCGCACGGAGUCCGUUUUAUGUUUAUUUGACGCCAACGCGACUCGGACUUGUCCCGACACUCUCCAGAGCUGUCGGCAAGCCUCCACAGCUGAACACUAGGGAUCUCACAUCGUAUAAAUUUAAAUUUAAAUUUUAUAUUAUAAAUUUAAAUUUAAAUUUGAAUUAUAUUUUAAAUUAAAUUAUAAAUUCAAAUAAAUAUUUUUAAUUUAAAAUUUAAAUUUAAAUUUUGAUUUUGGAUUCAAAUUCUAAUUUUAUAUUUAAGUUUAAAUUCAAAUUCACAUUUUGAAUUCUAAUUCUAAUUUAAUUUCAAACUUUGAUUUAGAAUUUCAAGUUCAAAGUGUGAAUUUGAAUUCAAAGUUUAAAUUCAAAUUUAGAAUUGAAAUCAAACUUUCAACGUAACACACUGAACUUUAGCAAAUUGUGAGGUUCCAGUGUUAUAAUAGCGUUUUAGGCUAUUCCUGCUGUUUUUGUAGAUCGUUGACUGAAUACCAACCCAUUUCUCGUGUUGCGAGAAUGCGCGAGGAAGUACUUAGCAACAAAACCUCCAAACUGCAGGUUUUAGGGUGCUGGGUACCAGUACCAGAGAGAGUGAGUGCCGGAACUCCCCUGCAUAAAUCGAGAAAUGCUGCCCUCGGGUUUAAGCUGUCAAGUGGUCGGGUACCGGUACGGCAUCGGCCGAGUACCGGUACGCCACUGUUUCUGCUUGGCCGAGGCUCGGGUUGGCAGUUUUGUUGAACUGGUAUCGGUACUCUUGCCCGCGUACAGGUACGCAGUGUAAAAACUGCAGUUCGUGCAGUUUGUGAUUUUUGGUGUUUUGAGGGAUUUUUUGGGGUUUGUUAUAACAUGUUAUAUAACACCUCUUCCCCCCCAACACCACCCUUUGUGCUGAGCUGAGAGAAGAGCAAAGUAGGAUUUUUUUCUCCCUUUCUCUCUCUAGAUUUCUCUUCCAAACUUCUUUUAAUUUGAGGUUUGAUCUCUCUAUCUUCUCCCUCUUCAUGGUGGCAAGCUUGUGGACCUUGGAGGAAGCUUGAAUGAGAAGAGGAGAGCUUCUUGGUGGAUUAAUCUUGAACCCUAGCUCAAGAUAGUUUGAUUUGGAGCUCUCUUAAAGGUUAGUACACAUCUUGCAACCUCUAUUUGUGAUUUUUGCAAGUUUUGGAGAUGAAAAUCUAGUUUUGAGAAAACUAGGGUUUAUUUUGGGGUUUCUUGAUUUGAGGCUUUUGGAACCUAAUUGAUGAAUGUAGAACACUCUUGUAGGUUGGAUUUGAAGCUUGGAAGCUUCAAUUUGAGCUUUGGACAAGUGUAGCUUGAUCAAAGGUAUUUUUCACCUCACUGUGUGUGUAUUUUUCGAAGAUUUUCGAAAUAGUCGUUUUGGAGUUUUUAACCCUUUAGAAUUUCUCUUAGAGUGUUAGAAGUUCAGGGGACAACUUCGUUUGAAGGAACGAAAGGGUUCGAAGUGCUUCCGGUGGAUUUGAGCUCACCGAAAUGGGUGAACCCCCCUAUGUCUUCCUUUUGGUUUUAAGACAUAAUUAGAUGCUUUUCAUACUCAUUAUGACAUGCUAGAAUUUAUGAGAACAUAAUAUAUACAUGUUAUGUAUAGUGAACAUUUCAUGCUCUAUAUAAUAGAAGCAUAUAUGUGGACUUGAGUAUAAAAUAAAAUUUCAUGAUGACUUUUCUUAUAUGCCAACUUAGAAAGCAUAUUAGAGUAUGAAUGAGGAUACAUUCUUUGAAGAGUACCUAGUAAAUGGGUUAGAAAAUGAUUAUCUCACAGAUGAACAAUAUGCUUGUGUAGUCAAGUAAAUGUGACAACUUCUCUAUGGUUAUAAGACUUAGAUGGAAGUAUACUCUUGCAUAUUGGAACAUGGUAGAAUUUUAGAGUACAUAGUACAUAUGUGUUGCAUGUAGAAAUUUAUACCCUAUAUAGUAGAGGUACUUUGUGAACUUGCAUUCUACAUGACAUAUGUUUGCUUGAUAGAAAGCAUGUUAGAGAUGAUAGGGACUUAUCUUGUGUACCCUAUUUGGAGGGUGGGGGUUAAAUGAGACUUAGCAAAUACUUGCGUGAUAAUAUUAUACUUGUUGCAGACAAGGUAGUUGUGACAUUGUGACAUAGUACAUGUAAGAUCAUCAUGAAGCUAAGUUGGAGCAUUUAAUCUAGUUGAAUAACUAGUGCUUGAUAUUGUGAUAUUACAUGUGAUCUAGGGAUCGAUAGUUGCAUUCUAUAUUUUAGACAUGAUGAUAGUGAUUGGAAAGCCUUUGGGUGAAUGGCAAGAUGGAUAAUUGCAUGUAGCAUUAAUUGAAUAAAAUCACUUGCAUUAUAGUUUAUCACUCCAUGUAGUGGAGGCAUUGGUAGAAAAGCAUGUGCAUGACAUACACCAUGAAUGUUUGAAUACUUAAGCCAUAUGUGUUACUCGUCACAAUUAUAGUCUUUAUGUAAUAGAGAGAGAAUUGUAUAGUAAAUUUGCAUGUGAAAUGACAUCUUAUUAUUAUGUUGGAAGUCUUGUUAUAUUUAGUGAAAUGACUAGCUUUUACAUGCUCAUGAACAAGGACAUGUGUUGAACAUAGAGAUCAUUAAUGUCAUAAAGUGGCAUUCGAUUUAGUAAAUAGUUUAACUUUUACACUAUGACAUAGAUCUGGACCUUUGGGUUGCUAGAAUUUAUACCAUAUUGCAGACAUGACUACCGUGUAUUUGAGAUGAUGAUCAUGCUUGCUUGCCAUUUGUGCUCAUUCGCACAUACUUGUGAGGGUUGCUCCCCACAAGCCGGCACUUCGGAGUUAGCCUAUUCGACAUAUGCCUAUUGGGCCCGCGUUUGAUAGACUCAUUCCUAGAGUGGGAAUGUUGGAGCUACCACGGGCAAUUAGGCGGCACAAACCAGACUACACUUGUGUAGGUAGUGGGCUCGCAUAGGAUAGACUCAUUCCUAGAGUGGAAAUGUUGGAGCUACCACGGGCAAUUAGACGGCACAAGACGGACUACGCUAGUGUAGGUCCUUAAUUGAAAAUGAAAAAAUGACACCUAAAGUGUAAUGUGAAAACUACUACUAGAUGGUGCAUAUUAGUUGGACUAGUGGACAUGCAUAUAGUGCAUAUUGUGGACCUUAUGUUAGCCAUUCAUAGCACUGACACUCUAGUGGUAGUAUGUUUACAUCUACAUCGAUUGUAUGUAUGCAUGGCUAGAAUAACAAUGGAAAGCACAUUUACUCUAUGUAGCAUCAUGGACAUAUUGAAUAUGUAUGUAAAUUAACAUUGGAAUAUAGUUGAACAAAUGAAUUUAGAACAUUAUAUAUUUGAUAGUUAAUCCUGUAGUGGAGGCAUGACUAUGAUCGAACAUGUUUAAUUACUCGCUUUUCAUAUAUUGCUUAAUUAUCACCUUAUAGCACGCUUCAGUUGACCUAGUGAUGUAUUUCGCCACUCUUGGUGGCUUACCCACCGGGAACUAUUGUUUAAUAGUUCUCACCCCCAUUUGUUGUCAGUUUUUGUUUCAGAGCCUUUCGCGACGGAAAAGGCUGGGGAUCGUGGCAAGGGGUUGGCGACUAACUAGAGCCCCUACGGAGUUACUUAGAGGGACCCGUCAUCAUCUUUCUUUUUGUAUCUUGUGGAAAGAUGUAUAUGUAUAUGAUUUUCGAGAUGUUGUGAGACUCUUGGUUUUAGUUGUAUAUCUUUUUGUAUAUCUUGUGGAUCCCUUUUUGAUAGAGUAUUAGUGAUUUUAUAUUACUCGCUCUGAUAACCUUGUUAGGACCUUACUAUGUUCAUCUCUUGUUUUGGUAGACGCCGUGUGUGCAUUUUGGUUGUUUCAUGUACACGGCGGGUCUGUGCAUGCGCCGGGUGGGCUUCCGUUGGGUCCCGGGGUGUCACAACCCGCGACCACCCGCCUAUUUGGCCGGGUCGCGGCGCCGCCGACAGACCGCCGAACGAACCGGAUUUCCCCUAUACCGCGGACAGAGUCUCCCCUGUACAUUCAAGGUGUCACAAUCAAUACAAUGUAUGAAGUUCCAACCAGGAACACAUUUCAAUCAUAGAUUGCAUAAGAAAGUAUCGAAAACAUAACUAUUUGCUAUUACAAGCAUUCACAUUUACUAGAUACAUUUUACAUCACAAUUACAUAUUACAUUUAACUUUCAAAUAUAAUCAUGCUUUUAUUACAACUUCAUUCUUUUUCAUUCUUUACAUCUCUAAGUAAAGCCAACUCAGGGUACCGCUAUCUCUGGUCUCGAUAGUAGGGCGCUAACUACGGAGCUACGCCCUCGCCUCUCGCCGCCGCGCCGCUCACGUGUGAACCUGUAACACUCCAAAACAGCGUGGGAUGAGAACCAACUCCAUGAUUUCCGGUGGGUACGACCACCCAAGGAAAAAGCUUGACCAAUAGGUCCAAAAGAGGCAACAACAGGUUAGUUUAAUAAACAGAUAUAUAUAUAUAUCUUGAUUAUGCAACUAAUAAAACCAUACUUUGCCUCACGAAUGCAAUAAUGUCAUGCUAUAUGCGAAUCAUGCAACUAAACAAGUAGAAUAAAUGAUUUAACUUUCUAUCAUGCUAUUCAUAGCUUUUUCAUAAUUUAUAUAUCUUGUCACUUUACAUCGUUGGUUAUUUUCUCCUAAGGUUUUUUUCUACCCUAGCCAAGCUAACCACCCGACUCGGUCUCGAGUCAAUCAUCUGCGGAAUAUCGCAUACGUCCAGGCUCGAGGUAAUGGACGUCUCACAUACACCUCAGCCCCAAAAUCAACUCGACAGGGAUACCCAAUCUAUAGCUCAUAAUGCAAGCUUAAUGUACUUUCACUUGGCUUUUACCCAAUUGCAUUGAGGUUCACCCAGUUUCCCCCGAACUCACAACCCAAAAUCCCUUUUGAUCGGGGAGGCUCUAAGCACUGCAAGACCCGAGGGAUCGUCUUUAGGGACCGCUCUCCCAUGGUGACAAUUCCGGAAUGCACCGCUUAAGGGGGAGCUACCGCCCUCAAGCCAAGACUCAAUGUGAGUAUGAUCCAAUUACCAAUUUGGGAAUGUAUAGCCAUAAGCCACAAUGCCACAAAUGCCACAAUCAUAAUAGGUUUUCUACCUAUUUAUUCAUGCCGCUUUCUAGGUCAUUCUUGUCUCAAUGCCACUCUUGGUUAAACUAUGUUUAACAACUAUGUUCUCUAUGCCAAUCAAUGUGUCACGCCCCGGGGUCCCUUUUAGUUUAAAAGGUAGCGGAAAAGCGUCUGAAUUUUUUUUUUGAAAAUCUGACCCCAGAGUGUGCCAGAUCCGCCACAAAUACAGGAGUUCCACUGUUCACACGGACAGAGUCUCCCCUGUAUUUGCACGGCGUCGCACAAGUACAAGAGAGUAUAGAUGCACACAUACAACCACAACCACAACCAGAUGAACAACAAGAUAGAUAACAUUCAUCCAUUCCAUUCACACACACAGAUAUGAUACUUGAAUUAAGAAUAACAUUCCACAUCUAUCAGUUAAAACGUUUCCUACCUAGAAACUGAUUUUGAAAUACUAAAUCCAUAAAACCACAGAAAAAUCAAUUUGAAAACUGAUCCCCACACGGGAACCAUUCCUUUUCAAAACCAGCUACCACGAGGGGUAGAAAACUGUUUUAUUUUAAGAAAACUCCAAUCCUUUAGUACAUUUCAAAACCAAUUGAAAACCCAGAUAGUCAGAUAAUAAAAUAGAACUGAACCAUAAUAAGUCUAAGUAUUUAUUCAAGCAUGAAGGGGAAAAAGGAAUAACCGACUCGGGAAGGAGCUCUAUCGCACGCUAGACACGCUCCUCACCAGCUGUCCCACUCGGACCGGCUACGUCACUUGUAAUGGGGGCGGGGAGUGAGAACAUGUAAACAUGUCUCCCCUCCCAGUGGGUACCGCAAGCCGAAGAAGGCGAGGGGUACUCACUAGUCACGGAGAUAAACAAAUAUAUGGAUAAUGGUAGUACAGUAGCUAAAAUAAACAAGUACUGAAGUGAAUAUAAAUGAGCAACUACAGCUACUAUAUGUAUGCAUCAACGGGACAAUCAGUCCAAAAGUACCCAAUCUGAACCCACUACUCUCUUAGUCAGCACCGUAGACCUCAAGCCAAUGCCACAACUACUCUCUAGUGCAUAUUACCCCUUUAGGGCUCACGGGUUGUCACCAUUCAACCACUUUUUCAGAAAAGAACACUCCUUGCGGUGGAUCAGACCGCCAGUGUUCGUGAAAUGCGACGAGUAUCGGGCGAUCAAUGCAAUAUGCUCAAUGAUCAACCGUCGGCAACCAGCCGACAAUCCUGCCCCCCAGGGCCCAUCGACCGCAUGGGUCAUCAUGUAACCAAAUCGACCAACCAGGUCACAAGUAUGGAGUAUGAAACUCGACCAACCAGGUCAUAGAUACAACAAGGGAGAAUCAACCAACCAGAUCACAGAUAUCAUAUGCUGAAGAAAUCUACUCUACUCCUACACAAGAUACCGAGCAUGGAAACAAUCGAGUAGAGUAAUACGAGGAUAAUAUGAUAAGCAAUGUAUAUGAUAAGCAAUGUAAAUAGGAAGGGUGGAAAGAACGUCACCGAGCGUGCACCACUGUACCGACGUCGGGUCGAAGUACCCACCUGUACGUAUCUGACGAAGGUCUCUCGACUGUGAAGACGGUGCGACCGAACCUACGAAAGGUCCAACGGGUUAAGGUCAAACCCACUGACAUGUAAUGCUAACUCACAACCCCCGCUCACCAGAACCACGACCGGUUUUCCAAAACCGAUUACCGAAUAAGCCGGAAGUCCCGAAAACCGCACCGGAACUUCAUCGUCGCUCACCCGUCGUUUCCGAACCCCCAACACGACGCGGGUGACCAGCCAACAAGGCUCAGCGACGCUACAAUCAGCCACGAGGCACCGUCCGAUGAAUUCCGAACCAAAACCGCGUUCUAUCGGCAGAUUUCACCGAAAACGCUCCGGAAAUCACUUUUCGAUUUCCGCAAGGGCUUGGGCCUUGGACGAUCAGUCCAGAGGUUAUCCUCAGCCCAAACAAGCUGCCUACAGCAUCUACAACGAAGCGGAAAACCUAAAAGCCCAUACCGAUACAUGAAAUCGCAUCAUUUCAUGUGAUUUCUAGGCUUUUCUGGACCGUGCACGCAAACCGGAGGUCGAUUAAUCCGACCGUCGUACUCGCUGACAGGUUUCAGCAUGUCGGAGGCCGUGCUCACCUUUCGGAGCACUGCCGGCCACUGCGGUGCGCGCACGAGCGACGCGAAGUACUGAUAAACUGCGCGCACAGCGCGAAGAUCGCGACUAACUCGCAAACCAGGGCAUCUUUGCCGCUGUUGGAGGUGAGCACGAUGUUCAGCACGAGUUGUAGAUCAUCGUGCUCACUUCCCGAGACUUAGAAGGCUUCUCGGAUCACCGGAAAAGAGACCGGAACCUCGGAAAACAGUGCUGGAACAUAAAAUGUCCUUACCAGACCCGAGGAGAGCUAGGGUUGGUCGCCGGCGGCCGGGAGGCGGGCGGUCCGGCCGGAGGUGGGAGCACUCGGUCCAGGAGGUCCGGGGAGGGCGCUGGCCGGCGGCGGGCGGCAACCGGUGGUGCGGCGGCCGAGAUCAACCCUUCACACUUCCUCUCGGGUUCGGGCUUCCCGGCGGCGUGGCGGCGGCCGGAGGAGGUCGGGGCGACUCUGGUGCGGCGCCGGAGGCCGAGGGGAAGACGGUGCACCCCUUGGUGGGCUGCGGCAGCGCCUGGAAGCCAAGCGGGCCCGACCUCGGCCCGCACGUGACUGGGCGGCCACAGGAAGCUCCAGCGGCGGCCGGCGGCGCGCGGGGACGGCGGGGGACGCGCGCGCCGGGUAGCCGGAGGUCGCCGGGGCCGACUGGGGGGCGGCGCGGCCGAAGCGAGGCGAGGACGCAGCACCCGAGCCGGCUCGGUCUGGGCUGACCCGAGCUGGCUGCAGGGAGCCGGGGUGGCUCCGGCGGCGUUCGAGGGUGGCCGGGGCCGGCGGGGGAGGACGCCGGAGGAGAGCCUCGGCCAGGUGAGGGGGAAGCUCGGCUUUGAUGCCCUCCCGAGCACAACAAUAGAAAAAGGUGGCAGGUCGGGGCUAAGGGAGAGCCGAGAGGUGGCCGGGGUGACCUUUCCGGCGGCCGGAGUUGCCCGCCGGCGGCCGGGACGUGCGCACAAGUUGGGCAGGGUGGUAGUGGGGCGGUUAGGGUUUUCUAGAUAAUCAUGGCAGCCAAAGUAACCCUGGAAAACCCUAGAUGCCCUUUUAUACAUGGUGCCACUUUGCGAGGAACCCCUCCAAAGUCUACUAUUUACACUCCAGCCCCUGCCAACGAGUGGAUUACGCAUACAGGUCCCUCGACAUUCAAAUUCGUGCAAGAUCGCGCAUAAAAUAUUGGACGUUUCCGCGAAUAAUCGAUCUUGCCAACUUGACCUCUCAGCGGACAUUUCACGAUUCCCGAAGAUCCGUCCGUCGGAUUUCCGAACGGAUUGCGCCAGCGCGUUCAGCACGACUGGGGCAUCGAAUCUAGCAUUUUAUUUCGUCUGAUUUGGUCUCCGAUCAGCGACGAAACCUGCCCUCUCAAUCUCCACCCAUAAACCACUUAUAUUAAUACAUGUAAUUUCCAUUAAACCCCUUUUUCUCGACAACCAUGCAUCAGAACCCAAUUCCGUCAGUGCCAUUGGGUCCAGGAUAGUCGAGCGGUUGAAAACGAGCUAUUGGAAGGCUAUAUUCGGAGUCCGAUACGCGUCGAAAGUCCACUCUACUCCGCGGUCUCUCCGGAAAACCGGAGUUACUAUUCACUUAAGUCGAACUUCCGGGUCGCGUAACUUCUCCGUUUUAACUCGUUUUCUCCUGAAAUUUGACGAGUACACUUAUAAUUAUAUUACACACAAGAACAUCGUCAAACAAAAGGGUUUAAUUUUAUUUAUCCAAAAACUUCAAUUAUUACACAAUGUCUCUAUUGUCAAUGUCACCUUUGUUUACUAAUGUCCAAGUCCAACUCUCACAUUCACACAAUAAUAGGGUCCUAACAUACAUGUCCAUUAUGGUUCUACCUUUCUCUAUGUUCAACUACGUUAGAAACAUGUCAUUGAAAGCAACCAAGAUUCACAUGUACUUAGCCUUAUCAAGCAUGAAUGAUACAAAGUAUAUAUGCUCAAAUACCAUAAGUGUUUGCUAGGUUCAUGACACUAGGUUCACACUAUACUUGUUCAACCUAUGAUCAAGACACUAGGUUUAAUGCCACUUGAUGUCCAACCUAUGUUCUUUGAGACUAGGUUCAUAUCAUCCAUGUUCAACCUAUGUCAAUGACUCUAGGUUUAAUGCCACUCGAUCUAAUGUAUAUAGAUUGUCCAUAUGCACAUUUCCAUUACUUAUCAUUAGUAUCUCUACAACAUGAUUAUCAAGUAUAUAUUAGUAUUAGCCCCAUGCUUACAUUUAGCAUUUCCAUGACAUGCAUUCAACUAACAUUAACCAAUGCAUAUAUUCUAGCAUUUAUAUGACAUGCUUAUCCAAAUUAGCAUUCUUUACAACUUAUCAUUAUACAUUACAACUAGCAUAUUCUCUAUUUUAUGUUAACAUGCAAAUGUCAUUUAUCUCAUGCUUUUAACUAGCAUCAUUCCUACUAUAUCCUCAUGCAUUCUUUGGUAGCCUACUUAGCAUUCACUUCAUGCAUUCACAUAAUUUACCAUUAGCCACCAUUAUAUGCAUCAAUAUAAAACCAUUUCUCUUAGACAUACAGGCGACCUAGUCGCUUCGGUAAGCACAACCCACCUCAAAUCACUUUCCGAUUGCUUGUCGACACUUGCAAUCGGCCUCCUGCGGCAUUCGGCAUCCGGUUUGGCCCGAUUUUGCUAAUACUCACCAACCGUGCAUCGAAUCGCGACACCGAAAAUUUUAGGUCUUCGGUUAUGUGCCACGGUGCUCCAAAUCCGUUUUCAUGACUUUACGAUAUCGCCUCGGUCCUCCAGGCGGAAACGAAGCCUAAACGUCCGUUUCUUUAAUAACUUCGCAACGGCUCGACGAAUCGCCGAACCGACUUCGCCAACGAGUUCGUUUACCUAGCAAUUAGGUUUACGGAGGGUCAAAUGAGAUCAAACCCUACUAUUUUACAAAACUCCAUUUUUGAACCCUAAAUUACAACUAGGUAAAAAUCUACUAUUAAUCCUCUAGAUUCUAGCAUUUAUCCUCUAUUUAGCAUGCUAGGAUUCCAAAUAAACCAUUUUUAGAGCAUAUAAAUGAAGCUAUAAAGAUCUACCAUGAGAGGGCAUCAAAGCUUACCUCUCAAACAAGCUCUAAUGGAGAGGAAGAAGACGAAGAAGAUGAAGAUCAACUUCCAAGCUUGCUUCUCCACCAAAACUUUCAAUUUUGGGAGAGAUCUAGAGAGAGAAAGGGAGGUUUCUCUCGCCCUCCAUGCAUGCGUGUGUGUGUGUGUGUGUGUGUGUGUGGCGCAUGGUGUGUGUGGCUGCACAGCUGGGGGAGAAGAAGAGCAAUGCUCUUUUAUAAUUAACACCCCUCAAACACUAUUCACUCCAAGCAGUUCGAAAUUUGAUAUCUUUCGUCGGAGCUCCCUGAAUAUCCGUUUGAGCUCAAAUUUGACAGUCAUAUUCGGUUUUACUUAAAGAGUCCAAAGAAAUUUUAAUAUUUCAGUUUCGACCCCAUUUGGUCACCGAAAACUGUACCGAACUGUAAUCUUUAUCAGAUAGCUGUAGGAUUUUAUUUUCCACCUUCCGGGUGUUAGAAUGACAUGAAACUUUAAAUCUAGCCUCAUAAAAAUGAUUCUGACUUAUCCUCCAGUUUUCAUAAUUUUCUGACACUAUGUAUUUUCUGCUAAUUUAUCUGUCUCGUUUCCAGUAGAAAAUUUUAAAUCUUUUGUUUUCAUUCUGAUUUCAGCACAAGUCACUUCUGACUUAUGUUUUACUUCUCUAAAUUCAUUAAAAAUAGUUUCUCACACUAUUUUUAUUUAUUUUUAUUUUUAUACCAAAAUCCGGUAUGUUACACGGGGCGUAACAUUCAAUUCAAAUUUAAAUUUUGAAUUCAGAUUUAAAAUUUGGCCAAUUUGCAUAAAAAAUACACUAAUUUUGGGCUUUUGCAAAAGUGAGUCACCUUUUUCUUUUUUGUAGAUUCGGUCCGAUUUUUCAGCAAACUGACCAAAAUACCCUUAUACAUUUUUCUCUCUCCUCUUUUUUUUUUUCUCUCGUUCUUUUUCUCUUUCUCUUCCCAGAGAGUGGCGGAGGCAGAGGCGGAGGUGGAGGCGGAGGCGGCCUGCUUCGGUUUUGUCCGAUGCAUCCUUACCAUCGCCCGUACACCCCCCGCCUUCCUCACCUCUGACACUGCCGAGGUCGCGCUGCAACUUUUUUUUUUCCCCUCUCCGACCCUUCUUCACCGCCUGCGACGACGACGCCUAUCUCACCAUCUCUCGCCUUUCUCGCCCUUUCCCUCUCCCUCCUCCUUCGCCUUCUUCGCCGCCUCCGACGACGAUGCUUCUCCGCCGACAUCGGCGCCGGGAGGUCACUGCAGUGCCGCAGCCUCGGAGCCGGGGGUCUUUAGCGACAUCGUAGCCGGCGCCGUGGCUGUUGGCGGAGAGGCGUGACAAAAAAAAAUUAUAGAAGAGGAAGAAGAAAAAAAUAAAGACAAAAAAUUAUAUAAGAAGGAAGAAGAUGAUGAAAUUGCAAUGUUAAAAUAAGAUUACACUGUUUUAAAACAAAUUUGCACUAUUUGAUAUAAAAAUUACACUCUUUUAGAAUGGAUUUUACACUCUUAAGGCUAAUGUUGCGCUAUUUAAGAGAAUUUUGCACCAUUUUGACGAUGGAGGGCGAGCCGGACACUUCCGCGCCACCCCCGAUAGCGCGGAAGCGCCCGGACCGCCCUCCUUCUUCUUCUUCUUCUUAUCUUUCUCUUUUUCUUUUCCUUUUCUUUUUCNGGCAAUCGCUAAGCUCGAGAAGAUCCCUUCCCGUUGUUAGGAGCCUCCUCGAGCUCGGCGAUAGCCCCCACCGCGCCUUCACAGGCCGAGCGGGAGGUAGCAGUGGAAGAAGAAGAAGAAGAAGAAGAAGAAGAAGAAGAAUAGAAAGAGAAAAAGAAAAGGAAAAGAAAAAGAAAUUGUGCAAAAUUUUUCUAAAUAGUGCAACGUUAGUCUUAAGAGUGUAAAAUUCAUUCCAAAAGAGUGAAAUUUCUAUAUCAAAUAGUACAAUUUUCAAUAAAACAGUGUAAAUUUAUUUUAAAACAGUGUAAUCUUAUUUUAACAAUGCAAUUUCAUCAUUUUAUCCUUCUUAUAUAAUUUUUUGUCUUUAUUUUUUUCUUCUUCAUCUUCUAUAAUUUUUUUUUGUCACGCCUCUCCGCCAACGACCACGGCGCCGGCGACGACGCUGCUAAAGACCCUCCGCUCCGAGGUUGUGGCACCGCAGCGACCUCCGUGGUGCCGAUGUCGGCGAAGAGGCAUCGUCGUCGGAGGCGGCGGCGGAGGAGGCGAAUGAGGAGGGAGAGGGAAAGGGCGAGAAAGGCGAGAGAGGGUGAGAUAGACGUCCUCGUCGGAGGCUGUGGAGGAGGGUCGGAGAGGGGAAAAAAAAAAUCGCAGCGUGGCCUCGGUGGGGUCGGAGGCGAGGAAGGCGGGGGGUGUGCGGGCGAGGGUAAAGAUGCGCUAGACAAAACUGAAGCGGGCCGCCUCCGCCUGCCUCCACCUCUGCCUCCGCCGCUCUCUGGGAAGAGAAAGAAAAAAAGAACGAGAGAAAAAAAAAAAAGAGAGAGAAAAAUUUAUAAGGGUAUUUUGGUCAGUUUGCUGAAAAAUCGGAUCGAAUUUGCAAAAACGAAAAAGGUGACACAUUUUUGAAAAAGCCCAAAAUUAGUGGAUUUUUUAUGCAAAUUGGCCUUAAAAUUUAAAAUCAAAAUUUUGAAUUUUAUUUUAAAUUUAAAUUCUGAUUUUAAAUUUAAAUUUCAAUUUCAAAAUUUUUAUUUUAAAUGCAAAUUGAAAUAUCAAAAUGGAAAUUUUAAGUUUGAAUUCAAAAUUUAAAUUCAAUUUAAAAUUUGAAUUUCAAUUCAAAAUUUUAAUAAAGCUUUAAAUCAAAAUUGUAGCUUUAAAUUCAAAUUCAAAUGUGACGCCCCAACCUCGAAGGCGGUCACCUAUCCUAGGACUACUCCCGUUCUAGCACGCUUAACUCUCUUAACCUCUUGGGCCUAACCACCAUUCAAAAUACUUAAGCCAAGUUAAAAGUUUAGUCUUAUUAUAUCUUAUAUAUAGGACUAUUUGGGUCUCACAAUUUCCCCCUUUUAAGCCCUGACGUUCUAGUCGUGCUCAGACUCACAAAUAUCAGGCAUUGUGAGAUUCGUCUCGCUAGCCACAAUCGACUUUGUGGGGGAGCCGCGCUUCACCCACAACAGUCAACAGUAUGAGAGCCUUACUCUCCUUGCUAUAUAAUUCUGGCUCAGCCGAGACUCAUCUCACACUUUCGGUUGGUAAUUGACUCUGAUACCAACUGUAACGCCCCAACCUCCCAGGAGGUCAUCCAUCCUAGGACUACUCCCGUCCUAACACGCUUAAUUCUCUUAACCUUUUAGGUCUAGCCACUAUACAAAAUACUUAAAUCGGGUUAAGAGUUUAGUCCUAUUAUAUCUUAUUUAUAGAAUUAUCUGGUCUCACAUCAAAAUUCUAAUUUCUCAUUAGUUUUAAAUUUUAAUUUUAAUACUAAUUUAAAAUUUAAAUUUAAAAUUUUGAAUUUUUAUGUCAGAGGACUAAAGUGAAAAACGUGAAAAAUUUAGGGACCAAAAUUGACAUGUAAAAAGAAGCCACGUAGGCCAUGAUGUGGCGAUUUCGUUAUUUUAAACACUUUUUUAACGAUUAGAAUUUAAUUGCAAUAAAAUCAAGGUACUAGGGACUCGAUUGUUAAAAGAGAGUUUGAGAUCAAAUUAAAAAAUAAUGCAAAGGUUGGGGAGCAAUAGUGUAUUAACUCAAAAAUUAAUAUAACAACUUAAGCUUCGUUUGGGAUUGCGGAGAGAUUGUGUUACGUGCGUUGAGAAAAUACGAUGGAAAAAUAUCAUAUUUGUUUUCGUACGUUAUAUUGCGUUCUGCAUAUCGCGAUUAAUUAGUUACGAUAUAUUUUCUGCGGUCUUAUGGGAGAACGCAGAAGUAUAUCCCUAUAUGUUUUUACCCUAACUUUAUUUUAUCUAAUAGCGUUAGAUAGAUUUCAAUGCCAAACUAGGUCUUAAUAUUAGUAGAUAGUAUUAGAUACUCUUGAAAAUAUUCAGAUAAAAAGAAAAGAUAUGUAUUGACAUAGAAAUAUUCAAUAAAAAAUAAAAAUUAUGUAAUGAUAUAUAAAUAUUUAAUAAGAAAAAUUGCACGCAAAAAAUGAAUUCAAAACUUAUUUCAUUAUAUUUUUUUAUAUAAGAAAAAAUGAAAAAACAAAAUUUUUUUUUUUUCGUCAAAAAUUAGAUCUAUCGACCGACUUGACUUAAAAAUACGUAGUUUUAUUUAUAGUAUAGAUAGAUAUAGAUAAAAAAAAUUAAUUAGAGUUAAAACACGCAUGUGACGGCCGCAUGGAAAACCGGCUUCCCCUCAGGAGGAGAGGGAGGGUGGUGGGAAACUUCUGGAAGGGGAAGGCGAAAGAGCAAAGGGACUAGUUGACCAGUGCAGUGUAAGUGGAAUCAAUAAGUCUUCGCUAAUUCCACUUUCCCUUUCCACUCCUCGUCUUCUCCGGAGUCCGGUCUCCGCUCUCCACCGCCCCGCGAAUAUCCGGUGAGUAGGAAAUUAAUUUAGUCAUAUGUUGGUGAUCCAAAUUCGCCAAUUAAUUAUAGCGAUCGACCAAUUUCCCUUCUUUUUCCUUCUAAAAACCCCUUCGAUCCAAAUUCCCCGCUCAAAAUUUCAGCUCGUCCCAUGUCCACCUCCGCAGCCGCGCGUUCCUCGGAGUCGCUCUCCAAGUGGACGAUGGAGAAGGCGAUCGGGUCCCACCUCUUCCACGUCGCCGACUACUCGCUGGCCCGGACGAUCGGCGUCGGCAAGUCCAUCUCCUCCGCGGUCUUCGACGUCGGCGGCCUCGACUGGUCCAUCAAAUGCUACCCCGCCGGCGGCACCCCGCAAAAUUCGAACUAUCUGGCGCUUUUCCUCGCGCUCGAAAGCGACGCCAGAAACGUGAAGGCCGCGUUCAGGCUGGCGCUCCUCGACCAGCGCAUGAAGCCGUCGUCCAAAACCCCCGCGCACGACGGCCCGUACACGUUCAAGAACCGCGACUACGCCCUCGGCUACCACCGCUUCGUCGAGAGAGCCUAUCUGGAGGCCUCGCAGUUCCGGAGCACCGAUUGCCUCCUGAGCAACGAUGCCCUCCUAGUCCACUGCACCGUCACCGUGCUCAAGAACCCGCGCCUGCAGUCGCCCGCCAUUCGCCCUGUCGCGGCGCCGCCGUCCGACCUGCACCAGCAUCUCGUCCGGCUCUUGGAGAGCGGAGAGGGGAGCGACGUCACCUUCGAAGUCGGCGGGGCCACUUUCGCCGCGCACCGGUGGUUGCUCGCCGCGCGGUCGCCCGUGUUCAGGGCGGAGCUCUUCGGUCCGAUGAAGGAGAACAGAAUGCGGCGGAUCAAGAUCGACGAUAUGGAGGCUGUGGUGUUCAAGGGCUUGCUUCAUUUCAUCUAUUCGGACUCGCUGCCCCCUCUGAUGGAAGAGCUUGCCAAGGAGUCCGCAGUCCUGAUGGCUCAGCAUCUUCUCGCCGCCGCCGAUCGAUAUGGGCUGGAAAGGCUGAGGCUGAUUUGCGAGAGCAAGUUGUCUCAGCAGGUCGACGCAGGCACGGUGGCGACCACCUUGGCUUUGGCCGAGCAGCACCACUGCCGCAACCUUAAAGCCAUUUGCCUCAAUUUUAUCGACUCUCCUGAAGUGUUCAUUGCCGUCAUGCGAACCGACGGAUUUGAGCACCUGAAAACAAGCUGCCCUGCGCUUCUCGAAAAUCUCCUUAAGAAACUAGGCUGAUAUUCGCAAAAGUGCUCCGCAAUCUAUGUGCAUGUAUACCAAAUGUGUGAGCUUGAAUUCAAAUGCAUCAUCAGAUCUUAAUCUUAGGUGUGCUAUUCUCUGUAUUUAGAGGUUUGAAUAUCUGCAAACUGCAGAUAUGCACAAAAUUAAGAUGUAGUUUGGUCUCUUUUGGCUAAUUUGGUGUGAUUAUCGUGAACGCUGGGUAACAAAAUCUUCAAAAAUGACCAUGUGAGUCUCUUCUCUGUAUUUGCAUGCUGUACGGUAUUAUUCUUGUAUCGCAUAUGGUGAUGAGUUAUUUGCUUUCUAUCCACCUAUUGUAAUCUGAGUAGUUGCUAAGAAAGAACGAUGUUAAAUGAUACAAGUGGUUUUUGAAAAUGAGCACACUGUCAGGACUUAGAAAAAUUUCUAUACAGUCAGGUCCCUGGCCCAAAUCUGCUUAGCGAGUUCGGGUUGAAAACAGGUUGAAUCGGAUUGUUAAGUUGACCCAAAUCCAACCCUUAUGCGAACAAAAAUGCUAAGUCCGUGACAACUCGCACUGGUAGAUUGGGGAUGCUGCUCUUUACUGGAUUUGCUUGGAAUAUGAACUUAGCCCAACUUGCUAGGAACAAUUGGUGGUAGAACUCGGUACAUUCUAUUGCUCUUCUGUAACAUCUAUAUAUCUUGCAAUUCUAAUCAUCUAAGGGACACAAAAAAUUUAAAAUUCCUACUUUGUUGGCAAAAUAUUAGUGACAAUCUAAAGUAUAUAUGAUGUUGUCUCCUUUUGUAUGUUUGGGUUUUUAAUUGAGCAGUUUUGUCUUGCAUAUUCAAAAUUGUAGAGGCUGAGGCUCAUAUGCGAAGACAAAUUAUGCGGAAUGAAUCAUUGUGAUUGUUGAUAUAUAUUUGGUUUGAGAAAUUGGUAUUCUAUUUCAAAUCCAAGGGAAAUUGAAUCCUCCAAAGUGACUCCAUGAGUCCAUGGACAUGGGAAUCAACUUUGAUUUCAGAAGGAAUUAAAAAAAGCACUUAUUUUUUUCACUAACAGUUUAUUUAAAUUUGAAUAUCUAGUUUAUAUUUAAUUUUAGAAUAAAUUAUAAUUACAAAUUUGAAUUUGAAUUAUCAAUUUAGAAUUUAAUUUCUAAUUUCUUAGUCUCAAAUUUAAAUUCUAAUAUAAGUUUGAUAUUUGAGUUUAUUUCUAAAGGAAUUAAAAAAAGCACUUAUUUUUUUCACUAACAGUUUAUUUAAAUUUGAAUAUCUAGUUUAUAUUUAAUUUUAGAAUAAAUUAUAAUUACAAAUUUGAAUUUGAAUUAUCAAUUUAGAAUUUAAUUUCUAAUUUCUUAGUCUCAAAUUUAAAUUCUAAUAUAAGUUUGAUAUUUGAGUUUAUUUCUAAAUUUAAAUUUUUACUUCAAACUUCAAUUUGAAUUGUUUGGGUAGUAAAUUUACAUUUUAAUUUUUGAGUUCAAUUUUGGAUUCGAAUUUUGAUUACAAACGUGGAUAAUAAAUUUAAAUUUUAAUUAAAAUAUAAAAUUGUAAAUUUAGUUUUGAAUAUGAUUUCGAUUUCAAUUCUCUUGCGAACAAAAAUUUUAAAAUUUUUGUUUCUCUCUCUCUCUCUCUCUAAAAUGUACCUAUAAAUAUCUCUAUAUAGAGAGACCAAUGAAAAAGAAGACUAAAUCUGAAUGUUCCUAUAUAUAAUAUAUUUAGACUCUAAUGUCCAUAUCAAAUUCACUGACUGUGCCUAGCGCAAGUGGCAAAGUGUUUGAUGGUUGAUACCUGAGGUCCUAAGUUCGAAUUCUUGUUGUUUCACAAUUUCUAGCUAAAUUUAUUUCUAAACGAAGCGGUUCUCUCAAAAAAAGAAAUGUCCAUAUUAAAUUCUACAGAAUUGUCCUCUAGGUUCAAUUUAAACUAAACAAUUCAUAUUAAGGUUUACUAAACUUUUAUAGUUUAGUACAUUUUUUAAAAAAAAUUUAUGUAUGGCAUAAACAUAUUCAAGUUAUAUUUAAACCUUACGGUCCAGAUUAAAUUUUACUAACAUUUUCUAAUCCGAAUUUUCUUUAGAUCCAAUCUAAACUAUACAGUCAAGAUUAAAUUCUAUUAAACUUUGCAGUCCAGACUGUUUACAUCCUGAGUUAACUCUCUGUAUAUUCAAACUUCACUUUCAAUUAAAUUCUCCUGGAAAUUUGACUGUAUUUGGCAAAUAAAAGGUAUAUUAUAUAUAUUUUUUCUUUUCAUAUUCAAACACCAACUUCGAUUAAUUUUUAUUGUAUUUAUCGAAUUAAAUAUUAUAUAGUGUUCAAGGUUGUUCGCACGCACCUGAAAACUUAGAAUCAUCUUUUAUUAAUUUAUUAAUAUUAUCCUUCUAUAUAAUGAUGAUCUAUAUUUUAUUUAUACUAUGUUUAGUCUUAGAUACACAUAAUUAAUUUGGAAUUUGAUCUUAUUCUAAAUAACGAACUUAAAACAGUUUUAUCUAGAGAUUAAGUGAAUAAUAAAAAGUAAAAAUAAAUUUAGAUAAAACUAAAUAAGAUGAUGAUAGAUUGAUAGCUAAAAAUUUUUAUUUUUAUUUAACUAACUAAAAGAUAUGCUCAACUAAUCUAAUCUAAUCUAAUUUAACAAAUGAUGAACUAAAUCGAUUUAAUCAGAUCAGCACCGAUUCAGGUAUGUUAUGAACUAAACUAAUCCAGAUUUUCUUAAGAUCCGAUCUAAACUCCAGGGUCAAGAUUAAGCUCUAUUGAACUUUGCGGUCCAGACUUCAUGUUCAAACUUCACUUUUAAUUAAAUAAAUAAAUUCUACUAGAAUUAUGACUGCAUUUAGCAAAUAAAAUGUAUGUAUAUAUGUAUAUAUUAUAUUAUAGUUUAUUCUUUUCAUAUUGAAACUCCAACUUCGAUUAGAUUCUGCCACAAUUCCACAUUCUACUAGAAUUCAGAUUGUGUUUAUCAAAUUGAGUAUUAUUAUAUAUAUACAUCUAUCUGUAUCUGCAUGCUAUAUUAAAGAGGUGUUUCCCGACGUGCGUUAUUGCUAGAUAAAUUUGUAGAACCAAACCACCGACGAGCUUAAUUUUAAUUUCUCAUGGCCUCCUCCCCCGACGCGCCGCCCUCGUCCUCCUCGGAGCCAUUGUCGUACUCUUCGUCGACGUGGACGAUGGAGAAGGUGACCGGAAUGCACCGGUUCAAGAUCGCCGAGUACAAGCUGGUCAGAGCUAUGGGCGCCGGCUGGUCCGUCCGGUCCGGCAUCUUCAACGUCGGCGGCUACGACUGGUCUCUCGUGUGCCACCCGAACGGUACCUCGGAGGACACCGCCCACAUAUUUUUCGUCGUUUUCGGACUGGAAAAUGACGUCGCGGAUAGCGUGAAGGUCCGAGUCGAGAUCGUCUUUCUUGAUGAGAAUGGGGAACCCUCGAGAUUUCUAGGAGAUCGCUUCGUACAGGAAUUCUCCCGCAGCCAUCCCCGCCGGGGUCCGGCGCCGCUGGGGAGAAUACCCCAUCUGGAGGCGGCGCAGUUUAUUCAGAAUGACUGCCUGACGAUUCAGUGCACCGUCUCCAUCCUCAAGUCUCCGCAUGUCCAAGUACUCAAAACUCCCUCCGUCGCCGUGCCGCCCUCCGACUUGCACCGGCAAUUCGGACGGCUCUUGGAGGACGGCGCGGGGACGGACGUGACCUUCCAAGUCGGCGCAGGCGGAGGAGAGGCUUUCUCCGCGCACCGGUGCGUGCUCGCCGCGCGGUCUCCGGUCUUCAAGGCGAAAUUUUUCGGCCCGAUGGAGGGAAGCAGUGCCGAGCGCGUGAAGAUCGACGACAUAGAGCCUGCGGCAUUCAAGGCUCUGCUUUAUUUCAUCUAUUCGGAUUCGCUGCCCCCGCAGAUGGAGGAGAUCGACGAGGAGUCCGCUGUUUCGAUGGCCCAGCAUCUUUUGGUUGCCGCGGAUCGAUACGGGCUGGAGAGGCUGAAGAUAUUAUGCGAGGACAAGUUGUGCCGGGGCAUCGACGUGAACACCGUCGCGACCACCUUGGCCAUAGCCGACCAGCACCUCUGCAGUCAGCUCAAAGCAGCCUGCUUCGAUUUUGUCGUGUCUUCUCGAAUACUGACUGCCGUCAUGGAAACAGACGGAUUCGAGCACCUAAGAAUGAGCUGCCCCUCAGUUGUAAAGGAGCUGCUCAAGAAGGUAAACUCAUAAUAGAUAACACAACACAGCAUUUCAGAUGUGCGUGCUCACGAAAAUAUUCUUAAUUUUGUUCAAGACUCUUCUCUCUGUAUUGCAAUUAUAUUAUUAUCAGAUUAAUUCAUGACGAAGUGCUACAACUACUUCAAGACACACGUUAAUUAUACUCUGUUUAGACUAAUAAUUUUUGUUGCUUAUUGCAUGUUAUUAAGUAUUGUUAUCUAAUUUUUAUUCAAAAAUUUAAAUUUGAUGCUUUUGUUCGAUUAUUUUCCAAUCUGUUUCUAAAUAAUAAAGCACUCUAAUCUUUUAUACGAAACUUCCAUCCUAGUUUAGAAUUUCUUAACAAUAUCAACUAAAAAUUAAGUUGGACAAGCGAUUCAUCUCCAUCCUCUCUCCAAUUCUCAAUUCUCAUCUCUAUUCAAUAUCCUUUCACCAGAGGAAGUUUAUUUUAAUUUUCAGAAAUAGUUAAGCAUAAUAAUUUGGUUAGUUUCUAAUGACAAUAUAUAUCAAUUUUUUUUUCUUUUUCGCUCAUGUUAUAUGCGGGUAGUUUUAAAAUGCAUCACAGCAUUGAAAUCUUUGAACUUCAUAAACAUUUGAUUUACAUUCGAUAUUUAAUUUUGGAAAGUAUAUUAAGUUUUUAUAAUAAAUUUUUUGAUUGAUAGGUAGACAUUGCACCGAUCAUCCACAUUAAAUACGCACUUUUCAUUUUAAAAGAAAAAAGUUUAGAAUAAAAGUCGAAAUUAAUGAGCCAUUUUUAUUAUUGGUGUUUAAUUAGUUUGAGAAAUUGGUAUUCCUAUUUCUAUUCCAAAAAAAUCGAAUCCUCCAAAGUGACUCCAUGCAGGUGGGAAUCAACUUUGAUUCAACAUGGAAUAUAUUGAGAAAAGUACUUAUUUUUCUCACUAACAAUUAUUCUAAUUUGAAUAUUAAUUUAUAUUUAAUUUUAGCAGAAGUUAUAAUUACAAAUGUGUGUUUGAAUUAUGAAUUCAGAAUUUAUUUUCUAAUUUCUUACGUUCAAAUUUAAAUUAUAAUUUCUAACAUUCAAAUUUAAAUUCUAAUAUAAGUUUGAUAUUUGAGUUUAGUUCUAAAUUUAAAUAUUGACUUCAAACUUCAAUUUGAAUUGGUUUUUUUUUUUUGAGAGAGAAAAAUAGUAUGCUACCCGCUUCGUUUAUUUCAUUUAGAAAUAAACUUAGCUGAAAAUGUGAAUCAACUAGAAUUCGAACUUGGGUCUCGAAUACCAACCACCAAGCCCUUUUGCCAAGGCGGUCGGUACUUCAAUUUGAAUUGUUUAAUUCAAAUUGGGUAGUAAAUAUACAUUUUAAUUUUCGAGUUUAAUUUUUAGUUCAAAUUUGGACUCAAAUUUUGAUUACAAACUUGGAUAAUAAUAAAUUUAAAUUUUAAUAAAAAUGUAAACUUUUUACAUUUAGUUUUCAAUAUGACAUUGAUUCCCACUCUUUUAUGAACCAAAAUUUUCAAAUUUUGGUUUCGCUCUCUCUAAUUUGGACCUAUAAAUAUCUAUACAGAGCUAGAGACCAAUGGAAAAGAAGACUAAAUUUGAAUAUUCUCAUAUAUUUAACUGUAACGUCCAUAGUAAAUUCUAGCAUAAUUAUGAUCGACGUAUCUAUAGAUCCAAUUUAAACUAAGCAAUUCGGAUUAGAGUCUACCAAAAUAAUAUAGUUUAGUACAUUUUUUAAAAAAAAUUUAUGUAUGGCAUAAACAUAUUCAAGUUAUAUUUAAAUUUUACGGUCCAGAUUAAAUUUUACUAAGAUUUUCUAAUCCAGAUUUUCUUUAGAUCCAAUCUAAACUCUUCAGUCAAGAUUAAAUUCUAUUAAACUUUGCAGUCCAGACUUUGUUUACAUCUUGAGUUAAUUCUCUGUAUAUUCAAACUUUACUUUUAAUUAAACUAGUGUUGAACCCGCACUUCGCCGCGGACAAUUUUAACACUAAUAUUUUGAUGUAAAUUUUAAUAUAUAAUAAUUAUGAAAAAUGAGAAAAAGAAUAGAAUUAAAAUAUCAACACAUAUGUAUGUAAGAAGAGGCAAAAAAAUUGUCACGCCCCGGGGUCCCUUUUCAGUUUAAAACAAAGCGGAAAAGCGUCUGAAAUUUUUUUUUUUUUUUUUGAAAACCUGACCCCAGAGUAUGCCAGAUCCGCCACAAAUACAGGGAAUCCACUGUUCACACGGACAGAGUCUCCCCUGUAUUUGCACGGCGUCGAUCAAAUACACAGUACAACCAGGAUACAACCACAACCAGAUGAAUAUAAAGAUAACUAUACAUUCAUACAUUCACCAUUCACAUCACAGUUUUACAUUCAAGGUUUAAACAGAAAUCCACAAAAAUCUUUUGAAAGCUGUUUCCUACACAGAAACCUUUAUUCUUUUAAAAACGCUACCACGAGGGUAGAAAAUCUUUUAUUUUACAAAAUCCAGAAAUCCACCUUUUCAAAUGCAAAUAAUUACUGAACCACAUAAACCAACUAAACUAUAUAUCAACAGAAAUACCAAGGAUAAUAACUAAAUCGAAAUAACCUGGGUCGGAAGCUCUAUCGACCGCUACACACGUACCUCACGUCUCGUCCCACUACUCAUCGCCCGCGAUACCUGAAAAAUGGUGGGGGAGGUGAGAACAUGUAAACAUGUCUCCCCUCCCAGUGGGUACCGCAAGCCGAAGAAGGCGAGGAGUACUCACCGGAUCAGGAACAUAUAUAUUACAUAUACAUAAUAGACAUAUAAGCAUAUACAUAUAUAUAGUAUAUAUACAUAUACAUAUACAUACUCACAUAUACAACCAAUAAAAAAUAUUCAAUAAUUGUAUAUAUAUAUAUAAUAUUAGUAGUAUUACUUAUGUUAUAACUAUAUAAUAUACCAUAUAUCUCUAUAGAUACAUAUAUACAUAUAAUAAUAUAUAUCAUCUAUUACAUAUAAUAUAUAUAACAUCUAAUAAUAUAGAAUUAUAUAUAUACAUAAUAAAUAAUAUAUGUAGAUUAUAUUACAUAUAUACAUAUAUAUUAUAACAUAUAUACAUAUAUUAUAUAUAUCAAUUUAUAUAUAUACAUAGAUCAUAUAUCAUAUAUAUAUCAUAUAUACAUAUAAUAAUAAACAUACUACAUAUAUAAUAUAUAUAUAGGUAUAGUAUAUAUACUAUAUAUCUAUAUAUAAUAUAUUAUAUAUAUAUAUAUAUAUAUAUAUAUAUAUGUAUUAUAGUAAUAUAAUAAUAUAUUAUUAUAUAAUUAUAUAUUUUAUAUAUGUAUAUAUUAUUAGUAUUACUAGUAUAUAUAGAUAUACUGUAUUCUAUGUAUUUAUUACUACAUAUAUACAUAUAAUAUAUAUGUAUAUAUAAUAAUAUAAUAUAAAUAUAUGUAUAUAUAAUAUAUAAUAUAUGUAUAUACCAUAUAUAUAUAAUAUAUAUAUAUGUGAUCUAUGUAUAUAUAUACAUAUAUAUAUACUAGUAUUAAUUAAUUAAUUAACAUAUAUAUAUAAUAUACAUAUAUACAUAUAUAUGUAUAUAUAUACAUAUACCUACAUAAUAUGUUUUGUGUAGAGGAGUUAAUAUAUUACAUAUAUAUAAUAUAUAUAUAUAAUAAUAUAUAUAUAUCUUAUAUAUAUAUAUAUAUAAUAAAUAGCAAUAAAGUACGUGCACGAUGCACUUAACAAUUUUAGAUUAUUUCAAAUCAAUAUAAAUUUUUUACACUUAUAUAUAUCUAAAAUUUUACAUAUAAAAUAAUUUAUAAAUAAUGUGUAUUUAUUAUAAAUAUUAUAAUAUCCUACGUGUUUUUUUAUAUAUACACCGAACAUUUAAAUUUUUAACAAUUGAUUAUUACGUCAUAGAUUGAAUUUAUAGAUUGAUACGAAUGCUAUUUUUUUAAUAUGUAUUGAUAUAAUGUCUUGAUUUAACCUAUUUUAACAAAUUGCUCAAUAACCAUUUAUAGCGAAUAGAUUUUAAUAUAUAGAAAUUUAACUAAAUUGAUCAUAACGUUCUUUUAUUUAACAUAUUUUAAACAAAUAAUCAUAAUCAUUCGUAGGAAAUAUUAUUAUAUUUAAUAAUUGAUGAUAAACCAUUAAUUUUUAUUUGAGAUAAUUUUUCACAAAAUUAAUCAUAACUAUUCGUAGGGAAUAUAUUUUAUUCUUUUUGGAUUCCGUCGUCAUUGUCGGAAUUCCUAUAACGCUUUUAUAUAUAGUAUACGAUAAUAUAAUAUACAUAUAUAUUAGUAUGUAUUGUAUGUCUGUAUAGAAUGUAUUAUGUAUGUGUAUGCUUGUAUGUUAAAAUUUAUGCUAUGUAAUACAUACAUACAUUACAUACACAUACAAUACAUACACUACAUACAUACAUAUAUAUAUAAUAUAUAUAUAAUAUAAUAUAAGUAAAAUAUAUAUAUAGUUAAGCUAGAAUAUCUAAUCGGUAGAAAAUCACCCGUUUACUACCGGAUUCGUUUUCGAUAUAGAGGUCCAAAUUAACGAAUCGCUCCUGCGUUACCAUUGAUCUAUGAUCACGCGUAAUGAUUUAGAAAUCAGAUAUCAAUAUUUUCAACAUACAUUGUCCUCAAUCAGAGUUCAAAUUUGUAAUUUAUAUGGUCGAUAAAGAGGCUUUUCCUCGUACAACGGCUGUAAAGAACAUCCAAUAAAUUGAAAUUUUGUUAAAAAUUCUUUAAAUCCUUAAAAAGAUCAACUACUGAUUGAUACAUACUCUUCAUGCAUUUUAAAAUAAUAAGAAAAGACGUUAUGGAAGGAAAGGGAUAUUCAUUCAUACUUCAUCUUCUGUCACUUGAUGUGAUAAAAGAACAAUAUCAAAAAAGUUGCGAAAUUUGAGUUCUAGCUUAUUCCUUCACACAUGGUUUAAUCACUAUUUAACCCGGAGCCGAUCGCAUUUUGAAGGCCAUAUCAUCGGAAACAAAUCGUUCGUAAAACGCUUGUUUUACACCUAGAUUUUACUCAAACUAUAUAUAUAUUAAUAUAUAUAUAUAUUAUAAUAAUAUAUAAUAUAUAAUAAUAUAAUAUAUCAUAUAAUAUUAAUAUAUAAUAUAUAUUUAUAAAAUAAUAAAAUAGGAAUCNNNNNNNNNNNNNNNNNNNNNNNNNNNNNNNNNNNNNNNNNNNNNNNNNNNNNNNNNNNNNNNNNNNNNNNNNNNNNNNNNNNNNNNNNNNNNNNNNNNNNNNNNNNNNNNNNNNNNNNNNNNNNNNNNNNNNNNNNNNNNNNNNNNNNNNNNNNNNNNNNNNNNNNNNNNNNNNNNNNNNNNNNNNNNNNNNNNNNNNNNNNNNNNNNNNNNNNNNNNNNNNNNNNNNNNNNNNNNNNNNNNNNNNNNNNNNNNNNNNNNNNNNNNNNNNNNNNNNNNNNNNNNNNNNNNNNNNNNNNNNNNNNNNNNNNNNNNNNNNNNNNNNNNNNNNNNNNNNNNNNNNNNNNNNNNNNNNNNNNNNNNNNNNNNNNNNNNNNNNNNNNNNNNNNNNNNNNNNNNNNNNNNNNNNNNNNNNNNNNNNNNNNNNNNNNNNNNNNNNNNNNNNNNNNNNNNNNNNNNNNNNNNNNNNNNNNNNNNNNNNNNNNNNNNNNNNNNNNNNNNNNNNNNNNNNNNNNNNNNNNNNNNNNNNNNNNNNNNNNNNNNNNNNNNNNNNNNNNNNNNNNNNNNNNNNNNNNNNNNNNNNNNNNNNNNNNNNNNNNNNNNNNNNNNNNNNNNNNNNNNNNNNNNNNNNNNNNNNNNNNNNNNNNNNNNNNNNNNNNNNNNNNNNNNNNNNNNNNNNNNNNNNNNNNNNNNNNNNNNNNNNNNNNNNNNNNNNNNNNNNNNNNNNNNNNNNNNNNNNNNNNNNNNNNNNNNNNNNNNNNNNNNNNNNNNNNNNNNNNNNNNNNNNNNNNNNNNNNNNNNNNNNNNNNNNNNNNNNNNNNNNNNNNNNNNNNNNNNNNNNNNNNNNNNNNNNNNNNNNNNNNNNNNNNNNNNNNNNNNNNNNNNNNNNNNNNNNNNNNNNNNNNNNNNNNNNNNNNNNNNNNNNNNNNNNNNNNNNNNNNNNNNNNNNNNNNNNNNNNNNNNNNNNNNNNNNNNNNNNNNNNNNNNNNNNNNNNNNNNNNNNNNNNNNNNNNNNNNNNNNNNNNNNNNNNNNNNNNNNNNNNNNNNNNNNNNNNNNNNNNNNNNNNNNNNNNNNNNNNNNNNNNNNNNNNNNNNNNNNNNNNNNNNNNNNNNNNNNNNNNNNNNNNNNNNNNNNNNNNNNNNNNNNNNNNNNNNNNNNNNAUAUGUAUAUGUAUAUGUAUAUGUAUAUGUAUAUGUAUAUGUAUAUGUAUAUGUAUAUAUAUGUAUAUAUACAUAUACAUAUACACAUAUACAUAUACAUAUACACAUAUACAUAUACAUAUAUAUCGGUAAUUUAGAUUGAUAGCAAAAUACGUAAUUAUGUAAUAUGCAAACAUAUAUUUAGGGCGUAUUUGGUUCGCUUCUUUUUCACCCUGGAAUCGGAAUUGGAAUGGAUAAAUCCGUUUGUGGAUGUUUGAUACGCUGGAGUUCCAUUUCCAUUCCGGAUUUCGAGUGGAAUGGGAAUUCCCUAAUCACCUCUUUUUUCAAUCCGGCUUAGGAGGCCGGAUUGAAAGUUGAAUUCAGACAGAAUGGAUAUUUAUUCGGAUUAAAUUUAUUAUUUCAGCUUUUUUAAUUAAAAUAUGAGUUAAAAUUUAAAAAUUAAAUAUAUAAUUUUAAAUUUUAAUUUAAACUUAAAUUAAAAAUUAAAAAUUAAAAUUUAAUCAAGUAUUUCGAAUCUAACUUAUGAAUUUAUAUUUAAAUUAAAUUUUAAUUUAUAUAAAGUUUUAUUCAAAUUUUAUUUCAAACUUAAAUUAAAUUUAUGGAUUCAAAUUAAAAUUUAAAUUGUAAUUUUAAGUUUAAAUUUGAAUAAAUUAAAAUUUAGUUUCAUAUUUUUAAUUAUUCACUCAACUUCAAAGUUUAAUUUUUUUUAAAAAAAAUAGAUUUAAAAUUUUGACAUUAUUUCAAAAUUUUGAUGUAAAUUUUUAAUUUGAAUUUAAAUUAAUAUAUUAUAAAGAUAAUGUUAGUAUAUUAAUUUGAUUACGUUUUUUAUAUCCACCUGAACCAAACACCGAUAAUAGGAAUGAUUUAUUCCGAUUCCGAUUUAGAUGAUGAACCAAACAGAAUUAAGUAAUGAGUCAUUCCGAUUCCGAUUCCAACUUAUUUUGAUUCCGAUUCCGAUUCCGAUUCCGACUCCGACUUCCAACCAAACACGCCACAAUUUACUUUCUAAACAAUUUUUUAAAAAAUAAUUUUAAUUUUUGUUUUCGAAAAAUUAUAAGAACGGAUUACGUAGAAAAUAUUAUAGAGAAAAGAGAUUUAGAUGAGAUCUGUGAGUUGAGGUAUGCGAAAGCACUGUCUUAGAAGCGAGAUUGCUCCUCUACGUGUGAGGCUCCGGUAAUCUCACUCCCAGCGAUACAACGACCCCUUCCAUUCCAUCGGCACGUCUUUCAGGAUACGGAUGCAAGUAGCUCUUAGAAAUUCAAACUCAGUGCAAAGAAAGGUGAAAUUUAGUGCAUGAGGGAGAGAGGAGGAAGAAGUAAUUAGAAAUAUUUUUCAAGGUCCAAUCUCAUGAGUACACGUUCUCCUAUACACGCACCGGAACCGGAAUCAAGAUGAGGAUUUUGUCGCUUUUCGAGGUAAGGAAAUAAGAAAAUUUUUCAAGGUUUUAACCUCAUGAGUACGUGUUCUCCUAUAUACACACGCGACACAUUCUUCUAUAUACACACGCGAAUCAAGGUGAGGAUUUUGGUCCUUCUCGAGGUAAGGAAAUGAGAAAAUAUUUUAAGAUUCCAACCUUAUGAGUACACGUUCUCCUAUAUACACACGCGAAUCAAGAUGAGAAUUUUGUCCUAUUUGAAUCGGAAAAAAUUUGGAUAGAUUUGGUACCUUCUCAAGAUGGAUUUGAAAAGAUUUGAUACCUUGUCGAGGUGUAAUCAUGAAAUUCAGAUUUGAUACUUUACCGAGAUAAGGUAAUCAUGAAAUUCAAAAUAAAAAAUGCUGAAAAAUUGUGGAGGCGCCACGUGAAUUUAAGAAACUACUAAUUUAUAGGAUCCUACUGAAAAUGUGACUGUAUUUAGCAAAGAAAAUGUAUAUUAUAUCAUAGUUUUUUCUUUUCAUAUUGAAACACCAACUUUGAUUAAUUUCUACUACAACUUUGCAUUCUACUAGAAUUUUUAUUGUAUUUAUAAAAUAAAAUAGUAUAUAUAUAUAGAGAGAGAGAGAGUCCGACAAUGGUGCUUGUAAAAGCACCAAGCACUUAGUGCGUAUAAAUUUUUUGCCGUUAGAUUCACCCCUUUGAUCAUUUUUAUCCGUUAGAUUAUGCUAUACAAUCAACAACCCACUCAACUCUAGGGGUCGCACACCAUCCUAACCACACAUUCCUCAAUCCAAUGGUAAAAAAUCUACAAGCAUUAAUAAUUUGGUACUUUUAAAAGCAUAGGAGCUCAUAGAGAGAGAGAGAGAGAGAGAGAGGGGCUGGUAUGCUUCCGAAAGCAUGGAGCCCUUCGUGCUUCUAAGUCGUUUUUGAUAUUGGAACUUUCGAAUCAACGAUCGGCUCCGUUAGACUUGAUCUAAAAUAUUUGAAGUAUUUAAAAAUAAAUUUCCUGAUUUUUCGAUAUCAUUUGGCUAGUAAUCGAAAUGGCUCAAAAUCAACGGCUGAAAAUAAAAAUCUUACAAAAUGUGAUGAGACGACAUUAAAAUUUUUGGAUCAAAGAUAUUGAACUUGUUUUAUAUAGUAUAAAAAAUUUUCUAUUAUAAUUUUAUGUGAUUUGGAUAUUUCUACACCGUUAAACUUACAAAUAACUCACCACGAGGAUUAAAAUUAUUAAUUUUGAGCCUCUUCGAUCACUAGGCAAAUGAUGUAAAAAAUUGCAAAAUUUAUUUCUAGGUACUUUAAUUACUCUAGAUCAAGUUUAACGAAGUUGAUCGUCGAUUCGAAAGUAUAUAUAUAUAUAGAGAGAGAGAGAGAGAGAGAGAGAGAGAACUAGGUUGAAUACUAUCAAUACCACCAAGCUAUUUGUGCUAUUAGGUUUUCGGCCCUAGGAUACAAAAAAUGUACGGUCACGAUAAUGUAGUCCCCUAGGGUGAAAAUAAUAAAAGGGUUAAAUCUAACGGCGAAAAACUUAAUAGCACCAAAUACUUGAUGUAAUCGCUAGUAUCUCAGUCGGACUCUCCUUCUCUCUCUAUAUAUAUAUAUUACUAAUAUCAUCCUCCAAUCAAAUGAUGAUAUGCAUCUUAUUUAUACUAUCUUUAGCCUUAAAUACAUAUCACUAGCUUGGAAUUUGAUUUUAUUGCUAAUAGCCAACUUAAAAUGGUUUUAUAUAGAGAUUAACUAAAUAAUAAAAAUCUAAAAAUAAAUUUAGAUAAAACUAAAUAAAAUAAUAGUUAAAAUAUUUUAUUUAACUAAUUAAAAGAUAUGCUCAACUAAUCUAAUUUAAGUUAAAAAAUGAUGAACUAAAUCUGUUUAAUCUGAUCAACAUUGGUCCAAGACUGUUCUGAACUAAAUUAUUUUAAGAUUUGAUAAUCCAGAUUUUCUUUCGAUCCAAUCUAAACUCUAGGCUCAAGAUUAAGUUCUAUUAAACUUUGCAGUCCAGCGUUCGUUCACAUCCGAACCUAAUUCUCUGUAUAUUCAAACUAUACUUUUUAAUUAAAUUCUACUAGAAAUUUGAUUGUAUUUAGCAAAUAAAAUUUAUACUAUUAUAGUUUAUUCCCUUCAUAUUCAAACACUAAUUUCGAUUGGAUUCUACUACAACUCUGUAUUCUUCUAGAAUUCUGAUUGUGUUUAUAAAAUUAAGUAUUAUAUAUUUCUGUAUCUGUAUGCUACAUUAAAGAGGUGUUCCCGUGAUUGCUAGAUCAAUUUGUAAAACCAAACCACCCACGAGCUUAAUUCCCAUGGCCUCCUCCCCCGACGCGCCCUCCUCCUCGGAGCCAUUGUCGUAUUCUUGGUCGAUGUGGACGAUGGAAAUUAAGGUGAUCGGAAUGUACCGGUUCUAGAUCGCCGAGUACGAGCUGGUCAGAGCUAUGGACGCCAGCUGGUCCGUCCGGUCAGGCAUCUUCAACGUCGGCGGCUGUGACUGGUCUCUUAUAUGCUACCCGAACGGGAACUCAGAGGACAGCGCCCACAUCUUUCUGGUCGUUUUUGGACUCGAAAACGAUGCCGUGAAUGGUGUGAAGGUGAAUCGAGAUAGGCUUUCUUGAUCAGGAUGGGGAACCCUCGCUAAUUCUAGCGGUUCGCUUUGUACAAGAAAUUCUCCAGCAGCCAUGCAUCCAUCCCUACGGGGGUCCUGAGUCGCUGGGGAGAAUAGCUCAUCUGGAGGCAACGCAGUACAUUUGUUAGAAUGACUGCCGGAUGACUCAGUCAACUGUGUCCGUCCUCAAGGCUCCACCACACGUCGAAGUACUCAAAACUCCCUCCAUUGCCGUGCGCGCGCCUUUUGACUUGCAUCGGCAAUUCGGACGGCUCUUGGAGGACGGCGUGGGGACGGAUACGACCUUCGAAGUCGGCGGAGGUGAGGAGGCUUUCUCCGAAAUUUUUUGGCCCGAUGAAGGGAAGCAGUGCCGAGCGUGUGAAGAUCGACGACAUAGAGCCUACGACAAUCAAGGCUUUACUUUACUUCAUCUAUUCUGAUUCGCUGCUCUCGCAGAUGGAGGAGAUUGACAAGAAAUCUGUUGGAAAAUAUGAAUAGAUUGAGAUCGAGUAAAUUAUAAUUUUGAGGUGUUUAAGUUCAUUUUAAUAUUUGUUCUCACUCGAAUGUAUGACAUUCAGGAUACAAUAAGAUUGUCGAAAGACGGCAACAUAAUUGAAUGAAGAGACACAAUCAUUUAUUAAUUUAAUUCUUCAGGUUAUCCUCUUACUUGCACUUAUAAUCUAUACUAAUAAUUCUCCUCUAGAUUGUAAUACUAAUUUAAAGUAGACUUAUGCAUACAAAAAAUGUUUCUUUCAAUUAAACCUUCAAUUAGUAUAAUUAUCUCAAAGUUCCAACAAAAUCAAUGGUGAAAGCUUAAAUCAAGAAUCUUUAUAUCAGAACCGAAAAUAACACGCGCAUAAGUCUAUAAACUUAAUUAAGAAAUUUACCGAAUAGGUUUAGCAUAGUUAUGGCUGUGUGUUACCUUUUGGUUUCAUGAACAUUUAAAAAAGCAAGUUCUAAACUUUUGCCAGAAGCGGCACCACUUUUUAUGCUCAUAUAGGUGAAGCUCAUUUUCUACUACCUGUAUUACGAUAGGCAUCAAAUAAACUUAAACUUCACUAAGAGUAUCAUCACUCAUUCUCUAAUUCCGUAAUAGUAUAUACUAAAUAUUUAAAUGACAUUUUUAGUAUAUUGAACACUUAUCAAUAAUUUAUUUUUACCCAUUAAAUUUUUUCACUAGUGAUGUAACUAGAUAAAGAUUGGUUCUAAUUGUUGGUGACUUUUAAAAGAAAGGUUUCAAACCCAAUCCAAUUGAUAUAGAUUUUACUAUAUCUCUCGAGAAUCCUUUUGUGAAAGAGUCUGCUAAAUUACUGCACGACCUCACAUAUAUAAUAAUAAUUAUUAAUUUUUUUAUCAAAUUUUUAAUAUAGUUAUUUCUUAAACUUAUAUUCUAGAUUUGCCACAUAUACCUAGUUAAGUGCCCUAGAUAUUGUUGCUUGACUAUCACAGUGCAAAGAGAUAGGUGGCAUUGAUUGUGGCCACAACUUUAUAUCAAACAGUAAAAUUUUCAACCACUCUUCUUUUUUGUCUGCAGCUAGCAACGCUAAAAAUUCAGAUUCCAUUAUAGAAUGUGUUAUACACGUCUGUUUUUUUGAAGCCCAGGAGAUUGCUCCGCCUUCUAAAAUAAAUACCCAUCCAGAUAUAGAUUUAUUAUCACUUAAGCUAGCUAUCCAACUAGUAUCAGUAAAACCUUCUAAUACUGCUGAAAAAUUAUUGUAAGGCAUCUAAAAAUUGCGAGAUUUGGAUUCUCGCAUUUCGGCAUCCCUACGGGGUGGGCGGUGCUAUCCGAAAUCCCCGAAUUUCUCAUGAGCAUAUAUGUACACGUAUAGUUUUAUAUUCAUGCAUUAUAGGGUAAUAUGAUAUGUGGCAAGAUGUGGAAUCUCUUAUAUGCUUUCAAUGUAAGAAUACAUGUGAAAUGACAAAGGAUCGAUCAUGACAUAGAAACCCUAUGAAUAUAUGAACCGAGUGUUGGAUUAUAACAAUAGUAAACAAGAUGACAUUGUGACUAGACGGAUUAAAUAGCACCGAGAAUUAUGGAAUGCUAGGCAAAGAAAAUCUUAUGAACUUUGUGGCAAUAAUGACAUGGUAUCCUCCAAGUUGAGGAUUGAAUCGUACUCACAGAUAGUCUGAAUGCUUGAAGGUGGUCGCUCUACCUCAAACGGUGAGCUCCGGAGUUGUCAUCAACUGGGCGGUAGCGAAAUUCUCCCCAGUAGACGAUCCCGUUGGGUUGUAGUUGUAACAUAUGGAAACUUGGAGUUGCGAUGUCAACUUUGACCUAGAGGGUCAAAGUGAGGAUUGAGCUAGUUGGACAUCAUCCCCGAGGGAUUUGUGAUGCGUUGGAAUGAGUUCCAAAGAGAAAUAAGUGUUUCGGCGCAAAUUGGGCGCGAAACGAAAUGUNUACAUAGUUGCAUGAUUUACAUAUUGCAUAUCGGGAGGCAAGGUAUGGUUUUAUUAAUUGUAUCAUCGAAUAUCUAUCUAUCUGUUCAGUUUACUAACCUGCAGUUGCCUCCUUUGGACCUGGUGGGUCGAGCUCUUCUCUUGGGUGGCCGUACCCACUGGGAACUAUUUAUAUAGUUCUCACCCCCGUGUUGUUUUUGGGGGUACAGGUUCGCACGUGAGCGGCACGGCGGCGCGAGGACAGGGCGUAGCUCCGUAGAUAGCGCCCUACCACCGAGACCAGAGAUAGCAGUACCCUGAAGCAGUCUAGCUCAGAGUUCAGUAUAAUAGAAUCAAACUUGUAUCAAAUUUGUAUAAAUUGUAAUAACUUAAAGGCUUAUGUAAUUUUCUAAAUGUAAAAUCUUGAGUUGAAUGCUUGUAAUAGCAUAGUUAGCAUUUUAUAUUUUUGAUACUUAUGCAAUCUAUGUUUGAAUGUUGUUCCUGGUUGGGACCUCUUCUACUGCAUUGUAUAGAUUGUGACGCCUAGGACGUACAGGGAAAGCUCUGUCCGUUCGGCGGUCUGUCGGCGUGCCCGAAUCUGACCAAAUUGGCGGAGCUCGGGGCGUGACAGUAGUGGUAUUCUUCCCGACAAAAAAAAAAAAUGGUUUGGUGAGUUGGGUUUAACCAAAUAGUUAACCAAGAGGAUUUGGUAAAGGUAAAGGUAAAACAGAAAUGCAUAAAUCAUGAGCAUUAAACUCGUUGUUUUGGUUAUUAUUACAGGCCUUGUAGUUGUAUCAGUUUGGUUUGUUUAUCUAUUCCCUUUCCUAUAUAUGUCUGAUUAGACCUAGUGAGUGAGUUGGCGAGGUCGGCGGCCUAACCCACGGAAAAUUUUUAGUAGUUCUCACACCAUUAACCUUACAGAUCCUAGCGCGAGCGGGGUGGUCGAGGAUCAUGACAAGGGCAUCGCGCCCUAGAUAGUGGACUUCUUUCGAGUUUAGUUGUACCCUUUUUUGGUUUCAUCUUUUAUACUUGAUGAAAUAGAAUAUUUAAUGAAAGGAUGUAUCAUGUAUUUUGGAAAAUGUAUAUAAAAAUCUUAUAUGUAAUGGAAUAUGCAAACUUUGUAUUUGGUUUAAUGUAAUCAAGAUAUAAUGAAUAUAUGUAAUAGCUAGAGUUACUUUCACUUGCUCAUGUUGCUUAUUCUCGUGCAAGCCGUGUAUAGUGAAACUCGUUUUGAGCGAAUUUGUUAUAUAUGUUGUUGUUGUUGAGCCUUGGGCGGAUAGGGGAGGUUCUGCUCGUUCAGCGUCUAUGCACGUGCCCGAACUGUUCAAAUUGGCGGUCGCGGAGUGUGACAAUAUAUAUAUAUAUAUUAUAGAUAAAGAUAAAAAAAAUUAAACAAAUUUUGAAUUAAAAUAUAGAUUCACAGUAGAUAUUUUUUUGUUGGCAAAAAUUUGGAUAAACAUAAUUUUUUUUUUUGUAGAAAUAAAGAGAAAUUAAAAGUUUGUUUAAUUCUGUUAUUUAUUUUAUGUAAGGAAAGAUGAAUCAAUUUUUUUUUUGGCCAAAAAAUAGGUAUGUCGACAAACUGAAAUUUGAAAUAUGUGCUUAUAUAUAUAUAUAUAUAUAUAUAUAUAUAUAUAUAUAUAUAUAUAUAUAUAUAUAGAGAGAGAGAGAGAGAGAGAGAGAGAGAGAGAGUUGGUCGAGGCUACUAUGCUUUCUGAAGAGCACCGAGCUUCUGUGCUUUCAGGUCGUUAUCAUGUUGGCGACUUUCGAAUCGUCGGAUCGGUCCGUUAAACUUGAUCUAGAGAUUGAAAUACUUAGAAAAAUAAUUAUGCGAUUUUUUCGAUUACUUAUUUGCCUAUGAACGAAGGGCUCAAAAUUAACGCUGACAAAUAAAAUCUUACAAAAAACGUGAAUAAUAUGACAUUUCAAAUUAGAUCAAGAUAUCGUGAUCUGGUUUUAAUACAUAUAAUAGAGUUUCAACUCAAAACUUUCACAGUGAAAUUUGGAAGUUCUACACCGUUAAACUUCAAAUGCCACGUACGGUCAUUAAAAUAUGAUAUUGAGCCUCUUUCGAUCACUAGGUAAUAUAUUCGAAAAAUCAUAAAAUUUAUUUCUAAGGUACUUCAAAUACUCGUCAGAUAGUUUGACGUAGUCGAGUCGAUGAUUCGAAUCGUAACAUCGAAAACGACCUGAAAGCACCAGAAGGCUCGCCUUCCAAAAGCAUAUUAGCCCCUUACACACUCCUCUCUCUCUCUCUCCUCUCUCUCUCUCGUCCAUCUCUCUCUCUCUCUCUCUAGUAUAUAUAAUAUAUAUUAUAUAUAUAUAAUAUAAUAUAUAUAGAGGGAGAGUGCAAGCUAGUAUGCUUAUGGAAGCACGAAAGGCCUCCGUGCUUCAAUUUGUUUUUCGAUUUGGAGAACUUUGCGAAUCGACGAUCUGGCCUCCGUUAGACUUGAUUCUAGAGGUAUUUUGAGUACUAGAAAAUAAAUUUUGCGAUUUUUCAAUAUCAUGAUGUGGCUCUAGUGAUCGAAGGCUCAAAAACUCAACGGCUGAAAAUAAAAAAACCUUCACAAAAUUAUGAUAUGACAUUAAAAAUUUAGAUCAAGAUAUUGAGUUAUUUUAUAUAGUAUAAGAAUUUUUUUAUCAAAAAUUUCACGUGAUUUGAUAUUCUAACAAACCGUUAAACUUCAUUCGACUCGACCAACGGCCGUUAAAAUUAUUGAUUUUGAGCCCCUUACGAUCACGUAGGUCAAUUGAUACGAAAAAUCGCCAAAUUUAUUUUUCUAGGUCUGCAAAAUACUCUAGGAUCAACUCUAACGGAGCCGAUCGUCGAUAUCGAGAAGUCCGAACAUCUAAACUGACUUGGAAAGCACGGAGGCCUCCGUGCUUCCAUAACAUAUCCAGCACAACUCUAAUAGAAGGGCUACUUAUAGCUCUUAUACUUGGGCCCUUUGCGUACUCAUAAAGUAUUUUCGAUGAUUGGGGCUUCAAAUCGAACUCCAUCCACUCCGUUAAAAUAUAAUCUAGAGUAUUUGAAACUUAGAAUAAUUAAUUUUGUAUUAUUUCAAAAAUCAUAUAUUAAUAAGUCUCAUCAAACGGGCAAUUAAAAUAAUACGGUCAAUCAAUGAUACGACGUCCAAAAAAUGUUGAUAGAAUUCUCAAUUAAAAUCGGAGUUAUCGAUCUUUAUCUAGGUAGUAAUGUAAUUUCUAUAAAAAAUCACCACCUAUUGCCAUAUUCUUUUAACAACUGUUAAUACUACGAGUAUCCUAUACCGCCGUAAAAAUUGUCAUUUUGUGAGCUUUUCGAUCGUAAGGUCAAAUAUGUCAAAAAAAAUUAAUGAAAUUUGAUUUUCUAAAAGUUUUAAAUACUCUCGAUAAUGUUUAAUGGUAUGGAUUGUCGAUCGAACAUCUAUCGAACGUAAACCAACUACCGUGUACGGGAGCUGAUCGUACUCGUAAGAGUAUAGUACCCACGAGUUCUCUCUCUCUCUUCUCGAUUGCUCAUCACCAAUUGACAUGACAUCUCUCUCAGCCUUCCUCCCCAUCUCUCUCUCUCUCUCCAUACCUUAAAUCUCUCUCUCUCUCUCGUGACCCUCUAUAUAUAGUAUUAUAAUAUAAUAUAUAAAUAUUUAAUAUAGGCUGAAUACUAUCUAAAACUAUUCGGUUCUAUUGAUUUGUUAGUACUUGUGAUUGAGAAAUGGGUUGGCUAGAUGAUGUGGGCCCCGUAGGAUUGAUGAGUUGUUAUCUGAAUAGUAUAGAUCUAACGAUAAAAAUAAUCAAAGGGUAAUCUAAAUGUUGAAAAUCGAUAUGAUCAAAUCCUGGUGCUAAUGAUAAUACCCAGCGCGGACCUAUAUAUAUAUAUGGGUUAUUUGCAUACACGUUCCUGCAAAUAUAGUAAAUUGCAGAAAUAUCCCUGCAAAACGAAAAUUUCAUAAGUUGUCCCUACAAAAGUCCUAAGUUAUGCAGAUAUAUCUCUUUGGUUAAAAUCCGUUAGUAAACUAUUUAUUUUUUAACAGUUUAUUUGUGAAAUGACUUUUUUGCCCUCACAAAUAUAUCCCUCCAAAAGUAUCCCUCGUCCCCUUCUCUUUCUCUUCCUUUUCAGGCCGUCGGAGCGGACAACGGCGGCGGCGCGGUGUCGGGUUCGCCGGCAACGAAGAGGAGGGAAGAGAAAGAAGGAGAGGAAGAAGAAGUGGGAAGAGAAAGAAGGAGAGAAAGAAGGAGAGGAAGAGGGAAGACGAAGACGAAGAAGGUUUGCCACCGCCGCCGCGACAUCUCUUCCCUCGCCGGCGACGAAGAAGAGGGAAGAGAAAGAGGGAGAGGAAGAAAAAGGGAGAAAAGAAAGAGAGAGAGGAAGAGGAAGAGGAAGAAGGAGAAGGUUCGCCGCCGCCGCCGCAUCUUCUCCCUCGCCGGCGACGAAGAAAAGGGAAGAGGAAGAAAGAGAGGAAGAAGAAAGGGGAAGAGGAAGAGGAAAGAGGAAGAGGAAGAGGAUUCGCCGCCACCGCCGCCGCCGCCACCGCCGCCGCCGCAUCUCCUCGCCGGCGACGAAGAAGAAGGAAAAGGAAGAGGAGGAAGAGGAAGAAGAGUAAAUCCGUCAAUUCACAUUAUAAUUAACCAUGGUUAAGUAUUUUAACCGUGAUUAAUGAAAAUUUUCUAACAGACCUUAACGGCAGGGAUAUAUCUGCAUAACUUAGGACUUUUGUAGGGACAACUUAUGAAAUUUUCAUUUUGCAGGAAUAUUUCUGCAAUUCACUAUGUUUGCAGGGACGUGUAUGCAAAUAACCCUAUAUAUAUAUAUAUAUAUAAUACAACUGCUAUCCUUUUAGGAGAAUAGGAACUUUUAUCCUAUCAAAUCAUUUUUUAUGAUAGAGAUACCGAAUCCAUGAUCGGAAUCAUUGAAAUUGAUCUAGAGUAUUUGAAUUAUUCAGGAACUAAAUUUUAUAAAUUUUAAAAUUUAUUUACAUAGUGAUCAAAGUAUUGCAAAAUUGACAAUUUUUUACAGUCUAUAUGAGCUAAUUGCUUGUAUGCAAAUAACUCCGAUUGUAAAUUGAGAAAGCCUAACCUCUGUUUUCAAAAGGUCAUUUAUUUUUGACCGUUCAUUUUUCGACUUUUCGAUAGAUUUGAUAAUAAUUUUUAAAAAUUAUAAAAUUCAGCUUCUAAAUAUUUCUAAUAGUAUAGAUCAAUUUCAACGAUGUUGAUUAUCAAUUUGAAGUCUCGAUCAUCCAAAUCGACUUGAUAGGAUUUAGGCUUCUAUCCUCUUAAGAGGAUAGUAGCCCGAUAUAUAUAUAUAUAUAUAUAUAUAUAUAUAAUACUAUAUAGUCGCACUACUAUACUUUUAGUAAGACGAUGCCGCACUUGAUAACUCAUAAGUUGUUUUCAAGAUUAGAGCUUCCGAACGGACGGAUCGCAACAGCCGUUAACUUAUCUAGAGCAUUUAAAACUUGGUAGAAAUAAUCAUUCAUAAUUUGUUCGAAUCAUUUACCUUACGAUCAAAAGCUCACAAAGCUGACAAUUUGAUUAACGGCACACAGCGAUGUGGGGAUACUUGCGAAUUUAACGGUGAAAAAAGAUUGGAAUAUGUUUGAAUUUUUGAUAGAAAAUUCUAUUCACUUACCUAGAUAAAGAUCAAUAACUCCGAUCUUAAAUUGAAGGAUCCGAUCAUCCAUUUUGGACGUCGUUAGAUUUUGACCGUUCAAUUUCAUGCCCAUUUGAUGGACUUUAUUAUGAUUUCGAAAAAUUACGAAAUUUAUUUUUAGAAGUUUCAAAUACGCUAGAUCAUAUUAACGGAGUGAUCGUUGAUUCGAAGCUCCAUCAUCGAAAACAACUUAUGAGUACGAGGCCCAAUACUCAUAGCCCUACUCUCUAUAUAUAUAUACUAGUUAAGGGACCCGCGCGAUGCUGCGGGUAGUUAUUUAAAUUAAUUUUUGAAAAUAGUUAUAAAAAUUAAUUGUUAGAAUUUAAAUGGGCAAUAAGUACAUCAAAAUUUUAGUAGGCAUAGUAUCCCCCAUUAGUUAGUGAAAAAUAAAUUUAGUAGGUUAUAGACCCCAGUAGUUAGUGAAUGAGAAGAGAAAAUCAUUAUUUGUGAUUCUCGCAAUUAAUUUCAUCAAAUAAAAAUUAACUUAAGCUGCAUCAAAUUUUUUUAUUUUUAAUAUACAAAUUUAUAUGUAAAUGCUCAUAAUAUAAAUUAAUAUUUAUAUUAUACGCAGUAUCUAAAUAUUUAAAUUGAUUUAUAUAUUCUUACAUUUUAUAAAAAAAUAUUUAAAUUAUAUAAAUUAUUAUAUUAUAAAAUAUCAUAUAAAAAUAAAAUACUAUAUAUAAUAAAUUAAUAUAUAUAUAUAAAUAAAUAUAUUUAUAAAUAAAUUAUAUAUAUAUAUAUAUAAAUACUAUUAUAAAAAUAUAUAUUAUUAUAAAUAAAAUUUUAUAUAUAUAAUUAUAUAUAUAUAUAAUAUAUUAAUAUAAUAUAUAUAUAUAUAUAUAUAAUAUAUAUAUAUAUAUAUAUAUAUAUGAUAUAUAGUAAUGGGGAACUCCCCUCAUCAGUGGUCCACGAGGCCGAAAACCCCGAGAAACCCCAUAUGAGCGCUCGGUUGUUUUUUGGGCUCCACGCAGACCCGCGCGUGCGCGUGACGAGCUCAGCGUCCGGCCGCGCGCGUCGCCAAUGGCCCGCCCACGAGCCGGCGCCCGCCGCAGCCCCGCAUCGGCUCGCGUCACGGCAGCGACGAAGCCACCCCGCUUCAGCGCCGUCCCGCGCGCCGUCCGCCACGCCGCGCGCCGUCCCUCGCUCCGACCAAGGCAGCCGCCCCGCGCAGCGCAAGCCCCGCGCUCCCUCGGUACGCGCCCGCUCCCGCCCGCCCUGUGCGUAGCCGCCCGCGGUUCGCCGUGGCCCGCGGCCUCGCCCGCGGCCUGCGCCAGCCCCGCGCCCGCUCCCGCGCCCGCUCCCGGCUCCGCCCGUGCCGGCGCCCGCGGUCGCCCGUGGCCCGCGGCCUCGCCCGCGCCUCGCCAGCCCCCGCGCUACUGCCCGCCUCGAGCCGCGCCUGCGGCCGCCCGCACGCCGCUCAGUUGCCCGCGCCUCGGCCUCCUCGUGACAUGUGUGCAAUUAUUGAGGAAUAAUAUAUAGUUAUAGAAGAUUGGGGAUGGUUAAUUAUCAAUAAAUUCAUGCAUUCUAGUUUCUAUAUUUCUCCGAAUCGGAUUCUAGAUAAUCUCUCAAAUUGAAAUUAACGUUUGAUUUCCCAAGCAUUCUCUUGCACGUAACCCCAUCUCAGGCAUUCUCCGGCAAGUAACCUUAUGUAACCAAACCGAACUAUCCCAUCAUAUGAUUCCACAAUGUUUCAAAUGUUCUCCAAAACAAUUUUUUGGUCAAAUUGAUAUUUUUAAAACAAUACGUGACCAAAUACCUUAUACUUUAUAAUUUUUUUAUUUUAUAUUUCAAAUUUAACUAAAUUAGGAUCAAAAUUUUGAGCUAAUGUCAUGCUUAGCCUCAUUUGAUUUUUUUUUUUUUAAUUUCAAUCUAACCUUCUUUUGAAAAAAAAUGUAUUUAUCUAGUCUCCCGUGGCCUUGGCUAGGAAAGAAGUAUUUUUUUUUUUAGCUGAAUAUGUAAAUCAACUAGGAUUCGAACUCGAAAUUUCGGGUAUCAAUUAUUAAGCCCUUUGUCACUUGCGUUAGGGACGGCUGUUAGGGAAGGUCGGUAACUAGGAAAAAAGUAUUACAACUACUUUAAAACACAUAUAAUUAUACCAUGUUAGACUAUUAAUUUUUGUUGAUUAUAGCAUAUUAUGAAGUAUUUUUAUCUGAAUUUAUUCAAAAAUUUUAAUUUGAUACUUUCCUUUCAAUUAUUUUCCAAAUCUACUCCUAAAUAGUUAAAGCACUCUAAUCUUUUGUAUGAAACUUCGAUCCUUAAUUGUUUAGAAUUUCUUAACAAAAACAACUAAAAGUUAGUUGAACGAGUGAUUCCACUCUCUCCUCUCUCCCCGUCUGAUCUCUAGAUCAUCUAUGAGCAUAUUUCGCUGAUCGAGAUUACUCUAGCGCAAAAGCACUAUAAAAAAUUAUCCAAAAUCUUGAAUGGUUAGACAAAAGAUUUACUGCCAAUUUUUAAAUAUAUAUAAAUAGUAAUUCUCUUGGUAAUAUGGCCUCUAGGUAAUUAAGGAGUAUUAUGCAUUGAAUUCAUGCUAGAGAAAAGCAAAGGGAAAAAAAAAAAAAAAAAAAGUGUGGAGGUUGUGGAGGUUAUAAGAAAAACUACUUAUACGCCAAAUUAGUUAACUUGGGACAGGGAGGGCGAGAUCCAGACAGGCGGAGGCCAGUUGAACCGAUCAUCGGGAGGAAGACAAGGCUGCACGCUCCCGUCUUCCAAGCAGUAUAUGCCGACGUCGCGCCUGUCACCCUUGACAUCCUCGGAGAACCGCAAGUUCCAGCGAUCAUCGGUGAAGUACACGCAAUUUCGUCGCAGCCCGCGGACCUCCUUCCCGGACAGCAGCACAGACGAACCGACCCCCACGAACAAAGCUCGGUCGCCUAAGCUCUCCACCGGAAUCCACACGUUUCUCUCUUCAUCCAAUCUCGUCACCGUGAUACUCUCAGUUCUCACCGUACUACACCUGUCGUCGUCACCCGAGCCGAGCUCUCUCCGCACCUGCAGAAGAUCGCCCGUGGCGUCGUCCACCACUAGAUACUUCCUGUAGGACCCGAAUUGCUCGUCCUGGGGAUCGUAGACGAUGACUUUGCAGUCGGCGUAAUCUCCGUCGAGCUCGAGGGCGAGUAGAGCCCCCUGGCUUGUUAAAGCGAGGAGCCUGCCGCCGCGAAAGGCGACGUCUUCGUAGCGCCGGUCCGGGUACUCGUCCUCGUAAAGAUGCCACCUGUCCUCCCCGGCCCUCGCGAAAGCCAGCUGGCUCCAACCGUAGAGGGCGGCGACAGUGAGGCUGCCGCCGGACGCGGGGCUCGACGAUAGCACGACCUUGGAGAAGGACGCGUUGCGGAAGAGGUUGGGUGGGAGGGGGCAGAAGUUGAACCACGGCAGGGAGGGGCUGAGUGUGAGGUAGCGGGAGACGGAGCCGUCGGGGGCGCGGGAGGCGUAGACGUUGGGGAGGGUGGCGACGGAGGGGAGGAGGAUUUCUUGGCUGGUGAGGGGGUUGAGGAGGGCGAGCUCGGAGAGGGGGUCGAGAGUGGCGAGCCAGCCGUGCUGGGACCCGAUGCAGUGCUUUCCGCGGAGGCCGGGGACGGAGAGGCGGUGGAGCGUGUUGUGGGGGAGGCUGAAGAAGACGAACUGGUCGCUGCUUUCGCUGUCGUAGUCGCUGCCGGAGAGGAGGAGAUAGGGGUGGUGAGGGGACGGAGGGACGUCGGCUACCGAGCAGGCCCAGGGUUGGCACACUUCGCAGAAGGUCGAGUAGUCGAUUAACGUCAGACGGCUGGCGAUGGCGGCGAGGAGGUCCGACGGAAGGGCCGUCCAAUCACGGCCGCAGCCGGUGAUGGUCGGCAUCGUGCGCCAGACCUGCAACACACAAGUUACUCCGAUACGCGUCUACACAUGUAGAUAAAUAAAUAGAGACGGUAAUUCUAAUCCGAUUCCGACUCUAAUUACUGUUUUUCAAAUCCAAGAUAUUCAUUAUAUACAUUUUCAACUUCAGAAUCAGAGUCCAGCUGGGAUAUUCAUUGCUUGAAACCCAAGAUUUUCGCUUAAAUUUAAUUGUAACUUCAUAAUCUAACUAGCUAGGAUUAUAUACAUAUCUAUACUUUACAUAAAACAAAGAUUAAAUUAACUACUUUUAUUUUAAACUAGUUUUAAUUAGUGCGUGUGCAGUGCGCGCUUUACAUUAGAAAAUUAAAAAUUAAAAAUUAGAAACAAUAUUAUUUAAAGUUUUAUAAAAUAACUUAGUUUUUUAAUUUUAAUAGAAUUUGAUUAUGCAUAUAAAAUUAAUAAAUUUUAUUUAUCUAAUUUUAUAAAAAAAGUGUUAGAUUUUAUUAAGUUUUGUUCUAUCCAACCAAAGCUCAAUAUAUUAAGAAAUUUAAUAAUAUCAAUUAAUAAUUUAAAUAGUUAUUAAAGGAUAAUUUUAAGCGACGCCAACUAGAAUAUGCCACUAAUUGUAAAUGUGAGGCUGUAGUGUAAGGAGGCCGUGAAUGGUGACGAUGACAAGGGUGCCACCGGAUAUGCGAAUUACGGGAGAGAGAAUUCAUCGAGGCAAGGGCCGCGACUACGAUAGUGGGCGAGGGAGAGAGUGAGAUAACAAAAAAUAAUAAAUAUGGUAAAACAAAAGGAAGAAAAAAAAUAAAAUUGACGCCAAGUGGGGGUCCAAUGAAAUUUGGAGUUGUAUUAGACAAAAUAGCUCAUAGCGGGCCUAAUAGCCUGCUAACUCUUUUUUUUCUUCUUAGCAAUAGCAAAAAGUUAAAAAAAAUUCUAAUAAAAUAAAAUUAGUCUUUAUUAUUGUACUCCCCUCCUUCCCUUCUGUAUCAACCGCCCACUUUGCCUCAACACACUCUCCCAUUGUUCUUGAAUCUUGUAGCAAACUUGUUGUCGUCGUCGUCGUCGUCCACGGCGAUGCCUUCUACCACAACCUUGCCUCCGUGAUCCGUGCCAUAUUAUAAGCCAACGUCGACGGAAGUAUAGACGAAAUAAGAGAGAAGAGUACGACAUCAAUGUGGGAGCAGUGAAAGAGGAUAAAGGAGAAAGCAAAUGGAGGAGAAAGAGAAAAAGAAAUAGCGAGAAGGAGGAGGCGGACCGGAAGAAGAAAGAUGAACGUGAAAGAAAAAAAGAGAGAAAGAGAAAUAAUGUUAUUUUGAUUAGUUUAAUGAAAAUUCGGAUCAAACUUGCAAAAUUCAAAAAAGUUAAUCAUUCUUGCAAAAAUAUAAAACCGAUGAAUUUUUAAUGCAAGUUGGCUUAAAAGAUUCUACUUGAAGAAAGAAAAAAUUUACAUGAUUAAAUAAAAAUCUUUAAUUCAUUCUUUAUGCAAGCAAUUCAUUGCAUCCUGGUACCGUACAGAUUCCACUAAAGGAUGCAUCUCACAUCUUAUAAAUAAGUUAGAAUUUGUUGAUUAUAUCGAAAAAAAAUCAAGCCUCAAGCCAAAAUUUUUGACGGAAGGGAUAGUAAUUAAUGGUGGAUAAUUGAAUAUUUUUUUCGAUUUCUAGUCGUUCAUAAUUGUAAUUUUUUGAAUCAGAAUUAUGAAUUAAGAUCUCAUCGAAGCUCAAACUUUGAUCUCAUGACGCAAGUUGGGCCUGAGCAGCUUGUUCAAUAGAAAAAAAUAACUCUGUACAUACUUGGAAUGGUUAUACUUUUCUAGAGAACAAAAUUUUAUAGAUUUAGUAAUUAUAAACGAGACAUGAUUAGCCUUAACGACCUGAUUCAUGUGUAUGAUAGAUAAUAUACAAUGCAUCAAGUGAUUAAUGAAGUCAUAACAAAAGAGACGACAGAAUAAUAGUGAAAGAAUUUUACAUACGUUAUAAUUACAACAGAAGGGGCUUAAAACUUACUUUACACAAAAGAUCAAUCUAAAAAAAAAAGCAUGAAAAGAUCUUACUUUAGUUCUUCAUCGGCAAGGAAAUCUGCAAUAACAUUUUCAAUUUUUCUCGGAAAGGGAUUAUGUACAUACGUGUCACUGAAUCUUCAACGUAAGACAACAAUUAAUUAAUUGCAUUACAAUAUUUUGAGCUCACUUGUACAUUCCAACCUUGCAACUAUCCAUCAAAUUUAGACAACUCUUUUGAAUUUCUAAUAUUUUUUUUUAAAAUUGACAAGUCUUGUGUGAAAAUAUUAAUGUGACAUUCUAGAAUUUGAAAUACUCCUAUAUUUAAAGUAUAAUAUGAUUAAAAUCUCUUAAUCAUGCGUGUUGUACGAUGGUUAGGUCCAAAAAGUAAAGAGAAGAAUGUCAUGAUGAGUGAAUACUUGAAACGCGAUGUGUUAUAAUUGAUAUCAGAGUUAAUCACAUCGACUAGUCUUUAUAAAUGUAUUCGAGCCGGAUGAGAACAUCAAGCCCUUUACGUCAGGGCUUAAAAACAUUGGGUGGUGACUAAGUCAAGAGGAUUAAACGUGCUAGAAUUAGAAUAGUUAUACAAUAAAUGAUUCUAAAAAACACAGUCAUAAUUGACAUUUAUAGUAUUGCUCUAAAAAUUGGCACUUCACCAUUGCAUAGAAAGUAAGAUUUGAUUUAUCAUUUUAGGGAAGUGCUAACUAACUUUAUAUUUUUCUUACAGAAAGAGAAAGAGUUGAAUCUUAGCUGCCGUUUUAUUUUUCCUAAAUUUCUUUGUGCUCAAAAUAAAAAAUGUAUAUAUUAAAAUGCAUAUUCCUUGCGAAAAAUUCUUCUGAUAGAGCCAUACGGUAAUUAGGAACAGAUCACAUAUACUCACCCACAAAAAGAAGAAGAAGAAGAAGAAAAUAAAGUAUCACAGCUAUGACAAAAAGGCAUGUUGGUUCAGCUGUAUUUUAACAUUGCACAAAGUACGAAUAACCUAAUGCUACUAUAGAAAAUCAUCUAGAAUCCAACCCCUGCAACAUGAGGCUAACUAAAUUGACAGAUCUGAAAUAAGAUUUUCCCCAAUUACAUGAGAAAUACUACAUGAUUGAAGUAAUUUUGUAUCUCAAUGUUAUCUGUCGAUCGUGUUAGCUAAUUAACAUUGUCCACGAGCUCCUUUACAACCGAGGGGCAACUAAUUUUCAGGUGCUCGAAUCCGUCUGUUUUCAUAACAUCUAUCAGCGACUUGGGCGAGGCCAAGAAUUCGAGGCAAGCUUCUUUGAGCCGACUGCAAUGGUGCUGCUCCGCCAACACCAGCGUAGUGGCCGCCGUGCUCACGGUAAUGUUCCGACACAACCUAUCUUCGCUGAUCAACCUCAGCCUCUCCAGCCCGUACCGAUCUGCGGCAGCAAGGAGAUGCUGAAACAUCGAGGCCGACGGCUCCUUCGCCAGCUCCUCCAACUCCAGAGGCAGCGAAUCCGAAUAGAUGAAGUGCAGCAGAGCCCUGAAGGCGAGAGUCUCCAUAUCGUCGAUCUUUAUGCGCUUCGCGCUCCUCUCCUUCAUGGGGCCGAAGAGCUCUGCCCUGAACACCGGCGACCGAGCGGCGAGCAGCAGCCGGUGCGCGGGGAAGGUUUCCCCGCACACCUCGAAGGUCACGUCGGUCUCGUCUCCGCUCUCUAGGAGCUCGCGGAGAUGGCGGUGCAAGUCGGAGGGCGGCAGACUGACGGGGCGAGCAUUGGGUGGCGUUUCUAAUCGAGGCCUCUUCAGGACGGACACAGUGCACUGAAUCGUCAAGCAAUCAUCUUUCAGAUAGCCGGAAGCCUCAAGAACGUCUCUUCUCAUGAACUGAUUGUAGCCGAAACAAGCGCUGCCGUUCUUGAACACGCAAGGAGGAUUGCGCGGCGUCCGCGUUGUCGAGGAGGGGGGCCUGCGCUGAUCAAGAAGGGUAAGGCUGAACGCGGCCUUUACGCCGUUGCCGGCGUCGCUUCUGAGGCAGAGAAAGAGCGAGAUGUGGUUGGCGCUGGCCUUGUCUUGACCGUCCGGGUAGAAUGCGAUGGCCCAGUCGAAGCCGCCGGCGUCGAAGGUGGCGGAAGAGAUGGGAUUGCCGGCGCCGAUGCCCUUGGCUAGCGAGUAGUCGGCGAUCUUGAACAGGUGGGUUCCCGUCACCUUCUCCAUCACCCACGUCGACGAAGAGCAGGGCGCGGGCGCUGCCUCCGGGGAAGAAGCCAUGCACGCAGCCACGCAGGUUCACGGAAUUUGGGCCUAGGGCUUAGAAAAGACUAAUUAAGAAACGAGUUUCACAAUAUCUCUUCUCAUAUUUAAAGGGAAAUUGUGAACAAUUUUAAAUACCCCAAGUCUCUACUCGCACUGGGAAGGAAAUCCGAGUAUGCAGCAGGACUUGGGAGAAUUUGGCUAGGCCUUGGUCUCAGAAUUCGGCUCGAAUUAGCUUCUGCUCCGAAUUUAUUUUAUUAAGCCAAUAUAUUUACAGGGCAUUUGGCCUAAAUUCGAAAAAGUAAUUUUAAAAUCAAAACUGAUUUUUUUGUUUUUUUCAUUUUAAUAGAACGUUUCGUAAUUCCUUUUAAAAAUCUGAUUUUUAUAUUUAAAAUCAAUUUCUGAUUUUAUAGGCCUAAAAUUAGAAUCAAUUAAAACCUAUUUCUUGAAAUUUGAUUCUAAGUUUAGACUCAAAUUUUCAACUUUAAUUUAAAAUUUCAUUUCAAAUUUUAAAUUUAAAGUUAGAAUUAAAAUUUAAAAUUUUAAUUUUUAGUUUAAAAAAUUUAAAUUUAAAUUUAAAUUUAAAUUUAAAUUUUAAAUUUUAAAUUUUAAAUUUAAAUUUCAAAUUUCAGUUUUAAAUUUUUACAUUUUAAACUUUAAAUNNNNNNNNNNNNNNNNAAAAAAAAAUUAUUAUUUGCAAACAGUAAAAAUAUUUUUCCUAACAACUUUACAAAAUCACGGCGAAAAAAUAAUUAAAGCCGAAUACACCCUAACAACUAAAUUUCAUAAAUUUUCGGCAUCAUUUACCUAUCAAACGAAUAGUCUAAAAAUGAACGGCUGAAAAUAAAAUUCUCAUGAAUUAUUUUUUAUGAUAAUUUUAUUUUCAGCCGUUCAUUUUUAAACUACUCGUUUGAUAGGCAAAUAAUGUCGAAAAAUAAUAAAAUUUAAUUUCCAAAUACUUUUAAUAGUGUAGAUCAAGUCUGACGAGCCGAUCGUCGAUUUGGAAGCCGCAUUAUUAAAAAUAACUUGGUAGCACGGAGAGCUCCGUGCUAGCGAUAAUAUACCAGCCUAGUUCUAUCUAUAUAGGGUUGAGCUAGAAUACUCUCAAAAGUACCAUGAAGGUACUGAUUUUGAGUUUUUAACCUUUGGAUGGAAAGAUGUGAGGUUGAAAUGAUGGCGGUAGGUGGAAUAGUGUUUGAUCCAAAGACUAUUAGUAAUCAAGGAGUAGAUCCAAAGGCUACAAACUUAGAAACACGGUUGGUGCUUCUAAAAAUAUUCUAGCUCAAUUCAUAUAUAUAUAUAUAUAUAUAUAUAUUGAUAAACAUAGUUGCUAAACAAAAUGAUUCCCCGAAUCAAGAGAGAUUUAAGUCUUGAAUCAUCAACACACAUGAAUCAUCAACACCCCAACCGUUAUCAACUACCACUAAAGAAACAUGCACGCUACGACCUUCAUCUCCCCCAUCAUCUAAUCAACUGCCCUCACAUUAUUUGUUAUUUUAUAGUCAUUUCUUUUUCUUUUUCUUUUUCUUUUUCUUUUUUAAGUGAAAGAUUGACUAAUAACCCAAUGAUACAUUGGAAUAAAAUGAAUAUGGGUAGAACAGAAGAAAGCAAGUGGCAACUUGAAUAGAUCCAGGCAGCCAGAACAGAGGACUGUCAAAGCCAUGCACUUAGAAAAACCGAUAGAAAGCCAGGCAGCUCUAUAAGAAGUAAAAAUAAAUUAAUUAAGAAACCCACAGGCAGUAUUCUUAAUCGAAUCAUUGGUCGUCAGGCACCCGGAGUUCCGUGCGGUCAAUACAUACGAUGCUACGAGAGCCAUUAUAGCACAGUUCUGCUUGAAGAUACGGAAAUUGCGCUUCAACCAGAAAGUUCUCAGUACGAUUGUAAUGAUAGAAUAGAAGAGAUAAACUGACUGACAAAUUGAAGAGUUCUACAUGCAUAGGCUGGAAUAGUAAAUCGAAACGAAUAUUAAACUUCCCUGUUGGACAAAAAUGUUUAUUCUCUAGUUCUUUCUAGAGUUUGAUAGAAAUGAGAGGGACAAUUUCAAGUAUCCUCCUCUACCGUCCAACUAAGUAAUGCCUAAGUUGCUUGGUCCGGUCAAAAUCAAUAGAUAUGCUAAGCAUGAGGAUGUGCUAAGUCCACCACAUGCAUAGGAGAGUCCCUAGUACGAGCAUCAUCCAAAACGAAUACCUAACAUAUUAUGUUUCUCACACUUUAAUAGUAUAUAUAUAUAUAUAUAUGUAAGUUGGUAACAAAUUAAAGUGUCAUAUUACUAAUGUUUCUCUAGUUCAACACUUGCUUGAUUAGUUACAAAAUGUAAAUUAAAAGAUGCAGUAUUAAAUCUCCAUGAGCAUAUAAGUGUGUGUUGUUCACUUACGAAUCAAACUUUUUCUACAAGCUUUGCCUUGCCCCGUCGAUCCGGCUGCAAAAUCUACUGACCUGAAAAGCCAACAACAGCAGGGUUUGAGUUUUCCUCAAAUACGUACCCAGUAUUGGGUAAGCACGAUGUUGAAAAUAAAUCAAGAGCAUAAACAAUAGCAAUGAUAGAGAAAACAAUACAGAUCAACUUGAUUCAAUAUAAAGAGAUAUAACUCAACUGAGUCAAUACUACUUUGAGAAGUAGUAAGCAAAUCGCCGACAUGUUUUAAGCCUAAACAACUAGAACUCCUAAUCUCCAAAACAAACAAAUGGUAUGAUUCAUUUGUAAUUGAUCUCCAAACAGAGCAUAAACUAGUGUCCUUCGUCGAAAGUUUGAUAAGCUUAGGAAUAAUGUAUAAUCUCAUCUACGCUACGGAAAAUCAAUUAGUUUGAGAACAUUCCACGAGAUGCAUCUAGUGCGAUACUCAGAAGUAGCAUGGUAUCUCAUGUUACCUGUCACCUUAGCUAGCUUCUCCAAGAGGUCCUUUAUAACCAAGGGGCAACUUAAUCUUAGGUGCUCAAAUCCAUCCGUUUCGAUAACCGCAGCCAGCGUCCCGGGGGAGGCAAUGAAAUUGAGGCAAGCGGCUUUCAGCCGACCGCAUCGGUGCUGCUCGGCCAAGGCCAACGUGUUCGCCACCGUGUUUACGCGAAUGUUCCGGCAUAACUUGUAUUCACAGACUAACCUCAGCCUCUCAAGCCCGUAUCGAUCUGCGGCAACGAGAAGGUGCUGAGCCAUCGAAUUCGAGGAGGAAUCCGUCGUCAUCGGCUCUUCCAUAUACGAGGGCAGGGUAUCUGAGUAGAUGAAAUGAAGCAGAGCCCUGAAUACGGCGGCUUCCAUGUCUUCGAGCUUUAUCUGCUUCAUUCUCGUCUCCCGCAUCUCGCCGAAGAGUUCUGCCCUGAAGACAGGGGACCGCGCCGCGAGCAGCCACCGGUGCGCCGCGAAAGUCUGGCCGCCGACAUCAAAGGUUACAUCGGCCCCCUCUCCGCUGGCCAAGAGGUUGGCGAGAUGCUGAUGCAAGUCCGAGGGGGGCGGCGGCAGGACGGGGUCAGUGGCGGGCACCUCCAAGAGGGGGGAUUUUACGACGGUAACAGCGCAGUGGACGGCGAAGCAGUCGUCUCUGAGGAACUGUGACGUCUCGAAAUCGGCUCUUCUGAUGAAUUUACCGAUGCCCCGGCCGCUAUGUUGCUUCGCAAACACGUCGAUAAUUGUGCGGGUAAAUGGGCAGCUCCGCUGCGGAUCAAGAAGACUCAGCUUGAGCAGGGCCCUGACAGGCACGGCAUCAGUCUCGAGCCUGAGAACGAGUGACAUCCAACCGGCACAGUGCUCGUCCUGCCCGUCGAGAAAGCAUGCGAGGGUCCAAUUGAAGCCGGCGACAUUGAAGGUGGCCGAUCGGAUGGGCUUGCCGACGCCCAUCAUCCCCUUGGCCAGGGAGUAGUCGGCGAUCCUGAACAAGUGGGAUCCGGUCACCUUCUCCAUCUUCCACGUCGACGAAGAAGCGGACGAAGACAUGGACGGAGGGAGGCGGCGUCCAGGUCGGAGCAAAACCUAGCAAGGACGACGGUUUGCCCCUUUCUUCUUUAGGGCUUUACCAACAGCUGCGAGAUCAUUUCAACCUCGACUCAUAAUUGUUCUGACAUUAAGUUCCAGCGAUGCUUAAGGUACACUCUAAAAUAAAAUAAAAUGUAUAUUUUAUACUCACUUUAUUUCAUUAAGCAGUGUUUGGAUUGGGGACAAGGAGAGAGAUAACCUCUUAUCCCUCUUUAUAUCUAAAUACAAAUUUUUUAUUCGAGAGUAGUAGUUCUUAAUUAUCUAAAAUAAUCUGGUAUAAUUAUUCCUACCAACACCUCAAUUUUCUAUGCAUUACUAUCCAAACGUCAUUUUUCUUAUCCCCGAAAACAAUCUAAUUUUCAUUCAAACGUUAUUUUUCUUAUCCCCAUACUUGUACAUAUUCCUGUAAUAGCUAGCUCUUGCUUAUCUCUCUAAGUUUUUAGGUGAAAGUUAAGUUCACAAAAAUUAUAUUUUUGUCUUCCCACUUUCUACUUCUCUAACUCCUCCAAUGAUUAGCCAUUUAUUCGACUCUCAUCUUCACCGUCUAACUCCAAAGAAAAUAAAUAAAUAAAUAAAUUACACUACUAAUGCACUACUAUUUUUUUUUCUGCAAAAUUUUAAUUUAUAAUAUUUGUCUUGGCAUUUCUAAUUUAUUUUACUUUAGCCCCUAUUUUUUUAGACAAUAAAUUUUGCUCCAUCCGAGUUCGUCAUGCACUAACGCACUAUGAAUCUAUCGUUUCUCAGUCCAUCACAUACUUUUACUUCAAUAGUUUGAUUUUUAAAUGUAGAAAAAUUAUAAAUUUAUGGAUGGUAAAAUUUGAAUAUGAGAUAGAGGAUUUACGAUUCAUAAAUACAUGGUUUAUAAAUAUAGAGAAACACCAAAUGUGAUUAAUGUUUUUAUUCCAAUCAGUAAAGAAAAACACAGACUAGUUUAAAAUACUUUCAAGAGUAUAGGUUUUGAAGUGUCAAUCUUAAAAGUUUUAGGACUAAAAUAAAAUUUAUCUGAAAGUUUAGGGAGUAGUAGUGCAAUUUUACCUCAUAAUAAAAAAGAGAAAUUUAUAAUGACCCCUCUAAGAGACGGUUAAACUUUGUUACUAACUUACUAUUCUAAAAUCUUGAUACUUUUACAGAUACUUAUACUUUUAAUUUUGACAAUUAUUUUUUAAAAAGCUUUAUCAAAUAGUUCACUAGGUCCUAUUUUUAAUUGUGACAAUUAAUUUUUUUUUAAAAAAAAUUAUCAAAUAGUUCACUAGGUCCUAUUUUUAAUUAAAGUUAAUAACAUGUAACUACAUAGUUAUUUUAAUCCCUUAUAUUGUAUUAAUAUUGUAAAGCUUAAAAAUAAGAAAAUUCAAUUUUUCUAAUCAAAUAAAUGAAAGAGUCAACAAAAAUUGAAAAUGAAUUUACUCUAUCUAAAAUCUUGAUGCAUAGUCAACAUAACUGAUUGAAAAAAGGGACAAUUUCCUCUUUACCCUUCUAAAAUCAUCUAAUUUCAUAAAUACCCAUCUAAAAAUUGAAAUAUCAUGUAUACCCCCCAAAUUUGAAAAACUUUAAAAAAUAACCUUUCCAUCCAAAUUAAAGUUAAUUAGUAUUUAAAUUCCAACUUUACCCCUCUAAUAUUUCAAAAUUAAUAAACUCUAUCUAGACUAAAAAUUUAGUAAAAUUCAAUUGAUUUUAAUUUUUUUUUUUCAUUUUAAUUAAAAAUAAAUAUUUCUAUUUGGAAUAAAUUCUAGUUAAAUUUAAUUUUAUUUUGCUUCAUUGUUAAUUUAACUACAAUUUAUUCCAAUUAGAAAUAUUUGUUUUCAACUGCAAUUAAUAUUUUUUUAAAAUUAAAAUCAAUUGAAUUUUACUUAGUUAAUUUUGAAAUAUAAUAGAGGAUAUUUAUGAAAUAAAAUAAUUGACCAUUGAAUAUAUAAGAGGGGUAAAGUUGGAAUUUAAAUACUAAUUAGCUUUAAUUUAGAUAGAAACAUGAUGGUAAGGUUAUUUUUGAAAGAUUUUCAAAAUUCGGGGGUAUACAUGAUAUUUUAAUUUUUAGAUUGGUAUUUAUGAAAUUAGAUGGUUUUAUAAAGGUAUAGGGGAAAUUUUCCCUUAAAAAAAUAGAUUAUUUUGUGUUUUGAGUUAUACAAAGUCAUAUUCAAGAGUGCAAUAUAGAAGGCCAUUUCAAUAAGUAACAUUGCUUGAGGUUAAACUAUUUGAUAAAGUUUAAGCAACCUCAAUGCCAAAAUUAUAAAAGUUUCAGAAUCUAGCUACAAAAGUACUUUAAGUUUAGAAGGUCUUUAUACAUUUUUACUAAAAGAAUAGCUAGUAAUUUGUUUAUUACUGUUGAGAAAUAUUAAGUCUACAAUCAAAACUAAUUGUAAUCUCUAUAAUCUCUCAUCCAAUGAGUUAUAGGGUUUACCAAUCUCUUUUGGUUUUUAGAUAGGAAAAAAAAAGUGCUAAGACAAGCAGCAAACAAAAUUUUUGUGAGAGGAAUUAUAAAAUUACAACAUGAAAUGGGUUGUAGAUCUAGCACACUCCUCGUUAUUAUUUGUGUAGAGCUACUAUAUUAUUGGAAGUAUAGAAGAUUUGAUGCUUCUGAUUUUUUGACCCUUGGUUCAAGAAUUUUACGAUUGAGAUGAUUGUGGUCCCUCCUAGGGUUGAGCAGUACUCCUAGAGUUGAGUGGUUCCUAUAAGGUAAUAGUAUUAAUCUAAAGGUUAAAAAUGAUUAAAGGGGCUGAUAUAAGGGCCAAAAAGUCGGAAGCAUCAGAUCCUUUUUACUUCCGAUAGUAUAAUAACUCAACUCUUAUUAUAUAUAUAUAUAUAUAUAUAUAUAUAUAAAAUUAGGCUAUAAUGCUAUAAAUAGCAUCAAGUUGUUGACGCUAUUAUAUAGGUUUUCGGCCCUUGGAUGAAGAAAUGUACGUUUAGAAUGACAUGGACCCCUUAAAGUUGGAUGAGUUGUUGGUUGAAUAGUAUAAUUUAAUGGGUGAAAAUAGUCAGAGUUAAUCUAACGGUAGAAAAUUCGAUAGCGCCAAGUGCUUGGUGCUAUCGAGAGUAUCCCAGCCGGACUCUCUCUCUCUCUCUCUCUCUAUAUAUAUAUAUGUAUAUAUAAUAACAGCUUACAUUCUACAAAUAGUAAUAAUGGCCUUGCAUCCACAUAGGUGGAGAAGAUUAAGUUGUAGCAACUUCAGUAACCUAUAUUUGGAUGCAUGAACAUUCCAUUCUGUUCACUUAUUUAAGCUUGUGUUAGUUAGUAAAUGAGAAAUAUAAUCAUCUCCAAUAAUUAUUAUAUUAGACAUUCAAUUCAUUUUUUUUGGAAUAACAUGAAUCACCUCCUAGGUGAUAUAAACUAUCACCAAAUUAUGAAUGUUAAAAUCUUUAAAGGAGGGAAAUCAAAAUCCUUACUGAGUCACAAAAAUAAUAAAAUUCUCGCUAUUUUAUAAGUUAUUACCGAAUAAUAAUUUACUUUGACACUCAAACAAGACUGUCCAAGUGUUUGAUCUACUUCUUGUGCAUUUGAUAUCCUGCUUGUGCACAUCUUUUGUGUAUAGAUAGAUAGUUGGGAAUCAUGAAAAUUAAGUUCAAUUAGCAAUUCUCAAAUGCAUACAUCUUUUGAGUGUCAAUACUUUUCAUUAAAAAAAAAAAAAAUACAACAUACCAUAAUAUAUCGUCACAAACAGAAUAAGCAAUUUUGAUUAAAUCAAGAAAUUUUUAGAAAUUCGCAACUUAUAUUGAUAUCGGAUUUUUGUUUUAUAUCACGACAAAAGCGAAAAGGAUCUAGUUUGUCGGAUGCGAAAGUUGUAAAAGGAAUCGAUAAAGAGAGAAGAAAAAUAAAAUAUACAAAUAUUUAUAUGGUUCGGUGAUCCGGGACGAUUAAACCAUCCGGAUAAAUCUCAAUCGUUGCGGAUAAGGCGGAGGCCCUUCCAACUACUUCGGUUAGGAUAAGGCGGAGGUGGUUACAACUAUUUUGGUUAGGAUAUGGAUCAAGGAGGUUCCAACUAAUUCGGUUAAGAUAUGGAUUAAGAGGGUCCAACUAAUUUGGUUAAAAUAUGGAUCGAGAGGGUUCCAACUAAUUCGGUUAGGAUAUGAAUUGAACUAAUUCGGUUAAGAUAUGAAUCGAAACAGUUCCAACUAAUUCGGUUAGGAUAAGAUCGAGAUGGUUUCAACUACUUCGGUUAGAAUAAGAAUAAAGUUGUUAUUUUUAAAAUAUUUUGUUCUUAUCUUCUUGUAAGCCUAAAGGCUAUAAAUACGGGCCUUUUAAAAUAUUUUGUUCUUAUCUUCUUGUAAGCCUAAAGGCUAUAAAUACGAGCCUCACUGGCUCUUGUAAAUCACUCCAGUUUAGAGAGAAUUAAUAUACAGACUCUUCCAUAUAAAAAUAUUGUGUUCUUUUUCUUUUUUUUCUCUUUAAUCUGAUUUCAGAUAUCCAUCGGGGAGGCACUGCGACAUUGCUUCCUCCUCCGACGGAUCAAUUGGUAUCAGAGCAUCUGACCCUGGUGUAUGGUGCGAACCAGAAGCGUCUACAAAGCUACCGGCAAACAACUCUCCAUCCUCGACAUCUUCCGUAAGCCACAGACGAGGAAAACGAAGAGCGCAUCUACCGUGUCUGCAGACAAGCAGAUAGCGACGCUAUCCGACCUUGCCUCCAAGGUCGCCGCACUGUCCGACGACAUGAAGACCGUUUUAGAUUGGAUUAAGACCCAAUCUGCAGCACCAUCGGCAAUGCCGGUGGAGAAGAGCGGUCGGCUCGAAGGAACUCUUCCUCCAAAGGCGCGUGUGACGCCGAUGAAGGGUGCUGCCGAGGAUAUCUCGGGCGUGCGAGACGACGAUGACUCCGACGAUGACGGAAGCAUAGCUCCGUCAGUUGCAGAAGGGAGGUCGCAACCGUUUAAGGUUGAGGCCAAGAUCGAGAUCUCCAAUUACGACGAUAUUGUCGACGCUGAAAAGUUGGAUGCCUGGCUUGACCAACUGGAGACGUACUUCGACCUCUACAACUAUAGCAAUGCAGAAAAGGAAACUUUCGCAAAACUAAAACUUGUAAGUCAUGCUUUGACUUGGUGAAAGGCCACUCUCCAAACUUCCGCCAACGAAGAGUUCACCUGGAGUCAGUUUAAACGACUGAUUCGCCAGGAAUUCUACCCUAUGGGAUAUGAAGAAAAGCGAUGGAAGCGCUGGCAUGUCUUGCGCCAAAGAUGUGACCAGACAGUGCAGGACUACACUACCGACCUCCGGCGCCAAGCCUUAGCGCUUGGCAUCUCCCUCGACAAUCCACAAGUUUUUUGUAAAUACACCGCGGGCCUACAGGAGCGCAUCAAUGAUGAGCAUCAUCUCUUCGGUAUUUGUGAUAUCGCCUCGGCGAGCCAAACAGCCAUGUCGAUUGAACGAAAGAACAAACUAUCUCGCAGGGAGAAGCCAUCUAGAAAGUCUGCUGAGGGCUCGAAAAAGACAAAAAAGAAGGGCUCUAAAAAGAAGGGGUCCUUUGAUCCUGAUUUGUACUGUGAUCAUUGUAAAGUAACAGGACAUGUCAAUGAUCGAUGCUGGAAGCACCAUCCAGAGAUGAGACCAAAGAAGAAAGACGAUCGUGGUAAACACACAACGACAAUGACAACAACAUCGGCAGGAUCAACAAGUGAUGCCCCUACCUUAAUCGGACGGAUUGAUCAAGCGGACACUAGCUUGUCUCUGAUGGCUAUGCCGAAGGAGACAAGCUUGUACCCGUCAAAUCCGACUGAUAAGAGAGAGGAGUUGUUCACUUUUCGAGUUCAAGUAAAAAAUAAGGUAAUCGACACCAUCAUCGAUCCCGGCAGCCAAAAGAACUUGAACUCAGAGAAUCUUGUUCAAAGGCUGGGUUUGUCGACUACACCACACCGACACCCAUAUCUAUUAGGGUGGAUUAACAGCAACAUCGAGAUAAAGAUCAAUUGCCAGUGCAAUGUGAAGUUUGCAGUGAUCAGCAUCUAUAUCGACGAAAUGCUAUGCGAGGUUGUGCCAUUGAACAUUUGCAACCUCAUCUUCGGCAAUCCCUACCUAUGGGACCGUGACGCUACUUUCUUCCGUCAUUGUCUGCCACCACGAAUGACGCACAUCGCACGGGGAAUUUUAUCUUUUGGUUUUCCCGUGGGGUAGUAUUCAUGAUGUAGAUUAAAGUAUGUGUAUGUAUGGUUAUCAGGUAUUGCGGAUCCAUGGCUUCCAAUAAACGCAAGCGUCUAUUGUUAAUUACCCCUAUAGAAUAUUAGGGCACCUUCGAUUAAGAGACCUCUGAAAUGCUGAAGAUAAACUGGAAUUGGACAAAAGAAAAUUUAUAAUUUAUUGCUCAAUUACAUGGCUUUAACCAAGGGCAUACCCUCAGUGUACAUGAAUAGAGCGUAAAGAAAAUGUAUUUUUCAAUUGUAUCUUAGUUAUAUAUUCUAAGAUACCCAAUAUAUGGUCAAAUUAAUUUUGUUGGACUCUAUAUGUUGUGGAGCUCAACACUAUUCACCCUAAGAUGAAAUAUUGAUUAAAUUCCAUAUAUAUAUGCAUUGGAAUUUAAUCAGAUUUAAUUCAGAUUAAACUCUAAUUAUAUGUAUUAGAGUUUGAUUUGGUUAAUUGAACUUUAAAUGUAUGUGAUAAAGUCCAAUAGAUGAUCAGAUUUUGUUGAGCUCUAUAUAUUUUGGAGCUCAACUUUGUUUACCAUGAGAUGAAAGAUUGAUUAAAUCCCAUAUAUAUACAUUGGAAUUUAAUCGAACUUGAUUAAACUCUGAACUUUAAAUAUAUGUAAUAAAGUCCAAUAGAGUUUGAUUUGAGCUUUCAUCCUAAAUAUAUGUGUUAGGAUUAGCCCCAAAUAUCUUGAAUUAGACUCUAAUUUUAUAUUUUAGAGUCUGAUACAAUUAGGCUCUAAGUUUAUGUAUUAGAGCUUAGUCACAUUUGAUUUUGGUUCAUCUCAAGGUGAAAUAUUAACUAAAUCCUAAUUAUAUGUAUUAGGAUUAGUCAGAUUUGAUUUAAAUUAAACUCCAAGUGUAUGUAUUGGAAUCCAACAAAUUAAUUUGAUCAGAUGGUUUGAUCAAUUCUAAAUAUAGGUUUAGAAUUUGAUCAAGUUUGAACAUGAUUGUGAUUUGACUCUAGUUUUAUAUGCUAGAGAAUCGAAUAUUUUGGGAAUUGGGAUGUUCGUGAAAAUUGAAUUUGAGUUUAGUUUAACUAUAUUUCGGUCAGUUGAUUUGGUGGAUUAGUUUAACGACGUUUCGGUCGGAGGUUUGGGUUUGGUUCACAAGGUUUAUGGUAUUGGGUAUAUGGGAUUAUGGUUCAUGAACUUAGAUAUGGUUCAUGGGUUUAUGGUUCAUGGACUUAUGGUUCAUGGGUUUAUGGUUCAUGAACUUGAUUUGAUUCAUGAACUUGAUUCAUAGUUCGUGGAUUUGGUGUAUGGUAUGGUCCACAGGAUUUGGUGUAUGGUUUGGUCCAUGGUUUUGGUUCAAAGUUCAUGGACUUGGUUAAGGUUAUGGGCUUGAAUAUGGGUUAAAUGUGUAUGGGUUCAUGGGUAAAUGUAUAUAGGUUUAUGUAUAUGGGUUUAUGGGUUAAUGGUUUUAAUGAGUUUUGGAUAAUGGGCUUAGAUAGUGGGCCCAAAUGGGUUUUGGACUGGGGCCAUUUGUAAAUGAGCUCUGGACUUCAUGAGGAUUUGGACUUGGAUGUAAUAUGAGCUUAUUUUAUGGGCUCAAUUUAGAUUUGAAUCAUGGGCUCAUUUUGGACUUAAUUUGGAUUUGGAGAUUUCGGUUUGGGCUCAUUUCGUUUUGGAUCUAAAUUCGGGCCCAAUACGGGCUGAAUUCAUUUUGGAUGUGGAUUCGGGCUUGGGCUGAAUUCAUUUUGGAUAUGGAUUCGGGCUUGGGCUGAAUUCAUUUUUGAUGUGGAUUCGGGUUCAAUACGGGCUCAUUUCAUUUUGUAUUCGGGCUCGGGCUGAAUUCAUUUUUGAUGUGGAUUCGGGCUUGGGCUGAAUUCAUUUUGUAUUCGGGCUCAAAAUGGGCCAAAUCAUUUUGAUGUGGAUAUGGAUUUAAUAUGGGAUUUGGAUUUGGGCUCAAUAUGGGCUCAUUUGGAUUUAAAAUGAGCUCAAUUUGUAUGUGAAUUUUAGGUUUAUUUGGGUUUAGGAUUUGGGAUUGGUUUGAUUAUGGAUUUGGGCCUUGGACUUUGGAUUGGGUUUUGAUAUGGGUUUGGGCCUUGGACUUGGGAUUGGGUUUUGAUAUGGGUUUGGGAUUUGAAUUCGGUUUUGGUAUUGGAUUUGGUUUGGAUUUGGAUUCGAGUUUGGAUUUGGAUUCGAAUUUGGAUUCGGAUAUGAGAUCAAAAUAUUUCGGUAUCUGGUUCAAAAUCAAAUUCAUCAAAGAUAUGAUGUGUUUUAUUAUUCGUCACAUGUAAUAUCUAAUGUAAUUAAAUCUCGGUUCGCCCUAAUUCGACUAAAUCAAAUGAUUCAAUCAAAGGGUUCGAUUAUUUUCGAACAUUAUUAAAAGAACGAUUAAAAGGAUAUUAAUCGGUAAUCCGACUAACUGGAGGAGAAUUAAGAGAACACGUUUUUUUUUUUUUCUUUAUCUCUUUUGAAAAUAUAAGACAAUAUAAUUCUUUGUCUUCUUUUUAUUUUUACAUUCAUGGGACAACUAAGGUGGGAUAAAAAUCCCUUCCUUGCCUCCCUAACAGUAGCAAAGCUCUCUCAUCUCUUUCUCUUUUAAUAAUUUUUUUUUUUGCAAAGAGAAAAGCAUCGCUCUUUCUCUUUCUCUCUCUCGAUAAUACUGCAUUUUAUAAAGAGAAGAGCAUCGCUCUUUCUCUUUUAAUAACACUUUUUUUUUUUUUUUAAAGAGGAGAGCACCGCUCUCUCUCUCUAUGUACAGAUUGGAUUCGCCGUCGCAGGAUGCAUCUUGGGCGUUUCGUCGAGCAGUCAGUGGGCAUGAACAGAGCUCUGGUUUCAUUCAGGAAUUUCGUCGAAUAGUUGGUAGGCAUGGUUCGUCGGUGCGAACUCCGUCAAGGCGACAUCCUGGGCGGCUUUGUAGGCGACGAGGCUGAUACUCUUGUUGACGAGCCUGCUGAGAUUAGUCUGCGUAUUUGCGAGGGGCGAGCUGUCGACGUCCGGGAACACGUCGAACGAGUCUUGGCAGGUGUCAACGAGCAUGUCGAUGGUCGAAAGCUCGCUGUUGACGUCCGCGAGCAGUUCGUCACCGCGCACCAAUCGUCGGCGCAUCCUGCAGCGCGUCCGCCGCCUGCGCGUGCUCCGCCUUAACCGCCGCAACCUGCACCGACGUCGCGGCUCGUUGUGGUCACAGAUCGAACACCUGGUGAGCGGAGGGGGGAGAAGAGCAUGAUGAGGAAUAAGGCGGUCUCGGAUCGGGCGACCGUUCGGGCGGGUGUAGAGGUCGUCGCGAAGCAAUGCAGCCUUGGGUGCAGAGGUCGGCGAGGCAGGCGGCCUUGGUGAUGCAGAGGUCGGGCGGCCUCGGCAGCGGUGGGGAAACGAGUGGGCGGCCUUGGCGCAGUCUGCGAUGAGCGAUGGCUUCGGGCGCAGGGAUCGGCGAGGCAGGUGGGUGACCUCGGAGUGGGUGCUUCGGCAGCCGGGAAGGCCUCGGGUCGGGGUCGGAGCAGGUCCUCGGCGGAGUACGACUCGGAUCAGGGUCGGAGCAUGUCCGGGAGGCAUGGUUGGAGCACGUCCUGGAGCAACGCCUCGGGUCAAGGUGUCUCGGAGCAGGUCCUCGGUGGAGCACGACUCGGGUCGGGGAGGCGAACGGCUUCGGCAGCAUCGAGGUCGAGGGGGAGUGACGAGGGCGGCUUCGGAGCGACGAGGGUCAGGGCGUCUUGGAGCGACGAGGGCGGCCUCGGAGCGACGCGGGUGGCCUCGGAGCGAUGUCCUCGGCCCAGAAAUUGGCGAGGAGCGACAGCGAUGGCGAUGCGGUGGAGAUGGAUGUUGACGCGAUGGUGCCAGCGGCGCCAGAUCUUGAUGGGCGCGAACACGCGCCCGCCGCGGCACAUUUUGCCGACGGCGCCCUGCCCGGCGCGGUGGGUGUGACGUCGGAGCGCACGGGAUGUGACCUCGGGGCGUGCCUCAGGUCGGGGCCGGAGCACGUCCGGGAGCGGCAGCGGCCGCCAUUGGAGAGGGAGAGAGAGAGAGAGAGAGAAAGGGCUUCUCUUUUCUCUUCUUUCUCUUUUUAUUCUUUUUUUUUUUUAGCCGAGAGAGAGAGAGCUUUGAAUUUUUUUUUUUUUUUUUUUUUUUUUGAAACGGGAGAAAAAGAUAUAUAUAUAUUUUUUUACCUUUUCUCUCUUUUUCUUCUUUCGUGAACAACGAACUCAGGUGGAUAUUUUUUGUUUGACUAGAUCUUGAAGAUUCAAAAGUCUCUCCUUUUUUUGUUUCGAAAGACAUUUAUGGGGAUGGUUGUAACUGAACUGAGGGAAACGUGCGCAUGGACGCGCGUAUGGUGAGAAUCAUGGGAAGUGGGUAGUUGAGAGGAUUGUGCAUGUGAUUUGAGAGAAAAGUGGGAUGAGGUGGUUGAGGAGAACGUGUGUCUGAAUCGUGGGAUGGCGCAUGAUGGGAAUCCGGGAUGUGGGUAUGGGUUGUUACAAAAAUAUCGUGGGAUGUAGGAGGGAUUUUGGAUGGUUGAGAUGAAAUUGUGGGGUAUUUUGGACAGUUGUGAUGAGAUUGUGAGAUAUUGGAUGGUUAGGAUGGGAUUGUGGGAAUAUUGCGGAUUAGUCCUUUUCCUUUGAUCAUAUUACACCUUAAUAAAAAUAUUAUAUGAUUAAGGUGGGGCAUUUUGUAAAUAUAUAAAAGGGAAUAGACUAAUAUGCUAUUUUAUAUACCCGUACGUAUUAUUUUUUCGCAAUCCGGUGCAUGAGAUAUUUUCAAAAUUUAAAUUUUAUCCAUGCACCUGGUGCAUGGAUGAUCUCGUAAACCAUCUCUAUUCUUAUUUAUUAUUUUCUCUCUUUUCUUCUUCUUCUUUUUUUUUCUUCUUUUAUUCCUCUCUCUUUUUUUUAUGCUUCAACAGUCAUCCUCAGCAAUACCAAUUUAUUAAGGAUGAACAAAAUUUUUUGUUCACCGCAGAGCCAUUAUCAACAACUGUAGACCUGGUAAACGCUUGCCAGACCAAGAGGAUGAUCAAUGCUUGUCAAAAGCUUGCCUUACUGGUCAUUCGGUCAGUUAUAUUCGACGAGGCAAACAACAAGAUAUUAAACCUAGUAUGCAAGGAAAAUACUGAUAAUGUAGCCAAACUGAUCGGCGAGCAUUAGGAUCUGUUUCAAGAAGUACAGCGACUGCCACCAAAGUGAGCCGUGGAACAUGAAAUCCAAUUGAUCAGUGACGCUCCGUUACCGAAUCUCGGUAUGUACCGAAACUCAGUGGUGGGGAAUGAGGAGAUAAAGCGACAGAUGAUUGAGUUGCUCGAGAGUGGUGCUAUCAAACCGAGUAGCUCCCCUCGUGGCUCCCCGACUGUGUUGGUGCCAAAGAAAGACGGUGGGUGACGAAUGUGUAUCGACUACCGCGCUCUCAACAAAAUCACCAUCAAGAACCGGUACCCCUUACCGCGAAUCGAUGAUCUCUUGGACCAACUGAAGCAUGCUCGCUACUUCACCAAACUUGACCUGAAGUCCGGCUAUCAUCAAGUCCGGAUCCAAGAGGAUGACAUCUAGAAGACCGCGUUCAAGACUCGACAAGGCUUGUUUGAAUGGCUCGUCAUGUUAUUCGGCCUUUGUAAUGCACCAGCCACUUUUAUAUGACUGAUGAACGAUAUUCUACGCCCCUUCCUCGACGACUUCGUGAUCGUCUACCUUGACGACAUCCUCAUCUACAGUUGAUCAUGGGAGGAGCACCUGGCGCAUGUCAAGAAGGUCUUCAUGCUGCUCAAGGAACACCAACUGCGCUUAAACCCUAAAAAGUGUGAGUACGGCCCGGUGUAUCUCGGGUUCGUGGUGGGCAACACCAACUCCGCUUAAACCCUAAAAAGUGAGUACGGCCUAGUGUAUAUCGGGUUUGUGGUGGGCGACGGCGAGCUUCAGAUCGACCCUGACAAGGUCAGGGCUAUCAAUGAAUGGCUUAGGCUCAAAAAUGUGACGGAGGUGCGGAGUUACAUGGGCGCUUGCCAAUAUGUCCAGAAGUUUAUUAGACACUUUUCUGUCCUUACUGCCCCUCUACAUGCACUAACGAAGGCCAACCAAAAGUUUGAAUCGAGUUCGAAACAUGAGGAGACAUUACGACUUUUGCAACAAAAAAUAUGCGAGACGCCUGUUCUUGCGCUACCAAAUCUGCAACGACCCUUUGAGUUGGAGGCGGAUGCGUCGGAAUAUGCCAUGGGGGCUGUCUUGAUGCAAGAUGGUCGACCUAUUGCAUAUUACUCCGAGAUGUUCCAAUGAGCUCAAAAGAACUAUCCGACCUAUGACAAGGAACUCUUGGCACUACACCAGGCGGUGAAGCAUUGGCGGGUCUAUCUCCUAGGAAAAGAGACGGUGGUGCAUACAGACCACCGUCCGCUUCAAUACCUCCAAACGCAAUCAAAAUUGCAAUAGGCGCGUCACAUGAAAUGGAUGACGUACUUGCAGCAGUUCAAUUUGGUUAUCAAGUGCAAGAAAGGGGCUCACAACAAACUGAUUGAUAUGCUAUCACGACCACCAGUGGUAGCGCUUUGUUUGUCGACAUUUAUGCAAGUUCAGCUUGACUUUCAUGAGUAUGCAAGUUUAUAUGCAGAAGACUCGAUUUUCAAGAAAAACUAGAAAAACUCAGUUUCCUCAGUUGCAGUUCUAGAUCCAACAGGUGCUGGUUCCUCUCAAAAUUGGGGAGCCAUGAUCUGGGACGAUCAAACAAUCCGGAUAAGUCUCAAUCGUUGCGGAUAAGGCGGAGGCUGUUCUAACUACUUUGGUUAGGAUAAGGCGGAGGUGGUUACAACUACUUUGGUUAGAAUAUAGGUCAAGGAGAUUCCAACUAAUUCGGUUAAGAUAUGGAUCGAGAGGAGUCCAACUAAUUCGGUUAGGAUAAGAUUGAGGUGGUUUCAACUACUUCGGUUAGAAUAAGAAUAAAGUUAUUAUUUUCAAAAUAUUUUAUUCUUAUCUUCUUAUAAGCUGGAAGGCUAUAAAUAUGGGCCCUACUGGCUAUUGUAAAUCACUCUAGUUUAGAGAGAAUUAAUAUACAGACUCUUCCACAUAAAAAUAUUGUGUCCUUUUUCUUUUUUUUUUUUCUCUUUAAUCUGGUUUCAGAUAUCCAUCGGGGACGCUGCAACAUUACUUCCUUCUCCGACGGAUCAUUCGGCCACUGGCCUAUAUCCACAAAUGAAAACGUAGUGGAGAUCUUCAUUAUAAUAUCUAAGUGGCAUACAAAAUAUGUCUCUCUCACAAAACCUGAGUCUUAAAAAUAUACUCAUACUCUCUCUCAUCUACUGCACCAAAUCAGUAGAAUAAAGAGUAUAUAUUUAUAACAGUGGCUAAAUCCUAAUACAAGUAGAAAUAUAAAUCCACUAAGAUUAAAAAAAUCAUAAUAAGAUUAGGCAUAAUCUAAACAUAACUUAAUAGAAUAACCAAAAUAGAACAAGGUUAGGAAACCCUAUGGUUACAUAACUCGAGACAUAUCUAACAAUCUUCACCUUCCCUUGAAUUCUCUAUCUUCUGCAUCAAAAUCCCAAAAGCUCCUGAAUUGUUGCUGCACACGCAAACCAAGUUUGCGGAAUACUUGAACUUGGUCACCGAAAGAGACUUAAUGAGCAAAUCCGCGGGUUCUCUGAAGUGCCACUCUUUUUAUUGUCUGGUUAUGCCUUUUUGCAACCUCUGUUGCAUCAGAAUGACAACUUUCCAUAGAGCAAAAACUGCUAGAGCAAUCAAACUUCUCGAUCUCAAACUUCGUCAAUGUGAACUACGAGUUUGUUAUGAAUUUGUCAUACCUCAAUAAUCCUACAUUGGAUAGAAAUGGGGAUAUAAUUGGGUAUAUAAGAGAUUUUGACACUAUUAAUAACAAUUGGGCUUAAGCAUUUUGGCCCGAUGUUUGGGCCCAACAAGUUAUUAUUGCUAGUGGACUGAGUCGUUACAUUUGGUAUCAGAGUCGGUUCACCAGCCGAAAAUGUGUGGUGAGUCUCGGCUGAGCCAGGGUUUGAAAGAUAAAGUGAUAGGCGAUGCCGAAAUCUGAAUGACAAGAUGACCGGCUAUGCCAGGAUCUGGAUGACAAGGCUAGCGAAACGAAUCUCACAUUGCCUGAUGAUCUUAGACUGUGUUUGAUUGGAUUGACGAGGACGUUAGGGCCUUAACGGGAGAGUCUAUCAGUCCCCAAUAAUCCCACAUCAGAUAGGAAUUUUGGGCCGGUGUUUGGGCACAACGAGUUAUUGUUGCUAGUGAACUGCGUCGCUACAGAAUCCGCAACUUACACCGAUACUAGAUUUUCUCUGAUAUCUUUUUAUUACACAAAAAUGUAAGAGAUCUAGUAGUUUAUCGAGCGUGAAAAUACGAAAAAAAGUAUCAAGAAAGAGAUAAGAAAAUAAAGCGCACGAAUAUUUACAUGGUUUGGCCACUAACCUACAUCCAUAGGGAAAAGCACAGUGGAGAGCACACAAAUAUUUACAUGGUUCGACCACUAACCUACAUCCGCGGGGAAAAACACAGUGGAGAUCUUUAUUAUAAUCAAAGUGAUGCAUAAAAUAUAUCUCUUUCAUAAAAUUCUAUUCCCAAAAAUACAUCCAUACUCUCUCUCAUUUACCGCUCAAAUCAAUAGAAUAAAAGAUAUAUUUAUAAUAGUAGCUAAAUCCUAAUAUAAUUAGAAAUAUAAAUCCACUAAAAUUAGAAAUAAUCAUAAUAAGAUUAGGCAUAAUUUAAACUAAACUUAAUGAAAUAACCAAAAUAGAAUAGGAUUAGGAACCUUGCAGUUUUAGAAUUCGACAAAUAUCUAACAAUAAUAAAAAAAAAAUACUGUAACACAAUACAAACCUUUAUGUGAAAAGCUACAAAAUACUGUACGUUUUCUCAAUUAUUUAGAAUUAAUUGAAAUUGAUGAUCAAGAAAAGCAAGAACUAUAUAGCUUUUACAAUCCUUUGGAAUAAGAAAAAAAAAGUACUCUGUUAAAAAAAAUGUUAAUGUACUUAUUUAGGCCCUUUGUUUACUAUAUCAAUCUUUUGAGAUAUAUGGAAUUAGAGCUAAUUCUAAAUCUCUUCCUUUUGUAAAUCAAGAUUCAAUCCCCACUUUUAAUAUUUAGGAAAUUAAAUUUUCAUCUACUAUAAAAUUUUGACUAAAAAACAAAUUAAGACCGACGGUACAAAACACAGUUGGCUAAGGGCUUGAUGAUGAUACCAAAGUCCCAAAUUUAAAGCCUAACUGAUUCAUCUACUAUAAAAUUUCGAUUAAAAAAUAAAUUAAGACCGACUGUCCAAAGCACAAUUGGCUGAUACCUAAAGUCCCAAGUUUAUAACCUAAUUGUUUCACUGUACUUACUAUCUUUCUCUCUCUCUCAAAAAAAAAAAAAAAAAAAAGAGAGAAAAACUAAACAACAUGACCGAAAAGAAGUGCUUUUAUUACGAUUAGAGAUGCUACCAGCUAGCCCUAGUGUGUUAAUUCUUAUGGACCAAAACGGUAAUGCUCAAGAUUUAGUACUUCUAUGAUAGUAUUACAUUAUAUAUAUGUACGCAAGUACUUACAACCAUAGCUUUCCGGACUCAACCUAUUUACAAACUUGGGAAGCCUAAAUGCCAGAUAUUCUAUCCAUAACUGCAAUAAAAUUUCCAUCAACUUGUACACUUGUUCUAUACAAAGAACAGCAAUUAUUGCCUCUUGUCAAUACAAGUACUCCUUUAAUAAGCUUCCAGGCACCAUCACCAAAAUGUGAGAUAUAACCUUCAUCACUCAAACAUCUCAAAGAAAUAAGUUAAGGCGAAGACACGGUACAUGUCAAACAUCUUCAAGAAUAAGUUUUACUCCUAUAUUGGUCUUGAUACAGAAACCCACUACAACAAAACUAUAACAAAAUUGAAUUUUAGUAGCGUUUAUUUUUUAAAUUCCCGGCAAUUAUAAUUGCCGCUAAAUAAUUUCGUGGCAAUUAUGACAAUUGUCACUAUUAGUAGGAUCGGUAAAAAUUAUAAUGGCAUUUGUUUCGGUGGUUGGUAAAAAUCUAAAUAAAUGCCGCUAAAUAUUAUACAAUAACAACCAUUAUAAAUGCCACUAUAAUUAAUUAUAAUUGUCACUAAAAACAUACUAAAUGAUUGAUAAAUAAAGCUUAUAGCGACAAUUACGAUUAAUAUUAAAAUACUUGAUCCACAACUAAAUACUCCAAUGAAUUAAAAUAUUAAAAAAUAGUAAUAAUCAAAAAGUAUUAAUAAUUUGUAUAACAAAUAGUUUUCACUCUCAAAUUACAAUCUUAAUGUUCAAAUUAAAUUUCGAAUAUNGUGUUUAGUGUCAUUUAAAAUUUGUUAUUUUUUGGUUAAAUUUUGAACAAGUAUUAAUAAUUUGUAUAACAAAUAGUUUUCACUCUCAAAUUACAAUCUUAAUGUUCAAAUUAAAUUUCGAAUAUGAGUUCUAACAAUAAAUACUUGUUCAAAAUUUAACCAAAAAAUAACAAAUUUUAAAUGACACUAAACACCUAUAAUAUCAAAAAAGUCCUAAAUUAUAAAUAUUUAAAAACUCAUUGCUCCACUUCGAAAGCUUAUCCAAAUCGAUGACAAGGCCCCAAAGAAUCUGUUUUCAAAAUAAUUUUUGCCAUUAGUACAAAUAAGCAAAAUAUAGAUGUAAAGGAAAUAAACUUAAAUAUCACUACAAUGCCAUGCUUUAAGUAGAACUAGUGUUAGGGCUGAUUCACUUGUGAGUAAAUGUGAGCUCUUAAUCCUUUUUUUGACUUGCAAAAGAAGCUGCUCCCCAAAGUGCUUAUCAAAAAAAUGCAAGACACAAAAGCUGGUUCGAUAUAACAGUAUCAUAGAUAUUAUUGUAGUAUAUAGUAAAUACACAAUUUGCUGUCCAUAGAGAAGGUCAAAUCUUCGUAUGAACCUAUUUGGUAACCACAAUAAGUCUAUUCAACAGAAAUAAAUUUAAUCAUUUGAAGUCUUUGAGGUUGUAAAUCUGCAGAGAUCUUACAGGAUGCUUAACAAAGCAUACAGAACCACUUGAUGACUAGUGAUUAGUUUAUAGGACAUAUAACUACCUCUACAUAAUGAAACUAAUCAACUAGUCAUCAAAUGGUUCUAUAAAUGGCUAAAAUUUAGCAAACAAGCGCUGUGCCGAGCUCCUAUCCAAAGAGGUUUGAGCAAUGGGAAGGCAUGCAAUGGAAGAAAAAAGAAUUAGCAAUUUGGCAAUUUGAAAAACAACCUAAGUGGUUAUUUACUUUGAUACUCAAGGACUAGAACAUUAGUAGAAAGAAGUAAAUCAAAAGUGGAAGACUCGAGUUUCAAAUUAGGAAGCUAUGUUCAGGUCUACAGAACAGAUCACUCUGAGUGAAAAAAAUUUCCCACUCUAAGUGAGGCCUAAAUACUACAUACAAUCAAGAGGAUAUAAUCCAAAAAAAAUUAUAAAGAUUGUAUUAUGCCAUUUUUCUUUCCUUCAUCCACAUUUUUAUCCAGACCGUCUCAGAAAAUAUGUAAAGCAGUCAAUAUUAUAAGUGUCCUGUGGCAAACUUGUUCUGUUAGGACAAUAAGAGUAAACAAAACUAACCUGUAAAUAUGGAAUAUAUUCAUUCUUUUUAAGCAUUAAAAAACCAUAUAAAAGGGUACAUGCUUAAGAAAACUGUCUAAAGCAAAAUCAGUUUGCAGUGCGAUAUAUUUGAUGACAAUGCGGUAACUAAACUACAGUAGUACCUGAAAACCUUGACAAGAAAUAUUAGUCCAUGGAUAAUCAGCUACUUGCACACCUUCAACAGAAACAUAAUAACCAUGUCCCUGGAUUAGAUUCAAGGUUCAAAGAUUAUUAAAAUAGUUUAUCUCCGCAACAAAAGAAAGAAAGCAAGAAACACUAGGUUCAUUCUAGAUCCAGGAAUACUGAUGAGAAUGGACCUAUUGAGAGUAGAUGUAUGAGAUCAAAUAUAUAAUAGAGCAGCACAGUUACUGAACAUUAUUGCAUUUAAGUAGAUUGCUUAUCUGGGAAAAUCUUUUACUUAUGAUUGACCUAAUCAUUGCAUUUAUACAUUUAUAGUGUCAUGGCUUAUGAAUAUGAAAUUCUCUUUUAAGAUUAGGAUAUUUUAAAAUGUGAAUAAUAAAACACUAUGAGGAAGAUUAUCUGUAAAGAAAAGUAAGAGAUUUAUCCCAAAAAGUACCCGACAUACCUUUAGACGGAAGAUAAAUGAUAAUUCAUCCGUAGCCAGAUGCUCCUACAUACACAUUAAGGUGCAUAAUUAUCAACAUCAUACCAAAACUGUAGGAAUGAUAUUAACAUAGAGUACAACAUUGAUAUAGCCAUCAUAUGCAAAAGAUUCCAAAAAAAAUUUCAGCAUGAAUGGCAUAGAUAUAGUGAGUCACCGUUUGCCCAAUUUGAGAGCUUCACCCAGGAAAUAAUCGGUUUAGUAACUUACUACUGAUAAAAACUCAAAAAGAAACUGAACGGUAAUCCGUUCAUCCUAUUGAAAUAUAAAACACUACGAUCUACAAAUCCCUUGUGAUUUCAGUAUGCCUGAAAAAAGUUAGCAAAAAUAAAAGGAAAAGAAAUACAUAUAGCAACAUCGACAUCUAAGCAACCUAAUGACUAAUUUUGAGUAAUACAAAAGGUAGCAUUAUGAUUUUCACUUUCCACCGCCAACUAUCGAAGAUUUCAUAAAUGCAUCUACGAAUGAUUUGGAAUCACUGGUUAGAUUUACCUUCAAGGGACCUGGAGGUAGCCCCAUCUCAGCCUCCAAAAUUGUUUGCAAAAUUGUGCGUUCGGUAAAUGCUCUAAGCUAAAUCUUCAGCAAGUGGAUAACUCUGAUAUGGAUGGAUUGCAAAUACCGAAAAUAUAAACACACACUGCUUAAACAAUUAUACGAAGAGAACACAUGCAAGUGUGAAAAUCUAACCAGCAAUGUUGCUCUCUCUUUACUCUCUCCCUUGGCUUGAUACUGUGAGACUUCGUCAGCAUCGGGCUUCAGCAAAUCUCUCUCACGCAAGCAGAAUAUAUCAGUCUGAAAUGAAGAAAGAAAAAGGAGUAAAAUGCCUGAUAAUUGCCUCUUAUGAAGCACAGAACAGUUUAAUUUUAAGAAGCAGGGAUCGUCAAAUUACCUGGAACUUGAAGCUCCUUAAGAUAGAGCUUGUUAGAUUCUCAUGAAUAUCAGGGCAAGGUUCAUUUAUGUGCUCCAAUCCCAGUCCUCUAAGAGGUAUCUUUCUUUUCUGAGCAACUACAUAUUCCCCAAGAAGUGCUUUACUAACCUGAUUUGAUGAGCCUAAAUUAUUAAGACUAUACUUUGGAUAAAGGAAAAAAUAUGAUUCAAUUGAAACCUAGAAGUACAAAAGUACCUGCUGCAGUAACACAUUUAUCGCCCUCGAAGGUGGACUGCACAUCAUAUUCACUUUUAAGAAUCCCUAUCCGAUUUUCUGUCUUAAGGCCUUGUCCACCACAGGCUUCACGGCACUCCUGAUGCAAAGAAAAAAUUUCUCAAAGUUGGAAAUAAUGAUCCAGGGCAUAGUUUUGGUUUGGGAAAAACUAUAACAGAGAAUACUUCUUUUUGCCCCUAGGUUAUCUAGCUAUCCAAGACAAUGAUCACAGGGACAAGCAGGCAUAAAGUGAGGGACAAGAAUAUAAGGGGACAGAAGAACUAAUUUUGACCACAUUUUUGCUGCAGUUGGCAGAGUAAAAAUAUGUGCAACCAAAAAGUAAAGAAGACAAAUGGAUAAGAUAUACAAGACCUGCAAUGUGCUCAUAUUUUGCCAGGUCAAUACGGCUUUGAGAGCACUAGAAUAAAUGUGUAUUGCUUUGUUCGACUCAUAUCUACAAUUGUCACUAAAUUUACAAAAGAAGAUUUCGUAAUUUCUAGCAACAAUUAGUAACCAGUGGUUCUUCCAAUCAAAAAGCUUGUAUAAGUACAGAGAUGUCUGAACUAUAGCAGGAAUAAACAACUAAAAGGAACUCUUAAAAGGCGUAAGCGAGCAAAAUCUAGAUAUUGAGGAAGUAUGAAUAUAUCACUAAGAAUUAGCAUGCGUACAAGAAAGGGACAUUGAACUCCUCAUUUAGUUGGCGUGGCCACACCUUCGACUGAACCUGUAAGGCGAAAGAAACCCAGAAGGAUCCCUAGCUGCCCACCCAAGCCUGCCAGCGCCGCACUCAGCAUCCAUUGCUGAAAUAUCUAGUCAGUAUCAGAGAGACCAUAGAAAUUAAAUGUCAAAUUCUGCUAAAAGUACCAACAAAUGCAGAAUUGUAAGUGUCAAAAACAAAGUCCCAAUCUCAAAAUCCAAUAAAAUAUUUGUUCCAUUUCAACAUCAAUUUUUGGAUGAAUACCAAAUUGGCAUUCACAAGCACACUCUGCCUACCUUUUGUUGAUGCGCCUUCACUGUCUCACGCAAUUUAUUGAUCUUCAUAUUGACCCUCAAUUGCUUCUCCUGGAAGUUGUACAAUUAUAAGACAUGUAUUAGUACUUAUAAGACAUGUAUUAGUACUUCAUUAGUACCCUCAUAGAAGUCCUAUAGUUUCAUAAAGAAUUAAGAUGGUAGAGUUUCUAACUGUUCACAAGCAAAAUAAACUCCAAACAUACAACAUGCCUUAACAUAGCUGACACCUAAGUCCUUUCUUGUGUACCCUCGUGCUAAAUUUCGCAUUACAUAUUGAUUGUAAUCCUUCAGAAUCCUCAUUAGGAUAUCCGAUGUUAGAAAAUUAGACAUAAUAAUAAUAAUAAUUAAAUCCCUUACAUAUUAGAAAAUUAGAAACGAAACACAAAAGUAAUACCCUGAUCCUGAAAUCGAAAAUAAAAGAAGAGGUAUUAAGAACAAAAAGCAGAGAACCAAAAGCUUUACCUGCUCCUCCAGAAAUUCACUUUCACUGUAGUCUGGACACUUUUCUGUAACCUGUUGAUCGAGAUAAUAAAUGGGAAUUAAAAAUUGAUCUUCGAUAAUGUUUUCCAAUACUCAUCAAAAGGGAUCACUUACACUGCAAUUUCAGAAGCUUCUCAUUUGUCAGUUUCUCAAGAGCUAAUGCCAACUCCAUUGCUGAACAAAUGAAAGAAAGUGUGUCAUAGCAAAUCAAAUUUGCAUCAGAUGCAGAAUGAUAUUGCUAGUGAGCACGCAUGAGCACAACCUUCUGAGUUGUUCAAUUUUAUUAUAUGAAAUCAUAAAUUAGUAAGGAAAGUAUGGCACUUGUUGGUGGGUAAUAUACCUUUGUAAUCUUAGGUUCCUUUCAAACAACCCAAUACAAUACAUUAAUAUAAGAAAGACACAAAGAAACUUCAGAUAUGGAUAUUUUACUCUUCUUUUUUUUUUCUAAAUUUGCAAGGCACUAUUAAGUCAAAGAGCCAAAUAAAGUUUAAUUGAUAGACACAUAGUCACACUCAACUUGCAUAAUCAUAGUGCGAUUGAUGCAACAAUUCUUUAUCUAAUACCAUUUUACAAAGUAGAUUCUUCGAUUCUUCCUCUUUCGUGGCACCUCUGUAAGCCAUAUAUUUCACAAAUAAUAGAAACGAUGUGGAUGUAAAUUAUUAAAUAAAUGCAUAGACACGCUACGCUAUUCAUGUAAACUUAUCAUGACAACAACAGAUGAGUAAAAUACAAUCUGACAAUUGAUCUACAAAUGGCUUGUUCCAUGCUAAAAAAAGUAACGCCGAAAAGAAGCUUACCAUACAAAGCAUCGCCUUUCUCAGCAUGAUCAAACUCACUAUGCACCCAGAGAUGCAACUUAUGUCAGCAUUGGAAAUUUAACAGCUAAUGCAGAACGGCUAAACUACUUCAAUAAUAGAGUCCACUUCUUCAAUAACAAUCCUGAAACAAUCAAAGACUAAACUUAAUGUUGACGAAAAACUUUCUAUAGUCUAGCACCUCAGAUAUGAAUCCAUGAUUAGCACAUGAACUUAUAUAAGUUGAUAAAUAAAUCCAAGUAAAAGCAAUUCCUAGUAAAGUAAACUAGAUGCUUGAUAAGUAUACUGUUAUCGAUCUAGUAGAAAACUUGCUAUUUAAUGAGUUUCUGCUGUUUGAUCUUACGAAAGGGCAUCAUGAGCCACAUAAUCAAUCUGAUGUUUGUCCAGGAACUCCUUUGUGAGGACCCAUGGAGCAUCAGGAAUAACCUCGUCGACCCACCUACAAUGAAUAAGGAAAACUUUUAACAGCAGGACAUUGAUAAAAACAGUUCAUGAUGCAUUAAUAAAUAUUUUAAAUACAUGCAAUUUAAUUAUAAUUUAACUAUUCAUGGUCAUUAUAAACAUAGAGGAAUUAAAUAAAAAAUGAGGCCAUUGAGUGUCGUUUUACCAAUGCAAUGUUCGAGUGAGAGGCAUCAUACCAAACAUUUACACAAAUAGAAUAACAAACAUGCAUACAAAGACUUGAUGACAAUCUAAUAGAGCUUAUGUCCCUGAAGAACUUAGCAAUCUAACAUAAAAGACGUAGUCCACACGUGGAAACGGCAAACCACAAAAUAGGAUAGACAUAAGAUAAUUGCAAGCUAAAAACACUUAGAGGUUUCAGUUUUGAUGAGGUCCCUUACAGCCACUGAAGUUGCUCGCUCUUCAAUUGAGGAUAGCGGAGUUGUUGCUAGUUCCGGUUCUUGCACUUCUCCACAGCUCUCGGAGCUACAUAUUAGCAUUAAGAGACGUUAAUGCUAAUAUGUUUGUUUUAUUUUUUCUUUGUUUUAUUUUUUCUUUUUUACUUGAAUGAUGGUUAAGAAAGGAGCCAUUGAUAACUUGUGAAGACAACAUGAUAGCCCUCAAAAAGGUAGAUUAGAGUGUGUAGUUUUACCAAUGCAAUGUUCUAGUGAGAGGAUGAGGAGAAAAAGAAAAAAAAAAAACCUGCAAAGAAGCAUCCCUGCAUUUUAGGCACUGGAAUUUUCAAAUUGAAGGCCGUUCGAUCUGGAGGUUUGUUCAUAUUUCUAUAUGCUGUUUGACUUAUCAGUUCAUCCAUACACAAAUUAAUGCUACUGAUAUUUGUUGUCCUUGAAAUCAUAUAUUUAGGCAUUACUAUAUAGCUUCAUUUUUGUUAAAAUUGCAUUCAGGUUAGCUGAAUGUAAUUGAUGGUUUGUUAUUUGGAUCUAUUUGACAAAUUGACAAUCUCAUAUUAGGUCAAAACUUGUUGGCCAAAACAUAUGGACUCCCCCAGGACUAGCUUUUGAACUUCAGCAUCUAUUUAAAAAAAAAAAAAAAAAAAAAAAAAAAACUUAAGAUCUCAUUGCUUGAUUGUAGAAAAUUGCGCCAGAACUUGAAAGCACUAAAAUCAUAAUCUCCUCUUUUCUCCCUAUAGAAUUAUAUAAUAUAUUUUUCUUUUCGCCUAAAAUAUAUACUUUCAUUUGCUCAAGUAGUGAACAACUAAUACCUAUUUAAAAAAUUAAGUGUAACCAAUCAGAGAAUGAAGAGUACUCAAGUAGCUAGUUUCACUAAUUAGAUGAUUUCACAAAGGAAUUCUCCAAUUGAGCUGUACAGCAGGAUUGUGAUAUCCCAAUUAAAUUUUCUAAGUAGCCAACUCAAAAAUUUACUGUUAAUUAAAAUAUUCUAAAAGCAAUCAAAGUAUGAAACUAAGUGUUGGAGGAGGCAAAAUUUAGAUCAAAAAAUUAAUUAAAUUAGAGGGGGUAAGAGGGGAAAGGAGGGAUGCGUACUUGAUGCGACGGAUCUCCUCGAGGAACUGGAGAUCGUAGACCUUGUCGGCGACGGCGAAGUGGACGACGCUGGCGCUGUGGUGGCGCUCGAUCGAGGUGGUCGACGGCGACGUUGCGCCGGUGCACACGCGGCAGAGAAGAUCGGGGCGAAUGCGAGGGCGAUUUGGGACUGCGAUCGGAGCUUGGAGAGGACGCGGAGGAAGAGGGAGGAGGAGAUGAGUAGAGGUGAAAGAGAGAGCGAGAGCUCGAGCUCACGCGGAGGGGAAGAGCUCGAGCUCGAAGAGGAGGGGGUGAGGGAGAGAAGGGGUCGACGCAGGGGAGGGAUGUGGGGGAGUGGGAUCGGGUUGGGUUCGGGUAGGGUGAGUGUGAGGGUUAGGGUUACGGUUAGGGUUAGGUUUGUAUUAGGGCUCAAAGUAAAUAUAUUUAAUAAUAUUAGUCGGUAAAGAUAUGUAGUUUAAAAUAAUUGCCGCUAUAAGUACAAUUAGAUAAUAAGUAAUAGUGGCCGUUCAAUAAUCGCCACUAUUAAAUUACCACUAAAAGGUAAUUUUGUUGUAGUGACCUCUCCUUCUCACAAUAUGAGAAGAUUCACGAUUACCUAUCUUCACUAAUCCAAAGUCUCUAGCUUUAUACAAGUGCUUAUGAGAAGUUCCGUGAAACAAUACCCAUAUCAAUGACCCCAAUCAACACUUAAAAAAGUAGAUCCAAUAUUAAUACAUUCAUAACUACAUAUACCCAAAAUAGCAACAUCAUUAUUAAGAGUACAAUAGCUCCUUCCUUUUCAUCUUCUUUGGACUUUGCUUCUUUCUUUAUCCUGUCCUCUUUUAUCUUUCUUAUAUGUCCAACAUACCUUUUUCAUAUGACCUUUCAUUUUGCAAUAGUAGUAUCUAAUAUCUUUUUUUAAUUUUGACUUGCUUCUUGAUUUGUAUCGAUCAACAUGGUCAUGGUCAUGGUCCUUUAACCUUCCCCGAUUCUCUAAAAUAAGAGCUUACAGUAUAGAUGCAUCGGAGACUUUUCUUCUUGUUUCUUCAUUCAACAAAAAAUUUAUAACAUAAUUCAUAGAGACAAUCUCAUUCAAUACCAAAUUACUAAGUACAACUACCCAAAUCUCCUAUGAGUCUAGCAGAGAGCUUAACAACAACAAUGCUUGAAGUUCAUACUCAAGCACCAUCUUCAUUGAAAUGAGUUGGUUCACUAUGCUUUGAACCUCAUUCAAUUGCUCCAACAUUGGAGUUCCACUCUUAUACUUUAAAUUCAAUAAUUUUCAAAUAAGAAAUGCUUUAUUUUCGAUGAUUUUUCUAGCUCAUAGAGUUUUUUCCACAAACACGGGGGCCUGGUUAGUUCACCGAAACUAAAGUUUGGGUUGAAGUAGACUUUGAAUUGAAGGUCAGGUAAAAACUACUUCCUCGUCGUUUGUUUUCAUAACUAUGAAAGUAAAAUUUAUUCAGCUCUGUUGCUUGUAUAGUAGGAAGUGAAUGAUAUAAACUGUAAUUUAUAUAUAAGUAAUAAAUAAAUAACUUAAUAAAUAAUAAGUUAUAAUUAUAAUAAAUAAAAAUAAUAUAAUUAUAUUCUGUUAAAUAUGUCUCGAAUUCUAGUACCGCAAAGUUUUCUAACCCUAUUCUGUUUUGAUUAUCCCAUUAAGUUUAAAUUAUGUCUAAUUUUAUUGAGAUAUUCCUAAUCUUAGUGGAUUUGUAUUCCUAGUUGUAUUAGGAUUUAGCCACUAUUAUAAAUAUACCCUUUAUUCCAUUGGUUUAGUGCGGAAGUUGAGAGAGAGAAUAUGGGUGUAUUUUUGGAAUUAGGGUUUUGUGAGAGAGGCAUAUUUUGUACACCACUUUAAUUAUUAUGAAGAUCUCUGCUCCGUCUUCCCCCGUGGACGUAGGCCGGUGGCCAAACCACGUAAAUAUUGUGUGCUUUAUUUUGCUUCUCUCUUUCUCAGAUCUCGUUCGGUAUUUUCGCACCCGACGAACUAGUAUCUUCUCGGUUUUAGUUCUAACAUAUUCCUAUAUAAUUAAAAAAAAAUUAAUCUAAAACAACUAAAUUUUUUUUUAUACAUAAAUUAUAAUAAUAUAACAACCAAAUUCUAAAGUAAAAAAAAUAUAUAAUACUUAACUAAUCAAUUUUUAUCAUAUUUUAAAUGUACAAACCAAAUGAAGGGAAUAGUAAAACUUAACUAAUCAAUUUUUUUCCUAUUUUAAGUAUGCAAACUAAAUUAAGAGUAAUUGCUACCUUACAUAUAACUAUGCAUUAUCCAUUUUAUUAUUUUAUUAUUUUUGCUUCACCUCUCUUCACCAUAAUUAUCCUGUUUCGGAUAACUUGAAUUUCGACCGAUAGCUUUAUUACGACGAGCCAAACAGUAUAAGUGAUUAUUUAUAGUUGAAAACAACUUUACCUCUCUCCACUUUUACUGAAACAAACAAGCUCUUUAGCAGACGUCUCAUUUAUUACCAAAUGAGUAACAUGUUGUUUGACGAAUAGUGGCCUUCGUUACUAAAUCUAAUUUCUUCCACUGUUUCUCGGACAUAUACUUCGACUUACUAUCCUCACAUGGUGUUUACUAAUCUUUACAAAAGAUCCUCCAUUUUUGUUUCCAAAUAGCCAACUAUAGUUCCAAUUGAGUGACACCAUUCUACUAGAGGUUCCCGACUCCAUAUUAAUCUAUGGGCAAACCCAAAUAUUUUGGCUCUGAGACCACUUGUUGGGAGAAGAAAGAGGCUUACAUUCUUCCACUAUGCAAGAUCAAAUGGAAGAGGCCUAAAAUAGAUUAAUUCAAAUAAUAUUACACUAUAAAGAGAGUAACAAUAAAGAAAAUAUAAACCAACUAAAAAAUUAAAUAUCAAAUUUAUGUGGAAACCCUAGAAAGGAAAAAAUUACAGGACUACCUCCGAACAAUCCAUCUAAUAUGAAAUGAAAUGAGUACAAUUUCUCUAAUCACUACUAAAGACAUGAAUUAUAGGAAUCAAAUCAAUUGCUCCAAAUAAAGAGAAAUAUCAAAAAGAUCUCACCACCAAUGUUGUUUGUAAAACAUCUUCCAAGAAAACCUUCCAAUAAGAUAAUCGGGUUCCUUUGGCUCCCCACAAAGCAGGCUUUAAAAAACCUUUCUAACAAGCCUAGCAAUAAUGGCCUUCAAUCAGUGUUUAAAAAAGCCCAAGGCGCACCUAGGCGCAAAGGGCUGUUGGAGCCUAGGCGCAAGGCGCAAGGCGCAGGCGCGCGCCCGAGAGAGGUCAUGUGCACAUUUUCAUAGAAUUUUGAAACAAGUAAAUAACCAAGAAGUGUCUUACUAUACUUUCUAAUAAUUAUUAAAUAGCACUAAAUAUACUCUAUAAAUCAUAUUAUCACAAUAAAUAUUCUAUAAUUACCCAAAUAAUCACGUUUCCAAAAGAAAAAAAAUUAGAAAAAGAAAACAAGCCAAGCAACAUAUAUGAUAAUUUUGAAAAAGAAAAUAACAUAGAUAAAAGUAAAGAACAAAUUAUCUUUUUUAUCUCCAAAUAAAGACCAGCAUAAAGGUAACUAUUAAUUCACAAACAUAUAAAAAAUUUUGAUGUGAAAAGCAUAUAAUUAUAAGCACAAGAUCAUAAAAAGUAAUAUGCAUAAAAAUUUAAAAUUUCAAGCCAAAAAUCAUUAAAAAAAACAUCAUGAUCAUGUGAAAGCAGUGAUUAAAAAAGCACAUUUUAAUAUAGAGGGAGAGGCGAGUUGAGGUGAAGAAGCAGAGAGGAAUAGCCAGAGCCAACCGGAGGUGAUGGACGAGCGGGAGAGAGGAUCUGUCCGAGCGGGGAGAGGGAGAGGGAGAGGGAGAGGGAGCGGACUCAGCGAGAGGAGAGGGAGCGAACUCGGCGGGAGAGAGAUGGAGCGGAUAGAUGUUUCGGUUUUAAAACUUUAGAUUAGAUUGGUUUUUGGUUUAUUUUACAUGUUUUAAGCCCAUUAGACCAAUAAAUAUAGGAUCCAAACCCAUUAAAGCAUAUAUUUUUAAAUCCAAACCCGGUAGAAUCAAAUAUAUAUUAGGCGCGCCUUUCUUGCGCCUUGCCCUAGGCGCACGCCUAGGCAAUGGUGCCAGCCUAGGGGCUGCCUAGGCGCUGGCCAUUGAGCCUUUUUUAAUCACUGCCUUCAAUAGCUUCUUCUUUACCCUUCUCUCCUUCUUUUUUUCUUUUGCAAGAGAAAAUAGAAAAUCUUUUUUCUAUCUUUCAUCUCCAAGCCCAUAACUCUUGGAGAUAUAUGAAUAACUGAGGAAAAUAAAUUCUUAUUGGCCUAACCAUUUAGGGCAUGAACCCAAAUGGCUCCAACAUAAUCCUUUAAAAUGAAUUCAACUAAAUAUGUGCACUUUUGUACAUUAACUCCCUCAUGAGAAGGGACACCACAACAAUAACUACAUAUAAAUCGCUAGUUGGCAACCAUAAGUAAACCACCGCUGAAACUACCACAACCAUGCAAAAUGAACCAUUGUCAAAACACAAUUAUUGAUGAAAUUCCGUCAACCACCGCCACCAAUGCCAUUAUAUAUCAUCUACUUAUUAACCAAUAAAGUGACUUCUCAGAAGCUCUCUUUUAAACCACACAUAAAAUCUAGCGAAACACAAAAAAUAUAUCAACUAAAAUCCUAUCUAAUUUUGUACGACAAUGCUAUAAAACUUCUAAACAAACAAAUGGUUGCAGUGUUAGUUGGUGUUAGUUCCAAACAAAAAUGUUAUUUACAGGCUAAUGAAUAGUUUGCAGUUAUCCAUCAAUCCCUUAGCAUUAUAGGAAGUUUAUUUCUAAAUGAAAUAAAUGAAGCGGGUAGCAUGCUACCUUUCUCUCAAAAAAAAAAAAAAAAAGAAAGCUAAAUCACGUGGGGCAAUUUAAAGUUUACCCCAAAAAAAUUUCUUGUAGUAGCUUUCAACUAAUAAGAUGUAACUUCUAAGAGAUGAUCAAAAUGAUACAAGAGACAGUGAGGAACAGAAUGGUUCCACAAAUAGGCUGGAUUAAUAGUAAAUAAAAAGGAAUACCAAACUUGCCUGUUUAAACAAGAUACUGUCAAGUUCCUCUAAAUUUGGAUAAAAGAACAAUUCAAGUUAUCCUACUCUAUUCUCCAACUAAGUGAUGUCUCUAAGUUGCUUGGUUUGGUCAAAAUAUCAAUUGAGAUGCAAAAACCUUGAGUGGAUAUGCUAUGUGUACCACAUGCAUAAGAGGAUGUUCCCAAGUACAAGCAUGCAUUAGAAACAAAAUAAGUACCCAACCUAUUAUGUUACUCGUAUUUGAACUGUGUACAAGUUAGUAACAGUUAAAAGAGGUAUAUUACUAGUUAGUUCAAUUUGCUUGAUUAGGUACAAAAUGUAACCUCGCGAAGGCAUUUAAGUUCUGUGAACAUAUAUAUAUUGAUGCAGUUCUUGUACAAAAAUGGUUUAUCUUCCAAAAGGCACUACCUAAGCUCUUUCUACAGAUACUUCAUGCACUGUCGAGCCAACUCACAUAGCUAGUGAUCUGAAAUGUCAACAACAGCAAAGUGUGAGUUUUCCACAAACACCCAAUUGGCAAGCAGUUUAUGCCAAAGGAAUUAAGCAAAACAAGAGCAAAGAUAGAGCAAACUAUAGAGAUCAACUUAAUUCUCUAUGAAGGAUAUAAUGCAAAACAAGUCGAAACAUAUUGAGAACUUGCAAUUAAGCAAAACAAUUUUAGCUCAAACAAUUAGAACAUCUAAUCAAUGAUCAAAGGAAUGGUAUUGAUUCAUUUGUAAUUUUUCUUUGAACAGAGCAGAAAAAAGGUGUCUCUAAGUAAUUAGUGGUAAAAUUUUGUCGUAAGAUUGAUAACCUAAAAAAGAGCAUCUAUGUGAUUAGAAAGGGACGCCUAAGAGGCGCCUUAGUGCUUAUGCGCUAAGCUUAGACACCUGUUUCUUGAGGCACCUCAGGCGAGGCUCCUCUUCUAGGCUCGUGCAUGGAGGGCCUAGGCCCACGCCUGAGCCCAAGACCUAGGCGCACAAGGGACAUGCCUCCAAGGAAUCUUGAUUUUUUUUUUCCUUUAAAAUUUUGGAUAUUUUUAAUAGAUUUAUGAAAAAUUUUAUCUUCUUCGUCACUGAAUUUGUGAGAGUUCAUUAUUUUGCCAUAAUAUAUAUGAAAAAUGCUCUAUUGUUUGAGCCCCCAUAUUUUCUUUACAUAUGCUAUCUUGUCCUCUUACAUAUGCUAUUUGGUUUCUUUUCAAUUUUUUUUUUUUUUUUCCAUCUUUCAUUUUCUAGUGUGGUAACAAAUCGUCUGUUGUGAUAAUUUGAUCGUACUUACUCUUAUCAUCAUUUAAUAAUUAUAACUAUGUCUUCAGAAGAGCACUGUAUUUAGCUCUAAAAAAUAUGAAAAUGUGUGCUCACCUCUCCCAGGCGCGUACCAGCACCUUGCGCCCAGGGACUAGGAGUGCUUCGCGCCUUUAUCAAUCUUGCGCUUUUUCGAACUAUGUAACUCAUCUACGCUUCAAAAAAUCAAUUAAUUAGUUUGAAAUAUCCUACCAGAUAUAUCCGAUACAAUACUCAAUUAGUUUGAAAAACUUCUACCACAUACAUUUAUUAAUGCAAUACUUAGAUGUAGCAUGCUAUCUCGUGUUACCUGUCAUGCUAGUUAUCUUCUUCAGGAGCUCCUUCAUAACCAAGGGGCAACUUAUUCUCAGGUGCUCAAACCCUCCUGUCUCUAUGACUGCAGCCAGCACUCUGGGAGCGGCGACAAAAUCGAGGCAGACGGCUUUCAGCCGACCGCAUUGGUGCUGCUCGGCUAAUGCCAAUGUGUUUGCCACCGUGUCGAUUUCCAUUUCCCGGCACAACUUGUCUUCGCAGAUUAACUUGAGCCUCUCCAAUCCAUAUCGAUCCGCAGCAACGAGAAGGUGCUGCGCCAUCGUGGUCGAGGACUCCUUGUCAAGCUUUUCCAUGUUCGAGGGCAGCGUAUCCGAGUAGAUGAAAUGAAGCAGAGCCUUGAAUACGGCGGCUUCCAUGUCGUCGAGCUUUAUGCGGCUCGCUCUCCCUUCCUUCAUACUACCAAAGAGUUCCGCCCUGAAGACGGGCGACCGCGCGGCGAGCACGCAUCGAUGCGCCGCGAAAGUCUCCCCGCCGACUUCAAAGGUCACGUCUGUGCCCUCUCCGCUCUCCAACAGCCGGCCGAGGUGCUGGGGCAAGUCGGAAGGCGGCGCCGCGUCUGCGUUGCCAACUUGUAAUCUCGGAGCUUUCGCGACGGUAACAGCGCAAUAGAUAGUAAAGCAGUCAUCUUUGAGAUACCGUGAUUUCUCGAGAUCAGCUCUCCGCAUGAAUCGAUCCCAACCCCAACUGGAAUUGUCUUUCGAAAAAGCGUACGCGUUGCUUAGGGCUUCCGAGGAUGCCCCAGUUUGGUCGAGCAAAUUUAUAGUGUAGUGUACCUGUACAUUAAUAUCAUCCACAUCACUUUGGAAUGUCAGAAAGAUGCCGAUGUAAUCGGACUUGUAAUUUCGGUCCCCAUCAGGAAAGCAUUCCAAAAUCCAGUCGUAGCCGCCGACAGUGAAAGGGGCAGACCGGAUGGACUUGCCGACGCCAAUCCCCUUCGCCAGAGAGUAGUCGGCGAUCUUGAAUAGGUGGGACCCGCUCGCCUUCUCCAUCAUCCACGUCGACGAGGAAGAAGCCAUGGAUGGAUGGUGGAGUCCACUCGACGAAAGAAACGAGGGUUUGCUCUCGUCCCUAGGGUUUAUUACAACAAAGAGUCGUAACUAGGUAAAUGGGGGGAUUUUUUUCGAAAAUAACUCCGUAAAAUUUCGUAUUUGCCAAAUUAAUCUUGUGAAACUUUUAUUUGUAAAACUAACCCUCCUCUCGCCACGUGGGAGCUACGUCAGGAAUUCCUCAAAAAAACGGUGAAUCGUUCACCAUCUUUGAUAUUUGUUGUGAAGGCGGUGAAUGAUUCACCGUCUUCAUAAGACGGUGAACCAUUCACCGUCUUUAGUACAAAUCCCUACUCUGCGCAAAUCUUUUCAAGUCCAUAAUAUGGUGUCCUUGAUAAGACGGUGAAUCGUUUCCCGUCUUCUCGAGGGCACCGAAACGACGGACUUGAGAGGGCGGAAAGGAAAAUUUUGCACUAAAGGCGGUGAAUGGUUUACCGCCUUCUAAAAGCGGUGAACCAUUCACCGCUUUUACAACAAAAAUUACAAAGACGGUGAACGAUUCACCGUCUUUUUGAGAAACCCCUGACGUGGCGCCCACGUGGCGAGAGGAGGGUUAGUUUCACAAAUAAAAAUUUCACAGGGUUAGUUUGGCAAAUACAAAAUUUUACAGGGUUAUUUUCGAAAAAAGCCCUAACUGGGGAUGUCCUUGGUUAUGGAUAUAUCUAAAAUAUUAUGGCGAUUCGAAUCCAGCAUAUUUAUGAGUGAAUUUAGCUUCAAUUGCCUAUAUUAAAAAAAUCUGGCUGAUUUAUCCUCAAUCCCAAUCGGAUCCAAAUUCGAAUUAAUUUUAUAAUAUAUAAUAGGCUAAAUUAUAGAAACUUUUUUUAUAAAGUAUUCAUUUUUUCAUUUUUUCUUUUUAAUUUUUAUAAUUUACAUUCAAAAUGCCCUCUAAAAAGACAAAAAUAAAUUUAAAAAAAUCUUCUUUAUAGAAAAGGUAAGGACAAUUUAAUUAUUUUGCUACCUUCAUUAACGUCGUACCAUCUAAAAAUAUUUCUGAAAUUUUAAAAAUGUAAAGUAUAGAUUUUUGAAAGUCAGGAAGGUCAAAUGAAUAAGUAGGUAUUUACAUAGAUAUUUUAUCUAAUUUAGCCUAGAGAGAGAGAGAGAGAGAGAGAGAGUUGAGCUAGAAUACUAUCGGUAGUAAACGAGUCGUUUUACUACCGAUUUGUUUUCGAUGAUAGAACUUCCAAAUUGACGAUCGGCUCUGUUGAACAUGAUCUAUACCACUUGAAGUGUUUAGAAAUCAAAUUUCAUAUCUUUUCGACAUCAUUUGCUUAAUGAUCAAAGGGUUGCAAAAUUUGUAAUUUUAAUGGUCGAUAAGAGGCGUUUUCUUGUUUAACAGUGUAAAGAUAUCUAAAUCAAUUAAAUUUUUGUUAGAAAAUUCUUUAAACUAUUUAAAACAAGAUCUAUACUCUUGAUCUUAUUACAAGAUCUCCUCAUCAUCAUUUUUUUUUACAAAGUAUUCAUUUUUAGCCAUUUUCAUUUUUCUGUUUCACUUGAUGGUCGACAAUAUCGAAAGUGCGUGAACAAUUUGAUUUCCUAGAUAGUUAAAUGGUUUAGAUCAUAUUUACCGGACCGAUCCGUCAAUUAUGGAAGCCUCUAUCAUCAGAAAACAAAUUCGGUAAUAAACGGCUCGGUUUACUACGAUAGUAUCUCUAGCUCAACUCCUAUAUACUAUUUGUCCGGCUAACUAUGCUAUCGAUAGCACGGAGUGUUCGUACGUACCAAGUUGUGUUUCGAUGAUGCGCUUCCAAAUCGAGUUGGCUCUGAUUAGACGAUUGAUCUACACUAUUGAAAGUAUUUGGAAAACUAAUUUUCAGAUUUUUUCGACCAUCCAUUUGACUAGCUGAAUCAAAGUCUCAAAAUGACAAUUUUAAUGGCCGCCUGUGGUGUGUGUGUGAGUUUAACGGUGUAAAACAAUCCAAAGUGCAGAUGAAAAUUUUAUGAAAAUACUUUUCACUAUUUAGAUAGAUCAGUAAUAUCGAUCUUGACAUUUAAUUUUUAUCAUCAUUUUUCACUGAGAUUUUCAUUUCAGCCGUUCAACUUUUAGACUACUUGUUGAUAGGUAAUGAUAUGGUAAUCUACUCCUCGAGAUCAUUUUCACACAUUAGAUUAUACUACUUACCAACACCCACCACUCAACCCUAGAGGGUCCACAUCAUCUAACGCAUAUCUUUAACUCCAAAUGGCUAAAAUUACAAGCACAAUAUUGAUACUUUUAAAGCAUAUGGAGUCAAUUAUAUAUAUAUAUAGUAUAUAGAGUCGGCUAUAGUGUUGUAAAAGUACCAAGCACUUUGCAUGCUUGUAAUUUUUUACCGAUAUAAGAAUUUGGCCUUGAUCAUUUUACCAUUAGAUUAUACUAUUCAACCAACCACCUACUCAACCCUAGGGGGCCCACAUCAACCUACUAACCGCACAUCCUUUAGUCCAAGGGCCGAAAACUUACAAGCACCAAUAUUGGUAUUUUAAAAGCAUGGAGCUCAUUCUCUCUCUGUCUCUCUCUCUCUCUGCUCCCUCCCUCUCUCUCUCUCUCCCUCUCUCUCCUCAUCAUCUCUCUAUAUAUAUAUAUAUAUAUAUAUAUAUAUAUAUAGGCCGUGGCUAUUAUGCUAUUAUGAGUAUUGGAGCCCUCAUACUCAUAAAUUGUUUUCGAUGAUGGAGCUUCCGAAUCAACGAUCCACUCCAUUAAAUAUGAUCUAGAGUAUUUGAAACUUAUAGAAAAUAAAUUUCGUAAAUUUUCGAAAUCAUAAUAAAGUCCAUCAAGCAUGCAUAAGAUGAACGGUCAAAAUCGAACGACGUCCUACAAAAGGAUGAUCGGAUCCUUCAAUUCAAGAUCAGAGUUAUUGAUCUUUAUCUAGGUAGUGAAUAAAAUUUUCUAUCAAAAAUUCAACAAACUCUGAUUCUUUUACACCGUUAAACUAGCAAGUAUCCCAUACUGGCCAUUAAAAAGUGUCAAAUUUGUGACCUCUUGAUCGUAAGGUAAAUGAUGUCGAAAAAUUAUAAAAUUUGAUUUUUAAAAGUUUUAAAUGUUGUAAAUAACGUUUAACGGUAUGGAUCGUCGAUUCGGAAACUCUAUCAUCGAAAAUGAUUUAUGCGUACGAGAGCGAUCGUACUCAUAAUAGUAUAGUAGCCGGACCCUAUAUAUAUAUAUAUAUAGAAUUAGGCUACUAUACUAUCUAUAGUACCGGAGCUCCGGUACUAUAGUCUUGUUUUCGAUCUUAGGGUAUUCAAAUUAACGAUCCACACCAUUAAAUAUGAUCUAGGGUAUAUGAAGUUCUUAGAAAUAAAAUUUUAGUUUUUUUCGACAUCGUUUACUUAGUAAAUAAAUUAUGUCAAAAUGGACGGUGGAAAUUGAAUAAUCUUUAAAAUUUGAGUAUAGGACUUUUAAAUUCAAAAUCAAGAAUGUUAACCUUAAUCUAAAUAGUUUAAAGUAUUUUCUAUCAAAAUUUGAAGAAAUUUAGAUUCUUCUACACCGUUAAACUCCAAACUCGCCAUAGUAGCUGUUACGCCCCGAGCCCGAUCCUUUUGGCCGGUUCAAGCGCGUCGAACAGACGUCGAACGGACAGAGCCUCCCCUGUCCGCCCAAGGCUCAACAACAAGUAUCAAUAGAGUAAAAUAUUGCACAUGCGGAAGCAAACACAAUGGCUUGCACGAGGGCAAGCAAUAGCCAAAAGUGAAAGUAAUAAACUAAGGAAAAUUAUUUACAUUUUUGCAUCAUUUCUUCUCUUUUACAUCACAUGAUAUCUCAAAAUAUAAGUCUUGCAUUGAAAUACAAAGUAUCUUAUACAUCAUUCAUUUAACAUGUUCAUAAUACUAAAGUCAUCGAAAUACAAAAGAUGAUAACUAAAGGGUAUGCAACUAAACCAAAAUGUGAAACCAACUCGAGUGGUCUCUAUUUAGGGCGCGAUGCCCUUACCGCGAUCGUCCGCCAGCUCGCUCGGUUCCGGCUAUGUGGAAAUAGCAGGGUGAGAACUACAACAAAGUUCCCAGUGGGUUCGGCAAUCGACCACGCCGACUUUCCCACUAGGUCUAAAUCAGGCAUAAUAGAAGAAAAGAGAUAUAGAUAGUAACCCAACAAUACAAAUGCAGCUAAUAUGCCUGAACAAUAUAUAAUGCAAUGCUCAAUAAUAUGCUCAUGAUGAAUGCAAGGUCACAAUCUCAUUGCUUAAUCUCUUGGCUAACCCGUAGGUUUCACCAUCAACAACUCACCAACUCAAAUCCCAAUAUCGGGGAGGCUACUACACCCGACGGGACAGUCCUCUGGGGAGGCUACUACACCCAGUGAUGAUAACUCCGGAGCACAUCGCCCGAGAGGGAGCUACCACCCUCGAGCAAGGACUUAAAUACAAGUAUGGUCCAGUCCUUAACUAUAAGGAUGUCAAGUUCAAUCCAUUCCUUAACUAUAAGGAAACAAUGUACAUAUAACCCUUAACUCUAAGGUUGUUAUGUCAUAAUGUCGCUAUCACACUUUUACUUGCAUUCUUUACUUUCACUAGUGUCAUAUACACUACUAUUUUCUUGUACUCAUGCCACACUUGUUUUCUAAUUGUUCCAACUCUAGCAUUCUCGACUCGUCGUUGUCACUUUCUAUUUCUAUGUCAAGAUGUCACAUUUGUUUACUAAGUCCACUAAGUUCUUGUUACUUGUCAUGCAUAAAUAGGGUUUAUAAAAUUCUCACAAUCUUGCUAGUAAUCCACAUGCAUUUGUACUCACAACAUGUAAUGAUAUGCUCACAUAUAAUCCUACUAUGCAAUUUUAUGCUCAAUACACAUAUGCUCAAAUAUGACACUUUAGACAUAAAAGAAAUUUCGAGGUCCUCGGAUUGCACCACCCACCUUAGAUGGUUGAGAGGAUGCUACGGUGAAUUUCUUGGGAUUUUUGAAGCUUUACUUUUUCGCCUGCGGCAAAACGAAGCCAAAUUAGGGUUUUUCUCAAUAACUCCAUCUAAACCUUUUCGUAACGUCAAACGGAGUUGUCCCACGGGUCGGGAAUACCCCUAAUUAGGUUUCUACAAGGUCAAUUUGCCUUAAAAACACUCGGAGGCAAAAGCCCCAAAUUGGGUGCCCUAAUGUCGUCAUUUGCAAAAUCCUAGGUUUUGAUCUCUAAAACAAGCAAAAGAGAGCUUGUCCCACAUCUAGAAGUUUAUCUAGAACGAUCUAAACCAAUUCUAGGGCUUAGAAUGUAAACCCUAAAAAUCCACCAUUAGAGCACAUGAAGAAAACUAGGGUUUUUAUGUGUUCUAAGCCAUUACUAGGUUUCUAUACUCAUUAGAAGAUCAAAACCUAGUUUUUCUAGGACAUAAACCCAAAACCUAACCUAGGUUUUCAUGAAAACCUUACCUUGGCCCAAAGCUCCCCAAGGUCCUUCUUGUUGGAGAGAUCCCAAGCCUCCAAAGCCUCCAAAUCCACCUUCAAUCCCUUCUCCAACUCCUUCUCUUUGGCUUUUGGGGGGAGUUCUAGAGAAAGAAAGAGAGAAAUGAGAGAGGAGGGAGUGGUUGCUGUUUAGAACAGGUGGGAGGGGUGUUGGGGUAUAUUACAUGUUGUAACAAUAGCCAAAAAGCCCUCCAAACACUUGUAUUUGCAGCAGUUUUCAUUUUGCUGUCAGACCCAAAGUGUACCGGUACACUGUAGCUGUCACCGGUAACACAGGCAAAAUUUCUCAAACCAGAGAGCUUUUCCUUCUCGGCCUGCAAUGCUGUACCGGUGACAACUCGAUGGUUGUACCGGUACACUUUGCUCCAGAAUGCAAUUUUGCACCGUUUUCGAUUCUAUUUCGGGCCGUUCGAUGCUAAAAUCUUUCUAACACCUCUUAAACUCAUUUUUAGCCCUUCCAAUAUUGUUGGAAUGCCAAUUGGAACUUAUCCAACUUUUUCUUUCACCUUGUUCACAUUUUAAAUUGCGCCGAACGAUGCUAAAACUUGCUUAACAUCCUCGGGACUCGACUUUGACCUUUCAACGUUGUUGGAAUGUCAACUGGAGUUCGUCCAUCUAUUUCUCUCGGCACUUUAACCAAUUUGGCUAAAGUUCGAUAAUCACUACUGAGGUUUCGAUACGUUACAGUAGCCAUUGAAAAUUGACAGUUUUGAAAUGGUUUGAUCAUAUAAAGUAAACUAUGUUGAAAAAAUAUAAAAUUUUAUUUCUAGAAACUUUAAAUACCCUAGAUCAGUUUUAACGGUGUGGAUCGUUGAUUUGAACACCCUAAGAUCGAAAACGAGACUAUAUAGAGUGUUAGUCUCCUAUACUAUCUAUAGUACCGGGGCUCCGGUACUAUAGUAUCGUUUUCGAUCUUAGGGUGUUCAAAUCAACGAUCCACACCGUUAAAACUGAUCUAGGGUAUUUAAAGUUUUUAGAAAUAAAAUUUUAUAUUUUUUCGACAUAGGUUACUUUAUGAUCAAUACCACCGGCAAAACGGUACUAUAGUUUCAAUGGCGAUCUAUAGCGAGUGUGCAAAUUAACGAUCCACACCGUAAAAAUCUAAAUUUCUUCAAAUUUUGAUAGAAAAUACUUUAAACUAUCUAGAUUAAGGUUAACAUUCUUGAUCUUGAAUUUAAAAGUCCUAUGUUCAAAUUUUAAAGAUUAUUCAAUUUUCACCGUCCAUUUUGACAUGAUUUAUUUACUAAGUAAACGAUGUCGAAAAAAACUAAAAUUUUAUUCCAAAGAAUUUCAUAUAAACUAGAUCAUAUUUAACGGUAUGAAUCAUUAAUUUGAAUACCCUAAGAUCGAAAACAAGACUAUAGUACCGGAGCUCCGGUACUAUAGAUAGUAUAGUAGCCUAAUUCUAUAUAUAUAUAUAUAUAGGGUCCGGCUACUAUACUAUUAUGAGUACGAUCGCUCUCGUACGCAUAAAUCAUUUUCGAUGAUAGAGUUUCCGAAUCGACGAUCCAUACCGUUAAACGUUAUUUACAACAUUUAAAACUUUUAAAAAUCAAAUUUUAUAAUUUUUCGACAUCAUUUACCUUACGAUCAAGAGGUCACAAAUUUGACACUUUUUAAUGGCCAGUAUGGGAUACUUGCUAGUUUAACGGUGUAAAAGAAUCAGAGUUUGUUGAAUUUUUGAUAGAAAAUUUUAUUCACUACCUAGAUAAAGAUCAAUAACUCUGAUCUUGAAUUGAAGGAUCCGAUCAUCCUUUUGUAGGACGUCGUUCGAUUUUGACCGUUCAUCUUAUGCAUGCUUGAUGGACUUUAUUAUGAUUUCGAAAAUUUACGAAAUUUAUUUUCUAUAAGUUUCAAAUACUCUAGAUCAUAUUUAAUGGAGUGGAUCGUUGAUUCGGAAGCUCCAUCAUCGAAAACAAUUUAUGAGUAUGAGGGCUCCAAUACUCAUAAUAGCAUAAUAGCCACGGCCUAUAUAUAUAUAUAUAUAUAUAUAUAUAUAUAUAUAUAUAUAUAUAUAGUCGAGAGAACAAGGGUAAGAAGAUGUCACCGAACGUGCACCACUGUACUGACUUCGGAUCGAAAUACCCACCUGUACGUAUACGGUACCGAUCUUCCAACUGCGGAUGAAGUAACAACCGGACCUACAAAAGGUCCACUGGGCUAGAAUCCAACCCACGAACGCAAAACACUAACUCACAAUCCCCACCAAUAAACCUACGGGAAUCGGUUUCCCUAAAACCGAUUGCCGAACUAGCCGGAAGUCCCAAAAAUAGCACCGGGACUCCGCCGGUACCCACGAACUGUCCCGAAACUCACCAACUCGUGCUACGAGUCACCCGCUGUAACUAAACACCAUUACUCUUGGGACUUGGCAGCAAACGCACCGCCUUACAUCGAANAUAUAUAUAUAUAUAUAUAUAUAUAUAUAGAGAGAGAGAGAGAGAGAGAGAGAUAGAGAGAGAGAGAGAGAGAUAGAGAGAGAGAGAGAGAGAGAGCAGGGCUGCUGUGCUCUCAGGAGCGUGGAGGCCUCAGUGCUCCUAAGCCGUUUUCGAUGAUGGAAUUUUCGAAUCGACGAUUGGCUCCGUUAGACUUGAUCUAGCGCAUUUGAAGUUUCUAGAAAAUAAUUUUUGCGAUUUUUUGAUAUCAUUUACCUAGUGAUCGAAAGGAUUCAAAAUCCAUAAUUUUUAAUGGUAGAUAUCUGCCGUUUUCAAGUUUAACGGUGUAGAAGUAUUCAAAUCAGAUGAAACUUUGAUACAAAAUUUUUUAUACUAUCUACAACAAGAUCAAUAUUUCUGAUCGAAAAUUUUAGUGCUAUAUCACCACUUUUCAUAGGAUUUUUAUUUUCAGCCGUUAAAAAUUAUUGAUUUUGAAUCAUUUCGAUUGCUAGGUAAAUGACAUCGAAAAAUCGCAAAAAUUAUUUUCUAGAAAUUUCAAAUACGCUAGAUCAAAUUUAACGGAGCCGAUCGUCGAUUCGGAAACUCCAUCAUCGAAAACGGCUCAGGAGCACGAAUGCCUCCGUGCUCCUGAGAGCACAGCAGGCCUACGAUAUAUAUAUANGAAGCCAACUUCUCACCGCGGCUUCUCCGAAAAAUCGAGUUACUAUUCACUUUAAGUGAAACUUGGAAAUCGCGUAGAAUUUCCGUUUUAACUCGUUUUCGCCCGAAACUUGACGAGUGCUUUUGUAAUUAAAUUACAUACAAAAACAUCGUCAACUGAGAGUUUAGCUACACUGCAAAAAUCUCAGUCCUUACAGUACAAAAGCACGUAACAAUUAUUUUAAUUUAUUUUAAAUCAAUAAAAAUUUGUAAAUCAUAUUUAUUCAAAAAUUUAGAAUAAAAUAUUUUAUAAUUUUAUAUGUUAUAUUUUAUUAAAAAAUAUGUACAAUAUCCUAUAUUAUUCUCUUUUUUAUAUACAUUAAAUAUUUUUAUAUGUUUUACGAUUACUAAAAAAUUUAAAAUUUAAGUAAGUGUUUUAAACUAAAAGCAUCAAAAUUUAAUCGACAUUUAUAUCAAAAUUUAAAAUUUAAUUUUGAUCCAUUAUAUAAUUAAAAUUUUUUAAUUGUUAAUUCAAUUUUGAUGUCAAAAAUCAAAAAAUAAAUUUAAUUCACGAUUUAAACUAAAAUUUAAAUUUUAAUGUAAGAUAGAUAGAUUGAUUUGAUAUCAAAAAUCUAAAAUUAAAUUUAAUUCACGAUUUAAACUCAAAUUUAAAUUUCAAUGUAAAAUAAAUAGAUAGAAGUGCUAUUUUUUAAUAGAUUGAUCAUAAUCGUUCACUUUUAUUUUAAAUAUUUUUAACAGAUUGAUUAUAACUUUUCGUAGAAUUGAAUUUAUAGAUGGAUAUAAAUAUUACUUUUUUUCAAAUUAAUUAUAACCGUUUGUUCUUAUUUGAGAUAAUUUUUUAUAAAUUGAUCAUAAAUUUAUACAUCAUAUUAAUUCAAAUAUAUGAUUUACAAAUUUAUCAACCAAUCAAUCUUUUAAAUUAUUUCCGAUGUAAUAUGUUGGUAGUCCUAAAUUUUAAAAUUUUAAAUUAAUUUUAAAUUUUGAAUUAAAAUAUAGAUUUAUAGUAGAUAUUCUGGCAAAAAUUUUGUAUAGUGUUCUAGAGCUUUGGAUAGGAUUGGCUUCAGUGUUAGUGACUGGUCGAUACAUCUGGAGAGUGUCGGACUGAGUCGGAGUCCUUUCUGCGCGAAAUGGGUGCAAAAAAUGGAUUCGGCGCACUCAAAUAAGCAAAACUGAAGUUUUGCCAGUUUAGAGCGCCCAGAACUUGGUUUAGGGCGCCUAGAUCUUGAGUACCGGUUUGAGCAAAACUGGAAGCCAAUUCGGAUCCUGUUCUCGGCGCCCAUAAGUGGAUCCGGAAGUUUACUUUGGAAAUAUCGAUUGUGUUGACACGUGGGGUGUUGUAGGUGAGAUCCGCCAGAACCAGAUAGCGGUGUAGCAGAUCGUCGGACGGAGGAACCGAGGCACUGUUUUGUGCAGGCUGGAAGUUCUGGGUGCCGAGAACUGGGUUUAGGGCGCCCAGAUCUUGAGUUUUUCUGCAAUAGUACAGGUUAGCAGCUAGAGUUCCUGGGGCUUAUUGGAUCAUUCUAACUCACUAUAAAUAGAUGGAACUCGACCCUUUCAGCUCUUUUCCUCCUUUCUUCACAGAGAAGCCACUUUUUGUAUCUUAGUCCGUCCAAUUACUCGAAAUUCCACCAUUUUCACCUUGAGGAUUUUAGUUCUAGCAGUUUUCCAGCAGCGACUGUCGGUGUUUCGGCUCGUGUGCAACGUAGGAAGCUCCGUUUUCCACAAAACUUGGUUUGUUGGAUUCAGGACUUCAAGAAGAAUCCGCGGAGCCCAAAUUGAUAGAAUUUGGUUAAGGUUAGCUUGGUCUAUUCUGUGUUUUACUGUGCUGCUAGUGUUUUUGGACUGAAUCGGUGAAUUUGUGGAUUUUCAUGAUGCAAGCUUUGGAGGCAGUGGGUUUUUGGACCUGAGUUUGAUACUCCAGUAUACUCCACUGGAUUUGGGAUCUACCUUCAUCGAAUUUGAGCCUUAGAAGAUAAUUUUGAUAUUGGAGUUGUCGGUUUAAGCUUAAGUGCUGAAAUUUGGGGUUAUUGAUGCAAUUUUUAUACUUUUGUGUUCAGAUUCUUGGAGGAAGUUGAGUUUGGACCAGAGGGUGAUAUUCUAUCUUGGUUUACUAGUUUGGGACUUUGCUACACCUAAUUUGGGAUGUGAAAGGUGAAGUUAGCAUUGUAUUUGAGGAAAAGUUAAGCUUAAGUGUUGAAUUUCGUAAGUUUGAUGGAAUUAUAAUAUUCUCGAUGUGUAGAGCCUUGGAGAAGUAUUGUUGCUGUUGCAGCGUGAUCUCGGCUGAACCUCCUGGUGUUUUCGAGAUCUUCUUGCUGCCGUGGAAUUGCUUUGAAGGUGGGUUUAUCAUCGGUUUUGCCUCCUAAGCAUAUGCAUAGUAGACAUGUAUAAUUUCGACUUUGAUAUAUCAUGUUUAGCUCGAGUUCAUUGAUUAGCAUAUUAAAUGAAAUCUGAAUUUGGAGCAUGCUGUAGUAAUUAGAUAAAUUAUACAUGUUGGACUUAGAAUUUGACUUAGGAGAAAACCAGCGAUUUGACCCGUCAUAUGCUUAUACUACCCGAUUUAGCUCUAGGAGUUGGGGUUGGUUUGUAUCACCGCAGUUUCAGCGCGGUGGAUACUCAGGGUAGUUUAGAAUGCAUUUACACUCGGGCGGGAUGCCGAGCUUGGAUAAUAUUCAACUGUAGGUUCUACACUGUCUUUUCUGUUCACUCCUUAAGCUUUUGUGCUUCGUAUCCACGCUGUUAGUGCGCAUUUGAUACUCAGAUAGCUUCUAAAGCUGUUGUGCUUCGUAUUCCUGCUGCUCGUGCACAUUGAAUACUAAGAUAGCUUCGGGAGUUGUCGCGGAUAGUAUCCACACUGUUGUGUGCAUUUGAUACGCUGAAAGCUUAGGAGCUAUAGUAGAUUUGUAUCACCGCAGUUUGUUGGCAGUAGAUUCCCGGGAUAGUGUAGAAUGAAGUUAUGCUCGUGCGGAGAUGCUGAGCUUAUUUUUACAGCAGUGUCUAGGCUAUUUCGGACUGUCGGGUGCCGUCGGGGUUGACGGUCCACCAGAUUGCAGGUUUGCAUCAGAUUGUGCCGAUGGCACGUGAGUUUUGGUUGUUAGACCAGUUGGACCAUGUUUACUCGAUUAUAGCCUGUGAGAGCCUGAUUGAGCUCGGUAGAGAUACGCUUGCAUACUCGGUUGGGUAGCGUCCACGAGUGCCACUCCGGAGUCGGGCUUUGUGCGUUUGCAUUGUGUAGUGUCCUAGUUGGACUUGCUCUCCACGGACUGAUUAGUGUGGAGGUAGCAUUUAGGAUUCGACAGGCGGGACGGGUGCGUUCAUAGUCCCUGGGACAGGUGUGUUCACAGUCCCUAUGAAUUUGGGUCUGAGGUUGCAUUACCCUACAGAUAGUAGUGUUGGAUCAUGAUAGGAUAGUGGCAUAUAGCUGUAGAUUUGUUCCAGCUUCCUUUUCUAUCACUGAGCAUAGAUCUGUAGACUUAGUAGGUGAGCCGAUGAGUUUGAGGGCGGUACUCACUGAGGACUAUUUCUUUUGCAGUAGUUCUCACGCCCAGUUGUUACCACUGUUUGUGCAGAGCCGUCGCCUUCGGCUGCUGCUGUUGCUGAUUUUGAUUGUGGCAAGGGCGUUGCGAGUUAGAGCCCUUCCAGACAAGUCGCAGAGCUAGAGGAGCACCAGCUACAGAUAGUUGUAGUUUCUGUGUCUUUACAUACAGUUGUUGUAUCUCGCCAGAGCGAGUAUUUGUAUAUCCUGGAUGACAUGUAUGUAUUGAACCACAGUUUUUAUAUAUGGUUUAUUUUCCUAGCUACUUUAUACUACUGUUUGUAGUAUUUUAUAAUUACAGGUACUUCUACUGUUUCGCUUCGUAUAUAGGGAAAAUUUCUAUGUAUACGGCGGGUCUGUUAGCGUGCCCGGGACAACGAGUUAUCUGAGGCGUGACAUUUUGAUAAGUAUAAUUUUUUCUAUUUUAGAGAUAAAAAAAUAAAUAAAUUUCGAAUUAAAAUAUAGAUUCAUAAUAAAUAUCUUUCUAUUGGCAAAAAUUUAGAUAAGUAUAUAUUUUUUUCUAUUUUACAGAUAAAGAAAAAUUAAAAAUUUGUUUCAUUAUGUUAUUUAUUUUACGUAAGGAAAGAGGAACCAAAUCUUUUUUUCCGCCAAAAAAUAUGUCUGUCGACAUACCAAAAUUUGAAAUACGUGCUUUUAUAUAUCGGUCUGUCAACAGACCCAAUUUUUGGCCAAAAAAAUUUUUUUUUUUCUUUCUUUACGUAAAAUAAAUAACAGAAUUAAACAAACUUUUAAUUCCUCUUUGUUUCUACAACAGAAAAAAAAAAAUUUAUGCUUAUCCAAAUUUUUGCCAACCGGAGACUAUCAACUAUGAAUCUAUACUUUAAUUCUUCUUUCUCUAUAUAUAAUAUAAUAUCUACACUAUCUAUAGUAUAGAAGAUAGUAUAAAUAUUAUAUCCAUACAAAUAAAUUAAUUGACAGUUUGUAGGGUAUACUGGUAGCGUUUCCUGCUUCCAGAUAUAGAAAUUGACAGUUUCCAGAUGUGGCUCUUUCGCUUCUCUCUAUCUCUCUCUUCUCCUAUGCCCAUUCUCUCUCUUUCCCCUCUCUCCUGUACGCCUCUUCUGAGGCCUCUCUCUACGCCCUCUGUUACCCCUCUCGCCUUCUCCAUCAUCCACGUCGACGAGUAAGAAGCCAUGGAUGGAUGGUGGAGUCCACUCGACGAAAGAAACGAGGAUUUGCUCUCGUCCCUAGGGUUUAUUACAACAAAGAGUCGUAACUAGGGAUGUCCUUGGUUAUGGAUAUAUCUAAAAUAUUAUGUCGCCGAUUUGAAUCCAGCAGAUUUAUAAGUGAAUUUAGCUUCAAUUGCCUAUAUUAAAAAAAUCUGGCUGAUUUAGGUUUGAAUAGGAAUUUUGUCUGUCUUCAAUCCCAAUCGGAUCCAAAUUCGAAUUGAUUUUACAAUAUAUAAUAGGCUAAAUUAUAGAAAUUUUUUUUUUAUGAAGUAUUCGUUUUUUCACUUUUCCUCUUCAAUUUUUAUAAUUUAUAUUCAAAAUGCCCUCUAAAAGGACAAAAAUAAAUUUUUUAAAAAAUCUUCCUUAUAGUAAAGGUAAGGACAAUUUAGUUAUUUUGCUAUCUUCAUUAACGUCGUACUAUCUAAAAAUAUUUCUGAAAUUUUAAGAACGUAAAAUAUAGAUUUUUGAAAGUCAGGAAGGUCAAAUGAAUAAGUAGGUAUUUACCUCUUUAUCAAUUCGACCGCAGAUACGAUGAGCUCGUCCAUUGGGUGGUUUCUAUUGUGACGUUUCUUCCCAAUCGCUCUCUCUCCUCUACUUCGAUGUCUCUCUCGAUCACCCGCCAGUCGCCUCGGCCGCGUGUGGGAUGAGCCCGUCGAUUGGGCAGUUCCUCCUGGGCCUAAACCUAACCUGUUUCUAUGGUUUUGGUUGGUUGUUUACAAAUCAAUUGAGAUCUCCCUAACUCUCUCUAUCUUCUUCGCCCUUAGACCUCUCAUGCCUUCUUGAUGAGUGCCCUACCCUCCUACCUCGAGACCUCUUUGGAACGCUUCGUCGCUCUAUUUGACAGCAGAUGCGAUGAGCCCAUCCAUUGGGCGGUUUCCAUUGUGACGGUUUUUCCUAAUCACUCUCUUUCCCCUACUUUGAUGCCUCUCUCGAUCGCUCUGCUGGUCGCCUCGGACGUGUGUAGGAUGAGCCAGUCGAUUGGGCGGUUGCUCCUCGGCCUAACCUUAGCCUAUUUUUUUUUUAUGAUUUUGGUGAUCUGGUGAGAUUUUCAAAAGAUUUUUACAGAUCUGGUGAGAUUGUCAAAUGUUGCUCACACAGAUCCUAUAACUAGCCUACUCUGUCCAUUGGAUGGUUGCUCUGGGCUAAUCCUACCAUAUUCCUAUGAUUUUGGUGGGUUAUUUACAAAUCUAUUUAGAGUUCCCAAAGAUUUUUUACUGUUAUUUAAAAAUAUCUUGCUUUUAUUUUAUUUCUUUAGUUCUGAGAGUAUCUUUACAAAUUUUUUCCUGAGUUUCAAAAGAUUACUCAUGAAGGAUCUUCUAAUUCCCGAUAAACCCUAUAGCCCCUAUCCCUAUUGUUAGCCCUGUUGCCUUCCCUCUUUGCUUCUGUGAUAGUCGAAAGCUUCUCCCAGAUUUAUUAUAAAUAACUCCCUUUAUUAAUUGCUGCAUGGCACAUUGUUCUUCUCAAACCAAGAAAGGUAUAUUCCUCCAUUCAAAUCUUCUCAUUAAUAAUGUUAACUAUGACUGAGUGAUUUUACUAACCAUUGUACUAUUGUGUAGGUCCCCACAUUACUCUCCUGUUUACUGUCUACUCACAAAAGGUUGAUCUUCUUUGGUUCCUUCUACUGCACUUUUUAUUACCCUGCAGUUUAAAGGUUGGCAGAGAAAAAUUAAAGUACUAAAGUAUUCGCCCAUGUCUAUAAGAUUCCCUUAUAGGCUAGUUAUGAUUUUUUUUACUGAUUUCUAUUCAUUCUACUAAUUGAAAUCUAAGCCGGCGCGGACUUCACUUUAUAGGCCACAUUUACUGAUCUUUAAUGGUUCUUGGUGUUUGUUUGUUUGUUUUUUUUUUUUCUAACUGUGCUAUGUGAUUACUUUGUUCUUUCUUCCUGUCUUCCUUAGCAUGCCUCCUUACCCGUGUGUGUUCUUUGGCUUUACUCUCUUCCCCCUUUUUCGACUGAUGUUUUAUUUUCGCCGGUCUUCUAGGUAAUGAUGAUAGGCAAGCAGUAAACAGCAAGCUUGGAUGGCCUUAUCAUAGGGAACCACUUACUAAUAUUAAAUUGAUUGGCUACAAACAGAGGUUGCAAAAUAUUGCAUAGUAAGUUUGGAUGGCUUUAUCAUAGGUAACCACUUUUUAUUUUAAAAUUGAUUGGUACGAGAUACUUGUUUCCAUGAAUGAUCAAUCCUCUUGCAUGCCUCUUUUCAUGGCAUAAGACAAUGAUGAUAAGGAAACAAAUAAUUGCAAAAUAUUGAAUAUCAAGUUUGGAUGGCCUUAUCAUAGGCAACCAAUUACUAUUUAAAAAUUAAUUGGUACGAGGUACUUCUUUCCAUGAAUAAUCAAUUCUUUUGCAUGUCUCUUUUCAUGGCAUAAGACAAUGAUGAUAAGCAAGCAGAAACAAAUAAAGGAUGCAAAAUUUUGGACCAUCUUUUCGUAGGCAACCACUUGCUGUUGUUAAAUUCAUCAAUCUUGUUGUGUUCCUUCUUCCAUGGCAUAAAUUAGUUGCAUAUAUUACCUGAGCUUAAUUUGAAGAUUACUCGCGCAUGCCAUUACUUUGAAAAUUUUUUCGUAUUUUUAAAUAUUUAUUAAUAUUAAUUUUGGUUUCUUUUACUACUAAUGUCUUCAUUUCGGGUAUCUAUUAAUAUUAUUUUUUGUUUUUCUUUAUUACUAUUGUCUUCAUUUUGGAUAUUUGUUUCUCCUGGCAUGUUGUUUUAUUCUUUUAUUAGUACACUUUUAAUGACUUCUCCUUUUACACCCCCCCCCCUUUUUUUCUUUUUUCUCUUUUGCAGCUUCUUCUAUGUCGACCGUCCAACUUUCUAACCUUACAUUGUUGCGUGAGAUUUGCGAUCAGCUGCAAAUGGAAACACCAUAGUGUGUUGUCACUCCGGCCGCAGAAGGGACUUACCUCGCAUAAAUAGAUGGUCUGAUUCUGCGGAAUGAAUCUAUAGUUGAUGUCACACCCCGAGCCCGAUCCUUUUGGCCGGUUCGAGAGCGUCAAACAGACGCCGAACGGACAGAGCCUCCCCUGUCCGCCCAAGGCUCAACAACAGGUACUGACAGAGUAUAAAGUUUGCAUAAGCGGAAGCAUACACAACGGCUUGUACGAGGACAAGCAAUAGCCAAAGUGAAAGUACUAAACUAACAACAACAAGUAAUAUGAUUAAUUUUAAAUCACAUACAUGUAUACUACUUAUCAAGUUCUAUUACAGCUCUUUCAUCAUUUCUUUUUACAUCUCAUAUCUCCAAAAUAUAACAUUGAUAUUAAAUAAAUUCUUUUACAUCAUUCAUAUCCUUUCAUUUAACAACUAUAAUCAUCGAAAUACAAAAGAUGAUAUAUCAAAAGGGUAUACAACUAUGAAAUAAAACGUCUCGGGCGGUCUCUACCUCCGGCGCGAUGCCCUUACCGCGGUCGUCUGCCGGCUCGCUCGGUCCCGGCUCUGUGGAAAUAGGGGUGUGAGAACUACAACAAAGUUCCCAGUGGGUUCGGCAACCAACCACGCCGACUAUCCCACUAGGUCUAAUCGGGCAUAAUAGAAUAGAGGAAGGAAAGUAACCAACUAACAAAUGCAACUAAUAUGCCUGAACAAUAUAAAAUAUGAUGCUCGAUAUAAUGCUCAUGAUGAAUGCAGGAUCAUAAUUUCUUUAUCCAAUCUCUUGGCUAACCCGCAGGUUUCGUCCUCAACAAACUCACCAACCCAAAAUCCUAUUAACCAGGGAGAUACCCGCUACAACCCGAUAGGACCGUCCUCUGGGGAGAUACCCGCUACAACCCAGUGAUGUCGACUCCGAAGCACAUCGCCCGAGGGGGAGCUACCACCCUCGAGCAAGGACUAAAGGUGAGUAUGAUCAAUCCUACAUUGAGGAUUCCAAGUUCAAUCCAUUCCUUAACUUUACGAAAGACCAUGCUCAAAUGACCUUUAACUCUAAGGUUGAAAUGUCACAAUAUCUCAAUCAUUCUUUUCUUUGCAUUCUUUACCAUCACUUGUGUCAUAUACACUACUAUAUUCUUGGACUCAUGCCACACUUGUUUUCUAAGUGUUAUGUUCUUGACUCAUGCCACACUUGUUUUCUAAGUUUUCGAGACUCAUCAAUGUCACUCACUAGAUCUAUGUCCAUGUGUCACUUUUGCUCACUAACCCUUCUAGGUUCUUGUCACUUGUCGUGCAUAAAUAGGGUUUACAAUUCUCACAUUCUUACUAGUAUUUCAUAUGAAAUUAAAUUCACAAUCAUGCCAUAAAAGCUCACAAUUAACCCUACUAUCCAACAUACUCAAUAUAAAUAUAUAUGUUCAAACAUGACACUUUAGACAUAAAGGAAUUUUCGAGGUCCUUGGAAUGCACCAUCCAUCUCGAGUGGUCGUGUAGGUGUAGAAUACGACGACUCUCGAACUUUACGAAAGCCGACCCCGCGCCCUAUAACCAAAAUAGUGCCAUAUUAGGCCUUUUGUACAUGAACCAUUACUUAAACAUUUUCGUAACGUCGAACAGAGUUGUCCAACGCGUCGAGGACACCCCCAAUUAGGUUUCUACGAGGUCAAUUUGCCCCCGAAAAAUUCUAAGGCAAAAGCCCCAAAUUUGAGCCCUAACAAUGUCAUCUAGGGCUUCCACCUAGAUCGAUUUUGUUGUUAAGCAAAGGAUAGCUUAGAAUCACUUGAAAAGCUCUCUAAUAAGAUUUCUAAGCUCUUGGAACCAACCCUAGGGCAUCUAACUCAACCCCCAAGGGUUCACCAUGAGAGCACCUUGAGCUCUCAUGGGUGUCAUGUUGUUCAUGGCUCCAAAGAGCUUCUAAAACCUCUAAGGAGCACAAAGCUCCAAAUCCUUAGGUCAAAACUCAAACCCUAGAGGAAACCUUAUAGGAACUUACCUCUAGUCCAAGUCCUAGCAAGCUCCUUCUUGUUGGAGAGCUUCUAGACCCACCAAAUCCACCAAAAAUUCUCCUCCAAGCCUUUCCUUCUUCUUCUCCAAGCUCUAGGGUUAGCUCUCUAGAGAGAGAAAAGAGAGAAAGUGAGAGAGAGAUGUGUGAAUGGCUAUAAAGGGAGAGGGGGUUGGGUGUAUAAUGUGUUGUAACAAUUACAACGAGGCCCCUCUACUUUAUUUCCAGUGCACUGCACAGACUGGGCAUUUUUUGCAGUUAGGGACCGGUCUCCUCGACCUGGGACCGGUCCCCGAGAUCUUCUCCCGCGGACUGCGCAGGCUGCGCGCGAUGCAACCGGUCUCCCUCAAUGGGACCGGUCUCUCCUCGCAAGGACCAGUUCUCGAGAGCUGGUUUUCCAGGACUUAGCCGAUUUCUCAGCCUUCUUGCUGCCUACGCAUUCGGGGACCGGUCUCUCCUACCAGGGUCCGGUCCCCGAGAGCACAAAACCUGCAGUUUGCAUAUUUUGAUUUCCAAAGCUCUCGAAGAUCCCCUGUAAUGCAUUUUUGUAUUAUUUGACGCCUUCGACCUCUCCGAAGUGUACCAACCUCGCACUUUGGUCAAUUUGACCAAGGUUCGAACUUAAUUACCGAGGUUUCGGUAUGUUACAGUUGAGAUGGUAUGAUGUUGGGGGGCGCAAUCCUCCACAUCUGCUCCGUCUGAACAAGAUGCUGCUUGCCUUGUUAUUAAGAGAAUGGUUGAAGAAUUUGAUUUGCAAGUUAGAGAUGUAAAUUACGAUAACAGUAUCUUUUAUAAAAAUCUAUAUAAUCAUCUAGCCACAGAGCAUGCUGUGCUAUUUGCACACUACAACAGCUUGGUUCAAGAGUAUAACUUUGUGAAGAAUUGCUAUGUCACUACGCUUGCAAAGAUAAAUGAGUUCGUGACCGAGUGGGUCCAGAUAAGCCAUGCCAUUGAAGAGUGCCUUGGUGUAAUUAACCGCCUAAUUCAUGUGCCACCUAUUACAUAAACUGAUGCAUCGGAUAAUACAUCCACUCCCCUGGGUUAAUUGGGGUUCAAAGGAAAAGUGACAUGUUCUGCUGCUCCUCAUUUUGUAGUUGAUCAUGCAUGCGCACAUGAUCUUUUUAUUGUGCUUUCCAAAACUGACAUGUUUUGCUUCUCCUCCUUUUGUAUCUAAUCAUGCAUGUGCACAUGAUCUUUUUGUUGUACUUUUGAAAACUAUGCACCGUUAUGUCACCGUUAGAUUUUCUAUAUUUUGUUAUGUUUGUGGCUUUUAGAUUUUCUAUAUUCUAUUAUGUUUUCAAUAUCACACUUCUUCCUUUUGUUUCUAAGUUAUGUGUUAGUGCCUUCUCCAAAACCUUGGUUCAAUAUAAAUUUGAGGUUUGUGUGGCCAUUGAUAGUAUGCAACCUGUUUCCUUGCAUGGAGGUUUUUUCUCACUGACAUUUUUGUGGUCUUUUGCUGCACACUUAUUUUGUUUCUAUAACUCUGCCUUACAAUGUUGUGGUUUCUGGGCUAUGCUGUUGCCGAAAGAAAAAUAAACAUAUUUUCCAUGCUGAAAAAAACUCAACUCAAUUUUUUCUUGCUCUUCUUCUGUCUUUUAACCUUGGUUUUAUUCUGCUGAAGUUUACAUACGGAUAGUUUUGUUUGGGUUUGGAAUUUGCCGUUUGACUUGGAGUUCUAGAGAUAUCAAGCUCGCAUUGUUGUAGAUAAUCUCUGUGGAUUUGACCAUUUUGUGGCUAACUUAUUGGCAUGUGUUUCUUUAUGUUCAUUUUGGUAAUUAUGUGGAUUUAAACUUGAAAAUAAGUAUGGUUCCCAGAGUAAAGACCAAAUAAAUGGAGUAUUCUGAGGCAAUGGUGCAUUUUGUUUACAAGAAUCAGGAAAGUUAAUCAAAGAAGUAUGGCUAUGGCAAUGGGACUUGAAUAUAAGUUGAUUGUUGCAAUGGAACUUGAAUUGUUGACCAGUUAAUUCCAGUUCACUUGCACAUUUCAAUUAAUUCAGCAUGCAAGUGGAUUGGGACUUGAAUUGUUGAUCAGUUAAUUCCAGUUGCAAUAGGACUUGAUUGUUGCAAUGGAACUAGAAUUGUUGCAAUGGGACUUGAAUCCUAUUAAGGACAAUGGGACUUGAAUUUGAUUUUGCAGUAAUGUUUGAAGUAGCUAUCUUCCAGUGGCAUGUGACCUAAAGAUGUAGAUGAAUUGAACGCUGAAUUAUAAACAUUUGAAGUGCAGUUUUAGUUUAUUAUUGCUUAUUGCUUAUUUGAUUUUGCAGUACUGUUUGAACUUAUAUUUGCUUUUACUAAACUAUUUGAGGUUAUCCUUGCUUUUUGCUAAUAUUCUAAGACUGCAUAACAUAGUUUAUAUAGACAUUAAUGUUUGCAUAAUAGCUUCUAAAUAAUGUAAUUGAUGAAUUCUUUGCUAGAAAAAACUCGAAGCUAUAUAGAUUAUGUUUAUGUAAUUGAUGAAUGCUUAUAUUGCUUUGUUCUUUUUACACUUCCCCUAUGUCUACUUUUUUCCAUCUCAACUGAAACUGCCAAAUUUUUUCUUGCUUUUCUUAUGUUCUUGCUUUUCUCCUGUCUUUUAACCUUGGUUUUAUUCUGCUGAAUUUUACAUACGUUGUCGAAUUUGGGAUUCCCAAAUGGUUGGCUUCUCCCAAUGUAAUGAUAUGUUAUAUGAUUCUUUUAUACAUUUCCUUUUAAUUGCUCUUUUUUUAUGUAAUAACUGAGAUUUUGAUUUAUUGAUUAAACCCUUUUGUUUGAUGAUGUUCUUGUGUGUAAUAUAAUUAUAAGUGUACCCGUCAAAUUUCAGGAGAAAACGAGUUAAAACGGAGAAGUUACGCGACCCGGAAGUCUGACUUAAGUGAAUAGUAACUCNGUGGUAGCUUCUAUAAAAGAUAAAAGUUUUCGCGUACGAAACAGUUUUCAAAAGAUUUUUCGUGGACUUCUGUUUAAACAUCAAAUGUAAAUUUACGGUGUGAAUGGUGAAUGUAUGAAUGUAUAGCUAUCUGUAUAUUCAUUUGAUUGUGGUUGUAUACUGUUUGUACUUUUGUACUUGUGUGACGCCGUGCAAGUACAGGGGAGACUCUGUCCGUGUGAACAGUGGAUUCCCUGUAUUUGUGGCGGAUCUGGCAUACUCUGGGGUCAGGUUUUCAAAAAAAAAAAUUCAAACGCUUUUCCGCUGUGUUUCAAACAAAAAGGGGACCCCGGGGCGUGACAUUUUAUGACUGCUUUGGUCCUACUACUCUUUGGUAUGAGGCGAUGAUGAUAUGGAUAAUUACUGUAUGUUAGCUUCUUCCCUGGGUUUGUGGUCACUUGCAUAGCCCCUUUAAUGGCAGGUGAUGAUGAUACAAGCAAUUCCCAGAUAUUACUUCUUUGCUGAAUUUCUAUGUAAUGGCAUAGCAGGAUUAAUGGCGCACUGGCCAAUCCCUCCAGCUUAUGUAUAGGCCUUCCGCCCUUCUCUGCAGGAUUUCUACUUAAUGGCAUGAUAGGAUGAAUGGCCCUCUGGGCAAUCCCUACAGCCUAUGUAUAGACCAACCGAAUCUGGGGGCCUACAAAUACUUUUGCUAAGUUCUGAUCCAUUCCAAGCCUUCGUUGUCACGCCCCGGAUUAUCACGUUUUUCCGGGCUCGCCAACAGACCCGUCGUACACAUAGAAAUUUUUCGUGUAUACGAAACGAUAGCUGUACCUGCAAACAGAUAAUAGCUACUACAAGAAGUACCGAGCUACUAAAACUAAAACAUGUAUAUAUAAAUAAGAAGGCCCACUAUACAAACAAGUUCUAAAAUACAACCAUCUCUCAGAGAGUAAACAAAAUACAACUAUAUAUACAUGGCGACAUCCCAAAACUAUCCCUGGUAAGGGAACUCCUCUAGUAAAGUGACCGAAAAAGAUAGAGAUCUAGCUCGCGAUUCUCUUACCUCGAUCAGAACGAACGGCUCUACAAAAAGGUGGCAACAAUAGGUGUGAGAACUAUUGCAAAACAGAGUUGUCCUCAGUGGGUACCGUUACCGACCCUAACGGGCUACCCACUAAGUCUACAAUAUGAGAAAUAAACUGAUAGGUAAUAGGAUAGUAAAAUAAGCUGAAAAAACUCUACAGCUAAAUGCCACUAUACUAUCGCUAUCCAUACCAUACUCUUUGUAAACAUAUAAUGCAUCACUAGCUACAAAUCAGCCACAACUGACCCAAUCUCAAAGGACCGCCAACUAGCUAGUCCAGCCUGAGCCUAAUCUAUACCGCACACCACCCACAGGGGUGGCCAGUCUAAGAAAACUAUCCGAACAGGACUGGUGCGACCUCAAUGCAAAAAAAGCCUCACUCCAGAGUGGCACUCGUGGGUGCAACCGAAUCGAGUAUGCAAUCGUGUCUCUGUCGAGCUCAAUCAGGUUCACACAGGCUAUAGUCAAUACAAAUGGGUCAAACUGGUCUAACAACCAAGACUCACGUGCACUUGGCACAAUCUGAUACAAGAUAUAAGAAUCUGGGUCCACCGUCAGCUUCAACGGCACCUAACAGUACAAAAUAGCCUAACUCUGCUGUAAAAACGAGCUCGGCCCCUUAGCGAGUGUAAUCUCAACCUACACUAGUCUAAGUAUUCACGACACACUAACAAUGGUGAUACAAAAGAAAAAUUAGCUCUUGAAGUUAAAUCUGUUAACUUUUUGAAAAGUGACAGAUGUAGGUUAAUAAGUUUUCUCUUAAGUCAAAUCUCAGUUCAGCGGGUCAUAAUCAUCAAAAAUUAGCUACACAUGCUCCAAACCUUAGAUUUCAUCUAAAUCAUGCAAAUCUAUAGUUUGAGCUAUUAACAGAGUGAUUAAAUGCAAAAUUAUAUAUACUGGGGUUUCAAAUACUUAGGAAGAAUUUCGAAACUUCGGAUAACAUCAACCCAUCUUAAACGCUAGUCCAACAACGGCUAGAAGUCGAUAGGAGAAACCCCGCACAAAAUCAGCCUCAACUGAAAUCACACUAGCUGAAAUACAGGUUUCGGACCCACUCUGCAGCACUUCUGGGCGCCCAGAACUGCAGCCUAGCAGCUUCAACCUAUGCAAGUUAGAAAUGGAAUUUAGCCAAAUUCCCAAGUCUAAAUGCAAUGAAACUUCACUCAACUCACCUCAAAAGGCAAAAUAGCAAUCCCCCAGGUUUGUCACCAAAAUUGAGCUCGAAAUGAUAACCAAAAAGCCUUCACACCAAUUCGGACUCACUUCUAGAUGCCUAGAACUUGCAUCCAGAAUUUCUGCACUUAAGCAAUUUGCUUGCUCUAGCUCAAUUUGAGAAUUCUAGCUUAUAAGACUAGUGGAGUUGGGUCACAAACUCCCAAAUAAUAACUGAGUAUAUAUGAGACUUAGACACUAAUAAUAAUAACUGAGCUUAAGCAUUUUGGACCGAUGUUUAGGCCCAACGAGUUAUUAUUGCUAGUGGGCUGGAUCGUUAUAGAAUCUGCAACUUACACCGAUACUAGAUUUUCUCUGAUAUCACUUUAUUACACAAAAGUGAAAAAGAUAUAGUUCAUCAAGCGUGAAAAUAUGAAAUAAGUAUCAAGAAAGAGAAAAUAAAAUAAAGCGCACGAAUAUUUACAUGGUUCGACCGCUAACCUACAUCCAUGGGAAAAACACAGUGGAGAGCACACGAAUAUUUACAUGGUUUAGCCGCUAACCUACAUCUACGGGGAAAAACAUAAUGGAGAUCUUUAUUAUAAUCAAAGUGGUGUAUAAAAUAUGUCUCUUUCAUAAAAUUCUAGUCUCAAAAAUGCAUCCAUAUACUCUCAUUUACCACCCAAAUCACUAGAAUAAAGGAUUAGUGGAGAGCACACGAAUAUUUACAAGGUUCGGCCACUAACCUACAUCCACGGAAAAAAACACAAUAGAGAUCUUUAUUAUAAUCAAAGUGGUGUAUAAAAUAUGUCUCUUUCAUAAAAUUCUACUCUAAAAAAUACAUCCAUACUCUCUCUCAUUUACCACCCAAAUCAAUAGAAUAAAGGAUAUAUUUAUAAUAGUGGCUAAAUCCUAAUAUAAUUAGAAAUAUAAAUCCACCAAUAUUAGAAAUAAUUAUAAUAAGAAUAGGCAUAAUUUAAACUUAACUUUUUAUAAUAACCAAAAUAGAAUAGGGUUAGGAACCUUGCAGUUACAGAAUUCGACAAAUAUCUAACAAUAAUGAAAAAAGAUACUGUAACGCAAUACAGACCUUUCUGUGAAAAGCAGAAUAUACAAAAUACUAUACGUUUUCUCAAUUAUUUAGAAUUAAUUGAAAUUAAAGAUAAAGAAAAGCAAGAACAAUAUAGCUUUUACAAUCCUUUCAGUACAAGAAAACAAGUAAUCUGUUAAAAAAAAUGUUAAUAUACAUAUUUAGGCCCUUCGUUUACUAUAUCAAUCUUUUGAGAGAUAUGGAAUUAGAGCCAAUUAUAAAUCUCUUCAUUUUGUAAGUCAAGAUUCAACCCCCGCUUUUAAUAUUUAGGAAAUUAAAUUUUCAUCUACUAUAAAAUUUCGAUUAAAAAAUUAAUUAAGACCGAUUGUACAAAGCACAGUUGGCUAAGGGCUCGAUGAUAAUACCCAAAGUCCCAAAUUUAAAGCCUAACUGGUUCAUCUACUAUAAAAUUUCAAUUAAAAAAUAAAUUAAGACCGACUGUACAAAGCACAGUUGGCUAAGGGGGUUUGAUGACGAUACCCAAAGUCCGAAGUUUAAAACCUUACUAUUUCGCUACACUUGCUAUCUUUCUCUCUUAGAAAAAGAGAGAGAGAGAGAGAACAACUGAACAACAUGACUGAAGAAGUGCUUUUGUUACGAUUAGAUAUGCUACCACCUAGCCCUAGUAUGUUAAUUCUUAUGGACCAAAAUGGUAAUGCUCAAGAGUUAGUCCUUCUAUGAUAGUAUUACAUUACAUAUGUACGCAAGUACUUGCAACCAUAGCUUUCCAGACUCAACCUAUCUACAAACUUGGAAAGCCUAAAAUGCCAGAUAUUCUAUCCAUAGCUGCAAUAAAAUUUCCAUCAACUUGUACACUUCUUCUAUACAAAUAAUAGUAAUUAUUGCCUCUUGCCGACACAAGUACUCCUUUGGUGAGCUUCUAGGCACCAUCACCAAAAUGUGAGACAAAACUUUUAUCAUUCAAACAUCUCGAAAAAAGAAGUUAAUGCGAAGAUAUAGUACAUGUCUAACAUCUUGAAGGAUAAGUUUUGCCCCUAUAUUAGUCUUGAUACAAAAAUUUGUCCUCCCGCAAUAUGAGAAAAUUGACAAUUACCUAUCGUCACUACUCCAAAGUCUCUGGCUUUUUACGAUAAGAAGAAAUGCUUGUGAGAAAUUGCAUGAAACAAUACCAGUAUCAAUGACCCCAAUCAACAUUUAAAGAAGAAGAUCCAAUAUUAAUACAUUCAUAACUGCAUGUACCCAAAAUAGCAACACCACUAUUAAGAGUUACAAUAGGUCCUUUCUUUUCCUCUUCUUUGGACUUUGCUUCUUUCUUCACCCUGUCCUCUUUUAUCUUGCAUAUAUGUCCAACAUACCUUUUUCAUAUGGCCUUUCAUUUUGCAAUAGUAGUAUGCAAUAUCUUUUAUUAAUUUUGACUUGCUUCUUGAUUUAUAUCAAUCAACAUGGUCAUAGUCCUUUAACAUUCCCCGAUUGUCUAAAAUAAGAGCUUACGGUGUAGAUGCAUUGGAGACUUUUCUUCUUGUUUCUUCAUUCAACAAAAAACUUAUAACAUAACUCAUAGAGAUAAUCCCAUUCAAUAUCAAAUUACUAAGUAAAACUACCAAAGUGUCCUAUGAGUCUAGCAGAGAGCUUAAUAACAACAAUGCUUGAAGUUCAUCCUCAAGCACCAUCUUCGUUGAAACGAGUCGAUUCACUAUGCUUUGAACCUCAAUCAAUUGCUCCAACAUUGGAGUUCCACUCUUAUACUUUAAAUUUAGUAAUUUUCUAAUAAGAAAUGCCUUAUUUUCAGUGGUUUUUCUAGCUCACAAAGUUUUUUCCGCAAACACGAGGGCCUGGUUGUUUCGCCGAAACUAGAGUUUGGGUUGAAAUAGACUUUGAAUUGAAGGUCACAUGAAAACUACUUCUUCACCGUUUUGUUUCCAUAAUUAUGAAAGUGAAGUUUCUUCAGCUCUGUUGCUUAUAUAGUAGAAAGUGAAUGAUAUAAACUGUAAUUUAUAUAUAUAUAAUAAAUAACUUAAUAAAUAAUAAUUUAUAAUAUAAUAAAUAAAAUAAUAUAAUUAUAUUCCUAUAUAAUUAAAAAAAUUAAUCUAAAACAACUAAAUUAUUUUUUUAGACAUAAAUUAUAAUAGGGGCAAUUGUUUAUACACCCCUGAAAAGUUUCCGACUUUCUGAUUUACCCUUUUUAGAAUGCUAAUAUUAAAAAUACCCUUUUUACGUUCCUACCUAUUUCAAAUAUACCCUUAGAGUUAAAAUCUAUUAAUGAAUUCUGCUAUCUAUAUAAAAUUACUAUUUUGUCCUUUCAAAUAUAUCCUUCCACCAUCACCGAUUUUUCUUAUUUGCCCUUAAGUCAGGGGUACAAAAAAUAUUUUGUCUUUUGAUCUUUUCAAAUAUACCCCUCUACCAUCACCAAUAUUUCUUAUUUGCCUUAAGUUAAUGGCAAAAAUUCGUAUUUUAAUUUUUUUUAACUGUGGUAGAUAUUUAACUUACAUUUAACCCAAGUUAACUGAACAAGGGAUAAUUGUAGGGGUAUUUUGCAAUAAUGGUGGAACAUAUGAGGGGUAUUUUAGAAAGAAAAAAAGAGUAGGGGUAAAUCGAAUAUUUUCAAACGUGUGAGGGGUAUAUAGGCAAUUAUCCCAUUAUAAUAAUAUAAAACAAAAUUCUAAAGUAAAAAAAUAUAUAUAAUACUUAACUAAUUAAUUUUCAUCAUAUUUUAAAUGUACAAACUAAAUGAAGUAAAUAGUAAAACUUAACUAAUCAAUUUUUUUCCUAUUUUAAAUAUGCAAACUCAAAUAAUGGUGAGGCAAACCAAUUUGAUAAAGACGAAGAAGGGGGUAAGACAGGGCGACCCGCUCUCUCCUUUUUCUUUUUCUUUUGGUGGCGGAAUGCCUCGCCCGGAUAACGAACGAGGAAAUCUCAAAUAACCUCACUAAAGACCUCGGCCCCUCCGAUACGUCCAGGAUUACCCUUAUCCAAUUUGCGGAUGAUACGUUUUUCUUCUGUGAGGCUAAGAAAAGGUAUAUGAGAAACCUCAAAUUCUUGUGGCAUCUCUUCGAAUGGGCUUCAGGGAUGAAAAUCAUUAGGGAGAAAUCAGAACUAUACUACACUGGACAGGUAGAGGGAAAAGCGACAAGACUUGCGAAUCUACACGACUGUAAAGUUGGCAACCUGCCGACCAAGUACCUAGGCUUGCCUUUAGCUACCCGACCCCCUUCUAAGGAGGACUGGAUGGGCAUCAUCAGAAAUAUUCAACGUAAAAUUGACAGGUGGCAAGCGAAACUUCUUUCUAGAGGGGGUAGAUAUAUUCUGGUGAACGCGGUUCUAACAAACAUCCCUUUAUAUUUUCUGUCAGUGUUCAAGGCACCCAAAUGGGUAAUUAAGCGUAUUGAGGCCCUACGUAGAGACUUCUUUUGGAAUGGGGAUUGCAACUCACCGGGUAAGGGAUGCUUGGUUGCAUGGAAGAACGUCUGUAGGAAUAAGAAAGAGGGAGGGCUCGGCAUCUUGGACUUAGCCACGAUGAACCAAGCUCUCCUAACUAAAUGGUGGUGAAAAUUCUACUCGGAGCCUUAUUUACAGUGGAAUAAACUUAUCCACGACUUGUACUAUCGUAGAAGAAGACCACUGAAGGAGGGCAGAUCCUAGACCUAGCUCUUAUUGGUGGAGGGAAGUCCUUAGUCAUAACGAAAUCUUCAAAUGGAGUCUAUUGCCAAUUGGGCAACGGGUGUACUAUCGACUUUUGGUCCGAUCGCUGGUGUGGGGAAAAGACGUUGGAAUUGUCUUUCCCUGAUGUAUACCUUCUUUCGCAUCGCAAAAAUAGGAAAAUUAGCGAUUAUCUGACUAGCGACGGAUGAAAUUGGAGCAAGAUUUUAGUGGCGUUAGCACUAGUGGACGCAGAUUGAGCUCUAGUUACUUAGCACUUAGGAAAAGGAUCUCCAUUUUCAAACUCAAGUAUAGACCAGAUAGCGUACAAUGGCGUUAGAGCCUUGACGGGCGGUUCACGGUGAAAUCUACCUAUUUGAUGCUGAAUGAUGGGGGUAUAAGGAACGCCAGAACAACCAAGAUUUGGAACCUUUGAGUACCCCUAAAAGUGAAAGUGUUUUGCUGGAUUGUUCUUAAGAAGCGGCCUCUUACUGCAGACAACCUAUUAAAGAGGGGUCGGACUGGCAACACUACUUGCAUGUUGUGCGCGGUUGAACAGGAAACUGUCGACCACUUAUUCACACGGUGCGUCUUCUCGAGAUUUCUAUAGGUGACGACCUUAGAGUAUCCCCAGUCUAGAGAUUGGGAGGAUGACGUGAGCUCGAUCUGGGAUAGGUGGAUGGCGAGGAUUGGAACGUUGUCAUCAAGUACUACGGUAUCCGGAUUGGUAGCCUGCUGGUGGGUAAUUUGGGAGGUCAGGAACGGCGUGAUCUUUAGGAAGACCCAAUCGGACCCCUUUUUUGCAGCUUACAAGAUUAAGAAGUUGACGAAUCUUUGGGAGCAAUUUCUACAAGGUAAUCGACGACACGCUUGUAGUAAGUAGUUUUGUUUUGUUUUCUUUUUUUUUUUCGCCCCCUCCGAAGCCUAUGUUGCCUCAUCCCUGUAGCUUAGUUCAUCUUUUCAAUGAAUAAAGCAGGUGACGUGCUACCUAUUUCUCAAAAAAAAAAAUACAAACUAAAUAAAAGAGUAAUUACUACCAUAAUUAAAUAUAUUUACAUGUAACCAGCAUUACCCAUUGUAUUAUUUUAUUAUUUUUUCUCCACCUCUCCUCACCGUAAUUAUUCUGUUUCGGAUAACUUGAAUUUUGACCGAUAGCUUUAUUACGGCGAGCCAAACAGUAGAAGUGAUUGUUUAUAAUCGAAAACAACUUCACCUCUCUCCAUUUUUACUGAAACAAACAAGCCCUUUGUGGUUUAAUUCUAAUAAUAUUACACUAUAAAGAGAGCAACAAUAAAGAAAAUAUAAACCAACUAAAAAAUUAAAUAUCAAAUUUACGCGGAAACCCUAGAAAGGGAAAAAUUACAGGACUACCUCCAAACAAUCCCUCUAAUAUGAAAUGAAAUGAGUAUAAUUUCUCUAAUCACUACUGAAGACACAAACUAUAAGAAUCAAAUCUAUUGCUCCAAAUAAAGAAAAAUAUCAAAAAGAUCUCACCACCAAUGUUGUUUGUAAAACAUCUUCCAAGAAAACCUUCCGGUAAGAAAAUCGGGUUCUUUUGGCUCCCCACAAACCAAGCUUUAAAAAACCUUUCUAACAAGCCUAGCAAAUAGCAAUGAUGGCCUUCAAUAGCUUCUUCUUUACCCUUCUCUCCCUUUUUUUUUUUAUUUUUGCAAGAGAAAAUAGAAACUUUUUCUAUCUUUCAUCUCCAAGCCCAUAACUCUUGCAGAUAUAUGAAUAAGUAAGGAAAAUAAAUUCUUAUUGGCCUAACCAUUUAGGCUCCAACAUAAUCCAUUCAAAUGAAUUCAACCAAAUAUGUGCACUUUUGCACAUAACUCCCUCAUGAGAAGGGUCACCACAACAAUAACUAUGUAUAAAUUGCUAGUUGACAACCAUAAGUAAACCACCGCCGAAACUACCACAACCAAGCAGAACGAGCCAUUGUCAAAACACAACUAUUGAUGAAAUUCCGUCGACCACCGCCACCAAUGCCAUUAUAUAUCAUCAACUUAUUCACCAAUAAAGUGACUUCUCAAAAGCUGUCUCUUUAAACCACAUAUAAAAUCCAGCGAAACACAAUAUAUCAACUAAAAUCCUAUCUAAUUUUGUACGACAAUGCUAUAAAACUUCUAAACAAACAAAUGGUUGCAGUGUUAGUUGGUGUUAGUUCCAAACAAAAAUGUUAUAUACGGGCCAAUGAAAAGUUUACAGUUAUCCAUCAAUCCCUUAGCAUUAUAGGAGCACCAAGCUUUGCAGAUAAAUUCUGAAGAAUAAACUAUUUUUCUACUUAUAUUUUGCCACUAUUAAUAUUAUAAAAAAUAGAGGAAAAAAAAGAAUAAACUUCAAAUUGCCCCCACGUGGCUUCAAGGAUUUCACUUCACUCCUUUGUGGUUUAAUUUUUAUUUUACGAAAAAAUUUUAUAUGAUAUAGGGUGGCUAAGUUAAAAAUCUUAAAAAAUCACAGGGUGGCAAAGUGAAAAAUAUGCUAAGCCACAAGGGGGAAAAGUGCUACUUUUUGAACCACGGGGGUGGCAAAGUGAAAAUGAGCUAAAUCACAUGGGACAAAGUGAAACUUUUUAAACCACGAGGUGGCAAAAUAAAAAUUAGCUAAAUCACGGGGGGCAAUUUAAAGUUUACCCCCUCAAAAUAAAAAAUUCUUGUAGUAGCAUUCAACUAAUAAGAUCUUACUUACUAAGAGAUGAUCAAAAUGAUACAAGAGACAGUGAGAAACAGAAUGGUUCCACAAAAAGGCUGGAUUAAUAGUAAAUAAAAAGGAAUACGAACUUGCCUGUUUAAACAAGAUACUCGUCAAGUUCCUUCUAAAUUUUGAUAAAAAUGAGGGGAACAAUUCAAAUUAUCCUACUCUAUUCUCCAACUAAGUGAUGUCUCUAAGUUGCUUGGUUCGGUCAAAAUCAAUUGAAAUGCUAAAACCUCCAGGAUAUGCUAUGUGCACCACAUGCAUAAGAGGAUGUUCCCAAGUACAAGCAUGCAUUAGAAACAAAUUAAGUAUCCAACCUGUUAUGUUACUCAUAUUUGAACUGUUUACAAGUUAGUAACAGUUAAAAGAGGUAUAUUACUAGUUUAGUUCAACAUUUGCUUGAUUAGGUACAAAAUGUAACGUCGCAAAGGCAUUUAAGUUCUGUGAACAUAUAUAGAUGUAGUUCUUGUACAAAAUGGCUUAUCUUCCAAAAGCAACUACCUAACCUCUUUCUACAGAUACUUCAUGCACUGUCGAGCCAACUCACAUAGCUAGUGAUCUGAAAUGUCAACAACAGCAGAGUGUGAGUUUUCCACAAACACCCAAUUGGCAAGCAGUUUAUGCCGAAGCAAUUAAGCAAAACAAGAGCACAGAUAGAGCAAACUAUAGAGAUUUACUUAAUUCUCUAUGAAGGAUAUAAUGCAAAACAAGUCGAAACAUAUUGAGAACUUGCAAUUAAGCAAAACAAUUUUAGCUCAAACAAUUAGAACAUCUAAUCAAUGAUCAAAGGAAUCGUAUUGAUUCAUUUGUAAUUUUUCUUUGAACAGAGCAGAAAAAAGGUGUCUCUGAGUAACUAGUGGUAAAAUUUUGUCGUAAGAUUGAUAACCUAAAAAAGAGCAUCUAUGUGAUUAGAAAGGGACGCCUAAGAGGCGCCUUAGUGCUUAUGCACUAAGCUUAGACACCUGUUUCUUGAGGCACCUCAGGUGAGGCUCCUCUUCUAGGCUCGUGCAUGGAGGGCCUAGGCCCACGCCUGAGCCCAAGCCCUAGCGCACAAGGGACAUGCCUCCAAGGAAUCUUGCUUUUUUUUUUUCCUUUAAAAUUUUGGAUAUUUUUAAUAGAUUUAUGAAAAUUUUUAUCUUCUUUGUCACUGAAUUUGUGAGAGUUCAUUGUUUUGCCACAAUAUAUAUGUAUCGUAUAAAUGUUCUACUGUUUGAGCUCCCAUAUUUUCUUUACAUGUGCUACCUUGUUCUCUUACAUAUGCUAUUUAGUUUUUUUCUUCUUUUUUUUUUUUUUUCCAUCUUUCAUUUUCUAGUGUGAUAACAAAUCGUCUGUUGUGAUAAUUUGAUCGUACUUACUCUUAGCAUCAUUUAAUAAUUAUAACUAUGUCUUCUGAAGAGCACUAUAUUUAGCUCUAAAAAAUAUGAAAAUGUGUGCUCACCUCUCUCAGACGCGUACCAGCACCUUGCGCCCAGGGACUAGGAGCGCUUCCCGCCUUUAUCGAUCUUGCGCUUUUUCGAACUACGUAACUCAUCUACACUUCGAAAAAUCAAUUAAUUAGUUUGAAAUAUCCUACCAGAUAUAUCCGAUACAAUACUCAAUUAGUUUGAAAAACUUCUACCACAUACAUUUAUUAAUGCAAGACUUAGAAGUAGCAUGCUAUCUCAUGUUACCUGUCAUGUUAGUUAUCUUCUUCAGGAGCUCCUUCAUAACCGAGGGGCAACUUAUUCCCAGGUGCUCAAACCCUCCUGUUUCUAUGACUGCAGCCAGCACUCUGGGAGCGGCGACAAAAUUGAGGCAGAUGGCUUUCAGCCGACGGCAUUGGUGCUGCUCGGCUAAGUUCAACGUGUUUGCCACUGUAUCGAUUUCCAUUUCUCGGCACAACUUGUCUUCGCAGAUUAACUUGAGCCUAUCCAAUCCAUAUCGAUCCGCAGCAACGAGAAGGUGCUGCGCCAUCAUGGUCGAGGACUCCUUGUGAAGCUUUUCCAUGUACGAGGGCAGCUUAUCCGAGUAGAUGAAAUGAAGCAGAGCCUUGAAUACGGCGGCUUCCAUGUCGUCGAGCUUUAUGCACCUCGCUCUCCUUUCUUUCAUACUGCCGAAGAGUUCCGCCCUGAAGACGGGUGAUCGGGCCGCGAGCACGCAUCGAUGCGCCGCGAAAGUCUCCCCGCCGACUUCAAAGGUCACGUCCGUCCCCUCUCCGCUCUCCAACAGCCGGGCGAGGUGCUGGGGCAAGUCGGAAGGCGGCGCCGCGACGGCGCCUGCGUUGCCAACUUGUAAUCUCGGAGCUUUCGGGACGGUAACAGCGCAAUAGAUAGUAAAGCAGUCAUCUUUGAGAUACCGUGAUUUCUCGAGAUCAGCUCUCCGCAUAAAUCGAUCCCAACCCCAACUGCAAUUAUCUUUCGAAAAAACGUCCGCAUUGGUCAAGGGUUCCGAGGGUGGUCCAGUUUGGUCGAGCAAAUUUACCAAAUUCAUAGUGUAGAAGACCUGUACAUUAUUUUUAUCCACAUCACUUUCGAGUGUGAGAAAGAGGCCGAUGCAGUCGGCACUGUCCUUUUCGUCCCCACAAGGAAAGCAUUCCACAAUCCAGUAGUAGCCGCCGACAGUGAAAGGGGCAGACCGGAUGGAAUUGCCCACGCCAAUCUCCUUCGCCAGAGAGUAGUCGGCGAUCUUGAAUAGGUGGGACCCGCUCGCCUUCUCCAUCAUCCACGUCGACGACGAAGACGAGGAAGAAGCCAUGGACGGAUGGGGAGUGAGGAGUCCACUCGACGAAAGAAACGAGGAUUUGUUAUCGUUCUUAGGGUUUAUUAUAAUAAAUAGUAGUAACUCCUAGGGAUGUCCAUGGGUACCGAUGUCUCAAAUAUUAUGCCGAUUGGAAUCCAGCAGAUUUAUAAGAUGCUAAUAAAUGAAUUUAGCUUAGCUUCGAUUGCCUAUAUUAAAAAAAAUUGACUGAUUUAGGUUUGAAUAUGAAUUUUGUCUGCCUUCAAUCUCAAUCCGAUCUAAAUUCGAAUUAAUUUUAUAAUAUAUAAUAAAAUAAAUUACAGAAAUUUUUUUUAUAUAAAUAUUCGUUUUUUUAUUUUUCCUCUUCAAUUCUUAUAAUUUAUAUCCAAAAUGCCCUCUAAAAUGACAGAAAUAAAUUAAAAAAAAUUCUUUCUUAUAAAAUAAUAAGGAUAAUUUAAUUAUUUUGCUCUCUUCAUUAACAUCGUACCAUCUGAAAAUAUUUUUGAAAAUUUAAGAAGGUAAAAUAUAGAUUUUUGAAAGUCAUGAAGGGCAAGUGAAUAAGUAAGUAUUUACAGAGAUGUUUUAUCUAAUUUAGCNNNNNNNNNNNNNNNAGUUUUCGUGGUACUUCCACCACGAAAACUCAAAAAUCAGUAACCUAUCUCUCUACACUCCAACCCUACUACCACCAUCUACCAUCAUCCACCACCAUCCACUUAUCAUAAACUAGGUUUCUGAUAAUUAUUAAUUUCUCAUCUAGGUUUCCAAUCUUUAAAUCUUCGUGGUUCCCCAACCACGAAGAUUUUUAUAAGAUCGAGUUAAGAUAUAUAUAUAUAUAUAAGAAAAUAUAAAUAAAAUAGCCGUCCCGCUGUAAAAAUAGAUAAUUAAAACAAAACUUGAAUAAGAAAGAGACCUAAAUAGUCUGUGUUUCGAAGUGGUUCGUGUACCUUCAAAGACUCCGGGUAGUGUCUCGUACGCUCAGACUCUUUAAACUAACGUAUGUAUAAAAAAAUAAAGAUUCUUGUAGUUAAAGUAGUAAAUGGUUUCGGUGGUUCCUUCAACAGACUUCCAUUGGCUACAAAGCAGCUAUGCGCGUAGAUUUACCAAUUUUCUUGUUUAUCAUGAGCUUUUAGACUGCUGUUUAUAAUGUCUCUACAUUACGAGUUCAUUUUAUACGUAAACUUAAGUUAUAUGUUAAAGAAGGAGGUAACCUUCUUACCGGAUGCAAGGCUUCCAAGAGAGAGUAUUCUAGCUAGCUCAACUAUAUAUAUAUAUAUAUAUAUAUAGUAGGUCUUGUGUGCUAUUAGGAGCACGGAGGCCAACGUGCUCCUAAGCCGUUUUCGAUGGUGGAGCUUCCGAAUCGACGAUCGGCUUCGUUAGACUUGAUCUAGUGUAUUUAAAGUAUUUAAAAAAUAAAUUUUGUAAUUUUUCAAUAUUAUUUACCUAACAAUCGAAAAAGUUCAAAAUCAACAAUUUUAAAUGGUUGAUUUAUAUCGUGUACUGUCCCUGGUGUUUAGCGGUUUGUGUGACUUCUGUAUCUGUGGCUUGUCGACACAUCUCGUGGGUGUCGAGACAAGUCGGAGCGUUUUGACGCGAAAUAGAUGCAAAACGGACUCAGUGUGAUGCGAGAGUGGAGUUCUGACACUGAAAUUUGCAAAGUGUAGAAUUUCAGUGUUGAGUACCGGUACCUUGGGGGAAGUAUCGGUACCCUAGUGAGAUUGCGGAACUGGAUGCUUUCGGGUUUGCGCAGUGUGAUGCUGAGUACCGGUACCUGUUGUUGAGUGCCGGUAUCGAGCUCGGGUACCGAUACUAUAUCGGGUUGCACCGGUACCCAGCAUGCGAGACUACGGAUUGAGGGGCCGAGUACCGGUAUUCAAGCUAAGUACCAAUACUCCAGGUUGAAAAAUGAGUUGGUGAGGGAUAUUUUGGUCUUUUUGGUGGUGGAUUGUCUCACUACCUACCCCCAGCAUAUUUAUCUACCUGAGAAACUUGGGAACUCAGUUAGCUUCUCCUCCAUCUCUCUUUCUCUAGCUGAUGUGUGCCGCUCGUUGGGAAAUCGAGAGUUGAGCUCGUGUGGAGUCUUCGCUUGCUAGGAGGAUCGCUCGAGCGCGUGGAUUGUCCGGUUGAGGCCAUCGGAGGUUGAGCGAGCGCAUGGGUUUCCUCUUGUCGACUUCUUGCCGACGUUGGAGAGCGUUCGAGGUGGGUUAAUGUUUACCGAAAUCGUCAGAUUUCCUUCUAAGUCCUAAAAUUGUCAGCAUGUAUUAUUGGCUUUGUUCAUCAUGUUAGUUGCUCGAAUUCAUCGAUUUGCAUGUUUUUAUGAAAUCUGAAUUUGGAGCAUAAGCUAGUGAUUUUAGAUGAAAUUAUACAUGUUGGACUAAAAUUUGACUUAGGAAAAAACUCAUUAAACCUACACUGUCUUUUUCUGAAAGUUACCAGAUUUAGUUUCAAGAGCUGUUGUGCUUUUGUAUCCCUGCUGUUAUUGUGUAUUGGAUACUCAGAUAACUUCAGAAGCUGUUGUUCUUUUGUAUCCCCGCUGUUAGUGCGUAUUGGAUACUCAGAUAGCUUCAUGAGCUGUUGUUCUUUGGUAUCCCCGCUGUUAGUGCGUAUUGGAUACUCAAAUAGCUUCAGGAGCUAUUGUUCUUUUGUAUCCUCGCUGUUAGUGCAUAUUGGAUACUCAAAUUAGUGUAGGGUGAGUUUACGCUCGUGCUAAGGGGCCGAUCUCAUUUUACAGUAGGGUGUAGACUGUUCUGUACUAUCGGAUGCCGUCGUGGUUGACUGUGGACCCCGAUUUCGGUAUUUGGCAUCAGAUUGUGUCAAGGGCAUGUGAGCUUUGGUUGUUAGACCAGUUGGACCCAUUAGCAUUGACUACAACCUGUGAGAGCCUGCUGGAGCUCGACAGAGACGCGCUUGCAUACUCGAUUGGGUCGCGCCCACGAAUGCCACUCCGGAGUGAGAUUUUUCAUUGCGAUGAGGUAGCACCAUUUCUGUUUGGACAGUUCUUGGACCGGUCAUCCCCGUGGGUGGUGUACGGUGUACAUUGGUUAUAGGUAGGGUGGGUCUAUUUGGGCAGCUCCAGUGAGAUUGGGUUAGUGUGAUGCAUUUUUAUAUCUAUAGAUAGUCUGUGUUGGUUAGCGAUAAUAUAGUGGCAUAUAGCUGUAGAGUUCUUUGCAGCUUUCCUUACUAUCCUUUGCACAUAGUUUUGUAGACUUAGUGGGUGGGCCGUUGAGGUCGGUGACGGUACCCACUGAGGACUACUCUGUUUUGCAGUAGUUCUCACACCCAGUUGUUGAUACAUUUUGCAGAGCCUUCGUCUGCGGCUGCUGCUGUUGUUGAUUCGGAUCGAGGCAAGGGAGUCGCGAGCUAGAGCCGUCCCUUCCCUGGUCAUUUGCUAGAUGAGCACCUGUCAGAGGUAGUGUUGGGUUUUGUGUACAUACUGUUUUGUUGUUGGGGUACUCGCUGGAGCGAGGAGGUGUUGUAGCCUUUGUAUGUACUGUGAACCCAUUUUGUUUUAUAUAUAUUUUCUUCUAGUAGCCCUAUACACUUGGUUGUAGCUAUGACUUGCUUAUAGGUAUAGCUAUCGCUUCGUAUACACGAAAAAUUUCUAUAUAUACGGCAGGUCUGUUGGCGUGCCCGGGAAAACAUGGUAACCCGGGGCGUGACAUAUCGUUUGCAAGUUUAACAGUGUAAAAUUAUUCAAAUCAGAUGAAAUUUUGAUAAAAAAUUUUUUAUACUAUUUACUGCAAGAUCAAUAUCUCUGAUCGAAAAUUUUAGUGUUAUAUCAUCACUUUUUGUGAGAUUUUUAUUUUCAGCCGUUGAUUUUGAACCCUUUCGAUCGCUAGGUAAAUGAUAUCGAAAAAUCGCAAAAUUUAUUUUCUAGAUACUUCAAAUAUGCUAGAUCAAGUCUAACGGAGCCGGUCGUCGAUUCAGAAGCUCCACCAUCGAAAACGGCUUAGGAGCACGGAGGCCUCCGUGCUUCUAAUAGCACACAAGACCUACUAUAUAUAUAUAUAUAUAUAUAUAUAGAGAGAGAGAGAGAGAGAGAGAUAGAGAGAGAGAGAGAGAGAGAGCCAUGGCUACUAUACUAUUAUGAGCAUUGGAGACCUCGUACUCAUAAAUUGUUUUCAAUGAUGAAGCUUCCGAAUCAACGAUCCACUCAGUUAAAUAUGAUCUAGACUAUUUGAAACUUCUAGAAAAUAAAUUUCGUAAAUAUUCGAAAUCAUAAUAAAGUCCAUCAAGUGGGCAUAAAAUGGACGGUCAAAAUCGAACGAUGUUCUAAAAAAGGAUGAUCGGAUCCUUCAAUUCAAGAUUAGAGUUAUUGAUCUUUAUCUAUGUAUUGAAUAAAAUUUUCUAUCAAAAAUUCAACAAAUUCCGAUUCUUUUACACCGUUAAAUUAGCAAGUAUCCCAUACCGGCCGUUAAAAAUUGUCAAAUUUGUGACCUCUUGAUCGUAAGGUAAAUGAUGUCGAAAAAUUAUAAAAUUUGAUUUCUAGAAGUUUUAAAUGCUGUAAAUAAUCUCUCUCUCUCUCUCUCUCACAAGCCGAUGAUAUGAUAAUACUCAUGCUAGCGGGAGCAUGAGUAUUCAACAAAAGCUACUAUCUCGAAGGCUUAACUAGGUUUUAACGUGUGGCAUUCAUCAAUUCGGAAGCUUCUUCAUCGGAAAACAACUUAUGAGUACGGAGAGCGAUCGUUACUCAUCUAAUAUAUAGUAGCCGGGCCCUAGUAUAUAUAUAUUAAUAUAUAUAUAUAUUAUAUAGAGCAGGACUGUGUGCUCUCAGGAGCACGGAGUCUCCGUGCUCCUGAGCCUUUUCGAUGAUGGAAUUUUCGAAUCGACGACGAUCGGCUCCGUUAGACUUGAUUCUAGCGCAUUUGAAGUUUCUAAAGAAAUAAUUUUUGCGAUUUUUCGAUAUCAUUUUACCUAAUGAUCGAAAGGAUUCAAAAAUCCAUAAUUUUUAAUGGUUAUAUUUGCCGUUUUCAAGUUUAACGGUGUAGAGAGAGCAAAUCAGAUGAAAUUUGAUAGAAAUUCUUUAUACUAUCUACACAAAGAGUUUAUAAUUGCUGAUCGAAAUUUUAGUCUAUAUCACCACUUUUUAUAGUAUUUUUUUUUAAGCCGUUAAAAAUUAUUGAUUUUGAAUCUUUCGGAUUGCUAGGUAAAUGAUAUCGAAAAAUUAUAAAAAUUAUUUUCUAGAACAUGUAUAAUACGCUAGAUCAAUGUUUAACGGAGGCCGAUCGUCGGUUUGAAAACUCCAUCAUCGAAAAUGGCUCAAGAGCACGGAGGGCCUCCGUGCUCCUGAGAGCACAGCAGCCCUGCGUCUAUAUAUAAUAUAUAUAGUAUAUAUAUAUAAAAGCACGUAUAUUCAAAUUUGGGUCUGUCGACAGACCCAUUUUUCGGCGGAAAAUUAGCGCCAUUUUUCUCUUUCCGUACGAAAAAUUUUAAAUAUAAGAAUAAAAGUAGAAAUAGAACACAAUGAAUACGUUAAGUUCUCUAUAACAGAUUACUGAUGUAAAAUCCUAAAAUAGUAAAUUUUUCUAUUUAAUUUCAAAAGUAAGUUUUCUAUAACAGAUUACGGGUGGAAAAUCCUAUAAAAGAUAUUUUUCCAUUUUUUUUAAAAUAUCUUUUUUAGAUAUUAUUCUAUUUAAUUUUAAAUAUAUUUCUUUUAAGAUACGGAUUUUAUUUUUCGAUUUAAUUUCAAAAUUUAUUUCUAACAAAUUUUAUUUUCUAUUUAAUUUCAAAAGUAAUUUUUGCAUUAGAGAUAUUGUUAAUUAUUUAUCAUUUAAAGCAUAUCUUCUUUAAUAGCGUGAUUUAUUAUUUUAAAUUUUUUAGAUACAUAUUUGGCAAUGCAUAUAAAAUAUGGCCUAAAAUUAAAAAAUAAUUUAAAAAAAUUAUAAUUUUUCUAAUAAUUAUUAUUGCAUUUGCACUACAUUUUACAGUAUUAUAUAUAAGCAUGUAUUUUAAUUUCGGUCUGUGACAGACUCAUUUUUUGGCAAAAAAAAAAUUGUAUUCCUCUUUCCUUACGUAAAAUAAAUAUAAAAUUAAACAAACUUUUAUUCUUCUUAUUUCUACAACAGAAAAAAAUUUAUGCUUAUCCAAAUUUUUACAAUCUGAGAAUACUACUAUGAAUUUUUUUUAAUUCUUUUUAUCUCUAACUGUAUAUAAUAUCUAUACUAUCUAGCCGUAUUUCAAAUUUCGAUAUGUCGGCAGACCCAUUUUUAGGAAAAAAAAUUUUGAUUCCUCUUCCUUACGUUAAAUAAAUAUAUAAUAGAAUAACUUUUAAUUAUCUUUACCUCAAAUAAAAAAUAUAUAUAUACUUAUCAAAUUUUGCCAACCGAAAGAUAUCUAUUGUGAAUCUAUUAUUUAAUUCAAAAAUUGUUUAUUUCUUUUAUCUCUAAAUAGAAAUAAAUUCAUGCUUAUCCAAUUUUUGACAGAAUAUCAAUAUGCUUUAUCGCAUCUAUUUUACAUUAAAUUUGAAUUUGACUGUUAAAUCGUGAAUUAAAUUUAAUUUUGAUUUUGGAUAUCAAAUCUAUCAAUCUAUUAUAUUAAAAUUUAAAAUUGAUAUUAUAAAUAUGUUUUUAAUAAAAUAUAACAUAUAAACUUAAUAAAAUAUUUUAUGCUAAAUUUUUGAAUAAAUAUGAUUUACAUAUUUUUACUAUUUAAAAUAAAUCUAAAAUAAUUGUUACGUGCAUUUGACAUCGGUAGCACUCAACUAGAAAAUAUGGUAAAGAGAAAUAAUUAUUCUGGGUUUGGGUUUUUGGGUUCGGGGUUGGGUUCAGGUUUGGAUUCGAGUUUCGAAUUUUUAGUUAGGUUCGGAUUUGGAUAUGAAUUUUUAAAAUUCGUCGGAUUCGUAUUCAAGAUUGCAUUUCGGGUUUGGUAGUAGAGGCCGUGUUUGUGUUUUGGAAAAUUCGCCCCAAAUCCAAUCCAUUUUCAUCCCUAGUCAUAACUCAGCAUAGGCAAACAGAGUUUUUACAAAGAAAAAUAUAGUAUAAGAUCCACAUAUAGAUAUUAUUUCAGCCAAUUAAUAUAUGUAAUAAUUAACAAUUUAAAAAUCUUUACAGCUUAAUUUUUUUUUCCUUUUUUUCUUAAAAAAAAUGGCCAAUUUGUAUAAAAAAUCCACUAGUUUUGCGCUUUCGCAAGAGUUGGCCACUUUUUUCGAUUUUGCAGAUUCGAACCGGAUUUUCAGCAAACUGACCAAAAUACCUUUAUUAUUUUUUCUCUCUUCUCUUUUUUUUCUUUCGUUCAUUUUUUUUUCUCUCGCCGAAGAGGCAGCGGAGGCAGAGGCGGAAGCGGAAACGGCCCACCUCGCCUCUCACCCUCAUGCUGUCGCCCUCGCCCUCGCUCUCGCCCUCACCCUAGCCCGCACACCCCCCACCUUCCUCACCUCCGACCCCGCCGAGGCCGCGCCGCGACUCUUUUUUUUUUUUCCUCUCCGACUCUCCUUCACCGUCUCCGACGACGACGCCUCUCUCGCCUUUCCCUGCCCUUUUCGUCCUCUCCCUCACCCUCCUCCUCUGCCACCUCCGACGACGACGCAUCUUCGCUGACGCCGACACCGUGGAGGUCACUGCGGUGCUGCAGCCUCGGAGCGAGGGGGCCUUAGCGGCGUCGUCGCCGGCGCCGUAGCCGUUGGCAAAGAGGGGUAACAAAAAAAAAUUAUAGAAGAAGCAAGAAAAAAAAUAAAGAUAAAAAUUAUAGAAAAAGAAAUAUGGAGAUUAAAUUACACCGCUAAAAUAAAAUUGCACUGUUUUAAAAAAAUAUUGCACUAUUAUGGAUAUAAAUUGCACUACUUAAGAUGUAAACUGCAGCUUUAAGAUGAAAAUUACACUCUUUAAACAAAAAUUACACUCUUUGAAAGAUAUUUACACUGUUUCUUCUCUUAUUGCACUCUUUCAAAUGUAAACUGCAUCCAUUAAUAUGAAAAUGACACUUUUUAAACGAAAGUUGUACUAUUUGAGAGAUAUUUGCACUGUUUCUCCUCUUGUUGCACCCUUUGAGAUGUAAACUGCACCCCUUUAAGAGAUAUUUAUACUAUUUCUCCUCUUGUUGCACUAUUUUUUCUCUUGUUACACUGUUUCUUCUCUUAAACUCUACCCUAUAAGAGCAGAAAUAGUGUAACAAGGGAGAAAUAGUGCAACAAGAGGAGAAACAGUGCAACAAAAGGAGAAAUAGUAUAAAUAUCUCUUAAAGGGAUGCAGUUUACAUCUCAAAAGGUGCAAGAAGAGAAAAAAUAGUGUAAAUAUCUCUCAAAGAGUGCAACUUUCGUUUAAAGAGUGUAACUUUCAUCUUAAUGGAUGCAGUUUACAUCUGAAAGAGUGCAAUAAGAGGAGAAACGGUAUAAAUAUCUUUCAAAGAUUGCAAUCUUUUUUUAAAGAGUGUAAUUUUCAUCUUAAAGCUGCAGUUUACAUCUUAAGUAGUGCAACUUAUGUACAUAAUAGUGCAACGUUCUUUUAAAACAGUGCAAUUUUUUUUUUAACGGAGCAAUUUCAUCUUCAUGUUUCUUUUUCUAUAACUUUCUAUCUUUAUUUUUUCUUUCUUGCUUCUAUAAUUUUUUUUGGUCACCCCUUACUGCCAAUGGCCACGGCACCGACGACGACGCCGCUAAGGACCCCCCGCUUCGAGGCUACAGCACCGCAGCGACCUCCACAGUGUCGGCGUCGGCGUCGGCGUCGGCGAAGAUGCGUCGUCGUCGGAGGCGGCAGAGAAAGAGGGAGAGGGAGAGAACGAGAAGGGCGGGGAAGGGCGAGAGAGGCGUCGUCAUCGGAGACGGUGGAGGAGAGUCGGAGAGGAAAAAAAAGAGUCGCGGCGCGGCCUCGGCGGGGUCGGAGGCGAGGAAGGUGGGGGGUGCGGGGGCGAGGGCGAGAUCAUGAGGGUAAGAGGCGAGGCGGGCCGUUUCCACCUCCGCCUCUGGCUCCGUUGCUUUCUUUGGCGAAAGAAAAAAAAAUAAACGAGAGAAAAGAAGAGGAGAGAGAAAGAGGAGAGAGAAAAAGUAAUAAGGGUAUUUUAGUCAGUUUGCUGAAAAUUCGGACCGAAUCUGCAAAAUCAAAAAAGACGGCCUAGUUUUGCAAAAGCUCAAAAUUUAUGAAUUUUUUAUGCAAAUUGGCCAAAAAAAAAUCUACCUCAGUGAUGAAAUUUAAAAUAUUUAACAUGUCUUCUCCUAAAAGAUGUCGUGCGAUGGAUCUCGUAAAGCUGUAAAUUCCUGAAGUAUGGUCGUCAUGGAACUGAAAUUCCGAAGAAACUCUUGAUGUUUUUAUUGCUGACAGUUGGUUGCAGUGUUAGUUCAUCUUAGUGUUUUUUUUUUUGAGAGAGAGAUAGGUAGCACGCUACCCGCUUUGUUUGUUUCAUUUAGAAAUAAGCUUAGCUGGAAAUAUGAAUCAACUAGGAUUCGAACUUGGGAUCUCGGGUACCAACCACCAAGUCCUUUGCCACUUGCUCUAGGAACGGUCGGUGUUAGUUCAUCUUAGUCCCAAACAAAAAUAUUGGUUACAAGCCGACAAAACGUUUGUAGUUAGAGCCUAUUUGGUUCUUCAAAAAAUAUUUUUUAAAAAAAUUUCAAGUUGAAUUUUUUUGGCCAAUUUGCAUAAAAAAUUCACUAGUUUUGAGCUUUUGCAAAUGUGGACCACUUUUUUUAAUUUUGCAGAUUUGGGUCAGAUUUUCUGCCAUCUGACCAAAAUGCCCCUCAUCUCCAUCCACCUCACUUGUAUUCCGUCAAAUAUGUAUACCACAAUGUACAGCCACCGGACGGGCAUUAAAUCCCGAACAUGGUUAUGCAACCUCUCGAUCAUCGGAAUGCGAACAAAAUUGACCUUGCUAUUUGCCAGCCCCAAUGUUUGCAACGAUUUUUAGAUAUUAAAUAUGUUGAAGUUAUAUGACAAACUACACAGUCGGCAAUAGAAAUAAUAGUUCAACGCAAAGAGAAAUGGUGCAACAAUCCUUCUAACAAUGCAGCUUGCAGCUCAUACCAGUGCAAUUAAUCUCUACUGCUCACAGUGCAACGCUGGCAUUCAAUCUUCUCCCUUAUCAGGACAACAUCCCACUCCCCCGUUAGGCACUUUUCUUCCUAAACCUUAAGGCGCUCCCUUCACCGGCAUCCCGUACUACCUACCCUAUUUGUAAACCCCUUGCCCUCCUCCAUGCAAGCCUAACAGUUUUUUCCAGUAGCCUCCGCUGCGUUCGGCAUUUGCAGAGGAGAAAUGGAAGAAACGUGGGGUAGGGACAUGACUUUAGGGUUAGGAAGUAGGGGCGGGAGGAGGGGGACAAGUCGUUCAUCUGCAAAAAGGUACCACACGGCCAAGCAAGUAGUGCAACUUUAGCGGCAACAAUACAAUCAUGUCUAAAAAAGGAUUGUUAAGGACUUUUCUAAGUUGGCGAAUUUCGUGAAGUCGAAUGGAGUCUUGAAGAGUUGAAGACGAAGUUUGAAGAGAAGAUUGAUCACAAGACUUGUUCAUGAUGCUCGGAAUCUCAGGUAUGUAUGUUAAUAAUUUGUGGUGAAUUUCUAUCUUUGUAAAUGUGUUUGGAAGACUUAGGAUGGUUAUUAAAAUGAAAAACUGAACAAAACUGAACCUUUCAAGGUUCAAGGUCUGGACCUUGGAGCGAGGGACUGGACCCCGUUGAAAUUUAUGUUACGCUGUGAGGGACUGGACCCCGUACGUUGAAAUUUAUGUUACGCUGGGAGGGACCGGACCCUGGAGCGAGGGAUCGAACCCCGUAGCCUAUAUUUUAUGAUACGCAGAGAGGGUCCGGGCCCUAGCUAAAAGGACCGGACCUUGAAGGUCCGAACCCUUCGGGAGGUCUGGACCCUGAAACCGUCUUUCGUUUUUAAAACCGAGUUUUUAAUUCCUAGUCUAUCUAUAAGUCUUCUAAACCUAUAAAUAAGCUAUGAGGAGCGUCCUAUUACGUAUGCUUAGAAAGAAAACCUUUUUGAAACCCUAAAAAAAAAAAACUUAUUUUGGAGAUUUUCAAUCAAUGUUUUAAAAUCAAGUUUUUGUUUUUCGAUCGCCGAUUCGAUUCUUUGGGUUCUAUUCAUUUGUUUCUUUAAGAAUCGAAUCGGUGAUGGAUUGAAAGGUUUUUCCUCGUAUUUUAUUCUCUUUCUAAGGAAUUUGAAUCACCACAAACUAUUAAUCUCUACGAGCUCCGGAUGGAGCGUUGGCGCGUGGACUUCGCAUGAGGCCGUGGAUUCGGUGGACACAUCGUGGAGGUGAGGCGUUGUUGCUGCGUGGAUUUACGGCGUGAUUGAUUGGAGGACUUCGAUCGAUCGAGGACCGGCGAAGACGAUCUACAACGAGGAUUCGGUAAAAUUGGGUCGUGUAUUCGGUAAAUCACUUGCACUCAAUUUUUCUAUAGUGAAUUGUUUCGUAUGAUCGGUCCCGUGGGUUUUUUACUCCAAGUUGGAGUUUUUCCACGUAAAAUCUCAGUGUGUUGAUUUUGUUUUUCCGCAUUUAGUUUAAAUUUGCAUCGAAAAAUUUUUGAUUUGCCGUUUACACCUAUUCGCCCCCCUCUAGGUGUUAUUUACCUUUUAGAUCUUUGGGGAUCCAUAUCUCACAAGGAUAAAUUAUUAUCUGUAUUUUGUGCUGCUGCGAAUAUAAUAGUGCAAAAAGGGGCUCUGAGUGGUGUGACAUUGACCUAAUUAGUGCAAUGGUUCAACCCAAAUGGUGCAACGAAUUCAUAACCAGUGUAAAAAAAACUCUUCCUUUAGAUGUAAUACUGACCUAAUUAGUGCAAAGUUAGUAAUCCAAUCUUUUCUUAGAAAAUACAUUGUAUUGCCUUCAUUGAUAAUUGCUAAAAAUAUUGGCCGUAUGUUAUUAUUCCAAUUCCCCGAAUGGUAUGAGGAUUUGAAGGAAGUCUCGUGCAAUCUCCCUCUUGUUGAAAGUAGAUCACAAAAGAAGUGAAAUAUCUUACGAUCCGUUCGUGUCUUCUCGUAACAUGCAAGAUUACUAUCAUAACUUAUUCUCCGGGCCUGGGUAUAUUACAUUCCUACCAACCAUCUCUAGAGCAAGUGGCAAAGGACUUUGUGGUUGGUACCCGAGACCCAAGUUCGAAUCCUAGUUGAUUCACAUAUCCAGCUAAGUUUAUUUCUAAAUAAAAUAAACGAAGUGGGUAGCGUGCUACCUAUCUCUCAAAAAAAAAAAAAAAAACAUUCCUAACUACGAGUAAUCUUGUAUUUAUAAGAAUUUCAAAGUGACCAUUUCCCACCCUCCAAUUGUCUCAAACUCAAUUCAAAAGAAAUGUAAAAUAUUCAAGUUAGUAUUCAAAGUUUGAAUUUUAAAUUUAAAUUUUGGAUUCAAAUUUAAAUUUGAACAUCAAAUUUGACUUAAAUGUUAAAUUAAAAUUAAAAUUCAAAUUAAAAUUCAAAUUUUGAAUCACAAUUGAAAAUUUGAAUUUUGAUUUAAAAUUUGGCGUCAAAAUCUGAUUUGAAAUUAAAAUUUGGAAUAAAAAUCUGAGCUUGGACUAUAAGAUGAAUUCAAAAUCUAAAUUUAAAUUCGAAUAAAUUUGAACUUAAAAUUUUAACUAUUCAAAACAAUUUGAAUUUGAAAUUUAAAUUCAAAGUUGAAUUUGAAUAUCAAUUUCCAACCCAAAAUUAGAAUUUGAAUAUGAAAUUCAAAUUCAAAAUCAAAAUCAAAAUCAAAAUCAAAAUCAAAAUUUAAAUUUAAGAUUGAAUUUGGAACAACGGUGAUGUCGCCCCCUUCGAACAUAACAAACAUACCAGCAAACCAACGUUCUGUAGCAUCAUCGAACAUAACAAACAUAUACCAGCAUACCAGCACUCUGCAGGAUCCCAGCAGCACCAAACUCUGAUGCAAAACCGAUGGCUGCCCAAAAAGGCACAAGCUGUCUACUAAAACAAAUAUGAAUCCUGAUGCAAGCACAAUGGCCGCCACAACCACGCAUCCGCACCGCCCGAAACAGCGGAGCUGAAAAAAAAAGAAAGAAAAAAAAAAACAAAUACGGCCCCGGAUCAGCAAAUACGACGAGACUCAGCAAAUUACGACGAGACUCGGAGGCCACCGUCCUCCAUCAUACCUGAAUCGUUCCUGGAGACGACAAUGUACAGGCGACCAGCAAAACUAGCUGGAAAAACCACUCCAAAAGACAAACAGGCCCUGAGGCCAGCUCUAAAAGCUUUCAAAUGUAAUCUCCUACAAGUCAGAAAUUCAGAGCUUUAUUCACUUAAAUUCAACAUUGAAAGCUUUUUACACAGAUAGUACUUCUGAAUUAUUUAUUUCGCUCCGAUGGAAGAUCAGUGGCCUCGUGCUUGCUCAUCAUGUAGGACAAGAACUAGACAUUAAGAACAUCAUCUACAGAUAGAAAAGAAUUUGAGGGAAGAAAAAAAAAUAAUGAAAUUUUAUCAACAUCUACAAGCCCCUGAGAAUUUAUUUGACAAGUUAAAAGCAGCAAAUUUCAAAUCAUUUUAUUUACAAAAAAGACAAAUUGUAAAAGCUGCAUUCUCAUGAAAUAUGAUUCAGAAUAACUUGCUUAGGUUAAACUUGUCUUCAUUUAUUUGUUUCUUAGUGAAGGUGCAGCUGAGGCUUUGCAGAUUGGGCACCAGUUCUUCAGCCUAAGCCACUGGUGGAUGCACGCAACAUGGUAUACGUGCUCGCAUCCCAGCUUCCCCACCUCAUCCCCGGCAACAUACUCUUCCUGAGAGAAUGAAAAUGAAAAAAAAUGAAUAACUACUAAAUGAAAAGAAAUUAUGCAACUGCCGCAAUUUGCCGAUUGGCCCGAUUGCCCUGAUUAAGAAAAUAUAGUGUGGAGCCUCGUUUCCGGAGCUUCUAGCUGUGUGGGGAAGCCAAAAUAAGUUUUCAGACCCUAGAAGCAGAAAAUACUAUUUGAGGCUUCUGCCUAUAGCUGCAGCUAGAAGCCGUUGCAGUGGCCUUGGGAGGACUUCAAAAGAAAAAGCUGCAAGGGCUUUUCUUAAUUGCUCGAUCAAAUAAUACUUCUAUAGAAGCCCAGGCUGGCCCUAGUUCAAUGUCGGAUGGAUGGAAGGACUAAAACUGUAAAAUGCUACUAAGUACAAAUCAUGCAAUUCAAUGAAUUCAAGUGAAUUGGAUGUGGGGCUCAAAUCUCUUAUUUGGAGCACAGUGUGAUUGUGCAACUUCCAUAAUUUACUCCCGAUUUACCUUCUGUGUCUAAAUUCCAUCACAAUUAAAAAGGGAAUUCUCGGACUUCUCUUAUAUAUGAAUAGCAGCAAAUUGUACCUCAAAGAGUACGACUUCUUUAUACUAAUCAAUUUGCAUCCAAAAUAGAGGAAAUCGACAUCAUGAAUACUCUAAACAAGAGAAUUAAGAAAAAUUAGUUGGAACUUCCCCCCAAUUCACUGAUUUUGGUGCUACCAAAUAGGCUACAAAAAUAAUCAAUAUUAAUGAGCUGAAAGGUAAGAUGGCCAAAAACAGAAUGCAAAGGAAAGUAUGUGGCAGUUCCAUAUAAUUCUACGCAUUCUGUGCUCUUUUCUCUAGGCAGAAAAAACGUACCUGACAUAUGCUGCACUUGAUAUCAUGGGCAAUGUGUCUAUUAAUUCCUGAGACAAGUGAGGCCGAUGUGUAUAUACUUCUUUUCAGACAUUUCACCAGCUCAUCUUCAGGAAGGGCCGUGCUAACACUACCCAUUUGUUCCUCUAAGGCUAGUAAUUCCUGUUAAGAACAAAUAACAUUCAGGGGAACGCAACUAACUAAAAAGGACAGUCUAAAGAUAUUGGCAAAUAGAAAUUAAAGAGGAAAAAUUUAUAGGUAGGACUUAAGCAAAUAAUGAAUUGGAUUUUAAUCUAUAAUCUUCUGCAAAGGUCUUAGAAAACAUCAGAUAUUGGACAGAAUAAGCUCCAGGGAUGACCUCGACCGAGAUUAGGCAGCUUCAGGGAUUAAACAGUCUAAGCAAAAAGUUAGGGCAUGAAUUGGAAUUCAUACAAUGUUCAAGAAAUGGACAUAAAUUUACCCAAAGUAGACUAAGUAGAAAAUCAUGAACAGUUGAACCACCAUACAACAUUUUGAACUUUCAGGGCACGUUUGGUUUGAAGUAGGAAUUUUUNUGAAUAAAAGCUUUUUGUUUUUAAACCUAAAAUUAAUUAUUUAGGCAUGUUAACAAUAUAUAUAUAUAUAUGUUUUUUUUUUUUUUUUUGAGAGAUAGGUAUCACGCUACCCACUUCGUUUAUUUCAUUUAGAAAUAAACUUAGCUAGAAAUGUAAAUCAACUAGGAUUCGAACUUGAGACCUCGGGUAUCAACAACCAAGCCCUUUGCCACUUGCUCUAGGGACGGUCGGUGAUUCGAAUUAGGAAUUGAAACCGGAAUAGGAGGGAAAUGGACCAAAAUCGAAAACGGAAUGAUGAAACCCUUAAUUUAUUUGGUUCAUAGGAGGAAUCAGAAUCAUAAACAUGUUUAAAUUAAAAUUCAAAAAAUUUAGAAUUUAGUUAAAAUUUAAAUUUACUAUCCAAAUUUGUAAUCAAAAUUUGGAUCCAAAUUUGAAGUUAAAAUUUGAAUUUACAAUUCAAAUUCAAGUAAAAAGUCAAAAUUUAAAUUUAGAACCAAAUUCAAAUAUCAAACUUGUAUUAGAAUUUAAAAUUUAACUUAAAUUGAAUUUUAAAUCCAUAAUUCAAAUUCCAAUUUAAAAUUAUUUAUUCUAAAAUUAAACAUAAUUUUAAAUAAUUGUUAGUUAAAAAAUGAGUUCUUUUCUCAAUCCUUUCCGAAAUCAAUCCAUAAUGGGAAUCAUUUUGGAGGGACUCGACCCCUCCCUCCUGUAAUGAAAAUCGGAAUGUCAGUCCCUCAAAUCAAACAACAAAAAUACGAAUGGAUCAUUCUGAUUCCUAUUCCAAGCCUCAAAUCCUUCAAACCAAACAUGCCCUGUUGUAGAGCUUAAGAACUAGGAAGAGGAACUAUGUAAAGUAGACACCCCGUUCAGUUAUUUCAGUACAUUCCAAAGAAAGAAGUUGCUGUGCACACAAUUAUAAACGAAUUUAAGUUAACAUGCUGUGAUCACGUUCAAGACAAAUAUUACCACGUUCAAAUGCAUCAUAGAAUAGCCCAUACCUCAUAGGACAUAUUAUCAAUGUCCAUUCUCAUGUCACUGUGUUGAUCAUGGAAAGUCAGCCCACCAAACAACAAGUUUGUCUCGAGAACCAGUAAUUGCUGCAAAAUAAAAAAGACCUCAUUUAGUUGAAAACUGGAGAAGAAAAAGCAGCAAAUUAAGAAGCAAGGAACAACCUCAUAUGUUAAAUCCUCAUAUUGUUCGAUCCUCUCUAAUGCCAAUAAUACCUGCAUGCCAGUAAACAUCAUAACCUAGUUAGAAAUGGAAAGUAGUGCCAUGAUUUGAGCUCAACUAGGAAAUGUAAGAAAUGCCUAUAAUGUCAAAAUGGAUUCCAUUUCGCACAAUGAUGUGAUUACAAUAUCGUUCAUGCAGUGUAUCACAAUGUAGAUAGAUGCAUUAAAAUUUCAAGCAGCUUUCACAUGCACCCCCGCAAAAUCAUCUAUUUACAUAGAUGCCACCGUACAGUUGAAAUUUCAUACAUACCUUUCGAAGGUGCAGUUUCAACUGAGGUGAAGAAAGUUGUUUCAUAUCAAAAGGAAGUCUUUUAUAGAGAAGAACUAUUGUAGGUGGUAGGUAUACGCAUAUGCCUGUAUAUGUAAGAAAUUAUACACGUACACCAAUGUACAUGUAAGAAAUUAAGUUUCAUAAAGAACCUAUGAAAAUUCAGAUUUUCCAGAAUAUAAUUGUCAAAUAGACAAUUUUGCAGGGUUGUACAUGUAAAUAAUGCUAAUAUCAAAAGCAUAUAGAGAGGACCUGAGCAAUUCCUUCCAUGCUUAGAUGUUGAUGACCAUCUCCAUCAUCCAAAAGGUCAUGGCUUAUUUGACUGCUGUUCCUUUGAGGAUGAGAGGUCGACGAUGAUCUACUAUAAGCGGCCCGAUUGCUUGAACCCGUACGUGCAGAACAAUGAAAUGCCCGCGGUUGUUCCGAGGUGAAAAAUUCCGAUAUGGUUUCUGGAACUGCUUCCUGUACAGAAAAUCUAGUACCCUCCACUUCUGGGACCGCAUUCAGCAAAAAGGCACUUUCAUCUGUUUGCACGAAUGGGCUAGUCUUAUUGUCUGUUGUCGAAGUUCUUCGGGUCCGAACAGAAACUGGACCAUCCCUAUUAACUGCUUGGUUCCUGAUUCUUCUUAAAGAUUGUUGAGCAAUUGGGCCUUCUAGAACAGGUAAACUAGGGCCAGGAAGAUUACUAUGAGUAGGAACUGAAGAACUCCCCUCACUAUAAGACGUCUCUCUUAAAUCACUGACCCUCCUACCACGGCCAAGAUCAGAGGAAGAAGAACAGCCUGCCGGUAGGACAUCAGAGAUCGACGUGCAACUGAGAUUUUUAAAACCAUGCGAAGGCUUAGGAACAAUGGUGGAGCUUCUUGGUUUCGAACUUAUUCCCACAUUGCCUAAACUCAAGCGCUUACUAUUCUGUUUACUUGGUUUUGAACUUGAUGCGCUACCGUCAUAAUUUAAGUCCUCUAAUCGAUCUUCGAUCCUGGCUCGCCUGCUACUACUUUCGGGAAUAUCAAUCCUUCCAAGAAAAGUUGGGUUUGGUUGUUGUUCCUUUUGCAGCUUUACAAAAGCUUCUUUCGAAGUGGUCCCGGCUAUAGCUUUACCGGUAUUAGAUCUAACAGAUGGCCUAGAAAAUCUUGGCACUUCUGAGUUGUCGUUAUGGCCAACAUUUGUAGAAUUAAGCUUAGUACUGCAACCAAAUCUGCCGGAAUGCUGACCGCUUUUAUCUUCAUGGUUUUGAUUUCUAAAAGAAACGCCAGAAGUUCUUUUGGAAAAGCCAAUUCCUCUAGAAGUUCUUUUACUGGGAUAUUCGUCCAUAUGCAAAUUUAAUCUCCGGAGAUUAAAACAGCAAACCUCAGCUCUGCAACAAAAUAUACUACCUAAAUUCUGCAAUAGAAGAGAGGAAGGUUAACAAGGAGAGUAGCCAAAGACAGUUUCAACCACUUGAAAAAAAUGAUAAAAGCAGAAUAUUAAAAAAAUAAUAAUAAUAGAUCACAUGCAAAUAUGAUUAACUUAUGAUCACAUCAGAGCUAAACUUUAACAAUAUUUUGUUUUUGUGUUAGCAUUGACCUCGAAAUGUUUUAAGGUUCAGCACUUAAAAGUGCUGAGCUAUACCUCCUCCUUAUAUAGUAGCAUUAAUAUGAAUAUUGCAAAACUAUAAAUAAGUAAUAUUCAACAAGAUAAAGUGCGAGUGUUCCUGACAUUCAACCCUGAAACAAGAUGAGAAUGUAGCAGCACAGAUCGUGAAGAUAGAAAACCACAUUGCCAAACAGAAACCCAACAUUCACAGACAAAGAGAACACUGAAGAUCGCAACCUCAGUUGAAGAAGUUUUGAAUUGCAAGAAAAUUUAUCCAAUAGAUAAAAUAGCUUACAGAUCACUAUCUAAAACAAAAAUCUAGAAAAACAAUGUAAUGCAAAUAUCUGCAAAAUUUUCCCACUAACUUCUAUGCCUUCCAAAAGGAAAUAGGGCCUUCGCAAUCAUCAAAAACCAUUGGACAAUAAUGAUUACAGGAAUAGUAACUUAAAUUAAGAUGCUACAGUGAAGCAAUGAAUAAUUUUUAAAUUUCAAUAAAGCAAACAAACGGAAUAGUUACAUUUUUAACACUCAAGUGAGAGAAAUGCAGUAAGGGACUUUCAGAUCAAAGCCAAAAAAUUAUGAUUACAUUACAACGGAAUAGAUUUAACAGAAGCAUCCUCAAUCUAACUUUAAUUUUACAACUUUUGUACGUCAACACUUAGCUGCAAAUCUCAUGCAUGAUAAUUCAACAUCAAGCGAACCAGUUACUACAAUACAUCCCAACACAAUUUAAGAGAACAGAACUAGAUCAAGUAUUGUUUUCCCUAAACUAGAACACCCUUCAUUGACCAGAAAUAAUAACUAAAGAUUAAAUAACUUUCAAAAUCCGUUGUUCCAGCUAAUUACAUUGCAAACAGACCCACAAAUACCAUCAGAAUCUUAAAUACAUAUGCAACUCUCCUUUCUUUUCUUUUUCUUUUUUUUCCUUUUCUUUCUUGAGUACAAAGGGUUUAACCGAUAUUUAUUCUUAAUUACCACUUUAUUGUCAUGAUGCAUUUGAUCUCAAUCUCGUAUUCAUACUCCACUAGAGUAAAAAUCAAAGCAUGAUAUUGAUCAAACAAUUAUUUCAAAUCAUAAAUGCAAUAGUCACAUAGAGCCAUAGAAACCAAAUAGAGCAAAUAAAUAGAGGAAAAAUCCCCGAACUACGACAUCUCCAUUAAAAUUUCCAAAUUUUUAACUUCAAAAUUGCCAUUAAAAUACAAAAUCAAAUGCCAUAUAUUAAAACAAGCAAUUCUUCAACACGAAAAGCUCCCAUUCUGGAAUCAAAUCAAAGCCCUAAGACAGGAUUGAAAUCCACAAAAGCCCGAUCUAUUACAAAAGGCGAUUUGAAAAAGCCGUACUGUAAAAGUAGAUCCAACAAAAAGGUGAGUGAUUCGAAGCGAAUGAAACGCUGAAACUCCCCAAAUCCCACGUACCCAUCUGAUCAACUCAACGUAUCUGAAACAAAAAAUCGCAUCUUUCUACCGAAAAUUUCCAAAAUCCGAUCUUAAUGGAUCGAAAAGGCGAUCAAAACCAAGCCGCCACAACCGAUCAAAAAAGGCGACCUUUACAGACCCUAAAACGUACCCCAAAAUGGCGCCGUAUUCAACACGGAAUCGAGAAGAGAGAGAAAUAGAAAGAGAGAGAGAGAGAGACAGCGAGAGGGCGAAAUGGGGAGGAGAUAGAUGCGAGGGUUUUAUACGUACCCCAAAUCGCACGCACGCGCACGAAUUCGAAGAGGAGCUCCUGGUAAGAUCUAGGCCGUUGGAUCCGCCUCCAGAUUCGGGAACGGAGGGGGUGAGUGGGAAAAGAGGAGGUGGGGUUUUUUAAUGGUUGUUAGCGCACGCUUUCGUGGACCGCACACUCGGAAUUUCCCACUCCGCCCAUUAAAUUCUGCAUUUAAUUCGUGAUAAAAUAAUUUAUGGAAAACGAAAACAAACACAGCGGAUCUUUGGGCGUCACGGGUCUUUGCCCGUUUUGCCCCAUUUUUCUGGGCAGUUGGAGAAAAUUCAGAGCUAUUAAAUUUUAUCAUAUUUUUUCGGCUAAUUGGCAUAAAAAAUCUAGGAAAAACUUCAAAAAUCCCCCCUGUGAUUUCGUAGUUUCUCACUUUGCCUUCCUAUGGUUUAAAAUGUAUCAAUUUGCUCCUCUGUGGUUUCGUUUUUCUCUUUUUCUUAUCAAUUUCAUUAUUUUUUUUUUUAAAUCAGUGAUAAAGUUAAAAUUAAAGGGUAUUAAAGUGAAUAUUUGAUAAAUCUAGAUGGGUAUCUAAAGUUUUUUUAUAUAUAAUUUAAUAAAAUAUUAACGAAAAAGCUACCCAAAAGAUAAAAACAAAACCACAGGGAGGCAAUUUGAUACAUUUUAAACCACGGGGGCCAAAGUGAGAAACUAUGAAACCACAGGAGGGUUUUUUGAAGUUUUCCCAAAAAUUUAUUAGUUUUGAACUUUUACAAAAAUAGGCCUUUUUUUUUAAUUUUGCAAAUUCGAAUCGAAUUUUCAAAAAAUGACCAAACUACCCCUCUAUCAAAUUGUAUAAAAAUUAUAUGCUUUAAAUUCCUAAAAAAAUACAACUGCUAAACCAUUAAAUAUCAAAUUUUCUGAAAAUAACAACUGCUAAGCCAUAAUUAGAUGUAUCUUUUUCGUAAAACGAGAAUCCUCAUUCAAGAUAAAAUAAAAAAAAAUAAAAUAUAAUUAGUAAGAUGAAAGACUGCAACAUCCUCUCAAAUAGUAUAACAUGCUCUUCCAAAUAUGGUGCAUAUUUUACACUAUUUGUACAGAUAUUUACACCAUUUAUAUAAAUAUUGCACUAUUAUGAGAGGAUGUUGCACAAUUUUGAUGUGUGUUGCACUCUUUCUUUUUAAAAAUUAAAUGCUAUUGCAUAUUAAAUAAAGUUUUAAAUUUUCGGAUCGAAUUUUCAAAAAGAUGACAAAACUACUCCUCUAUCAAAAUGCAUAAAAAUUAUAUAUACCUUUUUCGUGAAACGAGAAUCCUCAUUCAAGACAAAAUAAAAAUAAUAAAGUAUAAUUAAUAAAACGAAAGACUGCAAUAUCCUCUCAAAUAGUGUAACAUACUCUUCCAAAUAAUACAAUAUCUAUAUAAGUAGUGCAAUAUAUGCAUUAUUAAUACACAUUUUGCGUGAUUUUUACACUAAAUUAUGUAUAGUUUAGUAUAUUACGCAAAAAUAAUAUAAUAUAUUACAAUUUGCUAUAAAAGUAAUACAAUAUAUGUAUAAAUAGUGCAUAUUUUACACUAUUUGUACAGAUAUUUAUACCAUUUGUGUAAAUGUAGCACUAUAUUAUGAGAGGAUGUUGCACAAUUUAGAUGUGUGUUAUACUAUUUCUUUUUAAAAAUUAAAUGUUAUUGCAUAUUAAAUAAAAUUUUAAAUUUUUUGAAGUUGUCACAAUAUCUAUAUAAAUAAUGCAACAUAUGCAUUGUUUAUACACAUUUUGCAUGAUUUUUAUACUAAAUUAUGUAUAGUUUAAUAUAUUACGCGAAAAUAAUAUAUUAUAUAUUACAAUAUACUAUAAAAAUAAACAAUAUAUGUAUUAAUGAUGCAUAUUUUACACUAUUUGUACAGAUAUUUACACCAUUUGUGUAAUGUUGCACUAUAUUAUGAGUGGAUGUUACACAAUUUAGAUAUGUGUUACACUCUUUCUUUUUAAAAAUUAAAUGUUAUUGCAUAUUAAAUAAAAUUUUAAAUUUCUUGAAAAUGACAACUUCUAAACCAUAAUUACAUAUACAUUUUUCGUGAAACGAGAAUUGUCAUUCAAAACAAAAUAAAAAGAAUAAAAUAUAAUUAAUAAUACGAAAGAGUGCAACAUCCUCUCAAAUAGUGCAACAUGCUCUUCCAAAUAAUACAAUAUCUAUAUAAGUAGUGUAACAUAUAUAUACAUUGUUAAUACAUAUUUUACAUGAUUUUUAUACUAAAUAAUGUAUAGUUUAACAUAUAUAUACAUUGUUAAUACACAUUUUACAGAGUCUCCCCUAUACGUCCAAGGCAUCACAAUACAUACAAAGCGCGAGGUUCCAACCAGGAACAAUAUUCAAACAAGGAUUGCAUAAGGAAGUAUCAAAAACAUAAAUACAGCUAAGUUAUUACAAUCAUUCAACUCACAUUCUAUAUUUUACAUCACAUUUUACAUUCUUUAAGUCUCUUUUUAUCUUCCAAAUACAAUCAAGUUUCCAACAUAAUUAUUACAACAUUGAUCAUUUCAUUCCUAUACCCCUAAACUAAGCCGACUUAGGGUACUGCUAUCUCUGGUCUCGAUGGUAGUGCGCUAACUACGGAGCUACGCCCUUUCCUCGCGUCGCUGCGCCGCUCACGUGUGACCCCCAAAAACAACACGGGGGUGAGAACUAUUGUCCAUAGUUUCCAGUGGGUACGGCCACCCAAGGGAAAAGCUUGACCCACCAGGUCCAAAGGAGGCACUGCAAACAUGUUAGUCCAACAGAUAUCCACAGAUAAUAUUUAUGCAAAUAUUAAAUACAUGUUUAUGCCUCAAGACAUGCAAUAUAUAAUUCAUGCAACUCAUGCAAGUAGAUUAAUUGAUUCUACUCUCUAUCAUUUACCAUUCUUUAUAUUAUUAGCAAUUCUUUGCCACCUGUCAUUCUUUACUUUUUAUUCUUAACCACACUUCACUCAAUUGUCAUUCUUUCCUAAGGUUAUAUUUACCUUAGCCAGCUAUGCCACUCGACUCGGUCUUGAGUCAAUUCAUGAUGAAUGCAAGAUUUCAUUACCCAAUCUUUUGGCUAACCCGUAGGUCUCGCCCUCAACGACUCACCAACCAAAUCCCUAAUAUCGGGAAGAUACCCGCUACAACCCAAAGGGACCGUCCUCUGGGGAGAUACUCGCUACGACCCAAUGAUGACAACUCCGGAGCUCAUCUCCCGAGGGAAAGCUACCACCCUCGAGCAAGGACUUACAGGUGAGUAUGAUCCAAUCCUUAACUUUAAGGAUUCCAAGUUCAAUCCAUUCCUUAUUUAAGAAAAAUCAUGCUCAUAUGACCCUUAACUCUAAGGUUUCUAUGUCACAAUGGCACUAUACCUCUUUACUUGCAUUCUUUAACUUACACUAGUGUCAUGUACACUACUUUGUUCUUUGUACUCAUUCACUAAUGCCACACUUGUUCUCUAAGUGUUCAACAUGCCAUAAGUGUUCCCACUACACUAAUCAUAUGCCACUCAAUCUAUUUGACAUCCUACUUGUUCACAUCGCAUAUCAUAGUUCAAUUCAUACGUCAUUGUUUUCCAAUGUCGAGUUCUCUAAUUCACCUAGAGUUUAUCGACCCAAGUUUAACAUGCAAAUGUCAAUUAACAUAACCCUCUAUAUGUCAACAUGCAUAGUUCAUCUAUCAUAUGCAAUACGUCAUCAUGUAUAUAUCUCCAUUUAACAUAAUCCACAAUAUAUUAAUUCAUAAUAUGUCAUCAUGCACAUAUACCAACUAGCAUAUUUCUAAUAAUAUCAACAUUCAUAUGUUCUUUAGCAUUUCAUGCACAUGCAUACUUUAGCAUCUAGAUCAUUCAUUCUCUUAGCAUAUAGCUUAUGUAUUCUUUAUUAAUAUCUCAUUUAUGCAUUCUUGAUUAGUAUAAUCCCAUACAUUCAUUUACUUUACAAUCAACUACCAAUGCAAUUAGCCAUCAUAAUGUAUGUAUGCAUCAAUUAGAAAAUCAUACUCCACUUCGACAUGGAAACGACCUAAUCGCUUCGGUGAGCACAACCCACCUCGUAACGCUCUCCGAUUGCUUGUAGUCACUUGCAAUCGGCCUCCCAUGGUACUCGUUGCCCGGUUCAGUCCGAACUCGCGCGCGACCACCCAAACGGCCACCAAUCCACAAUCCGAAAAUUAAGGGUCUAUAACUUGAUGCCACAAUGCUCCGGAUCCACUUUCAUGAUUUUUGGACGCCGCCUGGACCCUCCAGGCAGAAAUGAAGCUGAAACGUCCGUUUCCUCAAUAUCUUCGCAUAGACUCGAUGAAUCGCCGAACCGACUUCGCCAACGCGUUCGUAUACCUAGCAAUUAGGUUUACAUAGGGUUAAAUUAGAUCAUGCCCUUAUAUUUUGCAAAAUUCUAUUUUUGAGCCCUAAGAUACACUAUUGCAAGAAAUCAUCAUAUAAUCUCUUAAUUUAUGCAAUAGUCAUCCAUUUAGUAUCUAAGGAUUCCUUUAAAUCUAUUCUUGGAGCAUAUAAUUAAAGCUCUAAAGAUCUAUCAUUAUAAACCUAGCCUCUACACAUGCUCCAAAUAACCUAAAUUAAAUUGAUCUAACAUGCUAAUCAACACAUUAGAGGCUACUAGAAUACUAAGCGUUAAGGAUUAAGCCAAAUCCCAAAAGCUUACCAAAAUGUAAACGCCGAGACGGAAGCAUGCCGCUCCAACGGGCGCACGAAAGCUCAAUCCGUUGCUCCCAAUGCAUUUGCAAGCUCGCUCUCCACCGACCCUCAAAUUUCUAGAGAGAGAUCUAGAGAGAUGAGAGAGAUCUUUAGAGAGAGAAAGGAGAGUUUUCUCUCUCCUCCAUUCCAUGCGUGUGAAUGUGAUGGUGGUGGUAGUGUGGCUGCACGGUUGAGGGAGAAGAAGAAGCAAAUGCUUCAUAUAUAAUUAAAACCCUCAAAGCACUAUUCACUUCAGUUUGUAGCUCAGGUACAGAUAUUUUUCGCCUGCCCUUCUGAAUGUCCGUUUGAGCUCAAAUUUGGCAGUCAUGCUCGGUUUUACUUAACUUAACGAAAGAAAUUUUAAUGUUUCAAUUUUGACCCCGUUUGGUCACCGAAAGCUCUACCGAACUGUAAUCUCUAGCAGAUAGCAGUUCGAUUUUAUUCUCCACCUUUUGGGUAUCAGAAUGAUAUGAAACUUUAAAUUUAGCCUCAUAAAAAUUAAUUCUGACAUAUACUCCAGUUUUCAUAAUUUUCUGACACUGUGCAUUUUUUGCUAAUUUAUCUGCCCCGUUUCCAACAAAAAAUUUUAAAUCUUCUGUUUUCAUUCCGAUUUCAGCACAAGUCACUUCUGACUUAUGUUUUACUUUUCUAAAUCCGAUAAAAAUAGUAUCUCACACUAUUUUUAUUUAUUUUUUGUCACGCCCCGGAUUACACUUUCCCCGGGCGCGCCGACAGAUCCGCCGUAUACAAAGGAAUUUUUCCCUGUAUACGAAGCGAUUGCUAUACCUGUAAAUCAAACACUACUACGAACAGUAGUAGAGAGCUGCUAGAGAAAACAGAAGCUAAACAAACUGAGUUUCAUAUACAUAGUCCAAAUCCAAAAUACAAAGCUACUCGCACUGGCGAGUUAAGUCCACUAUGUACAUAAACUCGAAACAAAACAUCUACCCGCAGUAGGGUGCCUCAAACUCUGUCAGUCGGGUAGGGCUCUAACUCACGACGCCCUUGCCUCGAUCCUGAUCCGCGGAAGGCGCAGCAACCGAAAUCUGUGGCUCUGCAAAACAGGGGUAACAACUGGGCGUGAGAACUACUGUAAAAACAAGUAGUCCUCAGUGGGUACCGCCCAAAACAACAUCGGUCCACCCACUAAGUCUACAGGAGGGAGCAAGAAUAGUAGGAAAAGCAGGAAACAAACUCAACCGCUACAAAUCACUAUACUAUCAUGCUCUACACUAACCAACUGUAGGAAAUGUCAAAUCUGACCCAAUCCAAUCGGGACUGUAGACAUACCCGUCCCUGGGACUGUGAACACACCCGUCCCUGCCCCGUUGCGACUAUCGGGCUCUAUCCACACUAACUGGUCCGUGGAGAGCAAGUCCAACUGGCAUGAGCGACACCAACGCAAAAGCACAAGCCUGACUCCGGAGUGGCACUCGUGGGCGCUACCCAACCGAGUAUGCAGCGUAUCUCUGUCGAGCUCAAUCAGGCUCCAACUAGCCAAAGUCAAGUAAUCGACUUAAACUGGUCUAACAACCAACAGGUAACGUGCCCUCGGCACAAUCUGACGCCAAAAAGGCGAUACGGUCCACCGUCAACUCUGACGGCACCCAACAGUCCGAAACGGCCUGAACGACCCUGCAAAAAUUCACUCGGCGAACCAGCACGAGUGUAAAUACAUUCUAAACUACCCAAGGUAUCCAUUGCACUGACUCGGCAACGAUACAAUCGAACACGGCUCCUAGAGCUAAAUCUGGUAGUUUAAGCAUAUGACGGGUCAAAACGCAGGUUUUCUCCUAAGUCAAAUUUCAAGUCCAACAUGUAUAAUUUAAAUAUUCAUUUCAGCAUGCUUCUACAUUCAUAUUACAUUCAAAAUGCUAAUCGAUGAAUUAAAGCAUGAUUUACAACACUCGAACUAUACACGUUGACUAACAUGCACUUAGGAGCGAAACCGAUGAAACACCCACCUCUAAUGCAAUUCCUGGCAGCAAUAGGGUCUCGGAUCCUCAAGCAACACUGCUGGAAACCUCUUCAAACCAGCAACAAAGCCCCUUAAGAUCUGGAUUUACAAUGCACCCAAAAAUCCAAUAAAAAUCAUCAAAAUCCACAAUUCAGUCCAAGUACACAGCAGCAGAGAAGAGAAGGGUUUCGACCAAGCUAACCUUCACCAAAAUCCACAAGUAAGGACUUCGUGGAUUCUUCUCGCAGUCCCGAAACCAACGAAUCAAGUCUCGACGAAAUCCGAUGCUCCUACGUCGAGUACGAGCUGAAAUACUAACAGUCGACGAUGAAUUUCAGCAAAACAGCAUUUAAGCUUAAAUAUCUCAAUUCCAAUGUCAAAACUCACCAAACGAACUCCAAAUCAGGUGGAGAGGGUCCCAAUUCCAGUACUGGGUGAUAGGGAAAAUAACUCAACUCCACAAAGCCCCUGCUUCCCAAGUUCACCCCAAGAAAACAUCAAAAAUUGGCAAAUUCUGUCCAAAGCAACAACAGCAGAGGAAAACCUGAGUUCGACUGAGCUAACCUUCACCAAAUUCUGCAAAUUAGGGCUUCGUGGAUUCCUCUGGAAGUCAAGAAUCCAGCAAACCAAGUUUCGUUGAAAUCCGACCUUCCUACGUCACGCACGAGCCAAAACACUGGAGGUCGUCGCUGAAGAACUGCAAAAUCAGCACCUUGCAAUUCUUGGAGAGGUGGAUCUUGAUGCAAAUUGGAAAGAUUUGAGGGAUUUGGGAGUAAAAUCUAAGUCCUCUGUGAAGAACAGGUAAAAGAGCUCAAAGGGGGCGCUUCUCAGCUAUUUAUAGGCUGCUGGAUAGAUCAGAUAAGCCCCAGGAAAAAUAGCCGCAAUCCAGUGCCCCUGCAGAAACGGGCGUUUCUGGGCGCCCGGAACCAUGUUCUGGGCGACCAGAACAUCCGGCCUGCACAAAAUGGGCCCCUCGGACUCUCCGCCCGCGGUGUGCUGCGCCCGUAAACGGCACCGGCGGAACUCACCUACCGCCCUGCCACGCGUCGAAGCAAGCGAUAUUCACGAGGUGAAAUUUCCGGACCCACUUCUGGGCGCCCGGAACAUGGGAUCCGAAUUGGCUUCCAGUUUCAGUUAAAAUCAACACUCGUUUCUGGGCGACCCUAACAAUGUUCUGGGCGCCCGAAUCUGGCAAAACUCCAGUUUUGCUUAUUUGAGUGCGCCGAGUCCAAUUCUGCAUCCAAUUCGUGCAGAAUUGACUCCGACUCAGUCCGACACUCUCCAGAGAUGUCGACCAGUCUAUAAUACUGAAGCCAAUCCUAUCCAAAGCUCAGGAACACUACAUCCUCCCCCACUACAAAAAGUUUCGUCCGCGAAACUGUACACAUACCUCAAUCCAGGGCCUCAAACAGGUAGGGGUAGGACUCCUUCAUCACCGCCUCCGGCUCCCAAGUCGCCUCCCGCUCCUCGUGAUUACUCCACUGCACCUUUACAAAGGGUAUGACCCGGUUGCGCAAUUCCCUCGACUCACGAGCCAGAAUCCGCACCGGUCGCUCCUCGUAGCUCAGGUCCUCGCCAAUCUCAAGCGGAGUGAAGUCGAUCACGUGGGAGGGGUCGAACACAUAUUUCCUCAAAGCCGAGACGUGGAACACAUCAUGAAUGCCGGCUAGCCGUGGUGGUAGAGCAAUCCUGUAAGCAACUGGCCCGACUCGCUCCAAUACCUCGAAAGGGCCUACAAAACGUGGACUGAGCUUUCCACGUACACCAAAUCGGCGAAUCCCUCUGGACGGCGAGACUUUAAGAAAAACAUGAUCUCCCACCUGGAACUCCAAGUCUCGUCUCCGGGUAUCAGCAUAGCUCCUCUGUCGACUCUGGGCUGCUAAUAUGUGCCGUCGCGCCUCUUUUACCUUUUCCUCAGCCUCAAUCAGAAUCUCAGGCCCAAGCGUCCUCCUCUCACCCACAUCACUCCAAAACAAAGGGGAUCGACAUCUGCGUCCAUACAACGCCUCAAACGGAGCCAUCCGGAUGCUCGCUUGAUAGCUGUUGUUGUACGCAAACUCAACCAGUCUCAAAUGCCGAUACCACCCUCCUCCAAAGUCCAAGACACAUGCCCUCAGCAUGUCCUCUAGAGUCUGAAUGGUCCGCUCUGACUGACCAUCUGUCUGUGGGUGAAAUGCUGUGCUGAACUGCAACUGAGUGCCCAAGGCCGUCUGAAGACUCCUCCAGAAGUGCGAUACGAACCUCGGGUCCCGGUCGGAUACUAUCGAAGUGGGCACGCCAUGCAACCUCACUAUCUCAUCCAAGUACAACUGAGCGAGUCUCUCUCUGGACCAAGUGGUCUGCACUGGUAAGAAGUGAGCAGACUUGGUCAGUCUGUCCACUAUCACCCAAAUCGCAUCAAAACCACCCUGUGCUCUCGGCAAUCCGACGACAAAGUCCAUCGUGAUCUGCUCCCAUUUCCACUCGGGCACUGGUAGACUCUGAAGCUUGCCAGCAGGUACCUGAUGCUCGGCCUUUACCUGUUGACAAGUCAGACACUGAGCCACAAAUCUACCAAUGUCCCUCUUCAUUCCAUUCCACCAAAACUGAGCCUUUAAAUCCUUAUACAUUUUGGUUCCACCGGGGUGAACCGUAUAAGGUGAACAGUGAGCCUCUCUCAAGAUGUCCUCUCGGAUCUCUGAAUCCAUAGGUACACACAGUCGGUCCCUGUACCGCAGUACUCCCGAACUGUCCACAACAAAGCCCUCGGCCUGUCCCCUCUCAAGCUGCUCUCGAAUCCUCGACAAGUGUGGAUCCCCACUCUGUUUCUCUCGAAUCCUAUCUAACAGAGUGGGCUGCAAGAUCAUAGACAUCAAUCUCGCAGUAAAUCCAGGGGACACUACCUCGAGUCCCAGCCGUCUCAGCUCCUCGAGUAACGGUCUCUGCCGAGUGAUCAACAUACUCAAGCUCUGCACUGCCUUCCUGCUCAACGCAUCUGCCACCACAUUCGCCUUGCCGGGAUGAUACUGGAUACUGAUGUCAUAAUCCUUCAGCAACUCCAACCACCGGCGCUGUCUCAAAUUCAACUCCUUUUGGGUGAACAGAUACUUGAGACUUUUAUGAUCAGUAAAAAUCUCGCAGUGCUCGCCGUACAAGUAAUGCCGCCAGAGCUUCAAAGCAAAAACCACCGCGGCAAGCUCCAAGUCAUGCGUAGGGUAAUUCUUCUCAUAAUCCUUUAACUGCCGUGAAGCAUAAGCAAUCACCCUACCAUGCUGCAUCAGCACGCAACCAAGUCCACUGUGCGAUGCAUCACUGUAGAUCACAAAUCCUUCGCCCAUAACAGGAAGGGCAAGGAUAGGAGCCGACAUCAACCUCAAUCUCAACUCGUCAAAGCUCCUCUGACAGUCGUCGCUCCAGACAAAACGAAUCCCCUUCCGCGUCAAGCGCGUGAGGGGUGUGGAAAGCUUCGCAAAGCCUUCCACAAACCGACGGUAAUAUCCUGCCAGUCCCAGGAAGCUCCGUACCUCAGUAACCGUCGUCGGUCUAGGCCAAUCUCGAAUCGCCUCAAUCUUCUUCGGGUCCACUGCUACGCCCUCAGCUGAAAUCACGUGGCCCAAGAAAGCAACCUCCCGUAGCCAGAACUCGCACUUCUUUAACUUGGCAUACAACUUCUUCUCGCGCAGAAGCUGUAGCACAAUCCUCAAGUGCUCCUCAUGCUCAGCAUCACUCCGGGAGUAAAUCAGGAUAUCGUCGAUGAAGACUACCACAAACCUAUCCAAGAACGGCUUGAACACUCUGUUCAUCAAAUCCAUGAAUGCGGCAGGGGCAUUCGUCAAUCCAAAAGGCAUCACCGUGAACUCAUAAUGCCCGUACCGAGUCCGAAAAGCCGUCUUGGGAACAUCCUCGGCCCUCACCCUCAGCUGGUGGUAACCUGACUGGAGAUCAAUCUUCGAAAAGACACAAGAUCCUUGCAGCUGAUCGAAUAGAUCAUCAAUGCGCGGCAGAGGAUACUUGUUCUUGAUGGUCACUUUAUUCAGCUCCCGGUAAUCCACACAUAACCUGAGCGAACCAUCCUUCUUCUUUACAAAUAACACCGGCGCUCCCCAAGGCGACACACUGGGUCUCACAAACCCUCUAUCCAUCAGAUCCUGAAGUUGCGCCUUUAGCUCUCUCAGCUCUGCCGGUGCCAUCCUGUAAGGUACCUUUGAGAUUGGUGCAGUUCCAGGAACUACAUCAAUCACAAACUCAAUCUCCCUCUCCGGCGGCAAUGUCGUCAACUCAGGGGGAAACACAUCCGAAAACUCGCGGACUACUGGGAUGUCCUCGAGUCUCGGCGCCGCCGUAGGUACCUCCACAACUGUCGCUAGGAAAGCGAUACACCCACUGCUCAGCAUCUGUCGAGCCCUCGCCGAAGAUAUCCAGGUGGCAAACAGCGUGCUCCUGCAGCCUCUGAAAGUAAACUCCUCCUGGCCUGGCUCGCGGAACGUCACCGUCCUCGCUCCACAGUCGAUCGUAGCAUAGUACCGCGCCAGCCAAUCCAUACCGAGCACUACGUCGAAGUCCUGCAGCUGCCCUAACACCAACAGGUCUGCGGGCAUGAUCCAAGAGUCUAACUGCACCGGACAGGACCAACAACACUCUGUAACCUGCAAGACAUGGUCGGGGAUCUGCACCUCUCGUGCCUGAGACAACGCUCCUAACUCUAGACCAUGCAACAAUGCAAAUGCUCGGCUAACAAAGGAAUGCGAUGCACCGGUAUCAAAAAGAGUGCGAACUCUAAUGCCAGAAAUCAAAGUGAUACCUGCCACCACUCGGUCGGCUGCUGAAGAGUCCUCCACCUGAGCUGCAUAGACCCUGCCACUCGGAGCCUGCUGUCGCCGCUCACUCGACCGCGGCACAGACGAUCUGUCCUCCUGGCGGUAGCUCGGUGCUGCUCCGUAAGACUGCUGUGGUGCUGGUGGUGCCGAAGCUGAUGACGGUGCUGGAGAUGCUGCUCGGGGACAAGCUGCCCUCAUGUGUCCCGGCUGACCACAUCCGUAGCACCUGCCCUCUCUCUGCUCGCACUGCCGAGGCCAGUGUGGUCCCCCGCAGAUCACACACUGUGGCGUCCUCUGAGUCUGCCCCUGCUGACGGGAUCCCCUGGAACGCUGACGCCCCGAAGACCCACGACCCUGAGAACGUGAUCGUGGAGGUCUCGGCGGACGUCUGCUGCUCGACUGCCCUCCGUCAUCUGGAAAGGGGCGCUUCCUGUCCUGACCCUGCCCCACGGCCUGAGUCCUCUCCUGCAGCGACACCUCACCUCUCUCCACCCAUAGGGCCUGCUCUAUGGACGCAUCCAGGGUCCUCGACCUCUGCGCCCGCACUAACCUGAAGAUGUCCGGUCUCAGCCCCUGCUCGAACAUGUAUACUCUGUGCGCCUCGUCUCUGGCCGCAAAUGGUACACAGUUCAGGAGUCGAGUAAACUCCCGAACGUACUCCUGCACUGGGCGAUCUCCCUGCUGAAGCCUCCUCAAAUCCUCCUCGAGCUUCUGCUUCACACUGUUGGGAAAGAACAUCCCAAACAGCAUUCCACAGAACUCGUCCCAACUCAGCUGCGCCGCCACUAGCCCCUGGUCUCGCCUCGUCCUCCGCCACCAGUCAUGAGCAUCACCUGCUAGACAGUGUACUCCCAGGGGUACCUGCUCCCCCUCUGGAACGAACAGAUCCUCGAAUAACUUCUCCAUCGCACUGACCCAUCCCUCAACAAUCCAGGCCUCAGUGCCUCUGCCAUCGAAGAUCGGUGGAUCAAAUCGGCGAAAACGAGCUAACCUCUCCGUCCACCGCUCCUGCUCGGCCUCAGUCAACGGUACUGGCCCCCUAGCAGGCGCAACUGGCGCUACUGGAACUGCUGCCGAUGGAGGAACUGCUGCAGCUGGUGCUGUCACUGGAGUAGUCGGGGGUGGAACUGGCGACUCUGGUGCCCUCGGUACAGAACUCGGUGGCUGAGCUAUCCUCUCACACAACCUCUGCAAUAGCUCCCCCUGCUGUCUCGUCACCUCGGUCAGGGCAGCUAACUGUGCACUCAGAUCAGGGGGUGCGCUAGUCUCUGGUCGCGCACUCGGCUCCACAACAGGGGGUACACUCGCCCCCAGUCUGUCACCCUGCUCCUGCCGAGUACUCUGCUCCAUCUGCUCAGAUCUCUCAGAAGGUCCAGCAUGAUCCCGCGCCAACUGGGCACGCUCCCGCAACGACGGUCGACCUCGGCGACGAUACAUAGCUGAAAGGAACAAAUCGGGGUCAGAUACAACAAAACACUCUCGACCCAAUCAAACGAAAGUCUAGAAGGCGGUCCCUGUUUCCCUCCAAAAUUAUGUCGUCUGCAGCCAACAUAAUUUCUCAGGCCGAAACAGAAACUCCUUCAGUCACUCACUCUGCUCUAAGAGGAGUUAGAACAAAUAAUCAUUGACUUUCGCAAUAAAAUUACGCCUCUCACGUCUUGCUUCCCUAAGGUUUGCCAAACUUAGGUUUCCUAGGUCCCCACGACCUACAGCAAAGCUCUGAUACCAACUUAAUCUGUCACGCCCCGGAUUACACUUUCCCCGGGCACGCCGACAAAUCCGCCGUAUACAAAGGAAUUUUCCCUGUAUACGAAGCGAUAGCUGUACCUGUAAAUCAAACACUACUACGAACAGUAGUAGAGAGCUGCUAGAGAAAACAGAAGCUAAACAAACUGAGUUUCAUAUACAUAGUCCAAAUCCAAAAUACAAAGCUACUCGCACUGGCGAGUUAAGUCCACUAUGUACAUAAACUCGAAACAAAACAUCUACCUGCAGUAGGGGCACCUCUAGCUCAGCACGUCGGGUAGGGCUCUAACUCGCGACGCCCUUACCUCGAUCCUGAUCCGCGGAAGGCGCAGCAGCCGAAACCUGUGGCUCUGCAAAACGGGGGUAACAACUGGGCGUGAGAACUACUAUAAAAACAAGUAGUCCUCAGUGGGUACCGCCCAAAACAACAUCGGUCCACCCACUAAGUCUACAGGAGGGAGCAAGAAUAGUAGGAAAAGCAGGAAACAAACUCAACCGCUACAAAUCACUAUACUAUCAUGCUCUACACUAACCAACUGUAGGAAAUGUCAAAUCUGACCCAAUCCAAUCGGGACUGUAGACAUACCCGUCCCUGGGACUGUGAACACACCCGUCCCUGCCCCGUUGCGACUAUCGGGCUCUAUCCACACUAACUGGUCCGUGGAGAGCAAGUCCAACUGGCAUGAGCGACACCAACGCAAAAGCACAAGCCUGACUCCGGAGUGGCACUCGUGGGCGCUACCCAACCGAGUAUGCAGCGUAUCUCUGUCGAGCUCAAUCAGGCUCCAACUAGCCAAAGUCAAGUAAUCGACUUAAACUGGUCUAACAACCAACAGGUAACGUGCCCUCGGCACAAUCUGACGCCAAAAAGGCGAUACGGUCCACCGUCAACUCUGACGGCACCCAACAGUCCGAAACGGCCUGAACGACCCUGCAAAAAUUCACUCGGCGAACCAGCACGAGUGUAAAUACAUUCUAAACUACCCAAGGUAUCCAUUGCACUGACUCGGCAACGAUACAAUCGAACACGGCUCCUAGAGCUAAAUCUGGUAGUUUAAGCAUAUGACGGGUCAAAACGCAGGUUUUCUCCUAAGUCAAAUUUCAAGUCCAACAUGUAUAAUUUAAAUAUUCAUUUCAGCAUGCUUCUACAUUCAUAUUACAUUCAAAAUGCUAAUCGAUGAAUUAAAGCAUGAUUUACAACACUCGAACUAUACACGUUGACUAACAUGCACUUAGGAGCGAAACCGAUGAAACACCCACCUCUAAUGCAAUUCCUGGCAGCAAUAGGGUCUCGGAUCCUCAAGCAACACUGCUGGAAACCUCUUCAAACCAGCAACAAAGCCCCUUAAGAUCUGGAUUUACAAUGCACCCAAAAAUCCAAUAAAAAUCAUCAAAAUCCACAAUUCAGUCCAAGUACACAGCAGCAGAGAAGAGAAGGGUUUCGACCAAGCUAACCUUCACCAAAAUCCACAAGUAAGGACUUCGUGGAUUCUUCUCGCAGUCCCGAAACCAACGAAUCAAGUCUCGACGAAAUCCGAUGCUCCUACGUCGAGUACGAGCUGAAAUACUAACAGUCGACGAUGAAUUUCAGCAAAACAGCAUUUAAGCUUAAAUAUCUCAAUUCCAAUGUCAAAACUCACCAAACGAACUCCAAAUCAGGUGGAGAGGGUCCCAAUUCCAGUACUGGGUGAUAGGGAAAAUAACUCAACUCCACAAAGCCCCUGCUUCCCAAGUUCACCCCAAGAAAACAUCAAAAAUUGGCAAAUUCUGUCCAAAGCAACAACAGCAGAGGAAAACCUGAGUUCGACUGAGCUAACCUUCACCAAAUUCUGCAAAUUAGGGCUUCGUGGAUUCCUCUGGAAGUCAAGAAUCCAGCAAACCAAGUUUCGUUGAAAUCCGACCUUCCUACGUCACGCACGAGCCAAAACACUGGAGGUCGUCGCUGAAGAACUGCAAAAUCAGCACCUUGCAAUUCUUGGAGAGGUGGAUCUUGAUGCAAAUUGGAAAGAUUUGAGGGAUUUGGGAGUAAAAUCUAAGUCCUCUGUGAAGAACAGGUAAAAGAGCUCAAAGGGGGCGCUUCUCAGCUAUUUAUAGGCUGCUGGAUAGAUCAGAUAAGCCCCAGGAAAAAUAGCCGCAAUCCAGUGCCCCUGCAGAAACGGGCGUUUCUGGGCGCCCGGAACCAUGUUCUGGGCGACCAGAACAUCCGGCCUGCACAAAAUGGGCCCCUCGGACUCUCCGCCCGCGGUGUGCUGCGCCCGUAAACGGCUCCGGCGGAACUCACCUACCGCCCUGCCACGCGUCGAAGCAAGCGAUAUUCACGAUGUCGAAUUUCCGGACCCACAUCUGGGCGCCCGGAACAUGGGAUCCGAAUUGGCUUCCAGUUUCAGUUAAAUUCAACACUCGUUUCUGGGCGACCCUAACAAUGUUCUGGGCGCCCGAAUCUGGCAAAACUCCAAUUUUGCUUAUUUGAGUACGCCGAGUCCAAUUCUACAUCCAAUUCGUGCAGAAUUGACUCCGACUCAGUCCGACACUCUCCAGAGAUGUCGACCAGUCUAUAAUACUGAAGCCAAUCCUAUCCAAAGCUCAGGAACACUACAUUUUUAUUUUUAUACCAAAAUCUGGUAUGUUAAAACUAUACUACCACUAUCCAAAUCAUGCUCUUUGUAGACAUAGAAAUGCAUCACUAGCUACAAAUCAACCACACUGACCUAAUCUCAACAGACCGCCAACUGGCCAGUCCAGCCUGUGCCCAAACUAUACUACACACUACCCACGGGGGUGGCCGGUCCAAGAAAACUACCCAAACAGGACUGCUGCGACGUCAACGCAAGAAAAGCCUCACUCCGGAGCGGCACUCGUGGAAGCGACCCAACCGAAUAUGCAAACGUGUCUCUGUCGAGCUCAAUCAGGCUAACUGUCACAUCCCGCAACCGCCACUUUGGUCGGUUCGGGCGUGUCGACAGACGCCGAACGGACAGAGUUUUUCCUGGCUACCCAAGGCUAAACAACAACAAUCAUGUACAUCUAGUUGCCCGGGUAAACAUAAACAAUGUACAUGAACAAUACGAGUAUAAUACAAGCGAGAGUAAGAGAGAAACUAGCUAUUACAUUAACAUUCAACCAUUUUUACAUGUUUCCACCAACAUACAUACAUUGGUUUAUAAUUCUUCUUAUAAUAUAUGUACAUCCAUAACAACCUCACCCAAAAGUACAUCAAGUCUCUCAACCAAUAUACAACAUCUCUCAAAAUGGUACAUGACUCUAAUGCAUAGGAGGUUACUACCUAGGGCGCUAUGCCCUUAUCGCGGUCCUCGAUCGGUCCCCUCUUGCUCGGCCCUGCAACAAAGUGGGAUGAGAACUAAUAAUAGUUCCCAGUGGGUUCGGCUACCGACGCCGCCAAUUUUUUCACUAGGUCUAAGCAGGCAAAAGUAGAAAGGGUUAGCAAUAUACAAAUAUCUAGCAUGCUACUAUGCCUCAGCAAUAUGAAACAAUAAAUAGAUAUGGUAAAUAGUAAACCGGUAAUAGCAACUACUAUGCUCAUGAUGCAUGCCAUUUUUAUUUCAUAACCUAAUCAUUCCAGCUAACCCGAAGGUUGAGCCCCGACUCACAGCCGAAUCCCGCAACGUGAGGAGACGUCCGCUAUACUCACCCGGGACUGUCUGCGGGAUAGCUACGUUAACCCCUACCGUGAAGUACUCCGGAGACCACUGCUUGGCUGGAGCGACCACCGCCAAGCAAAACAGAUGUAUGUGAACAUGAUCCAAUCCUCUAACCCGAAGAUACCCUACCAACUAGUGGUAACCAAGUCCGAAAAAAUACCAAUCCCAAUCCUCAUAUCCUGAGUGAUCACGAUUCUCUAACCAAUGCCACAAUGUCACAAUGUCUCUACCUAAUGCCACAAUGUCUCUGGCUAAUGCUACAAUGUCACAAUGUCUCUACCUAAUGCCACAAUGUCACAAUGUCUCAUUGUCUUGUCGAAUGCCACUUUUGAUGCCACAUGUUCCAAGUUCUCAUUUUCAUGCCGCUAUAGAGUUCUUUGUUCACACCCAAUCCUCAUGCACAUAACACUAUGUUCCUUCUCAUAUUUCCACAAAUACCAUGAGAGCAUGCAAGGAAUGGAACAACCAACAAGCUACUCUACAAUGCAUGAAUGCUAAACAUGAACAUAUAUGGCCAAUGAAGUAACAUAGACAUAAAAGAAAAUCCGGAUGUUCCGGAUAGCACCCCCCACCUCUAAACACUGCCGAGGUGCGAGAAUCCUAAGCUCAUAAUUUUUAGACGUCGCUUCAGUUCGACACAACGGAAACGAAGCGAAAACGGUACUUUCUCUCGAGAACUUGCCACACACCCGUAGGAACUCCGGUUUGAGUUGCUCACCGUGUCGGUUUAACCUUCAAUUAGGUUUCCAUAAGAUUAAUUUACAUCUAACCCAAGCUCAUGGCAAAACCCCAUUUUGAAACCCUAAAAUCCACUAUAGCUAGAAUACACUAAACAAACUCAUGAUUCAAGCAAUAGACAAUUUAGCAUCAUCUAAGGUUUCCAUUUACAUCAAUUCUAAGGGAUUUAAACCAAACCUUAGCUAUCUACCAUUAGAGGUCAAGAAGCUUACCUAAAAUAAGCUUCCCUCUCAAGCUAAGGAAGAAGAAGAGGAAGAAGCUUCACCUCCAAGCACCACUCCACCAACUUCUCCUCUUGGUCUAACCCUAGGAGAGAGAGAGAGAGACUUCUUAGAGAGAGAGAGAGAGAGAAACCUUUUCUCUUAGGUUUUGGUCAAGUGAGGGGGAAAUGAGAGAGAUGAAAGAAGCCCCACUUAUAUACACCCUAUAUAUAUACAAUUGCACCCAACACCUCACACUUUACAAGCUGCCCUCACUGGGCAGUUUUCGGCUAUGGGGUGCGGACCCUGCACAGGGUCCAGACCCCAUAAGCACCCCAAAUGCGAAAAUUUUAGAAAAUUUUCCCAAGUGCUCACCAAGGCCCCUUACACCCUCAUGAGCCAUUGCAAGCCUUCGGAAUGCACAACGAACUUUUCUGAAGCCUUCCGAAGUGUUCAACACCGUACUUUGGUCAAUUUCGACCAAAGUUUGGUUUCGUACGUCGAGGAUCCAUUACCUUUCACUAACAAAGGCUAUAGUCAAUAUAAUAGGUCAAACUGGUCUAACAACCAAGGCUCACAUGCCCUUGGCAUAAUCUGGUACAAGAUGUAAGAAUCUGGGUCCACCAUCAGCCCCGACGGCACCCGACAGUACAAAACAAUCUAACACUGCUGUAAAAACGAGCUUAGCCCCUAAGCACGAGGGUAAUCUCAACCUACACUAGUCUAAGUGUCCACGACGUACUAACAGCGGUGAUACAAAAGGUAAAUCAGCUCCUAAAGCUAAAUAUGUUAACUUUUCGAAAAGUGCCAGGUAUAGGUUUAAUAAGUUUUCUCCUAAAUCAAAUUCCAGUUCAGUAGAUAAUAAUCAUUAUAAAUUAACUAAGAAUGCUCCAAAAUUUAGAUUUCAUUUAUAACAUGCAAAUCUACAGUUUGAGCUAUUAAACCGGAUGAUUAUACGCAAAACUAUACAUGCUGGAGUUUCACAAACUUAUGAGGAAUUCCGAAGGCUUCGGAUAACAUUAACCCACCUUAAACGCGACUCCAACAAAGGCAAGAAGUCGCUAGAGAAGACCCUGGAAAAGAUCUACCUCAAAACAGGCUAAAUCAGGUUGCUGUCAAGUUCUGGACCCUCCUGUGCCAACUUCUGGGCGCCCAGAACAGCAAGUUGGCAGCUACAACCUACACAAGUUCAACACGGAAUUAAAUCCAAUUCUGAAGUCCAAAAGCAGUGAAACUUCACCCAACUCACCUCUAAAUGCUCAAGAAUAAUCCUCCAGGUUCCUCACCAAAUUCAAGCUCAAAAAGGUCACCAAAAAGCCUUCACACCAAUUCGGACUAAUUUCUGGAUGCUCAGAAUCUGCAUCCAGAAUUUCAGCACUUAAGCAAUUUUGCAACUCAACUCAAAUCUGAGGAUUAAUUCUAGCUUAUAAAACCAAUGGAGUUGGGUCACAAACCUCCCAAAUGAAAUAGAGAAUCAAUCCAAAUCCAUCCAUAAGCCUUCCAUAAAAAUCUGGAUUUAAAAUUACAAGAUUUUACAUUAAAACCUCAAAAUCAGCAUAUAUAAGCUCAUUUAUCCAAAUCUGAGCUAAAACUCACCUCUCACAUCUCGAAUUCAGGUGGGGAAAGCUUCAAAACCAGUAGAGGAUGAUGGAAAACCAAUUUCCGCAUCAAAAAUCCAGCUCUCAAAGCAUUCGGAUCCAAAAACAUCAAGAAAACCUCAAUUUCAGCUCAAGAACACUAAAAUCUCAAGAAAACAGCAAUUUGAUCAUACUAACCUCAAUUACAUGCUGUUAAAUUGGUUCCACACACUCUCCCACAUGUCCACAAUCCUCCAAAUCAAGUUUCACAGGAUUUGGAUGCUUCUACGCCGCACAUGAGCCAAAUAUCUAAAGGUUGCUGCUGGAAUCCUGCUGAAUUUUCAAGUCCUCAAUGCCAAAAGUGAAAUUUUGAAGAUGUGGAGGGGCUAGAAUGCAAAAUUACAUGCUCCCUGUGAAGAAGAGGUGAAAAGGGUUCACUGAGGUCAUCCACAGCUUUUUAUAGAAGUAGGAGUUAAGUGUAAUAGGUCUCAAGAACAAACACUGCUAACCUGUCUCUCUACAGGAAAACCAAGUUUUGGGUGCCCUAAACCCAGUUCUGGGCACCCAGAACUUCUAGCCUGCACAAUUCUGUCCUCGAGUUCUUCGUCCAGCGAUCUGGUGUGUCCUAAAAUGGUCCGGCAGAUCUCACCUACCACACCCACGUGUCAACACAAUCAAUAUUUACGAAGUGAACUUUCGGAUCUAGUUUCCGGGUGCCCUAAACAUGGUCCGAAAUGACUCCAAAAUCUAAUACAAAACAGCACUCAAGAGUAUGAAUGGCUCGUCGAUUCGGAAGCUAUGUAAUGGAGUGGGUCGUCGAUUCGAAAGCUCCAUCAUUGAAAACAACUCAUGAGUAUGAAGGGCUCUAUACUCAUAAGAGUAUAGUAGCCCUACUAUAUAUAUGUAUAUAUACAGUGUAGAGCUAUGCUAACGGAAGUAUAAAGGACUUAGUAUUUUCGACUUUUUGGCCCUUGGAUCAAGGAUUGAAUGGUUAGGACAAUUCGGUCCUCCCAGGGUUGAGUGGUCCCCUUAAGGUUGAGUGGUCUCCACAAGGUAAUAAUAUUAAUCCAAAUGUUAGAACUGAUCAAAAAGGUUGAUCUAAGGGCCAAAAAGUCGGAAGCAUAAGAUCCUCUAUACUUCCGAUAGCAUAAUAGCUCUACUAUAUAUAUAUAUAUAUAUAUAUAUAUAUAUAGAAAGAUAGAGAGAGAGAGAGAGAGCUAGGCUAGUAUACCAUCGGUAGCACGAAGCCCUCCGUACUACCAAUUAAGUUGUUUUCAAUUAUACGGCUUCCAAAUCGACGAUCGAUUUCGUUAGACUUGAUAUACACUAUUAAAAGUGUUUAGAAACUAAAUUUUAUAAUUUUUCGACAUCAUUUUGCUAGUGAUCAUAAGGUCUCAAAAUUGACAAUUUUAAGGAUUGAUGUGAUGCAUUUGUAAAUUUAACGAUGUAAAACAAUUCAAAUUUGAUAAAAUUUUUAUAGAAUUCUUUUUUACUAUUUAGAGUAAGAUUAGUACCUUUGAUCGUAAAUUCAAGUUUUUUAUCAUUAUUAUUUAUAAAAUUUUUAUUUUCAGCCAUUCAUUUUUAGACUACUCGUUUGAUUGGUAAAUGAUGUCCAAAAAUUAUGAAAUUUAGUUUUCAAAUACUUUUAAUUGUGUAGAUGUGACACCCCAGUAGUCCCACAUCGGAUGGGAAAGGGGUUGUCAUUGGGUUGAUAAGAGACUUAGACACUAGUAAUAAUAACUGGGCUUAAGCAUUUUGGGCUGUGGUUGGGCCCAACGAGUUAUUAUUGCUAGUGGGCUGGAUCGUUAUAUUUGGUAUCAGAGCCGGUUCACCAGCUGGACAUGUGUGGCGAGUCUCGGCUGAGUCAGGGUCUGAAUGACGGGCUAGCGAGACGAGUCUCACAUCGCCUGGUGAUCUUGGGCUGUGUGUGUGUUUGGACUGACGAGGACGUCAGGGCCUUAACGGGGGGAGUCUGUGACACCCCAGUAGUCCCACAUCGGAUCGGAAAGGGAUUGUCAUUGGGUUGAUAAGAGACUUAGACACUAGUAAUAAUAACUAGGCUUAAGCAUUUUGGGCUGUGGUUGGGCCCAACGAGUUAUUAUUGCUAGUGGGCUGGAUCGUUAUAGUAGAUAAAGUCUAAUGGCGGACCAAUCUUGAUUUCAAAACUAAAUCAGUUGAAAAACAAUCUUGUAUGCACGAAUGCUCGGUAUGCUGAUAUAUACCAGUCUAGUCUCUUUCUCUCGCUCUCUCUCUCUUCUCUGUCUCUUAUAUAUAUUAACAUAAUGAUAUAUAUAAUAAUAUAUAUAUCAAUGUAGUAAUAUAUAUAUAUAAUAUCUAUUGACUAAUAUAUAUAUAGGGCUUCUUUUGCAUUUGGUCUCCUCGAAAAAUUUAUUUUAAAAAUAGCCCAGCAAAUUUAUAUUUGCAAAAAUGACCAUAAUCCUAUCACGUAGGCGCCACGUGAGCAGAGCUGGGCCUGGUUUGUUAAGUUGAACAUGGUGAACCAUUCACCUUGUUUAAACACGGUGAAUAGUUCACUGUGUGUAAACACGGUGAAUGGUUCACCGUGUUUGGAAAAAAUACAAAUAUACAUAUUGCGAAAAAAUAUAAGAAAAAUAUAAGUACGGAACACGAUGAAUCAUUCACCAUAUUUGAAUACGGUGAAUGGUUCACCGUGUCUAGAAAAACUAUAUGUAUUGCGAAAAAAUAUAAAUAUUGAAAAUAGGGAAGAAGGGGAAUAUAAGUAUAGAACACGAUGAACCAUUCACCGUAUUUGAACACGGUGAAUGAUUCACCGUGUUCAACUUAACACCCCUCUAGCUUGCAUGGCGCUGAUGUGGCGCCUGGUUGGCGGGGAUAUGACCAAAUUUGCAAUUAUAAAUUUGAUGGGACUAUUUGUAAAAAAAAAAUUUUGAGGGGCCAAAUGCAAAAAAACCCAUAUAUAUAUAUAUAUAUAGAGAGAGAGAGAGAGAGAGAGAGAGAGAGAGAGAGAGAGAGAGAGAACUAGGCUGGAAUGUUAUUAAUAGCACCAAACUAUUGGUGCUAUUAGAUUUCGGCCUUUGGAUGAAAAAAUGUACAGUUAGGAUGAUAUGGNNNNNNNNNNNNNNNNNNNNNNNNNNNNNNNNNNNNNNNNNNNNNNNNNNNNNNNNNNNNNNNNNNNNNNNNNNNNNNNNNNNNNNNNNNNNNNNNNNNNNNNNNNNNNNNNNNNNNNNNNNNNNNNNNNNNNNNNNNNNNNNNNNNNNNNNNNNNNNNNNNNNNNNNNNNNNNNNNNNNNNNNNNNNNNNNNNNNNNNNNNNNNNNNNNNNNNNNNNNNNNNNNNNNNNNNNNNNNNNNNNNNNNNNNNNNNNNNNNNNNNNNNNNNNNNNNNNNNNNNNNNNNNNNNNNNNNNNNNNNNNNNNNNNNNNNNNNNNNNNNNNNNNNNNNNNNNNNNNNNNNNNNNNNNNNNNNNNNNNNNNNNNNNNNNNNNNNNNNNNNNNNNNNNNNNNNNNNNNNNNNNNNNNNNNNNNNNNNNNNNNNNNNNNNNNNNNNNNNNNNNNNNNNNNNNNNNNNNNNNNNNNNNNNNNNNNNNNNNNNNNNNNNNNNNNNNNNNNNNNNNNNNNNNNNNNNNNNNNNNNNNNNNNNNNNNAUCCACUGUAAUAAAAAAAUUAAUUGUUAAUUUAAAUUUGAUAUCAAAAAUUAAAUUAAAUUCAUGAUUUAAACUCAAAUUUAAAUUUUAAUGUAAAAUAGAUGGAUAGAAAUGCUAUUUUUUAACAGAUUGAUUAUAACUGUUCAUUUUUAUUUGAAAUAUUUUUAACGAAUUGAUCAUAACUGUUCGUGGAAUUAGAUUUAUAGAUGGAUAUAAAUGUUAUUUUUUAACAGAUUGAUUAUAACUGUUUGUUCAUUCUUAUUUGAGAUAUUUUUUAAUAAACUGUCUGUCAUUGUAGGAAUUUCUAUACGUUUUUAUAUGUAGUAUAGAUAUAGAUAUAUUAAUAUUUUAAUAACAUAUAAUUAUAAAAUACUGAUUUCUAGAUCAAAUUAAGUAUAUAUGAAUUUUCAAAUUUUAUUUUUUAUAAAACUAAUCUGUGCUAAUAGAAAAUAAAAUAAGAUCAGUUGAUUUUAAGCCGUCAGAUUUUAAUAUAAAUUGAUAACAAAAUCCGAUCGCUUUGAAAACCGGACUGAUUCACUAGUUUAAUGGUUGAACUGCCGAUUCCAACCGAUCAAAGCGAUUUUUUAGCUUUUGUGAUCCAAAUUAUUAAACCGGACUAUUUUACAAACUAGAUUAUGAUCAGAUCGGUUGAACUAGCUGCUUCGAGCCGAUUUAUAAAUCACUGUAAAAAUCUAUAUGAGGGUUGAUUCAGUAGGACUCUAAUAAAGUAAGAGGGCGGAUCCAAGUCGACUUCUCUAAAAUAUCUCCUCAUAUAUUUUUUUUGUUUUGAUCCAAAGUCGAAUUGUUGGUUGAUUUGUAAUUUUGUUGUUCUCAUUUUCGUAUCUUUUAGCUUUUUGUGAUGUAUAAAAAAAAAAAAAAAAAAAAAAAAAAAAAAAAAAAAAAAAUUGUUGCUAAGGAAAGUUAUUAUACAAGUUGACUCUACCUACUAAAUUAUGUACUGCACUUUUGGGUUUUUUCCAUUCGCCUUUUGGGUGUAUUCGUGGAUGUUUAGUAUGCAAGAAUUUUAUUCUGAUUUCAAAUUUCAGAUAUAUAAUGUGUUUUCCAAUCAUCUAUUUUUCUAAUCCGGUCAAAAAAGUCGAAUUUAAAACUAAACUUGAACGGCAUAAAAGCUUAUUUUGAAAAUAUCAUAAUUAUAAGAACUAGAUUACUAUACUAUCAAUAGCACCAAAUUAUUAGUGCUAUUAAAUUUUCGAUCCUCGGAUAAAGGGAUGUACUGUUAGGAUGAUAAUGAUCUCUUAGGAUUGAGCGGGUGAUUAGUUGAAUAAUAUAAUCUAAUGAAUGAAAAUGAUCGCAAAGGUAGAUCUAACGACGGAAAGUUUGAUAACAUGAAGCACUUGGUAUUAUUAAUAGCAUAAUAUCCGUACUCCUAAUUAUAAUUUAUAUAUUUGAUUUGAAAUUAAAUUUAGCUAUUAAACUUUAAUUUUUAAUUAAAGUUGAAAGUCUAAUUUAUAAUUGAUUUUUAAUUUAAAUUUUUUAUUUGAACAAUCAAGCAUUUUGAAUUUGAGUUAUUUAAACUUAAAAAUUUAUUUUAUAAUUUGAAUUUUUAUUUGAACAAUCAAGCAUUUGGAAUUUGAGCUAUUAAAUUAAAAUUUUUAAUUCAAAUUUUAUGUUAAAAAUUUAAAAAUUUUGAUUUUUUAAAAAUAUAUUUAAAUAGACUUAUCGUUUUAAAAUAGUGAUGCUAACAUUUAAUAUUUAAGUUUUAAUUUUAAGUAUAAAUUGUAGAUUUAACUCUAUGCUUAGAGUUGCGAACUCAAUUUUUUAUUUAGUUUUAGGGUUAAUAACAUAGAAAUUUUCUGUAAACAUAGCGAAUUGUAAAUAUAUCCCUAUAAAGUUCAACUUUCUUAUUUUAUCCCUACAAAAGGCCUAAAGUUUUCAAAUAUUUCUCUGCCGUUAGGAUUCGAUAGAAAAAUUUAGUUAUCUAUAGGUUAAAUACUUAACCCUAGUUAGUUAAUAAGGUAACUUGAUAUUUUUAUACCUCUUAUAUAUACCUUCUUCUCUCAACCAAAACCCUAGCGAUGGGAUUUUUUUCUCUUCCUUUAUACUAGUUUUGAAUCCAUAACUAGAAUUUCUCCAUCUCCAUUCAACCAUGACGCGUGUUGUUUCGCCUAUAUAAAUCGCGUAUUACUUUUUCAUUCAAUUUUUUCUACGACUUCUUUUUUAUUUUGCUCAAAAGAAAAGGUUAAGGAAAAAAGGAGCGAGAAAAGAGGUUGCACGAUUAUAACUGUUGGGUCUUUUGGAGGAAUAUAUUUGUGAUGACAAAAUUGACAUUUCACUAUUAAAAAAUAAAUAAUUCUUUAACGGUAAUAAAUCAGAGAGACAAAUAUAAAUAUCACUGAAUUUUUACAGGAAUAACAUGAAAAAAUAAACUUUGUAAGGAUAUAUUUGCAAUUCGCUAUAUUUACAGAAAGCUGUAUGCAAUUAACCCUUAAUUUUGUAUUAACAUUUAAUUAUUUUUUUUAUAGUCAAUAUUUUUUCAUUCCAACCGAACAGUGAAGAUAGGAAUCAAUUAUUCCGAUUCCAAUUAUUAUUCUAAACAAAACAUAGAAAUAUUUUACAAUUCUAUUUCUGAUUCCAAUCCAUUCCGAUUUUGAAUUCUAUUUUGAAUCAAACGUUAGGCCAGAUGAAAAUACUCCGAACCAAACGGGUCCACAACACUUUCACUUAAAAGCACUAUAAAAUCCGCGCUAGGGCUAAACACUAUCUUUCUUAUUCCAUCUUACCUAACCAAACGCUAUUUUUUUUAUUCUCAGGAAUAAUCCAAUUUUCAUCCAAACGCAAAAUUGAUUUAAUCCCCGCUCAUACCUCAAUUUAUACCUAUCCCUUGAAUAGCUACUUUUUUCUUAUCCUCGAACCAAAAAAUACCUAUAUGGUUAAAACCGCAUCACCGGACCACAUUGAUCUAAUUCGAUCAAUAAGAUUCAAUUUAAUCAAUUUUUGUUUACUAAAAAGUUGAAUUAUGUGUUAUCUUUUAAAAUAUUCUGAAAAAUAAAAUAAAAUAAAAUAUUCUACUUGAUCUAACAAAAUAUUUGUUAUUAUUUCCUCUCAACUCUUUUAAUAUAAAUUAAUUUUAAAUAUAAAUAUUUUUCGAACAAAUCUAAAUGGUUGCCUAUAUUAUAAUCCUAAAGGCUAAAGGCCCAACUUAAAAAGACCCAAAUUGAUCAAACCGACCGAAUCGAAUGGGUCAGUUCGGUUUAGAAAACGAUAAAAUCAAAAAAAUUCAAUUAGAUCCAACAUUCUGAAGGAUCAAAUGGGCUCGGCUCGAACCACUUUAAAUUCAGCUACAACCUGAAAUUGCUAAGUAACAAAUUAAAUUCAAAAUUUAUUCGUUAUAAUUAAAAUUUAUUAUUGGAUAAAAUCUAACCCAUUCCAUCCAAACCGAUCGAACCGACCGAAUGCUCUCCCCUAACAACACCGGAAAUUUGUACCAACCAAGUUAUAGGUAAAAAAAAAAAAACAAAAACAAAAAGCGAAAAGUGAAAAAUAUAUAUAAGAAUGAGCAAAGCAAUUGCAAGAAAAGCUUUUGUACACCCUUAUUAUUGCUCUCCCCCAAACCAUCUGAAAUUUGUCCAAAUGCACAUGUUCUCACAAGGUAAAGAUUAAAAACUGUACAUAUGUUCAUUUUUUAUGACCUAAGAGGCCCUAAGAACCUUAAACUGAUCAGACUCAACCCGAACUCGACCUGACUACACUCUUCAGACAAAAUCGGUUCAAUGCGACCGGCGCGACGAGCCCCGGCCCAGCCAAACAGAGACCCUUCCAAAGGGUUGCUUACCCUUGAAAAUAUUGGUGUUAUUGCUACUGUGAGAUGAUAUCAUCUCCGAUUGCUGCAGUAUUUCCCACAUUACCUGCACAUCCUGAUACUCGCAAGUUUGAACGUCGUUGUGAAGCUUUAGAAUCCCACUACCUGCGACAAUUACAUGACAAAUGAGAAAGAUGGUUAGUUUCCAUGCAAAAAAAGUAAUUAAAAUUCUAUUGAGUCAACUUUUUUUUUUUUUUUUUUUUUUUUUUUUUUUUUUUUUUUUUGUAACUCCAAACGUUGAAUCGAAUCGUUGUUACUUCACUGCUUUAAGAUGAAAAUGAAAUCAAUUGAGUUGUAAUUUGAACACCGAUGGUUGUUGGGACCUGGAUCAGUUAUUAGGGAUCUAAAUAGUUGCAUUGUUUUGUUUCAAAUUUAGAAUUAAAAUUCAAAGUAGGAUCUAAAUGGUUAUGCUGAUCGUUUGAUUAUGGAUUCUGACUUGGGUCUACUAAUAUCGAAAAUGAUAAAAAAAAAAAAAAGAAAAGAAAAGAAAAUGGAGAUGAAUAUGGUGGGAAUGUAACAUUCAAAGAUGACACAUGUUUGGGACUUUUGGUAGCUGCCACUUGGAGCCCAAAUCGUCACUCUCUGCAUUAUAACAUUUUUAACUUUUUAGUAAACAUUAUCUUUAUCAGAACUUACAAAUAUAUAUAUAUAUAUAUAUAUAUAUAUAUAUAUAUAUAGAGAGAGAGAGAGAGAGAACAUUUUGCUAGACUAUUAUCGAUAGUAAAUAUCUUAAUUUACUAUCAAUUUAUUUUCAAUAGUAGAGUUUUUAAAUCAACGAUAGAUAUUAUUGAAUAUGAUCUAGAUCCUUUAAACUAUCUAAAAAUCAAAUUCCAUGCUUUCCGAUAUUAUUCUUUUGUCCAUCAUGUGGACAUAAAAUAAAUGGUUGAAAAUAAACGUACACUCCUUAAAAAAGUAAUGAUACAAUUUUCAUAUUCAAAAUCUAGAGUCAACAUCUUAUUUUAAAUACUUUAAAAAUUAUUUUAAUAAAACUUCAGCUAAUUUAGACUUUUAUAUAUCGUUAAAUGAGCAAAUGCACCUUAUCGAUUAUUAAAAUUAUUAAAUUUUGUACCCUUUAAUCGUUCGGUUAGUGAUGUUGAAAAAGUAUAAAAUUUCAUUUCUACAAAAUUUAAAUGGUCUAAAGCAUGUUCAAAUAUGCCAAUUAUCAAUUUGAAACUUUAUCAUAAAAAAUAAAUGCUUAGUAAAUUAAGUUGUUCUCUCUCUCUCUCUCUCUCUCUCUCUAUAUAUAUAUAUAUUAUAUUUAUUAAAUGUAAAGAGAUAUAUAAUCAAGGCACCGUAGAAAUUAAGUGGAGGAGGGUUUAUAAUACAACUCAUCUGAACCUUAAUGCGAUAUGCGAAAACGAUAUAAAAUGCUUUGUAUCUCCACAAACUUCGCCUACGUAUUGAUGCAAUAUUGGUUUUAUUCCAGAGCAUCUUAAAUUAUUUUGCAUGGACUAAUUAGAAUUCCCCGCAUCAUAUGUACAAACACACCGACCAUAGCAGCAUAGAAUUAUUGUCCGGACCCACCACUCAAUGAUAAAAAGUAAAAUCAUAAAAAAACAAACCAGAAAAGGUUAAAAAAAGAAAAAAAGAAAAAAAACUUCUUUAUUAGAAAUUUCUUAAUCAAAGAUUAUUGUCCUUAGUUGUUAAAACCAAGUUUAAUUAAAAUUCCCUUUUAAUUACUUGCUAACAUUUCCAAACAAAUCUCCAGUACCAGGUCAGAGAAUUCUAAAGGAAAGAGAAUGUGCAUGCGGAACGCGUGCGUAGAAAAAUUCUAUUACUUAGCCGACUUAUGAAAUUGUCGGUAUCAGUUGAGAUCGAUCAUGCUUUUCUGAAGAGAAGCACGAUAAAAUUACGUUUUCUACGUGAGCAGAAAUUUCUUACACACUAUGAAUUCAGAAGAAAUGAAGUAAAGAGAGAGAGGCGGUAAUCUCACCGUCUUUUCUGCUCCUGACCCUCGCGGCGACGGCGACCAGCGCCCGCUUCACCGGCAGCACCAGCACCUUCCUCCACCACUCCAUCCCCUCCUUCCCCUCCCUCCCUUAAUUAAUGCCCCCCUCCACUUCAACGCAUGGAUAUAUUAAUAAGGCAGAGAUGUAUAUAUGUAUGUGUAUGUUAUCAAUGCGAAGGUAAUAAUUAAUACUUGGAGAGAGAGAGAGAGAGAGAGAGAGAGAGAGAGAGAGAGAGAGAGAGAGAGAGAGGAGGCGAGAGAAGAGAAAACGAGGAGUGGGGGUGUUAAAAAUACUCGGGGAUGCCACCUACCCACCCCGAGAACUGUCCACGUUGCCUCGUCCCUCGCGCCAGGCGCCUCUUCCUCCUCGCUCCUCUCCUUCUCUCUCUCUCUCCUCUACCCUUUUGCUCCCUCUAAAAAAGAUCUUUGUCUUGUACUAAGGCAAAGUUGCAUAAAGAUCACUCAACUAUAAGCUAUUCUGAAACAUCCCCUCAACUACAUUUUAUUUUGGAUAAGCGCUACCUGUACACGUCAAAAAAAUAGUGUAUAUCUUACAUUACAUCCUCUCUAGGAAUGCAAACGGAGCGGAUCUGGGGUAAAAGUGUUUCCCUACCUUCUGCUCCAUUUCUUGUCAGGUCGGAAAGGAUUCAGAACAAGUUUAUUUUUUAUUUCAAGGCGGAUUACGGUGAAAGCGGAUUUUUGGCACAUUUUCAUAGAUCGGAAUGGAUUGAAGGAAAAAAAGGGUCUCCCGCCUCCUGCUCCAUUUACUUGGCGGAUCGGGUCGAAUUUGAGACGGAUUAUAUUUUUUCUGUACUCUUUUGUUCUCACUUACCAUUCCAUUCGGAACGGAUCAGGAUGGGAGCUCCACCAACCAGGAUCCAAACGCAUCCCUAAUUGUCUCAUUUGAGGUUUAGAUUUUUUUUUAUAUUUAAAUAUUUUUUCUAGUUACACGUUUAGAUACUGGAAUAAGUUGCGCGGUAAUUAUUUUUUUUUUACAUAAACUUUUUGUAUUAUAAUUUAAAGCUAUAUUGUAUGGAUGUUUUAGGAUGUAUGUCACCUUCAAAUUAUUAUUUUAGAAUAAAAUAAAUUAUCCCGCAAGUUAAAUAUAUUAUUUUAUUUGUCAAACUCAACCUCCUACUUUAUUCAAGAAAAUCUUAAUUCUUAAUAUAUUAUAGUCAAAUAAUUUAUUUCAGCAACUAAACAAGGCCUUAAUUUUUUAAAUUCAACUCAAUCGGAAAAAAAAAAAAGCAGUUUAUUUCAGAAAGUCAAACAGAGGAGGGGUCUCCUCGCAUUUUUGCCGAGUAUUUUUUUUUAAACACCUACAAGAAAGGAAGAGGGAUUAUUAAUUAUUAUACAUUGAGAAGUCACUUUCCUUAUAAUUUUUCAGUUACCGGCUUAUCCGGUUACUCCAAGGCAUGACUCGCGUGCACCGCCACCGCCACGUGCAGCUCACCUGCCGGUGUUCACGUGCAGAACUUCGUUUCCCGGUCACGGUGCACCACGGGCCAUGCAUGGACCGUCCUCUGCCAAUAAUCCAUGUAUCCCGUUUGGUUCAGGGAUAAGAAGCGGAAUAAUCCCUUAUCCCUUUUAUACCCAAAUACUACUUUUUUUUUUUUUAUCCAAAAAUAAUAGUUCUCGAGUAUUUAAAAUAAGUUGAGAUAAUUCGGUAUAAAUCUGGAAUAGUUGUUCCACCUUUAUCCUUAGAACAACCGGGAACAAAAUUAUUUAAACUUUAAAUAAUAAUUUUAAGUUAUUAAUUAAUCUAAUUAAUAUAUUUUAAUUAUUAAUUAAUUUAAUUAAUAUUAAAUUAUUAUUCUUGGAUAAUUUGCUAAGGGUGGGAAGAGCUGUUGGGAUGUUCCCACCCUAUUUUUAUUUUUAAAAUUUAAAAUUUAAAAUUUUAAUAUUUAAAAUUUAAAAUUUAAAAUUGUUAAUUUUUAAAAUUUAAUAUUUGAUAUUAUUCAAAGUUAAAUUUAAUCUUUAAUUUAAAGUUUGAAAUUUAAAAUUUAAAAUUUUAAAAUUUAAAAUUUGAUAUUUUAAAUUUUAAUUUUUAAUUUAAAUUUUUAAAAAUUUAAUUUUAAAUUUAAAAAUAUAAAUAUAAAAUUUAAAAAAUUAAAAAAUUAAAUGCAAAUAUAAUGAGAGGGGUAGCAUUAUUAUUUUUUAUUUAUAACUAUCUAUUAUUCUUCUUAUUCCAUCUUAUCUGUUCAAACGCUAUUUUUUUAUUUUCGAAAACAAUCUAAUUUUCACCCAAACGCAAAAUUAUUCUACUUCUUGCUUAUACCCAUUAGUUAGUUAAUUCGCGAAUUAUUCAUGAAUUUUUGAAGAAAUGAAUUAAGCAGCCGUAUUCGUAUUUUUCCAAAAAAUUCGAAAAAAAUGCAUUUUUUUGGUAAAAAAUACUUAUUCUUGAAUAAUUCGCAGGCGCUGAAUUAUUCGCCCAAAAAGACGCGCGGUCGCUGUCGCGCUCGAGCUCGCGCUCGCGCUUGCGCGCUGGUCGCGGGCCUCGCGGCUCGCCCAAAACAGAAAAAAAAACCCUGUUCGCCUCGCCCAAAACUGAAACCCAGCAAAUCUCUUCUUAUUUGCUUAAUUAUUUAUUUAUUUUGAGACAUAAUAUAGUUUGCUAUUUUUUUUUACUUAAUUAGCUUAAUUUUGUAGCUCUUUAUUGUUAUAUUCUUAAGAAAUAUAAAUAUUUAUAAUAAUAGCAUAAAUUUUGAGAGAAAAAAAACUUAGUUUAAUAGCCGAAUUUUUUAUCCCAAAUUUUUAAUUGGUGAACGUAUAAUAUCCAUGUAAAUCACCUAUUCGAAUAAUUGAUAAAUCCAUUUUUUGGCCGUAUUUUUCAACAAAUCUAAAAAUUAGAAGACGAAUUUCAUCCGAAUUAUAUCCGUACCGAUUUUUCGUCGAAUCUGAAUUAACUAACUAUAUUUAUACCUAAACUUAUAUCUAUCAUUGGAAUAGACAAUUCUUGCUUAUACCCGAACCAAACGAUACCUUAGGACGUGUUUGCUUCCACUUUCUUUAAUUCUAAAAUCAGAAUCGAAAUAAAUAAAUCUCGUUGUAGUGUUUGGUACACGCGAGUUCCAUUUCCAUUUCAAUUUUCAGGUGGAAGGGGAAUACCCCAAUUCCCCCAUUUUCCAAUCCAGCUACCUCGGUUGAAUUGGAACUUGAAUCAAGGAGAAAAUAAUGCACCUUAGAAAAAUAUCUCAAUUAUAUUUUAUAUUUUUAUUUAAAAUUAAAUUAAAUUUUUUGAUUUAAUUUUUAAUUAAAAUAUAAAUUUAAAUUUAGAAAUUAAAUUUAUAAUUCUAGUUUUUGAUUUAGAAAUUAAAUUAAAAUAUAAAGCAUUUUGAAUUUGAUCUAUAAAUAUAAAUUUAAUUGUAAGUUUGAUUUUGAAUAAAAUAAAAAAUUAGUUUAUAUUUUGAAUUGUCCAUUCAAUUUAAAAUUUAAAAUUUUUAAAAAUUAUAUUUAAAAUUUUAGCUUAUCAUUUUAAUAUUUUGAUGUAAAUUUUUAGUAUUUAAAAUUUAUUUUGAAUUGAAAUUAUAAAUUUAAUUUUAUGUUUUGAGGUACAAACUAAAUUUUUAUUUUAUUCAAAAUCGUAUUUUAAUUUAAUUUUAAUUAUUUUCUUGGUAAUAUUGAAAUAUGAAUUAAUCAUACCGAUUUUCGAUUGUUAUUCUGAACUAAACAUAUUCGGAGGUUUUUUCAUUCCGUUUCUGAUUCCUAUCCAUUCCGAUUUCAUUUCUCAUUUUGAACCAAACACACUCUCCGAGCUGUUGAAUUAAAGAUUUAUUUUGGUUUGGUACAUUUUGUUACUUUAUUUUAGACUUAUGUAUGCAGAGUCGAUUCUAUCCUAGAAACUGAUGCAUCGGCCUUUGGGUGUUGUAGUUGAAAAUUAAAGCAAAGAUUUAAUUGCGGUAGAUGAAAUUAUACCUAAAUUGGCUAUAGUUUUUACCGUGUCCAGUAGAGAAAGAGUAAAUUUAAAAUAAGAGGUAAGUUUAUCUAUCCAACUUUCUUUCAAUCAAAACAAAAAACAAAACAUCUUCUAUAUUUGAAGUAAACUCACCACCUUCACACAUCAAAGUGAUAAAAUUUAUAAAUACAAUUUCCAAUUGCAUACAGGUAAAUAAAUUAUUUGUAGUUAGAAUACUUUUUACUACAUUCAACAAGUUAUGUCCAACUACAAUUAUUGCAUUUUUAUAUGCACGCAUCUCUUACUACUGCAUUUACAAGUAUAUCCUCAGAUAGCCCACCAAUUUAUCCUCUGUUGUAAAUUAAAGUUUUCUUAUGUCUUUCUUGUCGGAUCGUUGGCGCUAACCAUUAAUCCCAAAAGCUCGAGUUUUUAGAAAUAUGCAACAAAUUCACUUAAAGCGUACAAAAACAGCGCCCACGAAUCUCGAUUGUGACUCGGCCCACUUAGCUUUACGCUACUUCGAACAUGACUCGGCCCAACCCAGCCUUACGCUAUUUAGAACAUGACUCGGCCCACAUGGCCUCUCACCACAGGGCAGGAUGCUAGCCUAUUUAAGUCAAUAAUCCUCCCUCCAGCACCUGCACAUAUUUGCAGCAUGCGGGAAUCGAACCCAUCGAACCCGUGAUCUCUGGCUCUGAUACCACUUGUAGGAUCGUUGGCGCUAACCAUUAAUCCCAAAAGCUCGAGCUGUUAGAAAUACGCAGCCAAUUCACUUAAAGCGUACAGAAACAGCGCCCACGAAUCUCGAUUGUGACUCUCACCUGGCCUCACGCCACUUCGAACAUAAUUCGGUCCAACCCAACCUCAUGCCAUUUUGAAUAUGACUCAGCUCACAUAGCCUCCCGCCACAGGGCAGGAUGCUGACUCAUUUAAGCCAACAUUUCUAAGUCUUACUAAAAUAGAAAAUAAAUUUGUUUUAUAUGGAAAUGAGAAAUGGUUAUGACUUAUGACCUACAUGUUACUUCAGAAAACAAUAUAUCAAAAUAAAAUAUCUUUUGUAAUAUAAUUUAACACUAAACUACAAUAUUACAAAAUAAUCAAACUUUUCAUUAUCUCAAAUAGUCCAAUAGGGUUAGUUAAUUUGGUAAAUCACUUGCCGUAUAAGCAUAUAACUUCCCUAUGCUGUGGAUUUCCCAAAAAAUAUACAUGAGAAAUCGUAACAAUACUUUUAUUAAAAACUAAUUUCCCUACAAUUCAGCUAGAGGGAAAAAAAUACUUAAAUUUCAAUAGUUUUUACUUAGAUUGAUUUGACAUUUUUCUUAUACUUUUUUUUUUUCUACUUUCGUCUAGGUUUAUUUGUUCUCCGGCCAUUAUAAUAUCAUUUUAUUUAUGAGUUGUAAUACUUUGUUCAUAAUUUAAGCAAAGUAGCAUACUAGUAAAAAGUUGUGGAACUUUUUGUUCCAUUUUUGCACAAAUUGCUAACUAAUUGGAUCUCAACCGUGCAUCAGUAUGGUGACAAGAAAUCAAUUUAAAUACUCAAUAAUGAUACAUGUACUAAAUUUUUAAGAUGUUGAUGGUUGUGUCCCGAAUGCAUCCAUGCAAAAAUGUGGUGAAAGUAAAUGCAACAUACGGAUACCUCUGGUAUUGCCAAUACAAAUCGACCAAUUGCAUAAACACCGCCAUCACCAUAUCGCCAACCUCCAACCAUUGUGUAUUAUUCCAAAAUAACUCGUCAUAACGUACCUGACCAUUCAUGCGAACGUUAUUCAUCCUCAUUGAUAUUAACUGAAUUGUAUUUCUUUGGUCCCGUGUGUCUUUGGCCAUCCUAGUUUACAUCAUCCUAACUAAUUUGAAUGGAAUGUACGGUAACCCUUGGCACCUUUUCUAUAUCCUGCCAUCCAGGCGUACGGACGUUCAGAUCAUAUCUAAUCUUGUCCUAUUUGUAGCAUUAGGCCACGUCAAGGCCUACUAAACUCGGCGUAUAUUGAUUCAUGCGCACUUUCUCUAAAUCUUCACUUUACUGAUCAUGCAAAUAGUGCUAUCAUUGAUAUACACUUGAUUGAUUCUCAUGCAUAUAGCCGUAUAGCUCUCUUUUUUGAGUCAUUGACUCAGUCAUCGAUAUAUAUGCCUCCGUCAUCGAUGCCUUGGGCCUCUGUCUGGCACAUAAAAUCUCGGGUCACUACCUAGAGCCACAAUACCAUGGGUUAUUGCCCAAUCCACAUGUACAUUCUCUGUAUCCAAGGGAAAGUCCGAUCUUUGCAAUAGCAAAUGUAGUACCAUCCCACCCAAACUGAGAGGAAACUCAAUUCAUGCGAACAAACCAUUGGUAUCCCAACUAGACCAUGCAUAUCAAACAAAUUAUACAACAUAUGCAUGUUCAACAUGAUCCAAAUACCAAAUUUCGAACAACCAAUUAAUUCAUGAUGCUCAACUUGAAGUCCCACAUAUAAGAACAUACAUAGGUACUAAAGCGACAAGUCCGACUGCCCCAAAUGUAAUAUGCCAACAAUGUUUCUAUGUAGAUGCUAUAUGGUCAUAAAUACAUGAAUAAAACGACAUUCUUGAUGUGGAUUCCAACAAUCGGCAAAAAAUGUUGUGGUGUAUUGGACCCAAAUUCGUAAGAAUCUAGUAUAAAAUAUCUUCAAUACCGUUUGAUAGAUCUUGGGGAAAUUACAUUUAGUUAGUUUGAGUUUGAAGCAAAACGGACACGAAAAUAGAGUCCGAAAACUCAUUCUAUUGAAACUUCAAUUUCGGUGAAGUAUCGAACGUCUAGAACCACUUGUGUGGGCCUAGAAUCUGUACAUAACUCGGAACCGACUUAGUUGGACCCGAAUCUAUCGGAUCCUGGACCGGAAGCCUAGAACCCAUUUUAGACGCUCAACUAAAGAGCUCGGGUUAUAUUUCAAUUAAUUAUUCAGGCACUCAGAACCACUUUUGGGUGCCCAAAAUUGAGAAGAUGGUGUUUUGGGCGUUCGGAACCCUUGGUUUGAGAGCUCAGAAAUGGCUUUUGGGCGCUCGAAAUAUAUUCCGAGUGCCAAAAACGUGUCCCGGACUGAGAAUGGGUUAUAUUGCAAAUUUUUUAUUUUUAGGGGUUGAAAUGAAAUUGUUGCCACUUUAUAAAUACACUCACCCUAGCAGGCCUAUCGUAUCUCUGUUACUCUAAGAAGCCCUAAGGUCACCCUCUCUUCUAUUCUUUCUUCUUCUUUCUUUCUCUCACUUUUAAUUUCUAUGUUAUUCUAACCUCUAUUUCGUUUCAAACCUUUUGAAGUUGGAGUUCGAGUUGACAAAGAUAUAGUUUGAGAUAUUGAUCAACAUGUUUUAGGAAUGUUGGGUCAAGUUAGAACCACUAUGGUAUAAAAUUGAUGCAAAAACAGGCUUGGAAAUCAGAUUCCGGAGGAUACUGAGUUUCUAGUGAUUUUUCGGACAUUUGAAACAGGGUGUCUGGGCACCCAGAGGUGCUGUAGUUGGGCUGAUUCAAUUUUGGAUCUCACUUGGGGACAUUCAAAUCUACUGAAGGAGCAUCUAAAUAGGUUUUGGGCUAUGAAUCCAGACGCCCGGUAUUAUUCUAGUAGUCUGAAAAUUGGUCGGUGAUUAAGUCAGUGAGUUGAUGACUCAUUGUGCUGACUAAUCAAGAUAACUCAUUUAGUUUUCGGACACAUGAAUCGAGUGCCUAAAAAAUAAUUCGGGUGCUCUUGAAAUGGGUUCUGGACAACUAGGAGCAUGAGGAGGCAUCCUAGUUAGCUCGAGCAUAAGGUUUCGAACGCCCGAAUCACAAACAUCCGAAAUGUCCGAUUUUGGUUAAAAGUGGAAAUUUUGUAAUUUGGGGACUUAAAUACAAUUGUUAUAUUCUUUAUUGGCUAAAUUAUAGACAACCUUUCUGUCAAAAUUCAUUUUUUUCACUUCGCCCCUUACAUUAAGAAAAGUACACUUUUUCCCCUCCUAGUUACAAAAUUAUCCACAGAGGGGCUACACUAUUAACGAAAAGGGCGAUAUGACGAUAAUGCCCUUACUUUUUAUUGGACAGAGUGAGCGCGGAAGUGUUGUGUCAUUUGUUUUCUUGUUGAAGAGGAGAUCUAGCGUUUGAUCCGGGGAGGAGGACAAGCCAGUUCGAAGCACAGGACAAAGGCAAGCGCCUUCAAACAAAGGAGUAGGGCGAGAGAGUUGACCUAGGGAGGAAGAUGAUCGAGCUUGAAUGAGGGAGCCUCUUACUCUUUUGAGGUGUAUUUAGAUUUAAGAGUUGAAGUGUUAAUUUAGUUCAUGUAGUCCUUUUUGUUCUUGUGGUUUGAGCAAUUCUUUCGGGAUCUAUGGUUUUGUGUUAUUUUGUUUCAUUUUUAGUUAUUUUGAAGUUUGGUUUAAUACUUUCUAAGAUGAAAUGCUUGUAGUCCCCAAAUAUUUUAGUGAUUUGUAUGUGAUGCAUUUAAAUUUUUGUUUUAAGUGUACUAUUUGAGAUCAUAGUUUGCUAAAUACAUGGCGUCCUACUGUUUUCUAAUUAAUUCUUCUUCUUCUUUCCAUUUUCUAUACGCAUUUAAUUAGUUGAUGACAAUAUAUUUUAAUUUUUCUUUGCAUUUGUAUACUGUUUUUUCUAAUUUAUUACAUCAUAUAGAUGGAAUUGAGGACUCUUGAAUUCACUUUGGUGGAUUUUUUGAAGGAAAUCUUAUAACAGAAUACUGUAGAGGAAAAAUAUCAUAUGACAAUAAUGUGGACCAAGACUUGAUGUCGAUUAUUGAAAUAUGGGCUAUGCUUGAGAGCCAUGAGUUGAGAGCCAUAGUUUAAUAAAAGAAUCAAUUAUAUACUACACUAUGCCUAUUGGAGAUAUAACUAAUAGUCUGAAGCUUGUGGAUGGUGAUAAAGCGGUUCUAGAGAUGCUUAAGUGCCAUGAUGAAUUUGGCGUCAUUAUGCUCUAUGAGUUUCCCCUGAAUGGUAGAUGAGGAGGGUAUAAAUGAUCCCACUAAAGAUAUGGCUAUAUAAGUGGAGCAAUUGAAGAAAAAUAUCAACAAUGUUGAGACUGAGCUCUAGAAAGAUGUAUCUGAACAUGGGAAGGAAGUGAAUGCAACAAGAGAGCCUAGUAAUGACUCCAUGGAUAAAAAGGUUGACGAUGAUGGAAUGAGUAAGGCUAUUGAUUGAAAUGUAACUGAAGGGGUCGAAGAUAACAAUGAAGAGGCUGAAGGUGAAUCGGAAAGUGACAGUGAGCAUGAAUGAAGAAAAUUUGGUGAUAAUGAUGAGAAUAGUAUUAAUAAUAGUGAUUUCUGUAUUAAUACAAACAAUGUAGAGGGGGAGAAUGGUAUUGAUGGGACAGGUGAGGGGGUGCCACUACUUCUGAACCAAAAUAUGCUGAGGAUAAUGAGCAAGGAGCAAAUAGACUAUCAGCCUAUUGAUGAUCUUGGUAGUAUGUCCUCAUUAGAUGAAGAUGGUCCUUCAUGGACAAAGUAUUCUAUGUUCAAACAAAAAGAUUUGGAGAGAACAGAGCUAAAACUAGGCAUGAACUUUGCAUUAGUUGCAGAGUUUAGAACAUUGCUGAGGAAUCAUGCAAUAUUAAUUGGAUAUGACUUUAGUUUUGUCAAGAAUGAUGGUGAUAGAGUUACGUGAAGUGUAAAAAGAUACUACUGACUAGGAAAAAAAAUAUGGAUGCCUCAUACAUGCAUUUUGGAAUGCAUUUAAGAUAUGUUUUCAAAUAAAGUCUUUAUAAUUUAAGCAUAAGUAUGGUAGGCAAUUCAAAAAAUAUUAAGCUACUUCAUCACGAAUUGCAAAUAAAUACUUGGAACAAUUGAGAGAUGAUCCUAUAUUGGGAACAUCAGCAAUGAGAAAGACAAUGAGAAGAGAGUUGUGCAUUGAUGUCUCUAAGAGCCAAAUUAAUAUAUAAAGCUAAGAGAAAAGGAAAGAAGGUUAUAAUAGGAUUACAUAGAGAUUAGUUCAUGAAAUUUUGGGAAUGGCAAUAUCAUCGAAGUGAGGAAUCUAGGAAGCCUUGCUUUUUUAUACGUGGAAAAGCCUCAUCUUGAGUUAGCCCUAGUGUUUCAGAGAAUCUUUAUACAAUAAGAUGCUCAAAUCAAUGGAUUAAAGGAAGGAUAAAGACCUAUCAUUACUAUAGAUGGUUGUUUUCUAAUGGGAUCAUUAGGCGGACAUGUUAUUAGUGCUAUUAGUAGAGAAGAGAAUAAUAAAAAUAUUUCCAAUUGCGGUUGCUAUUGUAGAAGUAGAACUAGAAGUAGAACUGAAGGAUUCUAAAAUUGGUUGUUAAUAAUUUUUUUACAAGCUAUUGGACCAGCAAAGGCUCAUAAGUGGACUUUUAUAUCUGAUAGACAAAAGGUAAAAAGUUUUAUUUAAUACAAUGAUAGAACUUUUAACAAGAUGAAUUAAUUGUAGUCUACUAACUUUUAUUUACUUUUGUUAUUAAAUGUCUUAGGGUCUGGUAGAGAUUUUUGAUGGCCUACUUCUAAGAGUGGACCAUAGAUUUUGUGUGCAACAUAUGUACAAUAACUUUAAAAAAUAAUUUAAAGGCAACGUAUUAAAAAAUUUGCUUCGAUCAGAAGUAGUUACAUCUUAUACUUUGCACAAUUAAAAAAGGAGCAUGCAAAAAAUUAAGGAUACAAAUGUAGCUGCUUAUGAUUGGCUCAUGAAAGUGCCACCAAAUUGUGGACAAGAUUUUAUUUCAGACCUGACAUUAAAUCUGAUCUUCUACACAAUGACAUGUGUAAGGCAUGGAGUCGAGCAAUACUGGAUGUAAAGGAGAUACUAAUUAUUGAUAUAAUGGAGAAGAUUAGAAGGCAAGUGAUGGCAAAGUUUCAAAAGAAGAGACAAUAAGACAAGAUGGUAUACCAUACCCUGAAGUUCAAACAAAGUUGAAAGAAAUAAAGGAAAAAGUUAGACAUUGUGAGCCAAUAUAAGUUGGAGAAACCAUUUAUGAUGUUCAUUGCACUGGAAAGCAAUACACUGUUAACUUAGCAGCAUCAUCUUGUGAAUGUUGUCUCUGCGAUAUACAAGCAAAAGAUGGAUCUCGAGGAAUUUGUUCACAAUUUUUUAAAAAAGACAUAUAAGAACAUAUAGCCACAUGAUCAUGCCGAUACGUGAUUCUUCAAUGUGACCUAAGGUUGGGAUUGAGCCUAUAACUCCACCUCCAUAUAGAAAACCUAAAAAAAGUAAGGAAGAAGGCAGUUGAUGAGCUCAAAAAGGUAAAAUUAGCAGAGAAGGUAAGAAGUUUAGAUGUACAAAGUGUAAACAGUUUGGACACAACACUUGUCAUUGUACUAAUUAAUAUUGCAUCUAGAGAGGAAAUAUGUGGUAAGGGAACAAGUAAAAGCGAUGAGGGAGAACACAAGUGGAUCGAGGAGGAAGACCACUAGAAUCAAGAAGAGAGACCACCUGUGUGAGUUAAAAAUUUACAAGCGUUUGCGUUAGACGAGAGUAUUAUAUAUUAAAAAACAGAGAUUAAUUAAAGGUUCUAUGCUCCUUAGGAAUCAUAAAGAUUUCUAAUUAAUUACGCCUAUUCAUAUUUAGACAACCCCCGAUUAAGCUGGUUAAUUAUGAUAAUUAGCAAAACAGAAUGCAUUUCUUUUAUUACUCUUGUAUAUCGUGUACAAAAUUAAUACAACUGAAAAAGAGGAAAAGCAACAAUUAUCAUCUCUCUACUUUUCUCCUCUUCAAGGUAUUUUUCCAAAAUAAUGUCGGCCAUGCAUCAUGCAUAAGCUUUCUUUGGUAUUUCAUUGAGCAUUUGACAUGCACACAAGUAAUGUGCAAAUUGCCUUUGGCAUUUCAUCGAACACUUGGCAUGCGUACAUGAACAAUGCAGCAUGCUCAAGUUUCUUUUGACAUUCCGUGAUAUGCACACCAUUUUUGGCAUUUCAUCGAACGCUUAGCAUGCGUACAUGAACAACGCGCUAUGCACAAAUUCUUUUUUGCACUUUGUCUAAUACUUGGCGUGUGCACAUAAAUUAUCCAUCACGCACAGUUUAUUUUUGACAAAAGCCAAUUCAAAAUAGCGGCAAUCAAUAAUUUGAUUGGAGCUUUCCGUCGACGGCUAAGCAUCGAACUGAUAGUCGUCGUCGUUGUCGUCGUCUACCGCUGACAGCUAAGCGUCAAGCGGAUGAUCAUCGUCGUCGUUGUCGUCGCCACCUUUACCGCUGACGGCGAAGCGUCAAGCAGAUCAUCGUCGUCGUUGUUGUUGCCCAUCGCCGACGGCUAAGUGUCAAGCGGAUCGUCGUCGUCGUGGUUGUCGCCUACCGCCGACGGCUAAGCGUCGAGCGGAUCGUCGUCGUCAUUGUUGUCGCCUACCGCCGAUGGCUAAGCACCAAGCGGAUGAUCAUCGUCGUCGUUGUUGUCGCCACCUUUACCAUCGACGGCGAAGCGUCAAGCGGAUCGUCGUCGUCGUUGUUGUCGCCCACCGCCGACGGCUAAGUGUCAAGUGGAUCAUCGUCGUCAUGGUUGUCGCCUACCGCCGACGGCUAAGCGUCGAGCGGAUCGUCGUCGUCAUUGUUAUCGUCUACUGCCGACGGCUAAGCGUCGAGCGGAUGAUCAUCGUCGUCGUUGUCGUCGCCACCUUUACCGCCGACGACGAAGCGUCAAGCGGAUCGUCGUCGUCGUUGUUGCCGCCUACCGCCGACGGCUAAGUGUCAAGCGGAUCGUCGUCGUCGUCGUCGUGGUUGUCGCCUACCGCCGACGGCUAAACGUCGAGCGGAUCGUCGUCGUCGUGGUUGUCGCCUACCGCCGACGGCUAAGCGUCAAGCGGAUGAUCAUCGUCGUCGUCAUUGUUGUCGCCUACCGCCGACGGCUAAGCGUCAAUUGGAUGAUCAUCGUUGUUGUCGGCGCAGUAACAGCAGGCGGAUGGCCACCUCCUUGGUCGAUGAUGACGCCACACUAGCAAAAGGGAACGUGCACCAAUUCGGGAUCAACAACGACAGGGCAAUGCCUGUCAGCAAAGGUGUCGGAAUGGCGACGAGCAGUCGUCUUUUCUUGGUUGACGAUGACCCGACGUAGUAGAGGUUGAUAACGGCAUGUAUAGCCCGGUGUGCAUAGAAAACUCGAUGUAUGGAGUGCCUUGACUAGGAGAGAAGAGAAAAAAAAACAAAUGAAAGUGAGAGGAUCUAAACCCACCUUUCUAUUGGCUCUCUUUUUUUUUAAUUCAAGUUUCUUUUCUCUUUUUUUUUUUUGUGAGUAGAAUCCUCCCUUUUUUUCUUCACUUCUCUUUAUAUAGAGAGAGGGUGAAUGGAGGAGUGGAGGGAAUGGUGGAGUGAUGGAGAAGUGAGAGAAAAUGGUAGAGAAGUGGAGUGGUGUAGGGAAUGGUGGAGAAGUGUGGAGAAAUAGAGAAAAUGGUGGAGAAGUGGAGUGGUGGAGGGAAUGGUGGAGAAGUGUGGAGAAGUAAAGAAAAUAGUGGAGAAGUGGAGUGAGUGAUGGAGAAGUGGUGGGAAUGGUGAGAAAGUGGAGGGAAUGAUGGAGAGAGUGGUAGAAAUGGAGGGAAUGGUGGGAGAUAGUGGAGGAGUGAAUUUAGGGAAGUGAUCUUUUCUUUUUUUUUUCUUUUUUUUUUGUGUUAACACCACCACUAAGUCGAGAAGGAAGAUCACCCCUUGGGAGAGGUAGAAAAGCACUGAUAAGUAGAGAGAAAAUCAAUAUUACUGUCAGGGAAGAAAAGAUACCAAUUGAAAGAAGAGAAGGAUUAAUUGGUAGACUUGGAAGAGUAUUAACUAGGAGAGGUAGAGGUCCAUGCAAGAUUUUUUCACUAAUCAGCAUAUACCAUUCUCCAAUAUAUUUGUUGCUGCUAUAAGAAAUAUAUCUACUCGAGCCAGCGGAGCAACAGGAGAAACAUCGAAAAGCCCUUAUAGGCCAAUAUGUUUCUAACCAUACUAUUUAUUAGUAGCUGAUUAUCAAGCUAAUUCUUAUAUACUUAUAUAUGGAGUUGAGCUAUGAUACUUUUACAAGUAUCACCAUCAUGGUGCUAUUAGGUUUUAAGCCAUUGGAUCUACUUUUUGAUUAUUAAUAGCCCUUGGAUUAAACACUAUUCCACCUACCACCACCUACCACCAUCAUCUCAACCUCACAUCUCUCCAUCCAAGGGCUAAAAACUCACAAGUAUCACCCCCAUGAUACUUUUACAAGUAUUCUAGCCCUACUCCUUAUAUAUGUAUAUUUAAUUUUUUUUCUUAUAUGGAUUUUAUCAAAAGAGGGAUAGGAGAGCAACUUAGGUCAGUGACAACUCAAGAAUCUACUAGUAAGCUAGUCAACUUAGGCCAGAGGCAACUCACAAGUGAUUUUUUUGGUCUAUCGAUCAUUCUGUAUUUUGGUUCCGUUUGUUUAGAGAGUUGUAAGUUACUUAUAUAACUAUAUCUUAUAACUCAAGUUUGAUACUUUUGUAUUCGGUUCUAGCUAUAACAAUAUCUUAUAACUCAAGGUAGAUCUUUUUGUAUAUGGUUCUAGUUUUUGGAAACGAGUGCUUAACUGGAAGAUUGAAGAGGUUAGAUCAUUUAAUUUUGAUUUUGGUUCAAGUUAUUCGAAAGCAGUGCUUAAUUGGGAGUUUUAAGAAAUCAGUGAUAAACUUUAAAAGUGGUUAAAUUGAAAUUCGAGUUUUGGUUUAUUUCUCUUGAAUCUAAAGUUAACUUGUUAAAUUCUCUUGUUAGUUCUCUUGUUAAUGUUAUAUAGUAGUUAGUUUUCUUAUUAAUAUUAAAUGCUCUUGUUAUUCUCUUGUUAGUUCUCUACUAAAUUUAAAGUCAACUUGUUAGUUUUCUUGUUAAUAUAUAGCUUAUGUUGAACGUUAGUUAUCUUGUUGAACAUGUUAGUUCUAGUUUUACGUAGCAAUGAACCUAUUACUAACAUGUGGUUGUUACUGAAUAAAUGUCAGUUUUCUAGGUUUAUGUAUUGUGAUUAGUUAUCAGGAAUGGUGCAUUGGACUAGUGGUUUAGUACAUGUAGUUGUUGCAUAGCUGCAAACUACGUAAUGUGUAGUUGCAAUGCACAUUAUUAAGUAUAUCUCACAUAUAGUUAAUUGCAGGGCACAUAAAAGACACUAUAAAGAUCUAUGUAAUGACUAAAUAACUUAAAUGGUUUGCAUGAUAUAUUGCAAAUCAUUAUAUUACAUAAUAGGUCACUCACUUGGAAACAAAAUAAGGUGGCAUGCAUAAUAAUAGCUAGCCCAGAAUACCAAAUAUAUAUAAUAUGAGUCCGUUCAUAUUAUUAGAUACCAUAAUAAAAUAAUUAGGACAAUAAAUAUUAGAAGAAGAUAGUAUUUGUGAAUCUUCUAAUUGCCUUUCUCCUUUAGCUUAUCUGGACCAUCGCCAUUUUGGCUAUUAACCUAUCCAUUUCCUCUCAAAGUGCCUUUUCUCGAAUUUUCAAUGCUGUCAGCUUUUUCCUAAGAGCAUAAUUAUCUUCAGUAAUAAUUGAAACUUUAUUUCCAAUGCUAUUACUUUCUUUUUCCAUGGCCAAUUUGUUUUAGGAGUUUGAUGAUGUAUUCCUUUCCUCGUUCACAUAUCUCUUGAUCAUGCCAACAAAAACUCCAUAACCAUUUCUCUUGUAGUUUAUGUAGCCAUAAAAUCAUCUUUCGGGAUUAUCAAUUAUUAAUGAUGUUCAGAGGAGCCUUUAGUCUACAGAAGCAAAGAGGAUAGUCCAUAUUGAAUAGACCAUUGGUGCAACUACUAGAUAAUGAGGCAGACAUUUUGUUGCAACCAAAGAUGAAGAAAAAAUAAAAUAAAAUGACGAUAAGGCUUAAUAUAAUAAGAGAAGCAAUUUUUCAUUCUCACAUAGUAUAUUUCAAAAAAAAAAUUUAUUUAUUCUUGAGAGAGGAACUAUAUGUAUACACAUGUGAGAUCAAGGAAGAAAAAGCAUGUGUUGUUGAUGUAUUUGGAAACUAUAGGAGCAUGCAUGUCCUAGCUCCAAUAACUAUGGUGAUGUUUGUUAUGUUGUUUGAUACCUUCCUUAUGCAAUCAUUGUACGAAUACUGUUCCUGUUUGGAACCUCUUGUAUUGUACUGUUUGUUGAGCCUUGAACGUACAGGGGAGACUCUGUCCGCGGUACAGGGGAAACCCUGUCCGUUCGGCGCUGUCGGCGGUCCGAACCCGGCCAAAUAGGCGUGGGGCUUGGGGCGUGACAAUGUUGCUGCUGGGAGGAGAAGGAGAUGGAUUAAUGGUUGAAAGGGUGAAAAAGUGGAAAAAAAAGUGGGGAGCAACAUUCUAGAAGGAAAAUAAUGGAUUUUUAAUGGAUUCCCGUUAUUUUGAAGAGUAUUUUUGGUAUAUCUACUAAUACAUUUUGAGAAGUGGACAUAUCACUUACGAAACCAUGAUGGCAGGGGGGUAAAUGGAUAAUUCCAUAAUCAGGAGAGGGCAAAGUAUAGAAAUUUAAAUGCCAGUGGGAAGUAAAAAGGUGAGUUUUGAAAGGAAAAUUUUCUAUAAUUUAGCCUUAUUUAUUUGGUUGGGAGGUUCCUUUUACCUGUAAAUUGUGAAGAGAGAGGGAGAGAGAACAUAAAGGAGAUAGAGAAAGAGAGAAAGAGAGAGAAGGAGCUCGAGGUGAGUUUGUGAUCGAUGAGGUGGAUUUUGGAGCAUGAUUUUGAAGAUAGGUAAAUAUAUAUUAUUUUGAUUAGUAUUUCCAGGAUUAUAAUAUGUCAGUAAAUAAAUAUAGUAAAUUAUGUUUUAGAAGGUGAUUUUGCUGAAGUUUAAAAUGGGAUUCUGGUGCUGAACUUCUUUCGUUCAAUUUCUGUUGGUAGCAACAUUUUAGGUGGGUUCUAGAUGACCGAACGCAGUGAACUAACCUCUACAUCUAUUGUUCUAUCUGUUACAGUUUGAAGACACUUGCUAGUAUUACAGUAGUUGUUCCCUUCCUUGCAUAUCCAUGUAUCCGUAUAUGAGAUUACUUAUUAUUGAUGCCAUGAACAUUUAUGCUGAUUACAAUUUUUUAUUUUUGUUGCACAUUAUUCUUAUUGAGAUCCUGUGUUACAAGCAAACAUGUCAAUAUGCUAAAACAAUUACAGACAUAUAACUUAUGUUAUCUAUUUGAUUAUUAAUCAUGACCAUAACCUUUAUUGGGCCAGACUGAGCUCGAUUGUAAGUGGUACGACAUUAUGAUUCUGAAUGGGGUCGCGCCCUAUGAAUGCCCCUCUCGGGCUAUGGUAGCUGACUAGAUGUGCUAAGUGUAUGCAUGUGGGUCAGGCCACCAGGUUAGUGUGGUUACCGGGCAUGUGGCGGCACAGGCAAAGCCAAACCUAUGAGACGGCCGGUGUAAGUUGAUGCAUAUGAUAUUUGCUUUCUAUUCUCUGUGACUUUACAGUAGGAACCCGAUUAUUAUUUGUUUGUUUCCACAGCCACAGAUAGAGGUAUGGUAGUUAUUUAUUUUUCUAUUCAUAUUAUACUCAGUUAUUCGUUUAUUUACUGUUCUUUUACUAUUUUUGUAUUUGAUAAAUCUAGUGGUGUAGGUCUAUCAGAUCGAUUUUGAACCCACUGUAAACUAUUGAUUAUAGUUCUCAAGCGCUCCUUUAUUGUUUCUUUUUCAUAGCAUUCAGCACCAGUUAUAGCAGCAAAUCGAUGUAAGGAGAUCGUAAGUUAGAAAGCAUCUCCUACCAAGUUGUGCGAUAGCUAGAGGAUGACCUUAUAGAUCCAGUUCCUAUACAGCAGCUUGUAUAUGAUAUACCGAUGAGACCAUUAAGAGAUGUAUAUCUUGCAUGUUGUGAGAUAUUGGGGUUGUCAUAUACGUACAAUUCAUUUAUGAUAUUAUAAGACAAUGUGAUUGUUUUUAUAUAUAUGCUGCUAUAAUUGUUGUAUUAUUUAUUUAUUUUGAUAUCUACUUAGUUGUCAACUCUUAGAAAUUGUUGUAUACUAGUUGUAGACUCCUAGGAUUAUUGAUAGAUUGUGGUUGUUCGCUUCAGGUGUACGAGGUGUACUUUAUACAUCUGGCGGAUCUAUCGAUACCCUUGGGGGCUUUUGCUGUGAAUCCUAGACGUGACCAAAAAGGUGGAGAGCACCAAGAGGAAGGUCUAAGAGGAAAGAGAAGGCUCUUCUCUUGCAUGUUUGGUUUAUACAGGAUAACCCAAACCAAACACGCCGUACGGAAAAAUGGUAAAACAUGUGCAACCAUCCGAAAGUGUCAAUGAAAGGGAGGAGCCCGAGAGAUAUCAACUCCCUAUCUACUACUUGGGGGAGUCUGAGAGCAAUCGACCCAACUUACCUGCCGAAUAUCGGAGAGGAGUCUGAGAGAAAUCGAUUCUCCAUGAGGUGCAAGGAAGCAAGUGAAAUUAAACUAAUAAGUUGGUUAAAGUUAUGAGAGGAGUUGUGGUGCAUAAUGAAACCAAUCAAAUAGAUGGUUAAGAUAUAUAGGAAAAUGAAUAAACAUAUUUACAUUGAUCUAGUGGCAUCUUGUAUACAUCGAGGCAUUGUCACGCCCGGGUACCAGCGGAAGCAUAUCCGGUCGCGUGCACAGACCCGCCGUGUACACCACCACUCAAGUAUACACAAGGCGUCUACAAACCAUAUAGUAAAAGCAUAUAAUUCUAACCAGGUAAUCAGAGCACGACUUUUAAACUUAUACAAUCCAAACCUUAAUACAUGAAAGAAAAAUAAAGUACAAUUUACAAAAAAAACUUAAUAUACAUCUCUGUACUAAACUACAUAAACUGGUGGAGGUCGUCUAGUACACGUCCAAAAAGGCUCUAGCUAGCCGCAGACCCCUCGCCAAGAACCCUAGCCUUUUCCGGGGUGGAAGGUUCUGUAAAAACAACAACAAAGAGGGCGUGAGAACUAUUAAACAAUAGUUCCCAGUGGGUAAGCCGCCGAGAGUGGCGAAGUACACCACUAGGUCAACUGUGGCAUGAGUAGAUAGCAAUAAAUAAGCGAGUAAAUGCAGAUAAUACAAUAAGCAAUUAUAUGCAACAGAUAUGGAAGUAAACUACUCAUGCUAUUUGCUCAACCAUAAAUAAAUAACAAUAGAUUGCAGGUAUCAGUUAUCAUGAUAGAUUCUAUCAAUCAUAUUACUUGACAAUUUAACCAAACAUAUAUCAGAAUGUAUGCAAGAUAAUUCACUUUACUGAAAUUACAGAUGAUAUCAUGUAAUUACCUUGUUCCAUAGCAAGAAAGAGACAUAAUGUCAUUCAUUAUGUUGCUAACCAAUCAUGAUGUCAACUUCUAGGUUGUUCAUCACUAAGCUCACUUUAGAUGUCAACUUUCUAGUCUGUUCAUCAAUAAGUUCACUUAACCCAAGACAUAUAGUAACUUUACUACUCUGUCCAGCUAAGGUUAAAGUACUUGACAUAACCCAAUUUCCAACGGACUUACACAAGGUAAGUUCAAGCCGCGCCGUGCCUAAUGGCCCCGUGGUAGUCAACAUCCCCACUCUAGGAAUGAGCCUCCCCCACGGCAUUCCAUUUCGGCGCUCACUUCGUACAUUUGCGAGCAUCUGUCGCUAAGCUGUUCGGGAGUGCUGGCUUGGGGGGGAGCGACCCCGCAAGCGUGUGCAAACGCGCACAAUGGCAUGCAAGCCGUAGUCCACAGUACCAGUCUCACAACAACAUCAUGUCCCUGACAUGGAAUCUCAACUCAAGCCACUCCGGAACGCGGGGCUUGGGGGGCGCGACCCCCGCAAGCAUGUACGAAAGAGCAUAAUGGCAUGCUAGCUAUAGUCCAGGGUACAAAUAUCUCAACAGCAUCAUGUCUCUGACAUGGAAUCUCAACUCGACCCAAGGUCGGCACUGUAGUACCCAAUCAUAAGUCACUAUCAACAACUUGUUGACAAGAUUCUACCAGUCGUUAAUAUAACUUGACAAGUUAAAGCUUUACAUCACACUAGUGAUUCUAUCAGGCUAUACCUGGUCAGUCACUCACAAUCUCUCACUACUCCUUACACAUAAGGAAAGUGGUUUACUAAGGUUCUGUUCAUAGACUCAUGGCACAUAACCUGAAGUUCAAUAUAAACUUCUAUUACUUGAAGCAAACAAAUAUGAAACAAUCACCUCUACUUGACUAUACAAGUAUGUCAUCAUAUUUAAAUCUAGUUAUCUACUAGAUUAUAUUCAGUUGUAUAUCAUUCAAUUAUGCCAUCAUAUAAACUUCUAGUUACUUACUAGAAUAUAUACCACAAUAUGAAUCUAUCAUGUGAAUGUAGAAACUAACAGAGUAAUACAAGCAAGGAAUAUAAACGAUAAAAUACUUUUCACAUGAUCUCCAUGCCAUUCAUUCUACAAUUAGGAAUGCAUAUGCAAACACAAGCCUUUACCUGAUCUUUCAGAGUUUAGCCAUUAUACUUGUUAUAUAACAUUGCAUAGCUCAAUCCUAAGUACAUCAGUCUCUUUGUUGUUCAACAGAACUAAUUGGUCCAUUCACGAAUUUACCAUUCUAUCCUCGUGGAUAACAUCAAGCCAAAUUGCAUAUGCAAGCUACUAGUAUCAUGAAUCCAUAGUACUUAACAGGUAACCAUGUAGAAUGGACAAGUCAUGAAUCUUUCAUUACCAUUUAAAGAUGCUAUCAUUUCCGAUAUGAUCUACAUAUCAGUGCAUGUCUCAAUGCCUUAAACUAUACAUAUAUUCACAUGAAUAUGAAAUAACUUCAACUCAGAUGUCAAAGGAGACAUAGAGGGAAUUCACCCAUUUCGGGAAGGUCCGACCCACCUAUCACCAAGCUCAAUCCAGCCAAAAGGAGUCCCGAACCCUGCUCAACGGAGCCUCGACGCUGCUGAAAACGAAACACGAAAAGCGCAUCAAAACUACGGCCGAAAUGUCCAAUUUCGGUACAAUUUGCACUUAGUACAAAGUAAUAACUUGAAUCCCUGUUUUGGGUUCAGUUAAUACCUCAAAUUAAGCUUCUAAAAGCCUUUACACAUCAGCCGGAGAUACUCCGAAAGUCCGUUGCAAGCCCGCUGCGAACAAUUUCCAAAACGGCAUCAUAGUCGUCAAAUAUCAAUAGAUAUAGUCGGAAUCUUGAAAAUUCAGUUUCCUCACAGCAAUUUCAGCUUACCUUUAGUUGGAACACCUUCUAAACCAGCCUCCCAGGUCACCAAAAGAGCUUAAUGUGAUUCGCAAACCUGCUGGGAAGAGAAAAGCUCAAACUGCAUCAAUUCGCUCGAUUGAUCCGCGUAUAGGCCGAAAUAACUUCAUAAAUAGCGGAACAUCUCCAAUAAGCUUCAAAGUAGCUUAUCCCAGGUCUAAGGAGGUUCAAUCACAGCUAAUUAACUCAUAUUUAAUAGCUGAAUUCUCAGUUUAAGUCAGUUGGAAGCAAAAACUCAAAAUCACUAAUCAAAUCGACGAAUAGAACGCCGAUAACGGAAAAAUCGAGUCGUUUACCUUCUCAAGCUUCCAACCAGCAACUCACUGGUUUGGUGCUGCGAAAAACCUUCCAAAAUACCCUCUCACACGUCCACAAAGGCUCAGUGACACUCGCAAGCAGCGAAGAACAAGCGAGGCGACGAAAUCGAGCUAAAUCAUUGAUUUCUAUGUAGAGAGAGAAAACUUCUAGAGAGAGAGAGUAAGAGAGGUGCAAGGCUGCUUCUCAGAGCUCUAGCAUCAUCCACAAGGGUCCAGGGGUCGUGCUGGGGUAAUAUGGAUAGAGACAAGAUGUGAAAUUACUUAAAUAACCUUGCUGCCACGUUUCUGCUAGUCUGUACCGGUACAAGGUGAUGGCUGUACCGGUACAGCAAGCAGAAAAACACUGAUUUCGCCAGAUCAAUGCACUUUCUUACUUUUAACCCUCCAAUCACUCUCUAACUUGUCCAAAAACUUGUCCAAACCCUUUAGAAUGUGUAGGGCAGUUUCAUUUACCUUUUCCCACGUUCGAACUUCGUAAUUGACCAAAUUCGAAGCAUUGCAAUUGAUAAUGCAUUUGCGAUGCACUUUUCCAUUUCUAGUUACUUACUUACUCUAGUAACUUAUCAAAAACCUUUCAAUAGUCUUGCAAAAGUCGUAGACCAGUUCCAAAAGCCGAUCCAACCCUCGAACUUACCAAGAGGCUCAAGAUUCAGUAUAUUACAGGCAUUGUAGUUGUAAUUGAAGUUAUUGCAUUUAUUUAGUAGAAAUAUCUGUUGUUAUCAUAAAUUAUCUACUAAUACUUUGUUUGGACCAAGUGAGUAUAGAGUGCUACUUUUGGCAGCUGCACUCACUAGGAACUAACUGUAAUUCUUACGCUUUUAUUGUUUAUCCUUUUCUGGAGCUUACAUUGUCGGUGAGGUGCGUGACCAAGGCAAGGGUGUUGCGGAAUAGUGGAUCUAGAGAGAAGUUUAGAUAUACCAUUUAUUUUGGACAAUCAAACAUUAUAAUAUUUUGGGAUCAAAACAUGUAAACUUUAAUAUAGUUUAAUAUUUGUGAAAUGGUUUCAAUAGUUAUAGAAGCCAACUGCCUCUUGUGCAAGUGACAAAGGGCUUAGUGAUUGGUACCCGAAGUCCCAUGUUCGAAGCCUAAUCACAUUUUUCGCUAAGUUUAUUUCUAAAAGAAAUAAAUAAAGCGGGAGCAUACUACGUACGUACCUUUCUCCAAAAAAAAAAAAAACUUGUAGAAUUUAAAAUUGUUUAAAGUUGAAUCUUUUAAAUUAGUAGUUGUAUACUUUGAUAUUGCAUAUAGCAUAUCAUAUAUGAUUGUAUGGGUUGGUAUGUGAUUUCGCUUCGUGCGGAUAGGAAAAGUCUUGCCCAUUCGGCCGUUCUGUUGCAAAUGACUGAGCGGGCCUAAUUGGUGGUCUCGUGGUGUGACACACACAACCAAGAUGAUUAGAAUACUAUCUCAAAAAGUUAAAUAUUAAUUAAUUAACUAAAGUAGUUAAGUGAUACUAUAUAACUAUAUUAAUUACUUUUCAUAUGCUGAUAAAUAAAUUUAAAUCCAAAUAUAACUAUUCAAGGAGAGCAAAAGGAGUUCACAACUGGUGGGUACCACUAAUACUGCAAACGACAACCACCAAACCAUAACUCCGUCUAAGCGCAUACCUCCGUCUCCAAAUACUAUCACUCCAGAAUAGCUCGUCAUAAUAUAUCUGACUAUUCAGGAAUACGCUAUUCAUUUUUACUAAUAUUAUCUGGAUGCAUCUCUUUGAUCUCGACUGUAUCUGGCCAUCAUAGUAUACAUCGAUUAUACCAACUAGUUUAUUCAAAUGUCACCUAGUACAUCGAUCCUCACACGAUGUAUGCUGCUACCUCAAUACGUUACCCCUAUUCGAUUGUCAUGGUCUAUGAAUCUCAAGGUUAGAUUUUAACCCUAUCUUCUUGGCAGUUUUAGAUCAUAUUUCGGCUAAGUAAACCCGAUGAACAUUGACUCACACAUAUCCUACUCUAAAUCUCCACUUCAAGACUGCAAUAACUACAUGAUUGCAAAUAAUCAGUCAAUUGAUUUUCCUUGUCCAUAUGAUCACAUAGAGCUCAUAACUAUGCCCGAAGAUCAAAAACAACACUAUAGUACCGGAACUCCGGUACUAUAGAUAGUAUAGUAGCCUAACUCUAUAUAUAUAUAUAUAUAUAUAGCAAGUAGAUCAUACUAGCAUAAUUAAUUAAUUGCAAAUAUCCUCAUAUUUUCUCAUGCAAUUAAAUUUGAACAUAAGAAACAGACAAUGUAGAAAUUUAGCAAAGAUGAUAAAUUUUAUUUAAAUGGCGUAGCUCGUAGAGACAACCCAUACUAAACACUCGUCGAGAUUACAGUGGUGUUAGUAGCCUAAAAUAAAAUCAUUAUGGAGGCCCCAUAUAAGGUUGUCCCCAAGGGCCACUAAACCUAACUUUAAUGAUAUAAUAAUAAUAAUAAAUCAUAAAUAUGGACACUUUGUGUGCUAUAUCUAAGAUUUGAUGGUCAAUAUGAUAAAAUUAAUGUCACGCCCCGGAUUACACUUUCCCCGGGCACGCCGACAAAUCCGCCGUAUACAAAGGAAUUUCCCCUGUAUACGAAGCGUUAGCUGUACCUGUAAAUCAAACACUACUACGAACAGUAGUAGAGAGCUGCUAGAGAAAACAGAAGCUAAACAAACUGAGUUUCAUAUACAUAGUCCAAAUCCAAAAUACAAAGCUACUCGCACUGGCGAGUUAAGUCCACUAUGUACAUAAACUCGAAACAAAACAUCUACCUGCAGUAGGGGCACCUCUAGCUCAGCACGUCGGGUAGGGCUCUAACUCGCGACGCCCUUACCUCGAUCCUGAUCCGCGGAAGGCGCAGCAGCCGAAACCUGUGGCUCNCUCGUUUCUGGGCGACCCUAACAAUGUUCUGGGCGCCCGAAUCUGGCAAAACUUCAGUUUUGCUUAUUUGAGUGCGCCGAGUCCAAUUCUGCAUCCAAUUCGUGCAGAAUUGACUCCGACUCAGUCCGACACUCUCCAGAGAUGUCGACCAGUCUAUAAUACUGAAGCCAAUCCUAUCCAAAGCUCAGGAACACUACAAUUAAAUCGACUGUCACUAACGCAAGUGGCAAAUGAUCUGGCGGUUAGUACUCGAUCGAGGUCUCAAGUUCGAAUUCUAGUUGAUUCAUAUUUCGAGCUCAAUUUAUUUUUUAAAAAAAUAAAUGAAAUGGGUAGCAUGCUACCUUUCUUUUUAAAAAAAAAUCACUAAAAGGUUAGGGACCACAUUUGAGAAAGGAACUCAGUGUAAACAAAUCUAGUGCCCAAAGAGGUGAGUUUUUUUUUUUUUUUUUAAGAAAAGUAGUAUUCUAUCUGUUUCGUUUAUUUUUUUAAAAAAAAUUAAUUAAAAAUAUGAAGUAAUUAAGAUUCAAAUCUAGAAUUUCAGAUACCAAUCAGCAAAUCUUUUGCUAUUUACGCUAGAGACGGUCAAUUCAAAGAGGUGAGUUGUGCCUCCAACUUGGAGCAUUGCAGUUCAUGCAAUGUCUUUUUUUAACUGCCGCAAAAUGUUGGGCGUUGAUUGGCAUGUGACAAAUAUUUUAGUUUAUAUAUAAUUCAAAUAUUUUAGUUUAUAAUUAAAAUAAAAUUUACUAUAAAGUGAUGAGCUUUUAAAUUGUGUUCCUACCUUAACUUUUGGUUGCAUAAAAUUAAUUUAUUUAUGCAAAUUUAGUUUGAACAUUUUAAGAAUUUAAAUUUUAUCAGGCUAAGUUCAAUCCAGUCUACUUAUUUAAAUUUAGUUUCGAGUUACUUUUUAGAAUACAAGUUUCCAAAUUAGUUAUUAUUUAAAAGCAACAAGUCACAUAAUAUUGAGACAAAUUCAGAUUUUUUGUGUUAAUAAUUCCCUAGUUAUUAUAUAAAAUUAGUCAAGUCAUCUAAGUUAAGAUCAAUUCAAAUAUUAGUGUCUCAUACCAUAGAAUUUUUCCUGUUGUUGAAUUUUUAUAAAAUUUUUAAAAUAAUCAACUUGCCGCUACUGUAAAGAUUGUCAUUUGUUUUAGAAAAAGAGGUGACACGGUGUCAAGAACUACUUCCAAAGUCUCUAAUAAGUUUAUAUAUAUAUUUGUAACGACCCAGCCCACUAGCGACAAUAACUCGCUGGGCCCAACCAUAGCCCAAAAUGCUUAAGCCUAGUUAUUAUUAUUAGUGUCUAAGUCUCUUAUAAAGACAAUGACAAUCUCAUUCCCAUCCGAUAUGAGACUAUUAGGGUGUCACAGACUCCUCCCGUUAAGGUCCUGACGUCCUCGUAAGUCCAAUCACACAUACAGCCCAAGAUCACCAGGCGAUGUGAGACUCGUCUCGCUAGCCCGUCAUCCAGACCAUGGCUCAGCCGAGACUCACCACACAUGUCCAGCUGGUGAACCGGCUCUGAUACCAAAUGUAAUGACCCAGCCCACUAGCAACAAUAACUCGUUGGGCCCAACAACCGGCCCAAAAUGCUUAAGCUCAGUUAUUAUUAUUAGUGUCUAAGUCUAUUAUAAACACAAUGACAACCCCAUUCCCAUCCGAUGUGGGAUUAUUGGGGUGUCACAGACUUCCUCCGUUAAGGCCCUGAUGUCCUCGUCAGUCCAAUCACACACACAGCCCAAGAUCACCAGGCGAUGUGAAACUCGUCUCGCUAGCCCGUCAUCCAGACCCUGGCUCAGCCGAGACUCGCCACACAUGUCAAGCUGGUGAACCGGCUCUGAUACCUAAUGUAACGACCCAGCCCACUAGCAACAAUAACUCGUUGGGCCCAACCAUAGCCCAAAAUUGUUAAGCCCAGUUAUUAUUACUAGUGUCUAAGUCUCUUAUAAAUACAAUGACAAUCACAUUUCCAUCCGAUGUAGGACUAUUAGGGUGUCACAGACUCCCCCCGUUAAGGUCCUGACGUCCUCGUCAGUCCAAUCACACACACAGCCCAAGAUCACCAGGCGAUGUGAGACUCGUCUCGCUAGCCCGUCAUCCAGACCCUCGCUCAGCCGAGACUCGCCACACAUGUCCAGCUGGUGAACCGGCUUUGAUACCACUUUAAUCUGUCACGCCCCGGGGUCCCUUUUUAGUUUAAAGUAUAGCGGAAAAGCGUCUGAAAUUUUUUUUUGAAAACCUAACCCCAGAGUAUGCCAGAUCCGCCACAAAUACAGGAGAUCCACUGUUCACACAGACAGAGUCUCCCCUGUAUUUGCACGGCGUCAUACAAGUACAGAGUUCAAACAUGAUACAACCAUAACCAGAUGAGCAUACAAAUAACCAACAGUUAUACAUUCCUACACCAUUCACCACAGUUUCACAUUUAUACAUUCAAUAUUUAAAAAUAAAUCCACAUCUAUCAGUUAAAAUGUUUCCAACCACAGAAAUAGGUUUUGAAAUACUAAGAUACAGAAUCCACAGAAAACUUUUUGAAAACUGUUCCCUAUACAGGAACUUUUAUCUUUUAAAAACGUUACCACGAGGGGUAGAAAUCCAUUCAACAUUUGAAAUCCACAAAUUCCCUUUUUUUUUUUUAUUACAUCAUAAAGCCAAUGAAAAUAUAAUGUUCAACUGAAAUAUCAAAAACUGAACCAUAACUAGAUCUAAGUUAUUUAUUUGGAGAACCGACCAACCGGGUCACAUAUGUAAAUACAAGAACAGACUAACCAGGUCGCAGAUGUCAUAACCAGAUAAAGUCUACUCUACUCCUACACAAUGAUACUACAUAUGGAAACAACUGAGUAGAGUAAAUAUGAAAAUAGCAUGGGUGCAAGGCUCAACGUGUAUAAGGUAAGCAGUAUAAACAACAAGGGUAAAGGAAACGUCACCGAACGUGCACUACUGUACCGACGUCGGAUCGAAGUACCCACUUGUACGUGUCUGACGAAAAUCUCUCGACUAUGAAGACGGUGCAACCGAACCUACGAAAGGUCCACCGGGUUAGAACCUAACCCACUACUAAGAAACCCUCAAAGCAUAACCCCACAAAUAAACCCACGGGAAUCGGUUUCCCAAAAUCGAUUACCGAACACACCGGAAGUCCCGAACCACGCACCGAAAAUCAACGAUUGGUUUCCGGAAAGGCUUGGGGCCUUGGACGAUCAGUCCAGAGGUUAUCCUCAGCCUACACUUGCUGCCAACAACAGCCACAUCGAAGCAAAAAGCAUAAAAGCCCUUACCGCUACAUAGAAUCACAUCAUUUUAUGUGAUUUCUAGGCUUUUCUGGACCGUGCACGCAAACCAGAGAUCGAUUAAUCAGACCGUCGCACUCGUUGAUAGGUUUCAGUGUGCCGGAGGCCGUGCUCACCUCCGACAGAACUCGUUGGGCCCAACAACCGGCCCAAAAUGCUUAACCCCAGUUAUUAUUACUAGUGUCUAAGUCUCUUAUAAACUCCAUUCCCAUCCGAUGUGGGACUAUUUUGGGACUAUUGGGGUGUCACAGACUCCCCCCAUUAAGGCCCUGACGUUCUCGUCAGUCCAAUCACACACACAGCCCAAGAUCACCACCAGGCGAUGUGAGACUCGUCUCGCUAGCCCGUCAUCCAUACCCUGGCUCAGCCGAGACUCGCCACACAUGUCCAGCUGGUGAACCGGCUCUGAUACCAAAUGUAACGACCCAGCCCACUAGCAACAAUAACUCGUUGGGCCCAAACCACCAGCCCAAAAUACUUAAGCCUAGUUAUUAUUACUAGUGUCUAAAUCUCUUAUAAACCCCAUUCCCAUCCGAUGUGGGACUAUUGUGGGACUAUUGGAGAGUUAUUGUUGGUAGUGGGCUGGGUCGUUACAAUAUUAUUAUACGCUAAAAUACAAAAAUUUUGUUAUAAAUAUUUAUUUUUUUAUUUCUCUUUCUCGAUUUUCAAAAUUCUAUAUUUUUCUCUCUUAAAAUGUUAGAAAUAUUUCCAGGAAUACGAUGUUAUUGGAGAAGGCAAAAUGACCAAAUUAUUAUUAUUUCUUCGAUAAAAAAAAAAUAAUUUUUAAAUAUAUUUUUAUCGUUCUGAAUACUAUUUUCGGUAUAAAUUAUAAAAAGUGGAUGGAAUAGUAAUGAAAUCUUGACAGAAGGGGUCUAAAUGCAAUAACUUAAAAUGUUGAGAGAAUAAAAUAUAAAUUUUUAAAAGUUAGAAAAAAAAAUUAAAAAAAUUGUAUAUUUAUAAAAAAAAACUUUUGUAAUUUAGUCUAUAUUAUAUUUAGAUAUGGAGCCUAAUGUUUGUAUUACAUAUUUCUACACCAUCGAUUGUCACUGUAAUUUUAUAGUUUUGUUGGAGUAAAAACAAAAAAUCGAAAUAUUUUCGGAUUUUCAAGACCUUUCAAAAACGCGAAAGUGGAUGGUUCUGGAAAGGCGCGCCCAAACUAGGGCUCAAACGCUCGGUGCAGGGAACAAAUUUCGGAUGCGCUCACGGUAGGUGUGGACACGAGUCGGUCGCCGCGACGCCGACGCCGACGCCGACGCUGGUUCGACGACACGUGGUGGAAUUCGAAGGGCUGCGGAUCCGGGAGAAUUGGGGCAUCGUCGACCGACACGUGUCGGUUUCGCUCCGGGAAUAAUAAGUGGGACCCGUGUUGACCGGUCAGGACGCGUGCGUGUCGGAGCGGCGCCUCUUUUUUUUCCUAAUUGAAAUUCUGCGGAUGUUUUAAAUGCGGUGUCGGCCGACACCUACGCGCCGUUUCCGAACUUUGGCAGUUGACUCUGCCGCUCCCCCCGACCUUUACCAAUUAAUGCUGAUCAUCAUCAUCAUCAUGAAUCACCGUAAUAAAAAUAUAAAAUUAAUUUCACACAUAUCCCUACAAAUAUAAUAAAUUAUAAAUAUAUUUUUAUAAAUUUUAAUUUUUAUUUACUGUCCCUACAAAAGUACUAAUAUUUUCAAAUAUAUCUCUGCCGUAAGAGUUCGUUAGAAAACUUUAAUUAACCAUAGAUUAAAUAGUUAAUUGUGAUUAGUUUAUUAGAUAACUUGACAUUUUUGUUCCUGUUGUGUCUUUUAGAGAGGCAUACUUGUGAUGGCAAAAUUGACAUUUUAUUUAAAAUAUAAACAGUUUUAUAACUGUAACAAAACAGAGGAAUAUAUUUAAAAAUAUUAAACUUUUGCAAGAAUAAUAUAUAAAAAUUAAUCUUUAUAAGAAUAUAUUUGUAAUUUACUAUAUUUGUCGCGACGUGUAUGCAUUUAACCCUAAAAAGUAAUUUGCCAAUAUUUGUUUACUUAUAUAUUUAUGGACAAAAUGUAAGGAUACCGUCCAUAUUAUUGGUCAGCGAACUUUUGACGAUAUUUUAUUUUGAACCCCCUUUUAUUAUUAUUAUUAUUAUUUUUGUAAAUGAGCCAGUUUUAAAUGUAAUCCCCAAAAGUUACAAAAUACUUAAGAUAUCUUCAACAUAGAUAGUCAAUAUUAUUUUUAUCAAUCCACAACAAAAGAACCCAUCAACCGCACAUUGAAAUGUUCAGUGCUUUCGUAUUCUUAUUAGGGUAAGUUGGAAUUUUGGAGUGACCAGUCCAAGUCACCACACUCAUCUUAAUUUGAAGCACGUACUUUGUCGACACACACCAACUCCGUGCGAAAGUGAUUUCCACCGAAGCACGAAAUUGGUGCAUCUAUAGCUGGUUGAUAUAUAAUUUGCUUCUAAUAAAGUGGGUGUGCUACUUAGUUAAACAAGUGGCAAAGGGCUUCGUAGUUGGUAUCCGAGAUCCAAAUUCGAAUCCUAGUUGAUUCACAUUUUCAGCUAAGUUUAUUUCUAAAUGAAAUAAACGAAGCAGGUAGCGCACAUGCUACCUAUCUCUCUCUCAAAAAAAAAAAAAAAAAAAAAAAAAAAAAAAAAAAAAAAAAAAAAAACUUGCUGGCCUCAUUUUCCACAAAAAAUAGUACUGCGGAAAGAGACAUCAAGUAGCUAGGCCUUUAGUCUGAGGGGGUACUGAAGCCUUCAGCUUCAUUCACUUAUUAAAAACUAUAGCUUUAAUUAUGUUGGCCUUUUUCUAAUUUUCCUUUCAAGUUGGGGCCAUCUGAUGUUCCCUUUCUCAGCACUUUUUAGUCAAAUUCUUAUACAAAGUCCUAAUCAAUGGAGGGCUGAGGGAUCCAAACACCCUCAUUAUAUAGAAAUUGAAAAUCCCAAAAGAAGUAAAGAGUUUUGCUUGGUUGGUAUUAACUAUUAAGAGGGCGUGACUUCACGGCAGACAAUUUGUGAGAGGAGUGGAUUUCGGGUUCAACAAUUGAUGGAUCCUCCCUCUAUGGAAGUGAACUGAAAACGAUUGGUCAUUUAUUUGCUGGAUAUAUGUAUACUUGUUUUUUAUUCUGUAAGUACUAGAGCGAGUUUUUUACUCAAAUGUGCUAUCGCAUAUGGCUCGUGAACUUGGAAAGAGGUUAAGGGAACUUAAGAAGAACCUAACUACUCUAUUGGCUACGUGGUGGGCUCUCUGGCUCGAAAGAAGAAAAAAAGAACACCACGUAUUAGGGAGAGGAGCCGAAAACCGAUACAAGGUGAUUGGAGGGUAUUCGGAUUCGGAAGCAGCUAAGACAUUGGGAUGCAGCUUGACCUUGAUUGAUUUUGGAGUAGUAGGUCUCUCCUGUGCUUGCUUAUUUGGCCGAUUUUACUUGGUGCUUGAUUGACCAAUUUUACUUUGUACUUGUUUGACCCCUUCCUCCCUCCUCUACCUCCCCACUCUAAUUAGCAGUGGUGCUCUAUUCUUGUUUUGUUUUUCAAUCUUUGUUUAUUUUCCUUUUCCUCCUUUUUCUUUUAUUACUAUUAUGUUAGGCUUUCAGAGGCCAGAUUGUCUCAUCUUUUUUAAUUAAAUUUUUUUGCUUAAUGAAUGAAGUGGACAGUUUGUUACCCUUUUUAAAAAAUUAUUGUUUUAUUAUGCAAAUGGUCAGUGUUUACUAUCAGUGACUACAAGUAUAAAAUAGUUUUAUUCUUCUCUAAUCUUAAUUUUUAAAAGAGACUCCAAAACUUGAUUCUCUCUCACCACCCGUACGGACCACCUCAAUGCUCCUUAAUUAAUUAGAGCUCCAACUCGGCUCGGGUCACGACACGCAAGAAUGCACGAUCGAAUACAAGAAACACUCCUUAAUUAAUUAGCAUGGUAAUAAGAAUCCGGCUUCUUGACUGUACGGAACACCAUGCUUGAGGGAUCUUGCUCCAAGAGGCUUCAAUUAAUUAGCGCACGAAGAAUAGUCUCAGCCGCACCAACCUUUUAAUUUAAUUUGCAUGGCUCUUAAUUGUGUCGCAACUUCUUUAAUUUGGCCGUAGCAUGUAUAUAUAAUACAUGUCUCCUAAUUAGAGUCUAAUUCUAAUUCAAUUAGAAUUAUACUCCUAAUUAUAAUCCAUAUAUGCCAAAUUAAAUCUAAAUAAUAUCUAAUCCCAAUUAGAUUAGGAUUUAUCCUUAAUUUAGAUAACUACAAAUCUAAACCAAAUAUAACAAUUUACUAUCAGUGACUACAAGUACAAAAUAGUUUUAUUCUUCUCUAAUCUUAGUUUUUAAAAUUUUACUCUUUACAAGCAAACUGAACCAAUCCAAUCUCUUUAAUUCAAUGCAAAGAUACUGCAUUGAUCCUCCUUAUUAACGGGCUACGUAGCAUUUCUCAACCUAAAAUAAUUGUUUGCUCUAUCUUUCCUAUACUUAUAAAAUCUGAUUUAUCUUAAAUAAUAAGAUUGUAAGAACGCUGAUUUCAUUAUGAGUAGGGCCAGUUUUGAUAAAUUUUUCCCUUUUUUUCUCUAAUAACCAAUUCAAGCAUUUCAAAAUCACCUCUCAGUAGGUCAAAAUUUAUUUAUUUCAAAAUCUUUUUUAUUUUCAGUCGUUUCAUAUGUUUCGCUAUGCUCAAUUCAAAUCAGAAUAUUGGGUUUACUUUUUUAAUUUUCUUCAUUAUUCAUUUUAGAACUGUAAGUAUUUUGAAACUUUUAGAAGAAGGAAAUUUUUUUUUUCAAUUUUCUAACUCUUCUUUAGAGUUCUUUAUAAAUGGGUUUAAAAAAAAGGUGGCCCUUUUCAGGGAUUGUAUAAUGAUAUAAAUAACUAAGCUUCCACAGAUUUUAUAAUUCUAAUGAUGUAAAGCUCUUUGACUCACAACUAAGUUAUCUCAAGAAAAUAAAGAGUUACCGACCGUCCCUAGAGCAAGUAAUAAAGGGUUUGAUGGUUGGUACCCGAGACGCAAGUUCGAAUCCUAAUUGAUUCACAUUUUUAGCUAAGUUUAUUUCUAAAUAAAAUAAAAAAAACAGCUAGCGUGCUACCUAUCUCUCAAAAAAAAAAAAAGAAGAAAAAAACAAAGAAAAUAAAGAGUUACAAAUUAGGACAUAAAUUGAAGAAUAAAAAAAAAAAAAAAAAAAAAAGGCAAAAUUUGUAAUUCAACCCAUCAAUAAAACCGGUACGUCAAAUAUUCCGAAGCAUCUCAAAGAAAUAUUUACAUCCAUAUUAGAGGAAAUCUCCAUACCUUAAAAUAUUUGUUAAUAAAUUUACUUACAAGCGAACACAAAAUCACGUUUUUACGCGCAUUUAAAAGUUAACAAAUAUAUAACAAAGAUCCCCCACAUAUUUUUCCUCCCACCAACAUUCACCAUAGUUAAUUUAAAUGACGUGAUUAUCAAAUGAAGAGGAGCAUCAGAAAAGAAAAAGAAAAAAAGAAAAAAAGAAGAAAUCAUCACACGCAUCUGAUUGAAAAGCAUGCAUGCGUCCCUUGAUAUCAGUAGCAUCAAUUAUCAUCAAUUACGUGCUUUAAGAUUCGAGCCAGUGCUAUCCAAUAAUCGAUAGAGGGAGUGCGUCUCAUUAAUAAGGGUCAAACCUUUUUCUUUUGUUUUUGUUUUUGUUUUUGUUUUUGUUUUUUUUUAAAAAAUUUUAAUUAUAUGAGUAUACGCAUCUCAUUCCACAACCCAACCAAAUCCACCCAGCUACGUUGACUGCGUUGACUCGCCCUCCCCUUCCGUUCCCUGAGUUUGACCAGUUUGACUCUCGUUUUCUUUGAAGGUCAUAACGGUCUCAAAUGCGCCGACGAGGGCCUUCACCUUGCUCUUCCUCACCCCCAGGAGCUUACUCCUCGCUUUCUCUAUCACGUCGUUGCUCUUCGGCGCCUCCUCCUUCCUACUCGCCGCUCUCGCGGCAGUUUCCGCCGCCGUCGCCUUCUUCUCCUCUUCUCGCUUCUCCGUCGCUGCCUCGGCCAUUGUUGUCGUACUUGGCUCCACCAAUAUUGUGGACUUCUCUGUUUCAGCUUCCACCACCAAUGUGGGCUUCUCUGUUUCGGCUUCCACCAAUAUGGGCUUCUUCUCUGUUUCAGCUUCUGCUUCCGGCUUCAGCUCCACCCCUUCCCCUGCUUCUGCUUCUGCUUCUGCUUCUGCUUUCGGCUUUUCAAUGUCUUCUACUGCCGCAGCGGCAUUCUCUUCGAACCCUUUAGAGCAUUCCUCCUCCGCUUCUUCUUCAUGCUUCUUCUCGUCACCAUGACCGACCUCAACAUCCACACUCACUUCAUAUGGGUCCUCUGUUUCAGGAGGAGAAGCAUCGGAGGCCGCCGCCGCUUCCGAACUACUCUUCGGCUCGACAGGGUCAGGGAGCUCUUCGACCAAGUGGUCUUCUAUAGAAGCAAUGCUCAUGUUCUCACUCUCCUCAAUCUCACUCUUCAUUUCUAUCUCCUCUUCACUCUCUAUAACCACCGCAUAAUUAUUAUUAUUAUUAUUAGUAGUAGUAGUAGUAGCAGUAGCAGUAGUACUUGUUUUCAAAAGAGAGCCAUGGUUGGCCUCUGUUUUCCUCGUGCCCGUCCCGGGGCUCCUCACCCGCGACACCGCACUCAGUCUCGCACCCUUCGGAGCAGUAACCGACGUUUUAUCCGAACCAGGCCGAUGAGAAAUUGUAGUUUUAUGCGAAGAGGAAGAAGCUUUAGGGGUUUUCUCCUUACUGUCCUUGAGGGUUGUUAAUGGCGCCUUGGUGGUGCUCUGUUUCUUACGAGUGGAGGCAGAAGAAAAAGUAGUAGUAGUAUGUUGGUGGCGGCUCGAGCUUACGGUGGGACGGAGAAAGGAGGCGGCUGCGGUGGAUUGCGACGGGGGAGGGGGGCUGCGGCCGGGGGAGUUUGGGAGAGAGGAUUGCUUCGGCGGUCGGCGACCGGAGUGGGGUGUGGGUGUGGUGGUGGUGGUGGUGGUGGUGGUGGUGGUGAUGCUCUUAUUUCUUUGGUGUGUUGGUGCUCCUCCUCCUCCUCCUCCUCCUCCUCUUCCUCCUACUCCUUCCUUUAUUGGCUUUGAUGUAGCCAUGAGCUAGGUGAUUUUCAACUAUGUUACACACACAAUUUUUCUUUUAGAAAAAAAAUAGUACACUACUACGUGCUUCGUUUAUUUAUCAAACAAAUUUAGCCAUAUAGAGAAGUUGAUUAAAUAAAAGUUAGGGUUCUUACAGAACAAACAAUAAAUCAUGAUACAAGGUAGGAAUACUCAUAGGAAUCUCGUCGUCUGCAUCAUUAAUACAAAAGAUUUAAAAAAAAAAAAAAAAAUUUGUGAACAUGUAUAAGACCCAUGAUCACCAUUUAAUUUUCAUAUAAUCAAGCUAAUAGAAAUGUGUGAACAUAUAUCGUGUGGUUCUUUGUGUCUAAUCUCUCCAAGUUAUGAAUUCUCUGCACAUGUUUCUUACGUUUGCAUCUAAUCACUUGAUUAAAGGUGGUUGGAUUUUGAUUAAUUUAUUUAUGUGACUUAGAUGAUUGAAUUUAGUGCAUAAUUUCAUCUAACCUAAUCUGUUUAGUGGAACAUACCAAUGAUCAUUGAACAAUUAUUGUUGCUUUUAUUUUUUUUAAUUCAAAAGAGGAUACAACCAAGAAUCACUAAACAUAAAUUGAAAAUUUAAAUAAUCUUACAUUUAAAAAAGAAAACAAAAGGAUCAAUGGCUUUUGGUGUACCUUGGAUUGGAGUGCUCAACUCAUGAUUAUCUUCUCCAUUUGUUUAAGGAAACCUGAGGUUGAAGAAAUGGGAGAAGGUGGAGGGAGGAAGUUUUGUCCCAUUACUAUUAUAAUAUAUAUUCUCAAAUGGGUUUUCUUUGCUUGAGAGAGAGAGAGAGAGAGAGAGAGAGAGAGAGAGAGAGAGAGAUGUGGAGCCCCAUAUUUAAAAUUGGUUAUGAAGAGACCAAGUCAAAUUAAUUAGAAGCAGUUGUAAGCUAUUGGAAGCGGUUUGCAUUGCUAAUUCUAGAGAUUUGGCUCAAUAAAUAAUAAAUAAUAAUAAUAAUAAUAAUUGUUCAUGUUGCAAUGUUGGUUACUUGAUAUAUUACUAAAUUUGAUGGACAUUUUCAUGCUUGGUUGAGUUAAUUAUAUCACAUCUUUACAAUUUGAAUAAUUGUCCAUUUGUGGUUAUGCCACAUAUCAAGCAUUUUUCAAGUUUUUUUUUUAGGACAAAAUUUAAACCAAAAAGGUGAUUGUUAUGCUGGUUACCUGUUAUCUUUUGCUUGCAUUCUAUAGGUUUUCGAUUUAAAUUAUGCUUAUAAUUUGAAUAGAGUGCAUAUUUAGUGUCUUCUACCUCUGUAAAAUUUGAGUGAUUGUGCAAUUGAGAUUUAAGGAUUUGUAUAGGCAAUAGUCUUUUUUUUUUUUGAGAGAUAGGUAGCACGCUAUUCGCUUUGUUUAUUUCAUUUAGAAAUAAACUUAGCUGGAAAUGUAAAUCAACAAGGAUUCGAACUUGGGUCUCGGGUACUAACCACCAAACCCUUUGCUACUUACUCUAGAGACGGUCGGUUGUAUAGGCGAUAGUCACCUAAUGAGUACAUUAGGAAAAUACGUGUAAGAAUAGGGAUGUUUUCGAAUUUCAAUGAGCUUUUACUUUUGAUUGCAUUGGGAAAUAAAGGAGGAAUAAUUUAGGAGAAUUAAAAAUACGUUAUGUUGGCUUAAAUGGACUAGCAUCCUGUCCUGUAGCGGAAGAUUAUAUUGGGCCGAGUCAUGUUUGAAAUGGCGUGAGGCUGAAUGAGUCGAGUCAUAUUCGAAGUGGUGUGAGGCUGGUUAGGCCAAGUCAUAAUCGAGACUCAUGGGCGUUGUAUCUGUACACUUUAAUUGAAUUGGUUACGUAUUUCUAACAGCUCGAGCUAUUAGGAUUAAUGGUUAGCACAAACGAUCCGAUAAGUAGUAUCAGAGCCAGAGGUCACAGGUUUGAUUUUCGCAUACUGAAAAUAUGUGUAAGUACUGGAGAGGGGAUUGUUGGCUUAAAUAGGUUAGCAUCCUGCCCUGUGGCGGGAGGCCAUGUUGGGACGAGUCAUGUUCAUGUUUGAAGUGGCGUAAGGCUGGUUGGCGUGAAGCUGGUUCGGCCAAGUCAUAAUCAAGACCCGUAGACGCUGUAUCUGUACGCUUUGCGUAUUUACAAUCCAACACGUUAUGCUCCCCUUUGAUCUCCAAUUUGCUAAAAGUUCGCCAAAAAUACUCUCUAAUCUCGAUCUGUGCUGAGUGGAGUGAUAACUGCUAAAAAAAACACUUUCAAACCGGGUUAUUAAUGGGAUCAAAAUAAGGUUGGCAUGAAGCUGGUUGGGCCAAGUCAUAAUCAAAACCCGUGGACGCUGUAUCUGUACGCUUUGCGUAUUUACGAUCCAACACAUUAUGCUCCCCUUUGAUCUCCAAUUUGCUAAAAGUUCGCCAAAAAUACUCUCUAAUCUCGAUAUGUGCCAAGUGGAGUGAUAACUGCCAAAAAAACACUUUCAAACCGGGUUAUUAAUGGGAUCAAAAUAAUGGGUUUAUUAACAUUCUAAGAAUUAAACUACUUAUUAGUAGGAUACUAGGAUCCAUAUUUACAGAUGUCAAUGGAUAUGGAUAUUUAAAAUUUUAUCUGUGCGUGAAUUCGAAUAGUUCAGGUUUAACCAAUAUUAAAAAGGAAUACCUUCAGUUACAGAUAUAAAAAGAAAAAUGUGACAAAUUAAAUUCAGAUAUAGUUUUUAUCUAUAUGACCAGAACUUGAACCCAAGUCAAACCUGAACCAAUUUUAUAUUAUAUAAUAUAUAGAAAUUUAAAUCAGUACAUAAAAAUUUUAAAUAUCCGUAUGAUAUGUUUUAAAAUUAAAUAAAUUAUACUUUUGGUCACCAAAAGUACAUGAUAUUUAAUUUUAAAACAUAUCAUACUUAAAUUUAAAAUUUUUAUGUACUGAUUUAAAUUUCUAUAUAUUAUAUANUCUAUAUGACCAGAACUUGAACCCAAGUCAAACCUGAACCAAUUUUAUAUUAUAUAAUAUAUAGAAAUUUAAAUCAGUACAUAAAAAUUUUAAAUUUAAGUAUGAUAUGUUUUAAAAUUAAAUAAAUUAUACUUUUGGUCCUAAAAGGUACAUGAUAUUUUAGUCCUCAAACUUUAAUUUGUUAUAAUUUUCAUCUCGAACUUUCUGAAUAAUUCCAAUCCAGUUGCACAACCCAAUUCACUAAACAUUGACAAAAAUUAUUUGAUGUAGAGGUGAUAUAAUAUUUUAAUUAUUCUCGCAUCAUUAAUCGCGAUUCUUUCACAACACUUCUACAUUAAUAAUUUAUCAAUAUUUAGCCAAUUGAAUUGGAUUGUAGGACUUGAUACAAUAAUUUAGAAAAUUCAAGUUAAAAAUUACAAUAAAGUAAAGUUUGGAACCAAAAUUUCACAGCUCUCAAAAUUUGAGCACCUAAAGUGCAGAUUUUUCUUUAAAAUUUGAUAAAGAGAAAUGAUUAUUUUCAUAUUCGGAUUUUCGGGCUUCAGUUCUUUUAUCUGGUUUGAUUCUAGUUAUGAAUUUUCAAAAGUCGAUAGGUUUGAGUUUAGAUUCAGAUUUCAAUUUCGAUAGUUGAAUUCGGAUUUGAAUUUUUAAAAAUUCGUCCCAAAUCCGAUCCUUUAACAUCCUAUUUAUAUUCGGAUUUUAAUAUAGUAAGAAACAAAAUUUUGCAAAUUUGAUUUUUGAUUCUAAAUAAAAACCAACCCAUUAACACUCCCAUACAAAACAAUUUGGAAAAAUAUAAGGUAAACAAUGCCAAACACAAGAGUACAACACAAGAAAUAGAUUUCUUUAUGUAAUAUAAAAUUGCUAACUAAAAACUCUGUGCGUGUAAUACAAGGAACAGUUAGCAAUAUUCGAUGGGAAUAUGUCAUAGAUAACAUUGUUUUUUCCACUCAAAAAAAUAAAAUAAAAUAAAAACAACAUAGAAUUCCACUGUUUUGUCUUGUAUGAGUGGGAUGUUUUAUUUAUUUACCUUAAACAUAUUUUGUGUAAAAAAGAAAGAGGUGUAUUUUGAUAAGGCUAGUAGAUAAAUUUUAACUGUUUAAAUCUAAGAUUUAUAUAUUUUUUAGAAUGUACAAGUAAUAUUGCCCUUUGAAAAAUGCUAUAUGUACAUCAUAUAUAGGGGUGUACAUAUUACAUCUUUGGAUUCAAGGGUUUAGAAAAAAAAAAAUUGGAUAGUUAUUAAAAAAACAAUUGAUAAGAUCAGUAGAUGAAUCCUAACCACACAAAAUCUCUGGUAAAAAAAAAAUAUUUAUGCCUCUUAUCGACCGUUCCUAGCGCAAGUGACAAAAGGUUUGGUGAUUGAUACCCGAUGUUCCAAAUUCGAAUUCUAGUUAAUUCACAUUUUCAGCUAAGUUUAUUUCUAAAUAAGUAGCAUACGAUCUAUCUCUAAAAUAUAUAUAUAUAUAUAUAUAUAUAUAUAUGAGCUAAGGCUACUAUAACUAUCUAUAGUACCCGAGACUUCGUACUAUGUGUUGGUUUUUGCGAAUCUAGGGCUCUAAAAUCAACGAAUCCACACCGUUAAAAAUGGAUCUAGUGUAUUUAAAGUUUUCUAGAAAUAACAGUAACAACUUAUAUAUUUUCAUUAACAUAGUUACUUAUGGAUCAAACUAUCUUCAAAAUUGUCAAUUUUCAUAAUAUUAUUAAGCGAGCUUUGGAGUUUAAACGUUAGAAAUCUAAAUUUCUUUCAAAUUUGAUAGAAAAUACUUAAACUAUAUAACAUUAAGGUUAACACUUUGAUCUUGAAUUUAAAGUCAUAUGCCAAAUUUAAAGUAUCAAUUUUCCAAAACCGCUCCAUUUGAUAUAAUUUAUUUACUAAUUAAACGAUAUCGAAAAAAGGUAAAAUUUAUUCCUAGAGAAAUCCUAUACCCUAGAUCAAUAUUAACGGUGGUGAUUCGUGAUUUGAGAUCCCUAAGAUAGAAACAAAUACUAUAUACGCGGAGACUCGUACUAUAUAUAGUAUAUAGCCUAACCUAAUAUAUAUAUAAAUAUAUAUAUAAUAUAUAUAUUAUAUAUUAUAUCUUAAUAUAUAUAUAUAUAUAUGCCCCUUUUAAGGUAUUCAAAUAGUAUUACUAUUUUGUAUUUUAAUUUUUAAAAUCAAAAUUUUUGUUUUUAGGGAGCUGUGCAUUAGCUGAUCCUUUUAUUCUGCUGUCAUCAUCAAACUAAAUGGCUAUUUUAAAGAGUUUUAAGGGCUUGUUUUUUUGUUUGUUUCUUUUUAAUUUUUUAUUGAAAGAGCUAGCUACAGAAGUUUUCAAAUAUUACAAAUACUUUUGGAGAGUCCUCUCAAAAGGUGAAAAUGGAUACAUUUCAAUUCAUCUUUCCUCCAAAUAUACUAUUAAUGUUCCAGAAGAGAUGCAUAGACCCACUUAUUAGCCUACAUAUAUUAGCUAAACUAUUAGCAAGAUCUAUUACAUUCUCUGUUUGUGUGUGCUGAAUCAAAACGAUCUGAAAUUUUGAGCCUAGCUUGGAGUAGGAAAUCGGCAACAAUAUUAUUAAUUCACCGAUCGUUCCUAACACAAGUGACAAAAGGCUUGCUGGUUGGUACCCGAGAUCCCAAAUUUGAACCCUAAUUGAUUCACAUUUCCUACUAAGUUUAUUUCUAAAAAAAAACAAUCAAAGUGUGUAGCAUGCUAUCUUUCCCUCUUUUUUUUUUAAAAAAGCUAUAUGAUAAUUGAGUAACUUGGUAACAUGCAUUGGCCCUCCUUAACAUGAUUAAGGGCCCCCUCAGCUCUUGGAUUAGUCACAUACAGAAACUUCCCAAGUAACCCUAAUAAUUUUGUCAAGAACUGUGUUAUAGCUUUGAUUCAGUCUUAUAUAGUUAUGAGGUUCCUAUAUAUAUUCUCUAACAUUAAAUUCUAUUUGGAGAUAUUUAAAACCAAAGGUACAAAUAUAAAAAGAAAAAUGAGCUCUGAGGGGACCCAAUCAGGAAGAACUUUUUGUUGGGUUUGUAUAAUAAGUGGUUAACAAAAUUUCAACCUUUGUUGACUUUUUAUAUUUGGUUGCCUACAAAUUAUUAGAUAACAAAACUAAAACUUUGUAUGCUGCUAACACAUAUUGCUUAUAUUAGAUGAUUUUUUUUUUUUUUUCUGAAAACGUGUUAUGUAUUGGUAUGUAGUGGGGCGUUAGGGUAGAUCAAAAAUAGAUCUGAAUUAGAUAGGAAGGCGGAAAAAAGUUGAUGCUGUAGGGCGCAUGAACAAAGUUUAUGCGGCAGGGCUGAGGUAAUAAAAAUAUGACGUGAGAGAGGGAGCAUGGGAUCGAAUAGUCGUGCGGGGGAGGAAAAUAAACCGGGAGAAAAAAUUAAAGAAAGUUGUGAUAACUCAUUACCCAAUUUCUUUAUAACUUUUGUCUUAUUGCACGAAAAAUUGAUCGAACGGAAUCCUAUUAUAAAAUAAGAUUCCAAUUUUUUUGAAAAAGUAAGAUAUGUGCAAAAUUUUUUAACUAAACAAUCGUAAUAAAUUUAAUUUCUAAAAGUCCCACAUUUUAUCUUUUAUUUUUUUAUCAACCAAAACAAAGCCGUGAACGAUUGGGCACAUAAGAUAAAGAGAUAAGAGAGAUAGGGUCUCCUUAUUUGAUCCUGGGGGAUUGAGAGCCAUUAAUUAGUUAUUAGUACUGUUACUAAAGUUUUAUUAUUUUAAUCGUAAAUAUUAUAUAAUUUAAUAUGCUGAUGGAUGGAUUGCUUUUUUUAUUGUUAGUUGGCUUGCAAUAUUUUCCAGCCUAAUAAGAAAUGAUAGCUUCUUCAAAGAUCGAAAAAAAUAAAAUAAAUAAAAGCUACUUCUAAGUAGUCCACCAAAAUUUAGAAAUUCUUAUCUCAUGCUUAAUUAAUUCAGGAAUAAUCAAAGGAUUGCUUAAUUAAUAUUAGUCAAAGAGAGAUCAAGAGAAGAGAUAGGAGUUCUUAUUUUUUAUUUUCUUUCAUUCUGUUUUUUUGCAUUCCAAAUGGAAAAAAUGAGACAGAUAGAUGUUUUUAGAACUUGAUUGGAAGGAGAUUAAUGCUUGAUGAAUGUUCCUAGCACAAAAUUAUUACCAUGUUGAGUAUUAUAAUUUUUGGUUUCUUCAAUAAAAAUUCAUAACUAUCGUGAAGUUAAAAAGAGUGUGGAUCUUGAAUGACUGAAGCAAAAUACUUGAUAAUCUUUACCUAGGGGCAAAAAAAAUGAAACAAAAGACAGAAAAAAAGGGAAAAAAAAUUUACCCAAUAAUCUAUGGACAGUUGUGUUUUCAUCUACCUACCUGAUAUAAUUACUUCUUCCAUCACCUCUCUAAUUAGUGUGACCAAAAGCGUCAUGAUUAUUCCUAAUCUAUAUAUAAAAAGUCUAGAAUGCAUCAGUUAUAUUGCUGAUGUGGCAUGUCCAACUAAUGAGAUUGUUUUCUUGAGUUCAUCCAUCUAUACUUCUCUCUCGAAAAGAGGAAAAACUCAAGAAUGCAAUUACUUAUAUUGCCGACAUGGUAUACCAAACCAAUCAAAAAACUUUUUUGACGUUCACCCAUUCCAUCAUAAUUUUUUAAAAAAUAAUUUUAUUAUACUUUUUUUUUUCAAAAGUAAAGAUGUGAUUGGCCGAAGAAAGAUGAUAUAGUAUAAGUGUUAUAUAGUAAACUUUCUCCGAAAAGAGAGAUGUUAUUCACUGGUUAUUGAUGAUGUGCUGUAAAUAUUACACCAUAAACAUUCUCGCCUAUAUGAUCCAAAACCAUAAGUCAAUUUUAGAUACAUAUUUUUAAGCUUCACUACCAAUGAACUUUUGUCUAAGCUUUCUAUCCUUGAACGUUUAGGUUAGAAAGAUCUCAAACUUUCAAGAUGUUUCGCUUUUAGUCCUUACUGGAGGAAAAAAAAAAAAAAAAAAUUUAUUGUUCGUGCUUCGUUCAUCUGCAUCUAUAUAUUCAUGCACGAUGAAUCCAUCCAUUUCAUAAUUUCAACCUCGUGGUUUAGCUCCAAAUAGAAAAAUGAUUGUAACUUAAUAAAUAGGACGAUUGAACAAUGGGAUGGAAUCAAGAAUUGAAACAUGCAUUGUGCACGAACAGGAAGAAGCACCAGAUGUAGGAAACACUUACUUCACCUAUCAGUAACAAAGACCUAAGUUAAAAACCCAAUAAUUUCCACCAAAAAAACAACGCUAAAUAAUUUCAACAGAUUAGAGUGUUAAAUAUCGAACUUCAAAGUUCACCGAUCAAAAUUAAACUUGACAAAAAGUUCAGGAAUUAGUAGUGUCAUUUACCCACUCUUUUUGAGUAAAAAGACAAGAAACUUACAUUACGCAUUUAGCAUGUUAGUUUAGUUACUUUGUGGAAUAAUUCACUUAUAUAUUGGGGGUAGUAGUAGUUAACCGAAAAGCUAAACAAGGACUAUAGAGAAAGCAAGAAAAGAUAACAAUACCAUAAUGCAUACUGAGAUGCUGUCACAAGUAGCAGGCAAAGUAAAAAAAUUCAUUUACAUACUACGUAAUGUUUAUAAUUUGUGACCAUCUCACCCUUCCUUUUUUUAACCAACCAUGCAAAAAGAUAGCCAAAAAAUUGAGAUAGCACACCCUUCAUAAAUUUCGCAAAAAAUUUCGCCGAGGGGUUCGCUAGUCAUCUAUAUUCUUCAUGUAUUCUUUUGAUAAUCUGGAACUAUUAAUCAACUGCUGCUCCUUGACUAGAGAAUGCCCCGAUUCAAGUAAUGCCUUCACUGUUUGCUGUCAUAAGUAAGCAAAAUCAAUCUGUUCAUAUGAAAUACUAACUCUUCUGUUGGAAGAACGUAUAAGAAAGUAACUGUUGAAUCAAAUUUUACUUGCUUUACAACACUCUUUGAUAGCCACAAUUGACAUGAUAUUGCUGUGCUAGUCCUCGAUCACUGGUUUUAUAAGCAAUUGAGAAUCCAAAAGCAUAGAUUGCUGAGUAUCUAAAUUUAGUUUGAUAAUUAUCAAAACCAUUUAAUUUAGUUGCAACUGAUGAUCAUAGAUGCCGUCGUUUUACAUGCAGUUCAAAUAAACAAUGACACAAAUCAUUUGUAAGAUAACAAAAGAAGCAAUUUCACACAAACAAUAGAUGUGGUUCUCGUUCUACUCUACUCUCAUUGUACCUCCCAAGAGGAGGACAAACAGAUUUGGGGCAGUAAAUGAGGCAUUUUUCAUAAUCCAAGAGAGAUUCAGGCCAGUAAAUGAAAAAAAAAAAAAAAAAGGAUCUAGCCCGGCUCUUCCCCAAUGCUGGUUUAUAUAUUAUCUAUUUACAAAGUGCCAACCUAGAUAUAGAAUUUGUAUAUUAAAUCCUAGUUGUUCUCUAUCUGCUCCCAGCCUAAUUACACCAACACCACCUCCUGGUACUCUAUUCCCAGUCCCUCUCCUACAAAGCCUGCUUCCAAUCCAUUCCCUCUCCCUUUUCCCUCUAACAAUCCAUGAGUCCACAAUGCUGAUGUGUCCAGCCUCUGAGAUCUCUCGACACUCCCUAUCCUAUGCUUUGCCUACAACACUAAAGCACCUCCCCUCUGCAACACCAAAGCACUUCUCCUCCACAUCUGAGACCUCUCCCACUUCCCCUAUGCUCCCUCUACCAGUUCCCAACAAUACCUCUGUUGCUUCUGACGAUUCGAGCACGUACUUACUUUCCUCUGUAGGAUCUCUUGAAGCUCGAAAGACCCAAAUGGAAGCGGACGUGACAAAUCAGACUUGUCAAUGCUAUCUAUUUCAGGUUAAAGAGAACAUCAAGUGUAAUUUUUAGAUUCAACCUUUUUGUUCUGAUUGACUACAGAUGAUAUGAACAAAUUUGUUGUUAUAAAAGAGCUACUUUUAUUGUUUCUUAACUAAUCAAGUAAAUUUUUUAGAUCCAAACUUUGUGUUCUAAUUGAUUACAGAUGAUAUGAAUGAAUUUGUUGUGGUUCUAAAAGAGCUACUUUUAUUGUUUCUUAGACAAAUAGGUAAUAUUUACAUUUUCAUGCCAUUUUUUGUUAAACAAAAAAUUAUCAAAGCCUUGGUCAUGUUAUACUUAAUAGGCCGAAGAAAAAUGUUUUCAUGAUUUGAUACUUUGGAUUGCAUUCAAAUAUAAAUUGGGAUGUGGCGUUAUUGCUUUCUUGUUAAAUGCUCACAAAUGAUCUUUAUAUAAAUGCACCAAUAACUCUAGUUGCUUUCUAAAAUCAAUGAAGAUGCAGAUGAUGAAGUGCAAAGAAUUCCUGAGGCGAGUCAAGUUGACUCAUUUCAGACAUCAUCUUCAAUUGUGGCAGAAACGUCCAUGCACAAUGCAUCCAGCACUUCAAACUUUCUCAAAAAAUUUGAUAUUCAUGCUGCCAUGAAGAGAAAAAGUAAUUUACUAGUGAGAGGCCGGGCAAUCCUCCUCCCUUGAAAUCAGCCUUGUAUCCCAGCAGCCAGAGUACAUCGACUUGUUUAUAUGUUGUGCUCCCGUUGGUUCAUUGUAUUGCUGGAAUGGUACAGGGUUCAUGCUCUUUUUUACAUAAUGUGUGUGAAGGCCCAAUAAUAGUGUUGCCAUGUGGUGUGUCCACAUUGGCGCAUUUUUUAUUUAACCCGGUCCACUUAAGAUGUGGAUUGGGAUUUAUCCUAAUAAGUUAAGGAUAAGAAUAAAUUUUAUGUUUCUUAUUAAUCCUUAUCCUAAUGUCUUUGUAAGAUUCAGGAUAUUUUAGGGAUUCCGUUAUUCUAUAAAUAUGCCCCAUUUUUCUCUCCCGUUAGGGACGAUCGAAUACGAUCUAAUUCGAAUCUUCCUUCUUCUCUCUCUUCUUCCUCUCUGGGAUUUCCACCUACGUUCCCGGGUUUUGAAGUGUGGACAUAGAAGAGGACUCUGGUAGCCCUCUUCGAUUGGCAUUCGUCGCAUCCCAUCCGUAUCCGACGCACCCGAUUCGUAAUGCGAGGCGUAGGCGUAGGAGAAGGCGAGAAACGUGGGAGAUCUAGAAGCAUCUACACCAGAACGAUCCAAGAAGGCUAGUAAAACAAGUAAUCCGAUCUAAUUUCGGUUUCUGAAUACGUUGACUAUCCAGUUUGUAAGUUUCCGCUGCCUUCUUAUUUCCAACAAAUAGAAUUAUCGGCCCUUUGGAUACAAAAGAGUUUAAGACUUGAGAAUGGCAUCUUCAUGGCUACUUGUACAAUAUAGGAUCUUCGGUCCCAAACCCUUUACUCCCAAUAUAUAUUUGGCACUGGUAAUUCAAAUCAAUGGGCUAAUCCUUUUUUCCUUUUUUUUUGUGUUGUUUGCCCUUUCUUUCGGUAUGGUUGCUAAUAGUUUCUCUAUAGAAAAUUUUCACUCAUCUUUCAGCAUAUUGUUUUCAUGGUCUAUAUCACAAAAUGUCCUUUGAAUUAGCACCUAUUCAGAGUCCGAUAUCAUAUUAUGCAUUACUUAGAGAUUAACAAAUGAAGGCUCUAAAAUCUGGAUUAAAACAACAUAUAAAAAAUCCAGACAAACUUUCUAAUCUAGUAUAAAUAUUUACGUCUCAUGCUGUAAUAUAUAAUUCUUCUUGUAAGAUAUUCCUAUACAAUACAAUUAUGUGGGGGAUUUGCUGGGUAUUUCCAAUCAUGGUUUUGGAACGAGAUGCAACCUAUGUUGGCAGUUAAUCUCCGGCAGUGAAUAACCAAAAUGUUGUCUACUACUUUAAACUUCAAAGUGUAUAAAUUGAAGCUUAAACAUACAAAACUUAUCUAAACUAUGGAUUAUUUCGAAAUGGCUACUCAACCUUGCAAAAUUUUAAUUUCGCUACCCAAUCUUUUAAUUUGUUUGAUUUGAGUCAAUCAAGGGCACUUUGACAUCAAAAUUAGAAUGCAUCGUUUAUUUUUAUAUGUUUACUUAGUAUAUGCAAUUCUCGUAAUUAUAAAUUCAUUAAAGUAAUUAGUUUAAAUUUUGAAAUUAAAGUACCGUUGACUGACCCAAAUCAAACAAAUUGAAUGGUUGUGUAAUAAAGUAUGUUUUGUACAUUUUUACCUAAUUUAAGUAAUCUUUUGUACUGAUAGGGUCUACCACAAAUAUGUAGAUCAAUAUGGGAAUUUUCGAAUAUUUUAUGUCACUUAGUAGAAAUUACAGAAAAAAUUUAUGAAGAAAAUGAUUGCGUAUAUACUAUGAAAUUGAAGUACAAAAUGUAAGUAUAUGUGUGCAGAAAAGUAAUUACCUUGGGAGGACUAAAAGUAGGAAGUUUGCCUUUCUUUCUUUUGUCGAGAAGUUUUUCACCAAGUUUUUCAAAUCCACCCAUAUCAGUUACCCACUGCAAGUUGUAAGGUCAACAAAUAUAUAUAAGUCUUCCUCAAGAAGUUUUCCAUAGUUGAAACUGAACAAGCUUAAAGAAGAGAACUCAAAAUUAGUCAUGAAGAACACUACACAUCUACAAAAUAAUUAAAGAUGGUACAGAUACAAUUUCUAAAAUAUUCUUUAUUCUUAUUACAAUAAAAACUAAUUAUUCUGACAGCUUAAAUAAAAAGGUACGGGAUGAUUAACGACUGGGAAGAAAAACUAUAAUAAUUCGAAAUUAGAGUGAAGAUUUUGAGUCUAUAGUUAGACAUUUGUCAGAAUCAACUAACAUCCUAACUAUUAGAUCCAAGCAAAAUUUGCCCAACAAGCGCAACCUGGUUUUUAAUAGCUCAGGGCAAGUCAAGCAGGCCUAACACGGUUCACAGGGCUGGGCCUGGGUUUUUAAGUUUCUUCAGUUAACCUAGCCUAGCUCGAUAUUUCUCAUUUGAUGCACAGCCCCGCUGUUAAAUUUGGAGCAAGUCCAAGGCCACAGUAGUAAUACAAAUUAUAGGCCAGCCUAGGCAAAUUUACUCCAGCCUGAAACUAGGUAUGGCUUGUUGUUUGGUCAUCUUUGUUAUUGAGUUAAAAAUUAUCUUACAAAUGAUGGAAAUGCAUAUACUAAUGACAAGUUUCAAUACUUACUAUUCUUUCAUAACUAACAUUUUAGUUGAUAUAGAUAAAAACUGGCAUCUAGAUACAUGAACUCUGGCAAUAAAUCAAACUCUUUCAAUAUGUGCCUACCUUUAAAAUUGCCUGAUCAUAUGUUUUAGACCUCAGAGCUCCAUAGAAAUCCAAAGCUGCACAAGGAAAUAAGAAGUUUAACAAAUAGAUGAAGAGAGGUUACCUUAACACUUUUACCUGAAUGGUUUGGUUUCAAUAUUACCAAAGUAUCAUAUUACAAAGUAAAAAUAUGGAUCAAAGGCAUUAUCAUAUUACACAGUGGAAAUAUGGAUCAAAGGCAUACAAGGAACAAUCUAUGUUGUACAUGUUCCUUCAUUCGAAUACAGUCAGUAGAAGACAAGCAACUGACAAACUUAGAAUGCUUAAAUUCCAGCGAUAUGCAAGCAUAAACUCAGACAUUGCUUCACAAUGAUGGAAAGUUUGAUUCUGCCAAUAGUAACCAUCAAUCUCAUCUUAUCUAAAUAGAAGGUUAAAAUACCUAAUAUAAUAAGUGGCAGAAAAAGAGUGAACCUUCUGGAUCUUCUCAUUGUGAUCAUCAUUUAGGAUUGACAUAACGUAGUUCAGUGUUAUUGACAUUAUUUAUUAGAAGAUGUUUUUUCCUAAGCCAUUAACCUAAAUGUUCCAUAGAUCCAAAAGUGUUCAAGAAUAUUUGACAGAAUUAUAAACAAAGACUGCGGUGUCUCUUCGAUUUAUCUAUUCUAAGUUUCUUUAAUAAUUUGCAUAAAGAAAUUUGUGGAUCAUAAGGGUAGAAAUUGCAAACAUUGGUUUUCCCUAUUUUUCAACUAGUAUAAUACAACUUAUUAAAUCAGUGAAAAUCUUGUGAAAAAACUUUUAUAUCUACAGAGUCUUAAGCUUAAUUCAUGAAUUUUUAGAUAUUUGAUGACAUUGAGGGUUAACUCCAGAAAAUAUUAGUAUUUCCAAACUGAUGAUCCCCAAAUUUUUUUUAAGUAUCCUAGAUUACACUAGAUUCUUUUUCAAUAAUUAUCCAAAAACUACCGUGAGUUGAAUCAGAUGAGGGUUCGAUUGAGUUAAGACUAAUAUUUUUCAAAUUUAACCCUUAAUUUUCAUCAUUCCAGAUUCUUUACAAGUAAAAAUACAAAUACUACUAUGAGUUGCAUCAAAUGAGGGUCCAAUUGAGUAAGACAGUAGUUUAAUAGGUCUUCAGCCUUUUGUCCCACUACCAUGAGCUCAAAACUUCCAAUACCCUGAGUAAAGGAGUAGUAAAAUGUUUUGGUUGCAAAAAUAUGUGACACAUACGCUGUUUGUUGGUAUGGUAUUGCCUGCAACUCAAAAUAUGCAAUUUGAUUCUUUCUUGAGAUCAAAGUUCUUAUUCAGAACAUAGAACUUUCUGACGGGCAAAGUAGAUGUAACAAUUAUUCUACCAAAUCUAACAAACGAAGCGACUUUUUCUUUGUGAGAUUAUUGCUAAAUUUCAAUCUAUUACAGCUAUUUAGCUAUUACGAGUACCAUUGACCAUCAUCGUUAUGCAUCAUCAAUGAUUUGCCUAUGUUUUCUUUAUCUAGUCUUUAAGUUUGAAGGCCGAACCAUCACAUACAAACUUGAAAAAUUAUUCAGCAAGUUAUUGUGAGCUUUCUCAGUUCCUCGUUCAAAAAAUACAUUUGAGUCCAUAUAAAAGUAUUUCUAGAAGGCAUUCGAAUACAGCAAGUAUUUCUUGUUUUCAAUGAAACCUAUAAAAUCAUGACUUCUAGGAUGCAGACUACAGCACAUAAUGAACCUUGUUACUGUCUCAAAUCAUUACCAACCAGAAAAUUAUAAAUAAGAAUAUUUACAGAGUAGGCAUUACAGCCAAGACACUAGAAUAAUGAACAAAAAUAACACUGAUAUGCAAAAACCAUUUGACAGAGUUAAUGAUUUCCAUCAAAGGUGAAAGGAACCUCUUCUACGCUUUGCCCAAGGUAAAAGCUUGUAAGAAGAGUGGCUGAUGACUACAAUAGAUGGGAGGCAUCUUACUUAUAGACAAGGAUUUAAAUGUUGUAACACAGGGUCGUGCCGAAAACUUGCCGGCACGGUACGGUACAAUGCAUGCCGGGCCGUGCCGAUGAGUGUCGAUCACAAAAAAUUUAUGUGUACCGAUACGUAAUAGCAUGAAAUAUUUAUUUUCUUUAGCAACAAAAUAUGUCAAUUAUUUAUUAUGUAUUUUUAUCAAAUCUUUUAAACUUUAUUGAGAAAAUUACUUACUAAUUUCAAUAGAGAGUUUUGAGUUGUGCCAUCAGUACGAGGGCUGUAUCGUGCCGAUAUCUUGCUGGGCACGAUAUGGCACGGUAGAUACGGUCCGUGCCGAUGGGCACUUUAAUCCUUGCUUAUAGGCCACAGGCACAAUCCUAAUUACAUGAUUAAAAUCCCUAAAAGUAUUUAAUUAAAACCCCACUCUUGAAGAAAGAAAUAAUCUUAAUUCUAAAUAUAAUCAAACCUAAUCUAAUUUGAAGUCUGAAUAUUAUAAGAAAUUCCUAGCCAUAAACAGAUCAUGGCUGUCAAUUUGUUUGCAAAUUUUUUUACAAAACAAGCAUUUAAAAGAAAUACUGUUACGGAAAAUAAAAGAGUAAAAUUACCUUGGUUGGGAAAAGUGUCCACGACUCUUAUGACUUCCUCUCUGGAUAUUUCAUCUUUAACAUACAUAUGGUUAACAAUGUUAAUAAUGUCCUCACGGUCUGGCUGCCUGAUUACACAUAGAAGUAUCAGAAAUAAAAUAAGCACAAUAGAAUUUCAUAGAACGAAUCGUGAGAAAGUCAUAGGGAGCAACAAAAAGGACUUGAAUAGAACAAUUGAGGAAGAUCUUCUAGUUACUAUCUUCUCGCUACAUAUGGAAGUAUGUAAAGAAUACUAUAACAAGUAAAUGCUAUUGGAUAUCAAGGGAUAAUUAUAAGAAAAAGUUGUAUGAAACAGGAUGUAUUUUGUUAGAUUAUUAGCAGUUGAUUGAAAUCAUGCCUAGGGUGCCUAAAGGAAGUUUUAAAAAGCAUGAUGCUGUAUAAGUAAUUUGUUUUUUUUGCGCAAGUUUCUAUAUAUAGUAGAAACUAUUCAGAGACUGACAAAUCAAGAAUAAAAAAAAUAACAAUUGAAGUAACCAAUUGCUGGUUUCCUGCCAUUUUUCAAGUUUUGACUUGGCAAAAAUUGACAGUAAGCCUGCGUUUGAAAACCAGUUAAGUUACCUGUCUUAGGCAAGUAACCUCAAUUUAUGCAACUAAAAAUAGUGAGCAGUUUCAUUAAUUGAUGAUACAUUUCAACUAAGGUGACUGUUUGAUUGUUAGGUUUCUUUACAACCUGAAUAUUGGUAACCAACAAAACAUAGUGCCCACUGUCCGUACUUGCCGAAGUAUCAUAGUCAUGGGGUUCCAUCACCAACUCAAAUCCAAUUCCAAUAACAUUACAUCCAACAAACACAAGAUAAUUGUUCACAAAGUUUUCUUUUUGUCAUGCAGUCAACAUUUUUUAAAGUAUAUCAAAUAAGUAUGUGUCUGAAGGAGUUCUGCAUCGGAUGAGUUUAACCAAAACUCUGCAAUUUUCUCACAGCAUCAUUACAAAAUAUGCUUUUACUUCCUGUUGCAUUUUCUCUAUCAUGUGUUGUGACACGUGAUUUACAUAACUGUUAAUAUCACCCCUAAGAUUCAGAUAUUACCUUCUCAUUGAAAUCUAUUGCAGAUAGCCUGUUAAUUCCACUUAAAGUUGUUUAAUCAUUCGGUCCUUACUUGAUGACAUAUAAUCUUGGGUUUCCAAUAUCACAAUCAACUUGCGGAUGUAGGAGGAUUGGGUAUGAUUAUAUUGAUUAAACUAUAAAAGAAUUGAUUAUAGGAAUGACAUGACACUCGAAUUUUCUGUUAUAAUAAUUGAACCAGAGGCAGAUGCUAGUGCAUGACAAGGCACAUACCAAUAGAAUUUCUCCAUCCGUCCAUCACGAAUCAAAGGAGCAUAAAGAGUUGAGAAAUCGUUUCCAGUUACUAUGAUGGGUACUCUAUGUGUGACAUCUGAUUCUCUCCACUUCUGCCCAAUGCUUACUCUAGUAGGAUUAUCUGACAGAUUCAUCAGGGUUCCAACAACAAUUUGGUUAUUUACUGUCAUUUGUGUGUUUCCUGGCAAACAAAAUAAAGGAGUCAAAGUGUCACAAAUUGCUUUAACAAUCCUAGUUGUAAGGUUCCAUAUAUGGCUCUUAAGACAAAAAAAAAAAGCAAUUUCAAGCCAACUCAAGUCAAAAAGGUCUAAUAGAAAAGUGGAGUUAAAAAAUAUAUUUGCUUAAAAAGGUUAAUGCUGGAGUACUUUAUUUAACAAAAUGGAAGGUGCAUCACUGUUUGCUUGUUCUUUUUAUUACUAGAUAUACGUGCAAUACUAAAAGUUAGGAAUUAUUAGAUUUAUUGCACAAAUUGCACAAAUCACUCACCAAAUCUUCCCAGCCCAGCAUCAAUAUCAUUGAUCAUCAAACAGCUCAUCUUUCCCUGGAUCAGCCAGGAGUCGUGAGAGCACACAACAAAAUUCUAUAUAACACCAUUGUAAUUCUCGAGUAGCAACGGUGAAGGCAAAUUAAUAGUAGACAUUCAAGUUUAGUGGGUAAUAACUAUAGCAUAGAGUUUAUAGCUGAAACAGCACAUGUAAAUCAAUUUGUUUUAAACUGCAUAGAAACAAUUAUUUAUCGCCCCGUUUUUUCAUUUCGUGUGUUUUUUAUUUUCGGGGUUUUUUUUCGGGGGAUGGCGAGGGACGCGCGUUGGUGCACUUAGGUAUCGUUUGGUUUGAGGAUAAGCAAAAAGUGGGUAUUCCGGGGAUAGUUAUAAAUUGAGGUAUAAGCGGGGAUUAGAUCAAUUUUGCGUUUGGAUGCAAAUUGGGUUAUUCCUGAAAAUAAAAAAAAUAGCGUUUGGUUAGGUAAGAUGGAAUAAGAAUUAAAGUGGGUAAUUAUAAAUAAAAAAUAAUAAUAUUAUUCUUUUCUUUAUAUUAGAAUUUGAAUUUUUAUAUUUUAUAUUUAUAUUUUUAAAUUUUAAAAUAUAAACUUUUAAAUUUUAAAAAUCAAAAUUAAAAUUUAAAAUUUUAAAAUCUCANUUCAACAAAUUAAAAUUUAAAAUUUUAAACUAUAAAACUUAAAAAAAUAAAUCUUAAACUAUAAAACAUAAAAAUUUAAUUUUAAAAUAGAAUUUAAAUUUCAAAUUUUAAAAUUUUAAAUUUUGUAAUUUUAAAAAUUAUAAAUUUUAAUUUUUAAACUUACGAAAUUUAAAUUUUAUAAUAAAUUAAAAAUUCUCUCACUCACUCACACUCUCACACAAACACACACACACACACACACUCUCUCUCUCUAUCUCUCUUCACGGGUGGAACAAGCUGGGUUAUCCUAGCUUAUUCCACCUUGGGGUGGGAACACUAGAGGUGGGAACGCUAGUGUUCCCACCCCUUAACGGGCUAUUCUAGAAUAGCCCGUUAAGGAGGGAAUUAGUGUUCCCACCAUUUUUUGUUUGUGUUUGGGGGAUAAGGGUGGAAUAAACCCUUUAUUCCACCCUUAUCCCCCAACCAAACAUAGCCUUAGUAACUAUUUGUUUAGCAAAUGAACCUAUAAAUAGUUAGCUUAACAUCUUUUGAAGCAAAGCCAUUAGAACAUCGUAAAUCUUAAUGCAAGUAACCAAGGAAUUCUUACUUGGUUUUGAAUCACUUGUGAGGCUGUUCUAUACCGGUCACGUAUGAGCCUUCCCGGUUCUCCUGCAAAAAUAAUGGGCAAAACUAAGACCGCGCAAGCAUAAUUAUAUGAUAUCACAGAUAUCGCAAGCAAAAUUAAAGCUUCGUUUACUCUUCAAUAAUAUUGAAUUCACUAGGCUAAGUUAACAGUCUUAUACAAUUCAUGUCAAAGAUGCAUCUCAAAUUAGUUCAAUCUCUAAAUCUUACGGAAAAUCAACUAGUCAUUAUUAGUACUUGCAUGCUUGUUAUAGUUUAAUGAACAAAUUUUCAAAGCUGGGAUAUCUUUAAAAAGUUAUGCCAUUGAAGGCAUUCUACAAUAGAAGAACUCCGAUAAUCUAUUGAUGGAAGAAAAAUUAAUAACAAUGAUGCCGCCAUUAAUCUGCAUUUAGAAAUAUAUAAAAGAAGCAUCUUAACCUGCUUUCUCAGAUUCAAGCUCCCCGGCAGACAUAAUUACUGGUUCAAUUCCCAUCACUCGAAAAAUAAGCUCAGUUUGAAAUGUUUUCCCUUGUCCUUUUCCUCCCCAUAUACCUACAUCACAUUAGUAUUCUUAAAUUUGCCAAAUAGAGAAUCCAAAUGGUACUAUAAUACACAGGAACUUUGUAAGCUCAAGAAAAACAUGACUUAGGUUUGAAAAGUCUUGAGAACUAUCGUUAUAUUAGAGAUCUUAUGACCAUCAAGUGAACAACAAAAGUAAUCAAAAACGAGUUCUUAAUUGCAGAUGAGUUAUAAGGGUUCCUCAGUAGAAAGAUAAUUGAUUCCAUCUCAAAGUUGUCAGAUGAGAGUCAAGAUGAUGAAAACACAUAUUCUCUUACCUAAUAUUAGAGGAACCUUAAUGUUGAGAAGAUGAGCAAUAUAGUUCUUCACAAUGUGGCAUGCUGCAAAAGAAUAAAAUGUUAUUACAAUAAUGAUGGCAUAUUAAUAACAGAACAGGGCACUUAACAAACGGCACACUAGAGGAAUUUAGGUUUACAGGCUUUUAUUAAACUUAAUUGAUAACUUGAGAGAAUUUGACAAGCCUAGAAUACAUGCUACCUCAGAUCUAUGUGUUUAGAGAACAUUUCAUUAGCUCCCAGAGAAAAUCCUCUAAACUCAGUAUCAACCGGAUCACACUGUUAUCUUUCCUUCCAUAAUACAAAUCAAACGAUAGCCUAUGGAUCAGGAGGGUCAAUUAGAAAGGAGUCUAAAAUAAGUUGGGAUCAAAUCAACUUGUCCACUUGCAUUAGAACCAAUUGGGCGAAAAAAAGGGACAUACCUUUAAAGAAGGGACCUACAUCAGAUAAAUUGUCAAAUGCAUGUAUCAAAUCUUACUUUCACGAUUGAAACAUAAAAAGGCCUUAUCACUAAUUCUUGUUAUUCACUAUAAUCAUGACCUUCAAUUACCAAAAAUUACAAUGCAUAUUUGAAGUUCAAGAUGCCACAAGAGUGGAGUCAUCUAAAUUUUCAUGACCAGACAUCACAUUGAGAGAUUUGGUUCCAGAUUACAGUGAUGAAAAAAAUUUGUCAAAGUUCAUCCAUUUAAAUUACAUUGGCUUGUUGAUACCUCAAAGUAUGUACUCGGCAUUGUUUGUACUCGGCAUUGUUUAAGCCAAAAAAUUCGAAGAAACAGAAAAUAAAAUUUUCUCGAUACUAGGGGUUAGUCAAGAUGGAGAAAUCAACAAAUUUUGAUAGUCGUAUCCUUUCUGGACAAUCAAAUAAGUAAAAGAGUCACAUGAAUCAGUUCCAUAUAAUUCGAAGGAUGUACGCUAAACAAUAAAGCAAAAAAAAAAUCAUUUCAACACCUAACUCUAUAAUCUUCAAAUAUGAAAAACAUCACAACAUGUAGAAGAUCAAAAGGCAAAAAAAAAACAGAGAAAAGUUCUUUCAGCUUCAUAAUACCUCACUAAAUUCAAGGCUUGCAAAAUCCAAGCCAAGUUUAAAGUGCUUACCAAUUUUAUCCUGUAGAAAAUAAGAAAUGUAUUUUGUCAAAUCUAUUAAUCAAUGUUGGGAGGCAACAAAAAUUAUCAAGAGAGAAAAAUAGUCUAUUGAAUAAAAUAAUGCAGUGAAAAGAGGUAAAACAAAGCAAAUAUAAUAAAUAAAAUUUUCUCCAAUUAGUGAAAUACAUAUUCUCCUUUUGAGGAAAUUACAACCUAAACUACACACUUUUGUAGAUAACCGCCCAUAGUUUCAACUUUCAAAAGUUAAUAUUAAAUAUUAAAGUAUUUAAAUACCGUUCUCUAUCAGCUUAAACUUUUAGAGAACAACGGUUGUUUCGUAUUAUUUAACAUGGUAUCAGAGCAGGAGGUCCUGAGUUCGAAUUACGCCAGGCUCCAAACAUUAUUAAUUCCUCCUAUUUAAUUUGUCCGUAUCAUGGCCUACAAAAAGUCUCGAGCCCAAACAUGAGGGAAAGUGUUAUAUAUAAAAAUAUUUAAAUACCGUCCUCUAUCAAUUUAAGCUUUUAAAGUACAGCGGUUGUUUUGUAUUAUUUAACAAUUAAAACAAGCCACUCGUUUCUAUCAAUCACCCAGCCCACAAUUUUGUGAGUUUUUUUAUAAUAACUAUUAGCACUUGACUGUCACAUCAUCCUUACGAGCUCAUAUUUUACCCAUAUCUUCGAAACCAGUGGAGGGGCAUUUGAGGUUUUUUGGCUUUCAUAUGAUGAAUGGCUGCAAGAAAAACUGAUGGAAAUAAGCAUAGAUGGCUGCUUGAAAUGGACACAUUGUUAGGGUGUAACUUUAUUUUUUUUUAAUGAUUUUUCGAAGCUUGGGCGGUCCAGCCCUAAGUGCUGACAAUUUUUAUAAACAACCCACCAUCAGCAGGAAUCAACUUAAUAAAAUAGAGGGCUGAAAAUGUCCUCUCCAAAAUCCCAGCAGGGCUAGAGGUUAAUUCACGCAUGAUACGAUUUCAAUAAUAGGUGCUAAAUUAUUAAUGACACAACAAGCGAGAUUAAGAAGCUAAUAUUAUGCAACGAUGCAAAAGAGAACAUAUUGUUUUGGUUGCUCAUUGCAACUAGAGAACAUUUAUAGCAAUUGCAAUAAAUUAGGUUGACACUAUCCUACAAAAGAAUUUCUUAUGAAUGCACAAGACAUCGUAGUUGAAACUUGAGGUUGAUUGGUUAAGAACCAGCAAUGAAGAAAAGAACAUGUACAAUUAGUAAGCUAUAUAGGCAAAAAGCAAAAAUUUAUGCAGCACAGUAUUCUUGAUAAAUGUCAUUUUACAUGUCAUCAUCCAAGCUGUCUCCAACAAAAUGAAGCAGCUAAAGCACAUCUCAAAGAUGAAAAGGCCCUGAAAGAAUUUGUGUAAAACCGCUAAAAAAAAGAAAAUCCACAACAAGAACUUAUCAUGAAAGCAUGAGACCAAUUGGCAAGUAGGGCUACAUGAGGUCUUGUUAUAUUCUAGUCCCAUAACUAAUGCUCAACAAAUUCUCCCAAAAAAUCUCCUUGGAAAUAUUCUAGCUGUUCGACAAAGAAUACAACUUUUGUUGAUGAAAGCAUGAGGCAUGCAGGGAUUGCUAUAAAAUUCAAAGUAAAAUGGAGGAUUUGGCAAAAAAAAUAGUGUAGAAAGUGAGAACAUCAUUAUAGUUAAGUGUGAUAUAGUGUAGUUAAUUACAAACAAACAGGUACGGGUGAUUAUUAAGAAGUAAACUUACAGAUUUUUCACAUAUGUUCACAUAUUUACGCUGCAAUAAUAUCUUAUUUGCAUUUAUACUCUUCAAAAACUGGUAACUUCAUUACAUGCCUCAUACCAAGUAUAAAAUAUGUAUUCUAUCUAAAACAGCUAAAAUUUCUCAUAUGCCAGAUUUCGGGCCUUUCUCUGCCUACAUCUUAGAAAAGAAUCAGGUAAACUAGCUUGCCCAAAUAAAAGUAAAAGUCAUUCAAACCUAUGUUUUUAGAGUAGUGCUUCUAUACUCGUUAUUUUUCGAUACCGUUCAUUCAUUUCUAUUCUACGGCUCAGAUUUAAUUUUUUUUAAGUUGUAACUUACAAUAACAUGUCACUUUAAGAAAGGUACCAAUUAUCAAGUACCCUAAAGAGGGAUAUUCUGGUCUUUUAAUACUUGGGUAAUUAUCACGUAUUAAAUAAUUUUACCUCAACUAUAUUAUCAAAACCCUUUUUCUCUCUGUUUUCUUUUUCUCUCUCUAUCUUUCCUCUCCAUUCACAGAUGUUUCGUUGUUUCAAAAUUUUCUUAAACAUAUUAAAUAUGCUAAAUUUAAAUAUUUACCAACAUUAAAAAAUUUUUAAAUAGCGAUACAAAAAUAAUGUCUAAAUUAGAAAAUUACUAAAAUGUUUUAAACAUAUUAAAUAUGUUAAAUUUAAAUAUUUACCAACUUUCAAAUUUUUUUAAAUUAACAAUACAAAAUUAAUGUCUAAACUAGAGGAAUUUAAAAAUUUCUUAAACAGAUUAAAUAUGUUGAAUUUAAACAUUUACCGACAUUAAAAUUUUUUAAAAAAAGUAAUAAAAAAUUCCUCUAAUUUAAAUUUAAUAUUUUUAAAUUUAAAUAUUUAAUAUUUAAUAUUUCAAUUCAACAUAUUUAGAAAUAAUACUAUUUCUAAAAUUCCUAAAAUUUAAAUUAAUGCCUAAAUUAUAGGAAUUCUAAAAUUCCUAAAAUUAAUGCCUAAAUUAGUGCAAAAUUAAUGCUUAAAUAUGAAAUAUCAAUCACUUUCUUAAAUUAAUACUUAAAUUAGUGCAAAAUUAAUGCCUAAAUUUAUGAUAUCAAUCAAAACUUUCUUAAAUUUUGUGAUAUUUAAUUAAAAAAAUACCCUCUACAUGAAGUAACCUUUUAACCUGCUAUAUGUUAAAAUAACACAUUACCCUUUAUUGAUCAACGGUUAAGAUCUUUUUUAUUUUUUAUAAAAUAAAGUACCAAAUCAUUUCUCAUGUUUUUAAUAUAUAAGUAUUUAAAAUCAUAAAAACUAGAAGCAUAAACCAUGACGUGCCUUAGCUUGUACAUUUUUGUGUCAAUUCCCUUUUCCUUGUGAUUUUGUUUUCUUGCUUAUGAAUGAAGCAGGUUGAGUUGCUUCAACUUGAACCCUUUCAUAAAGAGCGGAAAAAGAAAAACAAUACCAAUCAAGUACAUAGUUUGUUAGGGAAGUUCAAGCUGAGUUCAAGUCCACAUAAUCCCGACGAUGUGACAAAACCCAUUAACUCAAAAGCUUAACCCUGUCGAAUUUGGCCCAAUAUUCUGUAUUAAUUCUUUACUACUGUGCUCCUCUACUUGUUAUUCCAUAUGUAGCUAUUUUCAAAUGUGAAUUUGUAACAGAUCAAAACCAUGGCACUCCAUAUAAGGCCAGCAUCAUAAACAAGAAGAACUCAAAAUUAACAACCUUAUUUUCGAAGUAAAUGAUCCAAAAGAACAAGAACUCACAAGAAAAACGGGGGCUAUGUAGUAAUCGCCCUCGAGAUACUCGAACGACCGCGUCGCCUUCUGCCGGUAAUCAAACACGAUAUCCGCUGCACACAUAAACAACCAAACAAGAAGCAAACAACUACAUGAGAAAGCCCCAAUUCCAUCUUAGAUGAAACGUAUUAGCCCUAAAAUCCCUAAUAAAAUUAAAACAAAGAGAAUCUUACAAUCCUUCCCAAGGAACUGUCCCACAAAGAGAUCAUCAAUCACGCCUUGCCGAGCCCCUACUGCGAUGUUCAUGUUAUCCGACUCCUUUCCGAGGCGAUACAAGUAAUCGUUCCCCUCCGAGUCCUUCGAUUCCCACGAGGAUUGCUUCGAAAUCCUCGUCUCGGGAGCUUCUUCCGGAGAAGAAGAUCCAUCGGGGGCUCGAGAGGAGGAGGAGGAGGAGGAGAAGCAGAGGAGAGGGAAGGGUUUCGAUUUGCUGACCUUUGGAAAUUUAGGGUUUCGGGGAUGGUUUUGGCGCGAAGAGAAUGAGGGGGAGGGGGAGAGGAAGAGGUCGGGGUUGCAGUGGAGAACCGCCAUUGGAUGGAGGUUGAGAUGGGAUGCAGAUGAGAGAGUUUCUUUUGUGACCGUUGGGAUGAUAUCUCCAACGGCCGGAAGAAACCAGGGUUUCCUGAUGGUGAAAAUGUAAGAAGCCUCCUCAACUUUGGCGCGUUUUGCAACGUGCCCCUAAACAUUUUGCACUGUUCUUAAUCUCUUACUUAUUAGUGUUUGAUUCUCAAGUAAACCGAAAAUAGUUAAAAUUAUCUCCGCUAUUCUACUAAAUGACCCCUAAAUGUUUCGGGCAUCCGAAACCUCCUAUUCAUGCUAUUUCGGAUGGUCCCUAUUGCACCCCAUCUUUCGAAAUCCUUCACGGUCAUAUCCAAAUUACUUUCUAGUCGCCCAGUUCCUGCAUCCGAAAUCUUUAAUGAUUAAAUUUAAUAAAUCAUCAUGCUGACUCAUCAAAUCCACCGACUUAAAUACCAACUAAAUUUUGGAUUGCUACAGUAAUUCUGAGCAUCUAGAACCAAGGCCCAAAUCCUAUUCGGAUACUCCUUCGGCAAUAUCGAGCGUUCUAAAGUGAGUUUCGAAUUCAUCUCACCUUGGAACAAUGCUUCUAGGCACCCUAAUCCAAUUUUGAGCGUUCAAAAGUGGGAAAAAAAUUUGCGAGUGAGCCGAGAAAGGGUACGACCAGAUCAAUCCCGGAUCCAGCAAACGUCGACGGCCAGUGACAAGAUCAAACAAAGGCCGAUUUAAUAAGGUAAGUGAGGUCAUAAAUUCGCCAUGGUAGAAACCAACACAUGUGUUCUGCAAGUAGUAAUUGCAAUAGUUGGCAUCGAGUUCGGAUGGCAAGUUUCAAGGAUGAAUGUAAUAAAGCAAUCACCAAAAGGAUGAAGAUGGCAGGAGUAGGGUGGGAAAGUAAAGCAUACAAGAGAAUUGUACAAGAAUAAGCAGGAAAAAAGCAUUAAGCAAGACUAUUAUAAAAAUGAGGUAGAGGGCAAGAAAAGUAGGCUCCACCAUAGAAAAUGAGAGGGACCCACGAUAAAGGAAAAGAGAGAUUGUGACGAACCACUUACUUGGUGGGACGUGGAUAGUGUUUUAUAUCCAUGGGAGUUCAAAGAGUUUUUACAGAUAUCUGAAAUGCUCAUAGACACUAUUCUACAAAUUAAUUCUAAUUUAGAAAUUACUCUUGCAAGAUACCAAGCAGUGAAUGCAAGAAUAAGAAAAAAAAAAUGCUCUACCAAAUCAUGUUCUAAUCAUAAUUACAUUGAAGAUUAUCAAGGAGCUUAAUUUGUGGACUAAUGUGUAUCUCCGCACACCUUUGCAGUGUGUGUGUUCUUUUUCUUCUUUAUUUCGUCUUCUUUCUCAAGUUUCGUUAUUUUUUUUCUCUGUUAAUACAAAGUAUGAUUUUUUGCUUGGUUUACUUUAUCGAGAAAAUCAUGUUAAAAUAAUGGCAUAAGCUUAGCAUGUGAUUAAGGAUCAAAUAGAAAAAUUAGUUAAGGUUGAAGAUAUAAUAUGAUCCCUUAUGACAAAAGUUACAAAGUUAUUAAAUAUGAAGCACUGCAUAGCUGCAAAUCAGGAGGAAGUGUUGCUAGACCAUUGAUACUCAUGUAAGUGAAAUGUAGAGGCGAGUACUCUAAAAGCUUAAGUUUUUAUAAAACAGUGUUUAUAUAUUUUUAUAUUUAAUACUCUUCCCAAAAUUUUUAUAUUUAAUACUCUUCCUAAAAUUUUUUUUUGGAAGGCUCAUAAUAUGAAUUUGAAUUAAAUGAGAGAAAAUUAAUAAUACUAAGAGCUUGGGUGGCUCGAACUCAAGACCUCCUAUUCGGAUGUUAUGUGAAACAAUCAUUAUGUUCUAAAAGCUUAAGUCAUUAGCAAACGGUGUUUAUAUAAUUUUAUAUUUAACAUAUAAGCUUCGAAAAAUCGUAGAAAUGCUUCUUAGAGAUUUUUAAAAAAAAAAAAACAGUUCUGUUAAUGAAUCACUAGAAGAUGGCACAAGACUUUGAUUUGUUAAUAAAAACUAAAGUUAGAAAAUAGAAAGAUUUUUAGCUACGUUUAUUUCUAAAUGAAAUAAACCAAGCGGGUAGCAUGCUAUCUAUCUCUCAAAUAAAAAAAAAAGAAUAAGAAAAUAGGAAGAUUCUAUCACAACCUAGAGAGCUAUCCUUAUAUGGCUCUAACUCUGUUAAUUUUGCAAUAAUAGUAUCAAAUCAUUACAAGUAAAAAAGCUAAUUUUAAGCAGACUCCAAUCUGAAAACAAUCUGAGUAUAAGAGGUUAAAAGGAAAAUACUACCAAUUGAAGUGUUUUAUGUGAGUAGGAUAAGCCACGAAACAAAAAAAUGCUGCUACGUAGUGUAGAAACCUAGACGUUACGGACACUGAUAUGGAACACGAGACAUAACACGACUCGGACACCGCGACUCGACAACUUUCAAAAAAUUAGAACACUGACACGGCAUGAACACCAUUAAUAAAAUAUAAUAUUAUUAAUAUAAUAAUAUGUUGGGAAUUCGGUACUCGCCCCGGUACCGGAUCUUGUGAAUCCGCAACCCGCUCCGAUACCGACUGCUGUGAAUCUGGCACCGAUGGUUGGGAUUCCGUAACGGAAACGUCAAAUCGGAUUUUUACCAUAAACCCGUCUCCUCAGCAAAAGCUGAUACAAUCAUAAAAGAGAGAAAAAAUCAAAACAGAAAAUAUGCGGGUAAAAUAAGAUUAAUUAAAUAAGAGAAUAUUACACCUGACUCCUCUUCUGCACAGAGUAGCUACAACCUGAGCCCUCUUUCUUGAAUCUCUCCUACCAUUCUCUCGUCUUCUAUAAUUCCACAAAGAAGACAAUCAUCCACGCGCAUCCGUGCACUAGGUGCAUUCAACUCAUUAACUCUCUCUCUCUCUCUCACUUUUUCUCUCGGGUACGACACACCUCACAAGAGACUUUUUUUUUUCUCUUGACCGUACCCAUCCCAGAAAGAGAGCUACAAUGCCUAUUUAUAAUGCUCAACUUAAAAGGUACCCCAAUCCUAAUAUAUUUAGGAUUCAUACUUUAAUUAAUAUCUAAAUCUAUCUUAAUCAAUCUCUAAUAGAUUUAAAUAUUAAUCCUAAUCUAGUUAGGUUUAUCCUCUAAUUAAUAUUUAAAUCUUAAUUUAUCUCCAACAAAUUUAAAUAUUAAUUCUAAUCCAAAUAGGAUUCAAUUACAAAUCUAACCAAAAUCCUAACAAUCUCCACCUUGGUUGGAUUUGUAAUCUUCAACCGUCACGUCGAGCUCACCAUGCAAGCUCCACCUUGAGCUUGUCUCCUCCGCUCGAUGUCGCCGCAUCCGCCGCUCCGCCUCGAGCGACUGCACCUCCGCGAACUUUUGGAACCCAAACCGUCUUUGCUUCCGUUCUGACUAUGCUCCCGUUCAGAACGUGUAAGUUCCCAUACUUGUUCGCCUCGCACACGACCCGAUCUCGUUUUUGGACCCUCAUAGCUCCACCUGAAGCCGAAAUAUCGCAACCCUUCGAGUCCAAUGCGCGUAACGAGAUCAAAUUUCGUUUCAAUCCAGGAACGUAUCGCACACCUGUCAGCGUCCUCACGACCCCAUCAUGCAUUCGGAUCUUCACCGUGCCGACUCCCAAAACUUUGCACGUCGUCCCGUUCCCCAUUAGAGCUUUUCCACCUUUGAUCGCCUUAUAGGUUGCAAAAGACUCUUUCUCCGGGCAUACGUGAAAAGAACACGCCGAAUCGAGCACCCACGCGUCAUCCGAAAUUUUCGCACCUCCGGUCGCCACAUAUAGCACAUCAGAAUCGAACAUCUCCGACUCUGCCGUCUGUGCCGUCGCUGAUACCGUCUCGUCCUGGUUCACGACAGUUUUCUCCUUCUGUCGCUUUAACUCCUUCAGAUCAUCCUGAAGUUUUCUACAGUUGCGCUUUAUAUGCCCUUUCCUGUGACAGUAAAAGCACUCCACCUCAGAUAUCGGCUUCUUCUGUCGAUCUCCGGUCGCUGAUGUUGUCGCCUCCUUCUUCGCUCUCACCACCAAAGCUGUAUCCCGGCUCUGUGUGCCGGACUCCUGAGUCAUCUUCCGCAUCUCGUUCGAGAGAAGCGCCGCCGUGACCGCCUCCACGCUUAUGGUCUCCUUGCCAUAAAGCAACGUGGUCACCAGAUGCUCAUAUGUCGCCGGUAGCGAAGAUAGUAAAAUCAGCGCCUUAUCUUCGUCAUCCAGAUUGACUCCGAUGCUAGUCAACUGGGCCACCACCUUGUUGAACUCGUUCAGAUGAUCAUGUAGGCUUACCGCUUCCUGCAUCCGCAGCGUAAACAAUCGCUGCUUCAGAUAUAACCUGUUCGUCAAGGAUUUGGUCAUAUACAGAUCUUCUAGUUUCUUCCACAACUUCGCUGGUGUCGUCUCACUGGCUACGUUGUAAAGAACCUCAUCUGCUAAUAAUAGAUGAAGCGUACUCAGCGCCUUCCGCUCCAUCUUCGUCCAUGCCGCAUCCGUGACCUCCGCCGGCUUCGCCUCUUUUCCGUUCAACGUUUCAUCUAACUCUUGCUGUACGAGGAUCGCCCGUACUUUAAUUUGCCACAAUCCGAAAUUGUUCUUGCCGUCGAACUUCUCGAUUUCGAAUUUCAUGGCCAUCUUCGUCGAUCUCUCCCUCGGAUCAAUAACCUUUAGCUCUGAUACCACUUGUUGGGAAUCCGGUACUCGCCCUGAUACCGGAUCUUGUGAAUCCGCAACCCACUCCGAUACCGACUGCUGUGAAUCCGAUACCGAUGGUUGGGAUUCUGCAACGGAAACAUCAAAUCGGGUUUUUACCAUAAACCCGUCUCCUCAGCAAAAACUGAUACAAUCAUAAAAGAGAGAAAAAACCAAAACAGAAAAUAUGCGGGUAAAAUAAGAUUUAUUAAAUAAGAGAAGAUUACACCUGACUCCUCUUCUGCACAGAGUAGCUACAACCCGAGCCCUCUUUCUUGAAUCUCUCCUACCAUUCUCUUGUCUUCUAUAAUUCCACAAAGAAGACAAUCAUCCACGCGCACCCGUGCACUAGGUGCACUCAACUCAUUAACUCUCUCUCUCUCACUUUUUCUCUCGGGUACGACACACCCCACAAGAGACUCUUUUUUUUUUUCUCUUGACCGUACCCAUCCCAAAAAGAGAGCCACAAUGCCUAUUUAUAAUGCUCAACUUAAAAGGUACUCCAAUCCUAAUAUAUUUAGGAUUCAUACUUUAAUUAAUAUCUAAAUCUAUCUUAUAUCAAUCUCUAAUAUAUUUAAAUAUUAAUCCUAAUCUAGUUAGGUUUAUCCUCUAAUUAAUAUUUAAAUCUUAAUUUAUCUCCAACAGAUUUAAAUAUUAAUUCUAAUCCAAAUAGGAUUCAAUUACGAAUCUAACCAAAUCCUAACAUAAUAUAUUUUUAUUAUAUAUAAAAUAUUAAUUUUGGUAAAAUAUUAUUAUAUUUCUUCAUACGAAUGAAAGUUAGUAAAAUUUUCAUUGAUAGUUUAUAUAUUUUAAAAAAAAAAUUUCCACCAUACAUAAUUUAUUUAUAUUGUCAAAAAGAAAGCUAAAAUAUUUAUUAUCGUAUAUUACAUAUGUAUAGAAAAAGUAAAAUAAAAAUAGGUAUAUAUAUAUUUUUAGUUGUAUGCGCUAUAUAUCGGCAUUAAACGGGCGUCCAAGGAGUGUCCACAUUGAAUACGUGUCCGACACGGUCGUCCAAGGAGUGUCCACAUUAGAUACAUGUCCGACACGGAUACGCACAUGUCUGACACAGACACAUGAGAUUGUAGAAGUGUCGUGAUAUGUAAAUAGAAACUCAGUAACUAUAUUCUUUUUCCUUCACCAUCUUCUCUUCUUCAAAUUACUAAACCUCAAAAAAGGGGGAGACUGCCACAGAAAAACACAAUAAGGAACAGAACAAGUUUCUUAUGAAAGAAUUCUACUAAUAAUUAACCAUAGGUAAAAAUAUUGAUGAAUGGAUCAAGUUCAAAAAACAAUCAGUGAAAACAUCAAAUAAUUGGAAGAAAUUCAGAUAAAGCAUCCACGAGAUAAAGCAUCCACCUAUAAUAGUUAUAUAUGUUUUGGUGCUAUAUAUGUAGACAGAAAUAAAGCACGGGAGACAAGAACUACAUUUCGGUAGUUAGACAACCUACUCUGCCAAAAGUUUUACAACAGAAUAGGGCACUAAUAGCAUUUCCAGGUAGUAGUAAUACUUGUACCACACAAGCUAAACAACCUAAGAACUAGAAACUUGAACACUAGGAAAGAUGUAUGGUUUUCAAAAUAUUUAUUUUCCCCAAAGUGACGCAAUACUCGAUAGUAGGAUCCCAUUCACUUCACAUUAGCAAUAACUAUCAUCUUCGAUAGCUUUUCGAGAAGCUCCUUCAGGGCUGAGGGGCAACUGAUCCUCAAGUGCUCGAAUCCGUCGGUCUGCACGACCGCACUCAGCACGUCAGGACAAGCCAUAAAUUCGAGACAAGCCGUUUUGAGCUGACCGCAACGGUGCUGCUCGGCCAAGACCAACGUGGUGGCCGCCGUGCUUAUGUGGAUGUCUGCACACAACUCGUCCUCGCAAAUUAACUUCAGCCUCUCCAGCCCGUAUCGGUCCGCAGCAGCAAGCAAAUGCUGAAGCAUCACCGUCGAGGACCCGUUACACGCGAGCUCUUCCGAGCGAGGUAGCGCAUCCGAAUAGACGAAAUGAAGCAGAGCCUUAAACACCACGGCUUCCAUGUCCUUGAUCUCUAUGGACUGCAGGUUCUUUUCCUUCAUCUCGCCGAAUAGCUCGGCUUUAAACACGGGCGACCGCGCGGCGAGCAACCACCGGUGCGCGGAAAAAGCCUCGCCGCCGACUCGGAAGGUCACAUCCGUCCCCUCGCCGCUCUCCAGCAGGCGCUCAAGGUGCAGGUGCAAGUCCGACGGCCGCGGCUUGGUAGAGCAACUGUUGGGCACUUGUAGACGCGACUCCUUGAGCACGGUGACGGUGCAGUGGACUACGAGGCAGUCGUCUUUAAGGAAGUUGGACUCCAGCCGGCUUCUUUCGAUGAAGCGGCUGAACCCCCUCUCCACGCCGCGCUUGAAGGACUUGGGCUGCCGAUCGGUCGGGGUCGACGUCGAGGGCUUGCCGGCGUGGUCGAGGAGGGUUAGGUUGAAGACGGCCCUAACGUCGGCGGCGUCGCUUUCGAGGGCGAGGAAGAGGGAGACGCAGUCGGCGGCGUCCUGCGUGUACCCGUCGGGGAAGAACUUGACGGACCAGUCGUGGGCGCCCACGGUGAAGAUGCCGGAAGAUAUGGGCUUGCCGACGCCGAUGCCUUUGGUCAGGGAGUAGCCGGUGACGGUGAACCGGUGGGAGCCGCUCCCCGUCUCCGUCACCCAUGUCGACGACGUCUCCGAGGCGGAGGCGGAGGCGGAGGCGGCCAUCGCAGAGAUCGGAAGUUUCGGGAAGCUUCGGGAGUGGACGAGGAUUGGGGUUUAGGUUUUUAUACGGUUUACAGGCCUACGCAACUUCACUUGGUUGGGCGGCGAAACUGAAAAGUCCCACGUAAGACGAAUUUAAAUUUAAAAUAUAAAUAUAAAUUUAAUUUAAAAUUAAAUAUGACAUUUUUAAUUAAUUAUAAAUUAAAAUUUUGAUACUUUUAAUUUAAAAUAUAUAUUUAAAUUUUAAAUUCGCUAGAAUUUGAAAAUUAUAAAAAAAUAUUUAAUGUAUAUGUAUAUAAAAUAGAACCAUAUAAUUAUUAUAGGCAACAAUUGCUUUAAUUUAAAUUAAAGAUAUGAAAUACUUUUGAAUAAAAUAUAACAGAUAAAUUUACUUUUUAAAAGUUUACAUUUUUGGAUAAAUAUGAUUCUCAAAUUUAUACUGAUUUGAUAUAACUAUUGAAAUAGUUAUUAACUGACCAAUUUUUUAGCAAAAAAAAAUAUAUGUCGCAUUCCAUUUGCGGAAAUAGAAAAAAAAAAUCAUACUUGUUUAAAUUUCAGCCACCUGGAAGAUAUCUACUAUAUAAUAUUUUAAUAGACACAUCAUAAAAGAAUAUUUCAUACUCAUCAAAAAUGAAAAUCUCUAUGAAACGCACAUUAAAAAUAUUCAUAGUAUCUACUAUAUAAUAUUUUUUACAGACGCAUCAUAAAAGAAUAUUUCGUACUGAUCGAAGAAGAAAACCUCUAUGAAACACACAUUAAAAAUAUUCACAGUAUCUAUUAUCUCUCAAUAACUAUUUAUAUUUAAAUCAUGAAUUAAAAAUUAGCUUCAAAUUUUGAGUUUUAUUCAUAAAUCUAAAUCUAAAUUCAUUAAUUUAAAAUUUAGAACUAAUUUAAAUUUUUAAAAUUUUAAUACAUAUUAAAAUAAAUUUGUAUAUUAUAAAACACAUAUGAAAAGUAUUUACGGUAUGACUAAAUUGAAAAUGUAUAGAAUUUAUUUGAAAGCAAAUGAAAGUUAGAAAAAAAAAAUCAAUCGGUAGCUAGACUCGUACCAACAAUAGCUAUUUGAAUUCAAAAUAUAAAUAUAAAUUUAGUUUAAUUAAAUAUGACAUGCUUUAUACGUGCACUAUAACUAGCAUUAUUUGAAAAAAAAUAAAAGGUCUGCUUAAAGGAGUCCAACUUAUUAUUAUUAAUUUAUUAUUAUUUGCAAAAAAAUUCGUGUGCUCUAGAUUGUGACUAUAUAUAUAUAUAUAUANNNNNNNNNNNNNNNCUAUAUAUAUAUAUAUAUAUAUAUAUAUAUAUAUAUAUAGGCCAUGGCUAUUAUACUAUUAUGAGUAUUGGAGCCCUCGUACUCAUAAGUUGUUUUCAAUGAUAGAGCUUCCGAAUUGACGAUCCACUCCGUUAAAUAUGAUCUAGAGUAUUUGAAACUUCUAGAAAAUAAUUUCGUAAAUUUUCGAAAUCAUAAUAAAGUCCAUCAAGUGGGCAUAAAAUGAACGGUCUAAAUCGAACGACGUCCUAAAAAAGGAUGAUCGAAUCCUUCAAUUCAAGAUCGGAGUUAUUGACCUUUAUCUAUGUAGUGAAUAGAAUUUUCUAUCCAAAAUUCAACAAAUUCUGAUUCUUUUACACAGUUAAACUAGCAAGUAUCCCAUACCGACUGUUAAAAAUUGUCAAAUUUGUGAUCUCUUGAUCAUAAGGUAAAUGAUGUCGAAAAAUUAUAAAAUUUGAUUUCUAUAAGUUUUAAAUACUGUAAAUAACGUUUAACGGUGUGGAUCGUCGAUUCGAAAGCUCUAUCAUCGAAAAUAACUUAUGAGUACAAGAGCGAUCGUACUCAUAAUAGUAUAGUAGCCGGACCCAUUAUAUAUAUAUAUAUAUAGAGAGAGAGUUUUGCUAGAAUACUAUCAGUAGUAAACGACUCGAUUUACUACCAAUUUGUUUUCGAUGAUAGAGCUUCCAAAUUGAUGAUCGGCACCGUUAAACAUGAUCUAAACUAUUUAAACUAUCUGGAAAUCAAAUUUCACACAUUUUCGAUAUUGUUCUCUUGUCCAUCAAGUUAACAGAAAAAUGAAUGGCUGGAAAUGAAUAUCCUUCAAAAAGUGAUGAUACAAUUUUUAUAUUUGAGAUCUAUAGUCUAGAUCUUAUUUUAAAUAGUUUAAAGAAUUUUCUAACAAAAAUUUAGUUGAUUUAAACUCUUCUAUACUGUUAAACGAGCAAACGCACCAUAUCGGCCAUUAAAAUUAUAGAUUUUGUGACCCUUUGAUCGUUCAGUUAGUGAUACCAAAAAAUCAUGAAAUUUGAUUUCUAGAUAAUUUAAAUGGUUUAGAUCAUGUUCAACGGUGCCGAUCGUCGAUUUGGAAGCUCUAUCAUAAAAAACAAAUCGGUAGUAAACUGAGCAGUUUACUACCGAUAGUAAAAUGAUCUAACGGAUAAAAAUAAUCAAAAGAAUAAAUAUGACAGCAAAUUAAAUACUUACAAGCAGUAAGUAUUUAGUACUUUUAAAAGCAGCGUAGCUAGACUAUAUAUAUAUAUAUAUNUAGAUUAUGUUCAACGGUGCCGAUCGUCGAUUUGGAAGCUCUAUCAUUAAAAACAAAUCAGUAGUAAACCGAGCAGUUUAUUACCGAUAGUAGCCCAGUCAAACUCAAGAAUAUUAUAUAUAUAUAUAUAUAUAGAGAGAGAGAGAGAGAGAGAGAGAGAGAGAGAGAGAGAGAGCGCGCGCUAGGCUGGUAUACUAUCGGUAGCACGGAGGCCUCCAUGCUACUAAGUUGUUUUCAAUGAUACGGCUUUCAAAUUAACGAUCGGCUCUAUUAAACUUGAUCUAUCGGUAAUUGCUUAUACUUUCCGGCAAUUGAAGGAUUACGAAAAAAAUUACCCUACGCAUGACUUGGAGUUAGCUGCGGUGAUUUUUACUUUAAUGUUGUGGCGGUAUUAUUUAUAUGGCGAGCACUGCGAGGUUUUUACUGAUCAUAAAAGUCUCAAGUAUCUGUUCACCCAAAAGGAGUUGAACCUGAGGCAAUGCCGUUGGUUGGAGUUGUUGAAGGAUUAUGAUAUUAGUAUUCGGUAUUACCCUGGUAAGACGAAUGUGGUGGCAGAUGCGUUGAGCAUGAAGUCAGUGCAGAGCUUGAGCAUAUUGAUUACUCAGCAGAGGAAUCUACUUGAGGAGCUGCAGCGGUUGAGACUCGAGGUAGUAUCCCCUGGGUCUACUGCGAGACUGAUGUCUAUGGUCUUGUGGCCCACUCUAUUGGACAGAAUCAGGGAGAAACAGAGUGUAGACUCUCACUUGUUGAGGAUUCGAGAGCAGAUGGAGAGGGGACAGGCAGAGGGUUUUGUUGUGGACAGUUCGGGAGUACUCUGGUACAGGGACCGACUAUGUGUACCUAUAGAUUCAGAGAUCCGAGAGGAGAUUUUGAGAGAGGCUCACUACUCACCUUAUAUGGUUCACCCCGGUGAAACCAAGAUGUAUAAGGAUUUAAAGGCACAUUUCUGGUGGAAUGGAAUGAAGAAAGACAUUGGCAGAUUUGUGGCUCAGUGUCUGACUUGCCAACAAGUAAAGGCAGAGCAUUAAGCACCUGCUGGCAAGCUUCAGAGUCUGCCAGUGCCCGAGUGGAAAUGGGAGCAGAUCACGAUGGACUUUGUUGUGGGAUUACCUAGAGCAUAGGGUUGUUUUGAUACGAUUUGGGUAAUAGUGGACAGACUGAUUAAGUCUGCUCACUUCUUACCAGUACAGAUCACCUGGUCCAGGGAGAGACUCGCUCAGUUAUAUCUGGAUGAGAUUGUUAGAUUGUAUAGUGUGCCUACUUCGAUAGUAUCUGAUCGAGACCCGAGGUUUGUUUCGCACUUUUGGAGGAGUCUUCAAACAGCCUUGGGUACACAGUUGCAUUUCAGCACAGCAUUUCAUUCACAGACGGAUGGUCAGUCAGAGAGGAUCAUUCAGACUCUGGAGGAUAUGCUGAGAGCAUGUGUCCUGAAUUUUAGAGAAGGGUAGCAUCGACAUUUGAGACUGGCUGAGUUUGCGUACAACAACAGCUAUCAAGCGAGCAUCCAGAUGGCUCCGUUUGAGGCGUUGUAUGGGCGCAGGUGUCGAUCCCCUUUGCAUUGGAGUGACGUGGGUGAAAGGAAGACUCUAGGGCCUGAGAUUCUGAUAGAGGCUGAGAAAAAGGUUGAAGCUGUACGACUCCAUCUUUUGACAGCCCAGAGUCGACAGAGGAGCUACGCCGAUACUAGGAGACGAGACUUCGAGUUCCAGGUUGGAGAUCGUGUGUUUCUGAAAGUUUCGUCGUCUAGAAGGAUACGCAGAUUUGGAGUGCGUGGAAAGCUUAGUCCACACUUUGUAGGUCUUUUUGAGGUAUUGGAGCAAGUUGGACCAGUUACCUACAAGAUUGCUCUACCCCCAUGACUGGCCGGUAAUCAUGACGUUUUUCACGUCUCGGCUUUGAGGAGGUACGUGUUUGACCCCUCGCACGUGAUUGACUUCACUCCGCUGGAGCUUGGCGAGGACUUGAGAUAUGAGGAGCGACCAGUGCGAAUUCUUACUCGGGAGACGAAAGAAUUGCGCAACCGGGUCAUUCCUUAUGUAAAAGUGCGGUGGAGUCAUCACGAGGAGCGGGAGGUGACGUGGGAGCCAGAGACAGUGAUGUGGGAGUCCUACCCUUACUUGUUCAAUGCUGAGGAUUGAGGUAUGCGUUAAGUUUCGAUGACGAAACUUUUUGUAGUGGGGGAGGAUGUAAUAUCCCUGGUGGUCAGCAGCUGUGGAAUUUCUGCAUCUGAGGCUUGUCGACACAUCUGGAGAGUGUCGGAACAAGUCCGAGUCGUUUUGGCACAAAAUAGACGCAAAACAGACUCGUUCCGAGUCGAGAGCAGGUUUUUAGCAUUGAAAUCUGCAAAUUGUAGGUUUUCAGCAAUACGUACCGGUACCACACAGGGGAGUACCGGUACCCCAGUAUAGGUUUUCCGACUACUGCUCUCAGGUUGCAACUUCUGAUGUGGGGUAUCGGUACGGCGUCGGCCUGGUACCGGUACUCCAGGGUAGGUGAGGGGCUUUUUGGUAAAUUGCUACCUCGUGAAUGUCACCCUUAUCCCCUCCUUUUAUGUACGUGUAGAGAGGUUAAGAGAGGAUUUUGGCUACCCAUUUCCUCCCUCUCUCUAGGUUGAGCUGUACGCACGGAGGAGGCUUCGGGUGGAAUUCAGAUCGAUGCCGACGUCGCGCCGGGGAGCCGUUCGAGCGCGUGGACGUCGUAGUUGCAUCGUUGGGAGGCUGGGCCAGCGUGUGGUUCCUCUCCUAUCGACUUCUCGCCGUCGCGGAUUAGCGUUUUGAGGUGGGUUGAUGUUAAGUUACCGGAAUUUUCGGAUUUCCUCCUAAGUCUCAGUUGACAGCAUGUAUUAUUGGGUUUUGUAUAUCAUGUUUAAUAGCUCGAAUUUGUGGAUUUGCAUAUUCUUUGAAAUCUGAAUUUGGAGCAUAAUUAUUGGUUUAAAUAAAUCAUAUAUGUUGGACUUCGAUUUUACUUAGGAGAAAACCAUAAUUUCUAUAUUGUCAUUUUUCGAAAAACUAACAGAUUUAGCUUUAGGAGCUGUAGUUAGUUUGUAUCACCGUAGUUUGUACGCAGUGGAUAUACAGAAUAGUGUAGAAUGAGAUUACACUCGUACUGGGAUGCCGAGUUUAGUUUUACAGUAGUGUCUAGACUAUUCCGAACUGUCGGGUGCCGUUGUGGUUGACGGUGGACCGAGAUUUCAGUAUUUUGCAUCAGAUUGUGCUGAGGGCAUAUUUAUUAUGGUUGUUAGACCAGUUAGACCCUUCUGUUUUGACUAUAGCCUGUGAGAGCCUGAUUGAGCUCGGCAGAGAUACGCUUGCAUAUUCGGUUAGGUAGCGCCCACGAGUGCCACUCCAGAGUCGAGCAUUGUGUUUUUGCGUUGUUGUCGGUUUGUCCUGGUUGGACUUGCUCUCCACUGACGACCUAUCGUAGUGGUAGUUAGUAUAGCUUCGGCAGGCGGGACGGGUGUGUUCACAGUCCCUAGUGAGAUUGGGUCAGAGAUUGCAUUUUCUACAGAUAGUUAGUGUUAGAUCGUGAUAGUAUAGUGACAUAUAGCUGUAGAUUUCUUCCAGCUUCAUUUACUAUCUUUGAGCAUACUUUCUGUAGACUUAGUGAGUGAGUCGUUGAGGUCGAUGGCGGUACCCACUGAGGACUACUUCUUUGUGCAGUAGUUCUCACACCCAGUUGUUGAACCUUUUUGUAGAGCCUUCUUCUUCGACUGCUGCUGUUGCGGAUACAGAUCGUGGAAAGGGAGUCGCAAGUUAAAUCCCUUCUCGUUUUGCUGCUGAUCUAGAGAUAUACCAGCUACAGGUAGCGUUGGUUUUUGGUUCUUGUACAUACUGAUGUUAGAUCCUCGCUGGAGCGAGUGUUAUGUAUUUGGAGACUAAGUAUGUAUUCUGAACCGAUGUUAUUUAUCUAUGUUUUUUAGUUUAGCAGCUCUAUACUACUAGUUGUAGUUUUGUAUGAUUAUAGGUACAGGUACAGCUAUCGCUUCGUAUAUAGGGGAAAUUCUUUUGUAUACGGCGGAUUUGUCGGCAUGCCCGGAAAAAUAAGUAAUCCGGGGCGUGACAAAUAUAUUUCCAAAAUUGGCCCUAUAUAUGCCAUGUAAGCGUCGUACAAGUGCCAUGUUAGAAAUGAAGUUUUUUAAGUUAAAUAUGGUGAACCAUUCAUCGUGUUCAAACAUGGUGUUUGAACACGGUGUUUGAAUUGACACGGUGAAUGGUUCAUCAUAUUCAACUUAAACUCUACCUCCAAUAUGGCGAUUGCGUAAUGCUUACGUGAUAGAGAUAGAGUUAAUUUUACAAAUAUAAAUUUUAUGAGACUAUUUAUAAAAAAAAAAUUAAUUAAGGAGCUAAAUACAAAAAGUGCCCUAACAUAGUUAUACAAAAAUAUAGAAAAUAAAAUAUGGUUGUCUAUUAAAUGUAAAGUUACUAUCUAAAUCAACUAUCAGAUAUCACUUCAAGUUAACUAGGCUAAUUUGCAUAAAAAUUCAUUAGUUUUGCAAUUUUGCAAAGGUGGACUACAAUUUUGGAUUUUGCAGAUUUGAAACGAAUUUUUGAAAAACUAACGAAAUACUUUUAUUCCUUUUUUUUCUCUUCUUUUUUUUUGCGCUCUUUUUUUUUUUUUCUCUCCGACCAUCAUCACCUCCUCUAUCGCCUCCGCAGCCCAUGGCGACGAUAACGAGAGUGGCACUGCCUUCUCUUUCUCCACCUCCACCUCCGCUGGCAUCAGCACCGAUGUCGGCACCGGAGGAGAAGAACUUGGAGCCGCCUCCACCUCCGCCGGCACCAACGCUGUAGUAGGAGAACUCGAAGUGGGCUCAGAUGAGGGCGGAGUGGACGGAAGCGAUGAGAUCGUGACCGAGGAGGUGCUCGCCACCCAUGAGAAUGAUGACGAAGACCCGCCCAUCUCUUCCGUCCACUCCGCCCUCAUCCGGAGUAACCUAUUGUAACCUAUAUGAAUAUAAACUUACUUUAUAUUUAUUUAAAAAUUAUUACCUUACAUUCAACCGUAUUAUUAAUGAUCUGAUAUAGAUAAUUUACUUAUUAAAAACUGAUUAGGGUCACUAGGCCAACAACAUACACAGCCCGCGAACAAUUCAUUAUCAUUACCAUUCUUCAUUGCAUAUAUAGAACUUUUAUUAAUAAAACAUUAAAAAUUGAACGAUAUCGAUCGAGCUUAUACUAAUUAGGGUACAAGCACGAAACUAGACAAGCAUAAACUUCAAUUGUUUGAAAGAGUUUAAUUAAGACUGACACAAAAUUUCAAUCUCCUAAAAUUUGGGAGAUAUUGCUUUUGACUAAAUUACAAAACACACUUCUUUACAUAAGGCUCUGUUUCAAUUAUCUCACUGCAUUAAAAAUUACAUCAAUAAUUUUCUGCACUUUAUCAUUGUUUCACAUAGGUCCAAAAUUAUAGGAUAAUUGCUGAAUUCAGCUAUAAAACAUGAUAGAAACAAAUUGAUUGAUGAAGUUACUUAUGAUUGGUGCAGUAAAAUCAUAUAUAUGAGUAAACUUAUUAGAUGAACUAUGAUUUUUUAUAGUGUUAACAAAAUAAGCACUACAACAGAAUUAGAUUAUAGAGACACAUUUUUAGGACACUUUUGUGAAAGUAUUUUAUUUAUGCCAAAAUUUAAAAAAAAAAUCUAUUUAGGACUAAAUAUAAAAUCCAAUUCAAUCAAAAAUUAAAAGUUCCUCUACUCAACCAACCCCAUCCAGCCCACUAAGCCUAAUUACAAAUAGAAAAGGAAAAAAAAAAUUAAUCACUAUCUCUCUUUCUCCUCUUCCACUGCAGCAGCCGAUGAGGUAGGGUUCUGGUGGGCGGAGUUCGGCCGCGAGAAUCUCGCAGGGACCGUAGAAGACUACGAUCACUACGUGUCACUCCGUCACAGAUUGCUGGAGGAGUGGGUGUCAAACAUCAAGAGGUUGUUGGAGGAGUGGGUGUCAAACAUCAAGGCAGCGCACAAAUAGCGACCACACAUAUAGCAACACUUUUAAAAAUGUCACUACACAUAUAGGCAGGCCCUACAUAUAGCGACCACACAUAUAGCAAUACUUUUAAAAAGUGUCGAUAAUUUAGCAAGCAACACUUUUUUGAUCUAUACCGAUAUUUAAAAAUGUCACUACCUACCGUUUUUAUUGUAGCGAAGAGACCUCUUUUAUCUAACUAGUUUUUUUUUUUAUUUUUUAAAUUGUGUAUUAGAUAGAUGUUGAAAUAUAGAACAAUGUGAUGUAUUCUCUCAUUUUAGUGAAGUUUUUCAACCUAAUUCAUUGGUUAGCUGAACUAUUGAAUCUUUUUAAAACAGUGGCAAAGCAUAGAAAUGCAAUCCAUGCAUCUUUUUUUAGUAUAUAGUAGGGAGAUAACUAAGCCAUGGCCUGAAGUGCAAAGGAAACUUUUGUAAUUAAGCUUUGUCCUUUUUCCCACUUAAUUGAUGACCACUUCAAUGUACUAUAAUAAUAAUAUCGACCACAGACCAAUCUCCUUUCAUUCUAGUGCAGAAAUACUUUAGCUAGGGAUACAUUACUAACUCUUUUCACUCCAGUGCAGAAACACUUUAGUUGGGUGUACAUACUUAAUUAGUUUGUGCUUAGCAAGCUGCAGGCAUAGAGAGUUUCAGAAAACAAUAUAAUGGAAAUGUACACUUAAAAGCUUCGAAUCAUAAGCGAGUAUACUAUGUCAUAUUUACACCAUACUAUCAACAACUGAUAAAUCAUAUUUUUUUUUCAAAAAGAAAUAUAAUAAAAAUAUUUUUUUAAUAAUUAUAAUGGAAUGGGUGAAUAAACUAAGGAACUAAUCUGGUUGGUUAGGAAUCCCACAUGAGCAAUAUAACUUGUAUGUUCUAGACUUUUUCUUAAUUCAUAGUAGAUACUUAAUUGAGUAUUGGUAUACAAAUUAGUUCAGCAUAAAGGAGAUCAAAUUUCAAAACUUAUUCAGUGAGAGCAUCACAUGGUCUGAGGAAAUCUACAGAUAGAACUACAGUAAUUAAGAUUAAUGAGUAGUAAUUAUAUGGAAAAAUAAGAUAGAUAAUUAACCUCGUAGCAUGUUAAUUACUUUGCAAUUUAACACUGUGCCAAGCAUGAAUGCGUGGUGUGUUUCAAACAGUUAUAAUGCUUCUACUGAAGUAGAAUAUUUGAAUCUAAGGUUAUAAAUCGUACUAAAUUAAUUAAGAAUAAUUCCUAAAAUACUCAGAUCCUUCUUACUCAAAAGGUAGGAUUUUAUUUUGGCGCUUUACUUAUUUGCUCAGCUAGCAUCUCUAAGAGCUCCGUCAGAAUCGACGGGCAACUUAUCCUCAAGUGCUCGAACCCGUCCGUCUGCAUAACGGCAGUCAGUACGCCGGGAGAGGCCACAAAUUCGAGACAGGCUGCUUUGAGUUGGGCGCAGCGGUGCUGCUCGGCCAAGGCCAGCGUUGUCGCCACCAUGUUUACGCUGAGGUCCCGGCACAACUUCUCUUCGCACACUAACCUCAGCCUCUCCAUUCCAUACCGAUCCGCAGCGGCGAGUAAAUGCUGAAGCAUCAAAGUCGAAGUCCCCGGAUCUUCGAACUGAGGCAGCGAAUCCGAGUAGACGAAAUGAAGCAUAGCAUUGAAUGCCACGGGUUCCAUAUCCUCUAUUCUUAUGAACUGCACGCUCUUUUCCAUCAUGGGGCCGAAGAGCUCUGCUCUGAAGACUGGCGACCGCGCGGCGAGCAAGCACCUGUGGGCGGCGAAAGUCUCCCCGCCGACUUGGAAGGCGACGUCGGUUCCCUCUCCGCUGUCCAAGAGGCGGGCGAGGUGACGGUGCAAGUCGGAGGGCGGAGAUGCGAUGGCGGGAAGACCGUCGGGCGCUAUCACAUGCAGUUUCUUCAGCACCGUGACGGUGCAGUCGACCGCCAAGCAGUCGUCCUUCAGGUACUGCGACGCCUCCAGAUCGGUUCUUUUGACGAAGUUCUUGUAGCCCCAGGUUCUGGCGGUCGUCGUGAACUGGCACGGCUUCUCGCGCGCUGAUAUUGUGAUCGGCGGAGGCGCGGGUCCGCCGCUGCCGUCCGUGUCGUGCUCCUGCGCCGCCAAUGUGAGGUUGAACUUGGCCGUGACGCCUGCGGCCGGGCUGGCGAGCCUCACGAAGAAAGAUACGUAGUCGGUGGUGCCAUCGGUUUCGCCGUCGGGGUAGUACCUGACGACCCAGUCGUGGCCGCCGACGGCGAACGCGGCGGAUUCGAAGAACUGGCCGACGCCGAUCCCCUUGGUCAGGGAGUAGGCCGCGAUCUUGAACCGGUGGGACCCACUCGCCCACUCCGGCGCCAAAGUCGAGGACGUGCCCUUGUAUGGCACAGCAGCAGCAGCGGCAGCAGCGGAGGAAGACGUCAUCGCCGUGGACGUGGAGAAAAAGAAGAAGACGAGGGGGGCUCUGGGUUUAGGGCGUAUAUUAAUUAAUUUAUUUGCUUAUUAGUUGCCUUGUUAGGAUAGAAAUUACACACGAUUGUUUCGGGGUAGUUCAAGUAGGUCAAGAUACGCACUUCAGUAAGGGAUGCAAACCGAUCUGGGUUGGUGGAACUCUUGCCCCGAUCCGCCAGAUGGGGCAGUAAAUAGGAAAAAAUAAACGGAUUUGAGACGGAAAAACGGGUAAAUUUUACAAUUUGAGACGAAUUCGUGACAGAAAUCGGAAAAAAUUUUGACUCGCCCCGAAAAUUAUUUAUAUUUUAAAAAAAUAUUUCUAAAAGAUAAUGUAUUUAUAAAAACGUUUAAAAUAUAAAUAAGUUAAUUCUCUCAUUUCUAAUGUAUUUGAAACUUUUGAAUUUUAUUUUGAAUUGUGAUUGAUAUUUUUUAUUUUUAUAAUUGAUAUUGUUAAAUUAUAUAUAUAAUAUUAUUAAAAAUUAUUAUUUUAUAUUUUACAAAAUAUUAAUAAUAUUAUAAUCUAUAUCUAUAUCUAUAUCUAUACUACUUAUAAAUGCGUGAGUUUUGAAUUUUUUUCCUCUUUCCCAAAAUGACCAUCCCUAUUAAUAUAAUUCCAAUCAUAUACUAAUAAUAUCAUUCAUUCAACUUUAAUGGAAUAAAUUACAGUCGUACAAUUUUUAUUUUAUUUUUAAAUUAUCAUAAAAUAUAUUAAUUCAUAGUCGUUCGAUCUAAUCUGACUGACGAAUUAAGUAUCUGUCACUUUUUUUUUACCUAAAUUGCCUUUAAAUAGUAUGUAUCAAAUUUCACUUUUUACACGUGUCAUAUCUCCUAAUAACUGCCGCCAACAUAAUAUCAUAUUUUAUCACAAAUAAUAUUCGCAUUUCUUAAAUAUUUUCUUUUCAAAUAAUAUCCGCAUUUCUUAAAUAUUUUUUUUUCUCACACGUAAUAUCCGCUACCUAUAUAAUAUCCAAUCACAUAGUACCUUCCGUAUAUAAUAUUUAAUCAUAUUUUUUUAAAGAUGAAUAUAUAAAAAUUAUCUCAAUUUUACCUACUAAUAUUUAAAAUAUGAGAUAUUUUUUAAUAAAAUAUAACAUAUAAAUUUACAAUUUAAAAUUUUAAAUUUGUAGAUAAAUGUGAUUCAUAAAUUGAUAUUGAUUUGAGAUAAUUAUUAAAAUAAUUGUUGACACGGACAUACCAUUUUUUAGUCGGAAAAAUAUUGCAUUCUAUUUGUGAGAAUAUAAAGAAAUUUAUACUUAUCUAAAUUUUUGUCGAAAAAUAUUUACUGUAGAAUAUUUUUCACAAGCGCCCCAUAAAAUAAUAUUCCAUACAUGUCAAAAAAUAUAAAAAUCUCUAUGUAACAAAUAUUGAAAAUAUUUUGUAUCUACUAUCUCUCAAUUAACUAACUAAAAAAAAUUAGGUUUGAAAAAUAAAAUAAUUUAAAUAAGUUUAUAAAAUCAACUUUAAAUUUUAAAUUUGGUUCAUAAUUUCAAAUGAGAAUUAAUAUUUUAAUUCAAAUUUUGAAAUUAAUUAAAAUUUUAAUAUUUUGGGUGUGUAAACAGUAUUUCAAAUUGAAAAUAAUUAAUUAACUUAAAAAUAUAUCAAAUUUGAAAAAUAGAUGGGAUGAUAAAUAAAUUAAUAUCUUUAAUAAUUAUUUAUAUUCAAAUUAUGGAUUCAAAAUUAAUUUCAAAUUUUGAGUUUUAUUCAUAAAUAUAAAUAUGAAUUUAUUAAUUUAAAAUUUAGAAUUACUUUAAAUUUUUAAAAUUUGGAUACACAUUAAAAAAAAUUAAUUUUAGAAAAAAUUUAACUGUUAAAUAGAUUUAUACUACCAAUAAUUAUUUAAAUUUAAAAUAUAAAUAUAAAUUUAAUUUAUUUAAAUAUUACGUGCAUUGCAUGUGCACUAUAACUAGUUUUAUAAAAAAUAUUAAUUGGCGGGGCGGAUUCGCGCCGCCGGUGGGAGACGGGUUACAGGCGAGGCAGAUUAUAGGAUGUAUUUUUUAACCCGUCACGGAUUCGGGGCAGAAGGCGGGGCAAAAUUUUGCUAGUCGGGGCGGGAGGCGGGGCAGGGCUCCAGCCCCAAAUUCACCCCGUUUGCAUUCCUAAUUUCGGUUCAAUUAGUAGUUAGACCAGCUCAAUUGGUAUCGAGGUCUUGUGGGUUAUUAUUUAUUUAUGUAAUACAUGUUAAAAUAAUAAUAAAAUAAUAAGAGUCCAGCCAUGUUGCUUCCUAAAUUAUAAAGAAGUUAAUUCUUUCAAUUUUUUAACAUUUAGGUCAAUUCUUUUGACUAUUUCUAAUUUUUAGAUUAAUAUUAUUUUCUUAGAGAAUCACUAAACUCUAUAAGAAAAUCACUAAACUCUAAUGUUGCGUUAGGUUUGGGUACAAGUAAGAACUGCUUAUUAUAACGAAUAGGUACAAGUUCAGAUAUAAGCAGAAACUAAGCUGAUUUUAUGUUUUUUUUUUGAAAAUUAGAUUGUAGCUAAAUAUUAUUUGAAUGGUUAGAUUAGAAAUGAGGAAUAUGAGUUAAAAUUUUAAAUUAAAAAUAUUUUAUCUAAUUAAUAAACAUCAAAAUAUUAAUUAAAAUAAUUUAAUAACUUAAUAAAUUUAUUUGCUAUGAAUAUUGUAUAAGAUAAUAAAAAUAUAUUAAUUAAUUAAUUAAUUAAUUAUAAAAAUAAUUUAACUUUUAAUUAGUUAAUAAAUUAUUUUAAUUAGAUAACUAGUGAAAAAAAUAAUUAGAUUAAUAAAAUAUCAAUGGUUGAUCAAUAUAAAUAUUAGUUGACACAUUGAGGAUGUCUCUGGGAAAGGCACCCGCAAAGUAGCCAUGGCCAUGGAGUAGGGGCUGGCAAAUGAGCGAGCCGGCUCGCGUCGACCACAUUCAACUCGAUAUUUGACUCGCUCGAGCUCGACUCGAAAUUAAAUGAGCCGAGCUUGACAAAAAAAAAAGGCUCGAAAUUUAUUUUAAGCCGAGCUUGAGUAUUACUCGGCUCUUUCGAAUUAGGCUCGAAAAGCUCGAAAAGCUGAAUAUAUAUAUAUAUAUAUAUAUAUAUAUAUAAUAUAUAUAUUAUAUAUAUAUAUAGAAAUUAGGCUGGAAUACUAUAAUAGUAAAACGUUCUUUUUGCUAUCAAGUUUUUAACCAUUGGAUGAAAAAUUGUAGGAUCGGGAUAUAUUAGUCGUUAGAGUUGAGUGGUCCCCCUAGGGUUGAGUGGUCCCACUGGGUUAUAGUAUUUAAUCCAAUGGUUAGAAAUAAUGAAAAGAGUUGAUCCAAAGGCUAAAAAACUGGUAGCAACAAUAGGAUUUUGCUACCAAUAGUAGCCCAGUCCAACUCUAUAUAUAUAUAUAUAUAUAUAUAUAUAGAGUAGAGCUACUAUGCUAUCGAAGUAUAGAGAUUGGCGCUUUCGAUUUUUUGAUUCUUAGAUCAAUCCUUUAUUCGUUUCUUAUCUUUGGAUUAAUAUUAUUAUUAUCUUGUAGGGACCACUCAAUCCAAGAGUAUUAUUUAAUCCUAGGGAGACCGCAAUCAUCCAACCAUACAUUUUUAAUCAAAGGGUCAAAGUUCAAAAAUAUCAAAUCCUCUAUGUUUUCGAUAGCAUAGUAGUUCUACACUAUACUAUAUAUAUAUAUAAUUAUAUAUAUAAUAUAUAUAUAUAUAUAUAUAUAUAUAUAUAUAAUAUAUAAUAUAUAAAUAAAAUAUAUAAAUAUAAUAUAUUUAAUUAUAUAUAGGCUGAGUGAAUAAUCUGAGUUUAGUUAAAAUUGGGCCAAUAUUGUUUGGCCAUAAAAACAAACCUAAUAGACAAAUAAAAAGGCAAAAUUUUACUAAAUUUAUAUAUUUUUUCCUUUCUUUCUUCUUUCUUCACAGAGCUCUAAAUUUUCAAUAUGUUUCUCUCUUUCUCUUUUUCUAUCUCUCACCCUAAGUGGCCAAGCCGGAAGCCCUCUAAGUUACCAAGUAACAUCAUAUGUCUGCCUUUGCCUACUUUGCUAUUAAUUAUAUGCUUGAGAAAAAUAUACAGAAUAUUUUUAAAGUAAAAAAUUAUUAUUCAUAUAAAAUUUUAAUUUUAGUUAUAUAUGAUUGGAUAGUUUAAUCCAAUAUUUAUCUAUAUAAUUUAUUUAUUUUUGACUGCAUAAAUGAAAAUGAAUAAUAUAGAGAUUGAAGGCGGAAGAAAAAACAUGUAAGGCUGAAAAAAUUAGAUAUUCAACUCAUAAAUUAUAUUUUUUCAUAUUAUAAUACUAUAUUUCAUAUAACUAUUUUGUACUUUGAACUAUUAGACAUAUUUUUGUAUUAAAUUAUAGAUAAUGUUCUAUACAAAUUAAACUAUUGAUCGUAUAAUGUUGAGAAUUUCAAGCGGCUCGUUUAGGGCUCGAGCUCGCUUGACUGGAAAUUAGGCUCGCUCGAGCUCGGCUCGAAGUAAUUUCAAUCCAAGCUUGAGCUUAAAUUUAGGCUCGAAAUUAAUUUCAAGCCGAAUUUGAGCCGAGGUAAGCUCGCUCGAGCUCGGCUCGUUUCCAUCCCUACCAUGGAGAGUCAGACCAUCAAGCGACAUUUUUUUCAAUUUUUUUUUACAGUAAAAGCCUGUAACAACUCGAUCCGUUACUAAUAACAAUUUGUUGGAUCUAAACCGCUGAUCCAAAUAUUUAAGCCCAGUUAUUAUUAUGUUGCCAGGCCUCAUAUAUUUCUAAUUAGAAUUUUUUUUCCAUCCGAUAUAGAAUUAUUGGGCGUUACAAAUUCUCCAUGUUUAUAUCCUAACAUACUCAUCAGAUACAAAGCCAAUCACACACAUAUAAACUAAAAGUACCAUUUUCGAAAUCCAUGCUUAAAGCAAAUACUUGAAGGUCAACCCGUGCAUAAAAGAAACAAUACAAAAAUAUGAGAUUCUAUAAGUGGCUCCUAUAGGUUCAAAAGAUGACUUCCACCAAACACAUGGUGUAAUACUUUGCACCGCAUAACACUUAGCUCUCACACCUCCGGCCGGUAUUCAGCUCUAAUACCAACUGCAAUGAUCCGACCCAUUGACAAUAAUAAUUCAUUGAGCCCAAACCAGCAGUCCAAAAUACUAUAGUGGAGUUAAGAGGUUUAGUUCUAUUAUAUCUUACUAGUUAAGGAUCCCGCACGAUGCCGUGGGUAGAUGUCACGCCCCGGGGUCCCUUUUUGUUUGGAAAAACAGCGGAAACGACUGAAAAUUUUUUUUUUUUUUGAAACACCUGACCCCAGUGUAUGUCAGAUCCACCACAAAUACAGGGAAUCCACUGUUUACACGGACAGAGUUUUCCCUGUAUUUGCACGGCGUCGCACAAGUACAAUUAUACAAACAGAGUAUAACCAGAAUACAACCACAACCAUAUGAACACACAAUCACAACUACACAUGCAGACGUUCAUACAUUCACCAUUCACAACGCGACAGUAUUCCAAUUUUUAAACAAAAAUCCAGAACUAUCAUUUGAAAUGUUUCCCACACAGAAACUUUUAUCCUUUCAAAACGCUACGACGAGGGGUAGAAAAAUAUUUGAAAACUGUAUCGAAUAUGAAAACUCUUUUCUUUUAAAACGAGCGCUACCACGAGGGGUAGAAAACCAUUUUUUUUUCUUGAAAGCUCAUAGAUCUAUUUUUAUUUACGAAAACCCAGCAGAAAACUGAACAUUCAAGUACCGAAUGAAACUGAACCAAAAUUAAAGUUUACUAUUUAUUCAAGCAAGGGAAAAGAGAUAACCAAACGGGACGGAGCUCUAUCGCGCGCUAGACUCGCUCCUCACCUGCCGUCCCACUCGGACCUGCGACGUCACCUGUAAUGGGGGCGGGGGGUGAGAACAUGUAAACAUGUCUCCCCUCCCAGUGGGUACCGCAAGCCGACGAGGGCGAGGGUACGCACCAGCAAAGGAGGCUAAGCAACAGUAAAGGUAAACAACUACAGUAGCUACUAUGAUAUAAGAACAGAAAGUACAAGUAAGGAACUGAUGUACGAGUAAGGAACUACUGCUACUGUAUGUAUGCAUCAACUGGUGGAUAGUCCAAGGAUACAAUCUACAACCCUGCCUUUGUUGGUCCGGAGACCUCAGGCUCAUGUCACAAUCACUCAACCCUGCGUAUACCCAGUCUCGUAACCUCUGAGCUCACGGGUGGGCCAAACGCAACACUUUUCGCGGAAAAGAACACCCCCUGCCGGUGGAUCAGACCGCUGGUGUUCGUGAAAUGCCGAACGAGUGGUGACGAUCGAUGCUGAUAUGCUCAAUAGCCCAACCGUCGGCAACCAGCCGACACCCGACCGAUAGGUCAUCAAGUACAAAGGAACCGACCCGAGAUUGGUCAAAGUACGUAAAGUAGUGAACGACCAAAUAGGUACCGAUGCAACAGGAGAACACGACCAAUCAGGUCACAAGUAUAGUAUAUACUAAUGCCAACUACUCUCUACCCUACAUCAGAUCUACGCAUAGGACAACAGACCGACAGAGUAAACAAAAACAGUAUGGUGCAAGGCUCAAUAUGUAACGAGUAAACAAUAUGAAUAGACGAUGUAAAAGAUAGGGUAAAAGGAGGACAUCACCGAGCGUGCACCGCUGUAACCGACUUCGGAUCGAAGUACCACCUGUACUAGAAGCUGAAUGGUCUCGCUAAGUCGCAGACGAAGCGACCGAUCCUACGAAGGGUCCACCCGGGUUAGAAGUCUAACCCACGAAUAAAUAACAUGACCAAUCUCACACAAAUCCCAAAUCAUAACCCCACUGAAAUCGGUUUCUCAAACGCAACAUCCGAAUCAGCCGGAAGUCCCGAAAACCGUAUCGGAACUCCACCGUCGCUCACACCCGUCGUUUCUGAACCUUCGAGACGACAUGGGUGACCACACAAGGCUCAGCGACGCUACAUGUCAAUCACGAGGCACCGUCGUAAGAAUUCCGAUCGAACGCGCGUUCUAUCGGCGAUUUCGCCGAAAAACCUCCCGGAAAUGAACGAGUAAGAUUUUCCGCAAAAGGCUUGGGGCCUGGACGAUCAGUCCAGAGGUAUCUUAAGCUUUACCUGCUGCCAACAGCAGCGCACGACGAGCGAAACGCAAACGGAUCCCUAAUGGCCCAUGAAAUCACAUCAUUUUAUGUGAUUUCAUGGCUCUACGGUGCGUACCAGCAAACCAGGGAUCUACGGAGGUUGCCAUCAGCACUUGCUGCAAGGUUUCGGCAUGCCUGAGCCGUGCUCACGCUUUCGGAGCACUGCCGGAAGCAACCAAACGCGCGCACGAGCGACGCGACUCUCAGCGAUCAGUGGGCACCAGCGCGAAGAUCGCACACUACUCAUUAACCAGGGCACCGUUAAUCUAAAUGGAGGUGAGCAUCGUGUUCAGGCACGAGCCGACGAUCACCGUGCUCACCUCCGAGGUGCAAGGGAGUCGUCCGGAUCACCGGACAAUGACCGGAACCGCAAAACGACGUGCUGGAACUAAGGUACACUACUCACCGAGCUGUGGGAGCUAGGGAUGGCCGCCGGCGAUCGGACGGCGGCACUCCGGCGGUGAUGGAGCAGCAGGUCGGGGAGGUCCGGGAAGGUGCUGGCCGGCGCCGGCAGCAGCCGGUGGCGGCGGCGGCGGAGAUCGGGCCCACCGACUUCCUCUCGGUUUGGAGCUUGCCGGUCGGCGAGGCGGCGACCGGGGGAGUCGGGCGGGAUGAUCCGGCGCCGGGGACCGAGGAGAGGUGGUGCCCACCUCCGGGGGCAACGGCGGCGCUCGGGAGUGCGCGGCUCCCAGGGUCGGCCCUCACAAGACCCCGAGCGGCGGCGGGAGGCCUUGGCGGCAGCCGGCGAGGGCGCGGGGACGGCCGGCGACGCACGCGCCGGGUUGCUGGAGGUCCGCCGGGGUCGACAGGGAAGCUUGGCGCAGGGGGAGGUGGCGGUCCAAGGCCGAACCCCGAGCUCGGCCCGGCUCGGUUCAGGGCAGACCCGACUGGCUACAGCUCUUCCGGCGGCUUCCGGCGACGCUCAGCGGGUGGCCGGGGUCGCCGGGAAAGAGGGCACCUGAGGUGGAAGGAGGCCGGGGCUUGCCUCCACAGGCAGUGGAGACCCUCCCACAAGCCCUCGGUCUAAGAAGAUGGCCGAGAGAGGAGGUAGGCCGGUUCGCAGGCAGUUUCGGCGGCCGGGCAGCUCGGGCGGCGGCCGAUAACGUGAGCACGGGCAGGGCAGGGUGGUGCUGUGGGUGACAGGGCGCUGGGUCAGCUGGGGAGUUCUAGGGUUAGGGUUAGCUCCAAGAAACCCUAGGGUCAACAAAUAUAUAGGUAUUGCGACUUUUGCGGAAAACCCCCCUCAAGCUGAAACGGUUUAAACCGCAGCCUCCUGCCAGCGAGUGCUUUAUGCACGGCAGCCCCUCCGAGUUCAAAAACUCGCAAAUCGGCGGCAUAAAAUAUAGCGCCUUUUCGGCGAAUUAUCCGAUUAUUCAAAUCAGCCCCUUCGCGGACUUUUCGCGAUUCCCGAGAAUCCGUCCCGUCCGGAUUUCGAUCGGAUCACACCAGCUGCGAUCAGCAGCUCAGAGGCAUCGAAUCUAGCAUCUCGUUUCGUCGAAAGAUUUCCGAUUUGCGACAAAACCUUCCUUCUAGUCUCACCAAAAACCACAUAUAGACAAUUAAUAUGCAAAAAACCACUAAACCUUUUUCUCGAAAUCCGUGCCUCCAAAUUCAAUUCUGUCAGUGCAAAGGGUCCGGAUAGUCGAGGCGUUGAAAACGAGCUAUUGGAAGGCUAUCUUCGGAGUCCGAUACGCGUCGAAAAUUCACUUUACUCCGCGCCUCCUGGAAAACCGGAGUUUACUAUUCACUUAAGUCAGACUUCCGGGUCCGCUAACUUCUCCGUUUUAACAUCGUUUUCUCCUGAAAUUUGAGGUACACAUAAUAUUAUAUUACACAAAAGAAUCAUCAUCAACCAAAAGGUUUAUAUCAAAAAUCAAAAAUCUCAGUUAUUACAGUAGAUAAUUAGAUUCAAACUUUAAAUAAAAUUCAAAAUUAUAAUUUCUGAUUAUAAAAUUUUAAUUUUAAUUUUGAUUUUAAAUUUUAAAUUUAAAUUUAAAAUUUAAAAUUUUUAUUUUAGGACUAAAGUGAAAAACAUGUAAAUUUAGGAACCAAAAUUAAACAUGCAAAAUAAAAUCAAGUAGGUGCUGACAUGAGAAAUUCAUUACUUUUAACACAUCUUUUUGAACGGCUGGGACGUAAUAUAAUGAAAUCAGGUUGGAAACUUUAUGGAAAAAAAAUAUUGGGGAACAAUAAAAAAAAAAUAGUGCUAAGUUGGGACCAUAGUGCAAUAAAUCAUGUAUGUGGGCCUCACAUCUCCUCCAAUAGGUUGUCAAUUCAUGUAUUUUAUUAUUUUAUUUAUAUUUAAUUUAUAAAUUUGAAAAAAAAAAAUAUUGGCGAAAAAUAAGAAACGUUGCAAAGUUGAGAACCAACGUUGCAAUUAAUUAUGUAUGGCCCACAUCUCUCCAAAAUAAGAAGAGGACUCCUUCAGGGUUGCUAAUUCAUGUAUUUUUAAUACUAUUUUUUAUUUUAUAGAUUUGAGAAAAAAAUGUUGGAGACCAAAAUAAAAAAUAGUGGCAAAGUUGGGGACCAAUGGUGUAUUAAUCAUGUAUGUGCGGCCGCGCACAACUUUCCAAAGAGAUGUCACGCCCCGGGGCCGAUUUUAAAAGCCUUUAAAAAACAAAGUUGCGAAAAACUUGCCAUUUUUUUUUUUUUCAACCUGGCCCAUGGCCCACGCGACGUACAGACCCGCACAAAUACAAAAGUUCCUCUGUCACGAUCGAACAGAGUCUCCUUUGUUUUGCACGGCGUACUAGCCUAUACACACAAGAUCUCAACCACAACCUAAUAUUAUCCAAUCAACAACCAAAAUAUGAUAGCAUUUCCAUACAGCUAACAAUCCUUAGAAUGAUGCAUGCCUCUAAGCACUCCUAGGCGCUGGAAUAAUGCAAUGCACAAUACAACAAACAUCCUAUUUAAAAGUGCCCCCACCACGAAGCUUUUUUUUUAAACUCUAAUUUCAUUCAUUCAUAAAAACCCAUUCGGAAAACCUUUAUAAAACUGUUUCCAACACGGAAACUCUAUUUUGAAAACCGACUACUCUCGAGGGUAGAAAACCAGCGAUGCAUAACUACAAGAAAACCAAAUCUCCACAGAACCAAAACCACAGAUCAAAAACUCCAAUCUACAUGUAUAAAGAACCAACACCACAUUUCACAUACAUUCAAGCAUACAUAAGAUCAGCUAACUGAACCAUUAUUAAGAAAAACUACUAAGUGCGGAAAAGAGAUAACAAGGGUGAGCGUCACUACUGCCGUCUAGCUAAGAUCGUCCUCUCAUCGAGCCCAAAAUCCAACUCCUCGUCUCUGUCACCUGUGGGGAAAUGGUGGGGUGAGAAACCGCAACCAUGUUUUCUCAGUGGGUACGACAGGCACGAAGGCAAGUCGUAAUCACCGGAAACCAAAGGAGAUAAGAUAAACAAGUAAUAUAUCUGUAAGCUGAUAUGAAUAGAACUACAGUAGCUUAAAAACGAUAAAUAGGCAAGCAAUAAAUAAACCUGCUACUGUAUAGAAAAAUGCAAACGAAUGCCUCAAUGUACUGAACCAGAAACUGUACCAAUCUGUGGCCUGCUGUAUGGCUCCGCAGACCUCACGCUACCUGUCACUAACUGCACCGACCUGAUCCAUCCCGCCCCGCAGGACGACCCAUCCGGAUAAGUACACUCGAUCGGUGGCCAACCGAUCGGUGUCAUGAAUACCCCCAAGGCCGUGACUAACUCAUGCUGGUAGCUCAAACAAAAACAAACCCGCUAAAGCCGUGCCUAGCCGAAGCCAACAACGAGGGUGUAUAAUGCCAAUGAAACAGAAGCUAGGGCGUACAACCCCGAACUGAAAUAGAUACCAGGGCGUACAACGCCGAACCUCGAUCAACCAAGAUCGAAACACACGACAAGAGAGUCGAUGUGUUGCCUGGACCCAAGUUCCACAGAGACUACGAAAUACGAAUGCAGCCUGCUCUACAUGUCAUCCACAACUAUAACAAUGAAUCAAGGGAUGCGAAUAACAAACGAUAACAAGCAAUCAAUGUAGAGACUAAAUACACGGAAUAGAAAAACAGGAGAAGGAAGUGAAACGCUCUCACCGAUACCAGCUUAAAGCACCCACCUGUCACUCGUCGCGUCAGAACACUGGGUACGCACAAGUCGACCGACCCACGAAGAUCCCACGGUCAGUAACCAACCCACUCACCUGAAGUACACUAUCUCACAAACUCCCACACAGACCGGUAUCGUUUCCCAAAACCGAUCAUCGUAACUCACCGGAAGUCCCGAAAACCACACCGGGACCGUCGCGACCCACUAAGUGUCCGAACUCACCGACUCGUGCCACGAGUCACCCGCUGCCCCAAAGCACUCCAAUUUGAUGCCUUGCACAAACACAGAGGUAACACAACAAUAAACGANNNNNNNNNNNNNNNNNNNNNNNNNNNNNNNNNNNNNNNNNNNNNNNNNNNNNNNNNNNNNNNNNNNNNNNNNNNNNNNNNNNNNNNNNNNNNNNNNNNNNNNNNNNNNNNNNNNNNNNNNNNNNNNNNNNNNNNNNNNNNNNNNNNNNNNNNNNNNNNNNNNNNNNNNNNNNNNNNNNNNNNNNNNNNNNNNNNNNNNNNNNNNNNNNNNNNNNNNNNNNNNNNNNNNNNNNNNNNNNNNNNNNNNNNNNNNNNNNNNNNNNNNNNNNNNNNNNNNNNNNNNNNNNNNNNNNNNNNNNNNNNNNNNNNNNNNNNNNNNNNNNNNNNNNNNNNNNNNNNNNNNNNNNNNNNNNNNNNNNNNNNNNNNNNNNNNNNNNNNNNNNNNNNNNNNNNNNNNNNNNNNNNNNNNNNNNNNNNNNNNNNNNNNNNNNNNNNNNNNNNNNNNNNNNNNNNNNNNNNNNNNNNNNNNNNNNNNNNNNNNNNNNNNNNNNNNNNNNNNNNNNNNNNNNNNNNNNNNNNNNNNNNNNNNNNNNNNNNNNNNNNNNNNNNNNNNNNNNNNNNNNNNNNNNNNNNNNNNNNNNNNNNNNNNNNNNNNNNNNNNNNNNNNNNNNNNNNNNNNNNNNNNNNNNNNNNNNNNNNNNNNNNNNNNNNNNNNNNNNNNNNNNNNNNNNNNNNNNNNNNNNNNNNNNNNNNNNNNNNNNNNNNNNNNNNNNNNNNNNNNNNNNNNNNNNNNNNNNNNNNNNNNNNNNNNNNNNNNNNNNNNNNNNNNNNNNNNNNNNNNNNNNNNNNNNNNNNNNNNNNNNNNNNNNNNNNNNNNNNNNNNNNNNNNNNNNNNNNNNNNNNNNNNNNNNNNNNNNNNNNNNNNNNNNNNNNNNNNNNNNNNNNNNNNNNNNNNNNNNNNNNNNNNNNNNNNNNNNNNNNNNNNNNNNNNNNNNNNNNNNNNNNNNNNNNNNNNNNNNNNNNNNNNNNNNNNNNNNNNNNNNNNNNNNNNNNNNNNNNNNNNNNNNNNNNNNNNNNNNNNNNNNNNNNNNNNNNNNNNNNNNNNNNNNNNNNNNNNNNNNNNNNNNNNNNNNNNNNNNNNNNNNNNNNNNNNNNNNNNNNNNNNNNNNNNNNNNNNNNNNNNNNNNNNNNNNNNNNNNNNNNNNNNNNNNNNNNNNNNNNNNNNNNNNNNNNNNNNNNNNNNNNNNNNNNNNNNNNNNNNNNNNNNNNNNNNNNNNNNNNNNNNNNNNNNNNNNNNNNNNNNNNNNNNNNNNNNNNNNNNNNNNNNNNNNNNNNNNNNNNNNNNNNNNNNNNNNNNNNNNNNNNNNNNNNNNNNNNNNNNNNNNNNNNNNNNNNNNNNNNNNNNNNNNNNNNNNNNNNNNNNNNNNNNNNNNNNNNNNNNNNNNNNNNNNNNNNNNNNNNNNNNNNNNNNNNNNNNNNNNNNNNNNNNNNNNNNNNNNNNNNNNNNNNNNNNNNNNNNNNNNNNNNNNNNNNNNNNNNNNNNNNNNNNNNNNNNNNNNNNNNNNNNNNNNNNNNNNNNNNNNNNNNNNNNNNNNNNNNNNNNNNNNNNNNNNNNNNNNNNNNNNNNNNNNNNNNNNNNNNNNNNNNNNNNNNNNNNNNNNNNNNNNNNNNNNNNNNNNNNNNNNNNNNNNNNNNNNNNNNNNNNNNNNNNNNNNNNNNNNNNNNNNNNNNNNNNNNNNNNNNNNNNNNNNNNNNNNNNNNNNNNNNNNNNNNNNNNNNNNNNNNNNNNNNNNNNNNNNNNNNNNNNNNNNNNNNNNNNNNNNNNNNNNNNNNNNNNNNNNNNNNNNNNNNNNNNNNNNNNNNNNNNNNNNNNNNNNNNNNNNNNNNNNNNNNNNNNNNNNNNNNNNNNNNNNNNNNNNNNNNNNNNNNNNNNNNNNNNNNNNNNNNNNNNNNNNNNNNNNNNNNNNNNNNNNNNNNNNNNNNNNNNNNNNNNNNNNNNNNNNNNNNNNNNNNNNNNNNNNNNNNNNNNNNNNNNNNNNNNNNNNNNNNNNNNNNNNNNNNNNNNNNNNNNNNNNNNNNNNNNNNNNNNNNNNNNNNNNNNNNNNNNNNNNNNNNNNNNNNNNNNNNNNNNNNNNNNNNNNNNNNNNNNNNNNNNNNNNNNNNNNNNNNNNNNNNNNNNNNNNNNNNNNNNNNNNNNNNNNNNNNNNNNNNNNNNNNNNNNNNNNNNNNNNNNNNNNNNNNNNNNNNNNNNNNNNNNNNNNNNNNNNNNNNNNNNNNNNNNNNNNNNNNNNNNNNNNNNNNNNNNNNNNNNNNNNNNNNNNNNNNNNNNNNNNNNNNNNNNNNNNNNNNNNNNNNNNNNNNNNNNNNNNNNNNNNNNNNNNNNNNNNNNNNNNNNNNNNNNNNNNNNNNNNNNNNNNNNNNNNNNNNNNNNNNNNNNNNNNNNNNNNNNNNNNNNNNNNNNNNNNNNNNNNNNNNNNNNNNNNNNNNNNNNNNNNNNNNNNNNNNNNNNNNNNNNNNNNNNNNNNNNNNNNNNNNNNNNNNNNNNNNNNNNNNNNNNNNNNNNNNNNNNNNNNNNNNNNNNNNNNNNNNNNNNNNNNNNNNNNNNNNNNNNNNNNNNNNNNNNNNNNNNNNNNNNNNNNNNNNNNNNNNNNNNNNNNNNNNNNNNNNNNNNNNNNNNNNNNNNNNNNNNNNNNNNNNNNNNNNNNNNNNNNNNNNNNNNNNNNNNNNNNNNNNNNNNNNNNNNNNNNNNNNNNNNNNNNNNNNNNNNNNNNNNNNNNNNNNNNNNNNNNNNNNNNNNNNNNNNNNNNNNNNNNNNNNNNNNNNNNNNNNNNNNNNNNNNNNNNNNNNNNNNNNNNNNNNNNNNNNNNNNNNNNNNNNNNNNNNNNNNNNNNNNNNNNNNNNNNNNNNNNNNNNNNNNNNNNNNNNNNNNNNNNNNNNNNNNNNNNNNNNNNNNNNNNNNNNNNNNNNNNNNNNNNNNNNNNNNNNNNNNNNNNNNNNNNNNNNNNNNNNNNNNNNNNNNNNNNNNNNNNNNNNNNNNNNNNNNNNNNNNNNNNNNNNNNNNNNNNNNNNNNNNNNNNNNNNNNNNNNNNNNNNNNNNNNNNNNNNNNNNNNNNNNNNNNNNNNNNNNNNNNNNNNNNNNNNNNNNNNNNNNNNNNNNNNNNNNNNNNNNNNNNNNNNNNNNNNNNNNNNNNNNNNNNNNNNNNNNNNNNNNNNNNNNNNNNNNNNNNNNNNNNNNNNNNNNNNNNNNNNNNNNNNNNNNNNNNNNNNNNNNNNNNNNNNNNNNNNNNNNNNNNNNNNNNNNNNNNNNNNNNNNNNNNNNNNNNNNNNNNNNNNNNNNNNNNNNNNNNNNNNNNNNNNNNNNNNNNNNNNNNNNNNNNNNNNNNNNNNNNNNNNNNNNNNNNNNNNNNNNNNNNNNNNNNNNNNNNNNNNNNNNNNNNNNNNNNNNNNNNNNNNNNNNNNNNNNNNNNNNNNNNNNNNNNNNNNNNNNNNNNNNNNNNNNNNNNNNNNNNNNNNNNNNNNNNNNNNNNNNNNNNNNNNNNNNNNNNNNNNNNNNNNNNNNNNNNNNNNNNNNNNNNNNNNNNNNNNNNNNNNNNNNNNNNNNNNNNNNNNNNNNNNNNNNNNNNNNNNNNNNNNNNNNNNNNNNNNNNNNNNNNNNNNNNNNNNNNNNNNNNNNNNNNNNNNNNNNNNNNNNNNNNNNNNNNNNNNNNNNNNNNNNNNNNNNNNNNNNNNNNNNNNNNNNNNNNNNNNNNNNNNNNNNNNNNNNNNNNNNNNNNNNNNNNNNNNNNNNNNNNNNNNNNNNNNNNNNNNNNNNNNNNNNNNNNNNNNNNNNNNNNNNNNNNNNNNNNNNNNNNNNNNNNNNNNNNNNNNNNNNNNNNNNNNNNNNNNNNNNNNNNNNNNNNNNNNNNNNNNNNNNNNNNNNNNNNNNNNNNNNNNNNNNNNNNNNNNNNNNNNNNNNNNNNNNNNNNNNNNNNNNNNNNNNNNNNNNNNNNNNNNNNNNNNNNNNNNNNNNNNNNNNNNNNNNNNNNNNNNNNNNNNNNNNNNNNNNNNNNNNNNNNNNNNNNNNNNNNNNNNNNNNNNNNNNNNNNNNNNNNNNNNNNNNNNNNNNNNNNNNNNNNNNNNNNNNNNNNNNNNNNNNNNNNNNNNNNNNNNNNNNNNNNNNNNNNNNNNNNNNNNNNNNNNNNNNNNNNNNNNNNNNNNNNNNNNNNNNNNNNNNNNNNNNNNNNNNNNNNNNNNNNNNNNNNNNNNNNNNNNNNNNNNNNNNNNNNNNNNNNNNNNNNNNNNNNNNNNNNNNNNNNNNNNNNNNNNNNNNNNNNNNNNNNNNNNNNNNNNNNNNNNNNNNNNNNNNNNNNNNNNNNNNNNNNNNNNNNNNNNNNNNNNNNNNNNNNNNNNNNNNNNNNNNNNNNNNNNNNNNNNNNNNNNNNNNNNNNNNNNNNNNNNNNNNNNNNNNNNNNNNNNNNNNNNNNNNNNNNNNNNNNNNNNNNNNNNNNNNNNNNNNNNNNNNNNNNNNNNNNNNNNNNNNNNNNNNNNNNNNNNNNNNNNNNNNNNNNNNNNNNNNNNNNNNNNNNNNNNNNNNNNNNNNNNNNNNNNNNNNNNNNNNNNNNNNNNNNNNNNNNNNNNNNNNNNNNNNNNNNNNNNNNNNNNNNNNNNNNNNNNNNNNNNNNNNNNNNNNNNNNNNNNNNNNNNNNNNNNNNNNNNNNNNNNNNNNNNNNNNNNNNNNACUAACGCUCAACUCUGAUAUCGUCUCUUCUCGUAUCGGUUUCCCAAAACCGAUCAUCGUAACUCACGAGACCCGAAAUUCACACCGGACCGCGGUACCCACUAAAGUGUCCCGUAACGUCACGACUCGUGCCUAGAGUCCAGUCCGCUGCCCAAAGCAUUCAAUUUAGGAUGCCUGGCAGCAAACACAGAGGUAAACAACAAUACGAUCAUUCGCCGGAUUAAUCGUAACGAUCCAGAUUCCCGGAAGUGUCUAUUUCGACACCGGAACCGACCGUCGCUGCACCUAUUCAUCAUCGAACCCAGCACAAAAGAUGAUGUCGACCAGCCAACAAGGCUCCAGCGACAAAACACACAAGCCCAAACAUCCGUGAUGAAGAAUUCCGAACCGAACCGUCCGUUCGCGCAAUUUCGUCGAAAGAACGCACACGAAUCGACCUACCCGAUUUCCGCGAAAGCUAACUGGACCAUGACAUUCAGUCCAGCGAUCAUAACAACCCCCACAACUCACCCACAUAGCCACGCAAAACAGAAUUGACAUAAAGACAUCUCUAAUUACAUAAAUAUCAUCAUUUCUAUGUAUUUGGCGAUCUAAGUGGCUCGCUUCACUACGCAACCGAGGAACUUUCCGAAUCCGCAGGAGCACGGUAUGACAUCCGAGUACAGUGAGUCCGUGCCUCACGAUUUCCGGAGCACAGCGGCUCGGCUGUGGAGCGCGGGACACUCGAAGGUUCAGCGAAUUAGCGCGCGUCAGGGAAAUCGCGCCGUAUCAGAAUACCGGACACCUCUGUCCAUAGGAAAUGGUGACAAUUGUGAUCGGCACUGACAGCACGAACACCGUGGCCUCACUCCGGAGGCAUCAGGACAGCCUCGAUCGUGAUCAACGUGCGCAGGAAGCCAAACAGGCAGCCAAAAAGGCUGAACGGACGACAUCGCCAAAACAUGGCGAAACGGGCCUAUCCGACAGAAACCAAGGUGAGCACGAUGAUCUUCAACCUUCCACGGAUCAUCGUGCUCACUUCCGUGGAGAUCGGGGAAACUCGGGAAGCCAGAACAGUAGGCCAUCCCACAAAAGCCAUUUCGGGUGCCGAGCAAGUUGCUCCGGCCAGGUCCGCGCCGGCGCGCGGCUGGGGGGGCGGAGGCCAGGAUGGGUGCGGGGCGAGGAAGGAGUAGGUACUUCACCUCAGACAGGCGCUGACAGCGCGGCGGCGACGGCGGGCAAGAUGAGCCGCGGCACGGGCUAGGGCACGGGUUCCAGGAGUUGCUGGGCACGGGCGGACGGCAUGGGAGCUCCGGGACGGCGGAGGCGGGCUGCAGGAGGUCGGGAGGGCCGCACAGGUGGCUCAGGGUGCGGCGGCAGCGAGAAAGGAGCCGCACACAGCUCGGCUCGGCUCGGGUUGGCCGCUGUCACGCCGACCGGCGGCGGGCGGCGGCGCGCUGGGGCGGCGGCGACCGGCGGGAAGGGGCCCGAGCACAGAGGGGUGUCGCUGGGAGGAGUUUCCAGCGGUGGCGGCGGCACAGGCACUGUUCGGCAACCCAAGCUCGCUUGCAGCUCGCCUGGGCCGGCAUCCUGCCGGCUUGGUACGGAUUGUUGCGCGGCGGCAGGCGCGGUCGGCGGUCGCGCGGGAUGCUUCGCCGAGCAGCGGGGCGACACCGAGGGAGGUCGAGAAGUGCGGAAUCUCGGUCUCCUCACAAUGCAAGAGAGGUAGAGAGGGAGAAAGCAAAGAGAGGGAAGAAGAUGGGUAAGGCUCGGACGGCGCGGGCUCAGCCGGCGCGCGGCCGGGGUGGCAGCAGCGGCAGGAGAAGGGUGCAAGGUGGCUGGGGCGACUAGGAGCUGGGCCGGCUAGGGAUUAGGGGUAGGGGAUCAUAAACCCUAGAACUGAUAAAUCCAAGGUGUAACUUUGCAAAAAGGUCCACCAAACCAGAAUUUCAAUCGAGAUCCUCGACAGUAGCGACAAAACGCAUGAAGUCCCUCCACGUGCGAUCCCCUCGAAAGAUACAUAAAAUAUCGCGACAUUCGCGAAAAUACGCGUUUUGCUAACUACCGGACCUCUCCCUCGAUCAACGCGGCGAUCUCAGCGCAGAUCGCUCGUCAGAUUUGCAAACGGAUUUGAAUCCAGUGCGAUCAGCACGACGGAGACAACAAAGCUGCGGAUUUCGUUUCGUCUUGUUCGAUCCAGCCGGAUUCACAGAAAAAUCCAACCUUCUUCGAUAGAAGUAAACCACAUGUAAAUACAUAUAAAACAUGUAUUUUUGGAUUUUCUCGAAAUCCGUGCGUCAAACUCAAAAUCCGUCAGCGUCAGUAGUUCUAGAACAGCUGAACCGGUCGAAACGAGCUAUUGGACUGCUAUGAACAGAGUCCGGUACGAGCCAGAAGCCAACUUCUCACCACGGCUUCUCCGGAAAAUCGAGUUACUAUUCACCUUAAGUGAAACUUGAAAAUCGCGUAGAAUUUCCGUUUUAACUCGUUUUCGCCCGAAACUUGAUGAGUGCUUUUGUAAUUAAAUUACACACAAAAACAUCGUCAACUGAGAGUUUAACUACACUGCAAAAAUCUCAGUCCUUACAAGAGAGGCCUUCUUUAGAGUUGCCAAUUUAUGUAUUUUUAUACUUUAUUUUAUAGAUUUGAAAAAAAUGUUGAGGACCAAAACAAAAAUGGUACAAAAUUGGAGACCAAUGGUGCAAUUAAUCAUAUAUGUGGACCCACAUCUCUCCAAAAUAAGGAGAGGCCUAUUUAGGGUUGCCAAUUCAUAUAUUUUAUAGAUAGAUAGAUAGAUUAUUGAUUUAUAGAUUAUAGAUUUUUAUAUUUUAUUUUAUAGAUUUGAAAAAGAAAUGUUGGGGACCAAAAUAAAAAAGUGCAAAGUUGGAGACCAAUGGUGUAAUUAAUAAUGUAUGUGGGCCCAUAUCUUCCCAAAAUAAGGAGAUGCCUAUUUUAGGAUUGCCGUUUCAUGUAUUUUUAUUAUAGAUUAUAGAUAUAAGGCGUGUUUGGUUCGCUUAUUUCUCACCCUGGAAUCGGAAUCGGAAUGAAUAAAUCUGUUUGUGGGUGUUUGACACGCGGGAGUUCCAUUCCGAUUCCGAUUCCCGAGUGGGAUGGGAAUCCUCCAAUCACCUCUUUUUUCAAUCCGGCCUAGGAGGCCGGAUUGAAGGUUGAAUCCGGACGGAAUGGAUAUUUAUUCGGAUUAAAUUUAUUUUUUCAACUUUUUUUAAUUAAAAUAUGAGUUAAAAUUUAAAAAUUAAAUAUAUAAUUUUAAAUUUUAAUUUAAACUUAAAUUAAAAAUUAAAAUUUAAUCAAGUAUUUCGAAUCUAACUUAUGAAUUUGAAUUUAAAUUAAAUUUUAAUUUAUAUAAANAAAUUAAAAUUUAAUCAAGUAUUUCGAAUCUAACUUAUGAAUUUGAAUUUAAAUUAAAUUUUAAUUUACAUAAAAUGUUAUUCAAAUUUUCUUUCAAACUUAAAUCAAAUUUAUGGAUUUGACAUUAUUUCAAAAUUUUGAUGUAAAGUUUUAAUAUUUUAAUUUUUAAUUUGAAUUUAAAUUAAUAUAUUAUAAAGAUAAUGUUAGUAUAUUAAUUUGAUUACAUUUUUUAUAUCCACCUGAACCAAACACCGACAAUGGGAAUGAUUUAUUUCGAUUCCGAUUCAGGUGAUGAACCAAACAGAAUUAGGUAAUGAGUCAUUCCGAUUCCGAUUCCAGCUUAUUUUGAUUCCGAUUCCGAUUCCGACUUCGAACUAAACACGCCCAUAGAUUCUAGAUAUAUGACUACUCCAAAAUCCUGGGUCUCACAUUCUUUCUUUGCCGCCCCACUCCCUACCCCCCAGGCUCUAGUUCCUUUGCUAGGCUUAGGUAAACGUGGUUUGAACCCAACAAUUUAUUAUUGCUAGUGGGUCAAAUUGUUACAUUUGGUAUCAAAACACACCCUUUUAAGCCUUGACGUCCUUGUCAGGUGUAGGCACACAUGUUUUGGAUCCAACGAAUUAGUAUUGCUAGUAGGUCAGAUCAUUACAUGUAGCAUCAGAACUUAGUACCAAUAAAAAAUGUGAGAGCUAAACGCUACGCAAGACAAAAUGUUAUACCACGAGUUUGAUGGAAACCACCUCUUGAACGCACGAGCCACCUCUAAAACCUCAUAUCGUCUGAUAGUUCUAAUCUAUAUGUUUGUGGUUGGGCGUCACACCAUAAUAAUAAUAACUAGGCUCAAGUAUUUUAAACAGGUGAUUUAGAUCCAAUGAGUAAUUAUUAUUAACGAGUCGGAUCGUUACAAAGCCUACAAUUAGAAUAAUUUUUUUUUUGAAUAAUUUGUUAAUGUAUUCUUCACCUAAGCCAGAGUCUUUGUUAAAGCCGAACUCUACCAGAAAAGAUAACAUGUGUAAAAUAAGUGCAAGAAUAAGCAUCAAUAUCUGAACUGAAUUUCAAUUAGUAAAAGCAUAUACAUCAUUACCAAAGAAAAAUGAUGUUUAAAUAAGCAUAAGCAUAAAAUGGAUUUAUUCCGACAGAGUACUCUUUAUUGAUGCUUUAUUGAUGCUUCAAGUAGCUUGUACAUUUCUCAUAAAUUUCCUGGAAGAUAACAAACAUCUCAUGUUGAACCCUCCGACGAUCUUAUUACUUAAUGAGGUGAAUAAAGAACACCUCAUCUUCUGAACUAACUAGGAAGGAGCCACUUUCAAUGGCAAUGUUAUUAUAACUGCUAUACACUAGGCAUCCUUCACCAUCUCUAGAAAAAAGAAUAAAUUCAAUUGAAAAUCAGUAACCAAAAUUGAGACCUAAUUGCUUGGUUCUGCAAUCAGGAGAAAACUGAAAUAAGAAUAAAUUGAAUGUCCAAGAAGAGGAAAAGUGGGCCUUUACAACAGAAGCCCGAAUCGAUGUCCUCUUCACAAUUACAUUAUGAGACACCUGGAUAAUGAAAUCUGUGAGAUAAGAUAAGAGAAAAUAUUAGAGAAGAAUAGAAACAAGGAUAAGACAUUGCAAACGAACAAUAAACCUGUCAUCUUCCUUUGCCAAUGAUCUUCUUUAAGUAUAUGAAGUGAAAAGCAGUUGAAGUUAAAACAAAUGAACUGCCAUUUUAAGCUUGUUUUGCUUCCACUUUGGUAGCUUGUAGAAGGCUGCCUUCGGCAUAUUAAACUUCUCUUUGAACUCUUCUGAAGAUAAAUAAGCCUGAAGUGGAAAGCGAGAGUAAGAAUCUGAGAGAUCAAAAGGAUAUUACAACAAGUAGGCUACUUAUUUACCUCUCGUUUAGUUAUAUCGAUCUCUGAAACAGGAUCGGUCGAUGAGGUCUUUAGACGCUCAUAAGGAAAUAUUGGAAGGCCUUCAUCAAUGUCUGCUUCAUUUUCCUUUGCAUCUUCCUCUAUGGUGAGAUCACUAACUCCACUAUUCAUUGUGGUCUCUGGGUUUGAGAAAUAUAUAAGCAAAGAUUCGGGAUUUCCAUAAAUCCUUGUAAGUUUUAACAUAUAUGUUUCCCUGCAUAAUUAUCUAUUUACAUAUCUACUUCUGCAAAAUCUGAGGUUUUUUUCAAUGUAUGCCCUUCUAAGACUUAAUUACUUACACGUACACCUUUGUAAUCGUAAAAACAAAUCAUCCCCUCUUUUCUAGAACAAGACCAACUUGUCCCCUUGAAAUAGGGCACAUUUGUUAAGUACACUCAUAGAGAGAGAAAGUGGCCAUGCAACUAUUGAUAGGAUAUGGAUGGUAAUACCAUGGAAGCUCCUUCAUGUUAUGAUUGGAUGGUCUCAAUAUUGAGAGCAGAGAUAGUUGGUCGAAGGCUUUUGUUAGUUUAACACUGUACACUAGUCCAAAUUAGUUUAAACUCUGCUCAAUAAUUGUUUUCAGAUGUCUUGCUCAAGAACAAUAGCUGAUGAAUCCGUUACAAAAUUUAAGAACCUCUCUCAGUUUGCAUUAUUCAUUUUUGUCUGAACUCAACACAUAGUUAGACGAGCUCCAAUGAUUGUCAAACUUUUCAAAGAUCGAAAAUAGUUUAGAUCAUGUGUAACAGUAUGGAUCUUCAAUACAAAAGUCCUAUUUAAUUUUGACUUAACAUAAUAUAACCAUCCAAAUACUCACUACCUCUUCCUCUCCCUCCCUAAAUAUAUGAUUUUGCAUGGAUCAUGCAUGUAAAAGCCCUUAAAUAUUAGAAGAUUAGAGUCAAGUACCUUUGGAUGAUUUUGGUGCAACACUUUCUCUUGGAGGUUCAAAAGUAGCAGUCAGAGCUGCAAUUGCUGCUGAUCGCGAAGCAAGCUUCUCUGAGUCUGGAGCCACAACUUUCGGGUGAAGCUUGUUUACAGCUGGAGGUGGGGUUGAGAGAUUCCUGGGAUUAGGGUUCUCAAAUGUAGCGGCUAGGGCAUUAAAUGCAGGGGAUCUCCCCCUUAGACGAAGUCUGUCGGGACUGAAUGACAUGCUUCUCGAGCGCUGAGAUUUGUCGGGUAUGCUGGAUCUACUACUUCCAUGUGUAGGUAUCCGCCUCUUAGGUUUCUGAGAAAUUCAAUCUAACUUAUAGCAGUUCUCAAAAUACCAUUACGAAGCAAAAUAGAAAGAAGUAAUAAAGAAAGAAGAUGGUGCAGAAAAAAGAUAGUACAAUAAAUACUUACAAACUAUCGGUUAUUUUAUCAGAAUAUGCUUGUAACAAUCUUUCGAUGAGUCGCAUAAUUCAACUUACAAACCAAAGAAUGCUGCAGCAUAAUUCAACUUACAAGACAAAAAGUGCUGCAUACUGAUGGAGAGAGUCGUGCUGACAGACUGAGAAAGAAUAAACUUUGGAGUUCAAGAUUGAGAUGUGCACUACUUUUAAUACUUAAUGGACAUUGCUUCCUAUUUUCAAAUUCAAAUAAGUCGGUCGUUUUCUUUUUUUACAAGUGCACAUAACUCUGUCGUUUUAAUUUCAUUAAAGAUAGUAUGAGACCUGGAUAUUAAUUUUAUAAUAUUUGUGAAGCAUAUUUAUCUUCUGAAAAUUGUAGUUUAUUCGUGAAUUGUCAGUUAAUGAAAAUGGAAUGGACUUGAGGCUUGCUACUCAUCUCUAAUGAUGGCUGCUGCUUGCAUUUUGGUUCCUUAGGAAUUAGAAUGAAUGGUCCAAAUUGAAAAAGCAAUGAGCCAACCAUAAAUAUAAUUGAAAUUGAUAUAAUAAUAAAUUAGUCUCAAUGCCUCAACUUACCAUUUAAUUUGUAUUUUUAAUUGCCCAACAGUUUUGUUGCAAGCUGCAGCUAGAAGAGAAUUCCUCAAAUUGGACUUCUGCUUUUGGAGUUGGAAGUCCUCUUCAGAUUCUCACCACAGCCAAAGAUUCAAAUUUAAGAAUUUUCGAAAGCUUCAUUUGUGCUUCUCUAAAUAGAGAAGCUAGUGUCCGACAAGUACUUAGAUAUAUACAAAUGAAGCAGUGCAUCUUCUUGACAACAAGAGAAAAAAGAAACUAAUACAAUCUAACGAAGAAGAUUUAGAAUCAUCUUCAAUAUAAAGCAGUAAAAGGAAUCUCAGGACUCUCAAUAGUCCACAAGUUAAUCAACUCAAAUGGCUUAUAAUCGCAUAAAUCAAAAAAAUUCGAAUAACUCGGAGUGAUGGUCUGAAGCUAGAAAACAAAUCAGCAUGAGAUUAAACUGAUGAAUCAUGUUGCUGGAAUGUUCUUUCAUUAGAUUUUUCAAAUAUAAAUAUCGACUCACAAUGUUAUAAGUAUGCUUUUCAUUAUUUCAUAGAAGAAGAUAAUAAAUUGAAUCAGGUACUCUCUUAUAAUCUCUCUCUUUCUCUAGUUCAGUUGAGAUCCAGGAAUCUAACUUGUAAAAUGUGUUUAACUGUUGAAAAUUUAGCAGUUUUUUUUUUCUGAGUUGCAUAUCUUCAUUUCCACUUCAGGAAAAAAAAGUUGCACUUGAUAAAUUGCUGCAGUACUUAUAUGUCUUCUCCUUCAACUUCCUUAUGUUAUGAGAAGAUGUCUAAGUAGCUAACUUCCUUUGUGAGUUGGUAUGUUUAAAAAUGCAAGGCUUAGGCCUCAUGUUAGCAUCGUUGUUGUUAUUGUUUUUUAUAAAUGCUAAUAUUAUAUAAUUUAAUAUAUUGGCGAAAGGACUUUCCUCUUGUUGUCAAGAUUGAGUAACUUACAUGACACUCUAGCCAAGUGAUGGCUAACAACUUAUUUAGAAACAUUGGAGGAAAAAAGAACAAGGUGCUUCAAAUUUUUAUUUUUUGUUGUCAAAUAAAUCAUUUGGGUGUAAUGAUUGCAAGCAAUCCAUUGUCCCAUUUGGGUGUAAGAAGCAAUAUAUGCAGAAUGUGGGAAGAGAAAAGGAGAUGAAGAAAAGUCGAAGGUGCAAGAACAGAUACGAUGCUUUUUGGAUGGAGAACAAUACACAAAAGAAAGUUAAAUGCAGGGAAGAUUAAUAAUUGUUCCCAGUUAAUUGUGACUUGACACGCAACAUUCCUUGUUGUUAUAAUUGGCUAAUAUAAAAGCAUGAUAAAUUGGAACAAGAAGAGGAACAACACAAUUUGACCAAGAAUCUGCUAGCUUCAGUAAUAUGGCAAUACUUAGAACUAACCUCAACAGUUGGAGUGACUCCAUUUUUAAUAAGGGCAAGCUUCCUUUGGUAUGAAUUACCAUGCAUCUGCAUCGAAAAAUACAAAUGGGAACUUCAGAGCAAGGAAAAUAGUUAUUGCACUUUAGGUCAAACAUUUGGACUUCCAAAUAAGUUCAAAUCAGAUUCUAUUGGACAUUCGAACCAAAGAUUUAAGUGCCAGUUGGCAAAGGCGUUGUCCAUGGUGCCAUACUAUGCCGACAGGAUGGAUCAUUGUUUACUCAUUAUAAGCAUCAUGCAUGCAUUUGGAUUGAAAGUUUCAAUUAAAUUAAGAGAUAAUUUGGGGUAAUUUGGUUUCCCGUAAAUUUUAAUCCUUAAUCUUUUGUAAUCUAGUGACAGUUUGAAAAAUCCUGUUGAAUUUGGCAACUUCAUUAGUAGAGUGCAAAAGAUAAUUGAUAGAAACAUAUUUAAGAACAAAUAGGAUAUAUUGCUACAAAAAAUCAAAAUAUUCUAUGCAAAAGUUUGUUGCACAUGGAAUUGUAUGCCAUAGCCCAAACGCGUGCCAACUCGUGCCAACAAGUUCUUGUCAUGUCCCCAUUCCUGGGUACUUAGAACCUUGGCUGGAAAUUGGAACAACUGCUUUUUAUACCGAAAGCAAUUGAAUAUGCAAAGCACAUUUCAUAUUCAAGGAACAUCAAAAAGGAAUUGAAGCACACAAACUUCGCACCAAAAAUACCAUAUGAUUCUUGUGAUAACACGAAAUUAAAGAAAUGUUACUUCAUAUAACUUACAGACGAUUUUGCGGAGUCCCAAGUGAAGAAACGUGUAAAAAAUGGGGGUUCAAAUCCUUCCAUUACAAUGAAUAUUGGAGUUUCUGGAGAUAGUUUCUCGUGAAGAAAAUCAUGUUCAAUGAAUGCCUGGAAAGAACAAAAACCAAGCAAAAAAAGUCAAAUUAGAAGUGUUAGUUUAUACAAGCAAACAAGAAAGAAAAGAAGCGACUUUUGCUAUACCUCUGAUAUUUUAAGUGCUUGACGUUUUCUAUUCACGUCAACCUGCUGUCCAACCCAAACAAAAAUGGCUGAAUGACAAUCCAGAAUGAAUAUAUCUUCUGUCAUUAAGUCAUCUUGGGUGAAAUUGAAUAUCUCUUUGACCUAGAAAUUUAUGUGUUUGGAAUUAAAAUGUUUAUAAUUAGCAAAAACAAAAAAGAAACAUCAGCCAAUAUGUAGUUAAUUCUUAUAAAGAAGAUUAAACACUGUUUGAAGUUUGGCAUUACCUUUAGAUUGCCUGCGUUAAAAAAAAGGAAGAAAAGGAAGAAAAACAAAAAGAAUGCAUUAGUGCAUAUACAUAACUAUAUGCUAACAAUUUAGAGAAAAAGACAGAUAUUGGAAUCUUUACCAUUUGGGAAGUCACAAGAGAGCAAAUGAGGAUCGCCCUCCAGAUCUUUUUCAAUCUUUUGAUUGGUGUAUUCACUUUUGCCACCAAGUAAAUCCCAGAAAUGUUCAGUUUCUGCCCCUUCUUUUUGCACUUUUGGCUGAAUAUUUGGCUGUGAAAUCCAAAAAGGCUACAGGAAAUGAUUAAUCAAGAAAUGCAACAUAUCAUGUAGUGCUUCAGUGAGGCUCAUCACGCACAAAAAAAAAGAGAAAACACUAAAAUGCCGAAAAUUAUUGAUCCAUCCCGUAAAGAACAACUUUAAGCGAAAAAGCCAGUAAAUACUCUUAAAGUAUCAUAAAAUUGUUUAAUCACAUACAAGGUAAGUCUGUUUUAAACCAAAAGUCGCAUAAGAUAGAUAAAGGUAAUAUUGCAUGGGAAUUUGAUAGAUUCACGUUUGUUAGCUUAGUACAAGACAUUAUUUACAAUUUACUAGCUAGAAGGAAGAAUGUGCAAUUGAAACACUAGUCCAAAGUUAUAUGAACAGUAAAGUAAACCCAACUAUCUUUGUUGAACAGCUUCAUUUGGUUCGGGGUUAAGUAAGAACUAGUUAUUUAGGGAUAGGCAUAAGUUCAGGGUCAAGUCUGGAAUAGACUAAUUUUGCGUUUGGAUGAAAACUGAGUUGUUCCCGGGAAUAAGAAAAAUGGUGUUUGGAUAGAUAAGAUAGAAUAAGAUGAAUAGUGGGUAGUUAUAAAUAGAAAAAAUAAUAAUAUUGCCCCUUAUAUUUGAAUUUAAAUUUUUAAAUUUUAUAUUUAAAAUUUUAAAUUUAAAUAUAUAACUUUAAACAUUGAAAAAUUCAAAAUAAAAUUUAAAUUUUUAAAUUUUAAAUCUCAAAUUAAAAAAUUUAAGUCCUAAAUUUUAAAUUUAAGAUUAAUUUAAAAUUUAAAAAAUUAAAAAUAAUAAUUUAAAAUUAAAAAUUAUAAAUAUCAAUUUUAAGCUUACAAAUUUUUAAAUUUUAAAAAUUUUAAUUUAAAAUUUUAAUUUAAAAAUUAAAUUUAAAAUUUAAAAUUUAAAUUAUAAAUUUAAAUUUAAAAUUUAAAUUGGGAUGGGAUUAGUUAAUCCCACCCCAAUUCUAUGGGGGGGUGGGGUUUGUUAACCCUACCCCGAAAGGGUUAUUCGGAAACCCUUUUGGGGUGGGGUUAACAAAUCACGCUCCAACAAAAAAGUGUUUGGGGAUAAGGGGAGGGAUAACCCUUUAUUCCCCCCCCUUUAACCCCGAAUCAAAUGGCCGCUCAAAAGAAUAAUGUUUACCCUCAAAACAUUCUAUAGUCCAUGUACUAUCAGAUGUCAAGUAUACUACCAAAUUACAAUUUAAUAUUUCUUUGUAUAUUUUACAUAGUAAUCGAGCCACCUGAAGAUUUCUUUAACUUGAUUACUGUGAUCUAUAGAUCGUGAGUUGUUCUUUAUCACGCAAUUGAAGUUACACUAAUAGUAAAAAUGAGCAACGCGGGCUGAAUGUUUUGGAAAUUUCUAGCAGCCCCGUCAUCUUUCUUCACCUUCACUUUUAGUUAUUAUUUUUGAAUGAUACAUUAACUAACAAUGGUAAUUAACUAACAAUGGAAGGCAAAGAGAAAGAAGAGAUUGAUAAAAUUGGCAAAAAAAUUAAAAAUAGUCUGCGGUCAUUACAAAUGAACGAGAAAAAAGAAAUGUGAAAUAAGCAAUGUUAAUUUUCAUCAGCAACACAAGAAACUCUAUUAUACACUCAUUACGUGCCUGCAAAAUAAAUUAUUUGCAUGUACAUAUAGUAUCAAGUUCAAAUGUUCAUUAUACUAUUUUAAUUGAAGUAGAUAUUACCUUCAAUCAUGACAUAAUCUGAAAUAACAUACUCAGAAUUAAAAAACACACACCUUAAUGUGAUCAAGUUGUCUCUCCACAAGCUCUUGAUUCUCUGGGCUAGUCUGGCUUCCAUACCAAGUAAAAACAGUAUCGCCAUUAUGCAAUAUAUAACAAUAGGAUGAGUUCAACGACAAACCAACCUGAUGAAAAUAAAACUUAUGAUCAGUAAUGACAGUCCACCGGAACGAAGUGUUGUUACAGUCUUUCUAAACUAGUUAUUGUAAAAAGGAAAUUUAAAAAUACUUUGUCCAAGUUAGCUAGCUAGCUAUGAUGUGUGAGAAGACAACUUGGAAGUAAGCAAUAAGCCACACAAAGCAACAUGCAUAGCAUAAAGCCAUAAAGCAUAUAAUUGUUGUAUUUACACCACUGCAAAAUUAGCUAUUUACAUAUAUAUUCCAACUAAGUCUUGAUCCUCAUAAAUGCCCAUCAAAACUUAUUUCUUUGCUAGUAUACAAUAGUACUAACAGAAGAGCCAGUCUCAAGGGAUAUGUGUGAAAAUAAAGAUAUUCCAGGGUAUACGUGCAAAUAGAUGAUUUCAAGGAAUAUUCUAGGAAUAUGUACAAGGGGCUUUACAAGAUGAACCAAAGAGCAUCACGCUGAUUCAGGUAAGACAUACAGGUUCUACUUGAAUCGCUUGCAUAUUGUCUGGUCCAGAGCCUUGGACUUUGAAAAGUGCAAGCCCAUCUUCUGCAUAUGUCUCAUCAACAAUUUCAUUUUCAGUUAUGAAGUUCUUAUAUCCAGAGCUAAUACCACCCUGCGAAAAUUCAAAUUGCAAACUAAAUCCUUACAAAAAAAAAAAAAAAUCAAUCACAAAAUAAAAGCACCAUAUCAUUUGAUACUAACCUUGUACACAAUAAAGCUCUGAAAGAUUGAAAAAAACUGGAUAGUCUCCUUUCCUUCAUAUAAGCGAGUCUGUGUUUAUACCAUAGAGCAUUGUAAUUCUUGCUAUUUAUGAAGGACAAUAAUGCAAAAAAGUAAACUAAAUAUCUUGGCAAGUUCCUAAGAAAUACCCAGCUUCUUGGCCUAUGAAUAACUACCUGAACAGCCUGCGACUUCAUAGACUCGACCAACUUGUUGGCAAGUAAUGUUGCUUGAACCUUAUCUUCCUGUGUCCAAAUUUAGAUGAGUUAUUUAUACAUCAGUAAUGCAAAGCACUCAAAGAAAAACAUUAGCACAUUCAUUGUCGAUCAUAAAUCUAGUAUGCUUUUUGAAUUUUAGACAUGUAAGACGAAAAAUUGGAAGAGAUAAACUGAAUAGGGAUAGAAAAUAUGUUUCAAUAAUCAAAAUGCCUCUCUCAGCCACUCCAAACCAUGACAGAUUGUGCAGGCACAAUCAUAUGACUUGAUGAGUUCCAACUCAUCAAAAUACGUGUCCGCAACAGGUAAUCUAAAUUCCAUGCUAAUAUCUCUAAAGAGGUUCUAUCUCCAGUUAUUCUCCUUACUGUUAAAUAGGUACUUACUGCGGUAAUCUACAAUGUAAUGUCUCUAAACAAAUAAAGCUUCUUUGUCAAAUAAUCUCUUAUAGAGAAGAAAGAACACCACAUUGAGGCAACUAACAAUGCCAUAACAGACCAUGCUCACUUGUUCUACCCUCCAGAAAUUCAUCACAAGUUAUAGUUUUAUCUAUUCAUAUUUAGUUCUAUUUAUGUCCAUUUUAUGCUAGUGAAGUUUUAUAUACCAUCGCAAAAGGAAAAAUUAAUACAGAACUUCCACAAAGGCCUUCAUCAAUCAGUUCCAAUCAGUUAAAAACAUUUCUACAAAGGACAUAUAUGAAGUUCUCUCCAUUGAGGUUGAAAGAACAUUCUGUGACUAGUUUUUAACAGGAUCAAUCUUCAAAUGACUUCUAUGGAGGAGGAAUUACUCUUAGGAAUCAGCAGAAUUGAUGAAGGAAAAGGACUCUUUUUCCUUGUCCAAAAUCUAAUCCUUUGAUCUUUUCAGUUUAUUGAAGUGGAAUAGGAGUGAACAAUAAACAGAAAUAGAGAUUAGCAUAAGAAACCAGCUGCAAAAUACAUGUAAUUAACUAAUGAUUGGACUAAACAAAUGACAGUGCAACACCAAGCCCAGUCCAAAAUUAACCUUUUACAAUUACAACCAUACAGUGAAAAUAUUGUUCUCAGAUUAAAGAUUAGAAAUGACUCAAACCACAUAAUAUAUUAGCAACUACGGUGUUCUAAGUCUAAUGUAUAAUAAUAAGCUAGAUUAAAGGUGCUUGUUUACCUCAGUGCUCUUCUUCCCAAACCAAGUGCCAACGAGGUGCUCAUCUUUGUUUUCACCAGGAUAUGUAUACUGAAAAAUAUAACAAUCACCGCUGUAGAACUUAGACUGGUCAGAUGAUGAGAGUAGAGUCUUUUGAUCACCGUCCACACGCCAAACCUAUUAUCAUCAUGAAAAGCAAAACUUAGCAUCACAAAACUCAAGUCCACUUAGCAAUCAAAAUCAAGGUAAUUCUAUUACUACAUAUAGAAACUAAAUAAUUAAAAAAAGCUAACCAACUCCUCUCCUGCCCACAAAACCCCCCAACCAAAAACCAACCAAAAAAACACACCUAACUACAGGUGAUUUGCAAAUAGGUCAUUGAACUACAUUUUUUUGGAUUCUAAACCCCCAACUGUCAUGUUGCUUGAUUUUAGUGUAACAAACUUCUUUACAAUAAUUAGAGGAUAGAAACAAUUUAGGAUGAAAAUUUUUGAAACAAAAAAUUAUAAUAAUUGGGGAUCCCAAUCCAAAAAAAAAUGGAGUUACAGGACCUAUUUCCAAAUAAUUCAUAGUUGGCAGGAGUGUGGAUACAUUUUAGUUAGAACAAAAUCUAAGGAGUAGAAAACUGUAGCUAGCAUAAAGGCUGAAUCCAUAUGAGAGCACCUGAAGAUUGCCAGUGCAAUCGAUAUAUGGCUGAGGUUCUUCUUUUAUAGGAUCCGAUUUCACAAGACCCUUCACAUUUAAUCCUUGGCGUUUCAGAAGUGCUACCAAAGUGUACAAUAAUAUUAAAAGAGAGAGAGAGAGAGAGAGAGAGAGAAAAAGAAUGCAAGCCUAUUCAAAAUAUUCAAUAGUGCAUAUAGGGCCCGUUUUGCACCCAAGAUUUGAUUAGAUAAGAUAAUAUGAGAUAGCUGUAUUGGACUAAAAGGAGAAUAUAAUAUAAAUUUUCGAAUCCGAUCCCAUUCUAUCCCAACCUCUAGGGAGGGAUUCCAUAAUCCCAGACCAAAGAUUGUUUGACCCAACUAGCUUUGACAAUUUUAACAUCUUGUAACUUUCUAUGCCUACAAGUCACCAAACCCUCUUUUUCAUGCAACGCCACUCUCUUAUCUUAUUGUAUCCGAUCCAACCUUGGGUGCCAAAAGGAAACAAUAUGUUUAAAACAAAUGAAUUUAUUCUGCAAAUACUGACCUGCCACCUUUCCUCUUCCUUCUUCUGGUGCAGUUACGCCAGCUGGUUGCGGCCAUGAAUCAAACUUAGAGCAAAACAUGACAGUCUCAGACCCUUCAGUUACUCGGAUCACAUGAGCUUUAGGUUGGUCAGUUUUGUUAAGUAAUUCCUGCUUAGAAUUGUAAUACACAUUUAAUAUUGCAUUAAGCAAAACUGCAAAAUGAAGAAAGGAAAGGAACUUCACUUCCGUAAGAAAUGUAUCAGUUAUUACUUCGGCUGCAGUGACUGCACUUUUCCUCUCCUCGAGAGAUGUACUUUUGCCCACCCACACAUAAAUUUCGAUACCACAAUCCAGCAAAUAACACUUGUUCGUCUCUAACAAUUCUCGCGUCAAGGAAUCAGAUUCCACUUGUGUCGUCUCUCCUUUGUCAACACUUAAAAACACAACAUAUUCAUAAAAAAAAUCAUCUGAAAAACUCAAAAGAAAAAUGAUGCAUUCAUGCAUUUUUGACAAUACAUACCAGAGAAGUUUUCCUGGUGAGGCCUCCUCAUUUCUAGCUUCUCCCAAAGCUGCCUUUCUUGGAAGCGGAGCAAAGCCACCAAAAAAGCCCCAAAAUUCUCCAGCCUCGACAUCAGCCAUUAACUUUCCAUCCUCUAAUAAUAAGAUAAGAGUACAAUUGAGAGUAAGUUUAACUUAAUAGAAGCUGUUGGAAUAAAAAGAAGAAACACACUCACCAACCGCUGCAACCUCACAUUUCCCAUCAUGAUAUGCAUCUUUAAUAUACUGGACAACUUCGAGGGCUUUUGCUCGCUCUUGAAUAGAAGAGUUGGAUCCGUUAAAUUGAAAAAUCUUAGACUUGGUAUCCAGUAUGAAUAUGUCAUCAUGGUUAAGCGAUGACCGUGCAAAUGGAACCUAAAGAUAUUGCAAGAUUAAGAAAAUCAUAAUCAAAUUCUGCCUGAGAAACAUUUUUAGGAUUACCUAAAGAUUAAGUCCUCAAAGUUUGACCCUAGUUUUAGUCUCAUCCUCAAAGGUUCGAUUGGAACAAUGGUCCCUAAAAUUUGCCCCUCAUCACAAUUACGUUGACCUAUUAAUCAGCUAUCUUAAGGAAGAUGCAGCAUCAGUCUCAUUACUGGACUAAAAAGGUUUGCCAGUUACAAAGAUCAGUUUAAAUGACUAAAUUGUUACAAUUGAAACUCUCAGGAUGAAACCAAAAUUGAUAUCAAACUUCAAGGGCUUAAUUUUCAUGUAAACUUUGUGUUUUUCCAAUAGAACUAAUUCGCAGAGAUACAAAGCACUUGCCUCUUUUACAUGGACAGCGUGUUUCCCUCUACAAACAUAUAGACGAGUCUCAUGGCUAUUCUCAUUAACUUCAACAUGGUUAAAUCCAGAAGCCAUUCCACCUUGUUGUGGAAUGAUACAAGGUUUAAAAUAAGACAAAAACUUCUCGCUCUCAUGGCCUUGAAUCUCGCGGUAUUGAACAGCACGCCCACCAAGGACAGCAUCAAGUUCCACAGUUUUGAUGGCCGCAGCACCCGCUUCAUCCUAUUUAGUUUGACACAACAGAAAGCGCAGGCUACAAAUUCUGUAUUGCUAUAAAAUGAAAUGAAUGGCAGGGCAUAGAAAGCCAACCUGACUUGUAUCUUUGCCAAGCCAAUAAUGAAUAUCGUGACGCAAAGCACCAUUCUUCGAGGCGGUUGUCUGCAUCAUUAUUGGAAAAUUUUAUCUAAUUAGAUACGAAAAAUGAUGAUUGCUGGAACUUUUCACAAAAAAGUUAACAUUCUACACUGUUGUAAAUAAGAGUAGAAGUUAAAUUUAUAGGUCACAUAUAUCUCCAUGCACGUGUAUAAACAAAAAGGAAUAUCUUGAUAACAUGCUACCAGCAUGAAAAUGAUGGUAAGAUGCUCCGGUGACACUGAAACUACAGGAUGCAUCCCAGUAAUGAACAAACUUCUCUAACAACCAGUCCUCUAAGAGAUAUCUUAUCCUCGAAUUUUGACACCUUACUACUUACUGUAAAAAGUUUAUUUUUUAUAUAAAUUGUAUUAUUUAAUGAUUUUGGUUUGCACACAGCCAUCAAUUCAGCAUUGCCUUUCCCCCAAAAUGGGAGAUAUUUCUGUCAAUUUUGCACUAAAUGACGCAUUAGAAUUAAGGAACCAAUUUGGCAGCAGAGAGGAUUCCAGACAAUAUGAUGCAUCCUAUAUCUAUGAGAUAUAAAUCCUUCUUGGUGGCAUGUUUUAGAGGAAAUUCCAGGUUAUUAAGAGGUAAAAAUAAAAUAUACAUCCUGCCCAAAUCUGUGCCAUCCGAUGCCAUGGCUCAGUCGAUGUGCCAAUUGCAUGCCACUAGCACAACGUUUUUGUCCCAAUAGAUCAUACCAUGGCAAUGUUGUGACACCCCCAAUAAUCUCACAUUAGAUAGGAAAGGAUUAUGAUUGGAAAUAUAAAAACCAAAGAGUCUAAUACUGACAACUAGGCUUAAGCAUUUUCUGCCGGCGGUUUGGGCCUAACAAGUUAUUAGUGGUAGUAAGCUGCGUCGUUAUCUGUAGUAUCCCUAGUGUUUGGUUGCCCGUGAGAUUUCAGCAUCUGAGGCUUGUUGACACAUCUGGAGAGUGCCGGGAUAAGUCGGAGUCGUUUUGGCGCGAAAUGGACGCAAAACGGGAUCGACACGAGGCGAGAGUGGAGUUCUGACACUGAAAUUCGCAAAGUGCAGGAUUUCAGUGUUGAGUACCGGUACGGUAUCGGGCUGGUACCGGUACUCCAGUGUAUUUCCAGAACAGAAUGCUCUCGGGUUGCGCCAAUUGAUGCUGAGUACCAGUACGGCAUCGGACUGGUACCGAUACCCUAUGUGCGAGUUUGCGGGCUGAGGUCGAGUACCGAUAACCAAAUUGGAUACCGGUACUCCAGCUGUAAUUUUGAGUUGGUGAGGGGCCUUUUGGUCAUUUGAAGUGGCGUUAUUAUCAACCUUAUCCCCACCUCUUUAUAUAUGUGUAGAGAGACAGAGGAGGAGGUUUUGGAUUGUUGCUCUCUCUCUCUCUAGUUCUUUAUCGUAUUCGAGGUGGAGGUCGCGACUCGAGCUCGGGAGUUUAUCGCCGUUGAGCCGAAGGGUCAUUCGAGCGUGUGGGCGGCACGGUUGCGCUGUUGGAGGCCAGGCGAGCGUGUGGUUUCCUCUCCUUUUGACCUCUCACCGUGGUUGGGUGAGCUUUACGAGGUGAGUUGAAGUUUACCGAAAUCGUCGGAAUACCUCCGAAGUUCUUAUAUCGUCGACAUGUUUUGUUGGUUUCAUUUUCUUGCUAGUACUCGAAUUUAUGGAUUAGAGUUAAAAUCUGAAUUUGGAGUUAAACUAGUAGUAUAAUUUUACAUGUUGGACUUGGAAUUGACUUAGGAGAAAACAUUUAGAUCCUACACUCUCAUUUCUGAAAAUUACCAGAUUUAGCUUUAGGAGUUGUGGUUCUUUUGUAUCGUUGCUGUUAGUAUGCAAUGGAUACCCAAAUUAGUGUAGGAUGAGGUUACGCUCGUGCUGGGAUGUCGAGUUUAUUUUUAUAGUAGUGCGUAGACUGUUUCGGACUAUCGGGUGCCGUCGCGGUUGACGGUAGACCCAGAUUUCUGUAUUUGCAUCAGAUUGUGCCAAGAGCACGUGAGCUUUGGUUGUUAGACCAAUUAGACCCAUUUGCUUUGAUUAUAGUCUUUGAGAGCCUGAUUGAGCUCGGCAGAGAUAUGUUUGCAUACUCGGUUGGAUAGCGCCCACAAGUGCCACUCCGGAGUCGAGCUUUGUGCGUUCGCGUUGAUGUCGUAGUGUCCGGAUUGGACUUGCUCUCCACCAACAACCCAGCGUGGUGGUGGUUGGUGUAGCUUCGACAGGCGGGACGGGUGUGUUCACAGUCCCUAGUGAGAUUGGGUCAGAGAUUGCUUCUUUCUUAUAUCUACAGAAUAGUGGUUAGCGAUAGUAUAGUGGUAUGUAGCUGUAGAGUUUUUCCAGCUUCCUUAACUAUCCUUGUGCAUAUUUCUUUUCUGUAGUCUUUGUGGGUGAGCCGGUGAGGUCGGUAACGGUACCCACUGAGAACUAUUUAUUUUUACAAUAGUUCUCACACCCAGUUGUUAACCUCUUUUUUUGCAGAGCCUUCGUUUGCGGCUGCUGUUGUCAUCGAUUCUGAUCGUGGAAAGGGAGUCGCGAGCUAGAUCCCUUCCAGCCUUACUGCAGUACUAGAAGAGUACCUUCCACAGGUAGUUUUGGGGUUUUUGUACAUAUGGUCUUGUUGUCUGGGUACUCGCUAGAGCGAGUGAUGUAGUAGACAUUUUGUAUGUACUGGAACCCCGCGAGGUUUUAUAUAUAUGUUUUCAGUUUAGUAGCUCUUUACCUUGUGGUUGUAGCUUGGUUUUGUUUACAGGUACAGCUAUCGCUUCAUACACAGAAAAAAUUCCUAUGUAUACGGCGGGUCUGUUGGCGUGCCCGGGGAAACGUGUAAUCCGGAGCGUGACAUUAUCUUUGGUAUUAGAAUUAGUUUGCCCGCCUGUGAUCUUGAGUUAAGGGAUGGCUAGAGAAUUUAAUCUAACGAAGAGGUCAUAGUCUAAAAAAAAGGAGUUUGUGACACCCCAAUAAUUCCAUAUCGGAUAUAAGAGACUCUAAGGCCAUGUUUGGUUGGGGAUUAAGGGUGGAAUAAAGAAUUUAUUCCACCCUUAUCCCCUAAACACAAAAAAAUUUGGUGGGAACACUAAUUUCCACCUUAACGGGCUAUUCUAGUGUUCCUACCCUAAAGUGGGAACAAGCUGGGAUAACCUAGCUUGUUCCACCCGUGAAGAGAGAGAGAGAGAGAGAGAGAGAGGAUUUUUAAUUUAUCAUAAAAUUUAAAUUUUGUAAGUUAAAAAAUUAAAAUUUAUAAUUUUUAAAAUUACAAAAUUAAAAUUUUAAAUUUUAAAUUAUUUAAUUUUAAAAUUUAAAUUUUGAUAUUUUAAAUUUUUUUAUAUUUAGAAUUUGAUAUUUUGUAUUUUUAAAUUAAAAUUUCAUCUUAAAUUUAAAGUUUAAAAUUUAAAUUUUUAAUUUUUAAAAUUGUAAAUUUGAGAUUUUAAAAUUUUAAAUUUUAAAAGUUUAUAUUUUAAAUUCUAAAAUAUAAAUAUAAAAUAUAAAAAUUAAAAUUCUAAUAUAAAAAAAGGGAUAAUAUCAUUAUUUUUUUAUUUAUAACUACCCACUUUAAUUCUUAUUCCAUCUUACAUAACCAAACACUAUUUUUUUUAUUCCCAGGAAUAACUCAAUUUUCAUCCAAACGCAAAAUUGAUCUAAUCGCCGCUUAUAUCUCAAUUUAUACAUAUUCCUGGAAUAGCCACUUUUUGCUUAUCCCCGAACCAAACGAUAGGCUUAGGCAUUUUGUGCUAGUGUUUGGGCCCAACAAGUUACUUAUUAGUGUAGGCUGGGUCAUUGCAAAUGCCAAACCAAGAUGCCCUAUACCACUGGCACUAGAAUCCUUGGUACUAUAUUAAAAUUAGAAUUUUCUUUUUCUUUUUUGUCCCUUUUUUUCUUUUAGCAUUAGGGAUAAUGGCAUAAAACAAAACACACAUUUUAAACAAGUUAUAUUAUAAAAGAUUAAAUUGCAAAUACUCUAGAAAAAGGUAACUACUACUCAAGUUAGAGAAAUCAUAAGUCUUAAAUAAUUUUCCAGGAAGAUCAAAUCCACCCUUAUAACUCUCAAUUCGAACUUUAGCAUGUGUUUUCAAUAAGUGUUACUGUAGAGUAAGGAAUAGGAUUUUUACUUGAGAAAAGUUCCUUGGUUAUAGAAUAGCACCAUCGUUGAAAGUAAAACAACAUCCUUGUAGAACUUCAUAUAUAACCAUGUUAUCUGAAUUUUAGUAUACGCCCCUCAGAAGUGCAAGCUUCUUACAAGAAUACCCUCAUCUCAAAUCUCAAAGCCAUCCCAUUCAUGGGGAGAAUUGGUUUUGUAUUAGAGAAGAAGAUUCCACAAGGGAAGAUUUUGUAAGCACAAAGGGUACGUAUGUAAGAAAUUAACUUCUUGAAUUGCAUAUAAGAACAUUCAGAUCUUGCAAAAAUAUGUAUGUAGAUUGAUAGCCUUGUAGGGUUCUAUAUGUAAAUACCACGAAUUGAAACAAUGACAACAUCAUAGCAAGUAUACAAGAAUAAAAUAAAUUAACCUCUUGAAUAUAAAUAUUAUAGUUUAAUAAUAUUACCUUUAGAAUCACAUAUGAGUCUCCCAUAAAAAACUUCCCAUGAGAAGAUUUUGGGACAAGCACAGGACAAAAAUUUUCAAUUCGCCAUAUUUCCAUCCCUCUUUAUUUUGUCAAGGAAACAAAUGUAGCUCGAUAUAGAGAAAGCAACACAAACAUUAUGAUAGAGAAUCCACACUAUUUUAACAAAGAUGGUGAUAAGUGCAUUUAGCAUUGAGCUAAAUUUAUAGACGCCUACACAAAUAAUUUAAUGAAAUCUUAGUUCAAGUAAUAAAGAGCAUUAUAUAAAAUUUCAAGAUCCAUGUACAGUUGCCUCUGAUUGACAUAACAUAAGAUUGACAGCUUGUGCGGAAGAAUAAAAUUAAUGGUUCAUAUUCUAAAUCAACAUGGAAAAUUGGGUUGCACCAACUUCUAUCUACCUGUGUUAGAGUAUUUGGCCAACCUUGUCUUGCUUUUUCGUUUCUUUAUGGUGCGAGUAACUUUUCAUUUGCAUAUCUCAAUGACUUUUCAAUAAAAUUUCUCUACCUUCAAAAUGUUUGGCAAAAUUUAUGCCACAAGUAAGGUGACAACUAUAGUUUUUCCAUCUUAACUGCUGAAAGGUAAGUCUUUCACCCAUGUUCACCAACAAACGUGUACUGAAUAAUAUACAAUUUUAAUUAUGUCAAAACAAAAGUUCCUAGCAGAUCAACAGAGCUUAUAGAUAAAGAGCCAGAAGCAAAAUAUUCAACUUAUACUAUAACAUAAAAAUUGACAAAGGAAAGGAUACGCUUUCUGUCCUGCACCAUGGAAAGCAGGAUCGAGAUCCUUCAUUGACACAGCCAUCUUCCGAAACAGAAUCUGCUACGGCUUCAACUUACAAGUCGAUAAGCUCUACAAUAGGAUCACACAGUUCAUUACUCCAGAACAUUCAAAAACAUAACUGACAUUAUCACAAGGAUUGUAAAAGGAAAAAAAAGAAGAAGAAAGAAACAAAUUGGGCUGAACAAAAUGAUUGGCACAGUGCAAAAAAGUUUGUCUUUCAUGCGACAAAAAAAUGUGAAUUGUACAACAUGAAAUGCAGGAUGAUGAUCGAAAAAAGUAUCAUAGUGCAAAAGGCUCUCUCAAAUGCUGGGUUUGUGAUUUGCACAAUCAUCACUAAAUCACACAAUACAACACUCGACCGCAACUUACGGAAUGUCCUCACUACAAAUUUGUUGAUGGUAAGAAUGACACUGAUAACAAUUCCAUUGCAAUGAUACCACAAAAAAAAAAAAAAACAAAGAAAAAACUUCUUAUACAAUAAUUAGUCGAUUCCCGGUUGAAAACGAAUGUCAGGUGAAUUGCCUGAGUGCACAAUUUUAAAAUCAAUGUGCCAAUCUUACACACAAUGGCACUAUCCAACUUUAAAAAAUAAUACUAAUUAAAUAAAAAACAUAUCACAUAAAAACAUAUCACCAAAAAAAAAAAAAAAAAACAACUCCACAAAAUAUCAAUGUGGAUCUAAAGAACCCUGACCCAAUAAUUUUAGUUUCUUUUAUUAUGAAAAAUGAAGUCCGAGACUAAUGGUCGAUCAUGUAUCCCAAUAAUAACGCAUCUGAAUAAGGGCUUGGAAUGUUAUGGAUUCGAGUCCCAGAUGAGAGAGAGACUGAAAAGAUUGCAGGGGCCUAACGGGCAACUUUUUUAUUGUGAAAAUAAGCAUCUAAAAUUUUUAUUUAUAAAACUAGAUCUAAAUGGUGAAUGAUUUGCUGUUUUUAUAAAGCGGUAAUUUAUUCACCGCUUUCUACGAGCAGUAAACCAUUCACCGUAAAAGAUUUUACGUAAUUUAUAUAUUUUCCACGUCCGAACUCUAAAAUUUGUAUAUAUUAAACUGUAAAAAUAAUUUUAGUAUUUUAAGAAAAGCGGUGCACAUUUAGAAACCGAUAAUUCAUUCAACCUACAGGAAUAAUUUUGUAAAUAAUUUAUUUGCAGAACUAUUUUUAUAAUUAUAAUAUUCUUUAAGCCUAUUUAUAAAAGAAAUUCGGGUCUAACAAAACAAAUAGAUUAAAAUAAUCCCUUUUACCCAUAAAACAAAGCAAAAUUACUAUCCCCAAAAACAAAUAAUUAAAAACAAGACAUAGCGAAAGCCAUGCAAAAAACAACAAAAAGAUACAACAACUGGAGAAUAAUCUAAUGGGAGGGCUUGUACCUCUCUUCCAGCUUAGUCCCAACACAAGAACCCUAGAAUUUGGAUGGUGAACACAGGAGAAGGGACAUGAAAAAUGCCCUUAAAAUGGCCGGAAAAGAGGGAGCAAAAAAUUAAAAAAAAAAAAAAAAAAGGGGAAAGAAAACGAAAAGGAGAAACACAGAUUAAGAGAAGGGUAAAUGUCUAAAUGAGGGCCGAGAGAGCUUAUCCUUGGGGUCCAAUGGAUGGUAACUUUCACUUUUCAUUAUUUGAUGAAGCAAACAAAAGGCAAUAAAAAAUAAAAAUAAAAAAAAUAAAAUAAAAUAAAAUAAAGAAGGUCUGAAUAAUAAAUAAAAUUAAAAGUGUGUGAAAAAUGGAGGAUUAAAAUUUGAAAAUAGUGGUAAAUUCGGUUUCAUAUCAAUUGAGAACAUAUUAUUAUAUGGACCCUGUCUGCCACAUCAGCAAACAACAACCCCAUAUAUAUUAAAUUGUUGAACUCUUAUUAAUAGCACAUAAAUAGUGUCUACUAUUGAUUUUUUUUAAGUCAUUUGAUCUAUAAUAGUACCACAAUCUUUUAAUAAUAAAUCCUAUGUAUUCAAUAGCUAAAAAGAUAGUAGUAACUAUUAUUUUCUAGCCGGAUAUAAAUUAUAUGUAAAUAUAAAUGUAAAUUAUUAAAAAUGAGUCAAAAAUUUUAGAUGAUUUAUUUGCUUAUAUAUACUCUUUGAAAAUCUAUUGUCAAGGAAUUAAAUAAUGCGUUAUUGGUUCAUUGCAUGAGAAAUAGAUUUGGAAAAUUUUAGUAUAUGAACUAUUUGGUGAUUGCAAAUCGCAUGUACAGUUCAAAAUUUUGCUUAAAAAAAAUAUUUAAAAGUUUGAAUUAUGCGACGACAACGGUCCAUGAUGGACCAGGUCCAGAUAAUUAUUGGCCGCUCCGAGUGCCAUUUUCGCGGCCCACUAUGUACACGUGGAGAGAUUUGAUAGGCUAUUCCUGUGUUUGGUGUUCUGAAAAGUGGUGGGGAUGGUUGGAGGAAAGGAUCAAACUUGUGUGCGGCGGGGAGGAGGCAACGCUUUCGGUCGUGGACUGGGUGAAAUUAGCGGAUCGCGCAGAGCAGGAAACACCCGCACAAAUGACUCCCUCGUGCGACACGUGUCGUUGUUAAGUAAGUUUACUUUUCUUUGUUUGGGGAAUUUUUUAAGACCAAUUUGCAUUAAAAAAAAAAAAAUCCACAGGUUUUGAAUUUUUACAAAAACGACUCACUUUUUUAAAUUUUAAAAAUUUGAUCUGAAAUUUUAAAAAUUUGACCAAAAUAUUUUUUUUCUUUUUUUCUUUUUUUUUCUUUGGUUAAUCAUUCUUCGCCUAUUUCUUCCUCUCAUUCUCCUCAUGCUUCCUUUUAUUUCAACCUCUACUCCAUUGCCCUGACGUCGAUGCCACGCCCCUCUCUUCUAUCUCAUCCAUAUCUCCAUCAAAACUAGCUCAGAUAUGGCAUAUAUCGCAAAGAUGAGACUAUGGCGAAAGGCGUGGCCAUCGAUGGCGACAACGACAACAAUAAGGGUGCCAUAAGCUUUGAAGACGACGGGAAUGGAGAGCGCAUUGGGGUCAGCGCAGCAGCUACAGCAAAGGGUGAGGGAAAAGAUGCGAUAACAAAAAAGGAUGCAAACGGUAAAAGAAAAGGGAGAGAGAAAAAUAAAAAGAAAAAAAAAUCUCUAGAAAGGCCAUCAUAUGUCAUGUCCUCUGCAGUCUGCAAAAAAAAGUCAACAAGAAAAGAAGAAAGAAUAAGAAAAUAAUUUAGCGCUACUUUUUUUUGAGAGAAAGGUAGCAUGCUACUCGCUUCGUUUAUUUCUUUAAGAAAUAAACUUAGCUGAAAAUAUGAAUCAAUUAGGAUUCAAACUUGGAAUCUCGGGUACCAACCAUCUGUUGGCCUAGUGGCCCUAAUCUUUCAUUAGAUUUUGAUGAUAACAAAUAAUUACGAUUAUUGGACUAAUCUUUUAUCUUGAGUUUUGUGUUUUAGAUCUCUCUAUCUUCAAAAGGACUCAAGAUGGCCAAUCUUCUAGCACCAAGCUUCACCACUUGAAGCUAUGCUUGCUUCCUUUGUCAAAUAGACAAACUCACUCUCUAUAUUCUUAAUUUGAUUAAUAUCUUUAGAGUGAGAAUUUUUUAGCUAAGUUUAAUCUACUCCUCUUAUCACUUUAUAGCUCAUUUGAACAAAUCUCUAACUUGUGAUAAGGUGCAUAGGAUUUUAUUUUAUUCAAAAUCUGCUCAAAAUUAGUUUUCUGUCAAGUUACUAUUUCUGGACUCUGAUCUGGGCGUCCUAAAGUGGAUCCGAAUCUCAUGCGUUUUUGGAUCCUGCCUGUUUACUGUUCGAGUGGUCCAGAUAUUCUUUCACCUAAUGUGGGCGCCCAAAUGUCUGUUUAGGGCAACCGAAUUGUUUGACUUGAUAGGUUGCGUCUUCCGGACAGUACGACGGAUCGGCCCGAAAAGUUCUGACACUGCACGGCGCAGGCAACGCGCGUGCUGGAAAUCUGGGCGCCCACAUCUUCUGGAAGCCAAAAUGAUUCCGCUCAGAGAAUGCGGCGCACGCCGUCUGUCUUUGUCAGAAAAGUCAGCGCGCGUGUCCUAGGCGCCCACAAAUUCUGAUGGCUCGAAUGUACGAAUCCAGAAAAGUAGCGCACGACUGACAGGCAGCUGGAAGCGCAGUGCGCGUGCACAACUUCUGGGUGCCCGAAAUUAGGUUUAGGGCGCCCGAAAGUGUAACGGUCUGGAGCUGGCCGAGGCUAUAAAUAGAUGGCUUUGAGGCCUUUCUCAGCCUUUUUUAGACAGUUGAUUUGAGCUUAAAAAUUUCAGUGUUUCUAAUACUCUUAGCUUUCAAUUCUCUCUCUAAACUUAAGUGCAAUUUGUAGUGAGAUUUAAUCUUGUAAAAAGAGAGAAGAGCAAAGUCUUGGAGCUUGAAAAGAAGAAGGUGUUGGUGUGAAGGCUUGAUGCUUGCCCGCAAAAGCAUCAUCCAGUGGAGAUCCAAUGUUCUCUUGUGUUGAGGAGUUGGCGGGGACAUAGGCAAAGUGCCGAACCUCGAAACAAAUAGAUUGUGUUCGUCUUUGAGUUUGCAUUUCUCUAAACUCUUCCUUUAUUAUUUGUUUCAGGUUUUCAAAUUUCUUGAUUAUUUAGCUUUUUAUUUUAGAAACCUAAUUCACCCCCUCUUAGGUUGCCAUUUUGAUCCUCACCAUCAAACCCUUUGCCACUUGCAUUAGAGAAAGUCGAUACAAUUUAGCACUAUUGGAGACAAAAUUGCAUUGUUUGAGAAUAAGUUGUACUAUUUGAAGUUAAGUUGCACCAUCUAUAACCAUUUAUAACUAUUUUGCCGGUUUAAGAGGUUUCGCUCUAUUAUAUCUUAUAUAUAGGACUUCUAAAUUAUGGGGUCUCACAUUCUCCUCCACUUUAAGUCUUGACAUUCUUGUUAUACUCAAACUGCCAAGUACCAGGUGUGAGACUCGUCUCACUAGCCAUAAUGGCUCGGCCAAGACUCAUUCACACUUUCAGUUGGUAAUUAGCUCUGAUACCAACUAUGACAUCCAACUUUCCAGGGGGUCACCUAUCCUAUAAUUAUUCUAGCCCUAACACUCUUAACUAUCUUAACCUUUUGAGCAUAUCCAUCACCCAAAAUGUUAUAUCCAGGUUAAAAGAUUUCGAUCUAUUAUAUCUUAUACAUAAAACUAUUCCAAAUCUUGGGGUCUCAAUUUGAGACUUAAGUUUACUAUUAAAAGUUUCAACUUAGUCUCAAAUAAUUUUAAAUUGUGCAACUUAAGUCUCAAACAGUGCAAUUUCUAUUUAAUGUUGUGCAAUUUAGUUUCAAAUAAUUAUAAAUAGUGCAGCUUUAUCUCAAACAGUGCAACUUAGAUUCAAAUAGUAUAAUUUUUGCCUUAAAUAAUGCAACUUUAUUUUCUUCUUUUUAUUUUCUACUUCUUGAAGUUUUCUGUAACGGUCAUGACAUAUAAUGACCUUCACUAGAGAAAUUUUUUUAUUUUUCUUAUAUUUUUCUUUUUUAUUAUUUCUCCUUCUUCCUUUUCUUUCACUUUUUGUAUCUUUUUUCAUUACUGCACCUCAUCCCUUGUCCUCUGCCACAACCGUCGCUCCCCCAGUACCAACUUGCUCUCCCUCCCCAUCAUUCUUAAGCUGUGUUUGGUUGGAGUAUAAGUAAGAACUGCUUAUUUCAAGAAUAGGUACAAGUUCAGUUAUAAGCAGAAAUUAGACAAAUUUUAUGUUUGGAUGAAAAUUGAGUUGUUUUUAGGAAUAAGGUAAAUAGUGUUUGGAUAGUUAUAUUGGAACAAAAAGAAUAAGAGUUAUAAUUUUAAAUUAAAAUUAUUUUAUCUAAUUGAUUAACAUCAAAAUAUUACUUAAAAAAUAAAUUAAUAUCAAUAAUUAUAAAUAAUAAAUUAAUUAAAUAAUAAUAAAUUAUAAAUAAUUAUAAAUAAUAAAUUAAUUAAUAAAAAAAUUAAUUAGAUAAUAACUUAUAAAAAAUUUUAAUAAUUGUAAAUUAUAGAUUAAUUAAUUAAUUAAUAAUUAAUAAUUAAUUAAUAAUUAAUACUAAAAAAUUAAAAAUAAUAAAUAUUAAUUAAUAAUAAUUUAUUAAUAAUAAAUUAAUUAGAUAAUAUAGUAUAAAUUAUAAACUAAUAAUAAUUAUAAAUAAUAAAUUAUUACUAAUUAUAAAUUAUAAAUAAAUUAAUUAAUAAUAAAAAUAUUAAUUAAUUAAUUAUUAAUAAUUAUAAAUAAAAUAUUAUUAAUAAUUAUAAAUCAUAAAUUAUUUAAUUAAUAUUAAAUUAAUUAAUUAGAUAAUUAUAAAUAAAAAUAAUUUAAAUAACUUAAUUAAUUAUAGUUAAUUAAUAGUAGAUCAAUUAUUAAUUAAUAAUAAAUAAAUUAAUAAUAAAUUAUUAUAAAUAAAUAAAUAAAUAAAUAAUUUUAUUAUUUAAGCAAUAAAUAAUAAUUUAUAUGCAGUGUUUCUGAACUUUGGAUAGGAUUGGCUUCAGUGUAAGUGACUGGUCGGCGCAUCUAGAGAGUGUCGGACUGAGUUUCUCCGCGAAAUGGAUGAAGAAAUGGACUCGGCGCACUCAAAUAGGAAAACUGGAGUUUUGCCACAUUCGGGCGCCCAGAACUGGUCUUGGGUCGCCCAGAAGUUGAGUGCAGUUUUGAUCAGAACUGGAAGCCAAUUCGGGUCCAUAUUUCGGGCACCCGAAUGAGGGCCCGAAAAUUCACCUCGUGAGUAUCAUUUGCACUGACACGUGGCUGGUGGUUGGUGAAGUCCGCCGGAGCCGGAUAUGGGCACAGCACACCGCGGGCGGAGACUCCGAAGAGGAAGCCUUGUGUAGCCUGGAGGAUUCGGGCACCCAUAAUGUAGGUCCGGGUGCCCGGAAAUGCCAGUUUCUGCAGGGGUACCAGCUUUGCAGCAAUUGUUCCUGAGGGCUAUCUCACCACUCCAGCACCCUAUAAAUACCUGGUAUACGUCCCCUUUGAGCUCUUUUCAUCUAUUCUUCACAGAGAUCCUUUAUCUUGCAUCCUAAUCUCUCCAAACUCCUCCAUUUGCAUCAAAGUACCACAACUCUAAGAUUUCAAGGUGCAGAUUCUGCAGUCUCCCAGCGACGACCUUCAGUGUUUUGGCUCGUGCGCGACGUAGGGAGAUCGGAUUGCGACAAAACUUGGUUUGCUGGAUUUUAGACUUCUAGAGGAAUCCACGAAAUCCUGAAUUGUGGGUUUUGGUUGAGGUUAGCUUGGUCGUUUACCUAUGUUUCUGGACUGUUGGCAACAUUGAGCUAAAAAUGAGAUUUUUGAGCUUUUCUUGAUGCUAUCUUUGUAGGCAGUGGGAUUUUGGACCUGAGACACAUCACCCAUCAGUAUUUGCUGGAUUUGGGACUGUCCUCACCUGAUUUAGAGAUCGUUAGGUGAGUUUUGACAUUGGAGUGGGGAGAAAUCUAAGCUUAAGUGCUGAAAUUGGGAUUUUGGUGGAUUUUAGUGGAAUUGAUGUUCAGAUCUUGAUUGUGGAUCUUUGUUGGCUGAGAGCAUGUGCGGCUGGUUCCGACAGGGUGUCCCGCAGCUGAGUGACCUUCUUGCUGCCAGAAAAUUGAUCUCGAGGUGGGUUUUCAUCGGGUUACUCCUAAGUGCAUAUAUAGUCGAAGUGUAUGAUUUCCGUUUCGUCUACUAUUCAGUUUGAUUGAAUUCAUCGAUUAGCUUUGGGUUGAAAUCUGAAUCGUAAAGCAUGCUGAAUGAGUUAAUAAAUUAUACAUGUUGGACUUAAAAUUUUGACUUAGGAGAAAACCAGCGUUUUGACCCGUCAUAUGAUUCUACUGCCUAAUUUAGCUCUAGGAGCCGUGAUUUGAUUGUAUCACCGCUGUUUCAGCAUGGUGGAUACCCGGGGUAGUUUAGAAUGCAUCUACGCUCAUGCUGGGAUGCCGAGCUUAUUUUUAUAGUAGAGUUUAGGCUGUUUCGGGUUGUCGGGUGCCGUCGGGGUGGACGGUGGACCCAGAUCCUUAUUUUUGGUCUCAGAUUGUGCCGAGGGCACAUGGGUUUGAUUUCUAGACCUAUUUUAACUCUAACUACUUGACUUUGGCUUGUUAGAGCCUAUUUGAGCUCGACAGAGAUACGCUGCAUACUCCGUUUGGUAGCUCCCAUGAGUGCCACUCCGGAGGCGGGCGUUGUGCUUUUGCGUUGGUGUCGUUCGUGCAGGUUGGAGUUGCUCUCCACGGACUUGUUAGUGUGGAUGUAGCUGGUUAGUUGCAACCUGGCGGGACGGGUGUGUUCACAGUCUCAGGGACGGGUAUAAUUACAGUCCCUAUUCGAGAUUGGAUCUGAGUUGACACUGUUCUACAGUUGGUUAGAUUAGAGCAUGAUAGUAUAGAGGUAGAUAGCUGUAGAUACGUUCUAGCUUUCCUUACUAUUUCUUGCUUACCCCUGUAGACUUAGUGGGUGGACCGAUGAGUUUGACAGUGGUACCCACUGAGGACUACUUGUUUUUACAGUAGUUCUCACGCCCAGUUUGUUUCCACUGUUUUGCAGAGCCAUCGUCUGCUGCUGUCGCUGAUAUUGAUCGUGGCAAGGGCGUCGCGAGUUUGAGCCUUUCCAAUCGAGUUGCUUAGCUAGGGGAGGACCGCUGCAGGUAGUGUAGUUUUGGUUUGUACAUACAGAUGUUGUACAGUCGCCAGUGCGAGUGCUUUUGGUAUCUUGGAUCUUAUGUAUGUAUAGAACCAUAGUUUAUAUAUGCAUGUUUUAUUCUUUUCUCCUAGCUGCUCUAUACUACUGUCUAUAGUAUUGUAUGAUUACAGGUACUUUUACUUUUCGCUUCGUAUACAGAAAAAAUACCUAUGUAUACGACAGGUCUGUUAGCGAGCCUGGGGAAACGAGUAAUCCGGGACGUGACAGAUUAAGUUGGUAUCAGAGCUUAGCUGUAGGCCGUUGGGACCUAGGAGCCCUAAGUUUGGCAAACCUUAGGAAGGUAAGACACAAGAGGCGUGAUUUAUCGCGAAAGUCAACGAUUUGUUGUUCUAACUUCUCCUAGAGUGGAGUGAGUGAUUGGAAGAGUUCCUGUUUUGGCCUGAGAAAUUAUGUUUGCUGGAGACGACAUAAUUUUGAGGAGAAACAUGGGCCGCAUUCUAGACUUUCGUUUGAUUGGGUCGAGAGUGUUUUUGUUGUAUCUGACCCCUGUUUUGUUCUUUACAGCUAUGUAUCGUCGCCGAGGUCGACCGUCGCUCAGAGAUCGUGCCGCACCGCCUGAGAUGCCUGAGCAGGCAGAGCCAAGUACGCCACCAGAGGCGAGUGCACCCCCUGUUGUGGAGCAGAGGGCCUGACCGGAGGUGGGUGCACCUCCUGAUUUGAGUGCACAGUUAGCCGCCCUGACUGAGAUGACGAGGCAACAGGGAGGAGUUGUUGGAGAGGUUGUGUGAGAGGGUAGCUCCGUCACCGAGUACAGUAUCGAGAGCACCUGAGCAGGCCAUUCCACCUCCGACUACUCCAGUGACAACACCAGCCGCAGCUAUACCCCCGCCAGUGGAGCUUCCUACAGCGCUAGUUGCGGCUGCUAGGGGGCCAGUACAGUUGACUGAGGCCGAGCAGGAGCGGAUGACAGAGAAGUUGGCUCGUUUUCGCCGUUUUGAUCUACCGACCUUCGACGACAGUUGCACUGAGAUCUGGGUUGUUAAGGGCUGGGUCAGUGCGAUAGAGAAGCUGUUCGAGGAUCUAUUCGUGCCUGAGAGAGAGCAGGUGUCUUUGGGAGUACACUGCUUAGCUGGCGAUGCUCACGCCUGGUGGAGGAGAGUGAGGCGAGACUAUGGAUUAGUGGCGUUGCAGAUGAAGUGGGAUGAGUUCUGUGAAAUGUUCUUUGGGAUGUUUUUUUCCAACAGCAUGAAACAGAAGAUCGAGGAGGAUCUCAAGAGGAUUCAGCAGGGUGAGCGGACAGUUCAGGAGUACAUUCGGGAGUUCACGCGACUCCUGAACUGUGUCCCGUUUGUGGCUCGAGACGAGGUGCAUCGUGUUUAUCUGUUCGAGCAGGGAUUGAGACCCGAGAUCUUUCAAUUGGUGCAGGCGCAGAGGUUGAGGACCUUGGACGCGUCGAUGGAGCAGGCUCUUUGGGUAGAGAGGGGUGAUGCCUCCAUUCUGGAGAAGACUCAGGCUGUGGGGCAGAGGCCGUUGCUACACUUGCGGUCAGCCCGGGCAUAUGAGGUCAGCUUGUCCUCGUGCACCAUCACCAGCACCAUCCAUGGCAUCAGCACAGCCAGCAUCCCAGCAGUCUUCUAGAGGAGCACCGAGUUUUCGCCAGGAGGACAAAUCGUCUAUGCCGCGUAAGACUGAGCGGCAAUAGCAGGCUCCGAGUGGCAGAGUUUACGCAGCUCAGGUGGAGGAUUCUUCAGCAGCCUACCGAGCGGUGGUAGGUAUCAUUUUGAUUUUCGGCAUUCGUACUCGUACUCUUUUUGAUACCGGUGCCUCGCAUUCUUUCGUUAACCGAGCAUUUGUAUUGUUGUAUGGUCUAGAGUUAGGGUCAUUGUCACAGGCACAAGAGGUGCGAUCCCCGACCAUGUUUUACAGGUUGUAGAGUGUUGUUGGUCAUAUCCGGUGCAGUUAGAUUCUUGGAUCAUGCCCGCAGAUCUGUUGGUGUUAGGGCAGCUGCAGGACUUUGACGUAGUGCUCGGUAUGGAUUGGCUGGCGCGGUACUAUGCUACUAUCGACUGUGGAGCGAGAACUGUGACGUUCCGCGAGCCAGGCCAAGAGGAGUUUAGUUUCAGAGGUUGCAGUAGUACUUUGUUUGCCACUUGGAUAUCUUCGGCGAUGGCUUGACAGCUGAUGAGUAGAGGAUGCAUUUCUUUUCCGGCGACUAUGAUAGAGGUGCCUACGGCAGCGCCGGGACUCGAGGAUAUCCCUAUAGUCCGUGAGUUUUCGGACGUGUUUCUCCCAGAGUUGACGACAAUGCCGCCGGAGAGGGAAAUAGAGUUUGUGAUUGAUGUAGUUCCUGGAACUGCACCAAUGUCAAAGGCACCUUACAGGAUUUGAUGGAUAAGGGGUUUGUGAGACCCAGUGUGUCACCUUGGGGAGCGCCGGUGUUGUUUGUAAAGAAGAAGGAUAGUUCGCUCAGAUUGUGUGUAGAUUACAGGGAGCUGAAUAAGGUGACCAUCAAGAAUAAGUAUCCUUUGCCGCGCAUUGAUGAUCUGUUUGAUCACCUGCAAGGAUUUUAUGUCUUCUCGAAGAUUGGCCUCCAGUCAGGUUACUACCAGUUGAGGGUGAGGGCCGAGGAUGUUCCCAAGACGGCUUUUCGGACUCCGUACGGGCAUUAUAAAUUUAUGGUGAUGCCGUUUGGAUUGACGAAUGCCCCUGCCGCAUUCAUGGAUUUGAUAAACAGAGUGUUCAAGCCGUUCUUGGAUAGGUUUGUGGUAGUCUUCAUUGAUGAUAUUCUGAUAUACUCCCGGAGCGAUGCCGAGCAUGAGGAGCACUUGAGGACUAUGCUACAGCUUCUGCGAGAGAAGAAGUUGUAUGCCAAGUUAAAGAAGUGCGAGUUCUGGUUGCGGUAGGUUACUUUCUUGGGCCACGUGAUAUCUGCGGUUGGAGUGACAGUGGACUCGAAGAAGAUUGAUGCUAUUCGGGAUUGGUCCAGACCGACGACGGUGACAGAGGUGAGGAGUUUCCUUGAACUUGCAAGUUAUUACCGUCGAUUUGUGGAAGGCUUUGCGAAGCUUUUCACACCACUCACUCGACUGACUCGUAAAGGAAUUAAGUUUAUCUAGAGUGAGGAUUGCCAGAGGAGCUUCGAUGAGUUAAGACAGAGGUUGACGUUAGCUCCUAUCCUUGCUCUGCCAGUGAUAGGAGAAGGAUUUGUGAUUUACAGUGAUUCAUCGCACAGUGGUUUGGGCUGUGUGUUGAUAUAGCAUGGUAGGAUAAUUACUUAUGCUUCACGGUAAUUAAAGGAUUACGAGGAGAAUUACCCAACGCAUGACUUAGAGCUUGCCGCAGUAGUCUUUGCUUUAAAGUUGUGGCGGCAUUACUUGUAUGGCGAGCACUGCGAAGUUUUCACCGAUCAUAAAAGUCUCAAGUAUCUGUUCACCCAGAGGAAGUUGAAUCUGAGGCAACGCCAGUGAUUGGAGUUACUGAAGGACUAUGACAUUAGUAUUCAGUAUCAUUCCGGCAAGGCGAAUGUGGUGGCAGAUGCGUUGAGCAGGAAGGCAGUGCAGAGCUUGAGCAUGUUGAUCGCUCAGCAGAGGCUGUUACUCGAGGAGCUGCAGCGGCUGAGGCUCGAGAUAGUGUCCCCUGGAUUUACUGCGAGACUGAUGUUUAUGGUCUUACAGCCCACUCUGUUGGAUAGGAUCCGAGAGAAACAGAGUGGAGAUCCACACUUGUUGAGGAUUCGAGAGCGGUUUGAGAGGGGACAGGCAGAGGGCUUUAUUGUGGACAGUUCGGGAGUACUGCGGUACAGGGACCGACUGUGUGUACCUAUGGAUUCAGAGAUCCGAGAGGACAUUUUGAGAGAAGCUCAUUGUUCACCUUAUACAGUUCACCCUGGUGGAACCAAGAUGUAUAAGAACUUAAAAGCCCACUUUUGGUGGAAUGGAAUGAGAGGGACAUUGGCAGAUUUGUGGCUCAGUGUCUGACUUGUCAACAGGUAAAGGCCGAGCAUCAAGUACAUGCUGGCAAGCUUCAGAGUCUGCAAGUGCCCGAGUGGAAAUAGGAGCAGAUCGCGAUGGACUUCGUCGUGGGGUUGCCUAGAGCUCAGGGUGGUAUCGAUGCUAUUUAGGUGAUAGUGGACAGACUGACUGAGUCUGCUCACUUCCUACCAGUUCAAACCACCUGGUCCAGAGAGUGGCUCGCUCAGUUAUAUCUGGACGAGAUAGUGAGGUUGCAUGGUGUGCCUACUACGAUAGUAUCAGAUCGAGACCCGAGGUUCGUCUCGCACUUUUGGAGGAGUCUUCAGACGGCCUUGGGCACUCAGUUGCAGUUCAGUACAGUGUUUCACCCACAGACAGAUGGUCAGUCAGAGCGAACCAUUCAGACUCUUGAGGACAUGCUAAGGGCAUGUGUCCUGGACUUUGGAGGAGGGUGGUAUCGACAUUUGAGACUGGUUCAGUUUCCGUACAACAACUGCUAUCAAGCGAGCAUCCAGAUGGCUCCGUUUGAGGCGUUGUAUGGACGCAGGUGUCGAUCCCCUUUGUUUUGGAGCGAUGUUGGUGAGAGGAAAACGCUUGGGCCUGAGAUUCUGAUUGAGGAUGAGGAAAAGGUGAAGGUGGUGCGACAGCACAUUUUAGCAGCCCAGAGUCGGCAGAGGAGCUAUGCUGAUACCCGGAGGGAGACGAGACUUGGAGUUCCAGGUGGGAGAUCAUGUGUUUCUUAAAGUUUCGCCGCCCAGAGGGAUUCGCCGAUUUGGAGUACGUGGAAAGUUCAGUCCACGUUUUGUCGGCCCUUUUGAGGUUUUGGAGCGAGUCGGGCCAGUGGUUUACAGGAUUGCUCUAACUCCACGACUAGCCGGCAUUCACGAUGUUUUUCACGUCUCGGCUUUGAGGAGAUAUGUGUUCGACCCCUCCCACGUGAUAGACUUCACUCCGCUUGAGAUUGGCGAGGACCUGAGAUACGAAGAGCGACCAGUGCGGAUUCUGGCUCGUGAUUUGAGAGAAUUGCGCAACCGGGUCAUACCCUUUAUAAAAGUGCAGUGGAGUAAUCACGAGAAGCGGGAGGCAACUUGGGAGCCGAAGACGGUGAUGAGAGAAUCCUACCCCUACCUUUUUUAUGCUCAGGAUUGAGAUAUGUUUCAGUUUUGCGGACGAAACUUUUUGUAGUGGGGGAGGAUGUAGUGUUUCUAAACUUUGGAUAGGAUUGGCUUCAGUGUUAGUGACUGGUCGACACAUCUGGAGAGUGUCAGACUGAGUCAGAGUCGUUUCUGCGCGAAAUGGAUGCAGAAAUGGACUCGGCACACUCAAAUAGGAAAACUGGAGUUUUGCGAGAUUCGGGUGCCCAGAACUGGUCUUGGGUCGCCCAGAACUUGAGUGCAGUUUUGAUUAGAACUGGAAGCCAAUUCGGGUCCAUAUUUCGGGCGCCCGAAUGAGGGCCCGAAAGUUCACCUCGUGAGUAUCGUUUGCACUGACACGUGGCUGGUGGUUGGUGAAGUCCGCCGGAGCCGGAUAUGGGCGCAGCACACCGCGGGCGGAGACUCCGAAGAGGAAGCCUUGUGUAGCCUGGAGGAUUCAAGCGCCCAUAAUGUAGGUCCGAGUGCCCGAAAAUGCCCGUUUUUGCAGGGGUACCAGCUUUGCAGCAAUUGUUCCUGAGGGCUAUCUCACCACUCCAGCACCCUAUAAAUACCUGGUAUACGUCCCCUUUGAGCUCUUUUCACCUAUUCUUCACAGAGAUCCUUUAUCUUGCAUCCUAAUCUCUCCAAACUCCUCCAUUUGCAUCAAAGUACCACAACUCCAAGAUUUCAAGGUGCAGAUUCUGCAGUCUCCCAGCAACGACCUUCAGUGUUUUGGCUCGUGCGCGACGUAGGGAGAUCGGAUUGCGACGAAACUUGGUUUACCAGAUUCUAGACUUCUAGAGGAAUCCACGAAGCCCUAAAUUGCGGAUUUUGGUUGAGGUUAGCUUGGUCGUUUACCUAUGUUUCUGGACUGUUGGCAACAUUAAGCUGAAAAUGAGAUUUUUGAGCUUUUUUUGAUGCUAUCUUUGUAGGCAGUGGGAUUUUGGACCUGAGACACAUCACCCAUCAGUAUUUGCUAGAUUCGGUACUGUCCUUACCUGAUUUGGAGAUCGUUAGGUGAGUUUUCACAUUGGAGUGGGGAGAAACCCAAGCUUAAGUGCUGAAAUUGAAAUUUUGGUGAAUUUUAGUGGAAUUGAUGUUCAGAUCUUGAUUGUGGAUCUUUGCUAGCUGAGAGUAGGUGCGGCUGGUUCCGAUAGGGUGUCCUGUAGCUGAGCGACCUUCUUGCUGCCAGGAAAUUGCUCUCGAGGUGGGUUUUCAUCGGGUUACUCCUAAGUGCAUAUAUAGUUGAAGUGUAUGAUUUUCGUUUCGUCUACUAUUCAGUUUGAUUGAAUUCAUCGAUUAGCUUUUCGCUGAAAUCUGAAUCAUAAAGCAUGCUGAAUGAGUUAAUAAAUUAUACAUGUUGGACUUGGAAUUUUGACUUAGGAGAAAACCAGCGUUUUGACCCGUCAUAUGAUUCUACUACCUGAUUUAGCUCUAAGAGCCGUGGUUUGAUUGUAUCACCGCUGUUUCAGCGCGGUGGAUAUCCGGGGUAGUUUAGAAUGCAUCUAUACUCGUGCUGGGACGCCGAGCUUAUUUUUACGGUAGAAUUUAGGCUGUUUCGGGUUGUGGGGUGUCGUCGGGGUGGACGGUGGACCCAGAUCCCUGUUUUUGGUCUCAGAUUGUGCCGAGGGCACGUGGGUUUGAUUUCUAGACCUGCUUUAACUCUAGCUACUUGACUUCGGCUUGUUAGAGCCUAUUUGAGCUCGACAGAGAUACGCUGCAUACUCGGUUGGGUAGCUCCCACAAGUGCCACUCCGGAGGCGGGCGCUGUGCUUUUGCGUUGGUGUCGUUCGUGCAAGUUGGAGUUGCUCUCAACGGACUUGUUAGUGUGGAUGUAGCUAGUUAGUUGCAACCUAGCGGGACGGGUGUGUUCUCAAUCCCAGGGACGGGUAUGAUUACAAUCUCUAUUCGAGAUUGUGUCUGAGUUGACACUGUUCUACAGUUGGUUAGAUUAGAGCAUGAUAGUAUAGAGGUAGAUAGCUGUAGAUACGUUCCAGCUUUCCUUACUAUUUCUUGCUUACCCCUGUAGACUUAGUGGGUGGACCGAUGAGUUUGAGGGUGGUACUCACUGAGGACUACUUGUUUUUACAGUAGUUUUUACGCCCAGUUUGUUUCCACUGUUUUGCAGAGCCAUCGUCUGCUGCUGUCGCUGAUAUUGAUCGUGGCAAGGGCGUCGCGAGUUAGAGCCUUUCCAGUCGAGUUGCUGAGCUAGGGAAGGACCGCUGCAGGUAGUGUAGUUUUGGUUUGUACAUACAGAUGUUGUACUCUCGCCAGUGCGAGUGCUUUUGGUAUCCUGGAUCUUAUGUAUGUAUAGAACCACAGUUUAUAUAUGCAUGUUUUACUCUUUUCUCCUAGCUGCUCUAUAUUACUGUCUGUAGUAUUGUAUGAUUACAGGUACUUUUACUUUUCGCUUCGUAUACAGGAAAAAUACCUAUGUAUACAGCGGGUCUGUUAGCGAGCCCGGGAAAACGAGUAAUCCGGAGCGUGACAUUAUAUAUAUUAAUUAAAUUAAUUAAUUAUUUAAUACUACAAUUAAAAUUAUUUUUAAACUUUAAUUUACCUUGUUCUUAUUCGAGAACAAGCUUGUUUCAGAAAAAAGGUGGAACGACAGUUCCAAUCUUAUACCGGCUUAUUCCAGAAAUCCGAAAACUACUGUUCUCGGGUACCGAACGCACUGUUUGGAAACAAAGGGAAGCAAGAGCUUAUUCCCCCUUGUCCCGAACCAAACACUACCUUAGAGUCUACAGUAUCCUCGUUGUCGUUGCAGUCCACGACCAUGCCCUCCAUUAAGCCUCAUCUCCGCAAUCUAUUCCAUAUCUGAGCCAUCGUUCACAGAAGUGUAGGAGAGGUAAGAGAGAAAAGCGUGGUGUCGACAUUUGGGCGAUAGAGAAGGAGGAGAAAAGAGAGAAAGAGAGAGGAGAAAUAGAAGAAAAAAAUGGCAAGGAGGUAGGAGAUGAAUUAAGUGGAGAAAGAUGUACGAAAAAAAGAGAGAGAAAGAGGAAUAAGAAUAUUUUGGUUGGUUUCUUAAAUAUGCAUCGAAUCUGCAAAAUUCAAAAAAGUAAUCCCUUUAUGCAAAAAUUGAAAACAAGUGGAUUUUUUUAGGCAAAAGGCCAUUUUUAAUUGAAUUAACAAAAAAACAACCUACAAUUUAGCUUGUCACUUACUCCUUUAAAAUUAUAUUAACUUAAUUCCUGUCAUUUUGUUACCAUUUUUAAAAUCUGAAAAAUUGGAUGGUGGUUGAGCUUGGAUGCAAAACUUUCUAAAAACUUUUUAAAUGUGUUUAUACAGAAACAAGUCAGUAAAUGAUAUUUGCAACUAUUCAUAAAGUAAAAUUACAUAAAUUAAAUAAAUUAUCUUACAUAGUGUAAUUUUGGUAGCUUUAGUUAACUCAAUAUAUUUUUUUUCCUUUAUUUAAGAUUUUAAUUAGAUAGAUGUUGAGAAACUUAGUAUUAUGCUAAUUUAAAUUGUUUUGACUUUCAUUAAAAUUAAGACUUUGAUGAGGAUGAUGAAGCUAAUGCUACACUUUAGGAGCUAAAUUGUUAAAAUUAAGAUUUUUGGACUUGAGGAAGAAUUAGAAUUAAGCUUUAAUAAAUUAGAGUUCAAGAUCGAAAAGAUGUUGUGACACCCUAGAGCUUGGAAUGGUUCUAUAUAUAAAAUUAUAAUAGAGCUACAACUUUGAACCCGGUUAUAAUAUUUUGGACGGUGGCUAGGAUUAAGAGGUUAAUAGGUAAUUACACUACUAGAAAAUUAAUCAUUAACGGCUUUUAUUUAUGCUACUAAAAGAUUAGCAGUAUUUAUAAUGAAUGGUGUUAAUAUAAAUCAAUUGGUGUCAUAAAGAACAUACUGCUAAAAAGAUUGUUAAAUUCUAAUUUUAAAUUGUUUAUUACUGGAAUACAAUGGUAUUAAUACAAAUACCAAAUGUUGGAAACUAAUUUUAUUUUAGAUUUAAUUUUUAAAUUUAAAUUUAAAUUUUCUAAGAGGAAAAUAGCAUGCUACCUACUUCGUUUAUUUAUUUUUUUAAAAAAAUAACUUAUAUGUAAGUGUGAAUCAACUAGAAUUAGAACUUAGGAUCUCAGGUACUAACCACCAAGCCGUUUGCCACUCGUGCUAGAGACAGUUGAUUAUAUAUAUUUGAAUUUUUAAAAUUUAAAAUUUUAAUUCUAAAUUUAGAUAAUAAAUUUAAAUUUUUAAUUUUCAAAUAUCAAAUUUUAAGUUUCAAAAUUCACAAUUUGAAAUUUAAAAUUUGAAAUUUGAAAUUUAAGAUAAAAUUAAAAAAUUAAAAAUUUAAAAUUAAAAUUUUAUAAUUUAAAAUUUUAACAUUUUAAAUGCUAAAUUGUAAGUUUAAUUUUUAAAUUAUAAGUUUCAAAUUUUUAAAAUUCAAAUUCUAAAUUUUUAAACUUUUAAAAUUUUCAAUUUUAAGUAUAAAGUGGGAUAUAUUAAUAAUUAUAUAUUGAUUGGUGAGGGUAUUUAACAAUAAGCGCUACUACUUUAUUAUAUUUACUAUCAUUUUUAUAAAAUACUGAAAACUUCAGCGGUAUUCACUAAUUUACGCUGCUAAUUUAUCCUAUUUUAUAACAUUAAUAAUAAAUUGUGCUAAAUUAUUAAAUAUACUAGUGUUGAACCCGCGCUUCGCCGCAGACAGUUUUAACAUCAAUAUUUUGAUGUGAAUUUUAAUAUAUAAUAAUUAUGAAAAGUGAGAAAAAAAUAAAAUUAAAUAUCAAUACAUAUAUAUGUAAGAAAAAGCAAAAGAAUAGUAGCCAAGAAUGAAUUGCUAUGCAAAAAAUAAGAUGGAAUAAUAACAAAAUAUGUAAUUAUGAACUCUGCAAAAUAUAUAUUUAGCUUGAAUGAUUACUAAUUAUUUUAAUACAUAUAUAAGUAUUUUGGAUUGAUAACAAACUAUGUAAUUUUUUUAUUUUUAAAGAAUAGUAGCCUUUUUUUUAUUUUAUUUUAUUUUUUAAAUCUUUUUGUUUGUUUUUUUUUUUAGUGCCCUUCUCUUCUUUUUUCUACCUUCUCUUAACUUUUUUUUUUUUAUGUGUGCAACCUGUGAAGUGUGUGCAAUGGUUUGUUUUCCCGAAAAGUGAACAAAGGAAAAACGAAAAGAUUUAAAUAAAUAAAUAAGAAAGUGUAGGCGUUGGGAAUUUGUUAGGGGUGCAAUUUUUUUAUCUUUUUUUUAUUUUGUAUUUUUUUUUUUUUACUAUAAUUCCUUAACAGCGAGUAAAGAAAUAUAUAGUACAAUAGAUAACAGUUCUCAGAGAUAAAAAUGUUCAUGCUUUCCGGGUACCCUCAGGUACCCGGUUAAUUACGCCAUUUUUAGUACAUGCAGACCACCUCUGAUUAAACUGGUCAUAAAAAAAAACCCCUCUUCUAAACAAUAAUAUUAAUAUAUUUUUUUGUUAAACCGUAAUAAUAAUAAUAAUAGUAUGUGCCAAUCAGGUGUGUAUUAUAUACAUUUAUUUAACACCUAUAUAUAUAUAUAUAUACACUAAUCUAUGAAUCCCCAAUAUUUUGCUGAUGUGGCGUGACCUCCUUCUCCCAAAACCUCUCCCUCCUCAUCUCCCAACCCCCAAGACCCCUCAUCUUUCAAAACCGCUCUCUCCUUAUCUCCCAACCCUCGAGACCCCUCCCCCUCCUUAAUAGAAUCAUUAAUUAGUAAAAUAAUACUUCAUAUUUAAUUAAGAGAUUAAUCAUCAUUAUUAAUCAAAUUGCUCAUAAACUGCUAUAAUACUAAGCACCUAAUUAAUUCAAUAAACUGUCGACCCAUACUUAUGUCUCAUAUGGGGCCACGCAAUUGAACCUAGAUAUACUAUAAGAAUAUGCCUGUAACAUUAAAAUUUUGCCAAUUAAAAGUAACAGUCAUUUAGAGCUCGUGGCUAUUAUUUAUCUAAUUAGUGUUCUUUAUUUUUAUUUGAAUAGGGAUUUGGAUUUAAUUGACUUCUUUUUAAAGCAUCCGAGAGAGCCCCUUUUUAAUUUUUGUAUGCAACGUGCAUAAAUUUGCAAUUACAAUUGCGUUUUACGAGUAGUUAUCUUGGUGUGCAUUAUGCAGGUGAACAUCACUCCUUAAUGCAGAUACAUAUUAUCUUCAUUGUGCCCGUGAGGAGAACCUCUUCUCCCUCGCCCGCCACCUCACUUCCCUCGCCGACCUCGUGUCGAUGCGCACCUAUUCUCUCCUUUGUCGCCCCUCUCCUCUUCUCCUUCCUCCUCAAUCGUCCUUUUACUGAUUUGUGUGCUCUUUUUCAGACUUUUGUUUGCCAAUUAGUUUAAUUUUUUUCGCUUUUAAUGCUCAUUUAAAUUUGUGCUUAUUUUAGCUUUGUCAUUGAGAUAAUAUAUGUCAUAAAAAUUAACUUGGUAUAAGUUUAUUGUAUAAACUUAUUACCAUUAGUAAUAGAUUUGUUUUUUUUUAAAUGCAAAUGACAUUGUAUUCAAAUGAUAUUGUUCUUUUGAGCAUUUUGUCAAAUAAGUGUUCCUNCGCCGCGGAGCUCGUCCUCGGGCUGGAGCACCUCCACGGACUGGGGAUCGUGUACCGCGAUCUCAAGCCCGAGAACGUCCUCAUCCAGGACAACGACCACCUCAUGCUCGUCGACUUCGACCUCUCCACGGAGCUCCCCUCUCCCCCGCCAGCCGCCAAUCGAUCAAAACCCCCUCCUCCUCCUCCUCCUCCUCCUCCGCUCCCCUCUGCCGCGAGCAGGAAGAAGGAUAAGAAGAAUAAGAGGAAGAAGCGCCCCCUCCUCAGUUGCUUCUCCUGCGACGCGAGAGUGUCCCCGGAGGAUCCGUCCCCGUCCCCGUCCGCUUCCUCGUCUCCGUCAAGGCUAAGAUAGAGAGCAGAAGGGAAGAGAGAGAGAGAGUAUGGGUGAGGAGGAAAGAGACAGAAACAGGAGCCAGCUAUUAUCUUGGGAAGAGGCUAAACCUCGGGAAUAAGAAUAUAUCUUGGGAAGGAGAGAGGCCUUGGGAAGAAGGCAAGGUUUCUUGGAAAGGAGAGAGGCCUUGGAAAGGAGAUGAGAGAGAAAGGAAAAACAAAGAAAAAAAAAUGCAAGAAAAAUGCAAGGUUGCCAUGUAUACUUUUAAAGACUGUCAAAUUAUGUAUUGUUAAGGAUAUAACAAUUAUCAAAUAAUACUAUUAAAUAUAUUAAUUAGCAUAAUUUAAAUAAAUAUUGCGGAGUAAAUGUCACUAAAUCAUGAAUUUGUUAUUGUUUGAGAAAAAAUUUAAAUUUAAAUUGAAAAUAUAGAAGGACAAAAAAUAAAUUGUAAUUUGAUUGCUACUUUCCUUAGAAGAUUAGGUAUUAACAAGGAAAGAGAUAACAAAAGUAUUAUUGUCUUAUUCUCAAAAUUUUUGAAUCUAUUAUCAUAUUCUAAAGUAGAACUCUUUAUGAACCCUAUGUGAGAAGCUGACACGUAGCUUUCUAUAUGCUUGUCACGUGUCAAGCUCAAAUAUAGAUUUUCUAUUUUAGGAAAAAUAAAAUUAGAUUUUUUAAGAAAAUAAUAUCAUUUACUAUAUUAUUAAAAAUCACCUAUAAUGAAGGGGAUUUUAUUUCAAAGUCACCUAUAAUUAUGUUGAAUUUCAAAGUCACCAGAUAUUUGAGAAAUUCACGGAUAUUACAUUGGCAAGCAUGAAUAUUACGCGUGAGAAAGAAAAUAUUUAUCUUUAUUUUUAUUUCAAAGUCACUUAAUUAUGUUGAGAUAUUUGAGAAAUUCACGGAUAUUAUGUUGCGAAAGAAUUGGCGGGUGCGGAUAUUACGCGUGAGAAAGAAAAUAUUUAUCUUUAUUUGGGACUAAAUUAUUACAAGCUCAAAUAUAGAUUUUCUACUUUAGGAAAAAUAAAAUUAGAUUUUUUAAGGAAAUAAUAUCUUUUACGAUAUUAUUAAAAAUCACCUAUAGGGGAUUUUAUUUCAAAGUCAUCUAUAAUUAUGUUGAAAUAUUUGGGAAUAAAUUAUUACUUAGUUAAUUAUUUGAAAUGAUUGGUUGAAAAUUACUGGACAUAAAAUAUUAGUAAAAAAGGAUAGAGACAUUUUUCCUAACGUGGCUUUCUAUAUGUUUGUCACGUGUCUUCAUAUUUAUUCUAUUUACUAUGUUAUUAAAUUCAAAUAGUAGGUGGAUUAAUGAGAUAUUUGAGAAAUUCACGGAUAUUACGUUACGAAAGAAUUGGCGGGUGCGAAUAUUACGUGUGAGAAGGAAAAUAUUUGAGAAAAGCGUAGAUAGAAAAUAUGAUAUAAAUGCGAGGGUAAUAUUGUCACAAAAAAUAACAGAUACUUUUAUUUUCAAUCAUUAGAUAAGAUCUAAUGGCAAAAAAUUAAUAUCUUUUAUUAUAUUAUUAAAAAUCACCUAUAAUGAAGGGGAUUUUAUUUCAAAGUCAUCUAUAAUUAUGUUAAGAUAUUUGAAAAAUUCAUGGAUAUUACGUUACGAAAGAAUUGGCGGGUGCAGAUAUUACGCAUAAGAAAGAAAAUAUUUAUCUUUAUUUGGGAAUAAAUUAUUACUUAGUUAAUUAUUUGAAAUGAUUGGUUGAAAAUUACUGAACAUAAAAAUAUUAGUAAAAAGGAUAGAGACAUUUUUGGAAAGCCGAAAAAAUUCAAAACUCACGCUUAAGUAGUAUAGAUAUAGAUAUUGCAUAUCACUUACCUACUAUCACUCCUAUAAUUUUUAUUUCGUAAUUUUUUCCCUACUGUCACUCCUGUAAUUUUUUUCGUUCUUAAAUGUUGAUGCUUUAAAAUAGAACAUAUUAUUUUCAUUUUAUUAUUUAAAUACGAAGCAAGUAUUAAUUUUUUUUCUUGGUUGUCUUAUUGUUCUCAGGAUAUGGGACUUGGGUAUGAUUCUAUACGUGACAUCACUCCUCUUGGAGACAAAUGGAAGAUCAAAGUCAGAGUGAUUUGUCUAUAUACUAUACUUGAAUUUCAUCGUCCAGAGGUGGUGAAUAGCCUAGAGUUAGUUCUUUCUGAUCAAAAUGUAAGUACGACUUUCAUUUUCAAAUUGAACAUACGUUUGCUUUAUUUUUACUAAAAGAUACUAUAUAAUUUGUUUAUUUUCUAUUAUAGGGAGAUAGGAUACAUGCAACGGUAAGAAAAGCUUUCCUGAACAAAUUUAAAGGCCUUUUUAUAGAAGGAAAAAUUUAUAUGAUCAACCAGUUUGGAGUGGGGCAGAGCAGCGACUCAUACAGGACCACUAUACAUCCUUACAAAAUUAAUUUUUAGUAUUCUACGGUUGUACGUGAGAUGGAAAAUAUUUUCACAAUAUCAAAGUAUGGAUUUAUAUUUACCUCUUUUGAUGAAAUACUUGCUAAUNUUGGCAAGCUUUGCUCGAUAACCUCAGGAUACAAGCCUCAGGCUAUACGCGGCUCUCGGUUGAGAUGAGGCACCGAAGAGGCCUUUUGGCCUCAAUGAUAAGUGAAAUUCACUUUUGAUUUUUAGCGCAUUGAAGAGGCAAAAUCGAAUAAAAGAGGACUUUAAACUGUUCACGAAUACAUUAAUUUAAUGUGUGUAUUUGUAGCAGUUGCCUCUCAAAUCAACGUGACAUUUGUAGAGUCAGGAAUAUAAUAGGGGGGGGAAUUUUCUUCAAAGCAGGGGCUUUGAACUGGUGCAUGGGUGGCUUUAUCUUAAGUCUAUUAUGAAGGUGGUGACACCAUGGUGGAAACUCAUGACCAGUUUAUGUAGACUUAUUUAGUUGGAGGCAUCUUCCCCUUUUUAUCCUGACGCCAAGGUGGUCCUGUUUAGCUCCCUUUUGCAUGGUUGGGUUUUAGAUGCCUGGUUUUGAGUGGCCCUAACUGUAAUAGGAUAUUAGACGCCUAUUUUUAUCAGGGCGACAUUCCUAAUAGACUAGGGUUAUAAUGGUUUAGACUCUAUUAUGAAGUAGUGAGUUUUUGAGAUCCAGGUGAGUUGGAACCAGACGUAUCGGCUUUGGCUGAGCUGAUACAGCGUUCAAGUGCAUCUUUUCAGUGCUCUGUUGGUAAAAUUAGAUCUCAGAUAAAUGCAUCUGACUUUGCUUUUUGAGGUUGAUAGGUUGUUGCAGUUGAACGAGUGGUUCUCGCUUAUGCUUUGUAACAAGAUUCUGGGCUCAGUUUUGAGAGUGGAACCUCUGGUGUCAGAGGGUUAUUAUUGGUGUGUUUGACGGUUUUGGAGGUAGUUGCCUAUCAGUGAAUGCUGUUAGAUAUCAGGAUCCGGGUUCUGGAGUGAAAAGUGGACUGGUUGUUCCAGGUUGGCUGUUAUGGUAUAUGCGAUCUGUUAAAACAGAGGAGUUAACAUUGGCUAUGGUAAUUUGGUUGUAUGGGUGGUACAUUCAGGUAAUGAACUACGCGUCCAGCGGUUAGCGUUUUCGCUAUGAUUGGUAGCCACUACGAGUUGUGGACAGAGAUGUUCUGGGACAGCGACGGCAGGAUGUUCCCUGGGAUCGCUAGCUACAAGGGUCGUUGGUGGGCUAAUGAACAGAGUAACUCUGGGUCCGUGUGGAUAGUAGUUUAUUGGUCUGUUCGUUCGAUUGGGUUCCAAACGUGCUAUUCGGUUCAGCGUUUGAAAAUGCGAUAGUAUAUACCACUGUUAGGUUCGGCUGUUGGUCCGAGUUCAGCGAGUUGGUGAUUAAGAUUUGAAGUACUGUUGUCUGGCUCUGAUGGUUGGGUUUGUUUGGAAAAUCAGCACCUUCCGUGUUAAUUUCACGAUGCUUGUAGGUUUGAGCUUGAUCUCAGUUUUUGGGAAAUAGCCACUGCUAUUCAGUUGACACGUUUUGGACGGUUCCUUAUUGGGUUCCGAGCGAUGCACCAGUUUCUACUGAUAGAGAGAUCAAAAAGGGUGUUUUGUCGGAUCUCUUGUGUAGCUGGGUUAGGUAUUCAGGGUUUACCCUUCUACCAUAAAGCAAGGAGAAAGCUGUCAUAUAACAGACGUCGGUUAUAUGAAUAGUUUUCUUUUCGUUUUAUAGGCUUCUAGGUGAUGGUUGUUGGUCAACCUUCAUGUUGCUCUAUUUCAUAGUUCGGUGAACUAUGGAGAGAUGACUUGGUCUUCGAGUGUAGGUAAUGAUAGCUUUGUAGCUGAAAUGUUCAACUGUAAGCUUUAAUCUUGCUGGGACCUUGUAGAGCUUAGAUCUGGUUGAUGUUGAUUGGGUGUUGUGUGGUUAAACCCACAAUCUUAUUGGCGUGUGUUACAUACGGAAUUGCUUUUGAACUGUGGUUUUGACACAGUUAAACUGAGACCCUCCUUCUUACUUGCUCCAUUUCCAGUUUUCUAGUCUUGUCGACUAAGGUUAGUCGUUAGUUCCUCCUAUCCAUCCGUAGUGUUGGGAUGGGUUUCUAGCCGCCUUCGUUGUGAUUGUUACGUCAGCAACUUUGCUGGCGAUAGGUUUGGAACCCGAUGUGGGAUCAUCGGGGUGAUUUCAGCGCUGGCAUUGACCAGAUUCAUGGCAGAGGUAUCUCUGUAAGCGUCUUCGAAAGCACAGGAUUCAUCUCUCUCUCACCGGACCCGCAGUCGUCAAUACUGUGAGCGGAUCCGGGCUUUUAGAGUGAACCGGGAAGUACCGGAGUGGACUGUCCUCACCAUUGUGGACCCCUUAUAGCAGGGUGGUAAGCUACAGGCUUUUUCAUGUGGCGGUGAUUAGGGUUGAAUCUGUGGUCGAACACGCUUGGCAUUGGGUGUGCCCUUAUUGGUACGUGAGGCUCAAAUGGGUUGAGCUUACGUUGGGUCCUGUAUUCGGGUUUAGGGCGUGAGUGCACGGAUGUGUGACAUCAGAAGGAUAACCAGUUGGAUUGGUUACCAAGUCAAAUAAACCAAGUCAAAUAAAUGAAAAGUUUUGUUGGACACUUACCACAACACCAACAUUGGAGCGAGACUAUGGUGAAAUUAGACAGUGCGGGGCCCCAGGGAAAAGUCAAAUUUUGUUUCGCCUUUUCGCAGACUUAAAAAAAAAAACUUUUGGACUGGGGUCUCAUACGGUCUAGGUGGUGUUUAUGUCCCUUAGGUGACAAGUGUGCCUGUCUCAGAGGGGACAUAAACGUGCCGCAGCUAGUUUAUGUGUCAUGUUAGUCCUAUGUUGGUGUUGGUCUACUUAUAUUUCUAUUAAUAUGUAAGUAUGUAAGUGGUAAGUGUAGUGUCAAAAUGUAAGUUCCAAAUUUGUCUUUAGGUGUUUUUAGAAAACAGCUAUUCUGGAACCAAUGGCACUGACGGAUUUUAGAUCUGAUGCAUGAUUUUCGAGAAAAUCUGAAAAUACAUGUUUCUUAUGUAAGUGUGCAUCAUUUUGGCCUAUAUGAUUAGUUGGAGAGAGAUCGGAUUUUGUCGCAAAUCGGCAAGCAAAUCGGGUGAAACGAAAUCGUAGUUUUGAUGCCCCCGACAUGCUGAACGCAAUGGUGCUGUCGGAUCGAAAAUCCGACGGACGGAUCUCCGGGAAUUACGAGAUGUUCGCUGAGGGGUCAAAGUGGCAAAUCGGAUAAAUCGCGAAGAGACCCUAUAUUUUAUGUGCCGAAUUGCGUGAGAUCGGACAUGGAGGUGCAUUUGUGUAAAAUACGCGCGCUGUGAGGGACUUGACUGAGAAUAUUACCCCUGGGAGGAUUAUUUUGCAUAAUGCACAUGUGUGUAUAGUGGUUGCACUGGGGUUUCAUGAGGAAACCCUAACUGUUAGCCUUCUCCUUAGCCAAACUAACCUUAGCCGACCCCUCUGCCAUCACCUGAACCCCUCCCCGACACCACCGCGCGCGUCACGGCCGCCGGUGAGCAGCCCCGGCCGCCGGAAAAGCCAUCCCGACCUUACAUUCACCUUCCUCUCUCUCCAUCUUCCUCCCUCAUCCUCUUUCUCUCGGGUUAGAGCUAGGCCGAGGCUACAUCACCUCCAGACCCUUCGCCGGCAUCGCCCCGUGCCCCGGCGAGCCUUCCCGCCGGCCGUCGCCGCCUUUCUGCGCCGCCGCUGCUGGUUCUGCAGCAUGCGACUACCCCAGCCCGAACCCAGGCCGAGGCAGCCCCAUCUCCCUCUCCUCGCACCACUGCUGCCAUAGCUCGGCAGCGCCGCCAUCUCCGGAGCCCCGGUGACCCCGUGCUUCGUCGCCGUCGUCCUUGCGGGCCGCCGCCGCCUCCUCUGUCAACCGCGGCCGCCCCAGGUCUGCUCGGGCCGAGAUGACCCCGCGCUGCCUCCGUGCGCCGCCGCCGCCUUAGGCCGUGCGCGCCGCCUUCCCCUCGGCCUCCGGCGACGGGUCGUCGCCGUCCCAAGCCUUCCCCGGACGCCGCCGUGGCCGUCGCCACCCUGUGAGCCCGAGCCGAGCCCGUGAGAGCUAGGGUUGCUCCAGCGCCGCCGCCACCGCCAUCCGCCACCGACCGGCGUGAGCACCCCCUCUCCUGGUUGGGCCGCACUCGCCCACCACCGGCGCUCCCGCCGCCGGAACCCUCUACUGGCCGGGCUGGGCCCUUGCUCUCCACGGGUUUGGGAAGCUAGGGCAUCAAGGCCCGCCGUCGUCGCCGCCUCCCGUCGCCUGUUGACGCGAGCCCCGGCCUCCUCUGACCUGGGGCACUUUCCCCUGGCCGGCCUGCCCGCUGUCCGGCCGCCGCCGGCCACCCCGAGCCCUGCCUAGCUCUGUAAGCUGGUUUUCAGCCUUUCUGCACAUGUUUUUCUGUUCUAGUCACUGUUCCGACGACCCGAGGCUGUUCCGAUGCCUCCGGAGGUGAGCACGGUGAUCGUCUAUCAGUGCUGAUAGCAGUGCUCACCUCAUUUAGGGUCAGCGAGCCCCUGGUUAGCGAGAUAAGCAUGAUUUUCAUGUUGUGUGCGCAGUUUACUGAAUUUCGCGUCGCUCGUGCGUUCCCCACAGUGGCCGGAAUUGCUCCAAAAGGUGAGCACGGCCUCCGGCACGCCGAGAUCUGUCAGUAGGUGUCUCGGUUUCACUGAAUGACUCCUAGUUUGUGUAGACGGACCAUAAAAGCGUCGAAAUCGCAUGAAAUAAUGCGAUUUCGGGUAUUCGAAAGGGCUUUUAUGCAAUUCUGGUUGCUACGGCUGCUGUUGGCAGCAUGGGCAGGCUGUGGGUGAUCUCUGGACUGAUUGUCCAAGGCCCCGGACCUUUGCGAAGAUCGAAAAUGUAUUUCCGGUGCGUUUGUCGGCAAAAUCCGCCGACGGAACGCGGUUUUGGUUUAGAAUUAUUCCGACGGUGCUUCGUGAGCNAGUUGGCUUCUUGUGCGUAUCGGACUCCGUUCAUAGCAGUCCAAUAGCUCGUUUCGAAGGAUGCAGCUAUUCUGGAACUAAUGGCGCUGACGGAUUUUGGUUUUGAAGCACGGAUUUCGAGAAAAACUGAAAAUACAUGUUUCUUAUGUAAUUGUGCGUCAUUGUGGCCUUUUGGAAAGAGAAUGGAUUUCGUCGCGAAUCCGUGGUCGAUCGAGAUGAAUCGAAUGUGUAGCUUUGUUGUCUCCGAGGUGCUGAUCGCACUGGUGUGAUCCGUUCGCAAAUCCGAUGGACGGAUCUGCGGAGAUUGCACGUUGAUCGAGAGAGGUCGGUGUUGGCAAAAUUGUAAUUUCGCAAAAGAUGCGAUAUUUUAUGUGCCGUUUUGCGUGGGAUCGUACAUGGAGGGGUAUUCUCGCGUUUUACACGCACUGUGGAGGACUCGUUAUGAAAUUUUGAGUUUUGGAGGACUUACUUGCAAUUUGUCUCUAGUAUAAGGCUAAAAGAGUUAGGGUUUUCAUCUGAAACCCUAACCCUACACCAUUCCGAGAAAACCCUAGCCUCCUAACCGCUUCACCUCCUCCCUGCCCACCCCAUGCGCGCGCCUUGGCCGCCGGCAAGCCGCUGCGGUCGCCGGAGGGACCUCCCCGGCUUCCCUCUCCACUUUCUCUCCCUCUCCAUCUCUAUCCCUCUCUCUUAUCUCGGGUUGUGAGGAAGCCCGAGACUGCCGCCACCUCCAGACCCUCCGCCGGUGUCGCCCCGUGCUCCGGCGAGCAUCCCCGCCGACCGCCGCCGUCGCCAAGCGCCGCCGCGGCCGCUGCUGCACCCGGCUGCUGCCUAGGCCGAGCUUAGGUCGAGGAUGACUCGCGGCCUCCCCGCGCGCAGCCACCGCCUGCACCCGUUCCGGCCGCCAUCCCCGGACCCUCGGCGACCACCCCGGCGGGUCGCCGGCGCUGCUGCGGGCCGCCGCCGCCGCCGCGGCCACCCUGCAGCCAUCCCAGGUCUGCUCGGACCGAGCAGACUUGGUAACUCCACCCCAGCGCCGCAGCCGCCUUGGUCCACACCCGCGGCCUUCUCCUGUGUCCCACCGACUUUCCCGGCCGGUUGCCGCCGCCCUUCGGAUCGCCGCCGCCGCCCUGAACCUUGCGCGCCGCCGCCUAGGCCUGCAGACCGAGCCUAGCUCGAGCGGCAACGCCCGAGCCGCGGGCCGCCGCCGCUGUCGCCAGCCGCCUUACUCCUCCUCCUCCGGCCUCUGUGGACCUGCCGCCGUCGUCCCCGACCUGCCCCGGCCGUCGCCGUGGCCGCAGCAACCCCCGAACCCGUGCCCUAGCUCGUGCAGGCAUGCCUUGCUCCGCCGACGCCGCCGCCGCACCCCGCCGCCAACGGAGGUGAGCAUCGUGUUCCUCACCUCCCCCGCACCCAUCCCUGGCCCCCACGCGCGCCGCCGUGCCGCCGGAGGCCGGCCGGAGCAACCUUGCUCCGGCCAAGCCCGAACUAGGGCUUAGUUUGGGAUGGUUUACUGUUCUGAGCUUCCUGAGCCUCUCCGAUCUCUGCGAAAGGGAGCACGAUGAUCAUAGAAAAUUUCUGAUCAUCGUGCUCACCUUAGAUUCUGCCGGGGAGACUCCGUUCCGCUGUUUCGGCAGUGUCGACCCUGUCGAGCCUGUUUGGCUGCUGUUUUGGGUUUGCGCACGCUUAUCCGGCGAUCCGAAGCUAUCCUGAUGCCUCAGGAGGUGAGCACGGUGAUCGUGGGUCAGUUCCGAUCACAGUGCUCACCUCACUUUGGAUCAACAGUGGCCGGUUAGCCCUGUUUGGAGCAAUCUUUCCCGACUGCGCGCUAUUCGCUGAACCUUCGGGUUGCUCCCGCGCUUCCCACAGUGACCUGUUGCGCUCCAGACCGUGAGCACGGCCUUCGGUACGUCGAGACCUAUCAGUAUGUGUCUCAGCAGAACUUAGAAGUCCUCGGUUUGCGUGUACGGGCUAUGUUAUCGCCCGAUUUACAUAAAAUAUUGGGAUUUUAUGUAAAUUCAGGGGCUUUUGUGCAAUUGUGAGCCUUGGGUCUACUGUGGGUAGUGUGUAGACAUGUGUGGUGUCCUCUGGACUGAUUGUCCAUGAUCCGUUAGCUUUUGCAGAAAUCGAAGAGUCGAUUUCGAUGCGUUUUUCGGCGAAAUUCGCCGAAAGAACGCGGUUUCUGUCACGCCCCGGGGUACCUUUUCAGUUUAAAACAAAGCGGAAAAGUGUCUGAAUUUUUUUUUUUUUAAAUCUGACCCCAGAGUAUGCCAGAUCCGCCACAAAUACAGGGAAUCCACUGUUCACACGGACAGAGUCUCCCCUGUAUUUGCACGGCGUCGAUCAAAUACACAGUACAACCAGGAUACAACCACAAUCAGAUGAAUAUAAAGAUAAUUAUACAUUCAUACAUUCACCAUUCACAUCACAGUUUUACAUUCAAGGUUUAAACAGAAAUCCACAAAAAUCUUUUGAAAACUGUUUCCUACACAGAAACUUUUAUUCUUUUAAAAAGGCUACCACGAGGGGUAGAAAACCUUUUAUUUUACAAAAUCCAGAAAUCCACAUUUUCAAAUGUAAAUAAAUACUGAACCACAUAAACUAACUAAACUAUAUAUCAACAGAAAUACCAAGGAUAAUAACUAACUCGAAAUAACCUGGGUCGGAAGAUCUAACGACCGCUACGUACGUGCCUCACGUCUCGUCUCAAUACCCAUCGCCUGCGAUACCUGAAAAAAUGGUGGGGGAGGUGAGAACAUGUAAACAUGUCUUCCCUCCCAGUGGGUACCGCAAGCCGAUGAAGGCGAGGAGUACUCACCAGAUCAGGAAGAGCUAAACAACAGCACGGGUCAGUGAAAAUACAGUGGGAACAAUAGUAAACGAAAGAGAUAUGUAAGAAGCUGACAAGUAUAGAUGCAGGUAAAUAAAACAGUAGCUACAAUAAACAGAUAAGGAUGUACUGGAAAUAAACACUACAGCUACUGUAUGCAUGCGUCAACUGACGAUAACCUCAAAAAUACCCAAUCUCGAUGCCCUAUUGGUCCGAGGACCUCAGGCCCAUGCCACACUGCUCAACCUGUUCCUGACCCUCGCAAUGAAGCGCCUGGGCCAGAAACAGAUACCUGACCCUCCUGCGGGGAAUAAACCCCCUGGUGUCACAAGCAAAUACACUCGCAAUAAAGCCCCUGGCGAUCAAUGCGGAUAUGAGCAAUAGCCAACCGUCGGCAAUCAGCCGGAAAAGAACUACCCUCUUGCGGGGCAUACAGACCGUGCAGGUCAUCAAGCUAGAAAGAAGCACAAGAACUGACCACUCAGGUCAACUAGGAUGGAACGACUAAACAUCAUCUCAAGUGUAGGCAACUAGCCGACUAAUCAAGCCUCAACAGGGAUGCAACGACCGUAAAGGCCAUCCUACCAAAAGUAUGCCGAUACGUAUGAUCAAGAUAGUCAACUACUGUAUAUAUGCAAGGAUCAACCGAACAAGUCAUAUGAGUAUAAAAUCGAGAACUACCAUCGCCCAUAACCCGACAAUCACACACAUCAGGGUAUACCGAACUCAAAGGUCAUCAAGCAACAAGAAUCCAGAAUAGGUCACAGACUAGGUCAAAAAAGGGCAAACGACCAACCAAAUCACAGACUAUAGUCAUCCGUCGACAACUAGUAGACAAUCCCACCCCUCAGGGUAUACCGACCGAAUAGGUCAUAGAACAACAGAAAUCAAGAGAACCGACCAACCAAAUCACACAUAUACGGAACACCAGAAGUCAACUCGACUCCUAAGUCACUAACAUCACACAUGGUCAAAGAACCGCACUACAAGAAUACAUGAUAUAAUGAACAGAUAGAACCAACUACUACGACCAACAAAAGAACAUGAUAUAAAAAACAGAUAAGUUAACUACACUCCUACACAUGAUACUAAACAUGGAAACAACUGAAUAGAGGAAUGCAGAUAUAAAUGCAACGUGCAAGGCUCAACACUUUAUAUCAAGAGAUAUACAUAUAGUAUAAACAUAGAUGACAGAUAAUAACAGGAGAACAAAGGUAAGAAACCAUCACCGAACGUGCACCACUGUACCGACGUCGGAUCGAAGUACCCACCUGUAAAAAUGUCGCGCAUGUCUCCUGACUCCAAAAGAACGUCAACCGGACCUAAAAAGGGUCCACCGGGUUAGUAUCUAACCCACAACUAAGAACCACAGUAAAACCAUAACCCCACAAACAAACCCACGAAGAUCGGUUUUCCAAAAACCAAAUACCGUAACUCGCCGGAAAUCCCAAAAACCACACCGGGACGCCGCCGGGACCCACUAACUGUCCCGAAACGCACCGACUCAUGCCACGAGUCACCCGCUGCCACAAAACACUCCAAUUUAGAUGUGACAUGGCAGCAAACACAAGCAAACACAACCAAACAACUAUCACCGGAUAAUUGUACGAAUCCGGGUUCCCGAAAAUGUCUAUUUCGACACCGAAACCCACCGUCGCCCACCCGUCAUUUCUGAACUCUCGAAAUGAAGCGAGUGACCAGCCAACAAGGCUCAGCGACUACACAAUAGCUCACGAAGCACCGUCGGAAUAAUUCUAAACCAAAACCGCGUUCCGUCGGCGGAUUUUGCCGACAAACGCACCGAAAAUACAUUUUCGAUCUUCGCAAAGGUCCGGGGCCUUGGACAAUCAGUCCAGAGAUCACCCACAGCCUGCCCAUGCUGCCAACAGCAGCCGUAGCAACCAGAAUUGCAUAAAAGCCCUUUCGAAUACCCGAAAUCGCAUUAUUUCAUGCGAUUUCGGCGCUUUUAUGGUCCGUCUACACAAACUAGGAGUCAAUCAGCGAAACCGAGACACCUACUGACAGAUCUCGGCGUGCCGGAGGCCGUGCUCACCUUUUGGAGCAAUUCCGGCCACUGUGGGGAACGCACGAGCGACGCGAAAUUCAGUAAACUGCGCGCACAACAUGAAAAUCAUGCUUAUCUCGCUAACCAGGGGCUCGCUGACCCUAAAUGAGGUGAGCACUGCUAUCAGCACUGAUAGACGAUCACCGUGCUCACCUCCGGAGGCAUCGGAACAGCCUCGGGUCGCCGGAACAGUGACUAGAACAGAAAAACAUGUGCAGAAAGGCUGAAAACCAGCUUACAGAGCUAGGCAGGGCUCGGGGUGGCCGGCGGCGGCCGGACAGCGGGCAGGCCGGCCAGGGGAAGGAAGCACCAGGUCAGAGAUGGAAGCAGCAGGUCGGGGAGGUCCGGGGAAGGUGCUGGCCGUCGGCGGGAGGUGGCCGGUGGCGCGGCAGCGCAGCUCAAAGCCGCCGAGUUCCUCUCGGGUUCGAGUUUCCCGGCGGCGCGGCGGCGGCCGGAGGGGGUCGGGGCUGCAAGGAUCCGGUGCCGGAGACCGAGGGGAAGGUGGUGUACCCCUCGGUGGGCUGUGGCGGUGCUUGGGAGCCGAGCGGGCCCGACCUCGGCCCGCCCGGGUCUGGGCGGCUACAAGAGCCUCGGGCGGCGGCCGGCGGUGGUCGAGGGUGGCCGGGGACGCGCGCCGGAGGUAGUCGGAGGGUGAGGAAAGACGGCGCGACCGAUCUGGAGUGGCGGCGGCGCGUGGCCCUCGAGCCCACCCGAGCUCGGUCUGGGCUGACCGAGGUGGCCGCAGGGAGCAGAGGCGGCGCCGGCGGCGCACGGGAGCGGCAGGGGCCGGCUGCGGUGGUCGCCGGACGGUCGGCGGAGACCUCCGCGGCCGUCGGGAAGCGACGGCAGGGCUAGGGGGCGGCGCGGCUCCAAGGUUGGCCCGGCUCGGACUGGGCUGACCCGGGCUGGCCGUAGCUUCCCCCAGGCGGCUCCGGCGGCGCGCGCGGGCGGCGACGGCCGGCGGGGAGGCUCGUCAGGGGACAGGGGCAACACCAGCGAUGGCCUGGAGGCAAGGCAGCCUCGGCCUGGCUCCAACCCGAGAGAGGGAGAGAGAGAGAGAGAGAGAGAGAGAAAGAAAAAGGUUCCGGCGGCGGCUGGCCGGCCGGGGCUCAGUCGGCGGCGGCCUGGGCGUGCGCAACAGGGCAGGGAAGAGGGAUGAAUGUGGCAGGGGGGCUAGGGUUAGGGUUUCUAGUAGCAAACCCUAAAACACCUUUGUAUACCUAGCUCCAAAAUGCGGAAAAGCCCCUCGAACUUCAGUAUUUGGUACUAAGUCCCAUACAGCGCGUGUAAAACGCGAGAAUACCCCUCCACGUGCGAUCCCUCGUAAAACGGUACAUAAAAUAUUGCGACUUUUGCGAAAAUACCGUUUUUGCCACUACCGACCUCUCCUCGAACAACGCGCGAUUUCCGCAGAUCCGUCCGUCAGAUUUGCGAACGGAUUGCACCAGUGCGAUCAGCACGACGGAGACAACAAAGCUACGAUUUUGGUUCACCUCGAUCGACCACGGAUUCGCGACGAAAUCCAACCUUCUUCCAAUAGGAGGAAUAACACACAAAUACAUAUAAAACAUGUAUUUUUGGAUUUUCUCGAAAUCCGUGCGUCGAACUCAAAAUCCGUCAGUGCCACUAGUUCCAGAACAGCUGAACCGGUCGAAACGAGCUAUUGGACUGAUAUGAACGGAGUCUGAUACGCACCAGAAGCCAACUCUACUCCGUGGCUUCUCCGGAAAACCGGAGUUACUAUUCACUUAAGUGAAAACUAAUAAUCGCGUAACUUCUCCGUUUUAGCUCAUUUUCUCCUGAAACUUGACGAGUGCUUAUGUAAUUAAAUUACACACAUAAACAUCGUCAACAGAGAGUUUAGUUGCACUGUCAAAAAAUCUCAGUCCUUACAUCAUCCCCCCCUUAAAAGAAGUUUCGUCCUCGAAACUUGACCACGUACCCACCGUAAUCGAACUCUGACAUUGCCCCACCGACACGGUAACACCUUUGGAUACUGGUCAAUCACAAAUCUAGAAUUGGACAGAUCAACCUUAGAAAAGGGGAGAAUAGGACUGCGGUUCCACAAGAACAAGACGAGGGGAACGUACCAAACCAAAGUCUGCGGACCAUAACACACCGGGAUCAACACCAUCCUGUAACCUUGGUCCGAAAAGCCUCAACCGACUCGACCACGUCACUAAGUUCACGAGAAAGAAUCACGAGCCAACACCACCAAACCGGAGUCAAAAAAAUUUCGACUAGCCAACAAUAUCAACUUGCUCACCACGAGCGAAGACGAAACGUUCUCCUAAAACUCGAGUCGGUAGAAACAGAAUCUGAGACUACAGUCUCCCACUAACCGAUCACGCAACUGCCGAAGUCAAGUCCACAUCCACGGAAAGCCGCCUUUGACAUUCGACAGUCUUAGGUCCCACAACCUCACCUUUCACCUGACCGAAAAGGUCGAAGGCUGACAAAACUAAUUGAGCUUGACAAACCGCUUGCUCAAUUAGAACUGGUUCGACUAAACCAAUAAACUCGCCAUGCAAGUCCAAAACUUGGUGCACAGGAUUGCAAAUCGCACUAUACGAUACAAACCAUCGGUGAUGCUCAACACCUGUCUCUACGAGACCCUGUCGCUGCCGUCCUACAAGGGACCCUAGCGAUCGGUGUUUCGAGCAACACCAGAUAACUGUCUCAUUGAGAUCCUGGCGCACCUGUCACCAAUUAACCGGACAAGCAUACAAUUCUAAAGUCGCACAGUAGGCUGAAAUACAAUCCUUACACCAUAUCACCUACUGUGACAAUCAAAGCCAACAACUAGGCUCAAGUCACUCAACCAACAAUUUUGAACCUCAAGACAACAGACCGAAACUACUAACCAACAAACCUUUUUGCGGUGAUGAUAAAUCAACUGCGCAAACCUGCCAAGAGAAUACAAGGCCCCACUAUGUGGUCAAAGAUGACCGAUACCCAAUCAUCCUUACAAGACUAUUUCUCUAGCUUUCACACAAAACAGUCUAGAGAACACAUCGACCCAAUCCAUAAGUCCCAAAUGGGAAGAUGGUAUUUCGUUCCUCUUUCGACAGUAUAUUGUCUGCAGCCAAUAUACUUAUCAAAAGAAAAGCGAAAUAUCCGAAGAUCCACUACCAACAACCAGUUGGAAGUACAACGCGAUAAAGUAUCAAGCCACUUGAUACCUCUCUACUGAACCAGAAGUUCACAACCAAUACUAUCGAAACAUCAACUUUACAAGUCGACAUUCAAAAUUAGAACGACCCUGGAACAUCUUAAAUCUAGACCAACUACAACCAACCCACAACACACCAAUUUGGGUGUUAGAAUAACCGCAUACGAUGUAUGCCUUAACGAAAACAUGACACCAAAACUGUGUCAAUCCGAUUCUAGUAGGAAGAAAGAACGAGUUCAAGGUCAAAAGAUCCGAACCGCUGAUUCGAAUCAACAAUCAAGGAGGAUAGGUAGGCAUCACAACCCUACCCAAAAAAUCUGCGGAAGCAACACUAACAAUGCAGUCGCCUAAACGACCGCUACCAAACCCUGGGCUACACCCUAGUAGCCCCACUGAAGUCGCGACCGUAACUGGUCUAAGCACCGUCUCCGUGGAGACACUCGCAACAGCUCUCGUGUCCUAAGUAAAGAGAGUGGCCUGGGCGUCGGCAGUCAUGACACUCGCCUAGGCCCAGAGAUCACUGGCCUUUCAAGGCCCCACCUGAUAGGAAUGGCUACACCUGGGGGACGUCGCCCCACCACUCGAUGUCCGAAAAAGUACCCCGCCACUACACCCGACUUAGACACCAGCUUGUGCGAACCGUAACACGUACAUAAACACCAUGCACUUCGAGUUUACCAAACUCGAAUGCAACCCAGGACGCAAGUCCAAACCCCGCACUCACGUGCCUAUAUACCGUGGUCUUCCUAUUGGUCAACCUAACCAAUGGUUCAGUUUCAUUUACUUUUCAAAACAACCUGUGAAUGGUGUUGUGGUUGUAACCCUUUGCUCUGAUACCAUUUUAAUCUGUCACGCCCCGGGGUCCCCUUUUUGUUUGAAAUACAGCGGAAAAGCGUUUGAAAAUUUUUUUUGAAAACCUGACCCCAGAGUAUGCCAGAUCCGCCACAAAUACAGGGAAUCCACUGUUCACACGGACAGAGUCUCCCCUGUACUUGCACGGCGUCACACAAGUACAGAAGUACAAACAGUAUACAACCACAAUCAAAUGAAUAUACAGAUAGCUAUACAUUCAUACAUUCUCCAUUCACAUCACAGUGUUACAUUCGAGGUUUAAAGAGAAAUCUACAAAAACCUUUUGAAAGCUGUUUCCUACACAGAAACCUUUAUUCUUUUAAAAACGCUACCACGAGGGGUAGAAAAUCUUUUAUUUUACAAAAUCCAGAAAUCCACCUUUUCAAAUGUAAAUGAUUACUGAACCACAUAAACCAACUAAACUAUAUAUCAACAGAAAUACCGAGGAUAAUAACUAAAUCGAAAUAACCUGGGUCGGAAGCUCUAUCGACCGCUACACACGUACCUCACGUCUCGUCCCACUACUCAUCGCCCGCGAUACCUGAAAAAUGGUGGGGGAGGUGAGAACAUGUAAACAUGUCUCCCCUCCCAGUGGGUACCGCAAGCCGAAGAAGGCGAGGAGUACUCACCGGAUCAGGAAGAGAUGACCAACAGUAUGGGUAAGUAAAAUGCUGUAGCAACGAUAAUGAACGAAUGAGAUAUAUAUAUAUAUGAAAACAUAACUACCGCUACUGUAUGUACAACUGCAAGCAUACAAGGAUAUCAAUACUAUAGUAGCAAGACAACUGUAAAGAAAGAACUAGAAGUACAUAUGCAACAACCGCUACUAUAGCUAUAUGCGUCAACCGGACGAGAAGUCCAAAAGUACCCAAUCUAAACCGCCGUGUCGGUCUAAGGACCUCAGGCAAAAGCCACUAUCUGCUCACACCUGGCAUGUAACCCUAGCACAAAGAGAACACCGCUGGGCUCACGGGUCGGAUGUACGACCACUUUUCCGGAAAAGAACACCCUCCUGCGGGGGAUCAACCCGCUGGUGUACGUGAAAUGCACUCGAGCUGUGGCGAUCAAUGCGGAUAUGAUCAAUAGCCAACCGUCGGCAAUCAGCCGACAAUCACUGCCCCUCUGGGCAUACCGACCGUGUAGGUCAUCAAGCUAUAAAGAAGCACAAGAACUGACCACUCAGGUCAACUAGGAUGGAACGACUCUACAUCCUCUCAAGUGUAUGCAAGUACUGACUAAUCAAGUCAACUGGGAUGGAACGACUCAACAUCCUACCAAAAGUGUGUCGAUACUGAUCAAUAAGUCAACUACUGUAUAUAUGCAAGGAUCAAUCAACAAGUCAUAUGAGUAUAUAAUCUAGAACUACCAUCGGCCAUAACCCGACAAUCCUACCCCUCAGGGUAUACCGACCUCAAAGGUCAUCAAGCAACAAGAAUCCAGAACGGACAGACUAGGUCACAAAAGGUCAAAUGACGGAUCUGUGAAGACUAUAGUCAUCCGUCGACAACUAGUCGACAAUCCCACCCCUCAGGGUAUACCGACCGUAUAGGUCAUCGAACAACAGGAAUCAAGGAACUGAUCAAGUAGGUCACCAUUACGGAAUACCAGAAUCGACCGACUAGGUCACUAACAUCACAGAUGGUCACGGAACCGCUCUACUAUAAACAUGAUAUAAGAUAUGUAGAACCAGCUAGUAGAGCAACAAGAGAACAUGAUAUCAAACACAGAUAGACUACACUCCUACACAUGAUACUAAGCAUGGAAACAUCUGAAUAUAGUAUAAUUAAACAACGUGGAAGCUAGGCUCAACAUAUAGUAUAAGCAUAGAGACAAUAGUAAGAGGGCAAGGGUAAGAAACCAUCACCGAACGUGCACCACUGUACCGACGUCGGAUCGAAGUACCCACCUGUACAACUGUCGCGCAUGUCUCCUGACUGCAAAGGAACGUCAUCCGGACCUAAGGAGGGUUCACUGGGUUAGUGUCUAACCCACAGCUAAGAAACCGUAAAAGCAUAACCCACAAACAAACCCACGGAGAUCGGUUUUCCCAAAACCAAAUACCGUAACUCGCCGGAAGUCCCAAAAAUCACACCGGGACUCCGCCGGGACCCACUAACUGUCCCGAAAGGCACCGACUCAUGUCACGAGUCAUUCGCUGCCACUAAACACUUAUUUUAGUGUGACAUGGCAGCAAACACAAGGAUACACAACCAAACAACUAUUGGUGGGUAAUUGUUGGGAUCCGGGUUCCCGGAAGUGUCUAUUUCGACACCGAAACCCACCGUCGCCCAUCCGUCAUUUCUGAACUCUUGAAAUGACGCGAGUGACCAGCCAAUAAGGCUCAGCGACUACACAAUAGCUCACGAAGCACCGUCGGAAUAAUUCCGAACCAAAACCGCGUUCCGUAGGCAGAUUUUGCCGACAAACGCACCCGAAAAUACAUUUUCGGUCUUCGCAAAGGUCCGGGGCCUUGGACAAUCAGUCCAGAGGUCACCCCCAGCUCACCCAUGCUGCCAACAACAGCCACGACAAAUCACAUUGCAUAAAAGCCCUUUCGAUUCCAAGGAAUCACAUUAUUUCAUGUGUUUUUCGGGCUUUUAUGGUCCGUCUACGCAAACCAGAGGUCAAUCAGCCGAGCUAAGAUACCUAUUUACAGGUUUCGACGUGCCGGAGGCCGUGCUCACCUUUCGGAGCACUGCCGACCACAAGGGAAAGCGCACAAGCAGUGUGAACUUCAGCAAAACAGCGCGCACUGUCACUUAGUCGCGUCAAACACGCAAACCGGGGAACCGUUGACCCCGACGGAGGUGAGCACGAUGUUCAGCACGAAGUAAGGAUCAUCGUGCUCACUUCCCGGAUUAUCGGAGUGUCCUCAGAUCACCAGAAAGGUGACAGGAACUCUAAACUACAGUGCUGUCAACGUAAACAGUGCUUACCGGACCAGUGGGAGCUAGGGCUCGUCGCCGGCGAUCGGGCGGCGGGCACUCCGGCCAGUGAUGGAAGCAGCAGGUCGGGGAGGUCCGGGGAAGGUGCUGGCCGGCGGCGGGAGGUGGCCGGUGGCGCGGCAGCGCAGCUCAAAGCCGCCGAGUUCCUCUCGGGUUCGAGUUUCCCGGCGGCGCGGCGGCGGCCGGAGGGGGUCGGGGCUGCAAGGAUCCGGUGCCGGAGACCGAGGGGAAGGUGGUGUACCCCUCGGUGGGCUGUGGCGGUGCUUGGGAGCCGAGCGGGCCCGACCUCGGCCCGCCCGGGUCUGGGCGGCUACAAGAGCCUCGGGCGGCGGCCGGCGGUGGUCGAGGGUGGCCGGGGACGCGCGCCGGAGGUAGUCGGAGGGUGAGGAAAGACGGCGCGGCCGAUCUGGAGUGGCGGCGGCGCGUGGCCCUCGAGCCCACCCGAGCUCGGUCUGGGCUGACCGAGGUGGCCGCAGGGAGCAGAGGCGGCGCCGGCGGCGCACGGGAGCGGCAGGGGCCGGCUGCGGUGGUCGCCGGACGGUCGGCGGAGACCUCCGCGGCCGUCGGGAAGCGACGGCAGGGCUAGGGGGCGGCGCGGCUCCAAGGUUGGCCCGGCUCGGACUGGGCUGACCCGGGCUGGCCGUAGCUCCCCCCAGGCGGCUCCGGCGGCGCGCGCGGGCGGCGACGGCCGGCGGGGAGGCUCGUCAGGGGACAGGGGCAACACCAGCGAUGGCCUGGAGGCAAGGCAGCCUCGGCCUGGCUCCAACCCGAGAGAGGGAGAGAGAGAGAGAGAGAGAGAGAGAGGCAGAAAAAGGUUCCGGCGGCGGCUGGCCGGCCGGGGCUCAGUCGGCGGCGGCCUGGGCGUGCGCAACAGGGCAGGGAAGAGGGAUGAAUGUGGCAGGGGGGCUAGGGUUAGGGUUUCUAGUAGCAAACCCUAAAACACCUUUGUAUACCUAGCUCCAAAAUGCGGAAAAGCCCCUCGAACUUCAGUAUUUGGUACUAAGUCCCAUACAGCGCGUGUAAAACGCGAGAAUACCCCUCCACGUGCGAUCCCUCGUAAAACGGUACAUAAAAUAUUGCGACUUUUGCGAAAAUACCGUUUUUGCCACUACCGACCUCUCCUCGAACAACGCGCGAUUUCCGCAGAUCCGUCCGUCAGAUUUGCGAACGGAUUGCACCAGUGCGAUCAGCACGACGGAGACAACAAAGCUACGAUUUUGGUUCACCUCGAUCGACCACGGAUUCGCGACGAAAUCCAACCUUCUUCCAAUAGGAGGAAUAACACACAAAUACAUAUAAAACAUGUAUUUUUGGAUUUUCUCGAAAUCCGUGCGUCGAACUCAAAAUCCGUCAGUGCCACUAGUUCCAGAACAGCUGAACCGGUCGAAACGAGCUAUUGGACUGAUAUGAACGGAGUCUGAUACGCACCAGAAGCCAACUCUACUCCGUGGCUUCUCCGGAAAACCGGAGUUACUAUUCACUUAAGUGAAAACUAAUAAUCGCGUAACUUCUCCGUUUUAGCUCAUUUUCUCCUGAAACUUGACGAGUGCUUAUGUAAUUAAAUUACACACAUAAACAUCGUCAACAGAGAGUUUAGUUGCACUGUCAAAAAAUCUCAGUCCUUACAGUGAGCUAUUGUGUAGUCGCUGAGCCUUGUUGGCUGGUCACUCGCGUCAUUUCGAGAGUUCAGAAAUGACGGGUGAGCGACGGUGGGUUCCGGUGUCGAAAUAGACACUUUCGGGAACCCGGAUUCGUAUAAUUAUCCGGUGAUAAUUGUGUAGUGGUGUUAGCUUGGGUUUGCUGCCAAAACAUCCAAAUUGGAGUGUUUUGGGGCAGCAGGUGACUCGUGGCAUGAGUCGAUGAGUUUCGGGACACUUAGUGGGUCCCGACGGCGUCCCGGUGUGGUCUUCGGGAUUUCCGGCGAGUUACGGUAAUCGGUAUUUGGAAACCGAUCUUCGUGAAAUUGUUUGUGGGGUUAUGGAUACUGUGGUUAUUAGUUGUGGGUUAGAUACUAACCCGGUGGACCCUUUAUAGGUCCAGUUGACAUUCUUUUGGAGUCAGGAGACAGACGCGACAUCCUUACAGGUGGGUACUUCGAUCCGACGUCGGUACAGUGGUGCACGCUCGGUGAUGGUUUCUUACCUUUGUUCUCCUGUUAUUAUCUGGCAUAUAUAUAUAUAUAUAUGUAUAUCUCUUGAUAUAAAGUGUUGAGCCUUGCACCUGCAUUUAUAUCUGCAUUCCUCUACUCAGUUAUUUCCAUGUUGAUAUCAUGCCUAGGAGUAGAGUUAACUUAUCUGUUCACUAUAUCUGUGAUUUGGUUGGGCGUAGAGUUGACUUAUCUGUUCAUUAUAUCUGCAUUCCUCUACUCAGUUAUUUCCAUGUUGAUAUCAUGCUUAGGAGUAGAGUUGACUUAUCUGUUCACUAUAUCUGUGAUUUGGUUGGGCGGUUCUCCUAUUUUGAUAUCUAUGACCUAUUCGGUCGAGUUGCUACAGUUCUAUCUAUAUCUGUGAUUUGGUUGGGCGGUUCCCCUAUUUUGAUAUCUGUGACCUAUUCGGUCGAGUUGCUACAGUUCUAUCUAUGUCUGUGAUUUGGUUGGGCGGUUCCCCAUUUGAUAUCUAUAACCUAUUCGGUCGAGUUGCUACAGUUCUAUCUUGACAUACGUAGCCGAUAUUUUGCUGAUGGCCUAUACGGUCGGUGAGCCCUGAGAGGCUGGAUUGUCGGCUAGUUGCCGAUGGAUGAUCUUUGAGCAUACUACAUUGAUCGCCAAUGCAGGUACGCAUUUCACGAACACCAGCAGUCUGAUCCACCGCAAGAGGGUGUUCUUUUCCGGAAAAGUGGUUGGACUGCCAACCCGUGAGCCCAGGGGCUUUAUUGCGAGGGUAUAUGCUUCUGACCCAGGGGCUUUAUUGCGAGGGUCAGGUAUAUGUUUCUGGCCCAGGCGCUUCAUUGCGAGGGUCAGGAACAGGUUGAGCAGUGUGGCAUGGGCCUGAGGUCCUCGGACCAAUAGGGCAUCGAGAUUGGGUAUUUUUGAGGUUAUCGUCAGUUGACGCAUGCAUACAGUAGCUGUAGUGUUUAUUUCCAGUACAUCCUUAUCUGUUUAUUGUAGCUACUGUUUUAUUUACCUGCAUCUAUACUUGUCAGCUUCUUACAUAUCUCUUUCGUUUACUAUUGUUCCCACUGUAUUUUCACUGACCCGUGCUGUUGUUUAGCUCUUCCUGAUCUGGUGAGUACUCCUCGCCUUCAUCGGCUUGCGGUACCCACUGGGAGGGAAGACAUGUUUACAUGUUCUCACCUCCCCCACCAUUUUUUCAGGUAUCGCAGGCGAUGGGUAUUGAGACGAGACGUGAGGCACGUACGUAGCGGUCGUUAGAUCUUCCGACCCAGGUUAUUUCGAGUUAGUUAUUAUCCUUGGUAUUUCUGUUGAUAUAUAGUUUAGUUAGUUUAUGUGGUUCAGUAUUUAUUUACAUUUGAAAAUGUGGAUUUCUGGAUUUUGUAAAAUAAAAGGUUUUCUACCCCUCGUGGUAGCCUUUUUAAAAGAAUAAAAGUUUCUGUGUAGGAAACAGUUUUCAAAAGAUUUUUGUGGAUUUCUGUUUAAACCUUGAAUGUAAAACUGUGAUGUGAAUGGUGAAUGUAUGAAUGUAUAAUUAUCUUUAUAUUCAUCUGAUUGUGGUUGUAUCCUGGUUGUACUGUGUAUUUGAUCGACGCCGUGCAAAUACAGGGGAGACUCUGUCCGUGUGAACAGUGGAUUCCCUGUAUUUGUGGCGGAUCUGGCAUACUCUGGGGUCAGAUUUAAAAAAAAAAAAAUUCAGACACUUUUCCGCUUUGUUUUAAACUGAAAAGGUACCCCGGGGCGUGACAGAAACCGCGUUCUUUCGGCGAAUUUCGCCGAAAAACGCAUCGAAAUCGACUCUUCGAUUUCUGCAAAAGCUAACGGAUCAUGGACAAUCAGUCCAGAGGACACCACACAUGUCUACACACUACCCACAGUAGACCCAAGGCUCACAAUUGCACAAAAGCCCCUGAAUUUACAUAAAAUCCCAAUAUUUUAUGUAAAUCGGGCGAUAACAUAGCCCGUACACGCAAACCGAGGACUUCUAAGUUCUGCUGAGACACAUACUGAUAGGUCUCGACGUACCGAAGGCCGUGCUCACGGUCUGGAGCGCAACAGGUCACUGUGGGAAGCGCGGGAGCAACCCGAAGGUUCAGCGAANNNNNNNNNNNNNNNNNNNNNNNNNUGUACCCAAUCUGUGCCUGCUAUAUUGGUCCGCAGACCUCAAGCGCUGCCUGUCACUAACUGCACCGACCUGAUCCAUCUGCCCCGCAGGACGACCCAUCCGGAUAAGUACACCUCCGAUCGGUGGCCAAACCGAUCCGGUGUCAUGAAUACCCCCAAGUGCCGUGACUAAGUCAUGCUGGUAUGCUCAAACAAAAACAAACCCGGCGAAAGCCGGUGCCUAGGCCGAAGCCAACAACGAGGGCGUACAAUGCCAAACUGAAAUAGAAGCUAGGGCGUACAAUGCCGAACUGAAAUAGAUGCUAGGGCGUACAACGCCGAACCUCGAUCAACCAGAUCGAAACACACGACAAGAGAGUCGAUGUGUUGCCUGGACCCAAGGUCCACAGAAAUACUGAAAUACGAAUGCAGCCUGCUCUACAUGUCUAUCCACAACUAUACAAUGCAAUCAAGGGGUGCGAUAACCAAACGAUAACAAGCAAUGACAUGUAGAGACUAAAUACAAGAAUAGAAAAUUAGGAGAAGGAAGUGAAACGCUCUCACCGACUACCAGCUCGAAGCACCCACCUGUCACUGUCGCGUCGGAACAUCGGGUACGCACAAGUCUACUGGACCUAAGAAGAUCCACCAAGUCAGUAUCCAAACCACUAACCCAAAGCACGAGACUCACAAACCCCUACACAGGAUCCCCGAAUCGGUUUCCCAAAACCGAUCAUCGUAACUCACCGGAAGUCCCGAAAACCACACCGGGACGCCGUCGGGACCCACUAAGUGUCCCGAACUCACCGACUCGUGCCACGAGUCACCCGCUGCCCCAAAGCACUCCAAUUUGGAUGCAUUGGCAGCGAACACGAGGUAACACAACAAUAUGAUCAUCGCCGGAUAAUCGUACGAAUCCGGAUUCCCGGAAGUGUCUAUUUCGACACCGGAACCCUCUGUCGCUCACCUAUCAUCAUCGAACCCACAAAAUGAUGAUGGUGACCAGCCAACAAGGCUCAGCGACAAAACACGAAGCAACCAAACACCGUCGGAAAGAAUCCGAACCGAAACCGCGUUCUUUCGGCGAAUUUCGCCGAAAAACGCACCGAAAUCGACCUACCGAUUUCCGCGAAAGCUAACGGACCAUGGACAAUCAGUCCAGCGGUCAAUACAAACUCCCACACACUGCCCACAGUAGCCGCAAGGAGCACAAAUGCAUAAAAGACCCUCAAUUUACAUAAAAUCCUAUUAUUUCAUGUAAAUUGAGCGAUCAAGUGGCUCAUUCACAAAAACCGAGGACUCCCGAAGUCCGCAGAGACACGUACUGACAGAUCUCGACGUACCGGAGUCCGUGCUCAUGAUCCGGAGCACAGCGGCUCGCUGUGGGAAGCGCGGGAGCAACCCGAAGGUUCAGCGAAUAGCGCGCAGUCAGGGAAGAUCACGCCGAACAGAACUAACCGGACACUUCUGAUCCAAAGUGAGGUGAGCACUGUGAUCAGCACUGACCAACGAUCACCGUGCUCACCUCCGGAGGCAUCAGGACAGCCUCGGAUCGCCGGAUAAGCGUGCGCAAACCCAAAACAGCAGCCAAGAAGGCUGAAACGGAGCGACAUCGCCAAAACAGCGGAACGGGGCCUUCCCGACAGAAACCAAGGUGAGCACGAUGAUCAGCAAUUCGCUACGAUCAUCGUGCUCCCUUCCGCAGAGAUCGGGGAGGCUCGGAAAGCCCAGAACAACAAACAGCCCUAAACUGAGCCCUAUUUCGGGCUUGGCCGGAGCAACCUUGCUCCGGCCGGCCUCCGGCGACACGGCGGCGCGAGCGGGGGCCAGGGUCGAGUGCGGGGGUGGUGAGUAACACAGUGCUCACCUCGGUUGGCGGCGGGGAGCUGCGACGGCGUCGGCGGAGCAAGUUGAGCCCGCACGAGAUCGGGCUCGGGUUCCAGGAGUUGCUGCGGCCACGGCGGCGGCCGGGGAGCUCCGGGAAGGCAGAGGCGGGCUGCAGGAGGUCGGGGGAGGGCGGCACAGGUGGCUCAGGGAGGCGGCGACGCGAGGAAAGGGGCCGCACACAGCUUCGGCUCGGGCUCGGGUUGGGCGGCUGUAGCCGGCCGAGGCGGCGGCGGCGGCGGCGCGCUGGGNAGUCUACCGGACCUAAGAAGAUCCACCAAGUCAGUAUCCAAACCACUAACCCAAAGCACGAGACUCACAAACCCCCACACAGGAUCCCCGUAAUCGAUUUCCCAAAACCGAUUACCGUAACUCACCGGAAGUCCCGAAAACCACACCGGGACGCCGUCGGGAUCCACUAAGUGUCCCGAACUCACCGACUCGUGUCACGAGUCACCCGCUGCCCCAAAGCACUCCAAUUUGGAUGCCUUGGCAGCGAACACAAGGUCACACAACAAUACGAUCAUCGCCGGAUAAUCGUACGGAUCCGGGUUCCCGGAAGUGUCUAUUUCGGCACCGGAACCCUCCGUCGCUCACCUAUCGUCAUCGAACCCACAAAAUGACGAUGGUGACCAGCCAACAAGGCUCAGCGACAAAACACGAAGCGACCAAACACCGUUGGAAAGGAUCCGAACCGAAACCGCGUUCUUUCGGCGAAUUUCGCCGAAAAACGCACCGAAAUCGACCUACCGAUUUCCGCAGAAGUUAACGGACCAUGGACAAUCAGUCCAGCGGUCAAUACAAACUCUUACACACUGCCCACAGUAGCCACGCAAAGCACAAUUGCAUAAAAGACCCUCUAAUUACAUAAAAUAUCGUCAUUUUAUGUAAUUUGAGCGAUCAAGCGGUUCGAUCACGCAAACCGAGGACUUUUGAAGUCCGCAGAGACACGUACUGACAGGUCUCGACGUACCGGAGUCCGUGCUCACGAUCCGGAGCACAGCGGCUCGCUGUGGGAAGCACGGGAGCAACCCGAAGGUUCAGCGAAUAGCGCGCAGUCAGGGAAGAUCGCGCUGCACAGAACUAACCGGACACUUCUGAUCCAAAGUGAGGUGAGCACUGUGAUCAGCACUGACCAACGAUCACCGUGCUCACCUCCGGAGGCAUCAGGACAGCCUCGGAUCGCCGGAUAAACAAGCACAAACCCGAAACAGCAGCCAAAAAGGCUGAAACGGAGCGACAUCGCCAAAACAGCUGAACGGGGUCUCCCCGACAGAAACUAAGGUGAGCACGAUGAUCAGCAACUUGCCAGGAUCAUCGUGCUCCCUUCCGUAGAGAUCGGGGAAGCUCGGGAAGCUCGGAACAUAAACUCAUCCACAAUAAGCCCUAUUUCGGGCUUGGCCGGAGCAACCUUGCUCCGGCCGGCCUCCGGCGGCACGGCGGCGCGCGCGGCGGCCAGGGACGGGUGCGGGGGAGGUGAGGAGUGAGGUGCUCACCUCAGACGGCGGCGAGGAGCGGCGGCGGCGGCGGUGGAACCAACUCAGCCCGCACGAGCUAAAGCUCGAGUUCCGGCGAAGCUACGGCCACGGCGGCGGCCGGGGCUCCUCGGGAACGACGGCGGCAGGUCCCCAACGGCCGGAGGAGGAGGAGGGAGGUGGCGGGCAACAGCGGCGGCGGCCCGCGGCUCGGGUGUGGCUGCCCGAGCUUGGCUCGGGCUGGGCGGCUGCAGCCGGCCGAGGCGGCGGCGGCGGCGCGCUGGGGCGGCGGCGGCCGGCGGGAAGGGGCGCCCGGGCACGGGGGAUGUCGGCGGGAGGGUUUCCAGGCGGUGGCGGCGCGCUGGCAGCAGCUGCAACCCCCCUCGGCCAGGCUCGGCCUGGGUUGCAGCAGGCCACAGGAGCAGCAGCGGCGGCGCCCGGCGACGGCGGCGGUCGGCGGGGAAGGUUGCCGGAGCACUAUGCGGUCCCGGGGGAGGGUCUGCAGAAGGCGCAGCCCGGGCCUUCACACAACCCGAGAGGAGAGUGGGAGAGAGAAAGAGAUGGAGAAAGAUGGAGAGGAGAGCUCCGGCAGCCGGCGGCGCUGCUCAGGUGGCCGGGGCGCGCGCAGGAGGAGCAGGGGAAUGUGGGGGAGGCGGCUAGGGGGCUAGGGCAAGGCUAGGUUAGGGUUAGGUGAAACAAAACCCUAAAGAGCAACUAUAUACAAGGUGCAACAAAGCGAGAAAGCCCCUCAAACGUCGGAAUUUCAAUCCGAGUCCCUCACAGUACGACUAAAACACAUGAACGCCCCUCCACGUGCGAUCCCUCGUGAAACGAUACAUAAAAUAUCGCGACUUUCGCGAAAAUACCGUUUUGCCACUACCGACCUCUCCUCGAUCAACACGCGAUCUCCGCAGAUCCGUCCGUCAGAUUUGCGAACGGAUUGCACCAGUGCAAUCAGCACGACGGAGACAACAAAGCUGCGAUUUCGUUUCGUCUUGAUCGACCACGGAUUCACGACAAAAUCCAACCUUCUUCGAAUAGAAGGAAACACACACAUAAAUACAUAUAAAACAUGUAUUUUUGGAUUUUCUCGAAAUCCGUGCGUCAAACUCAAAAUCCGUCAGCGUCAUUAGUUCCAGAAUAGCUGAACCGAUCGAAACGAGCUAUUGGACUGCUAUGAACAGAGUCCGGUACGAGCCAGAAGCCAACUUCUCACCGCGGCUUCUCCGGAAAAUCAAGUUACUAUUCACUUAAGUGAAACUUGGAAAUCGCGUAGAAUUUCCGUUUUAACUCGUUUUCGCCCGAAACUUGACGAGUGCUUUUGUAAUUAAAUUACACACAAAAACAUCAUCAACUGAGAGUUUAGCUACACUGCAAAAAUCUCAGUCCUUACAUUAUGUAAAAAUAUUAAAGAUUGGUACGGUUCGAUCAAAUUUUUUGGACUCUUUCUAUGAUUAGAUCAUUAUCAUUUUAGUCGUUAUGCAUUUGCUAUGAUUUUUUUGUUUUAUACAACAUUAUCGUCAUAUGAAAAUGCAAGAUAAUAUAUCGUGUAGUUCUGAAAAAUUUAACAGAGAUUAGAAAUGGAUCAUUUGCAAUUAUUGUAUUAUUUAAUAAAUGGGAGAUGAUCAUGAACUAGGCUGGACCUUUGUGAUUUGAUUAUGGAUGUAUCUGAAUGUUUCUGAGAUGAGAUGAUGUGAUGUAUUUAUUUAUGGGUGUAAUUUGCAUAACUAUUUGUUAUUUAGUUUUCGGUAUUUGUAAAUAGGGUAUGCUUGUAUUACACUAAACUUUAGCAUAUUGCGGAGUUCUAGUGUGAGGAUAGCGUUUCAUCCUAUCUUUUGGCUUAAGUUUCAAGAACUUAGGCCUGUUUUCAGAGCUUAAUGAGCACGAGAAUGAAUUUUGAUAUCAAAAUCUGCAAAAUUGUACUUUUUGUGUCGAGUACCGGUACUGAAUUGAGGUUUCGGAACUCAGUUGAGCACAGGUUUGGGCAACUCUCGAGUCUUGCAGAACCCGACUGGGUACUAGUACUGCUGCGAGUUGUACCAGUACUAAUACGCUCGAGUAUCGGAACUCAGUUAAUGCCUGAGGAACCCAAUGUUCGAGUUUUACGGAACUGAGCUCCCGGGUACCGGAACUGCCAAGAGUAUCGGUACUCCAAACUGCGUACCGGUACUCAAUGGUGCUGAAACUAUUUUGUACAGUUUGUAAUUUUUUGAUUGUUGAGGGGUCUAUUAGGAUUUUGUGCAAAUGGGUUUACACCCUUAUCACCCCCUCUACUUCUCUUAGUUGGAGAUAGUGAAGGAGAAAAGAGAAGGUAGGUUUUCUCUCCUUCUGUCUUGGAUUUCUUCCUUUGAAUCACUCUAAUCCUUGAAAUUUCUCUCUUUUCUUCAUCUCCUCCACGGAUGCUUGCAUUUAGGACUUGGAGAGGAGGUCAGGAUUGAAGGAAGGGACUUGUUUGAGACUUGGAUUUCAACCUUAGCAUUUUAUAGCUUGGAUUGGAGCUUAAUUUGAGGUCAGUAACAUUCUUGCACCUUCUAAUUGUGUGAUUUGUAAGAAUUUUUGGUAGGAACCUAGUCUUGAGAAAACUAGGAUUUAUUUUAGGGCUUUCUUAUUGAGGGCUCUUAGAGUUAAAUUGAUGAGUACAAAAUACUCUUGUAAGUUGGAAUUUGACCCUUACUGCUUCGGUUUGGACUUUAGACAAGUUUUAAUUGAUCUAAGAUAAUUUUCACCCAUUUUUUAUAUGAUUUUUGGUGAAUUUCGUGGUAAGCCUUUUAGAAACUUGUAACUCCUUGAAAUUUUUUUUUAGGGCAUAAGAAAUUUAGGGGGCAACUUCGUCGGAUAAACGGAUGAGGUUUCGAUAGUUAUCCAAUGGGUUCGACUUCACCGAAGUGGGUAAACUCCCUUCUUACGGAUUUUAAGUUGGCAUAUUUCGUGAAGUAAGUCGGAGUCUUGAAGGUUUAUGGAAGAAAAGAUGAAGAUUGAAGACUCGAAGACUUAAAACAUGAAUCCACAAUGCUUAAUAAGUUUGAAUAAUAUUGAUAAUGAUUUAUGAUCAUUUACAAGUAUUUGGAAGACAUUAGAAUAGAUAAAAAAUGAUUCACAAUAUAAAAAUUAAGUUUUCCAAGUUUCAAGUUCCGGACCCUGAAAGCAAGGUCCGGAACCCGUAAGCCUUCUUAGCUGGCAAGCUGUCAAGGUCAGGACUUUCAAGGUCCGGACCCUGAAUUCAAGGUCCGGAACCUAAACCCAACACAAAUUUUCUAAACUCAGUUUUUCAAUUCUAAUUUGAUUCUAAUUGCUUCCAAACCUAUAAAUAAGAUGUGGGGGUGUUUCUAAAAGGUGACCAAGCAUAGAAUAUCUUUUUGAAGCCCUAGAAACUUGUUGGGUGCCCUUUUUCUUAUCUCCAACAACAAGUUUCUAUCGGAUCAAUUCUUGAAACCCUAAUUUCUUUUCUUCAUGGAGAAUUGAUCCGACUAUUGCUUAGAAAUAUCUUCUACGGUUCUUUCAUGAUUAUCUAAGCAAUAAAUCAUCACCAACCUUGUUCACCUUGCUCCGAACGGAGUGCGCUCGUGGAUUCAAGUUGGCGUCGUGGAUUCGACGUGUCGAAGCUUCGUGGAUUCGAAGUGUGGACGUUUGGUGGAUUCGGGACGUUGCGUUAGUAGAUUCGAACGUGGGCCGUGGACAACCCGUUGGUGUGCACGAGAUCCAGAGAAGAUAAAAGAGCGGUUUGAGUCCGUGGUUCGGUAAUCACCUUGUAAUCUUUUAUUUCUUAGUGGAUUAUUUUUCACGUGUUGGUCCCGUGGGCUUUUCUCCAAACUAGAGUUUUCCCAUGUAAAUCUUGGUGUGCUAUUUUAUUUUUCACGCAUUUAUUUUUAUCACAUUGAGAUUUGUGUUUUUGGCCUAUUCAUCUAUUCACCCCUCUCUAAGUGUUUGAUAGUAUCUAGAUAGAUCCUAAGAUUUUCCGUAACCUACAAUUGGUAUAAGAGCAGGAUCUAGAUAUUUCUAUUAAUAUGGUGAUGGUGGUCGUAUUAAUAGGCCUCCUCUUUUUGAUGGGAUCAAUUAUUGUUUUUCAAAGUACAUUAGAUGAUUGUUACAUAAAUAGUGCUUUGAACAUCAAUAGGUUCACUUUCAUUCACUCCUAGUUAAUUUUGUACUAAUUAUCAGUUUUACUUUAUUUUCAUUAUUUAUGAAGAUAAUUUAUUAUAGGAUAUCUUAAUUCUUAUAUUCAUCAAAUUUGAGUAAUCAUGUGUAAUCUUUAGACACUUAACCUAUCUCGGUUGUGUGUGUUGAAUUUAAUGAAUGAAAAUUUACUAAUAGACUAAAACUUGUCAAAUUUUUUUUCAAAUAAGAUAUUGCAUAAUUAAGGGAGAGUUAUAUAUAAAUAAAAAAAAAAGAGAAAACACUCCAAGUGCUUAAACUCCAAGUGUUUAAAAGAUGUGGAAAGAGUUACAUCCCAAUGGGAGUGUGAAAACUACUACUACAUGUAGGAAAAAACUACCACCCCGGAUGUCCGGUAAGUGUGCGGAGCUACCACAUGAAAUUCUAAUGCAUAACCGAAAAGAUUGAAAAAGUGUUCAUAUUAUAUAAAAAAAAUUUCGGUGUAAUAAGGUGAUCAGUAAAAGAUGCUCGAGGAGCCACCCCCGGUACAUUGUUGCUUGGUCUCGAAUUUGAACGUUUAUGCGACAAAUUUCUGUCAUUUAGUGAAUCUUUAUAAGUUAUCUUUAUAAUUCGUUACAUCUUGAUAGAUUUUGAGCCUUUAGACUAUUUUUGAUGACUUGAUUUUGGAGUAUAUUUGAAUAAAAAAUUUUUAUUAUAUUUAUCUACAUCUUGAUGAAUUUAUAGUAAAAUUCUUAAUUUCUAUAAAAUUGAUGUGGAUUGAAAGAAGUCUAUGUGAAUUUAUUGUAUUCAUACACUAAGAUUAUUAUUUUCACAAUGCAAUCAUUGAAGAUGAGUUUUUGAAGAGAAAGGGGGAGAGAAAUUGAAGUUGAAUAAGUUAACACUGAUGCAUGAACAAAGGGGGAGAGAUUUUUAAAAAUUUUUUUACUAACUUUGUUGUGGAGGAAGUAAUCUUUUUGCAGAUCAUUGAAGACUUCAAGACUCCUUGUGUCCAAGUCAUAGAGUUUAUUUAGGAGUUGCAAAAUUGUAAUUUUGUGUUUUCUUUGGAUCUUUCACGCGAUAAGUUCAUUGUUUUGGUGAUGGCAAUGAAUUUCAAUUUUGAUUUUUGGAGAGUUGAGCGUUGUGAGUAUUUUGAUGUAAUUUUAAGUUUUGUCACCAAAUUGUCAAAGUGGGAGAUUGUUUCGGAUUUUAAGUUGGUAUAUUUCGUGAAGUAAGUCGGAGUCUUGAAGGUUUAUAGAAGAAAAUAUGAAAAUCGAAGACUCGAAGACUCAAAACAUGAAUCCACAAUGCUUGGUAAGUUUGAAUAAUAUUGAUGAUGAUUUAUGAUCAUUUACAAGUGUUUGGAAGACAUUAGAAUAGCUAAAAAAUAAUUUAAAAUAUAAAAAUUAAGUUUUCCAAGUUUCAGGUUCCGGACCUUGAAAGCAAGGUCCGGAACCCGUAAGCCUUCUUAGUUGGUAGGCUGUCAAGGUCAGGACCUUGCAAGCAAGGCUAGGACUUUCAAAGUUCGGACCCUGAAUUCAAGGUCCGGAACCUAAACCCGACACAGAUUUUCUAAACUCAGUUUUUCAAUUCUAAUUUGAUUCUAAUUGCUUCCAAACCAAUAAAUAAGAUGCGGGGGUGUUUCUAAAAGGUGGUAAGUAUAGAAUAUCUUUCUGAAGCCCUAGGAACUUGUUGGGUGCUCUCUUUCUUAUCUCCAAUAACAAGUUUCUAUCGGAUCAAUUCUUGAAACCCUAAUUUAUUUUUUUCAUAGAGAAUUGAUCCGGUUAUUGCUUAGAAACAUCUUCUACGGUUCUUUCAUGAUUAUCUAAGCAAUAAAUCAUCACCAACCUUGUUCAUCUUGCUUCGAACGGAGUGCGCUCGUGGAUUCUAGUCGGCGUCAUGGUGUGGAAUAUUGAUUUGUUAUCAUCCGGACGCAGUGUACGUUGCCGGUUAACGUGUGGGCACGAAGAUGAAACGAGGUGAAACCGUUUUGGCGCGAAAUUGACGCUAAACGGAUGAAUUGGGCCAAUGUUUCAUUAUAAGGGACCAAAUUGCAAAUAGCAAAAAUAGUGGGCCAAGUUACAAAAUGGCUUGUUCUUAUCCCUUUCUUCUCUUUCUCUUUCUUAGAUUUUUUUGUAAGUAAAGAAAAGCAAAAGAGAAAAGAAAGAAUAAAGAAGAAGAGAAAGAGAAGAAGAAGAAGAAGAAGAAGAUAAGAAGGUUUGAUUUCUAGUUUAUUUUCUAUUCCUCUUCCUUCCUUUUACUUUCCUUUCCCCUUCUUAUCUCUCUCCCUCUCACCCCCUCUCCCUCUUGUUGCUGCGAGCAGAGCAGCAGCAGCAGUCCACUGUUGCUGCUCACUGCAGAGCAGCAGCAGCAGUAACAGCAGCUGCAAGGGCAGUAUGAGAAGAAAACAAAGAAAGAGAGAGAGGGACAAAAAAAGAAAAAAGAGGAAAAGAUAGAAAGAAUGAAAGAAAGAUAGAAAGAAAAGGGGAAGGAAAUGAAAUACUGAAACGGAAGUGACAUUGGCACAAUUCCCCUAUCAUCAAAAUUGGACCUUGCAGGGUAUCAAGGCAUGUGAUCGAGUUUGUGACGCACGUCCGGUUAGUCGAAUUGUAAGUGUUUUCAGGUGAUCGUGAACCGAGGAUGUACGUGAGUAGUGCUUUCCUUGCCGGAGCUGAUGUAGCCGUUGAGGUGGGUUCCGAGUCGUCGAAAAUGACGAAAUUCCUUUUAUGUCUAUUUUCCUCGCAUAUGCAUAUAUAUAUAUAUAUAUGGACUUCAAUAUUGAUAAGGGUCGUGUUAGUAUUAAACUGAGUGGAAGAAUGGCUUUCUAGUGUGCGCAGUCGUGAAUGAUGAUUUAUGCAUUGUUUCAAGUAGCAAGGUCAUAUUUAUUCAUAUUUAUAUCUAUCGCGAGGGAUGAGUCAUUGCAAAAUGGGUAAGGAUUUUCAUUCAAUCGCAUAUUGCUACAACUUGAGGUCAUUCUGUGUGAAUCCUCUACCGAAUAGCCGUGAAUAGUGGUUGUUAGCAGCAUAUCAUUUAGACAUACUAGUAGGUCAUGGAAUGCCAAAUGACACUUUGUGCAUCUUGGUGAGUCAUCUCUUACUCAUUUGUAUUGUGCAUGCCAUUUAUUAUGUGAUAGAGGCCGUGGGUAGCGCGGCUGUAGUAUGCUGAUGUUUUGGUCAUAGCGAGAGCAUAUGCAUUUUAUGAUGUAUUUGGUAGAUACCCUCGAUUAGCGUGGCGAUAAUGGACGGAUUUUGGAUAGUGAGAAGUAUAUGAUCAUGCUAUUGUGAUAUAUGCAUUAUUUGAUAUUCUUUGAUUGUGCCGAGGGUAUCAGAUUGGUUGCUUGUGAUCUUUUGACCAUCACAUAGACCAUAGCCUGUAGAGCCAUACUGAGUUGGACAGAGAUACGUACUAUUAGACUCGGUAGGGUCGUGUAAGGACUGAGAUUUUUAUUGCAGUGUUUAAACUCUCAGUUAGACGAUGUUAUGUGGAAUUUAAUUACAUAGCACCGUCAGUUUCAGAAGAAAAUGAGCUUAAAAUGGAAAGAUACGCGAUUUUUAGUUUUCACUUAAAGUGAAUAGUAACUCCAGUUUUCCGGAGAAGCCACCGGAGUAGAGUUGGCUUCUGGUGUGUUCGAACUCGUCAUCGCAGUCCAAUAGUUCGUUCGACCGGUUCAGCAUUCUGGAACUACUGGUGCUGAUGGGAUUUUGGAGUUUUACGCACGGAUUUCGAGAAAAUCAAAAAACAUGUUUUAAUGUAUUUAUGUGGUGUGUUUCCUUCUAUGUUUCGAAGAAGGUUGAGAUUUUUGUCCGUGAAUCCGUGGUCGAUCAGAUGCAAACGAAAUCGCAGCUUUGUUUCUCCGUCGUGCUGAUCGCACUGGUGACCGUUCGCAAAUCUGACGGACGGCAUCUGGCGGAUAUGAGCGUUGAUCGAGAGAGGUCGUGUUAGCAAAACGGUAUUUUCCAAAAAUAGUCGCGAUAUUUUGAUGUAACCGUUUCGCGUGAGAUCGCACGUGAGGGCUUCAUCGCGUUUAGUCAUACUGUGAGGGACUCGGAUUGAAAUUCGAUGUUUGAGGGGCUUUCUCGCUUAAGAUUGCACCGUAUAUAGUUGUUUUAGGGUUUGACCAUCUACCUAACCUAGCCUUGCCCCUAUCCCCUACCUGCCUCCCCCACAUCCCGACGCCUUCCCCCGCGGCCCCGGCCUCCUGAGCACCCCGCUGCCGAGCUCUCCCUCAUCCACCCCUUCAUCUUUCCUCCAUCUCUUUCUCUCUCUCCCUCUCUCCCUCGGGUUGUGUAAGGCCCGGGCUGCGCCUCCUGCAACUCCCCGGGAUCACCGUGCUCCUCGACGUCCGCGACCGUCGCCCAUCGCCGGUGCCGCGCUGCUGUGCUCCGGUCCUGCUGCAACCAGGCCCGAGCCUGGGCCGAGCGGGUUGCCGACAGCCGCCAGCGCGCCGCACCCGCCUAGAACCUCUGUCGACUCCUCCGUGCCGGCGCCCCUUCCCGCCGGUCGCCGCCGCCCCGACGCGCCGCCGUCGCCGCCUCGGCCAGCCGCGGCCGCCCCAGCCGAGCCCAGGUUGAUUCUUGUUUGCGGUCUCUUUCCCGCGCCGCCGCCGCUCGAGGCUGCCUCCUUCCUGCUCCUCUGGCCUCUGGGGACCCGCAGCCGACGUCCCCGACCUUCCCCGGCCGCCGCCGUGGCCGGAGAAACCCGCCGAGCCCGAGCUUCUCUCUUGCGGGCUCGGGUUGCUCCGCCGACGCCGCCGCCGCUUCUCGUCGCCAACCGAGGUGAGCACGGUGUUCCUCACCUCCCCCGCACCCGCCCCUGGCCCCCGCGUGCGCCGCCGUGCCGUCGGAAGCCGGCCGGAGCAAGGUUGCUCCGGCCAAGCCCGAAAUAGGACUUUGUUUGGGGUGUUUGUUGUUCUGGGCUUUCCGAGCCUCCCCGACCUCUACAGAAGGGAGCACGACGAUUCUGGGAAGUUGCUGAUCAUCGUGCUCACCUUGGUUUCUGUCGGGAAGGCUCCGUUCAGCUGUUUCGGCAUUGUCGACCCUGUAGAGCCUGUUUGGCUGCUGUUUUGGGUUUGCGCACGCUUAUCCGGCGAUCCGAGGCUGUCCUAAUGCCUCCGGAGGUGAGCACGGUGAUCGUUGGUCAGUGCUGAUCACAGUGCUCACCUCACUUUGGAUCAGCAGUGUCCGGUUAGCCCUGUUUAGCGCGAUCUUCCCCGACUGCGCGCUAUUUGCUGAACUUUCGGGUUGCUCCCGCGCUUCCCACAGCGAGCCGUUGUGCUCCGAAUCAUGAGCAUGGCCUCCGGUACGUCGAGACCUGUCAGUACGUGUCUCGGCCAAACUUAGAAGUCCUCAGUUUGUGAGAAUGAGUCAUAGAAGUCGCCAGAUUUAUAUAAAAUAAUGGAUUUUAUGUAAACACGGGGGCUUUUGUGCAAUUGUAUGCCUUGUGGCUACUGAGGGCAAUGUGUAUGAGUGUGUUUGACCUCUGGACUGGUUGUCCAUGACCCGAUAGUCUUUGCGGAAAUUGAAAAGUCGAUUCCGGCGCGUUUUUCGGCGAAAUUUGACGAAAGAACGCAGUUUCGGUUCGGAUUUCUUCCGACGUCGUUUGGUUGCUCUGUUAGUAGUCGCUAAGCCUUGUUGGCUGGUCACCAUCAUCACAUUGUGGGUUCGGUGAUGAUGGGUGAGCGACAGUGGGUUCCGGUGUCGAAAUAGACACUUUCGGGAACCCGGAUUCGUACAAUUAUCCGGCGAUAAUUGUGUAGUGAUGUUAUCUUGUGUUUGCUGCCAAAACAUCCAAAUCGGAGUGUUCUGGAGCAGCAGGUGACUCGUGUCACGAGUCGGUGAGUUUCGGGACACUUAGUAGGUCCCGAUGGUGUCCCGGUGUGGUUUUCGGGACUUCCGGUGAGUUACGAUGAUCGAUUUUGGGAAACCGAUUCGAGGAUCUGUGUGGGGGUUUGUGAGAUAGUGCACUUCAGGUGAGUGGGUUGGUUACUGACCCGUUGGAUCUUCGUAGGUCCGGUCGACUUGUGCGUACCCAGUGUUACGACGCGACAGUGACAGGUGGGUGCUUCGAGCUGGUAGUCGGUGAGAUCGUUUCACCCUUCCUCUGUUCUUUCAUAUCAGUAUCAUAGUCUCUACAUGUCAGUUGAUUGUUAUCGCUUGUUUAUCGUAUUCCGUUGAUUGCAUUUGUAUAGUUGUGGAUAGACAUGUAGAGCAGGCUUGCACUCAUAUAUUGCAUCUCUGUGGACCUUGGGUCCAGGCAACACAUCGACUCUUUUGUCAUGUGUUUCGAUCUGGUUGAUCGUGGUUCGGCGUUGUACGCCCUUGCACCUGGCUUCGGCCAUGGCACCGGUCUCUUUUUGCCGAUUUUCGUUGAGCAUAUCAGCAUGAUUUAGUCACAGCACUGUGUAUUCUAGACACCAGGUUGGUUUGGCCACCAACCAAGGGAUGUACGUAUCCGGAUAGGUCGUUGGUGACGCAUGAAUAAGCUCGCAGUGUCUGCUCUGUGACAGGUAACGCUUGAGGUCUGCGGACCAACAUAGCAGUAUCAGAUUGGGUUUGGUUUUGGACUAUUCACCUUUGAGGCAUCUGAUCAGUUGAGUUUUUGGUUACAGUAGUAGUUUCAUUCUUGCUCAGUUAUUAUCCUGUUUCUAUUACUACUGUAGUUGCUUUUACGUCAUAUCAUGUUCAUAUCUGUUAUAGCUACUGUAGUUCGUUUUCAUAUAUCAGUAUCUAUAUUUGUUUAUCUAUCUCCUUUGGUUUCUGGUGAUUACGGCUUGCCUUCGUGGCUCUGUCGUACCCACUGAGAAAACCAUGGUUGCGGUUUCUCACCCCCCAUCCCCCCCCCAGGUGACAUAGACGAGGAGUUGGAUUUUGGGCUCGACGAGAGGACGAUCUAGCUAGUAUGGUAUAGCGAUUGCCACCCUGGUUGUAUUUCUUUCCUGCCUUUAGUAGUCAUUUAAAUAAUGGUUCAGUUAGCUGAUUUUUAUGAUUGUUUGAAUGUGGUGAUCUGGUUUUGGUAGAUCUGUGGAUGCUUUCAUUAUUUAUGCAUGUGAACUGAGGUUUGUGGAUUUGGAUGUUGAUUCUAUGGAUAUCGGAUUUUCUUGUAUUUACAUAUCGUGGUUUUCUACCCCUCGAGGUAGUUGAUUUUCAAAAUAGAGUUUCCGUGUGGGAAAUAGUUUUAAAAAGAUUUUUGAAUGGUUUUUCAUGAUGAAUGAAUUAGAGUUAAAAAAUAAAAGCUUCCAUGUGGGAAGCACUUUUAAAUAGGAUGAUUGUAGUACUGUGCAUUGCAUCAUCCAGCGCCUAAGGAGUGCUUAGAGGCAUGCAUCAUCUCUAAGGAUUGUUAGCUGUAUGAAAAUGCAUAUCAUUAAUUGGUUGUUGAUUGGUAAUUGUAGGUUGUGGUUGUGAUCCUGUUGUAUAGUUAGUACGCCGUGCAAAUACAAAGGAGACUCUGUCCGAGUGGACAGAUGAACUUUGUAUUUGUGGCGGGUCUGUACGUCACGUGGGCUAGGUUGAAAAAAAAAAAAGUACAUCUUCCGCGACUCUGAGUUUUAAAAAUGGUAAUGGCUUUUAAAUCGGCCCCGGGGCGUGGUAGGUCGCUUCCCUUCGAGUGCCGCUACGGAUGCUGGCCAGUUAUAUCAGAGAUAUGUGUGCCCUUGGAAAGACGACCCACCUGCGGGAGUGGUGUUCGUGCUGGGGUAGAGCCUAGGUGUCGACGGUGCACCUGCGGGAGUGCGAUUCCGGCACUAGGCGGGCGCAGGCUUGACCGGACGUACGAGUCGGUCGUUGUGAUUGGGUACUAUUAUAGCAUUUGUUUAGUAGUAGUUAUAUUGUUGCAUACACUACUCCGUUUCUUUCUUUUCCUCUCGCUAUUUAUACAGGGACAUGAUAGUACAGCAGGUAUAGAGACAUGUAUAGAGACAGGUAUAGAGAGUUGUUUAUAUUACAUGCAAUUAUUCAUUUACUGUUACUACAUUUGCCUAUGAAGGUCAUAGCCAGUUAGUCUUCUACUAUACUUGACAUUCAUUUAUACUGCUUAGAGCCAAUUACCUUGAUUGUUACUUAUGGUCAUUCAUUUAUCUGUUUAGUUAAUUUCCCUGUGUACUUGCAUUCAGCUACUUAUUUACCACAUAUUUUACUGUUCAUUGAUUAAUCUGGCUUCCAGUAGACCUAGUGGGAAGGUCGUGGUUAUCGUUGAUCAUACCCACUGGGAACUACUGUUCAGUAGUUCUCAUACCCUUUGGUGGUUUACUUUUCAGGGGUUCGUAUACUGACGGUUGAUCGAGGUAAGGGGGAUCACGCAGUAGUUAGCAUCUCCUACCAGUUUGCCUUUACAGUAGAGGACCACCAGAGAGAGUGCUAUUUUGUACAACUUGCCUGCUCUGGCGAGGGUCUAGGCUGUUUUUGCGUACUUUACUUUUGAGGUUGAGGUUUAUUUGGUGAUGUUCAUGUUGUACGGCAACUUAGUUUGGAAAUAGCGCUCUGAUACAUGUUAUUUGUUUAUACGAUACUUCUUCUUGAUUCAUGUGUUGUGGAUACCUGUCAUGUUUGACCUCGUGGUUUGUCUUGUAUUGGUCGAUUUUGUGGAUGCUUCGUUCGGACAGGGGAAACUUUGUCCGUUCGGCGGGUCUGUUGACGUCCUCGUGGACUUCCGUUGUAGACUUGGGGCGUGACACAUGGAUUCGAUGUGUCGAAGCUUCGUGGAUUCAAAGUGUGGACGUUUUGUGGAUUCAGGAUGUUGCGUUCGUGGAUUCGAACGUAGGGUGUGGACAACCCAUUGGUGUGCACGAGAUCCAUAGAAGAUAAAAGAGAGGUUUGAGUCCGCGGAUUCGGUAAUCCCCUUGUAAUCUUUUAUUUUUUAGUGGAUUAUUUUUUCGCGUGUUGGUCCCGUGGGUCUUUCUCCAAAUUGGAGUUUUCCUACGUAAAUCUCUGUGUGCUAUUUUAUUUUUCGCGCAUUUAUUUUUAUCGCAUUGAGAUUUGUCAUCUAUUCACCCCCUUCUAGGUGUUUGAUAGUAUCUAGAUAAAUCCUUGGGUUCCCCAUUAGGCAUUACACAUUAGGCAUUGCACAAGCCGGGACUUUACCAUGGGUGGAUCCCCGAUGAUUGGGUAAAAGUUGAUUAAAUCAAUGUUGAACAUUUUAACUAAUUGAAGCAUAUAUAAAAAGUAGAUAUCUUUGCAAGAACUACAUGCAUACCUAUUUGCAUACAUGCUAGUGGUUUCUUCAUAUAGGUUUACCUUCCUACAUGAUAAUGGUAGAAUUAUUUACUUAUGGAAUUAGCAUAAGCUGUAUUAUAGUACACUGAACCUUAGCAAAUUGCAAGGUUCUAGUGUUAGAAUAGCAUUUAGAGCUAUUCCUGGUAUUCUUAAGAGUCGUUGACUGUGUUCCGAUCGAUUACUCGCGUCUUGAGGAGCGAGAGUGGGAACUUAGCACCAAAACCUCCAAACUGCAGGUUUUGGGGUGCUGCGUACCGGUACCAAAGAAGGGUACCGGAACCCCGUAGCACAACCGAAAAGGAUGCUCUCGGGUUUGAGCUCUACGAGGAGAGUACCGAUAUUGCAUCGCCCGAGUACCAGUACCAGGGCCUGGUACCUAUACUGCAUCGCGCGGGUACCGGUACACUGCAAUCCGUCCGCUUGACAGAUGAUUGGGUUUGCGCGUUCGGCUACGGGGUACCGAUACUCCAGCCCGCGUACCAGUACGCAGUGCAGUUGCAGACUGCAGGUUUUUUAGGGGUCUUUUUGAGAUUGUAGCAUCUCUAUAAAUAACCCCACACCCUUUGGAGGGGUUUCCUGUGCUGGAAACCAGAGGAGAAGAGGUAGAGAGCUCAUCCCCUUCUGCUAUUUGAUUUUCCUUCCCUUUUUGCAAGAUUUUUGGUGGUUUGAUCUCUCCUUUUUGCUUCUUUUUGCAUGGUGUUGGCCUUCCACCUUGGAGAAGCUUUGGAGUUGUAGAUUUGAGCUUGUUUGAGGAUUGAUCUCCAACCCUCGCACCAUUCUUGAGAGGUUAGUAGCUUUGAUCUCUCCUUUGAAUCAUGCUUUGUUGGACUUUUGAGAUGAAAACCUAGUUUUGAGAAAACUAGGAUUUUAUUUGGGGGUUUUUGAUUUGUAGCCUUUGGGGCUAAAUUGAUGAGUAUAGAACUCUCUUUUAGGUUGGAUUAGAAGCAUCCUAGCCCUCAUUUGGAUUUUGGAAGAGUUUUCAGCCAUUUAAGGUAUUUUUCUACCUAUUAAUGGGUUGGAUUUUGUAGAUUUUGUGGGGUGUUCGUUCGAAGCCCCUAACCCUCUUAGAAUUUUUGUUAGGGAGCUAGGAGACUUGUGGACAACUCUGUUCGCGCAAACGAAGGGGUUGCGAGGGGUAUCCGGUGGGUUUGACCUCACCGAAAUGGGUGAACUCUCCCUAUGUUAUAUCUUGUGGUUUAAAAUGGAAAAUCAUAUAUAUUCAUGCUAGAUAUGGCAUAAAUGAAUUUUUGAAAGCUUAAGACACAUGUGUUAUAUGUCAUGAUUAUAGCCUCUAUGUAGUAGAGAGGGAAUUGUAUAGUAAAUUUGCAUGUGAAGUGGCAUUCUUAUACUAUGUUGGAAAUCAUGCUAUAUUAAGUAAAAUGACAACUUUUAUAUGCAUAUGAACAAAGGACAUGUGCUAGACAUAGAGAACAUUAAUGUCAUAAAGUGGCAUUUGACUUAGUAAACGAUUAAACCUUUACACUAUGACAUAGAGAUGGACCUUUGGGUUACUAGUACUUGUACCAUAUUUUAGACAUGACGACCGUGUACUUGAGAUAGAUGAUCAUGCCUGCUUGCCAUUAUACUCAUUCGCACAUACUUGUGAGGGUCGCUCCCCACAAGCCGGCACUCCAGAGUUGCCCUACGCGACAUAUGCUCGCCCGUGCGGGAUUCGGUGCCUACUGGGUCGGCGUGGGACAAGCUCAUUCCUAGAGGAGGAAUGUUGGAGUACCACGGGCCAUUAGGCAGCACAAGCCGGACUACACUUGUGUAGGUCCCAAAUUGGAAUUGGAAAAUGACAUUUAAACAAUUAAUGUGACAAUCACUACUUGAUCGUGUAUAGUAGUUGGAUUCCUUGGACAUGCUUAGUGCAUAUUAGCGGAUUUAUUGGACAUUCUUAGUGCAUACUAGUGGACUCUUUGAACAUACUCAAUCAUGAUAGAAUAGCAGUAUCACUUGUUGAACAUCAUGCUAAUUAGAGUCAUAGUAGCUUAGUAAAUUAAUACUUGCUUAUUAUACAUGUUGUUUAUUUCAGUUACAAUAUUCUACUCUUUACCUCUAUAACCUAGUGGUGUAUUUCGCUGAGGUCGGCGGCUUACCCACUAGGAACUAUUAACUAAUAGUUCUCAUUCCCAUUGUGUUGUUGUUUUUGUUUACAGAGCCAUCCACGCCGGAAGAGGCUAGAGAUCACGGCAAGGGAAUCGCCUCUAGCUAGAUAGCUUGGAGUACUUUCACUAGGUGGACAUCUCUCCAUUUGUUUUAAUUAGAGAGAGAUAUUUUGUACCUGAUGUAUAGAGACCACCACUUUUGUACUUAGUUUUAUUUGUGUGGAUCUUGUGUUGUAUACACUACAUUAUGGUUUAUGUUAGUUGUUUAGCUCUUUUAUUAUCUACUUGUCUCCAGAAGUUAGAAGUACUUAUGCUCUGAUAUCAUGCAAGAUGUUUUAUCUAUCCGUUUUAAUUAUCGUAUGGUUGUAGACGCCUUAUAUGUUGUAGGCAUAUAGCGGGUCUGGACACGCACCGGGCGGGCUUCCGCUGGGUCCCGGGGCGUGACAUGUAUAGAGGAAAGACAGAAUUACAUUCAACUUUUAUGCACUAGCUUAUUACUUCAGCUAUCUACUAAUCUUGCCUCAGUUGACCUAGUAGUGUAAUUCACUCUUCUCGGUGUCUUAUCCACUGGAAACUAUUGUUUAAUAGUUCUCACAUCUGUUGUUUGUUUAUUUUUGUUUCAGAGACUUCCACAGCAAGAGAGGCUAGGGAACGAGGAAUGGGGUUAGCGACUAGCUAGAGUUUACGAGUGUCGCUAGAGGUGGACUCGAGAUGUCUUUCUUUAGUUUUUGUCUUGAAAGGCGCAUUAGUUACUUUUGUAUCGUGAUCCUGUUGGUGGUCAUGAGAUGUAUUUUUUGGUUGAUACAUACUAUAUAUCUUGUGAAUGGCCUAUGCAUUUAUCUUGUGUUGUUCAUAGAAUCUCUUGUAUGCUCUGAUUCCCUCAUGUAUGAUGUUUUAACUUUACUAUCUCUUGUUCACAUCAUGCUUCUUAUUGUGUACGCCUUGUGUGCACCGGGGUUACCUAGUGCACACGGCGGGUCUGUGCAUGUACCGGAAUACAUGGAAUCUGUGUGUCAUGCUCGAGCCCCAGUGGAAGCCUACCCAGCACGUGCACAGACCUGCCAUGCACACAAAGCACCCCCGAUGCACACAAGGCAUCUACAUCAAACAAAGCAGAAAAAGAAAUAUAUACACAUCCUAUACAAGGUAAGCAGAGCACGUGAACAUAACACUAAAGAGUAAAUCAAGUCUACUACAACUAACUAUUUACUAGAUAUACAAUAAGUUUCAAACAAAAGUACAUCUUAUGAACAUAAGGUGGCAUCUAUGCAAAAACAAAAAUACAUCUUAUGAACAUAAGGUGGUCUCUAUACAAAAAUAAACUAGUAUAUCUUUCACAACUAAAACCAAAAGAAAGGUACCUCAGAUCCACCUAUAGCAACACUGGAGUAGGAUCUAGCUAGUUGCUAAAUCCUUGCCACGAUCCCUAGCCUCUUCCAUAGUGGAAGGCUCUGUAACAAAAACAAAUAACCAAUGGGGGUAAGAACGAUUAAACAAAAGCGAAAUACACCACUAGAUCAAUUGAGGCAAAAGAUUGUGAUUAGAUGAAAUGAAAAGCUAACAUAUAAGCCGAAAUGAAAAUGUUCUAAUACUAUCAUGCCUCUAUAUAACUAUGCCAACCAACAUAGCUAUUUUUUAUCAUGCCUCUAUAUAACUAUGCCAACCAACAUAGCUAUAGUUUUACUAGUGACAUGCAUAUAAGUGUGUCAUAACUAACAUGUAUAUUCUACUACCAUGUAUGCAUCAACUAGUUAUGAUAUUGUCAUGCCCCGGUACUACCACUUUGGUCAGUUCAGAGACGCGCAUAGACUGCCGAACAGACAGAGCCUCCUCUAUCCGCUUAAGGCAUAAACAAAAUCAUGUAUAUCGAGUUUUACCUAGAAAAUCAGCAACAUAACAUAAAUUGCACGAGGGCAAUUACACAUGAACAAGAGAGAUUACUUAACUAAUAGAACUUAAACAUUUAAGCUUCACAUACAUUCACUCUCUUUACAUAAUUUACACUUAUCAUCUACCAAAAUAAAACCUCUACAAAGUUCUCUCAAAAUGUAAACACAUAUCUCCACUGUUUAGGGUAAACUAGUACUCAAAAGUCCACUCCCUAGGGUGUAACACCCUUGCCGCGAUCCUGUGUCGCCGUGUCGGGCAAAAGUUCUACAAUACAGGGUGUCAGAACUACAUGAAGUUUCUAUUGGGUUUGGCCACCAACACAGGCGUCUUUCCUACUAGGUCUUAUCAGGUCUAAGUAGUAAGGAAGAGUAAACUAUACUAUGCAACUGAAACAACUACUAUGCCUCUAUAAAAUGAAACUAGGUAAAUAAUAAAUGCUACUAUGCUCAUGAUGCUUACUAUUUCUAUCUUUUAACCCAAUCAUACCGGCCACCCAGAGAUCGAGCCCACUCACAAUAUCAGGGCCCACGAGUAUCAAGGCCCACGGGGACAAUCACCAAACCAGGGCCAUCUGUUGUGGAGAUAGCCGCUCAAUCCAUACUUGACAACUCCGGAGCUCACUGCUUGUGGUGUCAUGACAACCACAAGCCGAGCAAACUAUGUGUGAGUAUGAUCUAGCUCUCCAAUUCUGAGAGCACACCAACGACAAUGAUAAUGCUAUCCUGGGAUCUACCAAUCCCUAGCAUCUAUCUCAAUAAGUGCUCUACAACAAUAUACCUCUAAAUGCUAUCAAACAUAACUAAUAAUGAGAUGCCACUAAAUGUCACCAAUGUUCCACUAUAUUUUCUAAGUUCACCAAUGUUCCACUAUAUUUUCUACCAAUGAGAUGCCACUAAAUGAGUUCUCGACCGAAGUUGUCUAACCCUACUUUAGGAAGUAUCCAAUGAAUUAAAAGCACAAACAAGAUAAUAACCCUAAAAUGCGUUAUUUACAUAUAUACAUAUAUGACCAAAACAACGACUUAGACAUAGAAAGAAAUUCAAUUGUUCCGGAUAGCAUCACCUACCUCAAUUCGACGUCCAUUGCAAGGGAAUCCAAGAAAUUUAACUUUCAAUGCCGAUUCGGCAUUUUUGGACGUUAACGAAUGGAAUUCUUUGAUUUCGGCUCGAUUUUCCUCAAUUGGCCACCGAAACGUCGUUACUUUUUGAGUAGAAGCCACUAGGCGUUUUUUUACAACCUUCAAUUAGAGGGUUACCAAAUCAAUUUAGAUUAAAUCACUACAAAUCCAAAAGCUCCUUUCUAAACCCUAGAAACCUAUUUUCUCACAAAAUAACCCAAAAUCUUUGUGAUUUUAUAAUAAUCUAGAUUAGAAUCACGUAUGAUUUCCAACUAUCUCGAUUCCAAAGGAUUUACCAAAAACCCUCACUCAAAAACCUCCUCUCCAAAAACACAAUCCAAGGAAAAAACUUGCCCACUAACCUCUUAUAGGGCUCCAAACCAAACUAGGUAGGUGCUAGGGUUGGAGAUCUUUCCUCAACCAAGCUCAAAUCUUCAAGUCCAAAGCUUCUCCAAGGUGGAAGAACCAUCACCAAGCAAAAUGGAGAAGAAUUUAGAGAUCAAUCCUAAAAAAUCCACCUAUCUAAGUGGAGAAAUCUACCUAUCUAAGUGGAGAAAUCUAGAUAGAGGAAGAGGGGGUGCUCACCUUCUUCUUCUCUAGUUCACAACCCAAAGUGCCCUCAUAGGGGUGUUGGGGAUAUUUAUAGAGAUGUACAAUCCCCAAAAAGUCCCUCAAAAAUAUCCAGUCUGUAAACUGCACUGCAUACCGGUACUCAGGCAGGAGUACCAGUACCCGGCAACCAAACCUACGCAACCUGAGCCUCUAUUAAGCGAACAGCUUGCGGUGUACCGGUACCUGCUCAAUGCAAUACCGGUACCGAGCCCCAGUACCGGUACUCGACUGAAUCAGUACCGGUACUCAGCCUCCCAUAGCUCAAACCCGAGAGCACCUGUCACGCCCUGAGACCGCUACCAAUUUGGUCCGGUUCGGACUCGUCGAACAGACGCCGAACGGACAGCACCUCCCCUGUCCGCCCAAGACUAAGCAACAAGAUCAUGUACAAGAAUUUGCCCAGGAAAAGAAAUUCAUUACAUACACGAUCAACACGGAGCACCACAAGUGCUAACAAGUAAGAGCAAGAACCACAAGUAUACAACAAGUGAAUAAAGAGAGUUAUUCUAGCUAUUACAACCAUUCAACAUUCAUCUUUAAUUACAUUUUCAUCUUCCAAAAUGUAAAUACAAUUUAACCACCAAAAUACAUGAAAAGCUUCCAAAUACAUCACAUGUCUCUAGUACACGAGGGUACUCUAAUGCAAAAUAGGAAGCUACUAAUUAACUCAGGGCGCUAUGCCCUUGCCGCGGUCCUCGCCCGACGAACUCGUACUCGGCCCUGCAACAAAGUGGGGUGAGAACUAUAUAAAUAUAGUUCCCAGUAGGUUCGGCCGCCGACUCCGCCGAUCUUCCCACUAGGUCUAAGCAGGCAUAAGCAGAUAGAUAGAUAGAUAGGUAGAAAUGUAAACUGCAACUAUUCGACCAUGCCUUCAAUGCGAUGCUAUGUAUGAAAUAAUCAUUAUGCAACAGUAUACUAUCAUGCUAGUAUGAUGUCAAGAGUAUGUAUAUGUAACAUAGCAAUGCAAUCUACAACAUACACUAUGUCUACUCAAGGUAAGAAUGCGAUUCUACUAUGCCAUUAUGUUUAUUACCCAAUUUACCUGGCUAACACGUAGGUUAGGCCCUCGACUCACUCUCAAUCUCAUAGGUGAGGAGAAGCUGCACUCGUACACCGAGACCGUUUGCAGGACAACUACGUCUGCCCUUGUUUGAAGUACUCCGGAGACCACUGCUUCGAUAGAGCGACCACCAACAAGCGAAACAGACUAGUGAGUAUGAUCCAAUCCUCACAAGAGGAUACCCUAUCUACUAGGGUCAUAGUGCCUCUGCUGCACAAUCACAAUGCAUAAUCAAAUGCCGGGACUUCUACUAUCCCUAAGUUCAUGUCAUGUUUACUACACUAGACUCGAUGCCACUCGUUCGAUCAUUUGUAGUAAGUUUUCUAACUAGUUGACAUGCCACUUGUUCAUAUUUAGUGUUUCUACUACACUAGUUCAAUGCCACUCAUCUAGGCUAUACAUGUCCAAGUUCACCUCAUUAUGCCACUAUAGGACUCCGUGUCACAAGACCCAAUCCUCAUGCGUCCCUACUCCAUGUGUCAAGCCUUCAAUGCUACACUACUAAGAAAGCAUGCAAGGAGUUAGAAUUGCAACUAUCUACUAACCCUAUAAUGCAUAAUAUAUGUAUAUGAUCGACAUAAGGAAUUUAGACAUAAAAAGAAGCCCGGUUGCUUCGGGAUGGACAGCCCCCACCUUUUGGUGAUGUCUCGAUGCUACGAUUCCGGUUUCGUGAUUUUUGGAAGCUUACGCCGCGUGCUGCGGCAAUCUGUACCGAAAUCGGCUUUUCCUUGAUAUCUUUGCGUACACUCGUCGGAUUGCCGAACCGAGCGCACCGUUGCGUUCGUUGACCUAACAAUUAGGUUAGAGAAGGGUCAAUCGAGAUCAAAACCCUCCAUAAACAAAAUUCCUCUUUUGGAUGCCCUAGAAGCCCAAUAUUGCAAAAAUGUCAUCUACUAACAUUUAAUCAUGCAAUCAAUAAGUUCAUCCACUUCUAGAGAUCCACUAGAGUCCAUCUAGCUAGGUUCUAAGAGAUCAAAGCAAACCCUAAGCUUCUUGCCAUGAGAGGGUUGAAGCUUACCUCUGCUAGCUAGACCAAAGAUAAGAAGAAGAGGUGAGGAAGAUAGUAGCUCUCCUCUUGAUCUUCUUCUUCUCCUUCUCCUCCUUCUUCUUCUUCUUCUUCUCCUUCUUUCCUUCCUAGAGAGAGAAAGAGAGAUGUGUGGGUGUGAGUGUUGGAAGGAAAUGAGAGAAAGAGAGAGGGAAAAUGCCCACUUAACCCCUCUCAUGCAACAAUAGCACUAAGCCCCCUCCACUUUGCUUCCUGUGCACUGCCUAAACUAGGCAGAUUUCGUGUGCGGGGACCGGUCCCUCUACGAGAGGACCAGUCCCCGAGAGCUGCCUCACACGCAGAGCCCUCGGGCUAGCCCUAUCACGCGCACGGAGAUCGGUCUCUCCCGCUAGGGACCGGUCCCCGAGAGUGGAACUCUCGGGACUUAGCCGAUUUUUCCUUCUUUUCGCUCGCUACGCGUACGGGGACCGGUCCUCGCCUGAGGGACUGGUCCUCGGGGGUCCAGUCCCCUGCCAAGAGACCGGUCCCCGAGAGGACAAUUCUGCGCAGAGCCCUCUGCUCUGCCUUGCACGCGUACGGGGACCGAUCUCUCCCGCCAGGGACCUGUCCCCGAGAGCAGAAUUCUGGCAGACAGUAGUCUGCCGACCUCUACGCGUACGGGGACCGGUUUCUCCCACCAGGGACCGGUCCCCGAGAGGACAAAAUCUACAGUUUGGCAAAUUUGCUCCAGCUUGCUCUCGUGACCUCUCCUCAAUGCACUUUUUUGCAUUUUUAACAUCAUCGACCUUUCCGAAGUGCAUCAACCCCUCACAUGGUCGAUUCUAAACGAAGUCCAACUCUCGCAUUUCGAGAAUUCACUUCCUUACAUCCUCCCCUCCUUAAAAGGAGUUUCGCCCUCGAAACUACUCAACUUAACCAAAAACAUACCUCAACUCAAUUCUUCGAAGAGAUGAGGAUGGUGCACUCUCAUCACGUCCUCAAGUUCCUAAGUGACUUCACGAUCAUUGUGACUAGUCCACCGAACCUUGACGCAGGGGAUUUCGCGAUUUCUCAAUUUCCGCACUUCUCGAGCAAUAAUCAUCAUCGGAAACUCCUCAUAGCUCAUAUCUUCUUGCAAUUCCGGUGGUUCAUAUGACAACACAUGCUCGGGAUCGUGGAUGUACUUGCGCAGGUUGGAAACGUGAAAUACGUUAUGCACAUCCGCGAACUUCGGCGGUAAGGCAAGCCGAUAAGCUACCACUCCAAUGCGCUUUAACACUUCAUACAAUCCAAUAUAACGAGGAUUUAGUUUUCCUCGAACUCCGAACCGUUACACACCCCUCAUGGGUGAAACCUUCAAGAAGACACGGUCACCCACCACGAAUUCUAAAUCUCGACGGCGCUUAUUUGCAUAACUCUUUUGUCUUGAUUGCGCCGUAAGCAAUCUUUGGUGAGCAAAGCGGAUUUUCUCUUCCGCUUCUCGCAGCACGUCGGGACCCAAUGCCGAACGUUCACCUACAUCACCCCAGUGUAUAGGAGAUCAACACCUUCGCCCGUAAAGAGCCUCAAACGGUGCCAUCUUUAUACUUGCUUGAUAACUGUUGUUGUAGGCGAACUCAGCCAUCGGUAAGUGGUUUGCCCAACCACCCUUAUAAUCAAUGACACACGCCCGCAGCAUAUCCUCCAAGAUCUGAAUGGUUCUCUCCGAUUGCCCAUCAGUUUGAGGAUGGAAUGCGGUGCUGAAAUCAAGGCGCGUGCCGAGCGCUUCCUGCAGGCUUUUCCAAAAGUGUGAGGUAAAUCGGGGGUCUCGAUCCGACACGAUCGACUUCGGAACCCCAUGCAAUCUCACCACUUCAUCGAGGUACACCUGCGCUAACUUGUCACCUGACCAUGUAGUAUGAAUCAGUAUAAAAUAUGUCGAUUUGGUCAAACGAUCCACAACUAUCCAGAUAGCAUCGUGGCCUUCCACCAACCGGGGUAAUUCGACCACGAAGUCCAUAGAUAUGUUCUCCCAUUUCCAAAUGGGGAUAGGUAGACUUUGAAGCUUUCCCGCUGGAAAUCGGCGCUCCAGUAAUAUACCGAAAAUUCGGAAAGUAAAAAUAUCGAACUUUGGUCAAAUUGACCAAAGUGCGAGGAUGGUACACUUCGGAAAGACCGAAGGUGUUAAAAUGAUCAAAAGUGAGUUGUGGAAGGUUUUCGAGAGCUAAAGAAUCAAAUUCUUGCAAACUGCAGAUGUUUCAGCUCUUCUCGGGAACCGGUCCUGGUGGGAAAGAGACGGCGGUCCCCCAACGCGUUGCAAGAAUGAGACAGCAAAAAAAUCGGCUAAGUCCUGGAAGAUCAGCUCUCCCGGGGGAACCGGUCUCUGGCCUGAGAGAACCCGGAUGCCCCAGAGACCGUCCAUCGGAGAGAGACCGGUCGCAUCGCGCGCAGCGGCUCCUGGCUGGCGCAGGGUGACUUCGGAACCGGGUCCCUGCUCGGCGGAGACCGGUCUCUCCUGCGAAAAACUGCGAGUUUCAGGCAGUGCACAGAGGUGAAAGUUGAAGGGUUUAUAAUGGCAUUUUUGCAACCGCAUUGAGACUAUGUUAGGGCUGAGGGCUUUUCCUCUCAUUUCCACCCCCACACCUUUCUCUCCCUCCUCCCUUCUAGAAGACAAAAGAAGUAAGAAGAAGAAAGAAGAAAAGAGGAGAAGAAGGAAGAAGUGAAGAAGAAGAGUCAAGGAGCAAAGGAGCUUCAUCUCUUCUCUCGCGUAAUCAAAAAAAGAAGCUUACGAAGGUAACUUGACUCCCAAGUAUAGAAAACCCUAGAAUUGAGUUUGAAAUGACCUAGAGAUGGUUUAUAAUGGAAUGUUUAAAAGAGUUUUGCCGNNNNNNNNNNNNNNNNNNNNNNNNNNNNNNNNNNNNNNNNNNNNNNNNNNNNNNNNNNNNNNNNNNNNNNNNNNNNNNNNNNNNNNNNNNNNNNNNNNNNCCUCUACUCAGUUAUUUCCAUGUUGAUAUCAUGCCUAGGAGUAGAGUUAACUUAUCUGUUCACUAUAUCUGUGAUUUGGUUGGGCGUAGAGUUAACUUAUCUGUUCACUAUAUCUGCAUUCCUCUACUCAGUUAUUUCCAUGUUGAUAUCAUGCUUAGGAGUAGAGUUGACUUAUCUGUUCACUAUAUCUAUGAUUUGGUUGGGCGGUUCCCCUAUUUUGAUAUCUGUGACCUAUUCGGUCGAGUUGCUACAGUUCUAUCUAUGUCUGUGAUUUGGUUGGGCGGUUCCCCAUUUGAUAUCUAUAACCUAUUCGGUCGAGUUGCUACAGUUCUAUCUUGACAUACGUAGCCGAUAUUUUGCUGAUGGCCUAUACGGUCGGUGUGCCCUGAGGGGUUGGAUUGUCGGCUAGUUGCCGAUGGAAGAUCUUUGAGCAUACUACAUUGAUCGCCACUGCAGGUACGCAUUUCAAGAACACCAGCGGUCUGAUCCACCGCAAGAGGGUGUUCUUUUCCGGAAAAGUGGUUGGACUGCCAACCCGUGAGCCCAUGGGCUUUAUUGCGAGGGUAUAUGCUUCUGACCCAGGGGCUUUAUUGCGAGGGUCAGGUACAUGUUUCUGACCCAGGGGCUUCAUUGCGAGGGUUAGGAACAGAUUGAGCAGUGUGGCAUGGGCCUGAGGUCCUCGGACCAAUAGGGCAUCGAGAUUGGGUAUUUUUGAGGUUGUCGUCAGUUGACGCAUGCAUACAGUAGCUGUAGUGUUUAUUUCCAGUACAUCCUUAUCUGUUUAAUUGUAGCUACUGUUUUAUUUAACUGCAUCUAUACUUGUCAGCUCCUUACAUAUCUCUUUCGUUUACUAUUGUUCCUACUGUAUUUUCACUGACCCGUGCUGUUGUUUAGCUCUUCCUGAUCUGGUGAGUACUCCUCGCCUUCAUCGGCUUGCGGUACCCACUGGGAGGGGAGACAUGUUUACAUGUUCUCACCUCCCCCCCAUUUUUUUCAAAGUAUCGCAGCGAUUGGGUAUUGAACAACUGAGCACGUACUUAGCGAAUCUUAGAUCUUCCGACCCAGUAUUUUACGAUAGUUAUUAUCCUAGUAUUUCUUUGAUUAUAUACUUCGUUAUUUAUUGUUCAGUAUCUUAUUUCCCAUUUGAACAAUUGGACUUUUGAUUUUAAAAUAAAAUGUUUUCUACCCCUCGUACUUUUAAAAAAUAAAAGUUUCUGUUAAAACACAGUUUUCCAACAGAUUUGGAUUUCUGUAAAGCUGAAUGUAAAAUUGUGAUCGUGAAAUUGUAAUUUAUAAUUAUGAGUGAUAAUUACAUUUAUUCAUCUGGUAUUUGUUCUAUCAUGGUUGUACUCUGCUAUUCUGAAUCGACGCUGUCAAAUACAGGAGAAUGUGCUCCUUGAACAUGGAUCCCGUAUUUGUGGCGGAUCUGUCAUACUCGUCACUGGUCUUUCAAAAUAAAAAAUAUUCAGCACUCUUUCUGCUUUGUUUAAACUAAAACGGGACCCCGCGUUAAACAUGUACACUACUAUAUUGAUUCUUAUAUUUAUUUUUCUCAAUUUAUACUUCAUGGAAGCUUUUUAGAAUUAGGACAAAAAGAUUCAAGACGUAACAACAAAAAAAUUAAUACUAUUUGAAUACCAACUAUGUGCUCAUAAUUAUAAAUAUAUUUUUAAUGAUUUUACUAUAUUUUUUCAUAUAACGCUAUUAAUUAUAAAUUAAUACUAGAUUGGACAUUAUACUUCAAAUACAAAUUAUUAUGUAUUAUAAUCUGAUAACUAUUAUAAUACGACACUGCAUAGUCUACCAUCUUCAAUUAACGACACUUUACGUUCUUACUUUUCUUACUAAUUAUAAAUAUAAUAUAAAAUUACUUAUACAUUUAGUAUAAUUCUUUUAAUUUGUAUUUUGGUCAUUAUUAGUAUUUUUCUGUAAACUUAUAGCUAACAAAAAUGGGUUGCACACUGUGAGGAUUCUGCUGAAAACUUCAUAACUUAUACCAUAGGAUGAAGCCUGUCAAAUUAUGAUCAAUGGCAGAUACAAAUUCAUGGUAUCUCAUUUAUUCAAACUUUGGAUAUUAUUUAUAUUCUUACUAAUUAUACUAAUUAUUGUAUAUCUAUGGGCAACAUAGCUUCACGUAGUAUAUCAAACUCUCUUUAUGCAAUCAAGAUGAUGAUCAAUACUGAUAUAUCAGAAAUAUUGGAGUUCAAAAAUAAGUAAGUUAACCAAUAACCUUAUUAUUUUUUUUAUAUAUAUUGUUCACUUACAUUAAAAUAUAAAAUUUAGGAUUGUAAGCGGAGAACUAAGUCAAUCUAUGGUGCUUAGUGAAAUUUCAACUCAAUCCACUGAACAUAUAUCAUCUUUUCAGCCUUGUGUAUGUGUCACUCUAGCAACUAUUCUAAGUGUUGAGACUGAGCGUGGCUGAUACUACAAUUCUUGCAAAAAAGUGUAGCAAAAAGGUGAUUCCUGAUGGAACUGAAUUCUAUUGUGAAUUUUGUGAUAGAAUGGUAGUGUUGGACUAAGGUGAGAAUUUUUACUUCUGCACUUGACGUGUAUGAUUUAAUGUGAUGUUUUUCUAACAACAAUCUACAAUAUGCAUGCUAUGACAAUAAACAAGAGUCAAAGUCAAUCGUUAUCACAUGUUGGCUUAUAUCUAUCUAGACCGAUAUUCAGUCGUGGUCAGUUAUAUGUUGCAAUAUCUAGAGUUCGAAGCAAGGACGGAUUGAAUAUUCUAAUUUGUGAUAAAGAUGGUUUGUUAUCCAAAACCACAAGCAAUAUGGUUUUUAAAGAAAUGUUUCAGAACUUAAAAUAGGUAAGCGAUUUAUUUUUCUUCAUGUUAUUUCAAAAUUUACUAUUUUUCAACAAUUCAACUCUGUCAUUUUAUUUUUUAAAUAAAUUUAGAUAUUUUUCUGAAAAAAUUAACUAAUAUUAUGAUAUUUAUCAUUUCACUUAUCUAACAAUUUAUCUAUAUUGUUAUUGGAGCAGAUACUUGCCAUCUGCAUGCAACAAAGUUUUUUUUCUUUAUAUUUUGUUGAAGACCAACAUCUAUAUAUUUUUGAAUAUUAAAAGUUUGUAUGUCUCUCAUAUACGUAUGCUUAUUCUAAUUUGUUUCAAAUAUGAAAGUUUAGUUGAUCUUAUUAUAUGCUUAAAUAUUAAUGUCAUUUGUAAUUUUUCAUAUCAAUUUUAAUUAUCAUUUUGUUUGCACAUCAAUAUGUAAACGUAAAUUGUUUUGUAUACCAAUUCAUAGAUAAUAGAGCAGGGUUGAAUUUUGCUUUUUACUUGAGUAUUUACUUUGGUCUAUAAUUUUGUUCUCUACCUUUUGUACUUUAAUAUGUACUAUAAUUAAGAUUGAUAGUAUAUUUCUUUAUUUGUUAAAAAAAUAUAAUAUUAAUUAGAAUAUUUUNGUGGAUAGAGCCCGAUAGUCGCAACGGGGCAGGGACGGGUGUAUUCACAGUCCCGGGGACGGGUAUGCUUACAGUCCCGAUUGGAUUGGGUCAGAUUGGACAUUUUCUACAGUUGAUUAGUGUAGAGCAUGAUAGUGUAGUGUUUGAUAGCGGUAGACUUUAUUCCUGCAUUUACUACUAUUCUUGCUCCCUUCUGUAGACUUAGUGGGUGGACCGAUAUUGUUUUGGGCGGUACCCACUGAGGACUACUUGUUUUUACAGUAGUUCUCACGCCCUGUUGUUACUUCAUCUUUUGCAGAGCCAUCGUCUUUGGCUGCUACUAUUGCUGAUCAGGAUCGAGGCAAGGGCGUCGCGAGUUAGAGCCCUACCCGACGAGCCGAGCUAGAGGUGCUCUACUGCAGGUAGUAGUUUUGUUGGAGUUCUUGUACUUACCUACCUUUAACUCGCCAGUGCGAGUAGCUUUUGUGUAUCUUGGAUUUUGGGGUAUGUAUAUGGAACUCAGUUGGUUUUCUCCGUUUCUCCUAGCAGCUCUAUACUACUGUUUGUAGUAUUGUUUGAUUUACAGAUUCAGCUAUCGCUUCGUAUACAGGGAAAAUUCUUUUGUAUACGGCGGAUUUGUCGGCGCGCUCGGGGAACGAGUAAUCCGGGACGUGACAUAGAGUCAAUCCAUGACUCCACCAUUGACGGUUCCACCUUCUCCCCCUCAAAGGUUGGUGGCUUAAACUUCAUGAACUUGAUAAGAGCCAUCAACGCAUGCUCCCGCUCCACUUCAUCGGCUGUUGUGUCGGGUGUCCCCUAACCCGAAGUCGUUGGAGGUACACUUGUCGGCGGGGGACAUGCCGUCACCGGAACCGCCGCUACGCCCUCACCCUUAGCCGCUCCAAGCGCGCGUGCCAAGGGUGCGGGUGGAUCACGGCUUUCAGUCACUGUCGCGGCCGCCGCCGCCGCCUGCCGCUCCACGAACCCUUAGAGCUGCUCAAACCGAGUCUCCUGGCGCUGCAUCGCGCCCACCAUCGUAGCGCUCGAGAAGAGACGAUCACGCGCGGUCGAGAUCCAUAAGGCUCCUCGUAGGUAUGAACCUGUCACCUUGAACAAGAAUUCAAGGUUUGAGAUAGCGAGGGAGAGAGAGAGAGAAAGAGAGAGAGAGAUAGAGGGGGAGUUGCUCACCAUGAGCCUCCAAAUCCGAUCGAUCGGAGAAUGGAAAAGAGAGAGAGAGAGAGAGAGCCACCAAAUCCGAUCGAUCGAAAAAUGGAAGAGAGAGAGAGAGAGAGAGAGCCUCCAAAUCCGAUCGAUCGAAAAAUGGAAGAGAGAGNNNNNNNNNNNNNNNNNNNNNNNNNNNNNNNNNNNNNNNNNNNNNNNNNNNNNNNNNNNNNNNNNNNNNNNNNNNNNNNNNNNNNNNNNNNNNNNNNNNNNNNNNNNNNNNNNNNNNNNNNNNNNNNNNNNNNNNNNNNNNNNNNNNNNNNNNNNNNNNNNNNNNNNNNNNNNNNNNNNNNNNNNNNNNNNNNNNNNNNNNNNNNNNNNNNNNNNNNNNNNNNNNNNNNNNNNNNNNNNNNNNNNNNNNNNNNNNNNNNNNNNNNNNNNNNNNNNNNNNNNNNNNNNNNNNNNNNNNNNNNNNNNNNNNNNNNNNNNNNNNNNNNNNNNNNNNNNNNNNNNNNNNNNNNNNNNNNNNNNNNNNNNNNNNNNNNNNNNNNNNNNNNNNNNNNNNNNNNNNNNNNNNNNNNNNNNNNNNNNNNNNNNNNNNNNNNNNNNNNNNNNNNNNNNNNNNNNNNNNNNNNNNNNNNNNNNNNNNNNNNNNNNNNNNNNNNNNNNNNNNNNNNNNNNNNNNNNNNNNNNNNNNNNNNNNNNNNNNNNNNNNNNNNNNNNNNNNNNNNNNNNNNNNNNNNNNNNNNNNNNNNNNNNNNNNNNNNNNNNNNNNNNNNNNNNNNNNNNNNNNNNNNNNNNNNNNNNNNNNNNNNNNNNNNNNNNNNNNNNNNNNNNNNNNNNNNNNNNNNNNNNNNNNNNNNNNNNNNNNNNNNNNNNNNNNNNNNNNNNNNNNNNNNNNNNNNNNNNNNNNNNNNNNNNNNNNNNNNNNNNNNNNNNNNNNNNNNNNNNNNNNNNNNNNNNNNNNNNNNNNNNNNNNNNNNNNNNNNNNNNNNNNNNNNNNNNNNNNNNNNNNNNNNNNNNNNNNNNNNNNNNNNNNNNNNNNNNNNNNNNNNNNNNNNNNNNNNNNNNNNNNNNNNNNNNNNNNNNNNNNNNNNNNNNNNNNNNNNNNNNNNNNNNNNNNNNNNNNNNNNNNNNNNNNNNNNNNNNNNNNNNNNNNNNNNNNNNNNNNNNNNNNNNNNNNNNNNNNNNNNNNNNNNNNNNNNNNNNNNNNNNNNNNNNNNNNNNNNNNNNNNNNNNNNNNNNNNNNNNNNNNNNNNNNNNNNNNNNNNNNNNNNNNNNNNNNNNNNNNNNNNNNNNNNNNNNNNNNNNNNNNNNNNNNNNNNNNNNNNNNNNNNNNNNNNNNNNNNNNNNNNNNNNNNNNNNNNNNNNNNNNNNNNNNNNNNNNNNNNNNNNNNNNNNNNNNNNNNNNNNNNNNNNNNNNNNNNNNNNNNNNNNNNNNNNNNNNNNNNNNNNNNNNNNNNNNNNNNNNNNNNNNNNNNNNNNNNNNNNNNNNNNNNNNNNNNNNNNNNNNNNNNNNNNNNNNNNNNNNNNNNNNNNNNNNNNNNNNNNNNNNNNNNNNNNNNNNNNNNNNNNNNNNNNNNNNNNNNNNNNNNNNNNNNNNNNNNNNNNNNNNNNNNNNNNNNNNNNNNNNNNNNNNNNNNNNNNNNNNNNNNNNNNNNNNNNNNNNNNNNNNNNNNNNNNNNNNNNNNNNNNNNNNNNNNNNNNNNNNNNNNNNNNNNNNNNNNNNNNNNNNNNNNNNNNNNNNNNNNNNNNNNNNNNNNNNNNNNNNNNNNNNNNNNNNNNNNNNNNNNNNNNNNNNNNNNNNNNNNNNNNNNNNNNNNNNNNNNNNNNNNNNNNNNNNNNNNNNNNNNNNNNNNNNNNNNNNNNNNNNNNNNNNNNNNNNNNNNNNNNNNNNNNNNNNNNNNNNNNNNNNNNNNNNNNNNNNNNNNNNNNNNNNNNNNNNNNNNNNNNNNNNNNNNNNNNNNNNNNNNNNNNNNNNNNNNNNNNNNNNNNNNNNNNNNNNNNNNNNNNNNNNNNNNNNNNNNNNNNNNNNNNNNNNNNNNNNNNNNNNNNNNNNNNNNNNNNNNNNNNNNNNNNNNNNNNNNNNNNNNNNNNNNNNNNNNNNNNNNNNNNNNNNNNNNNNNNNNNNNNNNNNNNNNNNNNNNNNNNNNNNNNNNNNNNNNNNNNNNNNNNNNNNNNNNNNNNNNNNNNNNNNNNNNNNNNNNNNNNNNNNNNNNNNNNNNNNNNNNNNNNNNNNNNNNNNNNNNNNNNNNNNNNNNNNNNNNNNNNNNNNNNNNNNNNNNNNNNNNNNNNNNNNNNNNNNNNNNNNNNNNNNNNNNNNNNNNNNNNNNNNNNNNNNNNNNNNNNNNNNNNNNNNNNNNNNNNNNNNNNNNNNNNNNNNNNNNNNNNNNNNNNNNNNNNNNNNNNNNNNNNNNNNNNNNNNNNNNNNNNNNNNNNNNNNNNNNNNNNNNNNNNNNNNNNNNNNNNNNNNNNNNNNNNNNNNNNNNNNNNNNNNNNNNNNNNNNNNNNNNNNNNNNNNNNNNNNNNNNNNNNNNNNNNNNNNNNNNNNNNNNNNNNNNNNNNNNNNNNNNNNNNNNNNNNNNNNNNNNNNNNNNNNNNNNNNNNNNNNNNNNNNNNNNNNNNNNNNNNNNNNNNNNNNNNNNNNNNNNNNNNNNNNNNNNNNNNNNNNNNNNNNNNNNNNNNNNNNNNNNNNNNNNNNNNNNNNNNNNNNNNNNNNNNNNNNNNNNNNNNNNNNNNNNNNNNNNNNNNNNNNNNNNNNNNNNNNNNNNNNNNNNNNNNNNNNNNNNNNNNNNNNNNNNNNNNNNNNNNNNNNNNNNNNNNNNNNNNNNNNNNNNNNNNNNNNNNNNNNNNNNNNNNNNNNNNNNNNNNNNNNNNNNNNNNNNNNNNNNNNNNNNNNNNNNNNNNNNNNNNNNNNNNNNNNNNNNNNNNNNNNNNNNNNNNNNNNNNNNNNNNNNNNNNNNNNNNNNNNNNNNNNNNNNNNNNNNNNNNNNNNNNNNNNNNNNNNNNNNNNNNNNNNNNNNNNNNNNNNNNNNNNNNNNNNNNNNNNNNNNNNNNNNNNNNNNNNNNNNNNNNNNNNNNNNNNNNNNNNNNNNNNNNNNNNNNNNNNNNNNNNNNNNNNNNNNNNNNNNNNNNNNNNNNNNNNNNNNNNNNNNNNNNNNNNNNNNNNNNNNNNNNNNNNNNNNNNNNNNNNNNNNNNNNNNNNNNNNNNNNNNNNNNNNNNNNNNNNNNNNNNNNNNNNNNNNNNNNNNNNNNNNNNNNNNNNNNNNNNNNNNNNNNNNNNNNNNNNNNNNNNNNNNNNNNNNNNNNNNNNNNNNNNNNNNNNNNNNNNNNNNNNNNNNNNNNNNNNNNNNNNNNNNNNNNNNNNNNNNNNNNNNNNNNNNNNNNNNNNNNNNNNNNNNNNNNNNNNNNNNNNNNNNNNNNNNNNNNNNNNNNNNNNNNNNNNNNNNNNNNNNNNNNNNNNNNNNNNNNNNNNNNNNNNNNNNNNNNNNNNNNNNNNNNNNNNNNNNNNNNNNNNNNNNNNNNNNNNNNNNNNNNNNNNNNNNNNNNNNNNNNNNNNNNNNNNNNNNNNNNNNNNNNNNNNNNNNNNNNNNNNNNNNNNNNNNNNNNNNNNNNNNNNNNNNNNNNNNNNNNNNNNNNNNNNNNNNNNNNNNNNNNNNNNNNNNNNNNNNNNNNNNNNNNNNNNNNNNNNNNNNNNNNNNNNNNNNNNNNNNNNNNNNNNNNNNNNNNNNNNNNNNNNNNNNNNNNNNNNNNNNNNNNNNNNNNNNNNNNNNNNNNNNNNNNNNNNNNNNNNNNNNNNNNNNNNNNNNNNNNNNNNNNNNNNNNNNNNNNNNNNNNNNNNNNNNNNNNNNNNNNNNNNNNNNNNNNNNNNNNNNNNNNNNNNNNNNNNNNNNNNNNNNNNNNCCGCCGGCGAGCUCCUCCGGCCGCCGGAAAUCCCUGCAUCACCUCUCUUUCUCUCCCUUUUGGCCAACCCCUUCACCGCAUUGUGGUUUGCGGACCCUGGUAGCCACCUAGCUCGAGCACCGUUGUCCCCUGGCCGUGGCCCAGCCUUCGGCGACUCCCCUCGUCGCCGCCGUCGUCCCUGCGCACCGCCGCCGCCGCCCAGACAGGCUGCGGCCAGAUCUUGGCAGAUCUGGCCCAGGAGCUUUAGCUCCCUGCUAGCACUGCCGCCGCCACCUUGGGACGGCCGAGACACCCUUCCUCGGAGCCCCGGCGACCUCCGCCGCCGGCCCCACCGUCAGCGCACGCCGCCGGAGCCGCCCCAGCUCUCUGCGGCCACCUGCAUGCACCCAGGCCGAGCUCGGGUCACCCUUGCAUCUGCGUGCCGCCACCGCUCCCUAUCGGCCGCGCCGCCCUCUGGCGACCUCCGGCGACCUCGCGCGCGCCUCCCCGCCGUCCCCGCACGCCGCCGGCCGCCGCCCGAGCUCUCUGCGGCCGUCCCGAGCGCGUGCGGGCGCUGCUUGGACCAGUACGGCCUUCGAGGGCCGCCGCAGCCCACCGAGGGGUGCACCACCUUCCCCUCGGUCUCCGGCACCGGAUCCUUGCCGCCCCGACCCCCUCCGGCCGCCGCCGCGCCGCCGGGAAGCUCGAACCCGAGAGGAACUUGGCGGCUUUGAGCUGCGCUGCCGCGCCACCGGCCACCUUCCGCCGCCGGCCAGCACCUUCCCCGGACCUCCCCGACCUGCUGCUCCCAUCACUGGCCGGAGCGCCCGCCACCCGACCGCCGGCGACGAGCCCUAGCUCCCACUGGUCCGGUAAGCACUGUUUACAUUGACAUCACUGUAGUUUAGAGUUCCUGUCACCUUUCUGGUGAUCCGAGGAUACUUUGACACUCCGGGAAGUGAGCACGAUGAUCUCAGAUUCGUGCUGAACAUCGUACUCACCUCCGACAGGGUCAACGAUGCCCUAGUUAGCGAAUUAGAGGCGAUCUUAGCGCUGUGCGCGCAAUUUCACUAAUUUUGCGUGGCCCGUGCGCGUGCCACAGUGGCCGGCAGUGCUCCGAAAGGUGAGCACGGCCUCCGGCACGCCGAGACCAGUCAGCGGGAGUCUCGUCUUGGCUGUUUGACUUCUGGUUUGCGUUGUCGGACCAUAAAAGCGCCGAAAUCGCAUGAAAUAAUGCGAUUUCAGGUAUUCAGGAGGGCUUUUAUGCAUUUUGGUUCGUCGUAGCUGUUGUUGGCAGCAAGUGUUGGUUGAGGAUAACCUCUAGACUGAUUGUCCAAGGCCCCAGACCCUUACGAAGAUCGAAAAUGCUUCUCCGGUGCGUUUUUCGGCGAAAUCCGCCGACGGAACGCGGGUUCGGUUCGGAAUUAUUCCGACGGUGCUUCGUGAGCUUUUGCGUAGUCGCUGAGCCUUGUUGGCUGGUCACUUGCGUCAUUUCGAGAGUUCGGAAAUGACGGGUGAGCGACGGUGGGUUCCGGUGUCGAAUUAGACACUUCCGGGAACCUGAAUCGAAACGAUUAUCGGACGAUAAUUGUUUCGACACGAGGAGUUGUGUUCGCUGCCAUGAUGCAUGAUUAUUUAUGUUUAGUGGCAGCUAGUGACUCGUAGCUCGAGUCGGUAUGUUCCGGGACAGUUCGUGGCUCCCGGCGGAGUCCCCGUGCGAUUACGGGACUUCCGGCGUAUUACGGCGAUCGGUUUGGGAAACCGAUCUCCAUGGGUUUGCUUGUAGGUUGUGGAUCUAGUGAUUAUUAGCUGUGGGUUAGACACUAACCCGGUGGACCUUCCUUAGGUCCGGUUGACGUCCUUUUGCAGUCAGGAGACAGGCGCAGCAUUUAUACAGGUGGGUACUUCGAUCCGACGUCGGUACAGUAGUGCACGCUCGGUGAUGGUUUCCUACCUCUGUUCUCUCGUUAUUAUCUGGCAUUUAUAUAUAUAUCUUGAUAUAUAGUAUUGAGCUUGCAUCCCCGUUAUUUCUAUUAUACUCUACUCAUAUGUUUCUAUGCUUAGUAUCAUGUGUAGAAGUAGAGUAGUUUAUCCAUUGUGAUCCCGGUGACCUGAUUGGUCGGUUCUCGUACUUUGUUUCGGUGACCUGAUUGGUCGGUUCUCGUACCUCGUUCGGUGACCUGAUUGGUCGGUUCUCGUACUUAUAUCGGUGACCUGGUUGGUCGGUUGUUGCAUUAUGUAUUGGGUUGGUCUGUUUCUUGACUUCUGUCGUUCGAUGACCUUUGAGGUCGGUGUACCCUGAGGGGUAGGAUUGUCGGCUGGCGCUGACGGUAGUUCUGGACUAUAUCGAAUACACUCCUGUGACCUAUCGGUCGGUUCUUGCGUUCGUACUUUUAGUUGACAUCGAGCAGUAUCUACAUACUAUCUUUAUUUACUCUGCCUGGUUGUUCUAUGUGUAGUAUCCUGUAUAGGGGUAGAGUAGAUGGCAUUCGUAUAUACUAUACUUGUGACCUGGUUGGUCGGUUCUCCUAUUUGCAUCGGUGACCUGUUUGGUCGUUCGUUACUUUCCGUACAUUGACCUAUCUCGGUCGGUUCACGUUGUUACUUGAUGACCUACACGGUCGGUAUGCCCAGAGGGGCAGUGAUUGUCGGCUGAUUGCCGACGGUUGGCUAUUGAUCAUAUCCGCAUUGAUCGCCACAGCUCGAGUGCAUUUCACGUACACCAGCGGGUUGAUCCCCCGCAGGAGGGUGUUCUUUUCCGGAAAAGUGGUCGUACAUCCGACCCGUGAGCCCAGCGGUGUUCUCUUUGUGCUAGGGUUACAUGCCAGGUGUGAGCAGGUAGUGGCUUUUGCCUGAGGUCCUGAGACCGACACGGCGGUUUAGAUUGGGUACUUUUGGACUUCUCGUCCGGUUGACGCAUAUAGCUAUAGUAGCGGUUGUUGCAUAUAUACUUCUAGUUCUUUCUUUACAGUUGUCUUGCUACUAUAGUUUUGAUAUCCUUGUAUGCUUGCAGUUGUACAUUACAGUAGCGGUAGUUGUGCUUUCAUAUAUAUAUCUCAUUCGUUCAUUAUCGUUGCUACUGUAUUUUACUUACCCAUACUGUUGUUUAUCUCUUCCUGAUCCGGUGAGUACUCCUCGCCUUCCUCGGCUUGCGGUACCCACUGGGAGGGAGACAUGUUUACAUGUUCUCACCUCCCCCACUAUUUUUCAGGUAUUACAGGCGUUGAGUUUUGGGACGAGACGUGAGGUACGUUCGUAGCGGUCGAUAGAGCUUCUGACACAGGUUAUCGGUUUAGUUUUAUCCCUACUAUUCUGUUGUUAUAGCUUAGUCAGUUUAUAUGGUUCAGUAUUUUUAUUACAUUGGAAUAUGUGGACUUUCAUGAAUGUAAUAAAAGGAUUUCUGGAUUUGGUAAAAUAAAAGGUUUUCUACCCCUCGUGGUAGCUUUUAUAAAAGAUAAAGGUUUUCGCGUAUGGAACAGUUUUCAAAAGAUUUUUCGUGGACUUUUGUUUAAACAUCGAAUGUAAAACUAUGGUGUGAAUGGUGAAUGUAUGAAGGUAUAGCUAUCUGUUUAUUCAUUUAGUUGUGGUUGUAUACUGUUUGUACUUUUGUACUUGUGCGACGCCGUGCAAAUACAGGGGAGACUCUAUCCGUGUGAACAGUGGAUUCCCUGUAUUUGUGGCGGAUCUGGCAUACUCUGGGGUCAGGUUUUCAAAAAAAAAAUUUAAACGCUUUUUCGCUGUGUUUCAAUCAAAAAGGGGACCCCGGGGCGUGACAAUAUUAUUAUAUUAUCCGUGCAUCGCACGAGUCAAAUACUAGUUAUUUUUCAAAAUAAAAUCACUAUAAAUCGGACCAUGAGAUUCAAGAAGGGAGUUUUUUUGGAACUUUUUUUUAAAAAAAAAAGUGAGAAGGUUGAAAAAAAAAGAAAAAGAAAGUAAAAAAAAAAAGAGCCUUAGGAGGAGGUGGUCCCGCACCUCCCUCUCUCUGGAUCGGACAGAGAAAGAGAGGCGUGAGUCCCUCCCUUUCUCAGACCAGCAAAAAAAUAAAAAAAAAAGCAAAAAAAAAAGAAAAAAAAGAGUGAAGGCACAACGACAACGACGGUGGCUGCGACGACUUCGACGACGACAACGGCGCACGAGGAGGCUGCUUGGCCUCUUCUUUCUUCUUCUUUUGCUCCAACGACGACAAAUUGGUGUAUACGUGCAAACGGUAUAGUAGUGAUCCUUUUAUUGGUUUGAUCAACACAACCGUCUUCGCGAUAGAUCAACCCGAUCAAAUCCGACAUUGGAUCGGUACUAUAUUGUGCGCGCGUAUUCACUAAGCAUCCGUCUCUCAAACAUUGAUGAAAGAUCUAUAUGAACGUGCGAAUGACGUGACGGCGAACCUCCAACCGAUUUGAUUGUGUGGCAGUCUUCGUGUUAGGCUCGACACGCUCAAAUCGCUACAAAAAAAUAAUAAUGAUAAUAAAAUAAAAUAAAUAUUUAUCUUGGAUCGCCGUCUUCGUGGUAGGCUAGAUCCAAUUUGGCUCUUCGUGAUAGGCUUGACCUGAAUUCGGUUCAUUUGCCACGGGUCACCGUCAUCGUGAUAGGCGUGACCCGGGUCCAGUUCGAUUAAACUGGGUCGCCAUCCUCGUGAUAGGCUUGACCCGGGUCCGGUUUAAUAAAUUGGGUAGCCGUCUUCGUGAUAGGCUUGACCCGAGUUCGGUUUAUUAAACCGGGUCGCCGUCUUCGUGAUAGGCUUAACUCAGAUUUGGUUCAGUAAACGGGGUCGCCAUCUUCGUGAUAGGUUUUACCCAGAUUUGGUUCAGUAACUGGGUCACCGUCUUAGUGAUAGGCUUGACCCAGGUCUGAUUUAUUAAGUCGGGUCGCUGUCUUCGUAAUAGGCUUGACCAGGGUCCGGUUCAAUAAGUCGGGACGCCGUCUUCAUGAUAGGCUUGACCCGAGUCCGGUUCAUUAAGCUGGGUCGCCGUCUUCAUGAUAGGCUUGACCCAGGUCCGGUUCAUUAAGUCGAGUCGAUGUUUUCGUGAUAGGCUUGACCUCAAUUUGGUUCAGUAAACCGGGUCACCGUCUUCGUGAUAGGCUUGACCCGGGUCCGGUUUAUUAAGCCGGGUUGCCAUCUCAUGAUAGGCUUGACCCGGGUUCAGUUCAUUAAACCGGGUCGUCGUCUUUGCGAUAGGCUUGACUCAUGUUCGAUUCAGUUAAACCGAAUCGAUUGCAUAAAUAUUUGGUUUGAACUGAACCCAAUAUGAUUGUGAGUUCAAUUUGAAUUUAAUUAAAAAAAGGACGAGCUGAACCUAAGUCAAACUGGCUUGGAUAUAAACUCAAAUUCAACCAACCCAAGUUAAUGUCGGUGCACGCCAGUGAUGGAUCAAAAGUAAGUUAAAGCCCAAGUUGGUGAAUCAUAUAUGACAUUGAGCCAAACUCACAACAGUGAACCGAAUCCAAUUGGGUUGAACUGAACCUAAGGAGGUGAACCGAACCUAAAACGAUGAACCAAAUCGACUAAUAAGCCAGUUCAAUUCAAAUCAUACUAAGAUUCAAGAGGUUUGAAUCAAACCAAAUAAUGAACCAGUUCGAGCCGAUUCGAACUACAAGCUGGCUCAACUUGAACUAAACCACAUGAGAUUUAAGCUAAGCCGAUCGAACUCACAACUUGUGUGACUCAAAUAGAACCAUAAAGGAUUCGACUUGAACCUAAGUGGAUCCGAUCUGAACUGAACCAUAAAGAAUUCGACUUGAACUUAAGUGGAUCCGAUCUGAACCAAACCAUAAAGGAUUCGACUUGAACUUAAGUGAAUUCGAUCUAAACCAAACUGUAAGGACUGAGAUUUUGACAGUGCAUCUAAACUUUCUGUUGACGAUGUUUAUGUGUAUAAUUUAAUUACAUAAGCACUCGUCAAGUUUCAGGAGAAAAUGAGCUAGAAUGAAGAAGUUACGCGAUUAUUAGUUUUCACUUAAAGUGAAUAGUAACCCGUUUUUUUCGGUGAAGCCACGGAGUAGAGUUGGCUUUCGGCGCAUAUCGAACUCCGUUCAUAGUGAUCCAAUAGCUCGUUUCGACCGGUUCAGUUAUUCUGGAACCAAUGGCACUGACGGAUUUUAGAUCUGACGCACGAUUUUCGAGAAAAAGAGAUUUUAUCGAAAAGAGGAUUUUCGCUCUUUGUUGUUCUUGCAUAAUGAGACUCCUCGUGCUCUGUGUAUGCGACCUAGAGUAAGGUGAGGAAUGUUACAUGUACCUACUAGUGGUAGGAGAUUCAAAUUUGAAUUUGAAUCUAGGAUUUAGCGGGAUUACACAUUGGUAUAUGUGUGUGGUUUUUGGAAAUUGGAGAGCGGGCGAGUUUCGUCGCGAAUCCGUGAUCGAUCGAUGUGAACCAAAAUUGUAUGUUUAUGGUCCCCGUCGUGCUGAACGCGAUUGCGCAAUCCGUUCGGAAUUCUGAUGAACGGAUUGCCGGAUAUCGCAUGAUGUUCAAAAAGGGGUCUAAAGUGACUAAUUGGAAUUCUCGCAAAAGUCCGCAUAUUUUAUGUACCGAAUCACACGAGAUCGAAUAUGGAGGUGCGAAUACGCGAUUGUUACCCACUAUGAAGGGCUGGGUAAGAAAUACCAAGCUUCGGUGGACGUUUGUGCAAAAUUGCACCUUGUAUACAAUGUGCAUCUAGGGUUUCCAUGCACGAAACCCUAGAUCUACUCGACCCAGCGCCCCAUCUGUGCCCUAGCCGCCAUCUGCAGGUCCAUGCCCUAGCAGUGCGUGCACCCCGGCCGUCGGCGAGCUUCCCCGACCGCCGGAAUUGCUUGGUCAACCUCUUUCCUCCACCUUGCCACCACCCCCUCGGCCUUCAACAUCAGAGAAUGUCCAAGACACCCUAGGAAGCCUUUCCCUCGGCCGAGACCCUUUCCCGGUGCAGUCCCCGCCGACCUCCGCCGUCCCUGCGCCCCGCCGGAGCUGCCCGAACUCCCUGCGGCCAGCAGCAGUCGCCCAGGUCGAGCCUGGGUGAUCCCUGCCACCGCGCGCCACCGUCGUUCCCCAUCGGUCGCGCCGCCCUCCGGUGACCUCCGGCGUGCCCCCGCGCGCCAUCGCCGCCGCUCCCGACGCCGCCGGCCGCCGCUCUCCCUCUCUGCGGCCGCCCAAACCUUGAACGGGCCGAGACCUGGCCUUCUCGACCAUCGCGCGUCGCCGCCACCCGCAGCAUGGCGCGCCGACCUUCCGCGACCUCCGGCGACGUGCCGCCGUCGCCCCGACAUUCCUUCGGCCGCCGCCAUGGUCGUCGCUACCUUUGGAGCCCGUGGUGAACCCGCGCGGGCUCGGUUUGGUCCAGCAUCGCCGCCGCCGUCUUCCGCCGCCGUCCGGCGUGAGCACCGGCUCCGCCUGGCCAGCCGCACUCAUGCGCCGCUGGCGCCCCCGCCCUCGGAGCUUCCUGUCGGCCGAACUAGGCAUGUGCCCUCCUCGGGUUUGGGUGACUAGGGCAUCAAUGCCUGCCGUCGCCACCGCCUCCCGACGCCGGCCGACGCAUCCCUUGGCCUCCCUGCAUCACCUGAACCCUCCUGCCGCCGGCUCUCCCGCCGUCCGGCCGCCGCCGGGCAGCCCUAGCUCUCCCCUGGCCGGUAAGCUUGAUUUCAACCUUUCUGCGCAUAGUCUCCUGUUUAGAUCACUGUUUCGGUGACCCGGGGCUGUUCCGAUACCCCCGGAGGUGAGCACAGUGAUUUUCAGUCAGUUCUGAUCACAAUGCUCACCUCACUUAGGGUCAGCGAGCUCCGGAUGAGUUAGUUACAUGUGUUUUAGUUUCAGUGCGUGCUGUUUCAUUGAACUUCAUGUCGCUCGUGCGCGUCCCACGGUGGCCGAAAUUGCUCCGAAAGGUGAGCAUGGCCUCCGGCACGUCGAAACCUGUCAGUGGGUAUCUUGGCUCGGCUGAUUGACCUCUGGUUUGCGUGGACGGACCAUAAAAGCGCCGAAAUCGCAUGAAAUAAUGCGAUUUCGGGUAAUCGGGAGGGCUUUUAUGUAUUUUGGGUUGUUGCGGCUGCUGUGGGCAGCAUGGAUGAGCUGUGGGUGACCUCUGGACUGAUUGUCCAAGGCCCCAAACCUUUGCGAAGAUCGAAAAUGCAUUUCCGGUGCGUUUGUUGGCAAAAUCCGCCGACGGAACACGGUUUUAGUUCAGAAUUCUUCCGACGGUGCCUCGUGAGCACUUGUUGAGUCGCUGAGCCUUGUUGGCUGGUCACUUGCGUCAUUUCAAGGGUUCAGAAAUGACGGGUGAGCGACGGUUGGUUCCGAUGUCGAAAUAGACACUUUCUGGAACCCGGAUCCGAACGAUUAUCUGACGAUAAUUGUUUGGAGGCAAGAUUUUGGGUUUGCUGCCAAGACAUCUUAUUUGAUGUGUUUUGUGGCAGCGGGUGACUCGUAGCAUGAGUCGGUGCGUUCCGGGACAUUUCAGUGGUCCCGACAGAGUCCCGGUACGAUUUUCGGGACUUCCAGCGAGUUACGGUAGUCGGUUUUGGGAAACUGAUCUCCGUGGGUUUGUUAGUGGGAUUAUGAUGUAGUAUUUCUUAGUUGUGGGUUCGACACUAACCCGGUGGACCUUCCUUAGGUCCGGUUGAUGUUCUUUCGCAGUCAGGAGACAGGCGCGACAUUCGUACAUAUAGGUACUUCGAUCCGAAGUCGGUACAGUGGUGCACUCUCGGUGAUAUCCUUGUAUCCCUGUUCUUCUGUUAUUACUAUUGCGUAGUAUAGCACAUUGAGCCUUGCACCCCUAUUGUUUACAUCGUACUCUACUCGCUAUUUGCAUGAUUAGUAUCCUGAGUAGGAGUAGAGUAGUUAUACCAUGUUUCCUUGUUGCUCUACUUAGCUAUUCUGCAUAUCCUGUAUCAUGUUUAGAGUAGAGCGGUUUCGUGAUUUCUAGUGAGAUCGGUGACCUAGUCGGUCGGUUCCUUGACUCCUGUCGUUCGAUGACCUAUGAGGUCGGUGUACCCUGAGGGGUAGGAUUGUCGGCUUGUGGCUGACGAUAGUUUCAGAUUAUAUUGAUACACUCUUGAGACCUAUUGGUCAAUUCUUGCAUUUAUAGUUUAGUUGACCCAUUGAGCAGUAUUUGCAUAUCUUUGAGAGGAUGUUGAGUUGUUCCAUCCUAGUUGACCUGAGUGGUCGGUUCUUAUACUUCCUUACAGUUGGAUGACCUUUUGGUCGGUUAGCCCUGAGAGGCGGUGAUUGUCGGCUGGUUGCCGACGGUUGGCUAUUGAUCAUAUCUGCAUUGAUCGCCACAGCUCGAGUGCAUUUCACGUACACCAGCGGGUUGAUCCCCCGCAGGAGGGUGUUCUUUUCCGGAAAAGUGGUCGUACAUCCGACCCGUGAGCCCAGCGGUGUUCUCUUUGUGCUAGGGUUACAUGCCAGGUGUGAGCAGGUAGUGGCUUUUGCCUGAGGUCCUUAGACCGACACGGCGGUUUAGAUUGGGUACUUUUGGACUUCUCGUCCGGUUGACGCAUAUAGCUAUAGUAGCGGUUAGUUGAUUAUAUACUUACAGUUCUUUCUUUACAGUUGUCUUGUACUAUAGUUUGAUAUCCUUGUAUGCUUGCAGUUGUACAUACAAGUUAGCGUAGUUGUGCUUUAUAUAUAUAUAUAUAUAUAUAUAUAUAUAUAUAUAUAUAUAUAUAUUAUUAUUAUAUACUAAUAUAUAUAUAUAUAUAUAUAUCUCAUUCGUUCAUUAUUGUUGCUACUGUAUUUCACUUACCCAUACUGUUGUUUAUCUCUUCCUAAUCCGGUGAGUACUCCUCGCCUUUUUCGGCUUGCGGUACUCACUGGGAGGGGAGACAUGUUUACAUGUUCUCACCUCCCCCACUAUUUUUCAGGUAUCGCGGGCGGUGAGGGUUGAGACGAGACGUGAGAUACGUAGCGGUCGAUAGAGCUUCCGACCCAGGUUAUUCGGUUUAGUUCUACCCUUACUAUUAUGUUGAUAUAGCUUAGAUAGUUUAUAUGGUUCAGUAUAUUUUAUUACAUUUGAAAAUAUGGGUUUUCAUGAAUGUAAUAAAUGGAUUUGUGGAUUUUGUGAAAUGAAAAGGUUUUCUACCCCUCGUGGUAGCGUUUUUAAAGAAUAAAGGUUUCCAUGUAGGAAACAGUUUUCAAAAGAAUUUUCUGUGAAUUUAUGUUAAAUAUUAAAUGCAAAUCUGUGAUGUGAAUGGUGAAUGUAUGAAUGUAUGAAUGUAUAGUUAUUUCUAUAUUCAUUUAGUUGUGGUUGUAUCCUGUUUGUACUGUUGUACUUGUGCGACGCCGUGCAAAUACAGGAGAAACUCUGUCCGUGUGAACAGUGAAAUCCCCGUAUUUGUGGCGGAUCUGGCAUAUUCUGGGGUCAGGUUUUCAAAAAAAAAAAAAUAGACGCUUUUUUCGCUGUGUUCAAACAAAAAGGGACCCCGGGGCGUGACACAAACCAUAAAGGAUUCGACUUGAACCUAAGUGGAUCCUAUCUGAACCGAACCAUAAAGGAUUCAACUUGAACCUAAGUGGAUCCGGUUUGAACUGAACCAUAAAGGAUUCGACUUGAACCUAAGUAGAUCCGGUUUGAAUCGAACCAUAAAAGAUUCUACUUGAACCUAAGUGAUCUGAUCUAAACCGAACCAUAAAGGAUUCAACUUGAACCUAAGUGAUCUGAUCUAAACCGAACCAUAAAGGAUUCAACUUGAACCGAAGUGGUUUCAAUCCGAACAGAAGCACAGGAGGUUCGAGCCAAGUUGAACCGAACUACAAGUCAGUUUGAUUUGAACCAAAUCAUAAAGGACUCAAUUUGAACGGAAGUGGUUUCAAUCUAAACAGACUCAAUUUGAACCGAAGUGGUUUCAAUCUAAACAGAAGCACAGGAGGUUCGAGCCAAGUUGAACUGAACUACAAGCCAGUUUGACUUGAACCAAAUCAUAAAGGAUUCAACUUGAACGGAAGUGGUUUUAAUUUGAACAGAAGCACAGAAGGCUCGAGCCAAGCCAAGUCGAACCAAUUAUGAGCCGAUUCAACCCAAACUAAACCAUAAAAAGAUUCAACUUGAACCGAAGUGGUUUCAAUCUGAACAGAAGCAUAGGAGGUUCGAGCCAAGUUGAACCGAACUACAAGCCGAUUUGACUUGAACCAAAUAAUAAAGAAUUUAACUUGAACUGAAACCAAUUCAACCUGAAUGGCACCACAUGAGAUCUGAGCCGAGCCAACCAUGAACCAGUCAACUCAAACUGAAAGACGAAAAGGUUGCAAGUCAAGCCGAACCAAAUCAUAAGCCGAGUUCAACUCAAACAGAAGCACGGGAGGUUCAAGUUGAGUCAAGUUGAACCAUACAUGCUGGUUCAACCUAAACAGAACCAUAAUAGGAUUUAACUCAAACCAAGUGGUUUCAAUUUGAACUAAAUCACAGAGGAGGUCCGACCCAAGUUGAACCGAACUACAAGCUGAUUUGACCUAAACCAAAUCAUAAAGAAUUUAACUUGAACCAAAGUUGGUUCAACUCAAAUAGAACUAAGAUAGUUCCAAAUCGAGAAAAAUAGAGCUGCAAGCUAGCUCAAUCUGAACUGAAUAAUGGAAUGUCUGAGCUAAGCCGAACCAAACUAUAAGUUGGUUCAACCCGAGCGGAACCACAAGAGGAUCGAGCCAAAUCAAACCGAGCAUAAACCAGUUCAAUUUAAAGCAAACUUGGAGAGAGUAAUAAGUCGAUUCGGCCCAAACCAAAUGCAAAAGGGUUCCAACCCAAGGCGAACCACAAGAUCUCAACUCGAAUAAAAAACAGACCAAUCUCGAACCAAAUCAUAAAGAUUCAAUCCGAAUCAAACUAAAGUAUAAGAAGGGCUAAGUUGAGCCGAACCAUAAGGACUUGACCUAAUUAAAUUCAAAUGAAUCUCGAACUACAUCAUAAAGGUUCGACCUAGACCCAAACCAAACUCAAAAGGGAUAAACCAAGUGAAAAACCUAAGGCGGCUCAGCCCAAAUCAAAUACAAAAUGAUCAAGCCAACUCGACCUAAAUCCAACCUAAGCAAAAGUCCAAUUUAUUUCGGGCUAUAAAUAAAAUCCAAAAUUCACAAAUAAAAUCCCAAAACCCAAGGUCCACAAAUAAAAUCCAAAACCCAAAGUCCACAAGUAAAAACUCAAAACAUAAAGUCCACAAAUAAAACCCAAAAUUCAAAGUCCACAAAUAAAACCCACAAUUGCAAAGUCGCUAAACUAACCCAUCAAAUGAAACGACUGUAAAGUCGCUAAACUAAACAACCAAACGACCGCAAAGUUGCUAAACUAAACAACCAAUCCAAACAACCACAAAGUCGUUAAACUAAACUAAACCCAAAUUCAUACGACCAUAAAGUCGUUAAACUAACAUGACCGCAAAGUCGCUAAACUAAACAAUCCAAACUCAAACCGACUGCCAUGUCGUUAAACUGAGCAACUCAACUCAAACUGACUGUCAUGUCAUUAAAUUGAGCAACUCAGCUCAAACUAACCGCUAUAUCCUUAAAUUGAGUAACUCAACUCAAACCAAUCGCUAUAUCGUUAAACUGAACAACUAAACUUCAAUCCGACCGCCAUUUUGUUAAACUGAGUGCCUCAGCCUAAAGCCGACCGUCAUGUCGUUAAACUGAGUGCCUCAGCUUAAAGCCGACCACUAUGUCGUUAAACUGAGCGCCUCAACUCCAAGCCUACCGUCAUGUCGUUAAACUGAGCACCUCAACUUCAAGUCGACUGUCAUGUCAUUAAAUUGAGUACCUCAACCUAAAGCCGACCGUCAUGUCGUUAAACUGAGCACCUCAACCUCAAGCCGGCUAUUAUGUCGUUAAACUAGGCAUCUCAACUUCAAAUCACUAAGUCGCUAAACUGAGCAAAUUAAAUUUAGACUCAACCCAAUCUGACCGUCAAGUCGUUAAACUGAGAAAAUCAAGUUUAAAUCAUUUAACCGCCAAAUCACUAAAUUGAGUAAAUCUGACUGCCAAGUCGUUUAACUGAGCAACUUAAUUCUAAAUGACCGCCAAGUUCAUAAACUGAGCUUUUCACCAAUAUACAGUAGGGGUAUGCCCCUGUUUAAGCCAUGUACUUGAAAAUUAUAUAAAUACAAGUUCAUCUCUAUACUAUAGUCUUUUUCUAUUAUCGAUAUUAAAUUUGGUCUCUUAAUCGAGGGCUCCUUAACACUGAAAGUGUGGGGUAAUUCAGUAAUUCUUGAGUCUGUUGGAAGCCAUGAACCUAUAAUCUUGAUUUUAAAAUAAAACAUAAAUAGAUAUAAUCUCUACUAUAGAUGAACACUUGCCGGAGAAAAGCUUGCAGCGGGGCCAGUUCGUUCGUGGCAGUAGACAGUUAUAGUGAUGCUAGGGCUAGAGUAGUUCUAUGAUGGAUAUACCCCCCCUAGGAACGAGGCCUCACAAUUGAUAUUAGAGUUAAUCACUAGCCAGAAAUAUAAAAUAAGUCUUGGUUCGGCUAGGUCAUACAGCAGGUAGAGCGCGACUCCUUAGCUAACAACCGUUAUAGAUGGAGCACGCUCCUCAUAAGGUCGGCUAAGACUAGCGAAACGAGUCUCAUAGGGCAUAGUACUUGUGAAUGUCUUGAACCUAAUGAGAACGUCAUCAUUAAAAGGGGAUAAAAAAAUGACAUCAUAGGAUUUGGAAUAGUCACAUGUACCAUUUUAAUUGGGCGAAAUAGAAGAGGCACUUUUAUACAUAAUCUAAGAAAAUUGGGUGUGAAGUGGAUCGUUUCUUCUCUCCUCACCUACACACAUGACCUGUCACAACGCGCGGACUGUAUACUAAUAAGACAUAAUAAGGCUCCCAACUGGAAAAAAAAAAUCAAACUACACUACACUCUCGGCUGUAUGUUAUAUGAUCUGGCUUGAGAGAAAUAACGUGAUGUUUAGAAACACUAGCUCAGAACAGAUUCAAGUUUUUACGCAGAACCACCAUCUUGGAAUCUCUUCUCACCAUCUUUCUUCUUUUCUUUUUUUUGGUCACUCCUGUUAGCCUUUUGUAACUUUUUUUUUAAUUCCCUAAUAAUGGCUUUAGUUACCCCACUUCUAUCGUUAAGCUUAUUAACCUUGAUGAAUGUAGCGAGCACCUUUCUAUAUUUUUUUCAAAAAAGCCCAUAAUUAUUAAGUUCGAAACAGGAAAACGUGGAAAGAAGGAAACCGAUAAAAAAGCUCCAUUGAGACAAAAUCAAUAGCCUAGUUGGUUCAAAUCCAUAACAGCUAUGAUCCCUAACUUCAUCUCAAAGCCCGAUUACGAUGGACCACCUGUGCUUUGAGCAUUGAUGUUGAUAAUUAUAGUGUAAAGUAAUUGGAAAGGAGAGAACAGAUAAAUGAAAAUGAAAACUACAAGAUUUUUUUUUUUUUUUGAGAGACGUGCUACGCGCUUCAUUUAUUUCAUUUAGAAAUAAACUUAGCUGGAAAUGUGAAUCAACUAGGAUUCGAACUUGGGAUAUCGAGUACCAACCACCAAGUCCUUUGCCACUUGCUCUAGAAACGGUCGGUGGCAAAAGGGCUUGGUGGUGGAUACCUGACCUAAGUUCGAAUCCUAGUUGAUUCACAUUUUCAGCUAAAUUUAUUUUUAAAUAAAAUAAAUGAAGCGGGUAGCAUGCUACAUUUCUCUUUAAAAAAAAGAAAAAAAAGAAAACUACAAGAAAAAUGAAUUUGCGAGUAAAAUUCUACUUGAGUUAGAGCUUCUCUACAUUACUAAAUCGAAUGGCAAAGAAGAAAUUGAAAUACUAACUAGAAAUUGAAAUACUAGCUAUAUUUUCUUUGAAGGGUGUGAAUUAUAUACUCAUCUAUUUUGAAAUGGUAUAUAUAAUUCACACUUAUUUUGCAUGUAAGGUUUUGUUUGGGAUUGGAGGAAGAUUGCGUUACGUGCGGUGAAAAAGUAUGUUGGAAAAAUAUUCUGUUUGUUUUCGUACAUAAUAUUGUGUUCCGCAUAUCGCGAUAAGUCGGUUACGAUAUAUUUUCUGCAGCCCCAUUGGAGAACGCAAAAACAUAUCUCUAUAUGCUUUUUUUUUUUAAUUUUAUUUUAUCUAAUAACGUUUGAUAGACCUUAAUACCAAACUAAGCCUAAGUAGGUCUCCGAGUAAAUUUGUUUCAAAUUAAAUUUCUUGACUUUGACCCAAUCAGUUUGACAUUGCCGGUAGUACAGAUCAACUUAGUGUUUGUUGACGCAUAACAGACUGGGCACUUUUUAGGAAACAAAUAGCAAUUUUACAGGCAAGAUGCACAUAUAUAUUUUCUAGUUAUAAUUUAAAUUGGAAAAUGCCUGCAAUUCUUCACAAUAGUUUUAAAAAAAUAUUAUUAAUAAAUUGACAACUAUGAUAUAUAGGCUUAUAAUUGGCUUACAAUAUACUCUAAACUAUAAGAUAAAUUAUUAUAUAUAUUUCUAAUUAAAGUAUAUUAUAAAAUAGUUAAUUAUAAUAAAUUAGGAUUCAUAUUUAAAAAAAAUUAAAAAUAGGACAAUGCGGAAAUUGGCGAGCAUAUUUCUAUACCAAAUUAGAGGAAUAAUAACAAGUGAACGGCUCGGCUCGGAAGAGGUAUCGUCACUCCUAUGAAUCCGCUCCUCCGCUCACUAGUCACUACUCCGUUCGAUCAAGCGCCUGUAGGGUUUUGAACUUUCUACUAAUUUAUCUCCGCUCCUUCCUCCUCCCCCCCCGCCCCCAACGCCUUCCUCCUCUCCUCCCCCCCGGCCCAGUCCGACCUCGCCGCCCGCUUCUUCUCCGCCUUCCUCCUCACCCUCCGCCGUGAGUGGCCCGGCAUCGACUUUCUCCGCCUCGACAAGUUCUACCUCCUCAACCGUCGCUUCCUCCACCACCUCUUCCUCCUCCUCCGCACCCGCCGCUGGGACCCCGACCUCUCCUCCCGCAUGAUCUCCGUCCUCUCCGACACCUCCCUCCUCCCCGUCGAUAACCACCCCGCCAAUGGCGUCGGCUACCACAUCGCCGAGGCCUUCCUCGAGGAGCUCGGCGACUUCCUCCCCGUCGCCCCCGAAACCCUCGAUUUGCUCCUCAAGCCCUUCUUCUCCGUCUUCCAGAAGUCUUCCGAUAAGGUCCUGGUGAACAAGAUCAAGCUGAACUUGUUCGAGAGAUUGCUUCAGAACGGCGCGAAGCUGCUGAGUCUCGCGACGGCCGGGGAGCAGGCGGAGCCCAAGAGCGAUGUUGAAAGGUUUGGUAGGAUAGCUCUGUCGGUGGGCUUCUCGAAGAGGUUCUUCGAAUUGGGGUCGGCUCCGGAGACUCUGCAGGCGAACAGGAAGGUCCUGUUCGGUUUGCACGAGAGCUUUCUAAAAUUGGAAAAAGAUCUGGAAAAAUCUGGGGUUUGCAUUUCGAUUGAGAUUCCAGAGAAUGGUGAUUCGGAGAAGGUGCCUGAGUCAUCGGCCGCAAAGAACGGUGGUGAAGGAUCAGAUGAGAAGCCAUCCAAGAAGAGGAAGAAGUUGAAGAAAGCAUCUGAUGGUGACGAUAAGAAGUUAAAUGCCAAGAAGAAGAAGAAGAAGAAGAGUAAGAGCCUGAAUUCGAUGGAUUUUGUUGCUGACGAUAGUGUUGCUGAACAGAGUAAUAACGAAGCUGCUAACAUUGAAGCUAGCGGUACUGAAAAUAAUGAAAAACCUAACGAAGAUCCAAUGGAGGGUGCUAAUCUGAUAACUUUUGAUGAAGCUGUGAUCUCUAAUCUUCAGAAGCAGUUCGAGAAAGCUGCUGCAGAAGCUGGAAUGGUGAAUGGAAAUGUGAAACCGAGCACUCCACAGACCACACCGGUAAAUGGAGCUGUGGUGAAGAAGAGAAAAAGAGCAAAAAGUGCUGAUGGAAAGGCCAUCGCUAAUGGCACUGAUGCUAGUGGUGGAAACACUGUUGGAAAAAGCGGGGAUAAGAGUGUUAAGAAGGUUAGGUUUUCGAUGAAGAGCAAUUUGGUGUGGAAGCCACACAGCCCUUUGCCACCUCAAAGUUUGAGGUUGCCGCCAUCCGCUACUCCGAGAGGUAGUGCCCUCAAGAAAGGGGUUGCGCCAGGACCCAUUAAAGAAACCCCUUCAGUUUCGAAGAUGAAAAAGGGUAAGGCGAAGGCUAGCUCUGCGAAGAAGAACAGGAUGGGCUCAAAGAGUCCCUCUUCAGCGGUGAAGCGCCUUCGGAAGUUGCAAAGCCUUUCUGCGUGAACUCGCAUACUUGUGAUGGUUGUAUUUCAUAUUUCCACCUUUUUUUAUAGUCUGUGUUCUUUUCACCUUUAUUGUUUCCGAUGACUUUAAACUUUCCCCCAUUUCCUUGCUUUUCGAUUGUCUUAUGCUUCUAUUAGUAUAUGCAUGUUUUCUCCUUUGAUGAAUCAUGGUAUGUUCUUUGCGGUACAUACCAUAAUCCUUUUUUUCCAAGUUAUGGAGUAAAAUUGUUCUUGAUUGUUUAAGCACCUAUGCUUAUUCUAACUUCUAUGUUGAACAUGCCAUCCUGUUCCUUAAUUAUCUGUUAUAUUUUUCGUGGAUAUCGAGAUUUUAAAUGAUUUUGGCAUUUUCAUUUUUUGUUUUACUAUGAAAAUUUAGGAAGAAACUCAGUUGUUACUGAGAAGGUCAAUUCAUUUUGAGAAAAGAAUGAUAGAGAUUUAGGGUACUUUCUUCAUUAAGUUUAUGCUUAGUAGUAUUUAUUUCCUCAGAAUUAUUUGCUUCUUGUCUAGCGAUCAUUUGAGACAUGAUUGCAGGACAGGCAUGUUAACCACUGCUUAGAAUAGGUCAAUUCAGCUGAUACUCAAUUUCAAGCUGGAGCUAAUUGCAGCUCUAUUGGUUAUCUUAGUUGUACUUGUUGAAAUUGGUGUACUUGUAGAGCUUAGAUUAUUCCAACAAAUUAUAGCCAAAAGUAAGUUCACAAUUACCAUAAAGAUGCUAAACAAGAGAGAGUUUUGGCAUAAAUCUUAUAUAGUUGAUUAAAGUAGUAUUACUUUAAUUUGGUCCAAUUUCUAUGGUAUUAACUAUAGAAAUUUUGAUUAGAAGGAAAGUCUUAUAUGUACAGGAUCUAAAUACAUAUGCAAAUUCAAAGUGCUAUUUUAGGCACUGGUUUGGGCAAUAACAGAGUGAUAACUUGUCCUGCAUAUUCUGCCAAACUCAACCAGAAGCAAAAAAUGAAGAAGAGAAAAACAAGGAGAACUGCUUUUAGUUAAACUGUUUUAUUGUAGGAUAUCUUGGGAACAACUGUUAUGGUCGGCCCCUUUAGUAACACUACCCUCACUUUAUCCUAGUUACCUUGAAAGAAUCACAAUUCUCAAUGUUCGUUAUGGAUAUACCGGUGAUCAUUGCAAAUUUAAAGUGCUGCAAUAUAAUAUCAAACACCAAGUUGACUUAGUUUCUAGUAAUCAACUGAUAGCAUGACAAUCCAGUAUAGAAAGAGUAAGCUGUUAUGCUUUAUAAAAGACUAGGCCAAAUUAUGCCCCGUAUUUUUGAUAAUCUGUUAAAUUGUCGAGUACUCAUUUACAAGGGGACAUUGAAGUUAUAAGGCUAAUAUCAAACACAAAGUUGCUAUGGAGGGUUCAUCAUUAGAGUUUAAACUAGAAAGUUUAGCGACGUCAUGUCAAACUUCAUUAUCCUUGAGAUUGAUUAUGUUGGUUUUAGCAAAAUACCGAAAAGCAAGGAGGGGGAAAUAAGGUUUUAAAGUCUCAUGCUUAUGGUCGACUGGCUUCUUGACGGGCAGUAUUUUGUUAUUUUUUCUGAUUUCUUGUGAUUUUCUUGGGAUUGUAAGGUGAUUUUGUGGGAAACUUCUUGGGACAUUAUGCGGACCAUUUAUAAGGAUAUUGAUUUUGCUUAAGAUUCAGUGCUAUUGAUGAUUCUUCUUGUGGGUUGGAGGAUUGUUGAGGCUUUUAGUGUAGAUUUUCUAACAUAGGCAUAUUACAUGUGUUAUGAUCUCCGUAUGCUGUAUGCUGUUCAUUCUUAGAAUAACUGCUAUGUUUAUUUGUAAUUAGGCCUGUGAUCAUCCAGAAAGCUUGCUUUACCUUUUUCAUGCAUUGAUGAUAUAUGCUUUCCGUAUGGCAUUCACUCUCAAAAUAACUGCUUUGUUUAUUUGCAAAUAGAUCUGUGAUUAGUUGCAGUUUCUUAGACUUUAUACCUGUCCCUAAACACUGUUUGUCUUCUCCGAUCAGUUGUGAGAAUUUUUGAUAUGCAAAUUCUAUUCUAGCUUCUAUUCGCAAUGAUGACCCUCUUGUGAAUGUGUUUAAACUUUUAAUACAACUUCUUCAUAAUUGAACUUGUCUUCAUGAAAUUGAUCCAACCAUUCAUUAUUUUGAAAGUCUCUAAUUGCUGCCGCAUCUGUUUAUGUUCAGAUAAUGCAUUUAUAGGUUCAUAUCAGUUAAUGCAUAUGGUUGUACUUUAUAGCUUUACAUGUUCUCUUGAUUAUGAUUACAAAGCAUGUUGUAUAAAUGCAUUGGAGCAUGAUGUAGUUUUGGUAAAAAAAUAUACAAACCCAAGCUAAACUAUCAGCCAUUGGCCAAAAGGGUAGUUAAAUUGUAAUUGUUUGGAUACCUGGAAUAUCCUUUUUGAAAUUCUGCUAUAGUAGUUCACCAGCAGGAAACUGGGGUUGCUGUUGGAAAUACGGGCCACUGAUUACGCGAGUUCAUGUAAAAACUGUGUGAUCAGAGAUUUAAGUCAUGUGAGAACCGUGUUUAUGUGACACACAUUAUCAAAUGUGCUGUUAUCUCUGAUCUCCUGCCCUAAGUUUUCACCCCUAAGCUCUGAACGUUGACAGCCAAGGCCUUGUUUCGUGUUGUGUCUGUUUUUUAUUUCUGUAAAUAGAAUUUUGUAUAUAAAAUUGUGUUAGAGUGGUAGGUGGAUUGUUUGCAAUCCUCUCAUCCAAUAUAUUUAUUUGGCAAUAAAAAAUAAAAACUUAAAAUAACUUAUUAUUAUUAUUAUUAUUUUUUAGACAAGUUGUCACCUAUCACAUAGCCAGAUGUAUUUUAAGCUAACCAAUUGUAACAACAAUAGAAAAUUUUCUUCUAAUGCAUCAAAUUAUAUAGAAUUAGUGUUUUAAAAAAAUAAAAAAAGUGAUAAUGAUACCAAACGAGGCCUAAGGUUCCUGUUUACAAAUAGCUCUGUAUUUGAGGCAGCCUUCAUCCUGUUUAACCAUUAAUUUGUUCUUACUGUUUAGCUUAAUCUUGUCAUUUGUUACAAUUUAGAGUUCUAUUACUUUGAUCGUGAUUAGUGCUAUCUACUAUGAUUCUAUAUGUUUCCUUAUAAUUUGCACUUGAUGGUUAUGAUGUUACUUUUGUUCACGUAAUUGAGGUUACAGAAAAUCACAUUGAUGAUCUGCUCCCUAUUGUUAUUGUUUAUCAGCUGUUGGUUAUAUUUAUACAACUGUGAUGCAAAUUCGAGGCAAUGAAUUUAUUGCCGAGCUCUAUCGUAGGUAGAUAGUUGUCAAUUAGUCAUAUAAGGGACUCAUAUGAGGCCCUAUAACUCGUCACUUCUUAGGAAGAUGCGCUUGCGUGCUACUUUUAUGUUAGUCUUUUUUGCUAGUGAGUGUCUGUUUAGGCUUGCUUGUGUGUUUCUCACCUCUAACAGAGCAUUUGGCAAACAGAAUAGUCUGGAGCUUGUUGUGGCCAGAAGCUAAAACAAGAUUCUAGACUCUAAAAAGAAGCCGUGCCUAUUUGGAGUCUGUACUCCAGCUGUACAGAGUUUCGUUGUUGGGGGGAAUUUAAUUUUUUCUUCUGCAGUGGUCAUGGACUUGGCAAAUAUUCAAUUCGCUAGCUGAGUAUGAAAUUUCCCCAUCUAUUAUUAAAAAGUUUGGUAAAAUUAUAUAUGAGUGCUUGAUUGAUUCAUAAAGUAGUUUGUUUGAGAUGCGUACCACAUCUGAUGUGUUUCCUCAUCUUGCCAUUCGCUUGCUUUGCUUGUCUAUCAAACGUCCUGGCAUUCUGAAUUUUGUGUUUUUUCUACGAGUUAGUUGGUUAGCUGUAAUGAAUAUGUAAGAACAAACUGCUAAAGAUUAGCUUAUUAGAAACUUCACCCCCUUCCGAAAAUGUUCCAAAUUGCUUGUCUCUGAUCGUAUGUACUUACUCUCAAAUGCUUUGCACUGGAGAAGGUUAAUUUAGAAAAGAUGAUGAAAAAGAAAUGCAGAAGUUGAAGAAAGUUACCAAUUCCAUCAGCUAAAAUGUGGAAACUUUGGAAUAAGUAGGAAAGAAUGUCAGCAUGUUUCUGUCUCCAUUGAAUAUUGAUGACAAAUAUUUUUGCUCUGUUUAAAAAUGUUAGAUUUUUUUUCAUUCAUGCAUCUUACCUUUGAGUCCUUAAUCUACCUAUUAUUAUUAUUACUAUAGACUAAAGGGUGUGGAGUGGGUCUUCAUUUGUGGACAUGUGUUCCGACCAUUUUCGGUGCGUCUGCUGUACCAUAGACCCAAUAAAAAAAAAAUCAUUUUUGUGUCAAUAAAUAUGUUUAAAACUUAUAGUUUUAAUCCAUAAAUAUUUGAAAUGUUAUACAACACACUUAAUAAAUUAAAAAUUGAUUUAAAGUUUCUUAUAAUUGAUUUUUGGAAGUAUCAUGUCACUUGGUACACCAUGAACUGCCCCAUGGAGGUUUUUUUGGUCGGCUCAUGUCACUCUUUCAGUUCCAAUGCACCCAAUGCAUGGAAGAUCUAACAAGAAACUCAUUAGUUUUACUUCAAUAAAUACUAGUUAAGGCACCCAUGCUAUGCAACGGGUUCAUUUACCUUCUUUAUAAAUAAUUAAUAAAUAAUAUAUUAGCAACGGGUUCAUUUAUCUUUUUUAUAAAUAAUUAAUAAAUAAUUAAAUAUAUUUUUUAUAAAGUAAAUAAUAAUAAGGAAGUUUUAGAAACAUUUUCACAUGCGUUCAAUUGUAUCAGAUAUGCAAAUUUUGAUUACAAACAAUAAUACUGGUCUUAACAUCCGUUCGGGUUCAGAUCGUAAAUUCAUAAGUUUGUGUUUUAAUUAUAAUAAAAUUUUAAAAUAUAUAAUUAUUUAUGCCUAGUUUUUAAAUAUGUUAGAUGGUAUGUAUUAAAUAUUAAUUUUUUUUUUGAGAGAUAAGUAGCACGCUACCCACUUCGUUUAUUUCAUUUAGAAAUAAACUUAGCUGGAAAUGUGAAUCAACUAGGAUUCGAACUUGCGAACUUGGGUACCAACCACCAAGCCCUUUGCCACUUGCUGUAGGGACGGUGGGUGUAUUAAAUAUUAAUUUUAAUUUUAUAAUUAUUUAGAUAUAAAUAAUCUACUUUUAUAAAAAACACUACAAUUAAGUUUUUUUUAAAAUAUAUUUAAUUACAACAAUUACAUAAAAUAUAUUAACUAAAUAUAUAAAGCUAAGCAAAACAUUCAAAAAUCAUUAAUAAUAAAUUUAAAUUUAAAUUUAUUUUUUGUAUGUGGCCAAUAAUACUCUAAAAUAAGAAGAGUUAGAAAAGGAAAAAAAAAUCAAAAAAGAGAGAGAGAUAGGAUGGGUCCCACAGGAAAAAGCAAAAAAAAAAAAAAAAAGGGCUUUUUUUGACUGACAAAUUUUAUUUGUAAAAAUAGCCCCGUCCAAAAAUUAUUUGCAAAAAUGGCCCUGCCCCUGCCACGCCAGCGCCACGUCAGCGUCACGCGGGCAGGGCGGGCCAGCGUGUUUAAGUUGAACACGGUGAACCAUUCACCGUGUUCAAUACAAAAUUUUUGUAUUGGAUACGGUGAAUGGUUCACCGUGUCCAAUACAAAUACCCAACAAUGACUAAGUUGGAGAUAUUUGUAUUAGACACGGUGAAUCAUUCACCGUGUCAAUUAUUUGUAUUGGAACACGGUGAAUGGUUCACCAUGUCCAAUACAAAUAUUUCGACCUUAGCUAUUUUGUAUUGGACACGGUGAAUGUUCACCGUGUCCAAUACAAAACUUUGUAUUGAACACGGUGAAUGGUUUACCAUGUUCAACUUAACCAUCUGGCCCAGCCCCCCCGCGUGGCGCUGACGUGGCGCUUGCGUAGCAGGACCAGGGCUAUUUUUGUAAAAUAAAUUUUUGACAGGGGCCAAUUUUAAAAAAAAAUUUUGUAAGGGGGCUAUUUGCCAAAAAAGCCCAAAAAAAAAAACCCGUGCAUGCUAGCGCCGGCGCCAGCUCGCGCCCUGCCCACGCCCGCUCGCCUGCCCGCGCCGCUAGCGCCCACCCCGGCCCGCGGACCUGCCGCGCCCACCCCGCGCUCGCGCCUGCGCGGCCGCCCGCUCGCCCUUCGCUCGCGCCCGUGCCCCGCUCGCGCCCGCCAGCCACGUGGCGGGCCAGGUUCUUGAUUCAUAAGUUAUAUAAAUGCCUAAAGCUUAUGAAUUUUAAUAUAUAGACUAGUGUAAUGACCCGCGUGAUGUCGUGGAUAGAUAUAUAUUCUUUUAAAAUUUAAACCCUAAAGUUUAGAUCCUUAUAUUUCUAUAAGUUAUUUUGUAGAGAUUAGAACACAUUUACUUUAAAAGUUUUAGUAAUUUUAAAGUAUAUUGAAAAGUAUAAAGAUUUUUUUUGAAUAUUCUAAUUUUUAACACUGAAGCAUCACGAUAGAUAUCAAACCACAUUUAUUUCCGACAACUUUAUAUAAAUGUCUUAUUAUAAAGAUAGUAACGUGUAGGUUUAAUUAGAAACAACAAGAAAUAUAUUUAGCAAAUAAAUUCCAUCGUAUCCAUUAGAUUGCGCUAAGUAUGGCGUUGGGCUGCAUAAUAAUUAAUCAUUUUAAAAAUUCUAAAUCCUAAUAUAAACAAAUCCAUCAAAAUUUCCAACACAAUCAAAUCAUUAUACAAUGGAGACAAUAUGAUUUGUAAACAAAAAUAAAUAUAAAAAUUUAUAACAUAGUAAUCAAAAUACCGAAAACAAAUAUUAAAAAAAUAUAAAAAUUCUAAAAAAAUUUACCUCAAAUUGGAAAAGUCGAAUCUCACGUAAUUUAAAAUAUACUGUACAGUGAAAAAAUCUGAGUAAACAAAUAAAGCAUCAAAUUCAAAUAAAAAAAAACCUAUCAAAUAUAGUUAAUCGUUACAGACAGAUGCGAUCAAUUUUCUGAAGACAAAGAAAAUAGUAUUUAGUAUAUCAUUUCAUCCAAAAUGAAUAUGAGUACAGCUCUUUAUAUAUACUCUAAUAUGACUUUUUAUAUUCUAAGAUGACUUUUCAUUUUCUUCCAUUAAUAUAUAUGACUGUUUAAAUUUCUAGCUUUUUAAAUUCUUAGAUAUAUUAAGUUACCCAAAUUUUCAACUUCAGUGACCUUCCAACUUUCUUAACAUUUGACAACGUACAAUUUGGAUACUUCUAGAUAAAGUUAUGAUCAAAAUAUUGAACAAUGCGUAGGUUGACUGGGUUAAUCCAAAAAAAACCGGUUUAAUGAGAAAAACGUACGAAGAAGAACCACAUCAAUGAAACAAAAUGAAUAGGAAAACCGCAGGCGGGUCCCAUGCAGAGGCAUAAGAUAACUCGAGAUUGCCACGUGGAUUCUCAAAUAUGGAGAAUUAAUAAGACUAGUGAAUGCCCGCGCUACGCCGCGAAAAAUUUAUAUAAAUUUAGUAUAAUAAACAAAAUAAUGUGAAUCAUGAAUAUAUGUCGUAUUAAAAUAUGAAUCAGAAUUCAGAAUUCAUAUAAAAGGUAACUUAUAUGAAUUUUGAAUGUCUAGUCUUCAGAAUUCAGAGUUCCUAUUUUUUGACCUACUCUUACUUUUACGGUCCAAUUCAGAUUUCCAAAAUUUGAAUUUUGAAGUCAGGUAGGCAAUCCGGAAUUCUGCUAGGUAAUUUGGAAUUUAGCUAGGCAAUUCAGAGAAGGCAUACGAAAGGAGUUUGAUGUAAUUUUUAUGUAUUUCCCUCUUCUAUGCCUUACACUCAUGUUAUAAACUACUGUUUCCUUCUGAGUUUAUUUGAUUCGUUUGGAAAAAAAGAGACUGCAACCUAAGAGGCCUAGGAAAAAGAGGCCUAUUUUUGAACCUCGCAAAAAUUCAAGGGUACUGUAAGUUUAUGAGGAAAGGACUGACUGACAGAUUUGUUAUGGAAAAAGAAAUGUUUGACGCCUAAGAAUUACAUAAUUGAUAACAGACAUGAAGCUAAAGCUUGUUAUGAAAAAAGGACUGCUCGAUAAUUGAACAGUCUAUAACAGGUGCAACUGUUUGUUGCUAAAGUAAUAAAGGUGGAAUUCUCUAGUACUAAAAAAUUUUGUUGAGAUAAUAGAAUUAUUUAGUAGUGGAAAAUGUUGGAUUAUCGCUGUGGUGAAAUGAUCUGAUAAUCUCGGCUUUGCACUAACCUGUGAGUUCUAUUGUGAAAUGGCACUCAAAUAAGUCCAUAUUGUCAAUUAAGGAAAUGCUAGAACCAAUGUAAAUUUACAUGAUUGUUACAUAAUUUUUUUUUUACAUGAUUUUUUUUUGCCAGCAGUAAUCUUAGUAGAUAGAGUGUUCAACAAAGAUAAAGAGAAAACUAAAACUCUUGAUUCAACACAAAGCAGAAAAAAAUUUUGACAAAAAGAGAAGGAAAGAAGAGUAAGACCACAUACUGCACCCCCCUCAUCAUCUGCCUCUCAUUUUGAUUUUGGUAAUACAAAAUCAUCACUGCCUUUCUAACCAGAAUUUCAUUUUGUUCAGAGAAAAUCAUCAUUGCCUCUCCCACAUAAUUCACACCAACCAGAGGAUCAACCAAACAAAUGACACAAUAAUAAGGUAAAUCAAAAGUUGUAAGUAAAGAAUGAACAAAAUCAGAGCAUGGUGGAUAUCAGUUUUUUCCCUCGAAAAAUUAUAGUGGAAAUUUAUCAGAUGACAAAAAAAAUUAGAAAAUACUGGAGCAACACCUGAGAAAAUAAACUCCAAUAAAGUAAAUAUCCAUAAGAGUAAGAGUAAACAAACAAAAAAAAAAGGAUUUUUGAGUUCUAAGUAAGCAACGUUUGAAUUUAUAUAAAACGUUGAGGCAACAUCUAAAGUCCUUGCACAACAGCAAAUCCUAAGCCACCAGUAAUCAACUUCGAAGAAUUCAGUUCAUAAAAUAUCUUACAAACUUCCCAUUAAACAAUUAAGCUUAUACAUCCGGCUCUAUCCUACCAUAAAAUCCAUCCUUACAAUAAAUUAGACCCUAAAAUAUGAACAAUCAAUAGCCAAGUACCAAUUGGAUUCUCGAGAGCUUUCGCUUUUACAAAAGAUGCAGUUUAAAGCUUUCACUUUUACAAAAGAUGUAAUUUCGGUCAAUAAGCAUAAAUAUUUUUUACUUCUCAACGAAUGUGUAAAAAGAAUAUUGUUUUAGACAUUAAGAAGACAACAAAAUAUAUAUAUUAUUCUCAUUCUAACUUUUGUAUACGUAUGAAACAACCCGAUGCAGUUCAAAUCAGAAUUCUGAAUUCUAAACUUUCAUAUGUACCAAUUCAGCUAGGCAAUUCCGCAUUCCAUGAAGAAUUUAGAACUCACCUACACAAUUAAGUAACAUUUUAUGCCCAUCAGAUAUCUUAAUGCAAUUCAGAUCAGAAUUCUCCCAAGAUUCUUCCAGGCAACACAACAUUCAGCUAGGUAAUAUAGAUUCCAGGUAGGUAAUGUAGAAUUUAGUUAGGGAAUUCAGAACUCAGCUGGCCGAUUCAUGGUCCCAUGAAGAAUUCAGAAUCAAGAUCAAGGGAAAAAAACAGAGCUCCAUAAGAACACAAAUGAGACCCACCAAUUGCCCGCUAAGCAAGCCAUCCAUAGUGCUUUCAUGGCCAAUUAAUUACCAAAACCAUCAAUAUUAAACUAUGUGAAAAUAAGCCCAAGUUAAUGUAAAGCAACGGAUAUCAAAAAUAAAUUUUGACAAAAACAAAGUAGAAUUCUGUUAGGCAAUUCAGGAUUCGGCUGGUUAUUUCAGGACUCUAUGAAGAAUUCAGAGCCCAGGUAAAAAAAAAAACAAAUCUGCGUAAGGGCACAAAUGAAAUCCACUGGUUGCCCGCUAAGCGGGCCCUCCAUAGUGCUUCCAUGGCCAAUUAAUUACCGAAACCAUCAAUAUUAAACUAUGUGAAAAUAACAUCAAGGUAAAUAUGAAUUCGAAAAAUACUUAAAAGAGAAGAUAGAAUCCAAAAACAAUCUCAACUAAGAGAAUUGGACGAAAAGUUAACGAAAAAUCAAUAUAAUGCAAAAUUCAGCUUAAGGCUCCAAACUGACUCAAAUUCAAACCUUCUAACCUACAAUUUAGUGAAAGGAUAUGAUCCUCGAGCUCUCCUCCACCAAAUAAUCCUCGACUAAGACCCAAUUCAGGGAUUAUAAGCUCCAAAUUUCCACAAUUCCUGCAGUAGAUGCUGCCACUGCAGCUAUUGCAGAGGCUGCUGCUGUUGUUGCAGCCUGCUGCUGGUGAUUUGUUGGUUUAAAUUAGAGGUUUUCAGUGUUCUGAAGCCAAGGAUCACUGUGGUUACAUUCCCCUUUCCUCUUUUGGGCUGUACUCCUUCCUGCGAGUCCUAGGAAUUGCAGCAACAUCAACAUCAACCUCAACAUUCUACAGGAGCAUAAUUUCAGCAGCCUAUAGCUGAGUUGAAGAUAGAAUUUUGAGAGAUUUCGAAAUCCAAAUUGCUGGAGAAUUGAUUGCUCGCAUUCUUGGUGAAGAGGUGAACAUGAGGAGUGUUUUAAUUCAGCAAAUGACUUGGUAAGUUGUGUUUAAUUGCCAAAAUGGUGAAGGUCGCUGAAAUAGAAGUUUUAUACUGAUUUUGAGCAAGCUGAAUUCUUGAUGGAAUUUCUUUUAAUUUGCCUAUGUAGCUAAGAUUUUGAAAGGUUGCUAGUGAUCUUACCUUUAUCUAGAGUUGGUACGAACUUUGCUUGGACUGUUUUGAAGGUUAGGCUUUUCUGAAUUUUAGUUUUCAUUCAGGCCUUCAACUAAAAAUCAGAUUUUUUGUUGAAGCUGAUUUCUUGAGUCUUACUCCAUCUUCGAGAUGAAAUUUUGUGGUAAUUAAUAGGAUUUUCCUGUAGUUUAGGGAUCAGAGAAUACCCUUGAACUUGUCCCAACAUCUCUCUUUGGCUUGGAUCUUCUCUGUGGAUCAGGAACAACAGUAACAAAAUCCAACUAUUUCUAAAAUUUCAGCACAAAAUCAAUUUCAGCAAUUAAGCUUCAACUAACUUGAAAUUCCAGUCAGUAGUACAUAUAAACUGAGCUCCACUACUAUUCCUUCACUACCACCAGUCCGAAUUAAUAGGAAAGUGAGAAAAAAUCGAACAAACCCCUGCUAGAUUUAAUCGAAUCAAAAAAUAAUUCGAAAAUCUAAUGAAAACCAAUUUGGUUUGAAGAAAGGUGAAAUUCAGCGAUGAUCGCCUCAAAUCAGCUGACAAUACUUAAUUCAUAGGUUCCUCAUUUCCUCAAGAACACCAUGAGCCAUUCCAAUUGCAGUAGUUAACUCCACACAAACCAAAUCCCAAAUUAAAAUAAAUAAAUACCAGUAAAAUCUACAAUCCAAAAUAAAUUACAAAUAUAGCAUUGCUCACUGUAAAUGUUGGUAAAAAUGUAUAUGUCACGCCCCGGAUUACUCGUUUCCCCGGGCUCGCUAACAGACCUGCCAUAUAUAAAGGUAUUUCCUCUGUAUACAAAGCGAAAAGUAAAAGUACCUGUAAUCAUACAAUACUACAGACAGUAGUAUAGAGCAGCAGGGAGAAGAGAAUACAACAUGCAUAUAUAAACUGUGGUUCUAUAUAUACAUAAGAUCUAAGAUACAAAAGCACUCGCACUGGCGAGAGUACAACAUCUGUAUGUAUAAACCAGAACUACACUACCUGCAGCGGUCCUCCACUAGCUCAGCAACUCGACUGGAAGGGUUCUAACUCGCGACACCCUUGCCACGAUCAAUAUCAGCGACAGCAGCAGCCGAAGAUGAUGGCUCUGCAAAAUAGUAGAAACAAACUGGGCGUGAGAACUACUACAAAAAGAAGUAGUUCUCAGUGGGUACCGCCCUCAAUACAUCGGUCCACCCACUAAGUCUACAGAGGUAAGCAAGAAAUAAUAAGGAAAGCUGGAACAUAUCUACAGCUAUCUGCCUCAAUACUAUCAUGCUCUAAUCUAACCAACUGUAGAAUAGUGUCAACUCAGACCCAAUCUCGAAUAGGGACUGUAAUCAUACCCGUCCCUGGGACUAUGAACAUACCCGUCCCGCCCGGUCGCGACUAUACAACUACAUCCACACUAAUAAGUCCGUGGAGAGCAAGUCCAACCUGCACGAACGACACGAACGCAAAAGUACAGCGCCCGCCUCGGGAGUGGCAGUCGUGGGAGCUACCCAACCGAGUAUGCAGCGUAUCUCUGUCGAGCUCAAUCAGGCGCUAAUAAGCCAAAGUUAAGAAGCUAGGGUCAAAACUGGUCUAGAAAUCAAAUCCACGUGCCCUCGACAUAAUUUGAGACCAAAAACAGGACUCUAGGUCCACCGUCCACCCCGACGGUACCCAACAACCCGAAACAGCCUAGACUCUGCUGUAAAAAUAAGCUCGGCGCCCCAGCACGAGUGUAAAUGUAUUUUAAACUACCCCGGGUAUCCACCGCGCUGAAACAGCGGUAAUACAAUCAAACCACGGCUCCUAGAGCUAAAUCAGGUAGCAGAAUUAUAUGACGGGUCAAAAUGCGGGUUUUCUCCUAAGUCAAUUUCCAAGUCCAAUAUGUAUAUUUUGCAAAUUAAGAAUCAUGCUCCAAAUUCAGAUUUCAUACAUUAUACUAUUCGAUGAAUUUGAGCUACAACAUGUUAUACCGAAGUCGAACUAUACAUGUUUACUUUACACAUGCUUAGGAGCAAAACCGAUAAGAAACCCACCUUAAUUGCUAAUCCCUGGCAGCAAGGAAGUCUCAAAGGUGCAAGAUCUCGCAGCUAAACCUCAUCUCAGCCAGCAACGAUCCACAAUUCCGAUCUAAGCACCAAAAAUCACUGAUUCCAUCAUUACAACUAUAAUAUCAGCACUUAAGCUUAAUUAACCACACUCCAAUGUCAAAACUCACCUAAUAACCUCCAAUUCAGGUGAGGACAGUCCCAAAUCCAAUGGAGUAUACUGGAGAAUAAUUCUCAAGUCCCAAAUUCUCCUGCUUCCAAAGAUAGCAUCAAGAAAAGCUCAAAAUCUACAAUUCUGUCCAAAUACAAUAACAGCAGAGUAAAACUUGAGUUCGACCAAGCUAACCUCAACCAAAUUCUGCAAUUCAGGGCUUCGUGGAUUCCUCUGGCAGUCUAGAAUCCAGCAAACUAAGUUUCACCGCGAUCCGACCUUUCUACGUCGCACACGAACCAAAACACUGGAGGUCGUCGCUGAAAAACUGCAGAAUCUGCACCUAUCAAGCUUGGAGUUGUGGAUCUUGAAGCAAUUUGAGUGAUUUGGAGGGGUUGGAAUGCAAAAUAGAGGAUCACUGUGAAGAAGAGAGGAAAAGAGCUCACCAAGGACGCUCCUCAGCUAUUUAUAGGGUGAACAUAUGGUCAGAUGAACCUCAGGAACAAAGGCUGCAAUCUGCUACACUUGCAGAAAUAGCCACUUUCGGGCGCCCAAAAUCCAUUUCUGGGCAUCCGAAACCUCCAGGCUGCACAUUUGCUCCCCUUUGGUUCCAUCGCCCGUGGUGUGCUGCGCCCGUAAACGGCUCCGGCGGACCUCACCUACUACCAGCCACAUGUCAACACAAUCGAUACUCACGAGGUGAACUUUCGGACCCUCAUCCGGGCGCCCGAAACAUGGACCCGAAUUCGCUUCCAGUUAUGAUCAAUUCUGCAUUGAACUUCUGGGCGACCCAAGACCAGUUCUGGGCGUCCGAAUCUAGCAAAAUUCCAGUUUUGCUUAAUUAAGUGCACCGAGUCCAUUUCUGCAUCCAUUUCGUGCAGAAACAACUCUGACUCAGUCCGACACUCUCCAGAUGUGUCGACCAGUCACUAACACUGAAACCAAUCCUAUCCAAAGUGUAGAAACAGUACAGUAUAGAAUUUAUCUGAAACAUGAGCCAUUUCGCGAAGCGCCCUGCGAUCGCCUCGGCAUUUCGUUGAACAGGGCGCGAGCUCUCAAAGCAUAAAAUUUUAAUUAAGCAAUAGAUUGCAAGAGCAAGCAUAGCAAAAUCAAAAAAAUUUGAUAGUGGAGAGAGAAUCAGAGAAAAGACUCUAGUAGGUAUUGCAUCAAACAUAUGAGGGGCGCAGCAAAACGGACAAUUUUUGGAGCUCCCCUUGCUCCACUCAGUAGAGAGAGAUAGAGAGAGAGAGAGAGGCGACAGAAAGCAAGCCAUAGAAUUGGGCGAGGAAGUUUCGGCGGCGGCGGGGAUGGGGAGGGGUGGAAGGAGGCAUACCGUAGCAGGGGGACAAAGGUUCGGGGUUUGCAGGAGCUGCGGGGAGAAGCGCGACCCUCCGCGUUGGACGCAGGAGGAGGUCAGGGUAGGGCCCGACAAACACCCGACAUGGGGGGGCCCGGAUCGGAGAGAGGAGGAGGUGGGGGCCCGGGUCGGAGAGGCUUGCCAUCUGCGGGCGACCCGCACCACCCGCGCGCAGAGAGAGAGAGAGAGAGAGAGAGAGAGAGAGAGAGAGCCGGGGGGGCCCUGCCAUGUGAGCAGCGCUUCGCGCGCCCGCGCCCGCUCGAGGAGAAACGACAGAGAGGAGGGGGCGCUGCGGAGGCGACACGUAGGCGCCCGCCCCGCGCCGGACGCCAGCCGCUGCCGCCCGCUGUGGGGUCCUGCACAUGUGACUGCCGCUGCCGCCCACCCCGCCGUGGGGGCCACCGAAGCCCCCGCCAAACGCGGGGAUGCUUCGAAGGGGCGAGAGAGGAGCGGGGGGCUGAGGAGGUGACAUGUAGGGCACAGUAGAACUCAAGAAUUAUUAUUUCUAUAGAUUACGUAGACACAUCAAACAAUGUGUAAUUUGGAUAACUCUGAAAAAAACUGAUUUAAUGGGAAAAACAUAUGAAGAAGGACAUAUGAAGAAGGACCAGUUCAAUAGAAAUGAGUUUGCAGAGGCAUAAGAUAACAAGAGAUCGCCACGGGGAUUCUCAAACAUGGGGAUUAAUAAGGCUACUAUUAUUAUAUAUAGAUUAUAAAGAUAGAUAUAUAGAUAUAGAUAUUUAGAAUAUUUUUAGCCCUUGUUUGGUUGGGGGUUAAGGGGUGGAAUAACCCCUUAACCCCCAUUUUAUCCCCAAACAUCCCAAAAUAUAGGUGGGGUUAGCUAACCCCACUUAACCCCACCUCAAAUAAAUUAUUCCGGAUUAGCUAACCCCACCUAACCCCACCAAACUCCAACCAAACACUAUUUUCUAUUCAUAAUAACCCACUAUCUUUUUUAUCACACCUACUCCAAUCAAUCAUUAUCUUCUUAUCCCACCUACCCAACCAAACACUAUUUUUCAUUAUUCUAAACUAACUCCAACCCCAACCAAACACAAAAAAACUUUAACCCCGCUUUAACCCUAAACUUAACUCUAUUCCUGGAAUAGCUACUUUUUUCUUAACUCCGAACCAAACGGCGGCUUAGAGCUUACAUUUUACUUGGUACACCAUUAAUCGCCCUUCGAAGGAUGUGUUUUUUUGGUCAACGCACAUCACUCUUUCAUUUCUGAUGCACCUAAUGCACUAAAGCUCAUGAAUUUUGAUAUACAGAGGGAGGAUAUAAUAAAUAAAUAAAUAAAUAAAUAAAAUUUUAUAGCAUAGUGCUUCAAGAAAGUAGCCAUUACGCCGGACUAUUUUGACGCUUUGGCCCCCAACGACUUUUCAUCCCACUCUUCGCUCGGAGGGAACAGAAGUCUUACUCGCUCCGUCUCUCCACUCCAUGGCUACCUCAGGUUCCUCCUCCGCCUCCUCCUCCUCCUCCUCUCCUAUGACGUCCUCGGUAAGCGUGAACGAGGUCGUGAGCGGGUCCCACCUGUUCAAGAUCACCGGCUACUCCCUUACCAAGGGGAUCGGCGUCGGCGAGCCCAUCGCCUCCGCCGUCUUCACCGUCGGCGGCUACGACUGGGCCAUCGAGUACUACCCCGACGGCUGCAAGGCCGACGACGCCGACUACAUCUCCUUUUUUCUCGCCCUCCAAAGCUACCACACCGACGUCCAGAUCUACUGGGCGAUCAAAUUGCUCGACCCCGCGGAGAUGCCGCCGUCCGCAGUCCCGGUGGGCGGAAGCUUGUACACAUUCGACUCAAGCGGCAGAAACUGGGGCUACGGGCGCUUCUUCAAGAGAGCCGAGUUGGAGGAAUCGCGUUAUCUGAAAGACGAUUGCUUCGCAGUUAUGUGCACCAUUCACAUCAAGAUGUCGCGGGUCGAGCGGGUGCCUUAUGCUCACCCGUCGGCCGCGGCGGCGGCGCCGCCGAUCGAGUUGCACGACCACCUCGGCCGGCUCUUGGAGAGGGGAGAGGGGGCCGACGUAACCUUCGAAGUCGGCGGGGAGACUUUCGCCGCCCACCGCUGCGUGCUCGCCGCCCGCUCCCCUGUUUUCAGUGCUCAAUUUUUCGGCCCCUUGAGCGAAAAGAGCACGCAGUGCGUAAAGAUCGAAGAUAUGGAAGCUGCGGCUUUUAGGGCUUUGCUUCACUUCAUAUACCGGGACUCGUUGCCGGAGGAUGGUGAGGAGCCUAAGAAGGCUUCGACUGCAAUGGCGCAGCAUUUGCUCGCGGCCGCAGACCGGUAUGGGUUGGAGAGGCUGAAGCUAAUAUGUGAAGAUAGGUUAUGCAAUAGCAUCGAUGCCGACACGGCGGCUACCAGUUUGGCCUUGGCGGAGCAGCACGGCUGUCUCCGGCUUAAGAAAGUGUGCCUUGAAUUUGCAGUCGUGCCGGAAAAUCUGAUAAGUAUGGUGCUAACUGAAGGGUUUGAGCAUCUGAGGAUGAGUUGUCCCUCGGUUUUGGAGGAUCUCAGAAUGAAGACGACCCGGCACUCUGGUAAGUUUUAAAUUAGCAAAGACAAGAUCCGUUAUAUGUUGUUUUCAUUUCUUUCAAUUAUUGUCCUCAAUGAUAUACUGAUAUAUUUUGGAAGAUAAAUAAGACGAAAUGUCGAUUUAGAGCCAAUUUAUGCAAAUAUAAAUUUAAUCAGUUGGCUCCUUGUAAUAAAAAGAAGUAAAAGGUCUUGGUUGUUUGUGUUAACAUUCCGCUAAUGAAAAACUGGAAUCCUAGGAAGACGUUAAAAGGGUAUGCUUCAUUCAUGAUUCCAAUAGGAAUGGGAAGUGGGAUUAGAUUGUAUUGGAAUGGAAAAUGGAAUGAUGAAUUAUCCAAAAAUAUUUGGUUUAUUAUUGGAAUGGAAAUCAUAAUGAACAUUCAGGAUUUUGGGAGAGGGUGUUGGUUAAAAAAGAUGAGAGUGAUGACUGAUGAAGGGAGAGAAAGGGGAAGUGUUUGUGAGAGAGGGCUUUGAGUGGUUUACUUUUGAAUGGGCUAAUCUGGAAUUCAAAGCUAGAUUGGACCAUAAAUGCAUUAAGGCUAUUCCCAUUCCAGAGUAGAAUGGGAAUCAAAGUCCGAUUCAUGUAAAACAAACAACAACUAUUAGAAUCAAUGAAUCUCAUUCCGAUUCUAUAACCUAAAAUAGGUGGACCAAACGAGCCUUGAAACUGCAAGAUUGUUACCAUAGUUUGAAAAGGGCACGCGCCUCGGCGCCUAGCGUGGGCCUCAGCGCCACAGCAAUAGGGAGGCGCAGCGCUAUUGUUGAGGCGCGCGCCUAGGGCCUGAGGCACGCGCCUCAUGCGAGUUGCGAGGCGCUCCUGAGGCACGCGCCUCGCAAUAUUUAAGUUUACAAGAAUUUUUUAUUCAAGUUUUCGAGUUGUCGGGUUUUGAAUUUGCAUCUUAUACUUUACCCCGAUAAGAUACUUAAAAAAUCUUAAAAGAAAUUUUAAAAAAUUCAAGUUUUCGGAUUGUCGGGUUUUGAAUUUGCAUUUUAUACUUUAAACUCGAUAAGAUACUUAAAAAUCUUGAAAGAUACCCAAAAUACCACUAAAAAAAUCAGCCGCUUGCCCCUUCUCCGUCUCUUAUUCUCUCACAUCCUCUCCCUGUCGAGCAUCCAGCAGCAGCUGUGCUGUCAGCAGGAAGCAGCGGCAGGAAACCGGCGGUGGCUAGAACAAGCAACCAGCAGCAGUGGCAGCAGGAAAACAAGUAGUAGCAGCGAAAACAACAGCAGUGUCAGCAAGUACAUCAAAUUAAACUAUAUGCAUGUGUUUUCUUUACUUUUUGAUGGUUAUUUUGGGGUUUUUUAAUAUAUAACAUCAAAUUAAAUUAACUUUAGUAAAUGUGCGCCUCGCCUUCUUGAGGUGCCCGCCUUGCAGUGCGCCUCUCCGCGCCUCGCGUCUAUGCAAACACUGAUUGUUACACAAGUAUAUAUUUGUUGUGGCAAGAUAAGGAUAAAAGUAGAAUUAGUGAGGAUGGAGGUAUUGUAAACAAUGGAAGUAUUUUUAUGGUGUAUAAUUUGUUAGCAAUGUAACCCACAAGAUUACAGAGAAAUCUUUUCAGAACAACUUGAAUCACACAUAUCAUGCUUUUGAAGUGAACUUGUACUCAUGUUUUUUAUAUGCUGUUUCUAAUUUUGUGAACUUGUGUAUAGCCAAUUAGCAACUAGGUUAUUUAUUUACAAAGCUAUGAUGCAUAGAUACUCUAGAUGCAUCCUUACCAGAUACUGUAUCCAGUAUGAUACUUACUAAAAUACUUCAUAGAUAGCCUCAGAUAUGUGUCUGUAUUAAAGGAGUGUAGCAAUAGUAAUAUUGCUUUGAUAUAGAAGAAGGUAGGAUGGUCCAGACUCUAUACUAGGAGGAUGUCAUCUUUUCAUCAAUUCAAAGUAAAAAUAUGAUCGUGUUAAGCAUCAAAACUAAUUUAAUUUAUUUAAAGACGGAACAAAUAUUAUCUAAUUAAUAGAGCUUGGUCUUAUCUAGGAGUUAGUUAUAGGCUCCCGGUUAUACUAUAAAUUAUAUCCAUUCAUAGUAUGAGUAAGGUAAAAUGGAAGAUAGUUUUACAAAGUAUAGCUUCCUAAAAGAGCCAAUAGUUGAUGUUGAGAUGCUGGCGACAACAACUUUCUUGUACAGGUCAGUAUUUGAAGAUAGAGUAAGGAAUCUGACUUGUGUAACCUAAAAUAUCUAUCAAAAUCUUGAUUUAAUUCCUAUAUGUGGGGUUCAUAGUUGUUCCCAACAGCCUACGUCUAUUAGGCUAUGAGUUACAUAUUCCUGAGAGUUUACAGUAAAAACUUUUAUGUAUUCAGUCAACAUUUGCAUGGUAUGAAGUAUAGGAUGAAUGCCUUUAAAGUGCUUAUACUAUUUUGGAGAAGAAUUUAUGUUAUCUUUUGGAUCUAACUGCAGCUUUCAAAAUCUCUCACCGGUUUAUAUGCACUUCUCAAGUUUGAUGUACAGAGUCUGUUGCAUAAAAGAUGUUUCUUGAACUUCUGAUAAUAUUUAAGUAUCCUGAAUUGUUGAAUCUUCAUCGCUAGAGAGAAUUAAGUGCUGUGGAAUUUGUCACAGAGGACUAGUCUAACCUUGUUUGAUAUCUAACUAUUACUAAUUCUCAAUGAGGAUGGAUUGAUUUGGUUCACAAUUUGCUAAAUUAUAUUCUUGUCCAUAAUUUUCGUAUGAACAUGAAUUAGUUUCUGGGUAGUUAGUGAAUAUAUAUCUUGUUGCUAUAUUUGCUAAAAGUGGUAUCUAACAGAUUCUUACCAGAUUUAGACGGAUUUGAAUAUGAAUAGACUUCAAGUCUGCAGGGGUAUUGCUCAAUAAGAUGCACGCAUAGUAUAAAGUAGUCAUCUAUAAAUAUUUGUUAAAUGUUAGUAAUUUAGUGAUAAGUCUUUAUGUCCUUUAACAAAUAUUCUUAGAAAUGUUCCUUCUUUUGUUUGGUUAGUUGUGGAUUCAUAUUCAGUUUAACCGUUUAUGUUUGGGUCAUUAGCGAUUAUUGCUAUCCUGACACAUUUGAUGUGGACAUUGUAUUAAUAACUACGCAAUUUGAUGAAACUUGUGAUUGCACCUAUGUUCUUUUGUUAUUAAAAAUUGUAUUAUGACGUAACAAGUUUAUGAAAGGAGUUUGUUAUUUGUGGCUACCAUAUAGUGGAUGUUGACUUCUUGUGUACCUUUUCAUGCAAUUAGUAAUUUAUCUUAGGCGGUGUUUGGUUGUCUGUAAAAACACUCCGAAAAUUUUUUUUCGCUUGAAAAGUGGUUUUCCCUUGUUUGGUUGCUCGUAAAAGAAGUUGCCGGAAAAUUUUUUUUACGGAAUCUACGUAAAAAACCAAGUUUUGGUUUUCCGCCCACCGCGGGCGAAAAACGAAAAACUUGAUCCCAAAACGCGCGGCUCACAGCGCUGAAAAAAACGCGGUCCACGAGAAAGCCUGAUUCUCGUGGACUGCGUGAGUGGUCCAACUGCGUGAGUGGUCCAACUGUGGACCACUCACCAACUCUUUCUCUCUUAUNUGGUAAAAAAUUAUUAUACAUAUUUAUAAAUAUAUAUAUUUAUUAUAUAUAUAGUAUUUUAUUUUUAUAUAGAAAUAUUAUUAUAUAUUAUUUUAUUUAUAAAUUUGUAAUUAUUUAUUAAUAUCUCUAAAUAUAUAAUUCUUAUAUAUAUAUGAUGUAAUAUGUUCAUUAUAAUUUUAAAUAUAUUUAAUUUGUAUAUAUAGAUUAUAAUAAUAAUUUAUAAUAUUAUGUUCAUUAUAAUUUUACAUACUAUGAUGUAAUAUGUAAUUAUAUAUAUUUAUUAUAUAUAUAAUAUUUUAUUUAUAAAUUUGUAAUUAUUUAUUAAUAUUUUUAAAUAUAUUAUAUAUGAUGUAACAUAUUUAUUAUAAUUUUAAAUAUAUUUAAUCUGUAUAUAAAAAUUAUAAUAAUAUAUAAAAUAUAUUAAUUAUUAUAUAUUAAUAAUAUAUAAUAAAAAAUAUUAAAUAGUUUUUCAUCUAUUCUUUUUUCUUCCAACCAAACAACCGUCAUGGAAAACUAUUUUUCUUUUCCUACAAAUCAAACACUAACGACGUAAAACCAUUUUUCCACCGAAAAUUUUUUUUCCACAGUUUUACGUGGAACCAAACACACCCUUAGCAAUUAUUGUGGAUGUUGAAUUCUUGCGUACCUUUUCAUACAAUUAGUAAUUUGUUUUACAAUUAAUUGUCACUUGCAUGACCUUCACAUUUACAGACCAUCUUCUUUCAGCACAACAAAAUGUGAAAAAACCUACUUCUCUGACAACUCAAGCUGUUACAGAGCUAUGCUUAAUAUAAUGGGAGCUACAAAUUUAGUUUCUGACAAUUUUAGUUGUCCUCAGAUCUUCAAUUUUAAUAAUUUAAUCCUCGAAGCUUUUUCCAUGUAGCUAUCAAGUGCGUCACGUAAUCUAAGGGCUUAGAAAACAACAAAGCUGCAUUAUUGUUGCAGUUUAAAUGUUAAAAAACCACCAUACAUAUCAACAGAGCUAACAAUGGAGUUAUGAGACACCUUUUUUGGAGGGCAACGUAAUGAAAGGACUUGUUAUAUAGGACAAUUUAUAGGGACUUUAUUGUCAGAAACAUAAUAGAAGUGGGUAAUUAAGAUUGCAGCAUCUUAUAGUCAACACUUUGAUGUCUAGGCUCUCAAAUUUAUUAUGUCCAAAAGUUUGGGUAUGAAUUAAAUAGUUUGAAGUUUAUAUUGUUCUCUCUCUCUCUCUCUCUUUGAGGUUUAUAUUGUUCUCUCUCUCUCUCUCUCUCUCUCUCUGUUUUAUUUUUGAAUGGAUGUUGUUCUCAAUCUAACGGCAGUAGCUCAGAGGGGUUUGGGCUUAGGACAUUUUCUUGCACCUAUUAAUCUAUUAUGUGCAAUGUGAAAUAAGAGGGUGAAGUUUUUCUGUUGGCAAAAUAAAAGGCCUCAUGUGAUUGAAAACUCUGGAGCCUUUGUUUUUAUUCCAUGUGAAAACAUUUGUUGUCUAAAACUCGACUAUUCUUUUUGUUGUCGUAGGAAUACAUUGGUCAUUUCAGGCAUUGUUAUCCCGCAGUGAUAAUGUUUGCAAUCAGUUUGCAUCGAUAUAAUUCUUUUUCAACUCAUUUUCUUUUCUAUUCUGAUAAUAGUAAUGUUGAAUACUAAAUUUUUAUGGAUCCAGGAAACCAUGAUAACAUCAAAUAACUAAUGGAAGGAAGUGUGCGGAUGGCAAAGUUAGAGCAGUGAAGCAAAUUCGGUAUAGUUGUUGUUUUAGAAGUAUACUAACAUGACUUAUAUUGUUCGUAGAAAAAAUGUGGAAUAUUGCAUAUAUAUUUGUAAUUGUAAUUACUAGUUUCUAUUUCUAUAAAUAAAUAAUUGCUUGCUCUAUAAGCCAGAAACUUUCAUUGAAUAUUUAACUAUGUUUUGAGUUUUAAUUGGUGGCCCUCUAGAUAUUUGUUUAGCAUGUGCCUUCUGUUAAGCUCUGGUUUGCAAGAAUGAAGCAAUUUUUGUUGCAAAGAUUUCUGUAACGGUGCAGUUCUUUUUAUCCGUAUUGCAAAGAAGACUUGAUUAGCUUGCUAUUUAAACUGGCCGUCUAUUUUUCUUCUUGUAGUAUGUAAUAUAAAUUAGUUCUCAUUGUAAAUUUUGUAUGCUAUUGGAGUGGCUUCUAAAUAGAUACUGUAGGUAGUUGAGAACAUAUGGUUUUAUGAUGGAUUGGACUCUUUUUAAUUAUUAAAUAGCCUUUUGGUUUGCUUUAUGAGUAUUUGUAGUUUAGUCACUUGUUUUAUUUAUAUUCUUCAGUUUCAGUGCUAAAUUGUAUUCUUUAUGUGAAACUGACUCUAGUAAUGCUAUUUUACAUCCAAAAGUUGAGUGUAAAUUUUAUACCCUACCCAUCGAAGGGUGGGAACAAUCUUUUUUGUAUUUAAAAAAUAGGAUGGUGAUAUGACUAGUGGGAUAGAAUUAACCCGCUCAUUUUGAUGAAAAAAAAUAAAACAUUUAUAAGUGGCAGAAAAAAUGGUUAAAAACGAAUGGAUCUUUUACCUCUGCCAAGAUGGACUGCUCUUUAUGUUCUCCGAUCAGUGACUCCUUUAAGUGUAGUGUGGUAAAAAAUUGUCGAUCUCGAACUGUUGAUCUAUCUAUCUAGAGAGAGAGAGAGAGAGAGAGAGAGAGAGAGUUGGGCUAGAAUACUCUUAAUAGUAUUUGGGCUCUGAUACUAUUAAGUCAUUUUUGAUGAUAGGAUAUCCAAAUCGUCGAUCCAUAUCGUUCAAGUUGAUCUAGAGUGUUUGAACCUUAUAAAAAUUAAGUUUCAUAAUUUUUCGAAAUCAUUUUCUAGUUCAUCAAGUGACUGCAGAAUGCACAGUUGAAAAUGAACAAGCUACUUAAAAUCGAUAAUAGAACUCUCAAAUUCAAGAUCAAGGUUAUUCAUUUGAUCAAGAUAGUUAAAGAAAUUUCGAUUGAAAAUUGAACUAAUUUAGAACGUGCUACACCGUUAAACGAGAAAAUGCAUCAUAUAGACGGUUAAAAUUAUUUAAUUUUGAGAUUACUUGAUCACAAGUAGUUAAUGUCGAAAAAUUACAAAAUUAAAUUUCUAAAAGGUUUAAAUGCUGUAGAUUUACUUGAACGGUAUGGUUCGUCUAUUCGGAUGUCCCAUUAUCCAAAGUGAUGCGAUGGUACCGGAGCCCAAAUACUCUUAAGAGCAUUCUAGUCCAACAUGACAAACAUGACAAUCUUGAAAUAGUCAUUUUCUCUAAAUGUUUAAAGUUAUUAGCUAGAGAGUUGUGUCUUAAAUAUUGGGUUUGAGUUCAAUUUCAAUUAUGUCUUCAGAGCUUUAAUUUGAAAAAUUUAGCCAUUGGAAUUUGUCCCACACAAUCAUUACAUUCUUCACUUAAGAAAACAUCACGUUUGCAUUGUCAUUAUAAUUGAAAGCACAUGAAAAUAUUAGUAGGAUGUUAGGAAGCGCUACUUAGGUUGGUGAGAUAGUGGCAUGGAUUUAAGUGCCAGUUGGCAUGUGUCUUGUCAACUGUGCUGACAAAGCAUUGGCACAACACAACUUUUGUGCCAAUGGCACGAUUCGAAAUCCUUCUUUUGUAAUUUUUUUCAACCAAAUAGGUUUAGCAUUGGUUUCAAAUGAUCUAAUUUUGAUGGAAUGAAGGUGCAGGAAAUUUGAUUUGCAUCAUGCAUACACAAAAUUGAAAUCUCAAUAAAUUUAGCAUUAGUUUUUUAGGGAAUAUAAUUUUCUUCAACUUUUACUCCUUAAUCUAAUGAAUACUUGCACAUUUUAACAUACUUCUCAAAAUUAUUAAUAGUAAAAAAGAAUUCGAUAAUAGCAUAUUUAAGAACAAAUGUGAUAUAUAUUUGUUGAACAAAUAAAAAUCUCAUAUGAAUUUGUGUCGGCACAUGGGUACUGUACCAGCAGCACCGAGGCUAUGCAAAUUUUGUCAUCCUAGCCAGCGCUCAGGCAUGGUCCCGUGUCUCGACACUUAAAACCUUGUAGGGACAUCUUCUUUCAAAUAGAAAAGUUAUGAAAGGAUUCAAUUACUAUGGAGGACAAAUUUCAGGGACUAAAAUUUUUAAAACUCCUGGGGCAUAAUUGUUGUUAUUGAUGUUUUGUAUUAAUUAAUUAGCUUCAAGAAUAUUGUAGGUUUUAGAUGCUAGAUGGUUUUACAAUGUGAGAGUUUUUCUAAUGACUAAAUAGUUGAUGAGCCUGAUUUGGAUCUUUGCUACCACGUGAAACUACCAUAAUCUCUUUUAGGUGUUAUAUGCGUAUUUAGUAUUACUACCAUCAUGCACAUUAACUGAGGUGUUAAGAAUAAUCGUGGUCAUUUCUGAUUGAUUGGUUAUGCAAACGAUGUAUUCUCACAAUAAUAUUACUUGCAAGCAUUUUAUUUGCAUGAUAUAUUUUCAACUUGAUGACUUCUCAUAACUAUUCCAACUGUAGUGGACUUUAUACAUUGGUCAGAGAAAGCUUAUAACUUGCUUAAAUUUUUUUCUGCCGAUCCAGAAAACAGUAGUCACUUCAAAUGGCCAGUGGACUUGCCUGUGUUGAAAAGUUAGAGAGGAGAGAUAUGUUUAGCAGCAGCUGUUGUCUUAAAAGGUAAUGUGGAUAGAACCUAAGCUUUUUGAAUUUUGAAUAGUGAAAGCUUGUCUAUAUAUAUAUGCCCUGCAAUUUUUUGAUCUUCAGGUUAUAUUUUGUUCCAACAUGCAAAUAUUUAGUUGCCCUAUAUAGCCAUGGCCGAAAAUUCAUUAGAUAUCUGAACAAUGUUAUUCGGCAUGUUCUCAUGUCACCUUUGUUUUUUAUGGUUUUGAGGGAUGAUGAAAAUUGGGCAAUUUUUAUUGCAAUCAUAAGUAUGGAAACAACAAACUUCUUUUCUUCUUUACAGACAUUCCGUAAGAUAUAUAAUAGUGUGCUAAAGAGCUUGACAAACUGAUUUUUCUAGAACUAGCCUUUUCUCUUUUUCCUAUUUUUGCUUAAUAGUUUAAUAUAAUUCUAUUCUUAUUGUAAAUUUCUUAUAAUAUUUUAGUGAUUUCUAAGUAAAUACCGUAAAUUGUUGCUGAUAGUUGGUUUAAUGAUUGGAUUCUUGUAUAUUUAGGUCUUGUUUCACAUCACUGCUAAUUUUUUUUAAAUUUUUUGUAAACAUAAGGUUUAUAUAGGGGAAUUAGAUAUAUGUGGAUGUUAUUUUCUAUUCGCGUUAUGAUUAGUUAGAUUGACGUUCAUCUCUUCUAGGUGAUGAUUACUUCCAAGAUUUUAUCUUCUAUAGCCAAAUAAUAUUUUACUUUGAAUGCAAUGAUUGCAAACAAUCGAUCAUUCAUUUAAACAUUCUUUAAUGUGGAACUUUUUUUUUUUUUAAAAUGGUAAUAAUGCCAAAUAAGAUCUUAGUAAAUAUCUUUUGGUUUUGUUUUGUUGGUAUUCUGGAAUUUGCUAAAACAGAUCUGUAAGUUUAGCUAUGGUUCCUCAUGUUCUGUUGUCCACUUACGACAAAUUUUAAAAUCGACAACUAAUAUAUACUCUUUUAGAAAUUGUAUUUCCAUCUAAUCAAUCUUACAUAUAAUGAAAGCCUAUGGAUGUGCUUCUCAAAAGCCAAAAAAAAAAAAAAGUGGAACGUAACAGUGCAUUAUCCCUAUUUUCACUAUGUCAGGUUGCCUAUAAUUUUUUUUUAUAUAUUAUUAAUAAGUUGACAAUGAUAAUACAUAUGGCUUUAAUUGUCUUGUUAGUCUAAAAUACUCACGUAGCACAUACUGUAUGAACCAAUUAAAUUUCUUUAUAUUAUGAAGUCAAGAUUCUCUUGGAUCGAGUUACAGUACACUUUUUUAUGGAAGCAGAUUCCUCCAUUCUUUUUUCACUGUUCAGAAUGAAAAAUUUCCAAACAAAAUGUUUUCUCCUUUUGUAUUGUUUAUUUUAGGUGGCAAUCGCCUAUUUGUACCAACAAAUUUUCACCUUUCAUAUCUACCCAUCAAAAUAUAUGUUCUCAAACAUACCCUGGGAAAAAUCCAAAUCCUUUAUUAUAAACCUUCCAAAUACAGAAAUCUUUCAAUGGUUUAUUUGAGACGAAGGGUAAGUUUCACAAGUUUAUAAUAGUCUCUUAUUUCUUUAAUUAUACUAUACUAAAAUGUACUUAAUGAUUUUGUUUUUUUUGGUAGAUUGAAUUAAAAUUUCCAACCUUUAAAAGAUUUGAUUUUAAUAUCUAACUUUUCAAUUUGUUUGAUUUAAGCUAUUUAAUGGUUCUUCCAGUUUGAAAUUUAGGUAAUCAUUUUGAUGAAUUCUAACCACAUAACCUACAAGAAUAUUAAACUCUAUAUUAAAGUUGAAACCAAAUGCCGUUCCUCCAUCGAGCCACGUAGCCUGAACAUUAAAUACAAUGUGCAUGAACAUUAAAUACAAUGUGCCACGUGUCUCUCUCUCCCUCACAUUCUCUCCCUGUGCAUGAACCAAAACAAUUCAUAUCACAUAGAAUAUUGCCAUGUACUAUUGCUAUCUUGCUAAUCAUUAGGGUGCAUGCAUCCACCUCCCAGCUUUUUCUAUAUAUCUAGCAUUGUUCGCUAUCAAACAAGUGUAUGAAUGUGUAUACUUGUCUCUGCUUAUUUGUUCCUCCCAGCUUUAUCAGUAGUGUUAGAGCAUAUUCUCAACCUUGCUAUAUUUGUUUUGGAAUUAUUUGGGAUAUAUAUCUUCUACUGUUGUUAGGUGAGGUAAAACUAUGUUGCUUUAAACUCUCAUAGAGUGUACUCCUUGAUAGUAUAGGAAUACAAAAUAAAUAAUAUAAAUUUAACAGUAAAUAAUUUUUUAGUAUAUUCCUUGAUAGUAUAGGAAUACGAAACAAAUAAUAUAACUUAACAUUAAACAGAUUGUUUUUUCCAGCAUACUGGAACAAUAACCUUACAUAAACGCUAUACUAAAACUUAAACCAAAUGUCGUCCCUCCAUCGAGCCACGUGAUCUUUCUUUUAUAUGGUUUUCUCUCUCUCCCUCACUUGUUCUCCCUCCCUUUACAUAAAAUAUAUGGUGCAUGAUGGGAAAAAAAUAUAGUACAGAGAAUAUUGCAUUGUACUUUUGCUAUCUAUGUAAUCACGUGGGUUCAUGCAUCCUCCCCCCACUCCAGCAUUCCCUAUAUAUAUGCUGUUCACUACCAAACAUGCGAAUAAAUGUUAAUAUUUGUCUCUACUUACUUGUCUUCCAGCAUCAAUAGUGUUAGAGCAUCUUCUCCAGCUUUCUAUAUAUAUAAACGUUCAGCUUCUAACAUAGUUAUUGGGCCCACCACCCAUUUACUUCCUUAAGGAGUAAGAUUUUUUUUUGGCUGUAUCUACAGAUACAACCAGCUAUAUCCAUCUGUUUGUUUUAGAAUUAUUUGGGUUACAUAUCUGCUACUUUCCUAAGGUAGGGUAAAACUAUGUUGUUGUAUACUCUCAUAGAGUGUAUUCCUUGAUAGUGUAGGAUUACAAAAAAAAAUAAUAGUUAAUUAUUUACAUUCACUAAACAUCUUUAUCUUAAUUGGUUAAAUGAAAGAACAAUAAGCUAACAUAAAUCAAAAUAAAAAAUGUGUGCCUAAUUAUCUUACCGUGCUUUUUAUAUGUCGUUACUUCUUUAUGGAAUGAUAACAUAAACGCUUAAAAAGUAAAUAAUUAAUUGGCUUAUUUGUUUUAACGAUAUGUUGGUGAUGUUGGGUCCCUGGAUUUUUUGAAUUUAAUACUGGACAUAUAUAAAUUUUCAGUCUUUACAGGUGUAUUUUUAAACUAUUUAAUAAUGUGUGUAAUUAAUUACAGGCUUCUCGUCUUUGUUCGUUAGAUGCAUCCUAUUUUUCUUUACUCCCUUAAUUAAAAUUAAUUAGUAAUUGUUUAUGAAAAUUACGAUUGCCUCCAGAGUUUUUUUUCCCUUGCUUCAUAUUUCUAUUUCGAUGACUUUCUUUAAAACUAUAAGGAAGUGUCUUAUUAUUUUUAUCAAUAUAUGUUUCAUGUGGGGAAAAAAAAACCAGGACUUUAAUGUAUUUGGAAUUAUGAUUUUCAUUACUCUUCGUCUUUUUUUUUUUGAUUCCUAUCUUUCUUGAGCAUGUAUACAUGCAGAUUCUUUACUAGUUAAUUAUUUACCUCCUCUAGGCACCUUUAUUUUAAUUGGCUAAAUUAAAGAUCAGUUCUAACAAUUUCAUACUAAGUUUCUUUAUCUUACCGUACUUUUUAUAUUUCGUUAGUUCAUUAUGGAGUGAUAACAUAAAUUGUUAAAAAGUAAAUAAUUAAAUGACUUAUUUGUUUUAAGGAUAUGUUGGUGAUGUUGGGUUCCUUACUUUUUUUUAUUAAUGGUGGACAUAUAUAGAGAUUUGUCUCAGUACUUAAAUUUUUAAUCUACGGCUAUUGAGCAAUGCAUGUAAAGAUGUUAGAAAGUUUCUCUAGACAAUAGCAUUGGAGGGCUGGGAUUAAAAAAACUAAUGCAUUAAUUAUACUAGAUUCAUAACAUAAGUCUUAUGUUUUAUCAUACAUUAAUUAUUUUGCAUUUGGUCAUUCUAUACCUUAGCUUAAAAUGAUUAUCUCGUCUUUUUUAUAUCAUUCUUGAACGUUUAAAGGACAAUGGCGGCCCUACCAGUAUAAUAUAAGCAAUUGUUUACCGACAUACUUGGGGUUCUUGCCUUUCCUCUUCCUAAUUACGGCGCAAUGUUCGGUUCUGAUAGCUUGUAUGUGGGAUGUGCUGAAAUAAAAGUUGAAAAUAUUGAUGGAAUUGAAGAGGUUUUUAAGUGGUUUGGUCAGAAAUGCAUUAAUGUUGAGUUAGCAGAGGAAAAAGCCGCUCAUGAAGCAAUUAUGUGCUUGAAGAAAGCACUUAAUUUCGAUAUUGCUGAUAUUAACUAUGAUGACUUAAUGGUUUAUAAAUCUUUAUACGAACAGUUGUGUGCCAACCACAACCAACUCCAGUCCGACUACUAUUUUCUAAAAGAAUGUUACAGUUAUACUCUCAGCGAGGUUAGGUGCCUUCAAAAUGAGAAUACGUGGCUGGGACAACAAGCCGACCACGCUGCAGAGUUGCUGUGGCCCACUACAAUUAAUAAUCAUCUGCAUCCUUCAGUUGUAAUCUUUAAAGUCUUUUGUAGCAUGAAUUUCGCAGUCUCCCUUUAGUUGUAUAAAAAUGUCAUGACGUUUCGUUUCCUUCUUUCAAUGUCUUGUAUUUUGUUGUUUUUGAUACUGUAGUAUAAUUUGUCUGUCUGAUAGUGCCGUGACGUGUCGUUUCCUUCCUUCAACGUCUUGUAUUUUGUUGUUUCUAGUACUGUAUUGUAAUUUGUCUGUCUGAUACUCUGAGUUUUCUAAUAGUCAUUAAGAUUUGUGCGCUUGAGGGUAGGAGACUGUAUAACGGUANNNNNNNNNNNNNNNNNNNNNNNNNNNNNNNNNNNNNNNNNNNNNNNNNNNNNNNNNNNNNNNNNNNNNNNNNNNNNNNNNNNNNNNNNNNNNNNNNNNNNNNNNNNNNNNNNNNNNNNNNNNNNNNNNNNNNNNNNNNNNNNNNNNNNNNNNNNNNNNNNNNNNNNNNNNNNNNNNNNNNNNNNNNNNNNNNNNNNNNNNNNNNNNNNNNNNNNNNNNNNNNNNNNNNNNNNNNNNNNNNNNNNNNNNNNNNNNNNNNNNNNNNNNNNNNNNNNNNNNNNNNNNNNNNNNNNNNNNNNNNNNNNNNNNNNNNNNNNNNNNNNNNNNNNNNNNNNNNNNNNNNNNNNNNNNNNNNNNNNNNNNNNNNNNNNNNNNNNNNNNNNNNNNNNNNNNNNNNNNNNNNNNNNNNNNNNNNNNNNNNNNNNNNNNNNNNNNNNNNNNNNNNNNNNNNNNNNNNNNNNNNNNNNNNNNNNNNNNNNNNNNNNNNNNNNNNNNNNNNNNNNNNNNNNNNNNNNNNNNNNNNNNNNNNNNNNNNNNNNNNNNNNNNNNNNNNNNNNNNNNNNNNNNNNNNNNNNNNNNNNNNNNNNNNNNNNNNNNNNNNNNNNNNNNNNNNNNNNNNNNNNNNNNNNNNNNNNNNNUCUUAAAAUACACAGUUGGAAAGGUUAUGGUGUAUUAUUUACGUUACUUUAAAUUAUUCAACACCAACCAUUUUUUUUAUAGUUAAUAGUAGAAUGAUUUAAUUUUUACUAUAUAUGUACUAAUUAUCAAAUUUAGGAGACUAUAUAUACAUAUGCAUGAAGUGUGCCAGAAGCAAUUACUUCUCCACUUGGAGCUCUUUUAACGGGCAAAAAUUUAGUGGACACAGUGUCGCAACAAUGCUAUUUGGGGACUCUCCGGAUGGGCGCUGCGUGGCGAGCACGCACCGAUCUCGAAGUCUUUUUUUUUUUUUUAGGCAUUUACAAACAGGCCGUUUCGGAGAUUUCGGAUUUGGAUGCGAACCGUUAAAAGGCGUAAACGGGAAGACAGGGGAGACCCCAGUUGGGGGAGUAGGGCAUUCUCAGGCUUGGAUUUGACUUAACUGGACGCUGGUGCUGUUCAUCGUGUUGUUUCGCGGAUUCCUCAGGUCUUCAGCCUCGGCCGUUCUGUAGUACUGCCCUGCCGAUCUCGAGUCUACGACGACUGCGGCCGGCAGAUUCGUGGGGUGGAAUCAAGAUUUGGAAAAGGAGAGUUCCGGAAAGAUGAAGUGGGUGCAGAAGAAGUAAUGGAUUUGCUACAACUGCAACGAUGGAAAACGGUUUCUCCACGGAUCGCCACCGGAGUGCACAUUACAUUACAUUAAAGUGAUCAACUAAUUAAUUAGAGUCAGAAGCUCAAGCUCACGUUAUUGGAAAUGAUUUUUUUUUUCAGCUUUUUUUUUAAAAUUCUUUUUUUUUUUUCUGGAGCAGUGUUGAUCAAAGUUUACAGUUGUAAGUGCAGCUUUUGUUGAUCAAAGUUUACAGUUGUAAGUACAGCUUUUAGCGCUACAACAUUGAUUGAAUUCUUUAUUUUUUUUUAUUUAUAAUAUUCUGGUCAACACUGAUCACUCAUAUAUAUAUAUAUAUAUAUAUAUAUAUAUAUAUAUAUAUAUAUAUAUAUAUAUAUAUAUAUGGUUAUUUAAAUGUGGAAGUACACAUGGGGAUCGAUGUAUGAUUACGUGGACCUGACCAGUCAAUGAGCUCCUGUACAUAGGAAUUGUUUAAGUGGACCAUCUUCGCCACGUCAGCUGUGGACUGCCAGAGGGGGGACAUGAUACUAUAUGGUACCAUUUGGUUCGGGAACAAGGAGGAGAAUAAGCCCUUAUCCCCCCUUUGUUCCCAAACGCAGCGUUUGGUAACCGAGAACAGUAGCUCCCGGAUUUCUGAAACUAGCUGGUAUAACACUGGAACUAGCUGGAACUGCUGUUCUACCUUUUUCUUGGAACAAGCUUGUUCCUGAAUGAGAACAAGGUUAAUUAAAUAUAAAUUUAAAAUUUAAUGAUAGUAAAUUAUUAAUUAAUCUAACUAAUAUAUUUGAAUUAUUAUCUAUUGCUUAAAUAAUAAAAUAAAUAAAUAAAUAAUCAAUUAUAAUUAAUUAUUUAUAAUUAGAUAAUAAUAAUUAUUAAUUUAAUAAUUAUUAUUUAUUAAUAAUUAUUAAUUAAAUAAUUAUUAUUAAUAAUUAUUAUUCUUAAGAAAUAGAUAAUCGAUAUUAUUAAUAAUUUAUUAUUUAUAAUUAAUUAUUAAUAAUUAGAUAAUUAUUAUUAAUUAAUUUAUUACUUAUAAUUAAUUAUUAAUAUUAUUAUUUAAUUAUUAAUUAAUAAUAAAAUAAAAUAAUUAUUCUUAUUAAUUAGAUAAUCGAUAUUAUUAGUAAUUUAUUAUUAAUAAUUAAUAAUUAAAUAAUUAUUAUUAUUUAUUAAUAAUGAUUUAUAAUUAAUUAUUAAUAAUUAGAUAAUUAUUAUUAAUUAAUUUAUUACUUAUAAAUAAUUAUUANNNNNNNNNNNNNNNNNNNNNNNNNCGCGCCGCGACUUUUUUUUUUUUGCUUUUUUUCUUUUCUUUUCUUCUCCGACUCUUCUCCACCGUCUCCGACGACGACGCCUCUCGUCCUUCCCCGCCCUUCUCAUCUCUCCCUUUCCCCCAUUUUCUGCCGCCUCCAACGACGAUUUAUCUUCGCCGGCGCCGACAUCGACACCGUAGAGGUCACUGCGGCACUACAACCUCGGAGCGGGGGGUCCUUAGCGGCGUUGUCACCGGCGCCGUAGCUGUUGGCAGAGAAGGUGAUAAAAAAAAUUAUAGAAAAAACAGAAAAAAAGUAAAGAUAAAAAAUUAUAUAAAAAGAAGGAUGAAAAUGAAAUUGCAUCGUUAAUUACAAAAAAAAUUAUAAGUUGCACUAUUUAAGAUGUAAACUGCUGCUUUAAGAUAAAAAUUAUACUCUUUGAACAAAAAUUACGCUCUUUGGGAGAUGUUUACACUGUUUCUAUUCUUAUUGCACUCUUUCAGAUGUAAACUGUAAUCAUUAAGAUGAAAAUUACACUCUUGAAACGAAAGUUGCACUGUUUUUCUCUUGUUGUACUAUUUUUUAUCUUAAACUGCAUCCUUUUAAGUGAUAUUUAUACUGUUUCUCCUCUUGUUGCACUGUUUUUCCUUUUGUUGCACUAUUUCUCCUCUUGUUUUUACAGAAAAUGGUGCAACAAGAGGAGAAACAGUAUAAAUAUCUCUUAAAAGGGUGCAGUUUAAGAUAAAAAAUAGUGUAACAAGAGGAGAAAUGGUGCAACAAGAGGAGAAACAGUGCAACUUUUGUUUAAAGAGUGUAACUUUCAUCUUAAUGGAUGCAGUUUACAUCUGAAAGAGUGUAAUAAGAAGAGAAACAGUGUAAAUAUUUCUCAAAGAGUGUAAUUUUCGUUUAAAGAGUGUAGUUUUCAUCUUAAAGCUGCAGUUUACAUCUUAAAUAGUGCAACUUAUAAUUUUUUUUGCAGUUAACGAUACAAUUUGAUGUUCAUCCUUCUUUUUAUAUAAUUUUUUAUCUUUAUUUUUUUUUCUGUUUUUUCUAUAAUUUUUUUUUGUCACCUUCUCUGCCAACAGCCACGGUGCCGGCGACGACACCGCUAAGGACCCCCGCUCCGAGCCUGUAGCGCCGCAGUGACCUCCACGGUGUCGACGUCGGCGCCGGCGAAGAUGCAUCGUCGUCGGAGGCGGCAGAGAAUGAGGAAGAGGGAGAGAUGAGAAGGGCGGGAAAGGACGAGAAAGACGAGAGAGGCAUCGUCGUAAGAGACGGUGGAGAAGAGUCGGAGAAGAAAAGAAAAGAAAAAAGCAAAAAAAAACAAAAAAAAAGUCGUGGCGCGGCCUUAGCGGGGUUGGAGGCGAGGAAGGUGGGGGGUGCGUGGACGAGGGCAAGGGCGAGGGCGAGGGCGAGAGAAUGAGAGUGAGAGGCGAGACAGACCGUUUCUGCCUCCGCUCUGCCGGCGAGAAAAAAAAAAAGAACGAGAGGAAUGAAGAGGAGAGAGAAAGAGGAAAGAGAAAAAAUAAAAAGGAUAUUUUGGUCAGUUUGCUGAAAAAGCGGACCGAGUCUGGAAAAACGAAAAAAUGGCCAAAUUUUGCAAAAGCCCAAAAUAAGUGGAUUUUUUAUGCAAAUUGGCCAUAAAUAAAAGCACGUAUUUUAAAUUUCGCGACAGAUCCAUUUUUUGGCGGGAUAAAAAUUAAUUCAUCUUUCCUUACGUAAAAUAAAUAACAAAAUUAAACAAACUUUUAUUUCCUCUUUAUUUCUAUAACAGAAAAAAAUUUAUAUUUAUCCAAAUUUUUGCCAAUCGGAGAAUAUCUACUGUGAAUUUUUAUUUAAUUCUUCUUUAUCUCUAUCUGUAAUAUAAUAUCUAUACUUAUAUUAUCUAUCUAUAUCUAUAUCAUCUAUACUAUUUAAAAUAAAUUAAAAUAAUUAUUACGUACAUUUACACGUACGCUCAACUAAUAUAUAUAUAUAUAUAUAUAUAUAUAUAUAUAUACAUGCACACCUAGAGAGUAUGUAUCCAAUAAAGCCUUGAAAAUUAAUUUAAAGUUAUGGGGUUAGAAUAAUAGCGGUUCCCUACCUAGGGUUUAGUGGUGGUUGGUUGAAUAGUAUAAUCUAAAGGGUUGAUGAUGUAUUAUAGACUAACAAAUUAUAGUAAGAAAAAAAAGUUUUUUUUUCCAGUGUAAUAAUUUAUAUUAAAUUAUUGGUUAAAAAAUUAAAGAUGGCAAUGAUAUCAAAUGUGAUCUUAAUUUUUAGAUUUGUGCGGUCUCUUUUUAUCUGGAUGUAUUCAAUUUGAUCACCGUACCUUCAACUAGAUUUGGAGAGCCCNAUAUAUAUAUAUAUAUAUAUAGAGAGAGAGAGAGAGAGAGAGAGAGAGAGUAUGUAGCUGUAGUAUUUUUAAAAACACUAAAUACUUGGUACUUACAAAUUUUUCAUCACUUAACUUAUCCCUUUGAUUAAUUAUAUCCCUUAGAUUAUGUUAUUUCAUAAACCUAUUUUUAUCUAAAAGUCGAAAAAUCUUGAAGCACCAAUAAUUUAUUUAUUUAUUUUUUUGAGAGAUAGAUAACACGCUACCCGCUUCGUUUAUUUCAUUCAGAAAUAAACUUAGCUAGAAAUGUGAAGCAGCUAGGAUUCGAACUUGAGACAUCGAGUACCAACCACCAAACCCUUUACCACUUGCUCUAGGGACGGUCGGUAAUAAUUUAAUAUUUUUAAAAGCAUAUGAACUCAAUUACAUACAUAUGAAAAUUAGUAGCUCUGUUCCAAAUUAGUCUUAGUGUUGGGAAUCUGGUACUCACCUUGAUACCAGAUUUUAUACCAGAUUUUGAAAAUCGGUAAUCCGCUCCGAUAUCGAAUGCUGUAAAUUUGAUAUCAUUUAUUGAGAUUCCGCAACGAAAGCAUAAAAUUAAAUUUUUAACGUAAAUCCUACUCCUUGGCAAAAAUCUAGCACAACCACAAAAGAAAGAAAAACCAAAAAUAAAGAAUACAGAUAAAAUAAGAUUCACUAAAUAAGAGAAGAAUUACAUCUAAGUAUCUAACUACUCUUUUAUAUAAAAUAGUUUCAACUCGAGCCCUCUUUCUGAAUCUCUCUCACCCUCUUCUCGUCUUCUAUAAUUCAAAAGAAGACUUCUCUCCCAUCUUAUUCACCCAUGUAUAAGAUAUACUAAUGAUCCACAACCACGAAAAUUGCACACGUCCUCUCCUCUUACACCAAUGUACUAGAUGCAUCCAAAUCAUGACCACUUUGGCCAUGCUAUAUGGAUGUGGCUAAGUCGUACACUCGUACUGCCACCGCCACCGCCACCAAAAUAAAAGCACUCAUGUUAUAUUUACAGCUUACAUCAAAAGUUAUUCAAAUAUUCGUCUAAUUAGAUUUCUACUUUUGUUAAUACUUAAAUCUUAAUUAAUUUAUCUUUAACAGAUUUAAAUAUUAUUCUAAAUCCAACAAAGAUUCAAUUUCAAAUCUAACUAAAUUCUAAUAUAUAAUAUGCUAGCGCUUCUUAACCUUUUUGUUUAAGCUUUUGAAUUGACUCAAACCCUUGGGAAAAAAAAGAAAAGGUUAUUAACAUUAUAGCUUGUACCAGCUUAGAAAGUAACUCAAAAUAAAUCGUGAAAGGCUACGACCAACGAAAAAAUGAACUAAGAAAAAACUCCAUCAUAAGUUAAAAAAAGUUAAUACAUUUAUAAGUUAUGUUAAAUAAGUACUCUUAAUAAUACGGCCAAUUUGCAUAAAAAAUCCACUUAUUUUGGAGUUUUGCAAAACGGGGUCACCUUUUUCGUUUUUGCAGAUUCGGUCCGCUUUUUCCGCCGCCUUACCAAAAUGCCCCUCCUAUACAAUAUCCUCCCGCGUAUUUCUUGACAUACGUAUACUAUCCUACUACCCUGCCGUACGGUCUGGCGCGCAUUAAAUGAGCCGCUUCCGCCUUACGCAAUCUCGCUCAUUUCUCGGAACCCGGACCACAUCCGCCCCCGCUAUUCGCCGGCCCCGCUGUUUCCUGUUCGGCUUUAAAACUUUACGAAAUUUUCUAAAGCUAUUAAGAAAUACUGCGCGCCCCGCAACAGGGAUAAUAGUGCAACGCGAAGGAGCUACGAAAGGAGAAAUGGUGCAACCCCCUCUAUAACAGUGCAUCCGUAGCCUCGUGCCAGUGCAACCAAUCCAUAACAGUCAAAAUCUUACUUAUUUUAUUUCUUAAUGUAAUCUUAAGCUAAUAGUGCAAAUGAAAGGGCAUGGUGACGUCGAAUAUAGCGGUGUGGAGUAGUCGGAGGCUCCACCACCUUUUUAUUGCCGCCGCCACCGUGGCGCUAUCCGCCCCCGCUAUUCGCCGGCCCCGCUGUUUCUUGUUCGGCUUUAAGACUUUACGAAAUUUUCUAAAGCUAUUGAGAAAUACUGCGCGCCUCGCAACAGGGAUAAUAGUACAACGCGAAGGAGUUACGAAAGGAGAAAUGGUGCAACCCCAUCUAUAACAGUUCAUCCGUAGCCUCGUGCCAGUGCAACAAAUCCAUAACAGUCAAAAUUUUUCUUAUUUUAUUUCUUAAUGUAAUCUUAAGCUAAUAGUGUAAAUAAAAGGGCAUGGUGACGUCGAAUAUAGCGGUGUGGAGUAGGAGGAGGCUCCACCACCUCUUAUUGCCGCCGCCGCCGUGGCGCUAUACCUCCGCGCGCCAGGGAUAAUAGUGCAAGGCGAAGGCUCUACGGCAGGAGUAAUGGUGGAACGAACCUUCUAACAUGCAACCGUAGUCUCGUUCCAGUGCAACCUCUCCAUAAGCAGGCAAAAUUUUACUUAUUUUAUUUCAUAAUGUAAUGUUAAUCUAAUAGUGCAAAUGAAAGGACAUGGGGGCCGUCGAUAAUACCGGGCAACCUAGCUAGCAUGUGAAGGCUAGCUCGGAGGAGGAGGAGGAUCGUCAGAGGAAGCCGUCAGAGGAAGCCGGUUAUGGACAAACGCAACCGAUACACUAGCACCUUAACGUCUAUUUGAAGCUAUUAAUGUAUUAGUUAGAAUACUUCUCUAACAAUAUCAACUACAUUAUCUUCCAACGUAACACUAUUUUAGGACAAACAUAAAAUAAUUCAUGAUAUUUUAGCACAUUAGCCGAAUUGUCUAUUACAUUAAGAACAAGUGUCUAAUUACAUGAGGAAUGCUUAAACAAGGUGAUAAAUGUUCAAUGAGAAAAAAUAGUUUGUAACAACGUGACAAAUGAAGUAUAAUAUUAUAAUUAAAGUCUGAUAAAACGUGAUAAUACAAGUACUAUAGUGGAUCGGAUCCUUUGCAAUUAUUCCUUAACGUGAUAAUAAAAACCGCGCGCCUCCAUAUCGCGGUGCCGCCGCCUCCGUUAUUUCUCCACCACCUCGGCGGGGGAUGAGGUGUGGCGAUAUAAGCUGCAGUGGUAUAGGAAAGUAAACGUGAUAAUCGAAUUCUAAUGUAAUUCUUUAUUUUAUUCAUUUUAAAACUGACAAUACCUAACCAACGUGACCUUGGUCCGAUGCCUACGUGACAAUAUCUCCCGCCAACGUGGUAAAGAGGAAAGCAUCGAGGAAGCGCAACGUGAUAAUAUCCUUUUGAGGUAACAUCCAAACUGAUAUAAUUGAGGAAAGCAUCGAGGAUAUUUUCUUGCGGGCUAACUAAGCAUCGAGGAAGCGCAACGUGACAAAUGAAGUAUAAUAUUAUAAUUAAAGUCUGAAAAAACGUGAAAAUACAAGUACAAUAGUGGAACGGACCCUUUGUAAUUUCUCCAGCACCUCGGAGGAGGGUGAGGCGNAAACCUUCUAACAUGCAACCGUAGCGUCGUUCCAGUGCAAGGAGAAUGCUAGGAGGAGGAGGGUCGAUCGGAGGUUAAGAUCCAGCAACGAGGCGAUCAGAAAAAACGAUCCAGCAACGAGGCGUUAAGGUUGAUUCGCACUAUCUGGAAUGUUUCAUUUGCUUUGGGCAAUUUGGAGCUCCGCUCUACCAUGAAACAGACAGUACAGACGGAAAAUAUUAGAAUCCAACGAUAAGAAUAAAUAUCUGCAAGAAAUUAAGAAACUGUAUGACAGGAGGGCCAAUGGGCUCCUAGCAAAUAAAACACUCCAGAUAAUGCGAAUCUUCUCUACGUAAAGGCGAGGAGGUUAAAGCAAGACCAAUAUUUGAGAACGAGUCGAAGGCGACGAACGGCCUUCCUCGUAAGAGGGGAAGCGCUGCUGCAGAGGGGAAGCGCUGCGCUUCCUCUUACCGGGAAUGCCGUUGUCGUCUUCACUUCUUUCACGAACACCACUGUCUCCGUAAUGGGGAAUGCAUCUGAAGAACCGAUAUUUAAACAAAACGAAUCGUCACCUCACCAACCCACCGGUGCCUCUUCGGCUGACCUAAUAAAUUAUAAACCUGAUAGCAAACACUAACGUGUACAUUAUAGCGUCUCUUCGGUGCUCGAAGAGACACCGGUGGGUAUAUCGAAACUGUCUCGAGAAGAUAAACCCACUAUUCAGAAGCCGUGUUGAAUUAGCCUCUGUGCGCCGGUGAUAAUAGUGCAACGGAAAUGUUAUACUGCAGUAGAAUGGUGCAAUUAUCUCUAUAACAGUGCAUCCUUUGUUUGGUUUUAGUACAACCACACUAAACCAGUAAAAAUUUUGAGAUCCUCGUUACACUAUUUUUUAAAUAUGUUGAACUGUUAUCCUCUAUUUUAUACUAUUACAAAAAUUUACAUAUUCAAAUUAUCUAUAUGUUCACUAUUAACAUUAGCCUUGAAUUAUUAUAAUAAGACGUAUGGAUUUUCCGAUAUUUCCUGCGGUGUGCCCGCGGAUGUCGUCGUGGAUGGCUAGUUUGCUCUAGGCACAGGAGGGUUUUUGCAUGACCUUUUGUUGUGCCCCCAUCUCUGGCAAUUCCGGCACCGCUUCUUUAUUAAGCUGUUAGCAAUAGACUCUCGUCGCGAAACCUUUCUUCUGCCCGGUUGUAUGCGGACGUUUGGCGGCCGCAGCGGAACAACGUUACUUGGUAUUGCAGGCCAUUGCUCUUUGCCUCUGGUGGGGGGGACGCAAUCGUUGUAGGUUGCACGAUAAGUCGAGGUCUUAAGCCAGUCCUCGACAAAAUCAUACUGUCACGCCCCGGAUUACACGUUCCCCGGGCACGCCGACAAAUCCGCCGUAUACAAAGAAAUUUUCCCUGUAUACGAAGCGAUAGCUGUACCUGUAAAUCAAACACUACUACGAACAGUAGUAGAGAGCUGCUAGAGAAAACAGAAGCUAAAUAAAACAGAGUUUCAUAUACAUAGUUCAGAUCCAAAAUACAGAGCUACUCGCACUGGCGAGUUAAGUCAACUAUGUACAUAAACUCGAAACAAAACAUCUACCUGCAGUAGGGCACCUCUAGCUCAGCACGUCGGGUAGGGCUCUAACUCGCGACGCCCUUGCCUCGAUCCUGAUCCACGGACGGUGCAGCAGCCGGAACCUGUGGCUAUGCAAAAACAUAGGUAACAACUGGGCGUGAGAACUACUGUAAAAACAAAUAAUCCUCAGUGGGUACCGCCCAAAACAACAUCGGUCACCCACUAAGUCUACAGAAGGGAGCAAGGAUAGUAGGAAAAGCAGGAAGUACACUCUACCGCUAUCAAUCACUACACUAUCAUGCUCUACACUAACCAACUGUAGGAAAAGUCAAGUCUGACCCAAUCCAAAUCGGGACUGUAAGCAUACCCGUCCCCGGGACUGUGAAUACACCCGUCCCUGCCCCGUUACGACUAUCGGGCUCUAUCCACUCUAACUGGUCCGUGGAGAGCAAGUCCAACUGGCAUGAGCGACACCAACGCAAAAGCACAAGCCUGACUCCGGAGUGGCACUCGUGGGCGCUACCCAACCGAGUAUGCAGCGUAUAUCUGUCGAGCUCAAUCAGGCUCCAACUAGCCAAAGUCAAGUAAUCGACUCAAACUGGUCUAACAACCAAUCAGGUAACGUGCCCUCGGCACAAUCUGACGCCAAAAAGGUGAUACGGGUCCACCGUCGACUCUGACGGCACCCAACUGUCCGAAACGACCUGAACGACCCUGUAAAAAUCCACUCGGCGAACCAGCACGAGUGUAAAUACAUUCUAAACUACCUGGAGUACUCGUCUCGAAGAAACUGUGACAGUACAAUUUUCUAACGGCUCCUAGAGCUAAAUCAGGUAGUUAAAACUGGUGACAGGUCCAAAUCGCAGGUUUUCUCCUAAUUCAAUUUCCAAGUCCAACAUGUAUAAUCUACUUAAUUUAUAAAUCAUGCUCAAAAAUCCAGAUUUCACAAUCUACAUAUAGUCCAUGAAUUUGAGCUAACACAAUUUACCGAAACCACGAUUUAUACAUGUCGACUAAUAACACUUAGGAGUAAAAACU
This 415677-nucleotide long non-coding RNA is filed under the name Ananas comosus (pineapple). Its description in RNAcentral is "long non-coding RNA (ACOM_LNC003844)". Lineage: Eukaryota; Viridiplantae; Streptophyta; Magnoliopsida; Poales; Bromeliaceae. The record is from RNAcentral.